GGCAUUUGCAUACUUGAUCAUGGAUAUUAUACACAUUUGGGUUAUCUUUUUCUCUUUGUUAACCCAAAUGGCACUCUCAUACCCACUAACCCUAACCAUUCUUUGAAGCCAACAUUAAUUUGCUUGAGUGAGGCCUUUUACUAAUAGCAUGUCAUGUGCAAAACCUUGAGAGUAUUAAGAGCGACAAUGGGUUGUUCUCGCCUUUGGCUAACAUUAGGACCUCAUUUAGGCUAGCCUCUAGGAUGGUUGUUGGGUUUGUGAGUUUAAAUUAUUUUGAUCUUGGAAAUGAGAGAGAUUGAGUGAGAAAAAUGAACCAAAAAGAGUUCUUAAAGUAAAGAAAUCCACAGGAACAAAAAAAGUUAGAAAAGAGAAGCUCUAGAGUAUAAAUAGAACCCCUUUCCAAAGAAAAACAAAAGAGCUGAGCCAAAAAGAUCUAAAGUCAAAAAAAAAAAAAAAGAUCCCUAGUUGGUUUAAAUCAAAUGAGAGAAAAGAGUGUUCAUUGGGUGAGAGAUGAAAGUGAGAGUAUUUUGGGUUUGUGAAUGAAGGAAAAGAAAGGUAGAACUUAAAGCUACUUAGGAAAGGGGUAGAAUGAUGAGAACAAGCAUUGUGUGCAUGAAUUGCUCAUUUUCUUAGAUAAAUUUUGCAUAAUGAUCUUGCUCCUAUUCAUGAGUGUGAGUCACUAUAAAUAAUGCAAUUGAAACCCAUUUUUCUUCACAUUAGACCAUCUUCUCUCACCAAGCCAAAUGAUUGAGAUCAAUUUGCAAGAAUUCACCUUGUGUGUGUGUGUGAAUAAAUGUGAGAGUUGGCUAAGUAACUUGUUGGUUGAAUGACAAUGUAAUUUGUGUAGAGAUAAAUGAGUCUUGAUAGGCCUUGAGAAGCUAUAGUGCAAUAAGAAAGUGGCUCAUGCUAUUUGCUAUGUUUCUCUUAGGAUGUCACAUUGAAGGUUAGAAAGUGUGUCUUUUGGUUCUAAGCUCCCAAUUUUAAAUAUCUCUCUCUUAAUUGAUAUUGAAAGUUUGCAACACGUCGAGCUUGCACUGGUCACGGGCAGCGGGCUGAAGUGGUCGCUGUGCCUCACACGAUCAAUGGAGCGGGUGUUCGGAGCGGGAUGAUGAAGCCGCUCCCACACUUUGAUUGGUUGAGUUUUAUUUAUUUUAUGGGCCUUUUGAGAUUUUUUAAUUGGCCCACUCGUUUUUAGAAUUUCUAUAUAUAUAUUUUAGACUUAAAAUGAGGGAUAUCUUGUUUUCUAUCUAAUCAAAAAGCCACUUUUAGGUGAAAGAUCUAAUCUUGAUCAUUAUCUUUUGAGAUUGCUUGAUUGCUUUGAUCAUUAAUCAUGUUUUAACUUAGAUCAACUAAUGAUUUAGUGUCUACCAUGAUAAUGAGUGAGAGUAGUCAUUUUUGGAUUCAUGGGUUAGGAUGAUUAGGAUGAUCAAGUGAUGAUCUAGAAUGUUUAAAAUAGAUUAAUAUGUUUCCUUGCUUGAUUGAGUGAUCUUAAAGUUAAUCUAGAGUUGGCCAUUUUAGAUUAGAAAUCUAGACAUUUCAUUGCCCGGAAAGUGUUCGAUGAAAUGUCUGAGAUAACUCAACGUGCUCUUAGCUUACCCUAAUCUUAAUGAUUGAUUGAUUGACACAAAUCAAAGGAAUUUGAUGUUUGAUCAAUGAGAGUAAAUGAGCUUUUGUCUUGACAAAGAACUUGCUUAGAAUUGUUAUCUAGACUUAGAAAAAUGUGUUGAUUGAAACUUUGCCAUUUUAGAUUAAAUCUUAGUCAUCUGAAAUCAAUUCCUAUACCCAUGACUCCUUCUUUAUCUAUUUGCUUAAAAGUUGCUAGUAAAUUGUGUUAGAGUCAUGUUAGCUUAAUCAUAUCAUUUCAUUACAUUGAAUACACUUAGCUUAAGUAUGAACAUGUAUUCUCAUUGAAUUGAAACACUUAGAAAUGGAUUGAUAUCUAAAAUACUACAUUGAUUUGAACCUUGGACCCUUGAGAAGUCCAUAUAAUAUAUCCGCGCUAAUUUAGUUAUAUACCGAAUAGUUACUGACUAUUGAAUUAUUCAAUAUAUUUGAUAUUUCAUAAUUUUGUAAUUUGUUAAAAAUUCAAAAAUGAUAGCACGUAAAAAUACUUGUAUAUACAAUAUUCAUUUACUCUCAAGACCAUCACACCAUCAUUUUUAAAGCAUAGCUAAGGAUGUAAGUGUAAUAUUUCUCACGAGCAUUAAUUUUUUCUUGAUAAUUAUGCAAUUAAUCUGAUUUUCAUUACUUGAGAGUAAAUGACUAUAUAACCAUUAGUGACAACCUGUGGCUUAGUCUUAAAAUGAGGGGCAACUUUAGCAAUAUACACAUGAAUAAAAGAUUUAUUUCUAAACGUACUUUUUAAUAGAGAUGAUAUUUAAUUAAAGUUUUAUAAAAAACUGAAAAAAAUCACAUAAAUUUUUCAUUAAAAUUAUUUGGGUAGACGAGAUAUUUCUCCAUGAAAACUAUCAUAUAGCAUCAAAUGUCUCCCAAACUAUGAUGUCGUUCUAUUUAUCCCCAGAAACAAAGUUGUAGUUUUAUUUCCCAAUAAAUCUUGGUUUUGUCAAACCCAAUUCAAAAUCUUGAUUUACCAAUUGUAAACCAAAAAUCCCGAAAUCUAACCAAACAUAAAACCAAUCAAACUAAAUUAACAUAAUCUUAACCAUCUAAAUCAAAACAUAUCAAAUCACUUCAUUUCUCUCCUUCCCCAAAAGCCACGGCAAUUCCAGAACAUAAGCUUUUUCCCUUGCCCCAUAGAAUUUCUUCUUCUCUCACAAUCAAACAAUAGAUUCAAAAAAAAAUGUAACAAUCUUGUAACACCCGUAUUUUCUAAAAUAACUUAAAUAAAUAAAAAGUCUGAAAUCUCCAUUUAUUACUUCUCAAAAGUCAACUCCAAACCAGAAAUCCAAUAAAUAGCCAUAAAUCCAAAUAACAUAAUAAAUAUCGAAAAUAUCGGUAAAAGCAUAAAACCACAAGUCUGAAAAAGAAAGUAAAUAAAACUCCCAAAGUACCAGUCUGAUAGCAAUCACUUAUGCUCGUCAGUCUCACCUGAAAUGGGAAGGAAUAGAAGGGGUGAGUAACAGGGGAGUUACUCCGUGAGGUAUGAGAUGCUAAAUACGCAAACCACUGACUUGAGUAAAUAGAACUCCCACUAUGGAAGUUUAGCUCUAACAUGAACACACACGACGCUUAGAGCAUCACACAAACACAAACAAUGCGAUGAUAGCAUAUAGCUAGUCCAUACACCCCCAUCUCCUCAUAUGGAUAUAUAAUACGUAGCAUCGCUAGUACAAUAAGUCUCUGUACCCCCGCCCUCUCAAGUAGCAUCCAUGGUACAAACGUCUCUGCACCACACACCCGCACAAGUAGCAUCGCAAGUCCAGACGUCUCUGAACCCCUGCCCGCACAAGUAAAGUAGCGUCGCUAGCCCAUACAUCUUUGAACCCCCGCCCGCACACAUAGUCCCUACUCAUAACUAUGUGUACAUACAUAUAUAUACCGCAUUUCUUAACAUCACAAAAUCCAAUCAAAGGUUGAAUCCUCUAGACCCUUAGUUCCAGUUUACAAUAAAUGAACUAACUAACAAUCAAGACUCAAUUGAAACAGACGGAUCAUGAUUUGAAAUCAAAAUGACGAUAGAGAGAAUUCUACACUGGUACAUGAUUUACGGAAUAGACUCUGACCUUAGCAAUGUAGAAAAGUGAUAGCUAUGAACUUCAGCUGCUGAAACAAACUCCAAAUCUGAAAUCAGGGCGAAAAAUUGAAUGAGAACGUCUUUCGAACGGUCCAAAACGGAUAACCGGCGAUCUGGUCAAAAAGUAAACCCGCUGGUCAAAGGUCAGCCUGGUCAACUCUGACCCAAGCCGGUCAACCCUUGACCAAAUUGAAAUCGAAUUGAACCACCCGGUUUUCCUUAACCGAAUUCAAUUUCAACUGGACCAGAUUCAAAUCGAUUUCAAAUCGGUUUAAUACUAACCGAAAAUCAAUCCAAUAACCGAUCAGUUUAAUCAAUAACCAAAAUCAAUUGACCAACCGAACCGGCUUGACUGGUCAACGGCUUGACUCGCUGAGUCGACUCGGCCGAGUCACCGAGUUACCAGCGUGUCGACCGGCGAGUCGCGGCCAACAACGGUGGUGGUUUACCGGAAAAUCACCGGCGGCGGCGGAGACGCGGCGGCGAUGCAGCAGCGGCUUACUGACAGCAAAAGGGAUGGUGGCCGGCUGCGGUGGCUCCGGCGAACGUCUGGCGGAGAUGGUGGCGCGUGAGAUUCACGCGCGAAUCUUUCUCCUGCGCAUGUAGGCGCGUCGCGGCGGAUCUCCGGCUGAAACUCUUGCCCCGGACUCGUCUCGACGUCACAAACACACUGGUAGCCUUGAAAUCGCGAGAAACCCAAUGGUUAGAGAGAUAUCGACGAUUUACUAAACGGCCAACACUUAACCAAUCGGAAAAGGCGGUUCACGGAUUACCUAGGGUGUGAGACGGCGGCGACGUGAUGGAUCAGAUCUCAGUCGACGGUGGCUGAGACAGUUCACCAAUAUCUCUCUCUGACGGCUCAAACUCUGCAGAGGUUCGACACCUUAGACUUUUCUGAAUAAAAUAAUGUGUGGGGAUAGAAUUUAUAAGGAAGUACCUAGGGUUCUCUGCAAAUUAAUUGGGCCUUGUUGGGCCUGCGGAUUUGGGUCACUACAAUUCUCCCCCACUAAUAAAGAAUUUGUCCCUGAAUUCGGCUACUGAACCGACUGUCCAAUACCGUCCUGAAAAAGCUAUGGAUAAUCAAUCCUCAUCUGAUUCUCGCCUCCCAUGUUCCUCCUGGAUCCCGUCUCUCUCCCAACGAACUUUAACUAAACUGGUCAUCAUCCCCUGAACAGCUUUCACUUGCCGAUCUAAAAUCUCAACUGGCUGACAAGGUGCAUACAAAAUUUUCUCAAGAUCACUGGGUGGCUGCUGCAAAAUGAGCUCUGGUUCUCUCACAACUUUCCUUAAAACUGAUACAUGGAACACAUCGUGGAAAUCUGACAACUCUGCUGAUAACCGCAAUCUGUAAGCCACUGCUCCAAUCUGCUCCACAAUAGGGUAUGGUCCUAUAUAUCUCGGUUUAAGCUUCUUUAGCUUUCUAGUCUUAGAUCCUCCUUGGAAUGUCCUCAUUUUCAGGUAUACUAAGUCUCCUACCUGAAACUCCAACUCCUUAUGACGCUUAUCUGCAUAGCUCUUCUGGCGGUCAUGGGCUUCCUUAAGCCGAGUCUUAAGCAUCUCUACGUGCUCUACUGUUGAUGCGCUCUUGAGUAGCGCAUCGGGCAAAACAGACAUGCAUGGCUUGAUCAUGGAAAGCACUAAUGAUAUAUGUUCAUUGUUUGACUCAUAUCUUCCAAACCACGAGUGCUCUACGCAUGAAAUCCCUUGGAGAAUGUGUUCAACUCAAUUACGGAGCUCCUCGAAGAAGAAUCAAAUCAAACGGAGUUCACAUGUGAAAGUUAUGCAAUUUGCAAAUCAGGAAAAUCUUCAGUUCUCGCGAAUUUGGGCCGUACGGAUCGUCCAGCCCACAUCUUGAUCCUUACCGCAAAGGAACCACUUGGUUCAGAUGAACCUGGACGUUAGCCGAAGAGCCUCUUUGACCAGAUCUGAGAUCCAAGAGUUUUAGUACAUUGUCUUUAAAUUUCUCAUCUAGAUUCGAUUUACUAAGUUUGUCAUUAAUACAUUUUUAAGUCUUUUUCUAUUCCUCAAGUAGUAUAAAUAUGUAAACAUUUCUCAUAAUAAAAUCAGUCUAAGUUUGAGUUUAUUUUUGUUUUCUUCUUUUCUCUGAGUGAGAGAGAGAGUUCUAUAGCUAGUUCAUUGGUCUGAACCGGCUUGUUGAUUUGGUGGUCAACCAAUUCAUCUUUGUGUGUUGUUUGGUGGUUAGCCAGCACAUUCAUUCUUUCUUAGGUCGCUAGCCUUAGAUCAUGGGUAUAUCAAGAGCCAUUCCACAUCUCUUGACGAUCCUUUCAAUCCAUAUCAGUUCCAGAAAUGCCAUUUGCCUUCUCAGAUCAUAUCCAACACCCAGCUAACGUGAUCCUUCCCGAUGUAGGGCGUAUCAAGUGGUAUCAGAGCCACUUUGGCUGGUUUGUUUUCAUUUCAUCUUUUCAUCUACUCAUCUCUCCACGAUUUUCUUUUCUUAUUUCUUGUUGGAUCCGGGCUGUUCCUUUACUCCCUUGUGAUCGCCAGUUAUUAAAAAAAAAAGAGAAAAAAAAAUCGAUAAAAAAAAAAGAGUAAAAGUUUUGGCUUGAAUCACUUCUGAAGAGAAAUCCAGGGGGAGUGGUAAAAGAGAAACCCUGCUGGCUGAAGAGAAACCCAGCCUUAGGACAGUUAAGGAAGAUUCACACAAAAAUCUCUUCAUUUUUCUUUCUCUUUUCUUUUUCCCACAAAGUUUGUUUUGGGUUUUGACUGCUGAUUUUUUACUGCCUAUCAUCCUUUGAACCAGUGAAAAAACUCUGAGUGACCAUCUAAAAAUCGUGAGCUAAACACUUCAGAGUGUGAGGAUUUUUAUUUGCUAACUUUGUUAAGUGUUUUCAGGAUGUUUGGACUUCUCAAGAAAUCAAAAUCACAACAAGACGUCUACUUUCCUUUUAAAACUGGUUUUGAAAAGGAGCAAUUGAUUUUUGAUAAGAAACAGUUUGCUUCUAAUGGGUUUGACUUUGUGCAGAAACAAAAGAAUAGACAAAACAGGUGCGAUGAUGAGAAGUGGGUCAGAAGUGGUGAUCGUCCCUUCACCAAAGCCAAGAGAAGCAACCGUGAUGUGCCUGCUCAGAACGAGCUUCAGACUUAUGCCAGCUUGGAAAAGAUGUUGCAUAAGGCAAUUUUUGCUAUUCAGCAACUCAAAAAGAAGGGAAACACCAACACUUCUUCUGCACCAAAACAGCAAUGUAAGUUCUCUUCUCUUUCAAAUUCCGAUUUGAAAACUAAUGUGUUUUCUUUUGAUAAAAGCGAAGCUGUGAAACACACAAUCAAAGCUCAUUCUACCAGGUGCUUCAAAUGCCAGAUGAUCGGUCAUUAUGCGAACAAGUGCAAAAACCAGAAACCGUUGGUGACUUUGGAGAAUGAGAGCGUUGAAACCGAGCCAGAAAAGGAAGAAUUUUCAGACCCAUUGCCAAUUUUCGAUGACUACACACAUGAGCCAAUGGCAGGUUUGAAAUCUUGUGAACAUAAGAACUUAUUUUCUUCUCAAUCUGAAUCAAUUCCUGAUGAAUCUUGCUUGCAAUUAACUGUUUUACAACCAGAGAAUCCAAGUAGUUUUGAAUUAAUUUCUUAGUUUGAAAAGAAUUCUGAAAACGUUUUGAACAAGGAUGAAUUUUCUGGUCCUUUGAAUGCUCUUGAUAUUGGUGCAUAUGACCUUGGUCUUGGAAGUUUUGUGUCAAUGCAGGAAGGGCCAUACGAAGAACAAAACUGUGGUCAUCAAGGAAACCAAGAAAGCUCUUCUUCCAUUCAAAAACCGGACCAAACUCAAGGUUAGCAAUGUUCUGAUUAUGAUUUCUUUGCUUAUAAACCUUUUUCGUUUAAUGUUACAGAUUUGAGGACAAAUCUUUUUGAAGAGGAAGGGAAUGAUGCACCCUUGAGUAGCGCAUCGGGCAAAACAGACAUGCAUGGCUUGAUCAUGGAAAGCAGUAAUGAUAUAUGUUCAUUGUUUGACUCAUAUCUUCCAAACCACGAGUCCUAUAUGCAUAAAAUUCAUUGGAGAAUGUGCUCAACUCAAUUACAGAGCUCCUCGAAGAAGAAUCAGAUCAAACGGAGUUCACAUGUGAGAGUUAUGCAAUUUGCAAAUCAGGAGAUCUUCAGUUCUCGCGAAUUUGGGCCGUGCGGAUUGUCCAGCCCACAUCUUGAUCCUUACCGCAAAGGAACCACUUGGUUCAGAUGAACCUGGACGUUAGCCGAAGAGUCCCUUUGACCAGAUCUGAGAUCCAAGAGUUUUAAUUCAUUGUCUUUAAAUUUCUCAUCUAGAUUCGAUUUACUAAGUUUGUCUUUAAUACAUUCUUAAGUCUUUUUCUAUUCCUCGAGUAGUAUAAAUAUGUAAACAUUUCUCAUUAAAAUCAAUCUAAGUUUAAGUUUAUUUGUGUUUUCUUCUUUUCUCUGAGUGAGAGAGAGAGUCUAUAGCUAGUUCAUUGGUGUGAACUGGCUUGUUGAUUUGGUGGUCAGCCAAUUCAUUUUUGUGUGUUGUUUGGUGGUGAGCCAACACAUUCAUUCUUUCUUAGGUGGCUAGCCUUAGAUCGUGGGUAUAUCAAGACCAAUUCCGCAUCUCUUGACGAUCUUUUAAAUCCAUAUCAGUUCCAGAAGUGCCAUUUGCCUUCUCCGAUCAUAUCCAACACCCAGCUAAAGUGAUGCUUCCCGAUUUAGGGCGUAUCAACUGUCUCCUGAACCAUUGUUGGUUCUAAAUCCCUGCAGCACGUCUACAACGCUACAUACUAUGCAGUCAGUUCGGAAAAAGGCAGAGCCUCGGGCAAUACAUAGACUCUCAAUUCAAGAUACGACAAAGAUGCACCAGACUCGAGGACACUCGACUACUAACUGCAAAGUCUUGGGAGCGAGACUGGCCGCAAAGCUACUAGCCGGAGAGCUCUCCGAAGCAGCCAGCAUUAAAUAUCUCAUCCUUGAGACCGAUCGUCCUCCAAAAACCGACAAACAUUCACCUGCAGAAAAUUCUCCUCGGAGAAAUCAAGCAGGGGAUAAACGCGGAAGGAGAUCAGACGACAAAGGACACGAUAACAAUCGUCGUAGAGUAAACAUGAUCAUCGGAGGAUCACAGUACUGUAACGACACGGUCUCGGCCAUCAAGGCCUACCAGAAAAAAGCCGAGUCAAGUGCAAAUUGGCCAACAUGGUCUCCUCCCUGAGAUGGUCGAAGCGAAUCGAUAACUUUCACGUAAGAGGAAGCCGGCGGAAUCGAUCAGCCUCACUGCGAUCCACUCGUCAUAGAUCUCGUCAUAUGAGAUCUGGAAGUCGCAAGAGUCUCGUCAGACAAAACGUCAAUGAGUCUCAGAUCAAUCCGCCCCGACGAACACAUCAACCGUCUUAAACAAACGCACCAUGAUCAUUCUGAUCCUCAAACAUCCGACACAAGGAUAAAAGUGCGCUAUAUAAAAAAUCAGAAAUUUUGGUCAAGCACUUCCAGUUGGCUUAAAAAUUAUCGCUGGAGAGAUGCUCGAUUCACACCAUACAAGUCGUAUAAGCCGAGAACCUAUCGCAGACUUUAAAUCGGUAUGAAUCAGGUUGAAAUCACAAUAGAAAAAUUGAUAGCCAGCCAGUCACCGCAUAAACCUUAAAAACGAAUGUAAACCUAGGUCUUGCCCUAAACCCAACACACUGGUCUCUAAAAUCUCAAGACAUGGUAUCUAAAAAAUGAUACGAGAUCUUAAAACAUGUCUCUCCGUCCAUAUCUUAACGUUCAUGAAACUUCGUAAAAAUAAAUAAACAAUUUUUGCGAAAAUUCACAUCUCGAGCAAACCAACAGAUUGAAUGUCUUGCUAGAACUAAAUAAGAGACGACAACUCAUAUUUAUUCCAGACAUAUUCAGAACAAAGUAGUUCGAUAAAUAUUCAUCAUAUAUAAAACUGCAGAGUGGUAGGGAUUCGAAGACACCAACGGCCAGUCCUGAUAAAAACAAAGCGGCCAAACAGGCCCACACAAAGUUUCAGCAUAAAGGCCCCACUCGGCCAUAAACACAAGAUAGGGGGAAAUUUCUUCCCGUCAAAUGCUAACUUCGAUUCUCACAGAUCAAAGUUAAAACCCCCAGACAUGGAAGCUCCAAAUGCUUCUGCGGGACAGUCCACCUCCUCAUCAUCGCCAGUAACCCGGUCUUGACCUCCCCCGUAUAAGGAGAAACUGGGAUGGGAUCCCAGAAUCCCUGAAUCCUCCCAUCGAUCAGCAGAAAUAAGCGCCUCGGCAUGGGCAUGAUCAUUCAUGCCAUCUUUCAUGAUAUCCAUAUCAUCCUUGAAAACAAAGUCGUCCGCAUGCGUCUUCCAGAGGGUACCAACUUAACCACGACACUCGCCAAAAUCGCCCACCAAGGAAUAAGCCUCCUUAAGGUUUCCAUACUCGGUCUUGAACUGAGUAGCACGGUUUCUCAUCAUCUCGACAAUCUCUGUCCUACCUCUCCUUUCUGCUUGAUGGACGGCCUUGGCAUGAUCCUUGGCAAGUUUCGAAUAUCGCUCUAAAAUUUUGUUUUGAAUACGUGCAAGAUCUUCUUCCGCUUUCUCUGCCUUGAAGCGAUAAACUAUGGCCUCCCUGUGGCUUGUCACAAGGGCUGAGCCAAGCAUGUUCAGACCCUGCAAAAACGACUAACGUGUUUAAAAAAGGGGGCGCAUGAUUCUAUCCGUGAAGUUUCUAAAGAAGAAAGAAACAAACCGCGUUGAUUAUGCGAGAUCCUUCUGCAACUACUGAUGUGCCCCUGUCCGAGGAUCAGUCCAUGGAAUCAGAUCAGAACGAGGAUCAGAACGUCCGGAACAAUGCAACUGAGGUUCAGUCCAUCGAUCGGGCGAAACAGACUGCUCGGGCCGUGUAUCGUCUCGACCCGCACUCGUCCGGAUUGGAGCUUCAGCAUAACCCGUGACCAGAUGGCCAAAUCAACCGUACUGAAGUUCGCCUUUCCUGUCCUGUUUGUCAUGCUAAGUCCAUCGGUCAAGUCAGAAGUGAAGUUGAUCGAGUGGAAUCCAAAUCCGACCAUGGUCUUUCUCUCUUAAGCCAUCUCGGCCGAACCAGUGAUCGUUCUGAUGAACUGAUCCGACACUUCGAUCAGUUCAUGAACUCUUGAGGUUGUCCGAAGACUUAGCCACCUUUUGGCCCGUAACAGUCCAUGAAAAUCACCCGUCCGUACAUGAAGACCGUAACGGCCGUGUACUGCUCCUUAUCGAGGGAAGUGCUAUCAGUUACACCGAACCUGGACAAAAGUAGCCGAAGAGUUCAAAUCGACCAGUGAACAUUAUUUUCUGUGCUUUGACUAGAUUUGGUCUUCUAUCUAUUUUCUAUGUCUCUUUUUCAUACAUUUUUAUUUAUUAUCUUUGACUACAAGUUGUAUAAGUAUGAGAACACAUCCCUGAAAUAAGAUAAUCGAUUUUCCUUAUUCAUUUUUGUGUUUUCUUUCUUUGUUCUUUGAUUAGAACAUUCUUGUUCCCUUGGUGAGGCUAUCUCCAAGUGAAUCCCCUUUCUUUGAGCCGGACUUGUGUGUCAAAUCAAGCGGCCAUUGAGAGUUCUAGUAGUAUCACUGGGUCUUCCGCAUCCCUUUGUGUCACUAAACAAUCCAUCAGUUAUCUAUCUCUUCAGAUCGAGUUCAUAUCAACAGAUCUGGUUGAGUGUUCGUUCCUUAGGAUUCUUUAAGUGGAAUCAGAGCCACUCUUCCGGUAUCUCUUUUCAUUCCAUCUUUCUCAUCUAUCAUUUUCUUCAUAAAAAAAAAAAUUCUUCUUCUAUCCAUCUUUGAAUCUGGGCCCCUCUUUACCAUCCAUAUAUUAAAAAGAAAAAAGAAAGAUCUAAUCAAAAAAAAAAAAAGAAAGAAAAGAUAUCAAAAGUUUUCAAUUGUGGUUUGGUGGUGGAAGAGUUAGCCUGCUGGCCGAGGAGAAAUCUGGCCUUGGAGGUGGUUAAUACGGAUUCCCCUUGUUAAAUCACUUAUCUUUCUAUCUUGUCUCUUGGGUGUUUCACUUGGGAUUCUCAUUUUGGGUUAUCUAGUUUGUUCUCUUAGAACUUUGAGGGAAACUCUCUUGUGUGACUACCAAAUUGAGUGAAACACGUGUGUGAGGUUUUUAAUCGAACUUUACCUUGUUUAAGUUUUCAGGUAGCCAUGGAUAGUGAAGAAGGAGGAAACCGACCCAGAAAUUCACAUGCCGGAUUAUCUAACUUGCAAAUGCGUGCUCUCAAUGACUCUAUGUCUAACUUGUUGAAUACAGGUUUGAAGGCAAUCCAUUAGAGGCUAGAUGAACUUCAGGGCCAUCCAACUCAGCCACGAACCAGAACCAGACGUGACCAUCCAAGGAGGAACAGCCGGUCCGACCUAGAAAUCCGAGAAGAGUCUUAUGAUGAUGAUCGAUCCAUCAACCGUCCAAGGAGAGUUCCUAGGCAUCAAACCGAGGUGAUGUCAAUCCUUUUGGUAGAAAUGAAAGAAUCAAUGAUGGCUUGGGUGGUUUGAAAUUGAAAAUUCCAAGUUUUGAGGGCAAAAAUGAUCCGGAUGCUUUUCUUGAAUGGGAAAGAAAAAUUGAACUUGUGUUUGAUUGUCAAAAUUUUUCUGAUAUUAAAAAGGUUAAACUUGCUGCUGCUGAGUUUACUGGCUAUGCUAUUAACUGGUAUGAUCGAGUUGUGACUAGCAGGAGGAGAGCAUGUGAGGCGCCAGUUGAUACAUGGGAUGAGCUUUCCAUGCUGAUGCGGAGACGCUUUGUUCCCGACCAUUACCACAGAGACCUACACCAUAAACUCAGGCGUUUGCUUCAAGGUUCUAAGUCAGUUGAGGACUAUCACCAGGAGAUGGAGACCUUGAUGAUCAAAGCUUAUGUAGAAGAGCCCUUAGACGCCACCAUGGCCAGAUUUCUUACCGGGCUCAACUGGGACAUACAAGAUCGCAUGGAGCUGGAAGACUAUGACAGCAUGGAGCAGAUGUUACACAAGGCCGUGUUGAUCGAGCAACAAGUCAAGAGAAAGGGUCUAACUAAACUGACCUUUGCUUCUAAACCGACCUUUGCUUCCAAGCCAAACUAUCAAGACAAGGGUAAGUCUUCUUCCACAACGAAUACAGCUUUUCAGACUAAUGUCCCUGCUCGUGUUGAUAGAGAAAAGAAAGAAGAGGCUACCAAACGAACCAGAGACAUCCAAUGCUUUAGGUGUCAUUGCCUUGGCCACUAUGCCAACCGAUGUCCAAACCAAAAGGUGAUGGUGCUCUUGGAGAAUGGAGAAGUUGAAUCUGAAGAAGACAAGAAGGAUCUCGGACCAGUGUAUGAUGAUGAUGAUGAGGAAGAAGCACUUGACUUCCCGGUUCAUGGUCCCCUUCUUGUUACUAGGAAGGUCUUGGACGACACCACUGAUCCCAUCUUUGAUGAGGAAGUCGAUGGAGUGAUCGAUGAGUUUUGCUCGACCUUUGUGGAGAGUUCUGAUCCGAUCUAUGAUGUGGAUGUUCUUGAUGAGCCGAGCCAUGGUUCACUACUGGUUACUAGGCGUGCCUUGAGUGUCCAACCAAAAUCCAAUGACAAAGAUCAAAGGGAGAAUCUCUUUCACUCUAGAUGUCUCAUUUCUGGUAAAGUUUGUUCUUUAAUUGUUGAUGGAGGAAGUUGCACUAAUGUGGCUAGUGACACUCUUGUAAAGAAACUUGGGCUUGUUACUCGGCCUCUUUCUCGUGCUUUCAGGUUGGAGUGGAUCAAUGAGUCCAAAGAACAGUAUGUGAAGGAGCAAGUCACGGUUCCACUCUCCAUUGGCCAAUAUGACGAUGAGGUUGUUUGCAAUGUGCUUCCCAUGGAUGCUUGCCAUGUUCUCUUGGGCCGGCCUUGGGAAUUUGACAAGAAGGCAGUGCAUGAUGGUUUCACAAACCGUCAUUCAUUUGAUCAUAAAGGAAAGAAGAUCACCUUGGUGCCUUUGUCGCCUUCGGAAGUCCAUCAAGAACAGGUCCAACUUAAGAAGAACCAAGACCAAGACUCUAAAGCUGAUAAACCUGAGACCAGUACCAGAAACUCCAACUUCUUUGUCAAAGAAAGUCAGGUAAGGAAGUCUCUUUGCUCUCAAAAGCCAUUUCUCUUACUGAUUUAUAAAGAGUCUCUCUUGGCCUCAUCUUCUUCUGACCUUGCACUGGAGAUUCCGAGUGAGUUAUUAGGUAUCUUGUAGGAUUAUUCUGAUGUGUUUCCAGAAGAAAAUCCCAAAGGAUUGCCACUGGUGAGAGGCAUUGAGCAUCAGAUCGAUCUCGUCCCGGGCGCCUCUCUACCGAACUGACCAGCGUACCGCACCAAUCCGGUCGAGACCAAGGAACUGCAGAAACAGAUCAACGACUUGCUUGAGAAGGGAUACAUCAGAGAGAGUCUCAGUCCCUGUGCUGUGCCUGUUCUACUUGUACCAAAGAAGGAUGGCUCCUGGAGGAUGUGUCUGGACUGCCGAGCCAUAAACAACAUCACGGUAAUCGACAUCCUAUCCCUCGUCUUGAUGAUAUGCUUGAUGAACUCCAUGGUUCUAAGUACUUUUCUAAGAUAGAUUUGAGAAGUGGCUAUCAUUAGAUUAUGAUGAAAGAAGGUGAUGAAUGGAAAACGGCCUUUAAAACAAAACUAGGUUUGUAUGAGUGGCUUGUCAUGCCCUUUGGUCUCACUAAUGAACCUAGUACUUUCAUGCGCUAAUGAAUCAUGUCUUGAGCUCUUUUAUUGGUCAUUUUGUUGUAGUUUACUUUGAUGACAUAAGCCUUGAUGAGCACAAACAGCACUUGAAAUCUGUUCUUGAAGUCCUUAGAAAGGAACGUUUGUUUGCUAACCUUGGAAAGUGUUCUUUUAGCACAGAUCAUGUGGUCUUUCUAGGUUUUGUUGUAGGUGCAGAUGGCUUGAGAGUGGACGAGCAGAAGGUCUGAUGCACCUCAGAUCAUGGAGCAGUCCGUUGGACAAGUCCAACAUGAAGAUCAGAACAGUCCGAGAUUUUCAACAGAGGUUCAUCCGGACGACCGUACCGAACGCACUGACCGGGCCGUGUACCGGAUCGACCCGCGUACGUCCGGAAUGGAGCUUCGUUUGGAUCCACGUCCAGACGAUCGAUCUGACCGUACUGAAGCUCGGCUACCCCGACCAACUCGUCAAGUUAGGAAGAUCGAUCAAGCCAAACUCUCAUCCGAACGCACCGAUUUCGAAUCAGACCGCAGCUUCUCAUUUCUGACCCGACUGGCUCUUACCGCGGGCACUGCCGAACGUACCGCCGAACGUUCUGAAAAUCCGACUUACCAGUUUGAUCCGAUUCUUCAGUUUGAUCAUCUGAGCUUCUCAAGGGGAAGGAUACUUAAGCUCUCUGAAGAUAUUGGACACAUUUGGAACACAUCAGUUCAUGAGUUUCCUUCAUCCGAUCAUGCAGACCGUCCGGACCAUGUACUGCUCCUUACCGCGGGACAUGCAUCCAGAUUCAUCGAAUCUGGACAAGAGUAGGCAAAGGGUUCACUUUGGCCAGUCAACAUAAUUUUCUGUGUAUUGACCAGAUCUGGUCUUUGUUAUAUUUUCUAUGUCUUAUUUUCACACAAAAUGAUUUAUUUCAUUUUGACUAAAACUUGUAUAAGUACUCCAUCAUUUCUGAAUAAAGAUGAUCGAUUUUUCCCUUCAAAACUUCUUAAGUUUUCUCUCUUUGUUCAUUGCAAAGAACUUGUUCUUAGUUUACUUUGGUGUGGUUAGCAUCCGAGCAAACACCUUGUCUAAUCGGACCGGUGAGUCACAUCCGGCGAUCUAGUCAAGUCAGUCUCCACAACGGACCUGUGAGUCACAUCAGGCGUUGUUCAGACUUGGAAAUAUCGAAGGCCUUCCGCAUCCUUCGUGAGAUCCCUCGAUCCAUCACUUCUCCAUCCGGAGAUCCUAUCAAAUACCGUACCGGCUGAGUGUUCCGAUCUAAGGGUCUAUCAAAGUGGUAUCAGAGCCACUCAACCGGUAUCAUCUUCUCAUUCCAUCUUCUCAUCUACCAUCUUCUUCAUCUAAAAAGUUCUUCUUCUAUCUAUCUUGAACCCGGGCCACUCAUUACCACCAUAUAAAAAAAAAAAAAAAAAAAACAGUAUAAAAAAAAAAAAAAUAAGAAAGAUUGUGGUGGUGGUGGAAGAGAAAGCCUGCUGGCUGAAGAGUAAUCCGGCCUUUGAGUUGGUUAAGGCGGGUUCCCCUUGUAAUCUCUUAUCUACCUUCUCUUGUGACCCUUGUUUGAUUGGAUCUGACCCACUGAGUAUCUUUGGACUUGUCUUUCUCUGAACUUUGAGAACAAACCAAAAUCUUGUGUGAACCACUUCAAAUCUUUGAGAGAAACACGUGAGUGGGAAAGGAAACAAACACUUGAGAGUGUGAGGUAUUUGUUACCCUAACGUUUAUUGUUGAGAAUUUCAGGAAGAACCAUGAGCAGUGAGGAAGAACGGAACCGUCCCGGAAAUUCUGUAGCCGGACUCUCAAACCUCCAAAUGAGGGCUUUAAACGAUACUUUUACUAACCUUAUGAAUGCAGGACUUGAGCAGAUCCAUCAAAGGUUAGAUGAGAUUCAGGAGAGCCAACAAACCAGAUCUAGAACCGGAACCAGACGAGCUCAACCUAGACGGAACAGCCAAUCCGAUCUAGAAAUCUUUGACGAAGAUACCAACGAUGAUCAAUCCAUCAACCGACCCAGGAGAGGACAUAGAAACCGAAACCCAGGUGAAGUCAAUCCUUUUGCUAGAGCUGAACGAAAUGAAAAUGGGUUGGGUGCUUUGAAAUUGAAAAUUCCAAGCUUUGAAGGAAAGAAUGAUCCUGAUGUCUUUUUAGAAUGGGAAAGGAAAAUUGAACUGGUUUUUGAUUGUCAAAACUUGUCUGAUAUUAGGAAGGUUAGGUUAGCAGCUUCUGAAUUUUCUGGCUAUGCUAUUAACUGGUAUGACCGAGUUGUGACUCACAGGAGGAGAACAGGUGAAGCACCAGUGGAGACUUGGUUGGGGCUUAUUACGCUUAUGCGGAAACGCUUCGUACCGGACCAUUACCAACGCGACCUACACCACAAACUCAGGAGGCUACUUCAGGGAACAAAGUCGGUUGAGGACUACCAUCAGGAAAUGGAGACUUUGAUGCUUAAGGCUGAUGUGGAUGAACCUGUAGACGCAACCAUGGCUAGAUUCCUCACUGGACUCAACCGGGACAUCCAAGACCGCAUGGAACUUCAGGAUUAUAGUGACAUGGAACAGAUGCUACACAAGGCUAUCCUGAUUGAGCAGCAAGUCAAAAGGAAAGGACUCUCCAAAUCCACCUUCCCUUCAAAAUCACCUUUUCCAUCUAAGCCUAGCUACCAAGACAAAGGUAAGUAUCCUGCCACAACAAAUACUGCUUUGAAAACUGAUGUUCCUACUCGUGUGGAUAAAGGAAAAGCAGUGGAAAACCCCAGCAGAACAAGAGACAUAAGGUGUUUCAAGUGUCAGGGCCUCGGACACUAUGCCAACAAAUGUCCAAACCAGCGGGUGAUGGUUCUUUUGGAAAAUGGUGAUGUAGAAUCCGAGGAGGACAAAGAGGAAAAAGAGGACCUUGGUCCCAUUUUUGAUGAGGAAGAAGAGCCCUUUGAUUACCCAGCCAGUGGACCACUUCUUGUUACAAGAAAGCUCUUGGAGGAACCGAUCUUAGAGGACGAAAUUGAGGAAGUAAUUGAUGAGUUCUGUUCCUCGUUUGUUAAAGAAACAGGACCGGUCUACGACGAGGACAAUCUCAGCUUUCCAGCUACUGGUCCUCUUCUUGUCACUAGACGAUCCUUAAGUGUUCAGCCUAAAACCGACGAGAAGGAACAAAGGGAGAAUCUCUUUCACUCUAGAUGUUUUGUUUCUUCUAAAGUUUGCUCUUUGAUUAUAGAUGGUGGCAGCUGUACCAACGUGGCUAGUGAUACCUUGGUGAAGAAACUUGGACUUGUUACACGUCCACUUGCCAAACCUUUCAGGUUGGAAUGGUUGAAUGAGGACGGAGAGCAAUACGUCAAGGAACAGGUGACUGUUCCGAUCACUAUCGGACGGUACGAGGAUGAGGUCGUGUGUAACGUCCUUCCCAUGGACGCUUGUCACAUUCUUUUGGGUCGACCUUGGCAGUUCGACAAGAGGGCUGUCCAUGAUGGCUACACAAACCGCCACUCCUUUGAACACAAUGGAAAGAAAAUCACCUUGGUUCCCCUUUCUCCCUUAGAAGUUCACCAAGAUCAAAUCCAACUUAAGAAGGGACGAGAACAAGACUCCAAACCUGAGGCAUCAGCAAGAAAUUCCAACUUCUACAUCAAACAAGGUCAGGUAAGAAAAACCCUUGCCACCAAAAAGCCAUUCCUUUUGCUUGUUUAUAAGGAAUCUCUUAUGGCCUCAUCUUCUUCUCACCUUGCACCGGACAUUCCGAGUGAUUUGAAAGGAUUAUUGCAGGAGUUUUCUGAUGUAUUUCCUGAAGAAAAUCCAAAAGGAUUGCCUCCAAUCCGUGGCAUUGAACAUCAGAUCGAUCUCGUUCCAGGCGCGUCCUUGCCAAACCGACCAGCGUACCGCACUAACCCCGUCGAGACCAAGGAACUCCAAAAGCAGAUUGAUGAUCUUCUUGACAAAGGAUACAUCCGAGAAAGCCUCAGCCCAUGUGCUGUACCUGUCCUACUCGUGCCAAAGAAAGAUGGGUCGUGGAGGAUGUGUGUGGACUGUCGGGCCAUAAACAACAUCACGGUAAAGUAUCGCCAUCCCAUCCCUCGUCUUGAUGACAUGCUUGAUGAACUUCAUGGUGCUUGUGUCUUUUCUAAGAUAGACUUGAAAAGUGGAUACCACCAGAUUAGAAUGAAAGAGGGAGAUGAAUGGAAAACGGCCUUUAAAACAAAACUAGGAUUGUAUGAAUGGUUAGUUAUGCCUUUUGGUUUGACUAAUGCACCUAGUACUUUCAUGCGUCUGAUGAACCAUGUGUUGAGAUCCUUUAUUGGUCAUUUGUUGUUGUGUAUUUUGAUGAUAUUCUUGUUUAUAGCAAAAACCAUGAGGAACAUCAAAGGCAUUUGAGAGCCGUUCUUGAAGUCCUUAGGGACGAACGUUUGUUUGCUAACCUUGGAAAGUGUUCUUUUGGUACAGAUCAAGUUGUUUUCCUAGGUUUUGUUGUAGGAAAAGAUGGCCUGAAGGUUGAUGAAGAAAAGGUCAAAGCCAUCCGCGACUGGCCCAUUCCUAAGUCCGUAAGUGAGGUUCGAAGCUUCCAUGGCCUUGCUGGUUUCUAUCGACGGUUCGUCCAAGACUUCAGUUCUAUAGCCGCUCCUCUCACUGAGGUUAUCAAGAAGAAUGUGGGUUUCAAGUGGGAACAACCUCAGCAGGAAGCUUUCCAAAUCCUAAAAGAGAAGUUAACUCAAGCCCCUCUUCUUGCUUUACCCGAUUUUUCUAAAACUUUUGAGAUUGAGUGUGAUGCUUCCGGAGUGGGUAUUGGUGCUGUUCUUAUGCAGGAUAGGAAACCCAUCGCAUACUUUAGUGAAAAACUUGGAGGAGCUACCUUGAAUUACCCAACCUACGACCAGGAGCUUUAUGCUUUGGUGAGAGCACUUCAAACUUGGCAGCACUACCUUUGGCCCAAGGAAUUCGUCAUUCAUACCGACCAUCAGUCCCUGAAACAUUUGAAGGGACAACAGAAGCUUAACAAGCGCCAUGCUCGUUGGGUUGAAUUCAUUGAGACAUUUCCAUACGUGAUCAAGUAUAAACAAGGUAAGGAAAAUGUUGUGGCCGAUGCCUUGUCACGCAGGUAUGUUCUCCUUUCAGCUCUUGAGACCAAACUUCUUGGAUUUGAAUUUAUCAAAGAGAUUUAUGCAUCUGAUCCGGAUUUCAAAGAGGUUUUCAAAAAGAGUUCCAAAACUGCUUAUGGGAAGUAUUAUCAGGUUGCUGGUUUCUUGUUUUAUGAUAACCGCUUGUGUGUUCCCCAAUGUUCUUUGAGGGAGUUGUUUGUCAGGGAAGCACACGGAGGUGGCUUGAUGGGACACUUUGGUGUGAAGAAAACCUACAAGGUUGUGUUCGAUCAUUUCUAUUGGCCGGGUCUCAUGAAAGAUGUUGAGAGGAUUUGCAGUCGAUGUGUUGUGUGCAAAAAGUCUAAAUCCAAAGUCUUGAACCAAGGUUUGUAUACAGCUCUACCCAUCCCUUCUCAUCCAUGGGUAGACAUUUCUAUGGACUUUGUACUUGGAUUGCCGCGAUCCAAGUCAGGUAAGGAUUCCAUCUUUGUUGUGGUUGAUAGAUUUUCAAAGAUGUCUCAUUUCAUUGCAUGCCAUAAGACUGAUGAUGCUACUCACAUUGCUGAACUGUUCUUUAGAGAAGUGGUUAGGUUGCAUGGAAUGCCUAAGACUAUCGUUUCAGAUAGAGAUGCUAAGUUCCUUAGCUACUUUUGGAAAACUUUGUGGUCUAAAUUAGGCACUAAAUUGAUGUUCUCUACUACUUGUCAUCCUCAAACUGAUGGACAAACUGAGGUUGUGAACCGUUCACUAUCUGCCUUGCUUAGGUCUUUGAUAAAGAAAAACUUGAAAACUUGGGAAGAAUGUUUGCCGCAUGUGGAAUUUGCUUAUAACCAUUCUAUGCAUUCAGCUACUCAGUUUUCACCUUUUGAGGUUGUGUAUGGGUUUAAUCCUCUUUCUCCACUUGAUCUUUUACCUCUUCCUUUGAGUGAACGUGUUAGCACAGAUGGCAAGAAGAAGGCGGACACAAUAAAGAAGAUGCAUGAACGGGUCCGAGCUAACAUCAUGGCCAGAACAGAAAGGUACACUCGACAAGCCAACAAGAAACGUAAGGAGGUCGUUUUUGAAGAAGGAGAUUUGGUUUGGGUUCACUUGAGGAAGGAACGUUUUCCGGAAGAAAGAAAAUCUAAGCUCAUGCCCCGUGUGGACGGACCAUUUCAGAUCAUCAGAAAAAUCAGUGACAAUGCGUAUCAAUUGGAUCUGAAAGGUAAUUAUGAUAUCUCUUCAAGCUUCAACGUUUCUGAUUUAUCUCCUUUUCUUGUAGAUGUUCCGGAUUUGUGGACAAAUCCUCUUAAAGGAGGAGGGAAUGAUGCACCUCAGAUCAUGGAGCAGUCCGUUGGACAAGUCCAACAUGAAGAUCAGAACAGUCCGAGAUUUUCAACAGAGGUUCAUCCGGACGACCGUACCGAACGCACUGACCGGGCCGUGUACCGGAUCGACCCGCGUACGUCCGGAAUGGAGCUUCGUUUGGAUCCACGUCCAGACGAUCGAUCUGACCGUACUGAAGCUCGGCUACCCCGACCAACUCGUCAAGUUAGGAAGAUCGAUCAAGCCAAACUCUCAUCCGAACGCACCGAUUUCGAAUCAGACCGCAGCUUCUCAUUUCUGACCCGACUGGCUCUUACCGCGGGCACUGCCGAACGUACCGCCGAACGUUCUGAAAAUCCGACUUACCAGUUUGAUCCGAUUCUUCAGUUUGAUCAUCUGAGCUUCUCAAGGGGAAGGAUACUUAAGCUCUCUGAAGAUAUUGGACACAUUUGGAACACAUCAGUUCAUGAGUUUCCUUCAUCCGAUCAUGCAGACCGUCCGGACCAUGUACUGCUCCUUACCGCGGGACAUGCAUCCAGAUUCAUCGAAUCUGGACAAGAGUAGGCAAAGGGUUCACUUUGGCCAGUCAACAUAAUUUUCUGUGUAUUGACCAGAUCUGGUCUUUGUUAUAUUUUCUAUGUCUUAUUUUCACACAAAAUGAUUUAUUUCAUUUUGACUAAAACUUGUAUAAGUACUCCAUCAUUUCUGAAUAAAGAUGAUCGAUUUUUCCCUUCAAAACUUCUUAAGUUUUCUCUCUUUGUUCAUUGCAAAGAACUUGUUCUUAGUUUACUUUGGUGUGGUUAGCAUCCGAGCAAACACCUUGUCUAAUCGGACCGGUGAGUCACAUCCGGCGAUCUAGUCAAGUCAGUCUCCACAACGGACCUGUGAGUCACAUCAGGCGUUGUUCAGACUUGGAAAUAUCGAAGGCCUUCCGCAUCCUUCGUGAGAUCCCUCGAUCCAUCACUUCUCCAUCCGGAGAUCCUAUCAAAUACCGUACCGGCUGAGUGUUCCGAUCUAAGGGUCUAUCAAGGUCCAAGCAAUCCGGGACUGGCCGAUUCCGACCACCAUUGGUGAAGUGAGAAGCUUCCAUGGCCUUGCCGGCUUCUAUAGGCGAUUUGUUCAGAACUUCAGUACCUUGGCCGCUCCUCUUUCUGAAGUAAUCAAGAAGAACGUGGGGUUCAAAUGGGGACCAGCUCAGGAAGAAGCAUUCGAAAUCCUUAAAGGGAAGUUGACUCACGCCCCUUUACUUGUACUUCCAGAUUUUUCUAAAGCUUUUGAAAAUCGAAUGUGAUGCUUCUGGUGUUGGUAUUGGUGCUGUGUUGAUGCAUGAUGGAAAACCAGUGGCUUAUUUCAGUGAGAAGCUUGGAGGAGCCAUGCUCAACUACCCCACAUACGACCAAGAACUCUAUGACUUGGUGAGGGCCCUUCAAACGUGGCAGCAUUAUGUUUGGCCUAAGGAGUUCAUCAUCCACACUGAUCAUCAGUCUCUAAGACACCUUAAGGGUCAGCAUAAGCUCAACAAGAGGCAUGCUCGUUGGAUGGAGUUCAUUGAGACAUUCCCUUAUGUGAUCAAGUACAAACAAGGUAAGGAGAAUGUUGUGGCCGAUGCAUUGUCUCGAAGGUAUACUCUUCUCUCAGCCCUUGAAACAAAAUUGCUUGGUUUUGAGUUUAUCAAAGAUUUAUACAAAUUGUGGGAACCGAAAUUCGCACUGUCGAUUUCCGUUUAAAUAAGGAAACUAGGAAAACCCUAAUUUUCCAGAGGACCCAGAUAUCUGCUAAUAACCACACGUCAAGCAAUCAGAACACGAGAAUAACAACGACAAAGUAUAAUAAAUCGAGAAAGAGAGCAAAGAAGAUCUUAUUCCGAAUUUGCGUAUGAGCGUUUACAACAAGGUAUAAGCCUGAGCUCGAGAGCUGUCGGCGAGAUUCUUAGUUCUAGUAACCCUAAGACGGCUAAACCUAAUUGAGUCGCAGCUCAAAAUAACAAAAACGGAAAAUUGCCUAAAUUUCUCUAAGUGCUAAGUUUGCUCUGAAAAGUUCUCUCUCAUGCUCCUCGCCUAGGACUCCUUAUAUACUAGCUCCAAGGUCGGUUUACGCUUUUACUCUUCUGCCCUUAAGCCGUCAUAAAAAUGGAGAUAUUCCAUUUUUCCCGAUUUUCACAAUUAUCUUCAAAACUUCCGUAUUUAUCCGCGGAAACUUGACAUUUAUCCUUCCUUGUGGACCAAGCGUAAACCGUGCUGUGGUUUACGGGCUUUUGGUUAAGAAAUCGCAGGAUGGGCCUCAAGUCGUGUUUUAGGUCCCUUUGGGCCGUCUUCCAACUCGAAGCGUUUACUACGAUUUCUUUCGACAAAGAAAGAACUUUCCGCGGUUUCUAAUCCGCGAAGUUUGAUCGAUGAUUUAGAAUAGCGGAAAACAUAGACUGAGCUCGUUACGGUCUUCGGGAGAUAACAUUUGAAGGUUUGACGAGAAUGCAUGUACUGAUGUCAUACUGAUGUUCGGAAGAGCUUGGUCACUACGCAGCGACCGAACUUUGGCUCGAGCCCGGUCGCUACGUAGCGACCGAGCGAGACGGACGCUCGGUCGCUACGUAGCGACCGAGCGAGAUGGACGCUCGGUCGCUACAUAGCGACCGAGCGAGACGGACAUGUUCAUGAUCGUCUGGAUAUGUUGCUAGCGUUUAGACGAAUAUUAAGAUUGUCGUUUGCCUAUUCUUGACGAUUUGCAGAAGUUUUUUGAAGUUUGGGAGUAUACGAGUAUAGUAUACGUACCUACUCCCACUUUUUUUUUUUUUACGAAAGAAAACGGUUGAACCGAUACUUUGAAGGGUUGUGUACGUUUCCUCCUUUGAUGUUUGGAAUGAUCGAUAAUUCGGGGCGAUUUAUAGACGACGCUUGGACUGUGAUUUGGUUGUUUCCACGUUGACGACUUGGGAUAUGUCGGUUCCGAGAAAAUUGCCAGAAACGAAUCGGUUUUAAGACAACGUUCAUGUCUCUAACUUUUUCUCUCUUUAGGAAGCGAGCAUGAUAUACGUGGCGAUCGUUUCUCGACUUUCGGAGAGUUUAGAUCGGUUUGCAAGAUCUGGAUGAACAAUUAUGGAACAAUAUACCGAGACAGGAAAAAUCGCCUAAGACUUAUUUCGCUAGACUAUCCACCUAGGUUUUAAGUUCCCUAAAGUUCUACGGCAGUCUCUUAGGCGUUUCUAUUUCUUAGUAAUUUUCUACGAAAUUCCAAGCCUGAUUUCAAGUCGGGAAUACCUUAGUUCUCUCGUAAAUCUGGGUUAGCGUCUUCUCUGUUUUGCUUGCUCAUUUGCCCUUACUUUUUUCGUGUCUGUCUGCUCAUUUUGAAUAGCAAGAAUAUUGAUUAUUCCUGGAUAUCUAUGCUUUCCUGGCCGCUUUUAGGCAGCUACCAAUUUUCUCGAUUUUCGUGAUCCAUGUUUCGAUCUUAAUAUCAUUGGAUUUACGAAAAUGAAUGAGCAUAUCGUCGAAAAAAUCGAGUUGUGAGAGGAAGGAUUGGGAGAUCAUGGAGAGAGGCGGAUGGGCGAAUUCUGAUUCUCGGAUUUUGCUCCAUCGCUUCCCUUAUCAGAGAUUCUUUUUCUACGAUUGUUGUUAGAAUUUUGAAGGUUGUCAAAUGUUGCUUAUUUUAGUUUUACGAAAGUUUUUCCGAAAAAAUAAUAGCGAUCGACUCGUUCGCAGGUUGGUCACUACGAAGCGACCGACCGAGUGGCUAGGUCGCUCGAUACGUAGUGACCGACCGAGUGGCUUGGUUGCUCAAUACGUAGCGACUGACAGAGUGGCUUGGUCGCUCAAUACGUAGCGAUCGACCGAGUGGCUAGGUCGCUAAAUACGUAGAGACCGAUCGAGUGGCUAGGUCGCUCAAUACGUAGCGACCGACCGAGUGUCUUGACCGACCGAGUGUCUUGGUCGCUCAAUACGUAGCGACCGACUGAGAGUCUUCGUCACUCAAUACGUAGUGACCGACGGAGUGUCUUGGUCGCUCAAUACGUAGCGACCGACUGAGUGUCUUGGUCGCUCAAUACGUAGCGACCGACUGAGAGUCAUCACUCAAUACAUAGCGACCGACGGAGUGUCUUCCUCGCUCAAUACGUAGCGACCGAUCGAGUGGCUAGGUCGCUCAAUACGUAGCGACCGACCAAGUGUCUUGGUCGCUCAAUACGUAGCGACCGACUGAGAGUCUUCGUCACUCAAUACGUAGUGACCGACGAAGUGUCUUGGUCGCUCAAUACGUAGCGACCGAUCGAGUGGCUAGGUCACUCAAUACGUAGCGACCGAUCGAGUGGCUAGGUCACUCAAUACGUAGCGACCGACGGAGUGUCUUGGUCGCUCAAUACGUAGCGACCGACUGAGUGUCUUGGUCGCUCAAUACGUAGCGACCGACUGAGAGUCAUCACUCAAUACAUAGCGACCGACGGAGUGUCUUCCUCGCUCAAUACGUAGCGACCGAUCGAGUGGCUAGGUUGCUCAAUACGUAGCGACCGACCGAGUGUCUUGGUCGCUCAAUAUGUAGCGACCGACUGAGAGUCUUCGUCACUCAAUACGUAGUGACCGACGGAGUGUCUUGGUCACUCAAUACGUAGCGACCGAUCGAGUGGCUAGGUCACUCAAUACGUAGCGACCGACCGAAUGUCUUGUCACUCAAUACGUAGCGACCGACGGAGUGUCUUGGUCGCUCAAUACGUAGCGACCGACUGAGUAUCUUGGUCGCUCAAUACGUAGCGACCGACUGAGAGUCAUCACUCAAUACAUAGCGACCGACGGAGUGUCUUCCUCGUUCAAUACGUAACGACCGAUCGAGUGGCUAGGUCGCUCAAUACGUAGCGACCGACUGAGUGUCUUGGUCGCUCAAUACGUAGCGACCGACUGAGAGUCUUCGUCACUCAAUACAUAGUGACCGACGGAGUGUCUUGGUCGCUCAAUAUGUAGCGACCGACGGAGUGUCUUGGUCGCUCAAUAUGUAGCGACCGACUGAGUGUCUUGGUCGCUCAAUACGUAACGACCGACUGAGAGUCAUCACUCAAUACAUAGCGACCGACGGAGUGUCUUCCUCGCUCAAUACGUAGCGACCGAUCGAGUGGCUAGGUCGCUCAAUACGUAGUGACCGACCGAGUGUCUUGGUCGCUCAAUACGUAGCGACCGACUGAGUGUCUUCGUCACUCAAUACGUAGUGACCGACGGAGUGUCUUGGUCGCUCAAUACGUAGCGACCGAUCGAGUGGCUAGGUCACUCAAUACGUAGCGACCGACUGAGAGUCUUCGUCACUCAAUACGUAGCGACCGACGGAAUGGCUAGGUCGCUCAAUACAUAGUGAGUGACCGAGUGCCUUCGUCGCUCAAUAUGUAGCGACCGACCGAUUGGCUUGGUCGCUCAAUACGUAGCGAAUGGUCGGACCAAGGCCGAUCUACCCCCAGUUUUAUCUGUACUUCCACAGUUUGGUCGUUACCGCGCGGUUCCAGGCCUAUCGAGUGGUGUUGCGAAGUCGAGUCUUUUCCCGCGAGCUUUAGUGGUUCCGCGGGGAUGGAUUGCUCGAGUCCUUGCCGUUAAGGUUUCAACCUGUUUGGUCAAGGUAUUCACGAGCUUAUCCUGUUCUUCCGACCUUUUCUCAUAGGUGGCGAACAUCUUUUUAAACUCCUCGAGCAUCGCGGCGUUGGCUUGUGCAUUGGCCGCGGAUAAGUCCGCUGCUGGAGAAUGGAGAUCGGUGCCGCUGCCUCCGUUAAGAGGGAUUUGCACGUUAUCCGCGUCGUUAGUUGACAUGUCUGAUUGAGAGUGUUGUGGCUUUUGCGGGUUAGAUUGAUCCGUAAGUCCCCCUCCUUCUAGCGCCAAACUGUGGGAACCGAAAUUCGCACUGUCGAUUUCCGUUUAAAUAAGGAAACUAGGAAAACCCUAAUUUUCCAGAGGACCCGGCUAAACCUAAUUGAGUCGCAGCUCGAAAUAACAAAAACGGAAAAUUGCCUAAAUUUCUCUAAGUGCUAAGUUUGCUCUGAAAAGUUCUCCCUCAUGCUCCUCGCCUAGGACUCCUUAUAUACUAGCUCCAAGGUCGGUUUACGCUUUUACUCUUCUGCCCUUAAGCCGUCAUAAAAAUGGAGAUAUUCCAUUUUUCCCGAUUUUCACAAUUAUCUUCAAAACUUCCGUAUUUAUCCGCGGAAACUUGACAUUUAUCCUUCCUUGUGGACCAAGCGUAAACCGUGCUGUGGUUUACGGGCUUUUGGUUAAGAAAUCGCAGGAUGGGCCUCGAGUCGUGUUUUAGGUCCCUUUGGGCCGUCUUCCGACUCGAAGCGUUUACUACGAUUUCUUUCGACAAAGAAAUAAUUUUCCGCGGUUUCUAAUCCGCGAAGUUUGAUCGAUGAUUUAGAAUAGCGGAAAACAUAGACUGAGCUUGCUACGGUCUUCGGGAGAUAACAUUUGAAGGUUUGACGAGAAUGCAUGUACUGAUGUCGUACUGAUGUUCGGAAGAGCUCGGUCACUACGCAGCGACCGAACUUUGGCUCGAGCCCGGUCGCUACGUAGCGACCGUGCUUGGCUCGGGCUCGGUCGCUACGUAGCGACCGAGCUUGGCUCAGGCUCGGUCGCUACGUAGCGACCGAGCGAGACGGACGCUCGGUCACUACGUAGCGACCGAGCUUGGCUCCAGCUCGGUUGCUACGUAGCAACCGAGCGGGACGGACGCUCGGUCGCUACGUAGCGACCGAGCUGUGUGCAUGCUUGGUCGCCGCAUAUCGAGCGAGCUUAGCUUGUCCGCGGUCUGAUUUCCAUACUCGAGUUUGUACGCGGCCGAUUUGGAUACAUGUCCGUUGCCUUCGGACAAUCGGUAUUUAGUGGUUCGAUUGAGAUUUGGACGAUAUUUUACUGCAAGGCUCUUCGUAAAGAUAUCUUUACGAAGAUUACUUUUCGUAAAAACGUUUAUGCUGAUUUUUACGGACUUUCAGACAUUGAUUCCGUCGUGACCGAUUUUGACCCCAACACGAAUCUGAUCAAGAUUUCAAAGAGGUUUUCCGAAAAUGUUCCAAGGUCGCUUAUGGAAAGUAUUUUCAAAACUAUGGAUUCCUAUUCUUUGAUAACCACUUGUGUGUGCCCCAAUGUUCUUUGAGGGAGUUGUUUCUCAGGGAAGCUCAUGGAGGAGGUCUUAUGGGAGACUUUGGUGUUAAAAAAACUUACAAGGCGGUUCAUGAUCACUUCUAUUGGCCAAUCAGAAAAGAAAGGAGGUUAUUUUAAAAGAAGGUGAUCUUGCUACGGUCCCGCUCGGUCGCUACGUAGCGACCGAGCACUCGUGUCACUCGGUCGCUACGUAGCAACCGGGCGCGAGCCAAAGUUCGGUCGCUGUGUAGCGAUUGAACCUUUCCGAACAUCGAUACGACACCAGUCCAUGCAUUCUCGUCAAACCUUCGAAUGCUAUCUCCCGAAGACCGUAGCAAGCUCAGUCCAUGUUUCCCGCUAUUCUAAUUCAUCGAUCAAACUUCGCGGAUUAGAAACCGCGGAAAAUUCGUAGUAAACGUGUCGAGUCGGAAGACGGCCCAAAGGGACCUAAAACACGAUUCGAAGCCCAUCCUACGAUUUUCCUAACCAAAAGCCCGUAAACCACAGCAUGGUUUACGCUUGGCCCACGAGGAAGGAUAAAUGUCAAGUUUCCGCGGAUAAAUACGGAAGUUUUGAAGAUAAUUAUGAAGAUCGGGAAAAAUGGAAUAUCUCCAUUUUAUGCUAUGACGGCUUAAGGGCAGAAGAGUAAAAGCGUAAACCGACCUUGGAGCUAGUAUAUAAGGAGUCCUAGGGGAGGAGCAGAGAGAGAACUUUUUCAGAGCAAACUUAGCACUUAGAGCAAUUUAGGCAAUUUUCCGUUUUUGUUAUUUCGAGCUGCGACUCAAUUAGGUUUAGCCGUCUUAGGGUUGCUAGAACUAGGAAUCUCGCCGACAGCUCUCGAGCCCAGGCUUAUACCUUGUUGUAACGCUCAUACGCAGAUUCGGAAUAAGAUCUACUUUGCUCUCUUUUCGAUUUCUUAUUUUUAUCGUUGUUGUUCUCGUGUUCUGAUUGCUUGACGUGUGGUAAUUAACAGAUAUCCGGGUCCUCUGGGAAAUUAGGGUUUUCCUAGUUUCCUUAUUUAAACGGAAAUCGACAGUGUGAAUUUCGGUUCCCACAGCCGCCUGUUAGACUAUAUUAUUAGGGUUUUGUAUCAUUUUAGAGGCAGACUUGCCUAGAGACCUUUUAGGCCUAGUCUGGAGAGAAGCAACCAACCACCAUUUGAGGGAGAGAGAGCUUAUGAUUGGAGAGAUAGAUGUGAACAACAAAACAUAGAAGAUCUUGAACUCCCUUGUUUUCAUUUUCUCUAUUGUUUUCAUUUAUUUAAGUAUUAUUCAGACAAUCGUACUGCUGAUUAUUUGGCUAAGCAAACCCUAAUGAGCCAUCGUACUGCCCCUCUGGGCUAGACUACUCGGCCUGAGGCCAAGACUUUUUUCACAUUAGCUUUAAAUAUAAAAACAGUUUGACAAAAAAAAAGUAUUAUUCCGACCAUCAUAACCAUGUUUCUUAUGAAUAAGAUACCACUCAAAUUAUCCUAAGGAGGGAUUUAUACUCUCUCAAAUAAGAGGUCGAGUUGUAGUACUUAGGGAUCGAAUUCACAAGGAGUUAGGGAACCUAGAGUUUAUAAUAUGUUUUGUUAAGCAGGUGGUUUUAAGAGUUUUUAAAAGUAAAUUGCAGAUUAUAUAUUGAACAAAUAAUUGUUCAAUAGCAAGUUUCGGGUUUUGGUGCUUUAAAAAGGAAAUAGCUACUUAGGGUUUUUACUCAGGAGAGUUGGAAUUAUAAUCCUACAGAUGCCUAAUGAGUUGCAUGCAUGAUAAUGUAAAGCUCAACUAUUUGAUCAACAAGUCUUUCGGCCUUUGCGAGCAUUGACUUAUUGACUAUUAACUAGAUCUAUGAUCUCAACUCUUGUUAUAUUGAUCUAUAGAAAGUGUCGACCGAUAUUCCAAUGGGCGCAUCGAUCGAUACACCUUUUGCACCGUCGAUCGAUUAUUCAAGUAUGAUAUCGAUCGACGCGCUCUAGUCAAGCUUUAUGCGCAGGUUGAAUAAAUGUUUACUAAGCUUAGUAGAUCAGCUCUCGCCUUGCUCAUAGUAAGAAACAAAGUUCAGUUAGAAUGUUUUCAGGAUGAGAAUUAGCAAUGGCUUUUAUCAAUCAAUCCUAGGACAAGUUUUAGGUAGCUAAUCUAGAGACAAACAUUAAUGAACAAUUCUAGUGAUGAUUAUCACAACUCAGCUAUCCAUAGUUGGAGCUAAUCCCUCCUAACCUAUUUAAACCCUAAAAUCUAACAAGAGAACUACUCAGACAUGGCUAAACAAUUCAUAACAAUAGUUAGAUAUAAAAACUGCAUAGAAUAGAUAAGAUAAAUAUCAAUGAAGUUCCAGUCACAAAUUAUAACUUUGGAUCUUCUCUCCUAUAUAUCAGUAAACAAUAAAACACAAAGAAGAACACAAAACAAAAGCACGCUCUGCCUAUAACAGGGAUGCAAAGCUUAUAUAAUUAGGGUAAAACUCGUCACGGGCAAUCUUGUAAAAUAGUGAAAUCUUGGGCUUCAAGUCGGCUGUGACCAAACGGGCUUCUGCACGCUUCGAUAUCGAUCGACACCAUAACUUGUGUAUCGAUCGAUUCUAGCUCUCCAAUAUCGACUGAUUCUCGAUCUCGAUGGUCAUCUCAGUUGCUUGCUCCAAAUAUCUCCAAAAUGCUCCAAAAUCAUCACUUAUCUCCAAAACCUUCCUGGUCUUAUAGGUAUAAUAAAUAAGCUCUAUAAUAAUAUAAAUAUUAGUAAAAACACUUAUCAACUAGGGAUAAAAAUGGGUCAAAUCCAUAGUCUACCAAUCAGACAUCUCCCUUAGCUAUUGCAAUCUGGUGAUAUCCCGAUGCCAAGUCAAUCUUAGAGAAUAAUGAAUCUCCCUGCAACUGGUCCAACAACUCGUCGAUACGCGGAAGAGGAUACUUAUUCUUGAUGGUCACUUUGUUCAUACCUUUGUAGUCGAUAGAAAGCAUGAAACUCCCAUCUUUCUUCUUCACAAAUAAUAUCGGUGCUACCCACGACGAAGUACUCGGCCUGAUAAAACCCUUAUCUGAAAGUUCCUCAAACUGUUUCUUUAACUCAACCAUCUCUGCUGGCGCUAAACGGUAUGGAGCUCGUGAAACUGGUGCUGCUCCUGACUCCACCUUUAUCUUAAGAACACGUCUGCCCUAGGUGAUGGUGGUCUUUUUAAAGCCUCAAAAAUGUCCUCGUACUCUGCAACAACUGGAAUGUCAUGCAGCUCCUGCUGGCCAUCCUCCUUAACCAUCGAAAUGGUCACCAAAAACCCCUUUGCUCCUCUCUCCAAUAACUCCUCUGCGUGCCACAUGGAGAAAAUGGAAAUUCCCUGGUGCUCGUAAAGCUUUCUGGGAGAAGCAUCGAUUGACGCGACGACCGUUUAAGCGAUCGAUAUUUUGAAAGGUGUAUCAGUCAAUAUUCUUUACAAAUCAUGGAUCCACACUUUCUUGUGAUUAACAUACGAAAGUUGAAUUCCGAGAUCUAGAUUAGAUAAUCUUAUUGAUUUUACCUAAGUUUGAGUUCGAUAACAAUUAAUAUCAAUAAACCCCUAAAAACCAAAAUUAAGUUGUUUACUUAUCAUACCCGAGAAUAUACCUGAAUUAGCUAUUUCCCCAACUAUCAACAACCUCAAAUCAAACCAAUCGAGCAACUGCCUUGCUCACCAUUUCAUUUACUGCUUAAAACCUAUUAAUCUAAAUUUAUUUCGAAGACUAUAAAUUUACUGUGUAAUCAUAUAGUCUCUGUGGAUUCAAUUCCUAUCUACAUCUGAACCUCUUAUUUGAGAGAGUAAUUCACUCCUAAUGGUAAUUUAAGUGAUAUCAAAUUUGGUGCCAUUGCCGGGGACUCUUUCUUAUAACCAUUAGAUUAAGUUUAGAAUAUACUCUUGAUUUUGUUACUGAAUUUGCUAAAGUUUUCCUUCUUUCCCUGCUGACACAGGCACUUAAGACGGAGAACAUGGAUUUCGGCUGGACAUUGAUCGACGUAAUAGCAACAAUGUCGAGCGAAGAGUCGAUGGAAACAUCGAUCGACGUUGCACUACAAACAUCGAUCGACGCUGCACUACAGACAUCGAUCGACGAGUCAACGGAAACAUCGAUCGACGCUUCACUACAAAUAUCGAUCGACCACACUCCGCCGGAAGCAGGUAAGUUUUCUCUUACCAAUCAUGCUAAUGAAGAAGUAGUCCUAGGUGAACCCAAAUUUCAACUAAGCCAUGCAAUUAACCAAAUUAUAAAUAAACAGGGGACUGAAAUCCCUGUUAAAAUUAAUUCAAUCUCAAAUGGAGAUGAAGAAACAAAAUUGCCUUUGCAAGACUACUUAAAUCCUGGCAGGACCUAUUCCAAUAGGCCGGCCAUUAGAUUACCAAAUGACGAUACCAAGAAAUCCGGUCUUAACCUCGAAUACCUAAUCUUUGUACGUCAAAAUCCCUUCGGUGGAACCGUCUCAGAACACCCACACGAUCAUAUCAAAUACCUAGAAGACAUGAUGAUGGACAAAUACAACCGUUGUAAACUCUUCUCAUUUUCCUUAGAGGGCGACACAAGAAAAUGGCUAAAUCAACUACCAGCAGGAUCUCUGACCUGGUGGAAGGAAAUUAGGAGUGUCUUCAUUAAUCAUUUAUUCGAUGAGACGCGUUAUUGUGAUGUGAUGAAGAAAAUCUCCACAUCCUGCCAACGUCCACAGGAAUCAUUCAAAAACGCCUGGGGAAGAUUCAAGGGUUAUCAACUUAAAUAUCCCCAUCAUGGUUAUUCAGAACGACAGCUUAUUAACACCUUUUACGGGGGUGUUAACCUAUAUUACCAAACCACGCUUGACACAGCAAGUGAAGGGAGCUUCAGCACCAAGAGCCCUGAAGAAGCAAAGGUUUGAUUAAGAAUGUAGCAACAGGUAGAUCCUACGAGAUGAUGGACAUAGAACGAGGAAGAUGAGUUGAUUCCAUAAAUGGGCCACAUUUUUCUGAAAUUAAAGAGUCUCUGGACUCACUUCAUUCAGUUCUAGAGGAGCAAAAUAAAUUUGGAAUUUACCAAAUUGAUGAUGAUGUCAUUUCUGAUCUAGAACAACAUGUAGAUUUCGUAGAUAUCCCAAACCUGAAAGAUCGGUAUCCCAAUCCUGACACCGACAGCUUUACUCGAAAUUAUGAUGCUACCGUUGGAUCACGUUGAGGCAGAGAAAAAUUUAGGUUAAACCAAGCCUUCACGGGAAAUUUUCAAAUAGCCACUGACCUGAACGAAAAGAUAAAUAAAAUCUACAAUAAGCUAAUGAGGAAAUUCGACGCUCUGAGUGAACACAUUAAGAGACUGGACAGUCAGGUAGCGGAAAAUGCGACUGCCAUCAAAAGAGAAACAUGACGUCUCCCUGGGAGAACAGACGCAAACCCAAGACGUCAACUUAAUGUUGUGUUACUAAGAAGCGGAAAACGCCUUACCCCGAGUACUGUAGAAAUCACCUCUGCGGAAAAACCCGUUGAGGCUGAGAAAAUCCUGAUCGAGGAUCAGAACCUUCUCAGGAGAAAGAACCGUCCAACACUAAAAAAACUGAGAAGGCAACGAUCAGCCUCGAUGAAGAAGAGGAGGAGUCGGAAGAAUAUGUGGAAAUCGAUCGACAAGAGGGAAAUAAUAUCGAUUGACCGACUACGGUAAAUAUCGAUCGACAAACAGGAAAGAAUGUCGAUCGACACUCGACUCCAGCCAAACCGGCAGUAGAGAGAGUGUAUAGGACUUUGCCGCCCUUUCCUCCCAAAAAAUUGCAAACCAAGCGAGAAUUGGACAAAGCGAUUUACAAGAAAGUAUUCAAUAAAAUCACGUUAGAAAUGACACUAAGGGAUGCCAUGACAGUAUUGCCCUCAAUAAAGAAAUAUGUAUCCAACAGCUUCCCAGCUCCUAAACACAGCGUCAUGAUGGUUUCAGAGGAAGUAAGUGCAAUAAUCCAAGGCGAAACCCCGAUCAGGAGACCUGAUCCUGGCAGCUUUGUUCUAGAUUGCAACAUACGAAAUAAAAGUUUUCCUCGAUCCCUUUGUGACCUACGUUCCAAUGUUAAUCUCAUGCCGCACUAUAUUGGGAUAUCCCUGUGAUAUAACGAGUUCAAACCAACAAAACUAACUUUGGUUCUUGCUGAUAGAUCUGUUAGAGUACCUGACGGAGUACUAGAUGACGUGCCGAUAAUGAUUAACGACUGUCACGUACCAACGGACUUCGUUGUGUUGAAAUACCAGAAUGAACCAAAACAUCCCCUCAUUUUAGGUAGACGAUUUCUAGCUACAGCUGGAUCGAUCAUCGACGUCAAGGAAGGUCGGAUAUGUCUAAACAUUGGAAACAUUCCAAUGACCUUUGAUAUGUAAAAACUGAUAAGACGACCUCUAAUCGAUAAACAAGCUUUAUAUGUGGAUGAUAUCUCUGAGUUGGCUGAAGAAUCUUUCAUAGACCUAUGCUUAGACGAACCCCUGGAAAAAGUGCUUACAUUUACCGAAAAAGAAAUGUUCAGCAUCGACAGCAGGGCCGAUGAAUACGCACGAUUAAUGGACGCAAGUGUAGAGAUAUGAAAUGUCGAUGAUGUGGAGGAUGACAAUUCGGAAAUCAAUGUCGAUCGAUAUUUAAAGGGCACCGUCGAUUGACAACCAUCCACUCUAGAAAAUUGGAGCACCGCAAAAGCACCUAAAAUUGAAGCAACUACCUGCCGGACUUAAAUAUGCUUUUCUUUAUAAUAAUUCCUACCCCAUAAUCGUAAACGCCAACCUAACUAACAGAGAACUUACGUUGUUAUUGAAUAAACUGCACAAGUAUAGGAAAGCUCUUGGGUACUCUCUCGAGGAUAUUCCUUGUAUAUCUCCAGAUUUGUGCAUGCACCAAAUUCAAUUAGAAGACGAUUCCAAAUCGUCAGUGGAAAAUCAAAGAAAGCUAAACGCGAAAAUGAAUGAAGUUGUUAAAAAGGAAAUUAUCAAACUUCUAGAUGCUGGAGUCUUCUACCCAAUUUCAGAUAGUAAUUAGGUGAGCCAUGUGCAUGUUGUACCUAAGAGAGGCGGUAUUACAGUGGUGGAGAACGAUAGAAACGAAAUCAUUCCUACGCAAAUGUGUAUCAAUUAUAGGAAACUAAACGCUGCCACCAGAAAAGAUCACUUUCCUUUACCAUUCAUUGAUCAAAUGUUGGAAAGACUGGUGAAUCACCAAUAUUAUUAUUUUCUUGACGGAUAUUCUGGAUUUUCCCAAAACCAUAUACAUCCUGACGAUCAAGAAAAUGCCACAUUUACAUGCCUUUAUGUUACAUACCGCAGAAUGCCAUUCGGUCUUUGUAAUUCCAAGCCACUUUCUAAUGAUGCAUGAUGUCAAUCUUUACGGAUAUGAAAGAAGAUUUCAUGGAAGUUUUUAAGGACGAUUUCUCAGUCUAUGGAUCCAGUUUCAAAAACUGCCUCGAUAACAUGUGUAAAGUUUUGGCAAGAUGUGAAGAACAUAACCUUGUUCAAAAUUGGGAAAAAUGCCAUUACAUGGUUAACGAUGGAAUCUUCUUGGGACAUAAAGUAUCUGCUGCCGGUAUAAAAGUAGAUCGAGCAAAAAUUGAGUUAAUGAUCGGUUUGCCUGCGCCCACAAACGUAAAAUAAGUGAGAAAUUUCUCGGGCAUGCCGGAUUUUACAGGAUGUUUGUUUAUACAAGAUUUCAGCAAAAUCGCUAGACUAAUCACAGCCCUCCUAUGCAAAGAAGUAAAAUAUGACUUCACACCAGAAUGAAUAAAAGCUUUCGAAGAAAUUAAGAGAGCCUUAAUAACUGCCCCAAUCGUACAAGCACCUGACUGGAACCUUCCUUUCGAAAUUAUGUGUGAUGCGAGCGAUUUCGCUGUAGGAGCAGUUCUAGGCCAAAAGAAAGAAAAAAAAGCUACAUGUUCUCUACUAUGCCAUUCGAACUCUCGAUGAGGCACAAAGGAACUAUGCAACAACAGAAAAAAAACUACUUGCUGUGGUUUAUGCAUUUCAAAAUUCCGCCAAUACGUAGUCGGUUCGCGAGUUAUUGUUCAUACCGACCUUGCUGCAAUAAAAUAUUUAAUGCAGAAGAAAUACGCGAAACCACGACUCUUGCGAUGGAUCCUUCUACUCCAGGAAUUUAACAUCAAGAUUAAAGACAAACAAGGAGUAGAAAACAGAGUCGCAGUCACCUUUCUUGGAUACUAGUAGAGGAUGACGUCCCUAUCGAUGAUUUCUUGCCAACAGAGAACGUUUACCAAACGUCUUCAUCAUUUGUUGGUAACAUAUGUCUCACAUCCGAGGAGCCAUCAAUCGACACCAGAGAUGCUAUGCCGAUCGACAUUCUCGAUGAUUAAAACCAAGACACUUCCCCCAUAACCAUCACUUUUGAUAUUAAAGUCAGUGUCGCCUCCAACACCUUGCACCCUGAACAUGUUUCUCUUGGACACAGAAGCUUAAAUCAGGGGAUGCACGCAAUCGAAAGAAGUUUAAGGGAUAGACCUUGGUACGCUGACAUAGUAAACUAUCUAGAUGCUGACAUAGAACCCGAAGAGCUAAAAGGUUAUACAAGAAAGAAAUUUUUAAGAGAAGUCAGGAGAUAGCACUGGGAUGAACUAUACCUCUACAAACAUUGCUGUGAUAGACGAUGUGUCGCUGAAACUGAAAUUCCAGAUAUUUUAUUCUAAUGCUAUGGAUCUGACUACCCUGGAUUUUCUGCAAUCUUUAAAACAGUAUUAAAAAUUGUCCAAGCGGGAUUCUGGUGGCCAACCAUGUUUCGCGAUGCUCAUGCAUUCAUAGCACAAUGCGACAUAUGCCAAUGAAGAAGAAAAAUCAGUAAAGGACAUGAAAUGAAACAAAAAUCUAUUCUAGAGGUAGAAGUCUUUGAUUGUUGGAGAAUAGACUUCAUGUGUCCUUCCCGUCCUCAUACGGGAACAAAUAUAUCCUAUCCUAUUCGCUGUUGAUUAUGUAUCCAAAUGGGUUGAAGCAAUAGCUUCCCCAAAUGGGUUGAAGCAGUAGCUUCCCCAACAUUUGUAGUUAUAAAGCUUUUCAAAAGCAUUAUUUUCCCAAGAUUUGGAGUUCCUCGAGUAGUCAUAAGUGACGGUGGAUCCCAUUUCAUCAACAAAGUUUUUCACGGAUUACUCCAGAAGAACGGAGUGCACCAUAGAGUUGCUACACCUUACCCUCAGACAAGUGGAAAAAUAGAAGUUUCAAAUCGGCAGAUCAAAGAAAUCUUAGAAAAGACUGUAGGAACCUCUAGGAGAGAUUGGUCUAGGAAACUGGACAAUGCACUCUGGGCUUACCGGACUGCAUUCAAAACCCCAUUAGGAACAACCCCGUUUCACCUACUCUAUAGAAAAUCCUGUCACUUACCGGUUGAGCUAGAACACAAGGUAGCAUGGGCUUUAAAACUAAAUUUCAACAUCAAACCAGCUGCCGAAAUGAGACUUAAGAAGCUUAACUAGUUGGAUGAAAUAAGACACUUAGCCUAUGAGAGCUCGACAAUCUAUAAAGAGAAGAUGGAAGCAUAUCAUGAUAAAAAGAUCAUCUCCAGGCACUUCAAACCAAAUGAUCAAGUGUUGUUAUAUAAAUCUCGGCUCAUGCUAUUUCCCAGAAAACUCUGAUCUCGUUGGUCAGGUCCUUUCACUGUUGUGGAUGUCAAACCAUAUGGAGCCAUUACACUCAUAAACGAUAAAGAAGAAGAACUUAUAGUGAAUGGUCAAUGAGUGGAACAUUGUUGGGCUAGACCGCUGAUUAGCAGGCUUUUAAACUUAGGCCUUCUUCCUGAUAGUUACACAGAUCGGACCUCGAUUGAAGCUCAGGACUUAAAAUAAGCGCUGGAUAGGAUGCAACCCAUUUCUAGUUUUAGGAUAUUAAGAAUUUAGUUUAAAAAAAACUUAAUUAUCAGAAAACAUAGCGGCUGUCGAUCGACGAAGAUAUUUCUUCAUCGAUCGACGGGAAAUGAAAAAACACGGACUCACUUAAGUCGACAUUAAGUCGACAAUAAGCCUAACCCAAAAACCCUUCGAAACAGCCUCCACUCUCUUUCUCUCUCGUUUCUCAUCCAAAUCGGACGAUUUGUGCGCCUAAUCCACUUGAUUUUCAACUCUCUAUCCGUUUAGAUCACUUAAUCCAUGAAUCAACAUGGUAUGAAAAAGAAAUUUUCUAAAUUUUCGUUCGUGUUAGGGUUAAGAUAAAAGAUGAACUAGAACAGGGAUUUUAUGGCAUGUAUAGAUCGAUUUGUGUUGAUGGAAUGAUAGAAUAGGGAUUAAAGAUCGAUUCUACUGAUAAUUAUGCUAUGCAAACCGAAUUGCAUCGAAUGGCUUUUUGCAGGUUCUCACGAUGGAGAUAUCGAUCGAUGAUAGCCCAUUUACAUCGAUCGAUUAUAACACUGAUAUAUCAAUCGAUAUCGACACAGACCUGUCGAUCGAUAUCGGCCACUAAACCAUCGAGAUUCACUGAUUUCGUAUAUUCAUUUGUAAACUUUGGUUGCAGAUGAACGAAAGGAGAACGAAGAGGAGAUUCGACAGCAGCGGCACCAGCACAGCUCCACCCCCACCACCGGUUCGCAACCAGCACCCUUGGCCAAUAGAGCGCGAGGAAGACCCCAUCCCACUCUUUGCACACUUCACUGCGGCUAAAAGCUUGGAAUGCAAAAACCGUGCGAUAAGGGACGAGUGGAACGACUAAGACAUCAUAUUCUACAAUGUGUGGCUGAAGGUUACCAUUGAGCCGACGCGAUUCGUCGACGCGGAUGUGAUUAGACAGCUGGGCAUCAGAGACGACCUGGAGGACAUGUUCGUGGAGCUGGGAAUGGGCAACAUGUGCACCAAACAACACGUCCUCUACACGGAGCUGGUCCAACAGUUCAUAGCCACUGUGCAGGUCUAGUACACCCGCGAGAGAGGGAGGAGAGCCAGCGAGGGUACCUUGACUUUCUUCGUCCGCGGCAUCCGCUACGAAGUCCCUCUCAUGACUCUUUGCACCAUCUACGGGUUUCAGAACUCAGAGCUUCAGCACGCUUCAGUUCCUGGCUUCCCUGGGAGAUCGACGUUCUGGGGGCAUAUAGCUACUGGCAUCUUCGACUCAGGCUCGGCCACUCAGACGGACAUCCGUCACCUUACUUGGCGAUACGUCAUGAAGGUCCUUGCCAACACUCUUUUGUUCAAGAUGGAACCUAGUAAGGUUCGGGUGCAGGAGCUCACAUUGGUCUACUAUGCAGUGAGGAGCCUGGUUCACAUGGAGGAUAUUGAGGAGCCAGAUGACUGUGAGAACCGAAAUUCACACUGUAAAUUUCCGUUUAAAUUAGGAACCUAGGAAAACUCUAAUUUCCCAGAGGUCUCGGAUAUCUGCUAAUACUACACGCCAAGCAUUCAAAACACGAGAUAACAACGAUAAAGUAUAUGGAAUCAUAAAAAGAGAGCAAAGGGAAGUCUUACUCCGAAUUUGCAUAUGAGCGUUUACAACAAGGUAAUAAGCCUGGGCUCGAGAGCUGUCAGCGAGAUUCCUAUUUUAACAACCCUAAGACAGCUAAACCUAAUUGAGUCAUAGCUCGAAAUAACAAAAACGGAAAGUUGCCUAAUUGCUCUAAGUGCUAAGUUUUCUCUGCAAAAGCUCCUCCUCAUGCCUCUCGCCUAGGACUCUUUAUAUACUCGCUCCUAGGUCGGUUUACGCUUUUCCCCUUCUGCCCUUAAGCCGUCAUAGCCAAAAAAUGGAGAUAUUCCAUUUUCCCGAUCUUCGUAAUUAUCUUCCAAAACUUCGUAUUUAUCCGCGGAAACUUGACAUUAAUCUUUCCAAUCAAACCAAGCGUAAACCGUCCUACGGUUUACAGGCUUUUGGUUAAGAAAUCGUAAAUUGGGCUUCGAGUCAUUCUUAGGUCCCUUUGGGCCGUCUUUUGGCUCGAAGCGUUUAUUACGGCUUCUUUCGAUAAAAACAAAAUUUCUGGGGUUUUUAUCAUAAAGUUCGAUUGAUGACUUCAAAUGUCGAGAAACAUGAAAUGGGUUUGCUACGGUCUUCGGGAGAUAGCAUCAAAGAGUAGACGAGAAUGCAUGGACUCAUGUCGUAUUCGACGUUUCGGGAAAGCUCGGUCGCUAUGUAGUGACCGAGUGGGAUGUGCGCUUGGUCGCUACGUAGCGACCGAGCUUGGCUCGAGCCCGCUCCCUACGUAGCGACCGGGCAGUGCGCAUGUUCGGUCGUUGCGUAGUGACCGAGCUUGGCUUGUCCGUGUUCCGUUCGUCACACUCGAACUUAUCUGUGGCUGGUUUAGAUACGUUUCCAUUACCUUAGGACAACUUGUGUUUGAUCCAACCGAGACUCGAACAAGGUUUUAUCUCGAGAUCCUGUGUCGUGACAUUUUUUACCAAGCAUAAUUGUCGUAACCGUUUUCGACCCCACAGUUAGCCCCCAAGCCCGUUAGAAUCAUGGAUUCCCGAUGAGAUUCUAGCGUACGGUAUGGCGAGUUUGGACGAGAUUCGCGUAUUUGGGCCUAAUCAUAUCCAAAAGUCUGCAGGUAAAUAGUAAUUUCUCAUGCCUAUAAGAAGCAAGGUAACUUCUUCAUAAUUUUUCACUUGCUUGCUUUCAUAAGGAGCUUUCUUGAAAGAAUUUCUCCCUCCUCUCCAUCUUUUUCUUCUUAUUUUCACUUAAAAAUUACGAAAUGUCAAGUUGGAAAAAGACUUCGAAGAAAGGCACACCUUGUGCCGAAGAUCGAGUUUGUGCCUCAUUCGGUAGAUCCGGCUGAGAACGAGGCAUGGUGGGUUGCGAGGUAUGGUUCGAUCACACCUCCCAACGAGAAGUCGUUCCUAGUCAUGAACCAUCGUUUGGUCGAAGAAGGUGCACCGAGUAGGAACACUAGCGACUUUCUUCGGACCGUGUGGUCGUUCUACCGAAUUCCGGAUACGGUAGAAUUCCAGGUUCCUCGUCAAGGAGAGCGUGCUAGUAGUCCCCCAGAGGGUUACUUUACUUGUUACGAAGCAUUCAUAGUGCGCUGCCGCUUGUGGUUUUCGAUUCCCGAAAUCAUCGUCCGCGUGUUGGAUCGUUUUUGAGGUGUCGAUAAGUAUCCAGCACCUUGUUGGAGUUUUGAUCUUGAGCUACGAGCACGGUCUCUCCUAUACCGUCGACCACUUCGAAGCGCUUUUCAAGUUGCAGAUCGUUAGGAAUACGGACAAGUACCGACUGGUCCCUCGGAACUUCAUGUCGGUGGUCAAGGGUUUCUUUCCAACUUCAACUCGUGGAAGAAAUUUUUCUUCUUUGUUCGUAUAAACGCCGCGUCUGUCGAAGAGAGUUGCAUCCCAUUGUUCCGGAGUCUGCCGAACGAUCGUCCCUUCAUCAAUCUGAUUGCUCUGUUUCCUGAAGAUACGAUCGCAGUGAGGGAUCUUCUCAGGAACAGUCCGUUUUUCUGGACCUCCUUCACGCCGAAGAGAGUUCGAAAGGCGUUGAGGCUCGCGCAUCCCGGUCCUGCUUCGGGCGCGGAAACAGACAGCGACUCCGAGCCUGAUGCUCCGCGUUUUGAUGUUGCUCCCACUGGCACAAUGGGGUUGAGCUCCUCGAAGGGGAAAUAUAUCACCCUUGGCGACAUAGAGUGUUCAGUGGAUGAUUCUAUGCUCCCAGGAUGGGACCCGGACCUUGCUUACGGCGAUGGAAGUGGUACGAGCGAGAUCCCUAUCCAGAAUUUUGAUGAUUUCUUCGCCGGUCUACCCUCGAGUUUUGAUCCUCCCCCGCCUGUGGAUGAAUCGGGAAGGUCGAGAGUCGUUGCAGAGGAAUCUCGUAUCAUCAAUGGGGUUAGUUUUCAAGAAUUUUGCCGAUAGUUCUAUAUAUUCCUUUUCCCGCCUAAAACAUGUUAAUUGGUUUUGCAGGGUCUGAACUUGCUUGGCUCGGCCCUUGAGGCGAGCCAUAGAGAUGCCAUGGUCUAUCGCUUCAAAGCGGAGAAGGCAGAGAGGGAUCUUGCUCGUAUGCAAGGCGAGAUGUUGGAGCGAGACUCGAAACGUGCUCGUGAUCACGCGAGGGCCGUUCGAAAGGCGGAACGGAAGGGUAAGAGGGAGAUCAUCGAGGUGAUGAAGAGUCUUGUUUUUUAGUUCCAGAUUGAGUACGGGAACCUCAAGGAUGCUUACACUUUGGAGGGUGAUUACCGUGAGUGCCACGGUUCAGUCUUUGGAGGACGCAGGCGGAAGACUAUGUUUUAGAGAAGGAGAUGAGGUUCAUGAAAGAUGGCAUGAAAAACCAUGCCCAUUCUGAGACGCUCAUUCCCCCGAUCGACGGGAGGAUCCAGGGAUUCUGGGAUCCCGUCCCGGUUUCUCCUGAUACUGUAGAGGCCACGACCGAGUUCGCUGGUGACGACGAGGAAGUGAACUAUCCCGCGGAUGCAUUCGGAGCUUCCUUGUCCGGGAACUUUGAUAUGUGAGAGGUGAGGGUUUGACGGUGAAGGACCCUAAGAUCGGCUCACUCGAAUGGAUCAGAUCUGGAUAUGAACUCCGAAUGGAGAACUAGAUGGAUUGAAGGGUCGCACGAAGGUUGCGGAAUGGCCAUCGAUAUUCCCGGCUUCAGUUGGUGCUUGAUAUGACUCACAAGACCACCAAAAGAAGAAUCUCGAACCGUUGCUUGAUAUGACUCACAAGACCAACGAGUUUGAGGGGUGUUUACUUGGAUAUAACUCACCAAGAAACUAAAAACAAGUUCUAAACGAAGAACAAAGAGUUUAACUCAAACUUUAGACAAAAUCGAUUUUCUCUAUUCUAAAUGAAGAGUUUACAUACUUAUAGAGUUUUGUAGAUCUAGGAAUUAAAUAUAAAAGUAGAUCUAGAUCUAGAUCUAGAUCUUGAUCUAGUCAUUAAACAAAAAUAAAGACAAGAAUAAUUAAUGUGACAGAUCGGCUUCCAUCAAGAUGCAUCUGGACCGGCUAAGUCCAAGGCGGUAAGGACAGUCACAUAAGCGGGACGAUCAGCAUGGGUCGCGGGACGUUCUGCUAAGACCGCAGGCGUUCUGAUCAGACAAGUUGCGUUCCAACAAAACCCAACUCUUCUGAUAGCUUAAGGACUUUUUCCUUAGAGAAAUGUCCAAAGGAAAAGUCCAUGAUUGGAUCGAACAAGGAAGAGAGAUCAUCAGCACGGUCGUCGGUACAUGCGGUACGAGCCAAUCGAGCCAAAAGAGAGAAGUCUCGAUCAUUUUGUGAAACCUCAUGAUCCAAGUCAAGUCUGGCAUGAUCUUUCUCAAGUCUGGGAUGAUCUUUCUCAAGUCUGGCAUGAUCUUUCUCAAGUCUGGCAUGAUCUUUCUCAAGUCUGGCAUGAUCCAAGUCAAGUCUGGCACGGUGAAAAACAUGAACCUCGGUUGAAAUGUUCAGAACGUCCUGAACUCCAUGCUGAGCUGGCUCCAUGUAAUGAUCCGUGGACUGCGGCACAUCAGACGGGAAUAAGUUUUUUCCCUUAUCUAGUAUUUUGCGGCCGAGUGUGGCUUUCGUUCGUCUAAGUCCGGCCGAAUGUGGCCUUUGAACUUUGUAUUGGCCUGUUUUGGCCGUUUUUAUCUUUAUCGGGACUGGCCGUUGGUGGCUUCGAAUCCCUACCGCUAUGCGGUUUAUAUAUAUAACGGAGGUUUGUUUGAGUUACUUUGUUUCAAAUGGGUUUGAAGUAAACAUAAGUUGUCGUCUCAUAUUUAAUUCCGUUGAGACGUUCCAUCUGUUGGUUUGUUCGAGACGUGAGUUUUCGUAAAAAAUAUUUAUUCUUACGAACUUUCGGGAACGUUGAGACAUGAACGGGGAAACAUGGUUUAGGAUCUCGUAUCAUUUUUAGAUAUCAUGUCUUGAGAUGUCUCGGGGAAACUGGAAGUGCUAGACCCAAAUUUUGGAUUUUUUUUGUAGCGCGCUUUCGUCCUUGUGUUGGAUGUUCGAGGAUCAAAAGAGUGAUCGAGUUGCAUUUGUUUAACACGGCUGGCGUGUUCGUCGGGGCCAAUCGACGAACGGGGUGUAAAUAUUUGUUGGGUUUUUAUGAUCGCGUUCGAACAAUUGUUUGCAGAGUUUUCGAUUUUUAACUUGGCGACGUCUCGCAGUUGUUUCGAAGACUGUACGUAUAUUUUAGGUGCUGAAGAAUGACUGCUUUGUGAUUUGGACAGGAUAAGGCCGUUGAUAAGAGUCUAAUGUUUGUAGAUUUUCUAAGUGUGUCAUGAGACUUUUUGCGUUAAAUGGAGCGUAAAUGUUUAAUAAAAGAAAAUAUGUGUAUUGUAGUAAUGUUUUAAGAAACUCGAUUACAAUGACGCAUCUUUUAAAACUCGGUGGUUGUCGCCAUGCUGACCGCCUUGAUCGUGGUGACUGUGGCAGGGUCAAUGUUUUUAUCCGGGUUUUCCGGUUGAGUCGUAGUGUCGGCUUUGGAAUCGUGCUGAGUUUCAGUGUCUGAAGCAUUCGCGUCAGCAGACGAUAUCAAAUCGUCUUUCUUUGAAGUGUUUUCGGCCGAAGGUUGAGCUAACUUCGUGUGCUUGCGAGUUGUCCUUGCGGAAGUCGCGAUUUACCUUAACUUAUGCUCCGCGAGGAAGCAUAGCCGCGACUGUUUCUGACAACCCCAGAUGGCUGCGACUCCGUUCUGAGUUGGGAAUUUGACGCCGAGGUGGUAUGUAGAUGGAACGACUUUCAUGGCGUUGAGCCAUGGGGUUCCCCUGAUCACAUUGUAGAUGGCAGGAUGAUCGACCACCGCGAAAUCGACAAUUUUUGUGAUUUCCUUGGCCAUCAGCUGGAUCGAUCCGAGAGUCAUUGACACUUUGCCCGAAAAACCCGUAAGUGGUUUUGGCGUUGGAGGUACUUCUCCGAGUUUGAUGUUCAUCCGAUUGAGAGUGUCGCAGAAGAUAACAUUGACCGUGAUUCCCGUGUCAAUGAGGACUCUCCCGACUUCCAGAUCUCGUAUGACAAGAUCUAUGAAGAGUGGAUCGCAGUGAGGUUGAUCGAUCCCUCCGGCUGCAUCCAUCGUAAAAGUUAUCGAGUUUCUUUGACCAUCUCGGGGAGGGGACCAUGUAGGCCAGUUUUCACUUGAUUGGGCCUUCUGUUGGUAAGCCUUGAUGGCCAAAACCGUAUCGUUGCAGUAUUGCGAUCCUCCGAAGAUCAUGUUGACUCUGCGACGAUUGUUGUCAUUUCCUUUGUCGUCCGGCCUUCUUCCGUGUUUAUCCCCGGAUUGGUUUCUUUGAGAGGACUUAUCCGCGGGCGGAUUUCUGUCCAUCUUUGGGGGGGGGCGAUCAGUCUCGAGGAUGAGAUCUUUUACGCUGGUUACUUCCGAGAGCUCAUUGCGGCCAAUCUCGCUCCUAAGACUUUGCAGUUGGUCGUGGAGUCUCCUCGGGACUGGUGGAACUCGCAGAAGGUGUUUUCGUCGUAUUCUUGAUUGCGAAUCCAUGUAUUCCCCGUGGUUUGACCUUGAUCUGAACUGAUCGCAUAGUUGUGCGCCCCUUGGAGUUCUUCCCCCUCGUGAUGGACGUACUUGUCGUUACGAGAGUUGUUCUUCUCGUUUUUGGGUCUACAUCUUUCGAGGAUGGCCUUGUCGGCUUAUGCUUUUGCGACAAAAAUUUUGUUUGCUCUUCGAUUAUGAUGUAGUCCGUCGCAUUGUGGAGGGCGUCCUGGAUCGUCUGCGGUUUGUCGAGGGUUAUCCACUUUCUGAAUUUCGACUUGUACCAUAGUGUCUUUCUGAGCGCGUCAAUAGCCACUUUGUCGUUUAUCCCGCUGACCCUGGACAUCAUCAGCUUAAACCGGCUGAUGAACUCGCAGAGGGGUUCGUCUUCCCUCUGGGACAGACUCCAGAGAUCAACAUCGGAAGUUUCUCUAUCUAUAAACAUAGAGUAUUGCUUGAGAAAUUCUGAUGCGAGCUGUCAGUAACUUCCGAUAGAGUUUCGCUCAAGGCGUACGAACCACUUGAGCGCCGCUCCUUCCAGAUUCUUGAAGAAUAGACGGCAGUAGCGGGCGUCUUUUUCGCCGUCCUUCAGUCUGGCCCUUCCCAUCGUGAUGUGUGUUAGGGGAUUUUUGUGUGGGCUCUUUUAGAGUACCACGGAACGAUGGAUAAGCUGGUAAACCUCGAGUGUUUGUGGUUAUUUAGUAAGGGUUUUAGGAUGUUUAAAGAGAAUAAUAAUAAAAUAAGCUUGAAGAAACUUAUUAUUAGAUGAAUAGGCAAGAACAAGGUAUCGUUACAAGAUGUUUUAUAAGAACCCUAAUUCUAGCCGUCUAACCCUAGUCUCUAAGCCUUGGAGAAGUCGAUCCCUUGCUUGAGGGCUGUUGUCGCUCUUAUAUAAUCGUCUAGAAGUCGGUUUCAUUAGGUUAAACACUUCCAUAUUCGGAAAUAUGGAAGGCUUUCCUUGUCGGAAGUUUUCCAUUUCUAGGAAGGGAGUAGGGUCCAGGGAUCGAGCCCAGGGUUCCCUCUGGUGGGGACCCGGGGAACCCAUUUACCAGGGAUCCGGGGAUCCGAGUCCUGCCUGGAGGCUGGGGGAAAUAAUACUGGGAUAUUUUUCCCCAACAGUUUGCCCCUUAUUUCUCGACUUUUUCAUUGAAGUCGGGGAAUAACCUGUGCACUCAAGUCAACCGGGGUUACUCAUUGUUAGCCUAGGUUCCACUCAAGUCGGAACUCAUUCUGAACCUAGGUAAGGACCGGUCCCUUCGUGUUCAGUCGAUAUCUGAUAGUAAUUUCUUCUAUCUUCUUGGAGAUGACAAGGCUGGAGCUUUGUCAUGCAGUUCACGCACGGGUCCAAAAAGAUAGGAGUCUUUUCCGUUCCCGGAUGAUUUCUUCUUUUAAUAUCAGAGAUUCGGCUGAUAUUUUUCUUCCUUUCUUUUGCGAAGGAAUCUUUUUGAAUUUUGAAUCCCGCGGCCCGAUAUCUGGUGAGAUGCGCGUCUUUCCAGGGAAGAAUUUCAACGGCUUCUUCUUUUUUGUAUAUAUUUCUGCACGCUCUUCUUUUGUUCCUCGCCUUUCUUCGUCUUCGGCUCAGGUACUUCUCUCAUCCUUCUUUCUUUAGCUUGUCUGGUGUGAUUAGUUUGCUUAUUCUGCUGUGGUCGCCAUCUAUCGAUUAGGAACCGAUCAAUCAUGUCCAAACGAUCCGCUUCUCUGACGUCCCCGAUGACCGAUUGAGCUGGCUCGAGGAGAAGAAUGGAUUCUCCGGCUUCACGAUCCGACAGCUCUCCUAACCCAGGCGCGGGGUCAGAACAAGACGUAGCAGCUCCUUCCCCGAUAGGUCCUCCAUCUUGGAGAUUACUCCUAGCCAUUCAGAACCUAGGCGAUCUAGAAAACCUAUCCUUCAGAGUUAACGAGGUUUUGUACUCCUACCAUCUGGCCCCUCUUAAUGGGAAUGAAGGCCAGCUCCAUCUUCGUCCUCAUAGUGGAUUGUCUAUCGUGGAGGAGCUGUCGAGAAGUGAUCGUAAGGGGUCUGCUUUUAUUUAAAAGUGGCAGGAACGAUACGUUUUUAUGGCGCUCCCUGGGCACUCCUAUCAUUGGAACUUUAUAGGUGGGUCUAGGGGAUACGCAUGAUUCUGCUCUGUCUGAUCUCUGACCCUCUUUGUUGUGUUUGCAGCUGGAAUGCAUCCUGACAUUCCGGAGGGAGAGGAUAUUGUGGUUCGAGCACGCCAACUUCCUCUUGAUCGUCGCCAAAUAUCUUUCUUGCUUAGUGAUAGCACCUUGCGACGUAGCAGCCUCUGGGUAAGCGUUUUCACAUUUGAUUGCUUUGCUCUACAUACUCGUGAGGAUUGACAUUCUUUGGCUCAAGAAGCAUGUCUGGAGAUACUAGCAAUGAUCCUUUCGUAGCUUAUCAAAAGGCAGCAAAGAGUAUGUCCGCAAAAAAGGGGUCUGCGAGCAGAACCGUAUCCGGCGAUGAUUUGAUGAUUACUGGAAGUCGUCAGGCGACGAUGGUGAAAAUCGAACCCUCUGUUUUGACUCGUGCUAAGAAGGCCAGGGCUGGAGGUGUGGCGACACGGGCAUCAUACCAGUCGGCUGAAGUUGUGUGUUCUGUGGGGAAUCUUGCCGCGGCUUUAUCUAACUUAAAUCUUCAAGUGUUUCCUCAUGAUGGUACCACUCUCCCUUUGGGAAAGCCCCUGGAAGUUAUCCAGGUUUUUCAAGGAGGACUUCUUCGGGUAUGUUGUUAUGAUUUUGAUUUCUUUCCGUUCCGGAUCUUUGAUAGGUUGAUGUGGUUUUGUGUAGAACAUCUCCCAGGUAUAUCACCUUGGGGAGCAGCUGUCUCUUGAGAGCUCGUCGAUCAGCUGAGAGGAGCUGGAAAAACUGAAGAAUCAACUUUCGGAGGAGAAGACCCAGCGCCUAGCCCGUGAAUUAGAGAUUCGUGAUCUUAAGGAUAAGAUCAAUUAUGUGGAGAGGUCGGCCGAGAUAUCCUCAGCGGAUACAUUGAGCAUUGGCAAGAAGAACCAGGAGCUAGAAGAGGCCAUGGAAAAUCUGAGGCUUGAGACGGUGAUGGCUGUAAGCGGGGCAAUAAUUACCGCUCGGUGGGAGUUGAUGAGAGAAUGGUUGCAGAGAAAGAACGACCAAUAGGAUCUGGCCAAAGCUUUGGUGCAAUACAAGAUAGUGGUCUUGGAGGAGGCCAAGAAUAAAGUUUCCCGGUUCCUACAUUUGAGAACAAGCCCACCAUUCCUCCGGAUUCUGGGAUGGAUAUCGAUUCAAGGCCUGGGGGAUCUUCCUUCUAAAUUUAUGUUCUUUCCAUUGUUGUAGUAGCGGCCUUUCUUGGCUUGCUCUGAAUUUGUUUGAAUGAUGGCACUGUUGGGGCUUUAAAUAAGAUUUUCUGGAUUUUCUUUUUCCUUCUUUUGAGAUCUUUAUAUGAUGCUUGCUUCUGCGAUUGUCUCUCUUUUGGAAAAAAUGCAGGUCGUCUAAAGAUCUUAGGAUCUUGGAUCGUCUUCGAAGAACUGGAGGGUCAAGCGUUGAUCCAAUCGUUUGGUAACCUUGAGCCUUUCUGGGCUUUUUAGAUUUGGAUUCAGGGAUCUUGAAAGUCUAGAUUCCUUAGAACCUCUGGAUUUUACGACGAUCGGACCUCAUAGGUCUCAUAGGGUUGAAUCUCUUUCGAGGCCCCUGGGACCGCUUAGAGAUUUUAAAUGACGUUGGGACCCGGAGGUCCCUUUUUAAGAACCCGUAGAUUCUGGACCCUGAGGUCUUGAAUUGGACUCAUAGUCCUUGGACCCUGAGGUUCUUUUUAGGGAACCCGUAGGUUCCUGACCUUUAAAGCCUAUAUGAGCCCGGAAUUCUCAGAAUCCGAAAUUAAGUUAUAAAGAGAACCGAUAGGUUCCUGACCCUGAGGUCUUGUUUUAGCCUCAUGGUCUUUGGACCCUGAGGUCCUUUUAAGGAACCCGUAGGUUCUUGGCCCUAAGGCCUAUCUGAGCCCGGAGUUCUCUCUCAGAACCCGAAAUUAAAUUAUAAAGAGAACCGAUAGGUUCCUGACCCUGAGGUUUUGUUUUAGACUCAUGGUCUUUGGACCCUGAGGUCCUUUUAAGGAACCCAUAGGUUCUUGGCCCUAAGGCCUAUCUGAGCCCGGAGUUCUCUCAUAACCCGAAAUUAAAUUAUAAAGAGAACCGAUAGGUUCCUGACCCUGAGGUAUUUUUUUAGACUCAUGGUCUUUGGACCCUGAGGUCAUUUUAAGGAACCCGUAGAUUCUUGGCCCUAAGCAUCUGAGCCCAGAGUUCUUUCUCAGAACCCAGAAUUAAGUUAUAAAGAGAACCAAUAGGUUCCUGACCCUGAGGUCUUGUUUUAGACUCAUGGUCUUUGGACCAUGAGGUCCUUCUAAGGAACCCGUAGGUUCUUGGCCCUAAGGCCUAUCUGAGCCCGGAGUUCUUUCUCAGAACCUGGAAUUAAAUUUUGAAGGGACCGCAUUCUGCCACCCUAGGUGUGGCCACUCUCAGAUCCUGUUGGGUAUCGCUUUCUACCGCUCGUGGCUGGUCACUAUCGAGUUCCCGUGCUGCACUCUGCUUUCUGCAGAAAGCCACUAUCAGUCUUAGAGGGUGCUGGUUUGGGUGAAAACCCAAGUGCCAGACUUACGCUGUUUUUCAUGGCUGGAGAAACAUGAUAUUAUUAAGGUGCUCCCUAACUUUUGCACUUUCUCAGUUAGCACGUAGCGUUUUAAUAUAUGUACCUUUCUCUUUUUUGGUAUUUUAGUUUGGGACCCCGAUAUGCCUGAGGCUAUACAGGGGUUUUAGGUAGUAGUGACGGCAUACGCAGGCUUGCGCAGACCCAUUCCUACCUUAUGUCUCAUACCCAUUUUGUUUUUGUGUGGUCGUGCCACUUCUAACUGACGGUUGGCCAGGAUCGGAAGUCUCUUUGACCUGAUCCAGCUUGUUUGCCCCUUUAAGUAUUAUGGUAUUCGUACUCUCUCUUAUAAUCGGAACUAUUUUAUUAUAUAGGCUAUGUCCGUAGACUUUCAGCGUACAUAUGAGUAGAAAAACAUAAUGCUUAAAUAAAAGAUUAAAUAAUUAUAAAAAUCAUGGUCCGGAGACCGUACAAGAUAUCAGCUUGCGAGAUACCCUAGUGGUUAUACCAUGUUUUACGUCUUAUUGCUGCGUGACCCGUGGGAUUCAACUUGCUUUUGAGACGAAUGUCUUCGCUGGAGGGUUCCGUCAUCCUCUGUAGGGUUCUGCAUCUUUUUUAAUCUAGGGACAUCAUUUGGGAGUUGUUUCAUGCCCCAGCCCUUGCGGAUCUCUGUGUUGUUGACGUUCGGGGGCCACUGUCUUCUAUCGAUGCAGGUUUUCAGCGCUUCCAUGAAGCAUGUAGUUGCAUUCAUCCACUGGAGCAAAUGUGUUCGGAGGUCUCCUAUCUCUCUCUGGUGCCAGCUGGGAGCUCUCUUCCGAGGGGGUUUUUUCGAGGUGUUUGUGCCCCACUCGUUUAUCUGUGAGAUUGCCGGUUGAUAACUGUUGAAGCUUCUGGCUAUCUUAUCUAUGUGAGGCGGAGGACGAGGGUCCUGUGGGGACCAGAUUUUGCGAGCAGGUGCAGCCUUGCAGGUUCUUAGGGGAGACCAUGGGAAGCGGUUGACGUAAGCUGUCUGGAAACUUUUUGGAUGUAGGGUCCGGACUAUGCAGAGGGUUCCUGAAUUACCCCUAUUGUUGACCCCUGAUUACCGAUUCUGCGGGAUCUGAGGUCUCCUCUGUAAUUGCUAUAAGACCUUGGUCUUCCCUUUUAAGGUUGUCUGGUAGCAGGACCUAGAAUUCUCCUGAUCUCCUCGGAUUGCUUUUAUGCCCAGGGUGUAGGGAACUUCACUAUUUGAUGGAGGGCUGAGGGGACUGCUCCCAUGUCGUGAAUCCAUGGUCAUCCUAAGAUCAUGUUGUAUCCCUUCAGCAUAUACUGGCAGAACAACCUCCCCAGCGGUUUGCUUGAGCUCGCCGCUGAACCCGAUGAGUGGAGUUACUUUGCCCGUCAGGGUAUUCUCCUCUAACCCUAGGUCCUGGUACGCCAUCAGGAAGAUGAUAUUGCUGGAGGACCCGUUGUCUACUAGUAUUCUUUUCACCAAAGAGUUCACUAUGGUGAGGGAGACAACUAGAGCGUCAUGGUGGGGAGCUAAUAUCUUCUCUUGCUCCUUGGCUGUGAAGCUUAUCUCGUCAGUACCUAGAAGUAGGCGUUUAGGUUGAGCAGUCUCCAGGCCGUGUUUAGCAUUACGGGUGCUCUUCUUCGCAGCUGCAUGACUCACGCCACUUACUUCCGAGCCUCCUGAGAUGACAUGAAUCACCCGGUCCUGGCGAGGUGGUGAGCUUGGUGCGUCUCCUUUGGAUUUCCCUGAUGCUUCUUUGCUAAGAUGAGCCUUGGCUUUCUCUGAAAGGAAUUCUCGGAGAUGCCCCUUUUGGAGCAGUUCGUUGACCUCGAUCUUCAGGGCGACACAGUCUUCAGUUUUGUGGCCGUGAUCGCGAUGGAAGUCGCACCAGAGUCUCGGGUUCUGGAAUGAGUCAGGUGCUUUCAUCUUUGGGGGCCACUUGACCUGUUGGCCUAUCUGCCUCAGCGUGUUGACCAGCUCUGGUGUGGAUGUUGAGAGAUGGGUGAUAUCUGGCCAGGUAGACACAAACAUCCCCGCUUCUUUUUCUAAUGGUCGAUAUUGGAACCUGUCCCGGUUCCUGCUUUCGGAGUCCUUGGAUCCCUUUUGGGAGGAUCUUUCUUCUCGGUCUCCCCGGUCUGAUCAGGUGGACCUCUGAUCCUGUUUGGGUUGAGUCUUGGCACGGCUAGCGACGUCCUCUUCCCACUUCACAUGUGCCCACGUUCGGGAUAGCACAUCCUCCAUGGUUUUGCAAGGGUACAUGGUUAGCUCUUUGUAGAUCCCUCCGUAUGGAAGUAAGCCUCUCUUGAAGGCAGAGAUUACGGUAGGGAUGCUGCAUUCAGGGACAGCUACCUUCUCUUGAUUGAAACGGGCUAUGUAGUCCCGCAGGGGUUCUACUCGAUGCUAGAGGAUCUCGUAGAGACUGUCUGAAGUCUUCUCCAGGCUCCUGCUACUCGCGAAUUGUUCUACGAACUUGUCGCUCAGGCCGACAAAGGAAGAUAUGGACCUGGUAGGGAGAUUGAUAUACCAUUGCAAGGCGGGUGUAAUUAGAGUGGAGCCGAACCCUUUACACAUGGUAGCUUCACGGGACUCCUUGGGGAGCACAACCGCUAGCAUCCUCUAAUUAUAUUGUGCGAUAUGAUUGUCGGGGUCUCUGGUGCCAUCGCACAUCUUGAUGCUGGCGAAGGAGAAUUUCCGAGGAUCUCGACUGAGGUGAUCUCCUCUGCGAAGUGAGUAUCUGUGUACGAGUCGGGGUUGCUCCUCCGGAUUGAGGGAGCUACUCCUGGUAGACGUUCCACUAUGGAUUGCAUGGCGUCGAACCUCUUAGAAAACAUCUGCUCCAGAUAGUCGGUUAUGGAAGACUCGGCUGCCGUCUUCUCGGGUUCUUUUUUCUCGGGUUCAGGUUUGGAAUAACUUUCCUCUAGGUCAUGGAUCUGGUGAUCCUCGAUCCCUCUCGUGUUGCCCCGGCCGCUCCGGAUGCAGGAGUCGCGUUAGUUGUGCCUUCUCCGGUGUUGGGAGUGCUCAGGCUUCCCAUAGGUCAAACUCGAGUGUUGAAGCGACGCUUCUUGUUGCUCGCCGUGUUGGGAGCUUUGUUUUUGUCUCGGAGUGCAGCGUUCUCCGUCUGUGGUUGGUUGAGUUUCUCGGUGCUUAACUCCAGCUGUUUGGAGUGUUCACCAAGUUUUUCCUUCAGGCUCUGAACCUUGGAGGAAAGCUCUGGAUUUUCGGUUGUUUCCCGAGCCUUGUGCAUGUCGGUCACUUGGCUCCGCAGUCCGUCGAACUGUCGUUGAAGCUUGGCUUCUCUUGGGGUAAAUUCUGAUGUAUUGUCUUGCUCAUCCACCGCCAUCGUCACGUAGCUUAGAUUACUCCCCUCCUUCUUGUGCCAAACUGUUAGGGGAUUUUUGUGUAGGCUAUUUUAGAGUACCACAGAACGAUGGAUAAGCUGGUAAACCUCGAGUGUUUGUGGUUAUUUAGUAAGGGUUUUAGGAUGUUUAAAGAGAAUAAUAAUAGAAUAGGCUUGAGAGACGUAUUAUUAGAUGAAUAGGCAAGAACAAGGUAUCGUUACAAGAUGUUUUAUAAGAACCCUAAUUCUAGCCGUCUAACCCUAGUCUCUAAGCCUUAGAGAACUCGAUCCCUUGCUUGAGGGCUGUUGUCGCUCUUAUAUAGUCGUCUAGAAGUCGGUUUCAUUAGGUUAAACUCUUCCAUAUUCGGAAAUAUGGAAGGUUCUCCUUGUCGGAAGUUUUCCAUUUCUUGGAAGGGAGUACGGUCCAGGGAUCGAGCCCAGGGUUCCCCCUGGUGGGGACCCGGGGAACCCAUUUACCAGGGAUCCGAGGAUCCGAGUCCUGCCUGGAGGCUGGGGGAAAUAAUACAGGGAUAUUUUUCCCCAACAAUGUGGAAAGCCUGAAGGUGCGCUUUAGGAUCCGUCGUACCAUCAAACUUUGGUGAUGCGAGCGGUGAAGGGCGUCUUCCAAGCCCCUUCUGGCAGUCUGUUCAUCUUGGGGGCAGCACUGGUAGCGUGAUAGAUCUGGGAUUUCACGGCCCUUACUUCCGCCGCAGUUUUGGUGAUGUAAUCGCGAAGAUCGCGGAUGUCCAACGUCUCGUCAGCAGAUUUCCAAGCUUGUCGGCGUUUACUGCGAGUGAUCUCGGUUUGCUUUUCAGCCAGCUCUUCUUGUUCGUUCCAAUAGAGGAUUUUCUCCUCUUCCGUCAUUGGCUUAUCGAACGGAGAGCUUUCCCGAGCAAAUCAGCUUCUGGUCCUUCUUGGAUGUUUGUCGGCGUCCUCCUCAGUAUCGUUGGAGACGUCGAUGGGAUCCAAGUCGACGUGCUCAACUUCAUUAACCUUCGAGUCCUUCACGGUAGGUGGAUGACUCUCAGAGUUUCUUUUCUCGGAUGGGGAUUUUUCGCUAGGGUUUUGGCCCGAGGGUCGUUCCCACGUCGUUCCAGGCCUGUCGAGUGGGGUUGCAAAGUCGAGUCUUUUCCCGCAAACAUUCGUGGUUCCAUGGGGAUGGAUUGCUCGAGUCCUUGCCGUUAAGGUUUCGACCUGUUUGGUCAAGGUGUUUACGAGCUUAUCCUGUUCUUCCAACCUUUUUUCAUAGGUGGUGAACAUCUUUUUAAACUCCUCGAGCGUUGCGGCGUUGGCUGGUGCGUUGGCCGCGGAUAUGUCCGCUGCUGGAGUGUGGAGUCAGUGCCGCUUCCUCUGUUGAGAGGAGUUUCCAUGUUGUCCGCGUCGUCAGUUGACAUGUCUGGUUGAGUGUGAUGUGGUUGAGGGUUAGAUUGAUCCGUACCCCCCCCCCCUCCUUCUAGUGCCAAAUUGUGAGAACCGACAUUCACACUGUCGAUUUCCGUUUAAAUUAGGAAACUAGGAAAAUCCUAAUUUCCUAGAGGUCCCGGAUAUCUGCUAAUACCAAACGCCAAGCAAUCAGAACACGAGAUAACAACGAUAAAGUAUAUGGAAUCGUAAAAAGAGAGCAAAGAGAAGUCUUAUUCCGAAUUUGCGUAUGUGCGUUUACAACAAGGUAAUAAGCCUGGGCUCGAGAGCUGUCGGCGAGAUUCCUAGUUCUAACAACCCUAAGACGGCUAAACCUAAUUAAGUCGCAGCUCGAAAUAACAAAAACGGAAAGUUGUCUCAUUGCUCUAAGUGCAAAGUUUUCUCUGAAAAAGGUCCUCCUCAUGCCUUUCGCCGAGGACUCUGUAUAUACUUGCUCCUAGGUUGGUUUACGUUUUUCCCCUUCUGCCCUUAAGCCGUCAUAGCCACAAAAUGGAGAUAUUCCAUUUUGUAAUUAUCUUCCAAAACUUCGUAUUUAUCCGGGAAAACUUGACAUUUAUCUUUCCUUGCGAAACAAGCGUAAACCGUCCUACGGUUUACGGGUUUUUGGUUAAGAAAUCGUAAAGUGGGCUUCGAGUCAUGUCUUAGGUCCCAUUGGCCCGUCUUUUGGCUCGAAGCGUUUAUUACGGCUUCUUUCGAUAAAAACAAAAUUUUUGCGGUUUUUAUCGUAAAGUUAGAUUGAUGACUUCAAAUGUCGAGAAACAUGAAAUGGGUUUGCUACGGUCUUCGGGAGAUAGCAUCAAAGAGUAGACGAGAAUGCAUGGAUUCGUGUCGUAUUCGACAUUUCGGGAAAGCUCGGUCGCUACGUAGCGACCGAGCGGGACGUGCGAUCGGUUGCUACGUAGCGACAGAGCGGGGCGUGCGCUCGGUCGCUAUGUAACGACCGAGCGGGAUGUGCGCACGGUUGAUACAUAGCGACCAAGCGGGACGUGCGCUCGUUCGCUACAUAGUGACCGAGCUUGGCUCGAGCUGGGUGGCUACGUAGCGGCCCAGCAGUGCGCAUGUUCGGUCGUUCCGUGGUGACAGGGCUUGGCUUCCAUGUUCCGUUCGUCACACUCGAACCUAUCUGUGGCUGGUUUAAAUACGUUUAUGUUACCUUGGAACAGUUUGUGUUUGAUCCAACCGAGACUCGAACAAGGUUUUAUCUCGAGAUCCUGUGUCAUGACAUUUUUUACCAAGCAUAAUUGUCGCCGAAAGAAACUCACACUUGUUUUUGCGGAGGUUUGAACAUUAACUUCGUUGUAACCGUUUUCGACCCCAACAAUGACGACACGUUGCUUAACCUGGGAGCCCUCUUUGCCGAGCACUUCAUCAAUCUCAAGAUGAAGCCGUUCCAGACAUCGGGAAUGAAGAAGGAGACGGUUGAGAGUCUGCUUACACUGAUCGUCAUGCACUGUAGGAUACCAUUAGACGGGGCUGCAAUGGAUGAUCAGCUCGUCUAAAUGGACGCAGCACACCUCACGAGCGCACACUGGCUCAAGGACGACCACUUCUGGACUUUCAAAGACGCGGAUGGCACACACUUGAUAGAUCUACCCAGCCGUUCGGUCAAGGAAUUCUCAGGGGGCCUCGCUAGCAUCCAGUUUCACCCCGAUUAACGCCUCCUCCAUGGCCCAUCAACCAUGCCGUGCCACUACACCGUACAGCGAGCUAGAGGACAUCAGCAGGAGCAGACAGGGCCAGCACUUCCACCAUUCUCGCCUAUGCCAGACAUGUCUACACGUCCUGAAGGAGAUUUCCAGUGCGUCGUCGUUGAUGCUCUCACCGCCAUCUCGGCUAGAGUAUCGAGAUGCUGCUGUUUGAGCAGGAGGAAUCUGCUAGUGAAACAAUACCAAGUUUGCUGCUAGUGAAACUGUUUGGAAACAUAUAGUAAAUAGAGGAUUUACUCUAUAUUACUAUAUCUAGUUUAACCACGGAGAAGGUGAUAAUAGGAAUGAAGCUAGUAGUAGUAAUCAGGUUGAAAAUGUUCGUAACAGAUCAGAUGAACUACAUUUUCCUUUUGAAAGUUAUAACCUUCAAGAGGAUCAUAUGGUAGAUCAUGAUAGGAUGCAUGAUAUGGUUACAGAUGCAUUUCGUGAAACAAGAUCAGUAAUAGAGGAGGUAGAAAAUGUAGAGGGGCCUAACUUGGAUGCAAAAAGAUUUUAUGAAAUGCUAGCAGCAACUAAUUAGCCAAUUUAGGAAGGUUAUAGAGAAGGUCUUUCUAAAUUAUCAUUGGCAGCUAGGAUGAUGAAUAUCAAAACUGAUCAUAGUUUUCCUGAAGUUUGUACGGAUGCAUGGGUUCAGUUGUUUAAAGAAUAUUUGCAUGAAGAUAAUCUGUGUGCUGAAUCUUAUUAUGAGAUUCUGAAAUUGGUUAAUAGCCUUGGCUUACCAUCGGAGAUGAUUGUUGUGUGUAUAGACAACUGUAUGAUAUACUGGGGAGAAAAUGCAGAAUUGUUAGAGUGUAAAUUUUGCAAGAAGCCACGAUAUAAACCGCAAGGACGUGGGUGGAAUAGGGUGACGUACCAGCGGAUGUGGUACUUACCUAUUAAGGAUAGUCUGAAGAAAAUAUAUCAAUCUGAAAAGACGGGAGCAGACAAUACUCGCUUUCGCCAGUCUUCUUGACGCCACAUAACCUUCCACCAGAGAUGUGUAUGGAAAAGGAAUUGCUUUUCAUGAGUAUAUUGAUACAUGGGCCAAAGCAUCCGAAGAGGUCCCUUGAUGUUUUUCUACAGCCUUUGAUAGAAGAAUUGAAGGAAUUAUGGUCAACAGGCGUGCAGACAUAUGAUUGUUCAACGAGAACAAACUUUACAAUGCGAGCAGUUCUUUUGUGGACCAUUAGUGACUUUCCUGCAUACGGGAUGUUGUCAGGUUGGAGGAGGCUAUCUUGUCCUUAUUGUAUGGAAAGCACAGACGCAUUUCAGCUGAAGAAUGGUAGGAAGACGUCCUGGUUUGACUGUCAUUGGAGAUUUCUUCCCAUUAACCAUCCGUACCGAAGGAAUAGAAAAUUGUUUCUGUCAAAAAGGGUUGUACAAGACACCACUCCACCAUAUCUAUCUGGAAAGGAAAUCAUGAAGGAGAUUGAUUACUAUGGUGGACAAGACACAAUCAAGAAAGGGGUAAUUGUCAUACUAUUGCAAAUAUGUCUGUUGGUUACGGGACACAGCAUAAUUGGCAUAAGAAGAGUAUAUUUUGGGAACUUCCAUAUUGGAAGUAUCUACUUCUAUGCCACAAUCUUGAUGUGAUGCAUGUAGAGAAGAACUUCUUUGACAACAUCAUCAAUACAUUGCUGAACGUCCCCGGGAAGACAAAAGAUAACAAGAACUCAAUGUUGGAUUUGCCUGUAUUAUGUUAUAGGAUUGAGCUGCAUAUUAAAAACAAUGGGAAAAUUCCAGUUCCCAUUUUCAGAUUGUCAGCAGAAGCAAAAGGAGCGUUGUUCAAGUGGGUGGCAUCAGAUGUGAAGUUUUCUGAUGGAUAUGUUUUAACUCUAUCAAGAUGUGUUGAUCAGCAGGGACAUAAGUUUUUAGGGAUGAAGAGUCAUGACUGUCAUGUGUUUAUGCAACAACUUCUACCAUUUGCAUUUGCAGAGUUACUUCCAAAAAAUGUUCAUGAGGCACUUGCAGGUAACAAAUAAAGUUAUUAUUACUUCUUGAUAGAAAAAAAGUUAUAAAAGUAUCUUACAUUGGCUUGUACAAUUGUAGGCAUCGGAAAUUUUUUCUCACCUGUGAUUCUAGUAUCUUUCUUCUCUUUUUUUCAAAUAUAACAACGGUAGUCCCUAAUUGGUAGUAAAGGACUUCAUCCCACAUUGGUCAUAAAUUUACGUUUCUUUAACGACUGCUAGUCUCUCAUUGGUCGUAAAUAAAAAUAAUAAUUUAGUCCCUUAUUGGUCGUAACACUAUUUGGUCUCCCAUUGGUUGUAAAUUUACACCUCCUAUACGACCCUUAGUCACUCAUUGGUCGUAAUAUUACAACCCAUUUACGACUAACACCAAAACUCUAUAUAUACGCGGACCUCGCGAAGCCAUUUGGUUGCUCAUUCCCUUCUCUCUAACAACGAUUUCCUUUCUCUCUCUAGGUAAUUUUUUAUUUUUAUUUUGUUUUAGUUUUAGGUGGUUAGUUAGGUGAUUAGAUUAGAUUUGGAAUUAGUUUAGGAUGGAUGUAGAUUAGGAUGGAGAUAGAUUAUGAUGGAAUUAGAAUAGGUUUAGAUUAUUUUUAUAUAAAAAAUUUGAAUUGUUUCUAAACGUCAAUUUUUUUUUGGUCAGAUUGGCGAUAUAUAUUGCUAUGGCUAGCGGUAGACAGAGACUUAGGAACCUUACGCCUAGAAACUCUUACGCGAAUACCUUUCUCGGACAGGUGGAUCCAUCAGCUUCUUCGUCCGGCACAUCAUCUGGCCAAGAGAAUGUCCCUGAGAGCCAAGUUCCUACUGCUCCAUAUGUGCCUCCACAGGCAUAUGACCCUGCAGCUUACUAUCCGCAGUUUGAUGACCCUGCUCCAUUCUAUCCCCAGUACGAUGAAACUCCACAGCAGCCUCGGCAUGAUCAGCAUCAUUCUCCACACCAUCCUCAGCAGCAGUUUACUGCUCCCGAAGCUGCUCCGGCUCCUGCAGCUGUUCAUCCAGAUUUGAUGGUGCCAUCGAAUGCGCCAUAUGCAAGAUAUACAGUGGAAGACCUUCUCCAGAUGCCGGGACGAGAAGGUUUACCAAUCAUCAAUCAAGAUCGACCACCCAACACUUACUGGUAAUUUUUAAUAUUUUAAAUCAACUAAUUAUAUAUAUUGGUCUAAAUAUAUGUAUUCUUUCAAAUUUUGUAGGUUUUUGACGGACAAUUGUGUCGGACAGAGCGUUGGAGAUAUCAUCAGGACAAACUUCCGGGAAGCGCAUCCGAAUUGGUCUCUUACACCGGACCAUGUCCGGAGGACUUCGUUCAAGUGCUUCACGGUUAGUUUUAAAUAUAAUUUUAUUUAUUUUUAAUUUAGAAAAUAAUAAUUUAAUUAAUUAAUUUUUUUUAUUAAUUUUUUUAUUAAUUUUUUUUUGAAGCAAAAAUGGAAUUGGUCCAUUGCUGUCAACGAAACGUUGAAGGAAGCGUUCUACAAAAAGGCGAUGGCUCGCCUAAAGAACAUUGUUGGUGAUUGGAAGGAGAAGUGGAGGGUUCUGGGGGAUGACGCAAAAGAAGCAAACCUCAGCAAUGACGUUUGGAAGGGCUUGAAGGCUUAUUGGAAUUUGCCUAAGUCAAUUCAAAGGUCUCUCACUUGCUCAACUGCCCGGUUGACCCGUGAUGAAGAUGGUAACCUGCCAAUACCUCAUACUUCCGAACAGAUUCCACACGCUGGGAGGACACUACAAAUUGUAAGUCUUUGAUCUUUUUAAUAUUUAUUAAAUAUGUAUUAAUUAAGUAUUUAUUGAAUGCGUGAGUUUAAUUAAAAAAAAUUUUAAUACAGGCUGCCCAAGAAGGAGCACCACCAUCUCUGGCCCGAGUUUACAGGACGACACACCAGCUUUCUGAUGGCACCUUUUCGCAUCCUCAAGCAGAGAGGAUCUGAAACAAUGUUGUGGCUCAGAUCCAGGAGGUCUAGACUCAGUUGUCGCCUAUGAUGCACGGGGAAGUGAGUUUGGGUGACGUCCCGGUACCGGAAACGUAGCCUGUCGAUCGAAGAUGAGUUUGCCUGCAAAAAAUUUUGAUUAGUAAUUUUAUCAAUAUCCCUUUGGGCAUGAAGUAUUUGACUAGACAAUUUGUUUAAAUCUAGCAUGACUGGUGAUACGAACCGGUCAUGCAUGUCCUCGUAAGUUUGCAGCCUAUCAUCCAUGGCUGAGAUCUUAGUGUCGAGCGAUGUGAUGGUACACACAUCGAUCGAUGUGGCUGGUUGUUGGUCCUUCUUGCGAAUGGUGUCCAAAUCUUGCUGUAGUAGCUCGAUUUUAGUGCUCAGCCAGUCCACGUUGUUGUUGAGAGGGUAGUACAUGUCGUUUAUCCUCGUGUUGAUGUAUGAGACUUCCCAUUCAUCCUUGUGUUCUACUGAACAUUGCGGUUCUGCAGGGAUCUGGGCUGUAGGAAGACUGACGUCGAUCGAUGGUGCAUGUGGCGCGUCGAUCGAUGUUGAGGUCGUGGCUUCCUUCUCAAGUUGCUGACGUAAACUCUCAAUUUCUGUCCUGAUUUCUACCAUACUUCUGAAAAGCUCAUUGUAGCCUCUAUCAAAAGGUUGAUGUGUAUCUUCUACCAAUGAUUUGAGUUCCUCUCCCAGUUUUUCCUGAGCUCCACAAAUACCAGUCACCAUCUCGUUGAUUUCAUCUUUGGUGUUGAGUUCUGGUGCCAGUCUUGUGAGUGUGAAGGAAGUGGCGUGUUCUGGAAGACAAAUGUGGCCCUCUUCAAAAAGAAAUGCUCUUUCCAGUAAUUUCCUGAUGUCGUCCUUUGUGACAGGUAUCAUCUCACUAGCUACGCCUCGUGCGUGUCCACACUCAUCUCUGUAGACUCCAUACUCGUCCCUUCGUUCCCAAGUGAACUUUCUUGCUCCAUACAUGUCAAAAGCGCGGUAUCCAAAUUCAUAACGUCUGUCGAUCAACGUCGGGUCAUCCUUACCGAUCGACGUUGGUGUUAUCCUGUCGAUCGAUUUCUGAGUUGUCCCGUCGAUCGAUGCAUGGCCUUUUGGUUGGCAUGAUAGAUCUGGAUUGAUUUUUGUUGCGGCGACUCCUACGUGUUUGUUAGGAUUGGUUUGAAUGACGUCUGGAGUGCCACGUUGCUGUGAGAAUAGGUUGUCAGGUCCAUUGGCCACUUGAAGGAUAUCUGCUAUGUCCUCUCUAGACACUUGUAAGAUCCUUCCAUCUAUUGCACGUGCGUUGCCAUCUAGGUCCCUGAAAAUACCAAAUUCAUCAGGAGUUAGAAAACCGUAAUCAAUUUUUGCAUUAUCAUUCAAUUUAGAAAUAGAAAGAUUAGGUUUAAGAGUAGUAUCGAUCGAUGUUGAUACAGAUGCAUCAAUCGAGGACAGAAUAGUUUCUGCUGAACUUGUGUUCUUGAGAUGAUUGCUCUUCAUGAAUUUUCAUGUUGAUGUAGAUGGAAGAGUGUUCAUCUUUUCUGCUUGUGUGUCUGCUCUGGUGUGUGGAGGUGGUUUCAGGGGUGCAAAACGUUUUAAAUAGGUAUCUAUAAGCCUAGUUUGAGAGGGAAUAUUCUCCUGUUCCUGGAUUUUCGCUGCAGUGCGAAUAUCGAUCGAUGUUCCUCUGUGGGUGUCGAUCGAUGUGAGCGGUUGUUUUGCUGGAAGAGGGUGGGUAUCGACCGAUGUGGAGUGCACUUCGUCGAGCGUUGUUGGGAACGUGUUGGUGAACUUAUGCGUUUCAAAUAUUUCAUCCUGCAAAGACAUUUCUAUUGCACGUUCCUUCCAAUAAUCCUCAUCGUAUUCUUCUGUGUGUUCCUCGUUAGGUAAAGCAAUUAUAGUGUCAACUGCAAAAAUUUCAUGGAAACCACUGUCUGCCCAAAUGCCUAUGAAAUAAUCAUCACGUCCUCUCUUGCUUGGAGGUUGGAAGACAAAGUGUAGGUAACAAUGAUUAGGUGAAGCGAAAUGGUCAACCGGCUGAUCAACGUCGAGCGACGUGUUGUUCCGGUCAUCAAUCACUGUUGACUCAUUGGAAUCGAUCGAUGGAAAAGUGGGGGUGUCGAUCGAUUCCGAGUACUCUGAUUCGUACUCUGCUCCACAAUGGCAUGCGCCAAUGAAGCCAAGUUCUUUCCCGUAAUCCACAGAAUUAAUAACCUUUCUCUUAGGUUGGAUAGGGUCGUAGUGGAUGUUGGGGUCUAUCAGCGUCAUCACAAUUUGUUUUUGUUCAUGUCACAUACAACUCCUACUGUAGCUAGGAAAGAUCUUCCAAGCAAAACUGAAGAGUUCCAGUUAAACUCUAUGUCUAGGACAUGAAAAUCUACCGGGACAAGAGCAUUACCAAUCUGUACCUCCAGAUCUCUUAUGAUACCUCCUGAUCGUUUUUAUGAAAGAUCCACGAAGGUGAAGGAUUCUGUUGAAGGUUUGAUGGUCAAACCAAGCUGGUCUGCCAUGAUCCUAGGGAGGAUACUAACUGAUGCUCAUGUGUCACACAUAGAAUGGGGAAAUUCAACACCCUUGACUACGCAUGGUAUUGCAAACUUCCCAGGAUCACUCUUCUUCGUCAAUGUGAUCCUGUGCUUCAUAUUCUCUCUGACUUGAUGAAACAUUCUCCUAAUGUCCUCCUCAGUUACCUUUGUUUCUCUGAAGAACAUCCACAACCGGUGUGUGAAAUAAGCUUCAUCAAAAGCUUUUUUGAUUGAGAUUCUGAGGACUCUCUUAGUGAAACCAUCCAUCUCCUUAUCAUUAGCUUCCCUCUUAAGGUUCUUAGGAAUUUUUUCCUUUCUUUUCCUUAACCUUCUCCCUUCAUUUUCCUGAUCUUCUUGAACUGGUUCUGGUGAACUAUUUAAAGGGUUGGGUUUUGGUUCGAGCUGGUUAGCUAAUUGUUUCGGUGGUGGUUUGAGUGCGUUGAUAUAGUCAUUAUCGAUUGAGGGAAACCGCACUCGGUAUUUCGGAGGUGCAUGUCGAUCGAUGGGAGGUGUGUUGUGACGAUCGACGUCGGACUCACUCUGUCGAUCGAUGGUUGGCUCGGCCGAUCGAUCGAUCUUAUCAUAGAAAGGGGAGGGUGGGUGAGGAUGCUUAGCUGCGAAUUCCUCAUGAGUUAGAAUUCGAACUGCAUUGCAUUUAGUCGAUUUAGCGGACGACGUCAAUCGAUGACUAGAGUAAUCCGUCCAUCAAUCUUCGUUAUGGUCUAUCGAUCGAUGCGAGUUCAUCGACAUCGGUCGACACCAUUGGGAUCCGCCGAGACUCAUGGAUCUUUCGAUUUUGAAAUCUCCUUCCUCAAGCUUUUCAUGUCUCACCACUUGCCAGAAAUCAUCAUCUAUGAUGGCAUUUACGUGGUGUUUUCCUUUAUCAGCUCAUGCCUCUCUAGCGAAAGCUUCUUGCCUCUUUAUAGUCUCGCCAGUCUGAAUCACUUGCGUUUCAAGUUUUCUCACCUGAGUCCCUAAGGUCUCGAUUUUAGUGUUCAGAUUGUUGUAGGCGGAGUCUAUUUUACCGUUGAAAUCCACAGUGAUUUGUUGUUGUCCCAACAGUACUCGAUCAAGCAUUUCUUCGAUCUUACUUUCCUGAGUCUGGGGUGGUGGAUUCUGGUAGUAGGAGUUCGAGUAGCUUUUGCUGUUGUUGAAGGGUUUUUGAAAUUGUGAACUCUGGUUACUUCUUUGACCAUUUCCAAAGAAGCUUUUGUUUCCGCCCUGGUUUCCAAAUUUCUGGAAUCCGGUACCUCCGAUGUAGUUCACAUUUUCUUCUCCUUCCGUAUCUACUACUUCUCCUUCAGCUAAACAGACUUGCUUCCUAAGAAGCUCAUGAACCACAUCUAACUUAGCUCUUACUUCGUCCAUCUGUUCCUUCCCGAUAGAGGCUACAUACUUCUUCCGUUCAGAGUCAGUGUUUUUGGUGCUGCUACUGUUAGCAAGGUUUUCGAUAAGUCUCACAGCUUCUAACGGAUUCCGAGUAGUGAAGUUUCCUUCACUCGCUGUAAGGCGAGACCUCGGAAGAAAGUGCUUAGCAGCUGCACGUCGUUAAAUCUGUGGUGUGGACAGUCUCGCUGGAAGAACCUAAAUCUAAUCCACGCAUCUUUGAAGGACUCUCCAGUCUCUUACGAGAAUGUGGAAAUUUUGUUUCGAAGUUCUUCAGCGCGCGCCUCAUCGAAGAAGUUUCGUAAGAAAGCAUUCUUGAUGUCGGCCCAGGAUGUUAAGGAUCCUGUGGGUUGCUGCCUAAGCCAGUGCAUCGCUUCUCCAUUCAGCAUGUAUCUGAAGAGCUUGCACAGCAGGUAAUCUUCGGGGACUCCUUCCAUCCGAAUUGCAGCGAUUAAAUCCUCGAACCGUUCUAGAUGGUCCAUAGGAUGCUUGUGCGGUAAACUAGAGUAGGGUAUCUGCGACACGAGAGUGCAGUAUUGAGGCUUCAGCUCAAAAUUCUGCUUCUGGAUCUCUGGAAGUCGAAUAGCUGAUCUGUUGGAAUAGUACUCAUCCGGGCGAUUGUAGUCGGCCAGUGGUUUCGAUCGAGCGUCCUCAUCUACAGGUUGAGCCUGUAGUAUCAGCAUCAGGGAUUACAGUCUCCUGAGUGUCUACUUUCUGACAUGUUGCAUUACGCAGAUGACAGUCAUGGUCAUACAGGUUUCCGUUCUCAUACUUUUUUAAAAUAAUAAUGUUUACCAUUUUUUACGACACGAUAUCAAUCGACGUACGCGGUGUAGUAUCGAUCGUUGUCGAACGAUUAGGAUCGAUCGACGAUGAAUGUCUGGUGUCGGUCGACGGUUGGUUGUGAGUAUCGAUCGAUGACAAAGUUGUAGCGUCGAGCGAUGUGUAACGUUGACCUCUACGGAGGGUGCAUUCCAAGUGAGCAGGAUCGUCUGAGAACAGCAAGUCUUUCUCCUUGUUGCUUCUGGUACCGCUGGGCAUGCACCUAAAAAGACAAGAAAAAGAUUAUGUUAGAAAGGGGGGUAGAGAAGAGAAUAAGAAUCAAUAAAACUAAAUCUAAUGGCGAUCAAAGCUCCCCGACAACGGCGCCAAAUUUGAUACCACUCAAAUUACCCUAAUGAGUGUUACUCUCAUCAAAAGAGGUUCAGAUGUAGUACUUAGGGAUCGAAUCCACAAGGAGCUAGGGAACAAUUAAAUCUAGUGUUUAUUAAUUCUAAGAGUUGUAAAUGUUUAAAUGAAAUAACAAUAGUAACAAGCGAAGCAAAUAGUAAAUGUAACUUGUUUGGAAAUGAUAUUAGAUGCAGGACCACUAUUCAGGUGUUGGAGAUUAUAAUAUCUAUAGAUGCCUAUUUGUUGCAUGCAUGAUAUGUUAGAGCUCAACCGCUUAAGUCAGUGAUCAGCUGUUGCAUGUUUCACUGGUUAACAGGCUAGAUCUCGUGUCUCAAUGGUUAGUAUGUUGACAACGAAAGAGUGUCGAUCGACGGUCCUAUUGGGAUAUCGACCGAUACACCUUUGCCUAAGUCGACCGAUAGUCAGUUGAGGACAUCGAUCGACGGGUUCUAGCCAGGCCUAUGCGCGAGUAUGAUAUGCCCUAUUAAGAUACUAAAUUGGCGGUUAGCCCUCUCUAGCAGUCCUAAUAUGAUAGAUAGAUGUCAGGAUGGGAUAACAAGGGUGCAUGAGUAUGCAAUCCUAUAAUCAUGUUCUAGUUAGCAAGGCUAAAACAAGCAAUGAAUACAAAUCUAUCAUGAAUAUCACAACAAGGCAGAUCUAUAGUUUGGGGCUAAUCCCACAAACCUAUCUGAACCCUGGAUCUAAUAAAUGAACUACUCAGACAUAGCAAAGCAAUUCAUAACAAUGAAGAAAUGGGAAUUCAUAGUAUAGAUGAAAAGAAAUGAAAACAAGGAGUUCCAAUCACAAGUGAUCUUCUAUCCAAAACUCUCUCUCUCUCUCAAAGUAAAACUCUAACAAAAAGCUCUCCCUGCCGUCAAAACACUUAGGCAGUAUAUAAUCUACUAGGUUAAAAACUCUUCAGGGCAUUUUUGUAAUUUGGCUUGGACUUGGGCUUCAAGUCUGCUGGAUCCAAAAUGUCGCAUGUCCAAUGUCUCGACAUCGAUCGAUGGUACUUGUGUACAUCGAUCGAUAUUAAUCUUCAUUUGUCGAGGCAUCUCAUGGUGUCAAUCGACAGCACUGGAUGUGCAUCGAUCGAUUGUUCUUCCUCUCGUCGACCUCUACAUGGUCAGCUCGGGUGAAAUGUCUUUUAACCUCCAAAAUGCUCCAAAGUCAUAGCUUUACUCCGAAUGCACAUGAACAUGAAAACAUACCUAGAAGAGUAGAAAACAUGGAUAUAUAUAUAGUAAAACACCUAUAUACCAUGGAUGAAAACGGGUCAAAUCCAAGGUAUAUCAAUCCCCCUUUAAACCUAGAUCUUAGGAUUAAUUGGGAUCAAGCCAUUGCUUGACUCAAUACCUGAAAAUUAACUAGUAUGAUCUAACUGACUAGAUACAGACGAGAGUUGAUCUAGUGAGUUUGAAAAUAUAAAUUAAACCUGUCCGUAAAAUUUUCUGGAAGAAGUAUCGAUCGACACAUCGAUAGCCCUGUCGAUCGAUAUUUUGAAAGGUGUAUCGAUCGAUAUUCAUAUAGAAUUAUCGAUCGACAAUUUCUCGUGAUUAACAUACGAGAGUUGAAAUCCGAGAUCCAGAUUAGAUAAUCAGAUUGAUUAUAUCUAAAGUUUAAAUUCAAGAAUAAUUAAUAAAACCUCUACAAACCCAAAUUAAGUUUACUUAUCAUACCUGGGAAUAUACCUGAAUCUAGCUAUUUCUCCAAACUGUAAACAACCUCAAAACAAAUCAAUCGAGCAAUAAAAUUGCUCACCACUCCAUUUACUGCUUUAAAACUUAUAAACCAUUUAAUCUAGAUUUAUUUCAAGGCCAUAAUCUAUUGUGUAAUCCUAGAGUCUCUAUGGAUUCGAUCCCUAAGUACUACAUCUAAACCUCUUAUUUGAGAGAGUAAUUCACUCCUUAGGGUAAUUUGAGUGAUAUCCGUUAGCUUACGACUAAUAAACAUCGACAUUAAAGGUAAAUUGGUCAUAAGGUUAUGACCAGUGUACGACUAAUAUAUGAGACGUAAAUGUACGUCACCUUUACGACAAAUGUAUUUACUUUUAACUUACGACCAACUUAUUGAGCCGUAAAGCUACGUCUGAUAUAUGACUAAUUUUUCUAGACGCAAUAUUACGACCAAUGUGCCUCUAAUUAUUAAUUACGAUCAUCUUAUAACGACCAAUCGAUUUUCGAAGUUAAUUGGUCCUAAAGCCCAUAUUACGACCAACUAGCUACUAAUACUGUAGUCGUUAAGGUCAUGUUUUCUUGUAGUGAAAAGUCCCCAGAAAAUAUUUCUCGCAAUAUAAAUUCCGUAUAAUUUUUAUCCACAAUAAGAAGCAAACAUUGUUGGGAUCAAAAACGGUAAUCCAAAACCUGUGUUUCUGUAUGAAAGCUUUCUCGACACACUCUCGACAAAAUUUCCUGAGCAAAAAACUCGAGAGAAAUGGAUCACAGAACCAAACAAGCAGUCCAACUCGUUUGUUCGUACGUUUUGAGGUGCAGAACUGCACAGACGAGUCAGAUGUUUAGCUAUGGAUGAAGACCUUCCCGUGGUAUGAUUGAGCUUUGAGUUAGCUUUCCAAUGCCACCGGUCAGAGGUUAAUCAGCAUUCUGUAUCAUAAGUUAUGUCUAUUUUAUUGAAGGGUGGAAAGAGCACACCGUCCAGCUCGGUGGAUGGCCGAGCUGGAUCGACCACGCGGCCAGCUUGGCCAUCCGCCGAGGUGAACCAAACCAGCUCGGCCAUCUGCCGAGGUGAACCAGUCCAGCUCGGCGGAUGGCCGAGCUGGAUCGACAACACGACUAGCUCGUCCAUCCGCCAAGCUGAACCAGUCAAGCUCUGCGGAUGGCCGAGCUGGAUCGAACACGCGACUAGCUCGGCCAUCCGCCGAGCUGGAUCGACAACACAACCAACUCGGCCAUCCGCCCAGUCCAGCUCGGUGGAUGGCCGAACUAGAUCAACACACGACCAGUUCGGCCAUCCGCCGAGUUGGAACGAUCGUGUUGUCAUAGUCCCGUCCUCGUAGCUCCCUCCUUCGGGAUUGGAUCGAACAUGCUCUUGUUUCAUUUCGAUCAGAGUCACCGAUGGAACUUUACGAUUUAAAACCGCAGUAACUCGUUGUUGGGGAAAAAUAUUCCAUGAAGAGAUUACUCCAGCUUCCGUUUUCCAGGUCUCUGCCCCCAGGGUCUAGGUUCCUGCAUUUGGGUCCCGGGUCCCUGUCCCCGAGUCUGGGACCUUCCUCCGUCUUCCAGGCCAAGUGAUUUCUCCUGCCUUAAGAUAAAUGAAAAUCUUCCAUUUAUCAGGUAAUCAGCUUAGAGAAGAAGGGAUCUUCCUAAAUCCAAGAGAAAGAGGAAGUAUUCCAAUAUAUAGGCUGCCCUUAAAGAAGAGUGGAAAUAUUCUAUUAUCUAAGGAUUUAUGGAAUAUUUCCAAACCCUAAAGAGGAGGCAUGACCUCCACUAUAAAGAGAGGUUUCUAAAUCUAAAGAGGAGGUCCAUAACACAGAGAGAGAGACACGAGCUCAUCAUCUCCAUAGCCGGCAAGGCAAGAUUCGAGACCUAGAAGGCCAUCGUCAUCAACAUGCUUAUAACCGAUGAAUCCCUGCGAUUAAUACCAACAAGAUGAAGUUCUCCAUUCAUGGGAACACGUCCAUCUAUGAGGAAAACACGUCAAUCUAUGAGGGGGAGACUUCCAUUACCAGAGCUCACCAAUUCUACAGCCGCCAAGGCAAGAUGCUACACAUAGAAGAUCUUCUUCUCGGACAAGCCUAGGAGAGGCUGAUCCCGGCGGUUACUAUCGACCAGGGGAAGAUAUAUGCUCCCUGCAACACGUCUACAACGCUACAUACUGGCCCAGGCCACGAUCUCCAGCACACCGACAGGGACACUCCAUGCUCAACAAAGCAUAUCGAAGCUCCAUGCUCCCUGCAGCAUAUCGCCUACUCCACCAUCUGUUCCGACCAUGUGCCCCAUCGAACAGAUGACUCCUAUCACCUUGAUAUACCUUGGAUUUGGCCCAUUUUUAUCCAUGGUAUAUAGGUGUUUUACUAUAUAUAUAUCUAUGUUUUCUACUCUUCUAGGUAUGUUUUCAUGUUCAGGUGCAUUUCGGAGUAAAGCUAUGACUUUGGAGCAUUUUGGAGCUUAAAGGACAUUUCACCCGAGCUGACCACUUAGAGGUCGACGAGAGGAAGAACAAUCGAUCGAUGCGCAUCAGUGCUGACGAUCGAUAUCAGGAAAUACCUCGAUAGAUGAAGAUUAAUAUCGAUCGAUGUACACAAGUACCAUCGAUUGAUGUCGAGACACCAGACGCGACAUUUUGGAUUCAGCAGACUUAAAAACAAAGGCCAAGCCAAAUUACCAAAAUGCCAUGACGAGUUUUCAACCUAGUAGAAUAUAUACUGGCUACGUGUUUUGACGGCAAAAAGAACAGAGCUUUUUCUAGACCUAGUUUUGUUACAAGUUUCAUUUAGGAGAGAAGAUCACUUGUGAUUGGAACUCCUUGUUUCUAUUUCUUUUCAUCUAUACUAUGAGUUUCUAUUCUUUUAUUGUGAUGAAUUGCUUUGCUAUGUCUGAGUAGUUCAACUGUUACAUCCAGGGUUCAGAUAGGUUUGUGGGAUUAGCCCCAAACUAUAGAUCUGCCUUGUUGUGAUAUUCAUGAUAGAUUUGUAUUCAUUGCUUGUUUUAGCCUUGCUAACUAGAACUUGAUCAUAGGAUUGCAUAUUCAAGCACCCUUGUUAUCCCAUCCUGACAUCUAUCUAUCAUAUUAGGAUUGCUAGAGAGGGCUAACCACCAAUUUAGAAUCUUAGUAGGGAAUUUCAUACUCGCGCAUAGGCCUGGCUAGAACCCGUCGAUCGAUGUCCUCAACUGACAAUCGAUCGAUGUUGGCAAAGGUGUAUCGGUCGACGUCUUACUAGACCAUCGAUCGACACUCUCUCGUUGUCUGCAUACUAACCGUUGAGACACGAGAUCUAGUCUGUUAACCAGUGGUACAUGCGACAGCUGAUCACUAAGUUAAGCGAAUGAGCUCUAUUAUAUCAUGCAUGCAACAGUUAGGCAUCUAUAGGUAUUAUAAUCUCCAACACCUGAAGAGUGGCCCUGCAUCUAAUAUCAUUUCCAACCAAGUUACAUUUAUUAUUUACUCGCUUGUUACUAUUGCUAUUUCAUUUAGACAUUUACAACCUUUAGAAUUAAUAAACACUAGAUUUAAUUGUUCCCUAGCUCCUUGUGGAUUCGAUCCAUAAGUACUACAUCUGAACCUCUUUUGAUGAGAGUAACACUCCUUAGGGUAAUUUGAGUGGUAUCAAAUUUGGCACCGUUGCCGGGGAGCUUUGAUCGCCAUUAGAUUUAGUUUUAUUGAUUCUUAUUCUUUUCUUUACCCCCCUUUACGAAUAUGGAGUCUACAGAGAUGAGUGUGGACACACACGAGACGUAGCUGGUGAGAUGAUACCUGUCACAAAGGACAACAUCAGGAAUUUACUGGAAAGAGCAUCUCUUUUUGAAGAGAGCCACAUCUGUCUUCCAGAACAUGCCACCUCUUUCUUCCAGAACAUGCCACCUCUUUCACAAUCAGAAUACUGGCACCAGAACUCUACACCAAGGAUGAAAUAGAUGAGAUGGUGUUUGGUAUUUGUGGAGCUCAAGAGAAACUGGGAGAGGAGCUCAAAUCAUUGGUAGAAGAUACACAUCAGCCUUUGGAUAGAGGCUACAAUGAGCUUUUCAGAUGUAUGGCAGAAAUGAGGACAAAAAUUAAGAGUUUACGUCAGCAACUUAAGAAGGAAGCUACGACCUCAACAUAGAUCGGCGCAACACCCGCAACAUCGAUCGACGUCAGUCUUCCUACAACUCAGAUCCCUGCAGAACCGUAAUGUUCAACACAACACAGGGAUGAAUGGGAAGUCUCAUACAUCGACACAAGGAUAAAAGACAUUUACUGCCCUCUCAACAACAACGUGGACUGGCUAAGCACUAAAACCGAGCUACUACAGCAAGAUCUGGACACCAUUCGCAAGAAGGACCAACAACCAGCCACAUCGAUCGACAUGUGUACCUUCACAUCGCUCGACGCCAAAGUCUCAGCCAUGAAUGAGAGGCUGAGGACUUACGAUGACAUGCAUGACCGCUUUAUAUCACCAGUCAUGACAUAUUUAAACAAAAUGUCUAGUCAAUUACUUUAUGCCCAAAAGGAUAUUGAGAACAUUACUAAUCAAAAUUUUUUGCAGGUAAAAUCAGCAUCGAUCGACAGGCUACGAGGGCCUUGGAUCGAUGGCAAGAAACAUGUGGAGCUACUUCCUUACACAGCAGCAGAGGUUGACAAGAUCACAUCCAAGAUCUACACUGCUCUAGACAACAUGGAGGAACGACUUGACAAACGCUGCGAUGACAUCUACUUUCCAUUCGAAAACAAAAUCAGUGGACUAGACAACCACGCAGAAUGGCUACAGAAAGAAGUCAAAGCCAUUCAGAGGCAACUCGCAGCCCAACACCAGAUAUCAGCAUCGAUCGACAGGACACUAGCGAAAUCGAUCGAUGGAAACUCGCCAAGAUCGACCAACGAACACAUAAUCGCAUCGAUCGACGCCGAGUCUACACCAAUCGGCGAGCAGCUGAUACACAAGACAGUAGAGUCAAUGCAAAAGGAACUGACAGAUCUUUCAGCAUACGCCUAUGACAACAUAGGCUGGCACCAGGUCAGCAUUGACAACGUUCAAGAAAGGCUACAAAACAUCUCCAAUGUACUUGAGAAAAUGGAUGACAAAUGGACAAGAAAUGAUGAGGCCAUAAGAAGUUUCAUUGCAUCUUGGUCCAGAAUGCGCAGAGAUGACGUGGAUGCUUGCUUUCCAACAAGCAGCUGUUUCUCCACACAAUAGCCAAUCACCACCACAGUCAAGCUAAAUGACUAUAACCAAGCGCUGAGUGGGAGGCAACCCACUAUUAGGUAUUUUAUUUAGGUUUUAUUAGCUAGCAUUUAUUUCCUUUCGUUUUAUAUCUUUCAGAUUUAGGAGACCCAAGUAGGAGGACCUGAAUAUCGACCGACGACGAGACGUCGACAUUGCUCGACAUAGACAACCACACGACGAUCGAUGUAACACUUACACAUCGAUCGAUAUCUAAUCCGGUCAGAUGUAUCUUCCUUACUUGUUACAUUUUGUACAUUGUAAACUAUUCAUCAUAACUCCGGCUGAGUUACACUGGGACAGUGUAAUUUAAGUCUGGGGGGAGAUUUACUGAUAUAAUUUAUUUUAUUCUUAUGUAAAAAGAAAUUUUAAAUAAAUUAUGCUUAGCUAUUGAAAAUAGGGACUAUAAUCUUAUAUUGAUUUAAACAUGAAUAUCUAACCAAUCUUUAGCACCAUUUUAGAUUUACUGAUUGCAGAUAACACUAAAUAUGCUAAAUCGGAUUAACCUAUCAACUACACACUUGCCUUGAACCGUAUGAAGUAACCAAAGCUGAUUUCCAACACUAAACCUGACAUAACCGCUUGUCUUGGGGCUUGGUAUACAUGGGAUCGGAUUCUUCAGAAAGGUCUGGAAGGUAACGCCUGGUUUAGAUUAUUUAUCACAUUUUCUCUCUCUAAAUUUCGACCCUAGAUUAGUUAGUGAGUAUUUAAAAAAAAAAAAAUAUAUAUAUAUAUAUAUAUAUAAAAUAAUAAAUAAGAUCUAUUGUUUAAUUAGGAUGAGUCUGAACAGGACUUGGUGGCUAAAACCAUUAAGGCUUGAUUCAUAAAGACUCAAAUAAAAGAGUUCGAAACGGGACUUGGAGGCGGCAAUCUUCAAGGCUCGCUUUCGCAAAGAACUCUUGGAUAUAGGUCAAAAAGAAGUGAACAGAACUUGGUGGCAACCACCAUUAAGUUUUGAUUCAUAGAAGCCUGUCCAAUCUUGGUCACUGAUCCUGCAAUGGAAGCAUACUUUGACUCAAGAGAGAAAAUUAGAGAGAGAGAAACUAGGAACUAACUUUUACCUGCAGCUCCAGAUACCUGUCUGAAAUCCUUGCAUCAUGUGAUCGAUACUCCAAAGGUAAAGCAUUCACUUUAUAUUUAUGCUAAGAAAUGAAAUCAUUAGAGGAGAUGUCAGACGUGAAUUGAUGAGUUGUGUUAUGUUAGAAAUGGUUGCUAAGCUAGGAUAUUGCAUAGUGUGCUUUUGUGAUUAGGACUUUUUAAAUGUGGUUGCAAAAUUGUUUAGGAAAGAUUUCAAUGUUUUAAAAUCUUAAAUCCCCAAAUAUUUUCAAACCUCUUUCAGAGAGACGGCAUGUAUGUUUUUCUUGAGGACAAGCAAAAGGAUAAGUCUGGGGGAGUUGAUAUACCUUGGAUUUGACCUAUUUUUAUCCAUGGUAUAUAGGUGUUUUACUAUAUAUAUAUAUCUAUGUUUUCUACUCUUCUAGGUAUGUUUUUAGGUUCAGGUGCAUUUUAGAGUAAAGCUAUGACUUUGGAGCAUUUUGGAGCUUAAAGGACAUUUCACCCGAGCUGACCACUUAGAGGUCGACGAGAGGAAGAACAAUCGAUUGAUGCACAUCAGUGCUGACGAUCGAUAUCAGGAAAUGCCUCGACAGAUGAAGAUUAAUAUCGAUCGCUGUACACAAGUACCAUCGAUCGAUGUCGAGACACCAGACGCGACAUUUUGGAUUCAGCAGACUUAAAAACCAAGGCCAAGCCAAAUUACCAAAAUGCCCUGACGAGUUUUUAACCUAGUAGAAUAUAUACUGCCUAAGUGUUUUGACGGCAAAAAGAACAGAGCUUUUUCUAGACCUUGUUUUGUUACAAGUUUCAUUUGGGAGAGAAGAUCACUUGUGAUUGGAACUCCUUGUUUCUAUUUCUUUUCAUCUAUACUAUGAGUUUCUAUUCUUUUAUUGUGAUGAAUUGCUUUGCUAUGUCUGAGUAGUUCAACUGUUAGAUCCAGGGUUCAUAUAGGUUUGUGGGAUUAGCCCCAAACUAUAGAUCUGCCUUGUUGUGAUAUUCAUGAUAGAUUUAUAUUGAUUGCUUGUUUUAGCCUUGCUAACUAGAACUUGAUCAUAGGAUUGCAUAUUCAAGCACCCUUGUUAUCCCAUCCUGACAUCUAUCUAUCAUAUUAGGAUUGCUAGAGAGGGCUAACCGCCAAUUUAGAACUUAGUAGGGCAUUUCAUACUCGCGCAUAGGCCUGGCUAGAACCCGUCGAUCGAUGUCCUCAACUGACAAUCGAUCGAUGUUGGCAAAGGUGUAUCGGUCGAUGUCUUACUAGACCAUCGAUCGACACUCUCUCGUUGUCUGCAUACUAACCGUUGAGACACGAGAUCUAGUCUGUUAACCAGUGGUACAUGCGACAGCUGAUCACUGAGUUAAGCGAAUGAGCUCUAAUAUAUCAUGCAUGCAACAGUUAGGCAUCUAUAGGUAUUAUAAUCUCCAACACCUGAAUAGUGGCCCUGCAUCUAAUAUCAUUUCCAACCAAGUUACAUUUAUUAUUUACUCGCUUGUUACUAUUGCUAUUUCAUUUAGACAUUUACAACCUUUAGAAUUAAUAAACACUAGAUUUAAUUGUUCCCUAGCUCUUUGUGGAUUCGAUCCAUAAGUACUACAUCUGAACCUCUUUUGAUGAGAGUAACACGCCUUAGGGUAAUUUGAGUGGUAUCACACCUACAAGGCCACGUGCCUCCAUCAGAGCUACGUGCUCCUUAGGCCAUGUGCCCAUUAGGCUAUGCGCCCACUUAGGCUCCAUGCCUCCACCAAUACAUGAACUACGAACGGCUUGAUCCCUCACUGAAGGGUACGUAGGCAAUCCCCCCUAAAGGAUGCUGCUAUAUAUCCCAAACACCUUCCAUGGUUCCACCCCUAGAAGCUCAAAGACCGCCCCUGGUGGUCGGAACCAUCAAUUACAGAUCAGGAGGCAUCCAAGGACCGACCCUGGAGUCAGGACCAUCAAUUGCAGACCCAGAAGACCCUGCGAUCUUCACGACAAACAGACGGUUCCUGCCUAACAACCGACCUUUCUUACUGCUACUAAGGCACUGAUGACAUAUACCAGCCCAUACCCGUAUGGCACUACCCUCAGAGUAGGAUCUACUGACUUAUCCACGACCGAAGCAGGAGAAAGUACCACGACGACCAGUCUACUUCUUCCUAUCAUUCCGUAGUGCUGAGCACGAAUCACUUGUACGCAAAAAUUCCCUAACAGUUUUGCGCUAGAAGGAGGGGCAGUCAUAUGCUACGUGAUGAUGAUGAUAGGUGGAAGAGACAUUACAUCCAUUACUUCAGAAUAUUUCAACCACAGCCAUCUAGGGGCAAGAAACGACGUAUUCUCACGAGAUCUAAACCUCAUUAAGCUGGAAACACCUCUUCAAAGGAGGAUAACACAACGCUAAACAGAAGUAACAAGACCCAACACAGGAAUUACCAACUGGUUCCUAUUGGUUCCUGCUGGUUCUGGGUCCUAUCCUCAGAUUAAACUUUCUGCAGUCCCUGGUUCCUGCUGGUUUCGGGUCCUAUCCUCAUAUCAGAUCCCCGCAGUCUUCGGAUCUGCCGGUUCCGGGUCCCAACCCAAAGCCGAUGUCUACAAUUAUUGACUCAUGCUGGUUCUGGAUCUUCACUACACAACAAGUCUCACCAACCUUCGGACCCAAUGGGGGCAGCCAUCACCAAGCAAGCCCUAGACGACAUCCAUAUUUCCAGACUCACAACUCCGCCUCAUAUGAGAAAGAUGCAAGGUUCUCAAACAGGACACAACAUUUUCCGCCCGGGUUUACAACUUAGACGAAUUCUAAAGACAGGAAGAGUCACACGAAGAGCUCCUGGAAAUACCACGGGCCUACCAGGCAACCACUAAGAGGUAACCAGAGAACCACCUUUCUCUUUAGGCUUUACAAUGUAAGUGGUAGUGGAAUCCUAGAUAAGCCUAAUAGCUGGGUGGAUAGAAUGCCUUUUAGUACUCAUCAACUUCCAUUGGAGUUGUUCCGCGAAAGGAUCCCUGCCCAAGCGACUGGAACACUGCUUCUUUGCAUCCUGCAAAGGAGCCGAAGAAAAAUGAGAACUCUACAUCAAGACAUGCUGGCCUUCUGAUUCUUGGGUCCAAUUAGAGCAAAGGAGAGUAAAAGAAGCCGGAGAACACACGUUCCAGCUACUAAUCAUCUAUGGGUUCCAGGUUCCAGCUUCCAGGUCCCAAAUCCCAGGGCCUGGAUCCCAGGUCCCAAAUCCAGGUUCCGGGUCUCCAGCUAUCCACCUUACAUGGAGGGAAAUCCAAUGGCUCCACGAAAAAGCAAGCUCCGACCACCUUACUACUGCUUUUUCCGGCAACAAACCCUGAUAUACCUCUAAAGGAAAUUAAGGCCUUUUACCCCCUACAAACUCCCGGGGAAACUCAGGAUCCGUGCCUCUCCAAGUUUCCAAGGCUGCACCCCUCGACAAGUUGUAAGAAACGGGAAUUCCCAGUGAAGGAGUCAAGAAUACGCCAGUCUACAAGGAAGUAGGUCCAAGGUACAUACCUUCCUGAACUUCUACGAAAGAGAUAACUAAGAGAAAAGAGGGGGCAAACGAGUUAACACUCAACACAAGGGGCAAAUAUGCGUCAACAAAUCUUGUUGGCUUGCCCACUAAAGGGAGGAUUCAAGACAAAGCGACGGUUCAUUUAGUGACAUCCAAGAAACGCUGAGAGUGGCUCACCCAAGAGGGAGCAGAGAGCAGCCAGAAAAAGUUAGUAAACGACAUCGACAAAAAGAGAAUAUCUACAGAUCCUCAUUUGCCAGGGCACUAGUUCCAAGGAGCCUCCAGGCUCUCAAAGAUAAAUCUACUGGUCCUCCAAGAGAAGUAGCCCCCACGCCUCAAAAAAAAAUCUAUGUUCCUCCAAGGUCCUGUUACAGGUCUAAGGACCCUUUAUCCAGCUAAUGAAUGUCAAACUCACUGAAGCAUCAACAAGUCCAUCUCCGUAGAGCCCUACAUCACUGGGAGAAACCUACGUGAGUUACAAGACCAGAAAUCAAAUCUUGUCAUCCACUGAAAUACAAGACCAAGGUCUUGAAUCCUACAAGAUCACCUUCGAACAGGUCCAGAACCUGGAAGUUCUCAUCAAGACCCUGGUCUACCAUGUGGAAAACCAAUUCUCCUCCAGGUUUUAACACGGUCCACGCAUAAGAAGAAAUCAGAAAAAGGGAAGCAGCGUCCUGUCCACUAUAAGCAUGCUGAGAUGGAACGACUCCGGUUGGCCAAACUACACAUGUUAUCUCCCGACUUCACCCAUGAAACCGAAAGAUAAGGGGCAAACUAUUGGGAGUGAAUAAUUUUGGAAAAUACUACGCUUGUUUCCGGGCAGGACCCUGGUCUCCAUAAACCCGCAUGAAGAAGUUCCGAGUCCGACUUCGACUACGAAGCUCCGGCUCUGACCUCUGCUCCUAUCCUUAACACCAGGUAAAAAUGAAAGGUAAAAACUUUCCAAAUUUCUAACGCAAAUGCAAUGUACUGUAUUCAAACUCAGAGUUUGUACAGGGAGCGACAAUAACAAUGGGUAUGAGACUUAAGGCAGGAAUAGGUCUGAUUAACCUGAGUAUGCUAGUCAAGACUACCUAUAACCCCGGUAUAGGCCUAGAGCCAUAUCGGGCCACCAUAAGCUACAGUACUGUGACACCUCCUGGUUUAUUCAUGGAGUUUGCAUAUUGCAUAAGUACUGCCACGUGUAGGGAGCAAUAUAUAAAUUCCUGCUUCUCCAGACGUGGAAAGCAGCGUAAGCCUGACACUUGGGUUUCCGAAUCCAUAACCAGCACCCCUAAGUCUGAUAGUGGCUUUCUGCAGAAAGCAGCAUGCAGCACGGGAACUCGAUAGUGACCAGCUUCCGAGAGGUAAAAUGUGAAUUCCCAACAGGUACCGGUAGUGGCCUCACCUAGGAUGGCAGAAUACGGUCCCUUAAAAUACAAAUCAAAUACCCCUGGGUUAUUAAGAACUUUCGGGUCCCCAUGCAGUCUCCGGGUCCUGAACAAAUUUCUUCAGGACCUGUAAAAGGUAAACCUCCAGGUUCUUUAUAACCCUCGGGCCCAACAACGACCUCAGGGUCUGAAGGAACCUCCGGGUUCCCAAAAGACCUCCGAGUCAAGAAGCAACCUCCGGGUUCAAAACGACUUCAGGGUCCUAAAUACGACCUUAGGGUCUAUAGGAACUUCCAGGUUCCCAAUCGACCUCCGGGUCCCAAAACAACCUCAGGGUCCUAAAAACGACCUCGGGGUCUAGAGGAACCUCCGGGUUCCCCAUCGACCUCUGGGUCCUCACUCAACCUCCGGGUUCUAAAGGUGAUCUCCGGGUCUAGGGCAACUGAUAUACCAUGAUUUUCACCCGUUUUUUUUACAUGGUAUAUAAGAGUUUUAAGAUGUAUUAAUCAUGUUUUAGAGUCUUUUCAAAGCAAUUACAGGUUUAUUCACCUGAUGGAAGGAAAUGAUACUUUUGGGACAUUUUGGAAUGCUUUUACCCAAGGAGAAUCGAUCGACGCUUGAAGAGCAACAUCGGUCGAUCAUAAUCACAUACCAUCGAUCGACAAACAUACAUGUGCAUCGAUCGAUGCCCAGUCACACGAGUUUGGAGAAGGAGCAUUUUGGCUACCAUUAGAAGAGCUUAGGAUUGGAGAGAUAGAUCUGAGACUGCAAAACAGAGAAGAUCUUGAACUACUUUACUUCUAUUACUCUAUCUAUUUGCGUUCUAUGUUUCAUUUGAGUUUAUUUCACACCAUCAUGACUUUGUCUCUCAUGAAUAUGUUUGAGUAAACCAACUGUUAGAUUUAGGUUUCUCGCCAUGGUUGAAAUUAUGUACUGCUAAUAUGACUAUUUAAAAAGGUGUUUUAAUUGAUCUUUCAUUGCUUGUGAACUUAAUGCUAAAAUUGAGAUUGAUCACCUUCAUUUUAGAUCUUAGGAUUAAUGGAGUCCAACUAACUUUUUCCCCUCAAUACCUGAACCCACUUGCGUGAUCUAACUAACUCAGGCGCAACGACAGUUGGUCUGAGAAGGUUAGACAACAAGUUAAACCCGUUUGCAAAGCUCGCUAGAAUAACCAUCGAUCGACGCAACUAUCGUUAUGUCGGUCGAUCGUUACAAAGGUGUAUAGGUCGAUGUACAUCAAGUCACAUCGAUCGACACUCUCUCGAGAUCAAAAUACGACAGUUGAGAUCCGAGAUCUAGUGAAGAUAACCUAUCCAGUUAAAUCAAUGUUUAGUUCAAGAACCAUUAAACCCUUUAGUCUAAACUAAGUGCAUACAUUUUAUACCUGAGAAUGGCCUGAAUCUAGCUGCUUUCCCAAUCUUGAAACCACUUCAAUUCAAUCUAUUGAUUCACUGUUGUUUUCGAUUUAUCAUUUACUGCUUUUAAAACUAUUAAAACCUUUUAGUCUAUCUUCAUUUCUAAUUAUUUAAGUCUCUUGAGUAAUCCUAGAGUCUCUGUGGAUUUGAUCCCUAAGUACUACAUCUGAACCUCUUUUGAUGAGAGUAACACUCUUUAGGGUAAUUUGAGUGAUAUCAAAUUUAGCGCCGUUGCCGGGGACUCUUUCUUAUUACCAUUAGAUUUAAUUUAGAAUUUAGUAUAGACUUGUUAUGAAAAUCUUGCUAAAGUUUUAUUUCUUAAUCUGUUACGCAGACACAAAGAAUGGAGAACACAGAGCGCGACCAACCAUCGAUCGACGGAGACAUGUUUCCAUCGAGCCAUGUUGAGUCAGAAAAAUCGACCGAUACGGAGCUGCCAACAUCGAUCGAUACCGCCCAGCCGGAAGCAGGUAAGCUUUCUCUUACCAAGCCCGCUAAUGAGAAAGUAGUCCAAACUGAAGUAAAUGGUCAAACGAGCAAUGAAGCUAGCCAAACUGAACAGGGGACUGAAAUCCCUGUUAAGGAAAAUUCCACCUUAACUAAAGGUGAAGAUAUAAAUUUGUCCAUGCAAGACUACCUUGAUCCUGGUAGGACCUAUUCCAAUAGGUCCGCUAUCAAAAUACCUGGAGACGAUACCAAGAAAUCUAAGUUUAACGCAGAUUACUACCGUAUGGUUCGUCAAAACCCAUUUCGUGGAUCCCUCCCAGAGCACCCACAAGAUCACAUUGAAACUUUGGAAGUAUUAAUACCAGAUGAAUAUGAUCGUUGCAAACUAUUCUCAUUCUCCCUAGAAGGAGAAGCCCUCAGGUGGUUAAACUGUUUAGCAGCAGGAUCACUCACUUGUUGGGAAGAGAUUAGAAGUGCCUUCCUUAGAGAAUUUUUCACUGAUGAACGCUACUGGGAAGUAAGAAAGCAAAUUUCUACAUUUCGCCAAGGUCCACGCGAAUCGUUUAAAAACGUCUGGGGAAGAUUCAGAGGCUAUGAACUUGAAUGUCCCCAUCAUGGUUAUUCAGAACCACAACUUCUUAACAUCUUUUAUGGAGGUGUUAACUUGAGCUAUAAAACCACACUCGCUACAGCGAGUAAUGGAAAUUUCAUCACUAGGAAUCCCGAAGAAGCUAGACGCCUUAUCAAGAAUAUGACAACGGGAAGAUCCUAUGAAAGGAUGGAUGAAGAGAUAGAAAAUUUCACAAGUCCAAAAGACAAUUCUAAUUUGAUAGAAAUUAAGAAUUCCCUUAAGUCCCUUCAUUCCUUUUUUCAAAACAAACACCGAUCUGAUAUAGCCCAGAUCGAUGACGACGCUUUGUCUGACACCAAUGAUAAUUUGGAUGAAGGAACGAACUGUUCCGAUCCCUACUCUGUGCUUAAUGUCGAUAGCUUUACCCAAGCUUAUGACACUGCUGUAAAAUCACGUACCGGAAGAGAGAGAUUCAAUAUCAGACAAGCUCUUACUGGCAACCGAAACUUCUUCGAUGAGGCGCACGCUGAAGAACUUCGAAACAAAAUUUCCACAUUCUUGCAGGAGGCUGGAGAGUCCUUCAAAGAUGCGUGGAUUAGAUUUAGGUUCUUCCAGCGAGACUGUCCACACCACAGAUUUAACGAAGUGCAGCUACUCAGCACUUUCUUCCGAGGUCUCGCCUUACAGUAUCAAAUGGCUCUUGAUACGGCGAGUGAAGGAAACUUCACUACUCGGAAUCUGUUAGAAGCUGUGAGACUUAUCGAAAACCUUGCUAACAGCAGCAGCACCAAAAACACUGACUCUGAACGGAAGAAGUCUGUAGCCUCUAUCGGGAAGGAACAUAUGGACGAAGUAAGAGCUAAGUUAGAUGUGGUGCACGAGCUUCUUAGGAAGCAAGUCUGUUUAGCUGAAGGAGAAGUAGUAGAUAUGGAAGGAGAGGAAAAUGUGAACUACAUCGGAGGUACCGGAUUCCAGAAAUUUAUAAACCAAGGCGGAAACAGAAACUUCGUUGGAAAUGGUCAAAGAAGUAACCAGAGUUCACAAUUUCAAAAACCCUUCAACUACAACAAAAGUUACUCGAACUCCUACUACCAGAAUCCACCACCCUAGACUCAGGAAAGCAAGAUCGAAGAAAUGCUUGAUCGAGUACUGUUGGGACAACAACAAAUCACUGUGGAUUUCAACGGUAAAAUAGACUCCGCCUACAACAAUCUGAACACCAAAAUCGAGACCUUAGGGACUCAGGUGAGAAAAAUUGAAACCCAAGUAAUUCAGACGGGCGAGACUAUAAAGAGGCAAGAAGCUUUCGCUAGAGAGGCAGGAGCCGACAAAGGAAAACACCACGUAAAUGCCAUCAUAGAUGAUGAUUUCUGGCAAGUGGUGAGAAAUGAAAAGCUUGAGGAAGGAGAUUUCGAAAUCGAAAGCUCCAUGAGUCUCGGCGGAUCCCAAUGGUGUCGACCGAUGUCGAUGAACUCGCAUCGAUCGAGCUCGAUCGCUAUGUAGCGACCGAGCUGUGUGCAUGCUUGGUCGCCGCGUAUCGAUCGAGCAUGGCUUGUCCGCGGUCUGAUUUCCAUACUUGAGCUUGUCCGCGGCCGAUUUGGAUACAUGUCCGUUGCCUUCGGACAAUCGGUAUUUAGUGGUUCAAUUGAGAUUUGGACGAGAUUUUUACUGCAAGGCUCUUCGUAAAGAUAUCUUUACGAAGAUUACUUUUGGUAAAAACGUUUAUGCUGAUUUUUACGGACUUUCAGACAUUGAUUCCGUCGUGACCGAUUUUGACCCCAACAGUUAGCCCCCCAGCUCGUUAGAACCAUGAGUUUCUAGCGUGAGGUUCUAGCGAGUGGCUUGGCAAGUUAGGCAAGUUAGGUGAGUUAGGCGGAAUUAAUGGUUGAAAAGGUCUGUGGUAAGUGAUCUUCUCGCUCUCCUAAAAGUAGAAAACGCGAUAAGAUUGGGGCUGCGCCUUAUGACGGCUGCCUACGUACCCUUGUUGAAGGGAUCAAGCCUUUCGUAGUUCGUCUUGGAGUUAAGGUUCUUAUGACUAGUUUUCCAGUAGGACCUUUAUGGUCUAGUUUUUAUGUAGCGGUUAUAAGGCGUGUUGCUGCCGAUGGCAUUUUGUAUGGGUGUAGAGGGAAGACUACGAGUUCUCGUCUCGUUAUCUAACUCUGUGUGAAUUGUCAUAUCCAUAAUCUGUUUCGAGAGUUUUCCGCAGUGUGUAAACUUGCGGGAAUUUCUGAAGACGUUCGAAUAUUGGCAAAGAGACAAAUUUUGGGAUCUCGUAUCAGGGUGUUUGAUACUAUGCCUAGAGAUUUUAGAGACCAGUGCGCUGGGUUUAGGGCAAGACCUAGGUUUACUUUCGGUUUAAGGAUUGUGCGGUGACUGGCCGGCUAUCGUUUUUCCUGUUGCGAUUUCUUCCUGAUUCGUAUCGAUUUAAAGUCCGCGAUAGGUUCUCGGCUUAUACGACUUGUUUGAUACGAAUCGAGCAUCUCUCCGGAGACCGGAAGUGCUGGACCAAAAUUUCGGAUUUCUUUUAUAGUGCUAUUAUCCUUGUGUCGGAUGUAAGAGAGUCAUCUUCGUGAGAUGGCUAUGUCUGUUUAGGACGUUGAGAGUUUGUUGUGAUCAGCAACAAACUUAAUGGUAAAAAAUACCGUUUCGAGUCUUCGCGAAGAAUAUUUUUUGAGAAGAUGUUAGUGCGUAUGACUGUUUGGUCUUCCAUGAAGGUGUUUAUAUCGAGGAAGGAAAUUUCGUCAAAGAACUAAUCUUCAAGCGUCUGCGACGUCUCGCGAUGCUGAAGAUUUGUUAUUCUUUCGUAUGCCACGUUUCGUGCUUGAAAUGUUCGCGGGCUUGAAGAUAUUUCGCGAUGUUGCAAGGGUUUAGUCUUAGCCAUGCGUUUGAAAAACAUUCUAGUUUGACUACGAAUGUUCGCAGCCAAAAUUGUUGUUCAUGUUUGGAUGCUAAUAGUUUUAUUUGCGAUCGAUGAAUUAUGACUGAGGUGUCGUGUAAAUUUGUCCAUGGGAACAAGCGUUUUCCUUCAUAGUGCUUUGUGAAGUGUUGGCCUUCCGAGAUGUAUUUCGUGCAUUUUUUAGGAUGUUUCAUAUAGCUCUAGAAGCUUUGUUAUGAAUUUUUCCUUACAUGCCGCGUAUUAUGGUUAAAACGUUGCGGGCUUAAAGUGAAUUGUGGAGCGUAUUGAACUUGGUCAAUUUUCGAAAAGUUUAGAUUUUUCGUUAACCGUUUGGUUGUUAGGACUUAGUUUCGUUACGAAGAAUUUAUCAUAUGAUUUCCGACUGUGGGCUAUACGAUAAUUUAUCAUCUCAUAUAACCGAUUUUACGAAGGUCGUAAAUCAGUGAUAUGUAUACAUAUGUCAAAGUAGCAUUGUUUCUGCGGGUUCUACGAGAAACGUUCCCGCUGUGAUUUUGAUCUUAGGUGAAAGUUGCUUGGAGUUACCCAUGGAGUAUUACCAAAGUUAAUUUCAAUACGAUCUAGUCGCGGAACGUUUUUCAUAGGUUUUUCGAGAGGAUUCUCAUGACACAUUCGUUUCUUGAAAGAAUUGGUCAACCAGAAGUGGAUCUAGCUAACCAUCGGGAGGAAAGUACUCCUUUUAAUGUGCACGAUGCUACAUAUAUUCUCGAGUUUUCUUCGUCGCAAAUGUUUUCGAUGCUUUUCCGUGACUUACUUGGUACAACGGAAACUGAAAAAAAAAAUGCUUUGGUGAUUGAAGAUUUCUCGUAGAAAUUUUUAAAACGAAACUGGCUUUCUGAAGCCGGAAAAGGCUUCAAUACUUUGGCUAAUCGUCGAGUUUCAGUUUGAUAUUGGUACAAGUUUUCUGUACGCAUGAUUGCGACAAGAAAUGAUGUAUAGUUUUUGAGAUUAUGUUCAUGAUCGUCUGGAUAUGUUGCUAGCGUUUAGACGAAUAUUAAGAUUGUCGUUUGCCUAUUCUUGACGAUUUGCAGAAGUUUUUUGAAGUUUGGGAGUAUACGAGUAUAAUAUACGUACCUACUCCCCCCCUUUUUUUACGAAAGAAAACGGUUGAACCGAUACUUUGAAGGGGUGUGUACGUUUUCUCUUCUGAUGUUUGGAAUGAUCGAUAAUUCGGGACGAUUUAUAGACGACGCUUGGACUGUGAUUUGGUUGUUUUCCACGUUGACGACUUGGGAUAUGUCGGUUCCGAGAAAAUUGCCAGAAACGAAUCGGUUUUAAGACGACGUUCAUGUCUCUAACUUUUUCUCUCUUUAGGAAGCGAGCUUGAUAUGCGUGGCGAUUGUUUCUCGACUUUCGGAGAGUUCAGAUCGGUUUGCAAGAUCUGGAUGAAUAAUUAUGGAACAAUAUAUCGAGACAGGAAAAAUCGCUUAAAACUUAGUUCGCUAGACUAUCCGCCUAGGUUUUACGUUCCCUAAAGUUCUAUGGCAGCCUCAAAGUAAUUUCCUACGAAAAUUCCAAGUCUGAUUUCAAAAAUUUCAAGUCGGAAAUACCUUAGUUCUCUCGAAAAUGCAGUUUUGUCCCUUCUCAGUUUUGCGUGCUCAUUUCCGUUUCCUAUUCUCGUGUAUGUUCGCCAUUUCCGAUAUUGGUGUUUAUCCUUUGAAACUUGACAUUUAUCUUCCGAACUAGACUGUUAUCUUCUCCUUAGAUAAGACGUCAAUUUUUGUAAAAAGGUUCAACGUAAUUGUAUAGUUAAGGCGGCUAAGGUGUUAAGUUAACCGUUGCCGUUUUAUACGAUUAAUCUGAAUCCAUGCGAGAAAAUAGGUCUUUGCGGCUUUUUUUUUUUUUAUAUCAUAAAGUCUCAAUGGUAACUUCAAUCGAGGCGAAACAAGAGACGUUUCGAUCGAGAUUCGAAAGUGAACGCAAAGAUGGAGGUAGGGUGAGCAGAAACAAGCCAAGGAGUUUAAGAUGAGUUUCACUUGUUUUUGUCGUAAAAUCUCAACGGAAGCUCCGAUUGAGACGAAACAAAACGCGUUUCGAUGAGAAUUCAAAGGAGAACGCAAAGGAGGACCCCUUUGAGGCCUGACAGGUCGCUAUAACGAGUGAGGAUGUCAUCUCGGUCGCUAUAACGAGUGGAAGGGAGCCGAGACGAAUCCCACUUGUUUUCGUCGUAAAAUCUCAACGGAAAUUCCGAUUGAGACGAAACGAAAAGCGUUUCAAUGAGGAUUCAAAGGAGAACGCAAAGGAGGAACCCUUUGAGGCCUGACAGGUCGCUAUAACGAGUGAGGAUGUCAUCUCGGUCGCUAUAGCGAGUGAAAGGGAGCCGAGACGAGUCCCACUUGUUUUCGUCUAAAAAUCUCAACGGAAACUCCGAUUGAGACGAAACGAAAAUCGUUUCGAUGAGGAUUCAAAGGAGAACGCAAAGCAGGACCCCUUUGAGGCCUGACAGGUCGCUAUAGCGAGUGAGGAUGUCAUCUCGGUCGCUAUAGCGAGUGGAAGGGAGCCAAGACGAGUCCCACUUGUUUUCGUCGUAAAAUCUCAACGGAAACUCCGAUUGAGACGAAACAAAAAGCGUUUCGAUGAGGAUUCAAAGGAGAACGCAAAAGAGGACCCCUUUGAGGCCUUACAGGUCGCUACGUAGCGACUGACGGUCUGACAGGUCGCUACGUAGCGAGUGGAAGCAAGCCAAGAAGAGUCCUACUUGUUUUCGUCGUAAAAUCUCAACGGAAACUUUGAUUGAGACGAAACGAAAAGCGUUUCGAUGAGGAUUCAAAAGAGAACCCAAAAGAGGACCUUUCUGAGGCUUUACAGGUCGCUACGUAGCGAGUGGAGAGUUGGCUUGAGCUUGGUCGCUACGUAGCGACCGAGCGGUGUGCGUGCUCGGUCGCUACGUAGCGACCGAGCAGUGUGUGCGUGCUCGGUCGCUACGUAGCGACCAAGCAACGUGUGCGUGCUCGGUCGCUACGUAGCGACCGAGCAGUGUGCGUGCUCGGUCGCUACGUAGCGACCGAGCAGCGUGCGUGCUCGGUCGCUACGUAGCGACCGAGCAGCGUGUGUGCUCGAUCGCCACGUAGCGACCGAGCAGCGUGUGUGCUCGGUCGCUACGUAGCGACCAAGCAGAGUGUGUGCUCGGUCGCUACGUAGCGACCGAGCCGUGUGCGUGUUCGGUUGCUACGUAGCGACCAAGCAGCGUGUGUGCUCGGUCGCUACGUAGCGACCGAGCAGCGUGAGUGCUCGGUCUCUACGUAGCGACCGAGCAGCGUGUGUGCUCGGUCGCUACGUAGCGACCGAGCAGCGUGUGUGCUCGGUCUCUACGUAGCGACCGAGCAGCGUGUGUGCUCGGUCUCUACGUAGCGACCGAGCCGUGUGCGUGCUCGGUCGCUACGUAGCGACCGAGCCGCGUGUGUGCUCGGUCGCUACGUAGCGACUGAGCCGCGUGUGUGCUCGGUCGCUACGUAGCGACCGAGCCGUGUGCGUGCUCGGUCGCUACGUAGCGACUGAGCAGCGUGUGUGCUCGGUCGCUACGUAGCGACCGAGCAGCGUGCGUGCUCGGUCGCUACGUAGCGACCGAGCAGCGUGUGUGCUCGGUCGCUACGUAGCGACCGAGCCGUGUGCGUGCUCGGUCGCUACGUAGCGACCGAGCUGUGUAAUCGUUUUGUUGUGUUUUCUUUUUCCGCGAUUAACGUAGGGGUUUUUCAGCGGUUUUUUUGGGAGAACAAGUUUUAUCCUUCCGAAAUGUUUUCGGAAAACGUGUUUUGGUAAAACCCUUACGCAUCGAGAUUUCUUUACGGGGUUUUGAUAAGAUUUAUCGUUUCCCUUCGUGUUUACAGGGAGAAAUCGCGAGCUUGUUUUUGUGCUCUUCCUGUGGCGGAAGGUCGCGACUAAGUUAUCGAUUUUGUUGAAAACUACGGUGUUUGCGUAAGCGUUGGCCAUAGGAGCAGUCAGUGCAGCGAGUUUGUCUUUCAUAUAUCCAAACAUCGUUUCGAUCAAGCGUUUUGUGGCCAUGAGUAAGAAUAAUCCGUUACCCCCCCCCCCCUCCUUCUAGCGCCAAACUGUGGGAACCGAAAUUCGCACUGUCGAUUUCCGUUUAAAUAAGGAAACUAGGAAAACCCUAAUUUUCCAGAUGUCCCGGAUCUCGGCGAGAGCCAACGACAAGUGACCGAGUAUAUGCGGAAAUCAUGAAAAGAUAACAAACGAGUUUAGAGAAAACAGUAGAUCUUAUUUCGAGUCCGCGUAAGAGCGUUGCGAUCAUUACAAGAGAUCAUAAAAGCUUUGGCCGCAAAGGCUGUCAGCGAGUUACUUAGUUCUAGCGGUCUAAAAGCUCAAACCUAGUUGAGUCGCAGCUCGAUAACAAAAGACGAAAAAGAUACAUAAAAGGUUUUUGAUUGAUUUCGGACUGAACCUUGUUAAAGGCUGCCUACGUACCCCUUUCGAGGAUCAAGCCGAACGUAGUUCAAUUGAUAGAGUUGGACAAGAGAUCGAACUGCCUGGGCGAGUUCGUCUAGUAAUUGAGUGCCAGUCAUAGAAACCGAACUUGUCGAGAAUAAGCCUAAAGUUUCUAAGUGCAGAGAAUUCCGAAUCUAAAAAGUUCUCCCCCAUGCUCCUCGCCUAGGACUCCUUAUAUACUAGCUCCAAGGUCGGUUUACGCUUUUACUCUUCUGCCCUAAAGCCGUCAUAGCGUAAAAAUGGAGAUAUUCCAUUUUUCCCGAUUUUCACAACUAUCUUCAAAAAUUCCGUAUUUAUCCGCGGAAACUUGACAUUUAUCCUUCCUUGUGGACCAAGGGUAAACCAGGCUGUGGUUUACGGGCCUUUGGUUAAGAAAUCGCAGGAUGGGCCUCGAGUCGUGUUUUAGGUCCCUUUGGGCCGUCUUCCGACUCGAAGAUUUUACUACGAUUUCUUUCGACAAAGAAAGAACUUUCCGCAGUUUCUAAUCCGCGAAGUUUGAUCGAUGAUUUAGAAUAGCGGAAAACAUAGACUGAGCUCGCUACGGUCUUCGGGAGAUAGCAUUUUAAGGUUUGACGAGAAUGCAUGGACUGGUGUCAUACCGAUGUUCGGAAGAGCUCGGUCGCUACGCAGCGACCGAACUUUGGCUCGAGCCCGAUCGCUACGUAGCGACCGAGCGAGACGGACGCUCGGUCGCUACGUAGCGACCGAGCUUGGCUCGAGCUCGAUCGCUAUGUAGCGACCGAGCUGUGUGCAUGCUUGGUCGCCGCGUAUCGAUCGAGCUUGGCUUGUCCGCGGUCUGAUUUCCAUACUUGAGCUUGUCCGCGGCCGAUUUGGAUACAUGUCCGUUGCCUUCGGACAAUCGGUAUUUAGUGGUUCGAUUGAGAUUUGGACGAGAUUUUUACUGCAAGGCUCUUCGUAAAGAUAUCUUUACGAAGAUUACUUUUCGUAAAAACGUUUAUGCUGAUUUUUACGGACUUUCAGACAUUGAUUCCGUCGUGACCGAUUUUGACCCCAACAAGGCACAAAGGAGAGGACUUUUUCAGAGCGAACUUAGAACUUAGAGCAUUUAGGCAACUUUUUAUUUUUGUUAUUUCGAGCUGCGACUUAACUAGGUUUUGCUGUCUUAGGUUGUUAGAACUAGGAAUCUCGCCGACAGCUCUCAUAGCCGAGGCUUCUACCUUGUUGUAACGCUCAUACGCGAAUCCGGAACUAGGAAUCUUUUCUACGAUUUCUUUUUUUUUUUCGUCUUUACUUUCGUAUUCUGAUUGCUUGGCGUGUGGUUUAGCAGAUAUUCGGGACCUCUGGGAAAUUAGGGUUUUCCUAACUUUCUUAAUUUAAACGGAAAUCGAUGGUGUGAAUUUCAGUUCCCACAGUUUGGCGCUAGAAGGAGGGGGGGGGGGGUUACGGAUCAAUCUAACUCACAGCCACAACACGCUUGAUCAGACAUAGCAGGCGACGACUCAAACGCCAUGCUAACUCCUCUCAACGAAGGAGGCAACAAUGGUCAGAACACUCCAGCAGCAGACGUUUAUGCGGCAAACGAAGCAGCCAACGCCGCGACUCUCGAGGAGUUUAAAAAGAUGUUCUCCGCCUAUGAAAAAAGGUCGGAAGAACAAGAUAAGCUCGUGGACACCUUGACUAAACAGGUCAACACCUUAACAGCAAGGCCAUAAGCGGUCGUUCCCCGCGUAUCAACAAAGAUUCGUGGAGGAAGACUCGACUUCACGCCCCACACGACAUGGCUGAAACUUUGCGGGAACAUCCCACAGGGCAAAACCCUAGCGAAACAUCUCCUGCCAAAGGAAGGGACCCCGAAAACCCCUUUUGUCUCCAAUAAAGGAUACAUGGAUCGACGAAGUCGAACAUGUCAACUUGGAUCCCAGAGAUCCAUCCGAUGAUACGGAAGAAGAUGCAGACGGCUCGGGAAGAUUCUCCGUUCAGAAAGCCCAUGACCGAAGAAGAAGAACAUAUCUUCUAGGUUAAGCAGGAGAAGUUGGCUGAAGAGCAGGCCGAAAUUACUCACAGCAGACGCCGAUAGGCUCGAAAGGCAUGGGGUGGGGAUCCAGAUAUUCGCGAUCUUCGCGAUUACAUAAAAAAGACUGCUGCAAAAGUAAAGGCCAUGAAAUCCCAUAUCCAUCAUGCUACUAACACCGCCCCUGAAAUCGACCAGUUGCUGGAGGAAGCGUGAAAAACGCCCUUCACGGCUCGCAUCGCCGAAACCAAGGUUUCUGAUCCGGGGAAGAUCAAAGUGCCAACGUACAACGGCACAACCGAUCCUAAUGCGCAUCUGCAAGCCUUCCAGAUCACCAUGGGGUGCGCCAGACUCAGAGAAAGCAAGAGAGACGCUGGCUAUUGUCGCCUUUUCGUCAAAAACUUGGAAGGGGCAGCUCUCGAGUGGUUUUCCUGCCUUAAGCGGAACUCUAUCGGAAGUUUUUUCCAGCUCACAUCGGAGUUUCUCAAUUACUACUCUAUGUUCAUAGAUAGAGAAACCUCUGACGUCGACCUAUGGCGCCUUUCCCAAAGGGAAGACAAGCCUCUCCGAGAUUUCAUAAGCAAGUUCAAGCUGGUUAUGUCCAAAAUAAAUGUAUUCGCUCUGUAGCGGAUCUUUUACUAGACCAGCUCGGGUUCGCCGCUCGGAAUAAUCCCCCUUUUGCUGAAUUAUUACCAAUAUAAUCAUAAAAAUUUAAUUUUUCUCAGCGAAAUAAGCGACAAGGUAGCCACUGAAGCGCCCCGAAAGACGCUCUGGUACAAGUCGAAAUUCAAAAAGUAGAUAACCCACGACAAGCCGUCUAUGAUCCAGGAUGCUCUUCACAGGGCAACCGACUACAUUAUCAUCGAAGUAGAGACGAGAGUCCUGUCGUAAAAGCAUAAGCCGACGAAAUCGUCUUCGAAGGACGCAGACCAAAAGCCCAAGAAGAAAAGCUCUCAUAACGACUAGUACGUCCAUCAUGAGGGGAAAGAACUCCAGGGAGCGCAUAAUUACGCGAUCAACUCGGAGAAGGGUAAGACUUCGGGCAAUACAUGGACCCAAAAUCCCAACUACGACGAAAACACCUACUGCGAGUUCCAUCAGACCCAAGGGCACUCCACAAUCAACUAUAAAGUCCGGGGAAUUCUCCGAAAUCACUAGCGUCAAGGAGACGGAUCAUCCCCCAAAGACUGACAAAAGUUCACCCCUGAAAGCUCCUCCUUAAGGAAACCAAUCGGGAGAUAAGCGCGGAAGGAGGCAAGACGACAAGCGUAACGUCAGCAAUCGCCACAGGGUAAACAUGAUCAUCGGAGGAUCACAGUACUGCAACUAUACGGACUCGGCCAUCAAGGCUUACCAGCGUGAAGUUGAAACAAGUGCGAACUGGCCGACCUGGUCCCCACCCCGAGACAUUCAGAACAGUGCAAUCAUCUUCGAGGAAGAAGAAACUGGCAGGAUAGAGCAGCCUCACUGUGAUCCACUCAUCAUAGACCUUGUCAUCCGAGACCUGGAAGUCAAUGGAAUCCCUGUGGACACCAGAAGCACGGUCAAUGUCAUCUUCCGCGACACCCUUAAGAGGAUGAACAUCAAUCUCGGCGAAGUCGUACCGAAACCACUAACUGGUUUCUCAGGCACAACAUCAAUGACCCUCGGGUCCAGUCAUGGCGAAAGAGGUAACGAAGAUAGUCGACUUUGCAGUGGUUGAUCAUCAAGCCAUCUACAAUGUCAUCGUGGGAACUCAUUGGCUCAACGCUAUGAAGGCAUUCCCAUCUACCCUCACCUGCGCGUCAAAUUCCCAGCCCAAAACGGAAUUGCUGCAAUCUGGGGAUGCCAGAAGCAGUCACGGCUUUGUUUUCUCGCUGAACAUAAGCUGAGACAAAUCACAGAGACAGCAAAACUGAAACGAGCGAAGAUAACUCAGCAGCUGGCUGAAAACGCUUCAAAAAAGGAUGAUGCAACAUCAUCCCCGGUGACGGACCUAAAACAGCAGCAUGCUAGUCCUGAUGCCUUCACCAACCGGAGGAGACAAACCUGGAAAAGGCUGUAAACCCAUCUAAAGUUAGAAUGACUGAAACAAUCGACGCGACCGCCGAAAACAAGUAAACCUUUUCGCGGCCAAAACAGAACUACGAGAUGGCUUGAUUCUCAAAAGAGGUACGUAGGCAGCUCGCCAAAAUGCGAGUUCAGCUAUCCCCCUCUCGAAAAAGGGGGGGGGAGUGGGUACGUAUACACAGACGUGUAUACUCCCAUAUUCUUAAAAUAUGCAUUGUUGUACUUCAUAUUUUUAAAAACUUUUACAAUAAUACAAAAACUUCUCUAUCUUGCAUAAACAAUCCUAAUCAUACCAGACUCUAAACUGCGAGAAAUUUGCAGCACUUAGUAAAAAUCAACACACCUCUUUAAGACGAAAUGUCGAGAUAUAGCGAGAUGUCGCGGAAAAAUCUCAGGACAAUGCGUCUAAAAAGACAAAAGAACAGUCCAAACGCGGCUAUAAAAUUUUAAACCACCAUUACAUCAUGUUCAUCGAUUGGCCCCGUCGAACAUAUCAGCCGUCUUAAACAAACGCAUCCUGACCUCUGUCUCAAGAAGAAUUGGUCCUCGAACAUCCGACAAAAGGAUUAUAGGGCUAUAAAAGAAAUCCGAAAUCUUGGUCAGCAUUUCCAGGAGGCUUGGAAAUUUCCUUUGGAGAGAUGCUCGGUUCCAACCAAACAAGUCGUAUAAGCCGAGAAUAUAUCACGGACUUUACAUCUGUUUGGAACCAGGAUGAAACUGAAACGGGAUACGUAAGUCGAACUAGUCAUCGCACCCCCUAAAUCCAGGAGUAAACCUAGGUCUUGCCCUAAACUCAGCACUCUGGUCUCUAAUAUCUCAAGACAUGAUAUCUAAAAUUGAUACGAGAUCUUAAACCAUGUUUCACCGUUCGUUUCUAAAUGUUCACAAGACUCUACACUUUUACGUACGAACUAACAAAAACAACGAUUCACUAGAUUUAGGUAUGAGAUGACAACUCAUAUUUUUUUUCUCGACAAUCAAAAACGCGCAUGCAAAGAAAACUCUUAAACACUCAUAAUAUAUAUAUAUAACCGCAUAACGGUAAAGGAUACAAAGCCACUGAUAUCACUCAAAUUACCCUAAGGAGUGUUACUCUCAUCAAAAGAGGUUCAGAUGUAGUACUUAGGGAUCGAAUCCACAGAGACUCUAGGAUUACUCAACAGACAUAAAUAAUUAGAAAAGAAGAUAGACUAAGAGGUUUUAAUAGUUUUAAAAGCAUUAAAUGAUAAAUCGAAAACAAUAGUGAAACGAUAGAUUGAAUUGAAGUGAUUUCAAGAAUGGGAAAACAGCUAGAUUCAGGUAAAUCUCGGGUAUGAAAUGCAUGCACUUAGUUUAGACUAAAGGGUUUGAUGGUUUUUGAACUAAACAAUGAUUUAACCGGAUAGGUUAUGUUCGCUAGAUCUCGGAUCUCAACUGUCGUAUUUUAAUCUCGAGAGAGUGUCGGUCGAUGUGACUUGAUGUAUAUCGACCGAUACACCUUUGUAACGAUCGACCGACAGAACGAUAGUUGCGUCGAUCGAUGGUUAUUCUAGCGAGCUUUGCGAACGGGUUUAACUUGUUCUCUAACCUUCUCAGACCAACUGUCGUUGCGCCUGAGUUAGUUAGAUCACGCAAGUGGGCUCUGGUAUUGAGGGGAAACGGUUAGUUGGACUCAAUAAAUCCUAAGAUCUAUAAUGAAGGUGAUCAAUAUCAAUUUUAGCAUUAAGUUCACAAGCAAUGAAAGAUCAAUCAAAACACCUUUUUAAAUAGUCAUAUUAGCAGUACAUAAUUUCAACCAUGGCGAGAAACCUAAAUCUAACAGUUGGCUUACUCAAACAUAUUCAUUAGAGACAAAGUCAUGAUGGUGUGAAAUAAACUCAAAUGAAACAUAGAACGCAAAUAGAUAGAGUAAUAGAAGUAAAGGAGUUCAAGAUCUUCUAUGUUUUGCAGUCUCAGAUCUAUCUCUCCAAUCCUAAGCUUUUCUAAUAAUGGUAGCCAAAAUGCUCCUUCUCCAAAACUAGGUCUUUUUGCAAGUGUCUCCUAAAAUGAUACAAAACCCUAGUACAUAUAGCCUAACAACCGGUUAGAGACUUAAGUUGCAAAUAAUAGAUCUUCUGGGAAAUGAAAUCUUUUAAUUCGCGAUCACACUCGUGUGACUGGGCAUCGAUCGAUGCACAUGUAUGUUUGUCGAUCGAUGGUAUGUGAUUAUGAUCGACCGAUGUUGCUCUUCAAACGUCGAUCGAUUCUCCUUGCGUAAAAACACUCCAAAAUGUCCCAAAAGUAUCAUUUCCUUCCAUCAUGUGAAUAAACCUGUAAUUGCUUUGAAAAGACUCUAAAACAUGAUUAAUACAUCUUAAAACUCUUAUAUACCAUGUAUAAAUAACGGGUGAAAAUCAUGGUAUAUUAACUCCCCCAGACUUAUCAUUUUACUUGUCCUCAAGUUAAAUCAGCGGACAGUCUCUCUGGAAAAGGGUUGAAAUCAUCAGGGACUCACAGAUUUGAAACAUGGAAAUCAUCACCUCCAUAAUAUUGUAUUCCACAUCUAAAAGUUCCUCAUUACAGAAAUACAUUAUGCAAUAUCCUAGCUUAGCAACCAAAGUCAUCUAGCCAACAAUCUUAACUAAUCUUCUUAUCAAUCUCCUCAAUCAACCUCAUUUCUCAAUGUAAAAAGUGUAAGCUUUACCUUGGGAGUAUCGAUCAUAGGAUGCGAGGAUUUCAGACAAGUAUCUGGAACUGCAGGUAAAAAUUAGUUCCUAAUUUCUCUCUCUCUCUCUCUAAUUUCUCUCUUGAGUCAAAGUCUGCUUCCAUUGCAGGAUCAGUGACCAAGAUUGGACAGGCUUCCAUGAAUCAAAACUUAAUGGUGGUUGCCACCAAACUCUGUUCACUUCUUUUUGACCUAUAUCCAAGAAUUCUUUGUGAAAGCGAGCCUUGAAGAUUGCCGCCUCCAAGUCAUGUUUCGAACUCUUUCAUUGGAGUCUUUAUGAAUCAAGCCUUAAUGGUUUUAGCCACCAAGUCCUGUUCAGACUCAUCCUAAGUAAACAAUAGAUCUUAUUAUUUUAAUAUUAUUAUUUUUUAUUUUUAGAAUAGAAAUAUUAAUUACUGACUAAUCUAGGGUCAAAAUUAGAGAGAGAAAUGUGUUAUAUAAUUCUACACAAGGCUUUACCUUCCAGACUUGUCUGAAGAAUCCGAUCCCAUGUAUACCAAACCCCAAGACAAGCAGUGAAGUCAGGUUAGUGUUGGAGGUUAGCUUUGGUUCUUUCUAACAAGCUAGCAAGUGUGUAUAGUUGAUUGGUUGAUCCACUUUAGCAUCUAUAGUACUAUCUGCAAUCAAUAAAUCUAGAGUGGUGCUAGAAAGUGGUUAGACAUUCAAGUAGAAAUCAUUAGUUCAUAAUCCCCUUCUCGACUCAAUAAAAUUAUUUUUGAAAAGAUUUUUGACAAAAACUCAAGAAAGUGGUGUUAGUAACUACCUCCCCCAGACUUAAAUUGCACCGUCUCGGUGCAAAGUGCCCAAGGGUAGGUUAAAAAAAAAGAAACAAGUUAGAUGUGUGAGAAUGUUAGAGUAAAAUGAAGUACCUAUCCGCACUAUGCAUCGAUCGAUGUAAUCCUCUCCAUAUCGAUCGAUGUUACUUGCCGAGAAUCGAUCGAUGUAAUCCUCUCCAUAUCGAUCGAUGGCGAAGCACAGAAAUUUUGCAUGUGCUUGGAUUCGAACUUGAAGUUCCUGCCUAAUGUUAGCUCGGUUAGACAACCAAGCAUAAGAAUAAUAAGCAUUCACAAACAUAAGAUAUAAGUAUAAAAACUUAAAUCCUACAAGUUCAGAAAAUAAAGAGACAAGUCCAUAAUAGGAGGAUAAUAGAUAGAGAUAUUAGGACUAGUCGGUGUCCUUGUCAGUCGCCUCAUCGUCCUCCGGGGAAGGGUCCCUGUACGCUGCUGGUGGUGCUGGCGCCUGCGCUCCUAUAGCUCUCCCGCUCCGAAAAGACACUCUAGCCCAGAUGGCCCGAAGAGCGUCCACCACGAACCUCUGAAAGUCUCCCUGGUCGUGCAUGGGGAUGUCUGGUAUGUUCGGGAAGUCGGGGAGCGGCGGUGCCUGUGCGUCCUGAGCUCUGGCGCGGCGAAUGCUGGGAGGUCUGUUCGACAUGUUCCGGGGGUUGCGGAGAAAUGCCUCGUCUGGCAUGCAUCAAAGCUGCUCCACGCUGUUCCCAAAAUCAGUGAUCCUCCUGUCCGGUAGGGGUAGAAGGCGAUUCUCACUGCGGAUCCUGAAACGCCAAAGUUUCCCUUCCUCGAGCCAUAGCGAGUGCACCAAGUGCUGCUCGUUGAGGAAGGCGUGGUCGCGGUCGGCAGAGCGAGGGUCGAGGCGGAUGCCGAGGUACUGGAAAAUCUGGGUCAGAAGACUCCCAACUGUCUCCUUCAUCUUACCCUUUCUGUUGAAAGGCUUCUUCUUCAACUCCACCAAGUGCGCGGCAAAGACCAGUCCGAGGUUUGGCGGGUUCACUUCGCCGUCCUCAUCCAACUCAACCAUAUCCACCACGCCAUUCACUGCACAGAAAAGUAAUGUGAGCUCCUUUAUCCUGACCUUGUUGGGCUCCAUCUUGCAAACCAGUGUGUUUGCAAAGAGCCGUAGGAAGUAGCGAAGUGCAGGAUGGCGGAUGUCUGAUAGCACGGCCCUGUUUGUGUCCCAAACUCCUGUGCCGACGAUGUCCCAGAAUCUCUCGAGGUGUAGGAAUGGUGGGACCGUGUGGGAGGCGACGUUCUCCUCGAAACCGUAGAUGCGGCAGAGCUCGGGGAUUGUGAUCCUGUAGCGUGUCCCUCUGGCAAAGAAGGUCAAAGUACCAUCUCGCGCUACCCUCGCUGAUGAAGUCCUGUAGGUGACCUCGACGGUGGCCAUGAACUGGCGGACGAGAUCGGGGUAGAGGUCGUAAGCGCGAGAGGGCAUGGUGCCGAGUCCGAGCUGUGUGAUCAUAUCGUGAACAUCUCUCUCGAUCCCGAGCUUCUUUAGGAUGGGCCGGUCGAGGAAUUUGGUGGGCUCGAUAGAGACUCCCAGUCAAGCAUUGUAGAAGAGGCUGUCGAAGUCGUCCCAGUUGCCGGACAGGGGACGGUGGCGACACUCGUUACUGUUGAUCGCUGCUCUAGGAUCAUCAUAGCCUGCGACAUCGAAGGGUGUGUUUUCGGUGCGAGGCCAUGGAGGGCGCUAUGGGUUGUUGGAGCUGCUGGUCUCGUCGAAUCUCCUUUUCGACCUGAUUUCUCUGUUUCGAGCAUUUGUGUGUGAACUGCUCAUCUGAAACCAAGAAUAAAAGAAAGUUAGUAUUGUCGAUAAAAGUUAAUAUCGAUCGGUGGGUUAUACUGCAUAUCGAUCGAUAUUGUCGAGUCGGAACAAUCGAACAAGAGAGAGCAUCGGUCGAUGCGAACGAGUUCAUAUCGACCGAUGUCGAAUCGCGAAACCUGUAACAUCACUCAACUCCAAAUCGCGUUUAUAGGAGUUAAAAGGCAAAGAAAUCACAAACGGAACUCUAGAUAAGCAAUAUGAACUACAAAAACAUCUCUCAAUCACACCAAAUCAAGCGUUCUAGUCCAACUCAAAACGAAAACUCUAAUUUUUCAAAAAAUUGAAAAUUUCGAGUGCAUACCUUGAAUGUUGGUUUCGAGAGUGGAUUUAACAGUUCCAGAGUGAAAAAUCGAGUAGAUUAAGGCGAAGAACGGACGAAAUCCGUUAAGAAAUCAGAGAGAAAAGGGUUGUUUUUGUUUUCGGUUUCGGUUGCGAAUGAGGAAGAGGAACAGACUGAUAUCUUAUGAAAUAAGGGUUUUCACCGUCGAUAUGCCUGCAUCGAAUGAUGGCAGUGAUGCCUCGUCGAUUGAUGUCAUUUUCAAAGACAAAUCCUAAUUUCUAAAUCUCCUAAAUAAUGCUAAUAAUAAAAAGAAAUACGAAAAUUACUAUUAAAUAUAAAAAUUACUAUUAGAUAUAUAUUUUUAAUUUUUUUUUAAAUAAAAUGGGUUGCCUCCCAUUCAGCGCUUAAUUUUUAAGUCUUUACCUCGACUUCGUGAUUAAGCUAAUUAUCAGGUUCAUACAGCACCAUGGGCGUUUUUGCUGGUGGUUUUGCCCAAUAAUGCUUAACUCGUUGGCCGUUCACUGUAAAUUCCUGGCCUUUAUCAUUUUGUAAGGUGAUAGCUCCGGAGGGUUGAACGUUUGUUACGGUGAAGGGUCCAGACCAACGGGAUUUUAGCUUUCCAGGAAAUAAAGUUAAUCUAGAGUUAUAAAGGAAGACUUGAUCAUCCGGUUCGAUGUGCCGGGAUAUGAUCUUUUUAUCGUGAUAAGCUUUAGUCCUUUCUUUAUAAAUUUUCGAAUUUUCGAAAGCUAAAUGUCUGAUUUCAUCAAGCUCGUUAAGCUGGAUGAGUCUCCUUUCUGCAGGUGGUUUGAUAUCAAAGUUCAAAAGUUUGGUAGCCCAAGCUGCUUUGUGUUCCAGUUCGACUGGUAAAUGACAUGAUUUGCCAUAAAGGAGGUUGAAUGGUGUUGUUCCUAACGGCGUUUUGUAGGCGGUCCUGUAGGCCCAAAGUGCAUUAUCUAGUUUCCUAGACCAAUCUUUUCUGGAGGUUCCUACGGUUUUCUCUAAGAUUUCCUUAAUUUGCCGGUUAGAGACUUCUACUUGUCCACUGGUUUGUGGGUGGUAAGGUGUGGCUACUCUAUGAUGAACACCAUUCUUUUUAAGCAAUCUAUCAAAGAUUUUGUUAAUGAAAUGAGUUCCACCGUCACUAAUGACUACUCUUGGAACUCCAAAUCUUGGAAAGAUUAUACUCUUGAAGAGUUUAAUAACCACAGAUGCGUCAUUGGUAGGAGAAGCUACUGCUUCGACCCAUUUGGAUACGUAGUCUACAGCGACUAGUAUAUAUUUGUUUCCAUAUGAAGACGGGAAGGGUCCCAUAAAAUCGAUACCCCAGCAAUCAAAGACUUCAACUUCAAGAAUGAACUUCUGUUCCAUUUCGUGUCUUUUUCUGAUUUUUCCACGUCUUUGGCAUCAGUCACAUUGGGUUAUAAAUGCGUGGGCAUCGCGAAAAGUGGUCGGCCACCAAAAUCCUGCUUGGAGGAUUUUCGAAACCGUUUUAAAGGUAGCGAAAUGUCCUGCAUAAUCAGCUCCGUGACAUUGGUAAAUAAUGUCCGAAACUUCAGCUUCGGAUACGCAUCAUCUGUAUAUGCCAUCAGAACAAUGCUUAUAGAGGUAAGGUUCAUCCCAAUGAUAGCGUCUUACUUCUCUGAAAAAUUUCUUCCUCAUAUAUCCCUUGAGUUCGUCUGGCUCAACCUCAGCUGCCAAAUAGUUAACUAUGUCGGCAUACCAGGGUCGGUUAUUCGAGUUUCUACCAAUCACGUCUACCUCCCGUUGUGAUAAUUCCUCAGGUGUAUGAUUAAUCUCAUCACCGGAAACAUUAACUUGUAAAUUGAAAUUGAUUUUAAUAGACGAGGGUUCGUGAUCUUUGUUAUUCGAGAGUUGAGAAGUUACAUCAUUUUCGUCAUCGAUCGAUGUAUCACUACGUAAAUUGACCGAUAUACCAUCUCUCUCAUCGAUCGAUAGAUCUUCAGAUGUGAGAGAUAUUUGACCGACGAAAGAUGUAUCUAUGUGUGCAACAUUCUCUGUGGGGAAGAAAUCGUCUAUAGGGACAUCAUCCUCUAUUCUUAUCCGGGAAAGAUGGUCAGCGACUCCAUUAUCUACUCCUCUCUUAUUCUUAAUCUCAAUGUCAAACUCUUGGAGUAGUAGAAUCCAGCGUAUGAGUCGAGGUUUAGUGAUAUACCAUGAUUUUCACCUGUUUUUAUACAUGGUAUAUAAAGGUUUUAAAAUGUAUUAAUCAUGUUUUAGAGUCUUUUUAAAGCAAAUACAGGUUUAUUCACCUGAUGGAAGGAAAUGAUACUUUUGGGACAUUUUGGAAUGCUUUUACGCAAGGAAAAUCGAUCGACGCUUGAAGAGCAACAUCGGUCGAUCAUAAUCACUUACCAUCGAUCGACAUACAUUUAUGUGCAUCGAUCGAUACCCAGUCACACGGAUGAAAUCGCAAAUUAAAAGAUUUCAUUUCCCAGAAGAUCUAUUAUUUACAACUUAAGUCCCUAGCCGCCUGUUAGGCUAUAUGUACUAGGGUUUUGUAUCAUUUCUAGCAGACACUUGCAAAAAGACCUAGGUUUGGAGAAGGAGCAUUUUGGCUACCAUUAGGAGAGCUUAGGAAUGGAGAGAUAGAUCUGAAACUGCAAAACAGAGAAGAUCUUGAACUCCUUUAUUUCUAUUACUCUUUCUAUUUGUGUUCUAUGUUUCAUUUGAGUUUAUUUCACACCAUCGUGACUUUGUCUCUCAUGAAUAUGUUUGAGUAAACCAAUUGUUAGAUUUAGGUUUCUCACCAUGGUUGAAAUUAUGUACUGCUAAUAUGACUGUUAAAAAGGUGUUUUGAUUGUUCUUUCAUUGCUUAUGGACUUAAUGCUAAAAUUGAGAUUGAUCACCUUCAAUUUAGAUCUUAGGAUUAAUUGAGUCCAACUAACCGUUUCUCCUCAAUACCUGAACCCAUUUGCGUGAUCUAACUAACUCAGGCGCAACGACAGUUGGUCUGAGAAGGUUAGAGAACAAGUUAAACCUGUUCGCAAAGCUCGCUAGAAUAACCGUCGAUCGACGCAACUAUCGUUCUGUCGGUCGAUCGUUACAAAGGUGUAUCAGUCGAUGUACAUCAAGUCACAUCGAUCGACACUCUCUCGAGAUCAAAGUACGACAGUUGAGAUCCGAGAUCUAGUGAAGAUAACCUAUCCGGUUAAAUCAAUGUUUAGUUCAAGAACCAUUAAACCCUUUAGUCUAAACUAAGUGCAUAUAUUUUAUACCUGAGAAUUGCCUGAAUCUAGCUGCUUUCCGAAUCUUGAAACCACUUCAAUUCAAUCUAUUGAAUCACUGUUGUUUUUGAUUUAUCAUUUACUGCUUUUAAGACUAUUAAAACCUUUUAGUCUAUCUUCAUUUCUAAUUAUUUAAGUCUGCUGAGUAAUCCUAGAAUCUCUGUGGAUUCGAUCCCUAAGUACUACAUCUGAACCUCUUUUGAUAAGAGUAACACUCUUUAGGGUAAUUUGAGUGAUAUCAAAUUUGGCGCCGUUGUCGGGGACUCUUUCUUAUUACCAUUAGAUUUAAUUUAGAAUUUAGUAUAGACUUGUUACAAAAAUCUUGCUAAAGUUUUCUUUCUUAAUCUGUUACUCAGACACAAAGAAUGGAGAACAAAGAGCGCGACCAACCAUCGCUCGACGGUGACACGUUUCCAUCGAGCGACGAUGAGUCAGAAGAAUCGACCGAUACGGAGUCGCCAACAUCGAUCGAUACCGCCCAGCCGGAAGCAGGUAAGUUUUCUCUUACCAAGCAUGCCAAUGAGAAAGUAGUCCAAACUGAACUAUAUGGUCAAACGAGCAAUGAAACUGCCAAACUGAACAGGGGACUGAAAUCCCUGUUAAGGAAAAUUCCACCUUAACUAAAGGUGAAGAUAUAAAAUUGUCCAUACAAGACUACCUUGAUCCUGGUAGGACCUAUUCCAAUAGGUCCGCUAUUAAAAUACCAGGAGACGAUACCAAUAAAUCUAAGUUUAACGGAGAUUACUACCGUAUGGUUCGUCAAAACCCAUUUCGUGGAUCUCUCCCAGAACACCCACAAGAUCACAUUGAAACUUUGGAAGAAUUAAUACCAGAUGAAUAUGAUCGUUGCAAACUAUUCUCAUUCUCCCUAGAAGGAGAAGCCCUCAGGUGGCUAAACUGUUUAGCAACAGGAUCACUCACUUGUUGGGAAGAGAUUAGAAGAGCUUUCCUUAGAGAAUUUUUCACUGAUGAACGCUACUGGGAAGUAAGAAAACAAAUUUCUACAUUUCGCCAAGGUCCACGCGAAUCAUUUAAAAACGCUUGGGGAAGAUUCAGAGGCUAUGAACUUGAAUGUCCCCAUCAUGGUUAUUCAGAACCACAACUUCUUAACAUCUUUUAUGGAGGUGUUAAUUUGAGCUAUAAAACCACACUCCAUACAGCGAGUGAUGGAAAUUUCAUCACUAGGAAUCCCGAAGGAGCUAGACGCCUUAUCAAGAAUAUGACAACGGGAAGAUCCUAUGAAAAGAUGGAUGAAGAGAUAGAAAAAACUACAAGUCCAAAAGACAAUUCUGAUUUAAUAGAAAUUAAAAAUUUCCUUAAAUCCCUUCAUUCCUUUCUUCAAAACAAACACCGAUCUGAUAUAGCCCAGAUCGACGACAACGCUUUGUCUGACACCGAUGAUUAUUCGGAUGAAGCAACGAACUGCUCUGAUCCCGACUCUGUGCUUCAUGUCGAGAGCUUUACCCAAGCUUAUGACACUGCUUUAAAAUCACGUACCGGAAGAGAAAGGUUCAAUAUCUGACAAGCUCUUACUGGCAACCGUAAGACAAGAUCGGAGUUUUACGGAAAGAUAAAUAUGGUUUACGGAGAAUUGAUGGAGAAAGCAGAUUCUUUAGGAGAACUAAUCCGAUAAUUAGAAGGUCAAGUAGCUGAGAUUGCAACUGCCAUAAAGAGAGACGCUGGAUGUCUUCCCGGAAGAACUGAUCUAAACCCAAGACGUCAAGUCAGUGCCGUAAUGCUGCGCAGCGGGAAAAACCUCGCAGCAGAUACGAGGAAUAAUUCAGAUGUUGGAAAGCCUGACGACGCCGACAAGACCGGGAAAAGCAACUUUCAUCCUAUUCUUCUUAAUGAUCUUGACCCAAAUCCAUCUCAAGAGAACCGGAAAACCACCACUGAAACGGCUAAGGAAAAGACAAUAGACUUAGAACUAGAAGAAGAUAUGGAGAUUGAGAAUGAAAUCGAUCGACAGUACGGAACUGUCGUCGAUCGAUCCAAAACACCUACCAUCGAUCGACAACCUGAAAAACCCGUCGAUCGACAACCUGAAAAACCCGUCGAUCGACGGUCUACUCAACCCGAGCCCAUAAUUGAAAGAGUCUAUAGAACUUUACCACCUUUUCCUCCUAAAACGCAAACUAAGAAAUCAUUAGAAAAUGCAAUCUGCAAGAAAGCCUUAGAUAAGAUUACUGUCGAGAUGUCCCUUAGUGAUGCUAUAAAAAUAGCACCUUCAAUUAAGAAGUAUAUAAAGGAUAUGACAUCUCCAAACUAUCCGAUUGCAGAACAUAGCGUGAUGAUGAUUUCAGAAGAAGUAAGUGCUAUGAUUAAAGGAGAAACUCCAACGAAGAGAUCAGAUCCUGGUAGUUUCGUCCUAGAUUGUAAAAUAGAAGACACGCGCUUCCUUAGAUCAUUAUGUGACCUCGGCUCUAGCGUGAACCUUAUGCCUUACUAUGUUGCAGUGACGUUAGGAUAUAAAGAGUUUAUGCCAACUCCGAUCACCCUGGUUUUAGCUGAUAGAUCUAUUAGGGUACCCGAAGGAAUUCUCAAAGAUGUUCCCAUAAAGAUUAACGAUUGCAUCGUGCCUACGGAUUUUGUUGUGUUGAAAUACAGACAAGGAUCCAAAGACCCCCUCAUUCUGGGUCGGCCAUUCCUAGCUACAGCUGGAGCAAUCAUUGACGUCAAAGAAGGACGAAUUAAUUUGAACAUAGGGGAUAUCUUGAUGACUUUUGAUAUGGAAAAACUGAUUAAGCGACCCCUAAUAGAUGACCAGGCCUUCUACGUGGAAAAAGUUUCUGAGGAUGAAAGAGACUCUUUCAUAAACAUGUGUUCAGACAACCCCUUAGAAGACACCCUUAACCACGUGGAAAAUGAAGUUUUUGGCAUAUCAGAUAGGACAGACGAUUACAUGCAACUAAUGGACGCUAGCAUCGACGUUGCAAACGUAGAAGAAAAUGACGAUUCCGAAGUUGUCAUCGAUCGAUACCUUCAAGAUACCGUCGAUCGACAACCUCCCUCGCAAUCAAAUUAGUCUAAAGAUAAAGCACCAAAGGUAGAAUUAAAACCUCUACCCAGCGGUCUUAAGUACGCUUACCUUUAUGACCAGUCCUACCCUGUUAUUGUCAACGCCAAUCUCACUAGUGGAGAACUUGCUUUAUUGCUGAAUAAAUUACGCAAGUACAGGAAAGCGAUCGGGUAUUCUCUCGAUGACAUUCCUGGAAUCUCUCCCGAUCAUUGCAUGCAUCGGAUUAACUUGGAAGAUGACGCUAAAACGUCAAUAGAACAGCAAAGGAGAUUGAAUCCGAAUCUAAAGGAAGUAGUUAAAAAGGAAAUUAUAAAACUCCUUGAUGCUGGAGUUAUUUACCCUAUUUCGGAUAGUAAAUGGGUAAGCCCCAUACAUGUUGUACCCAAAAAGGGAAGUAUCAUUGUAGUGAAGAAUGAAAAGGACGAACUCAUUCCGACUCGUACCAUUACUGGUCAUCGGAUGUGCAUUGAUUAUAGGAAAUUGAAUGCCGCUACUAGGAAAGACCAUUUUCCCCUUCCCUUUAUUGAUCAGAUGCUGGAGAGAUUAGCUAAUCACCAGUAUUACUGUUUUCUUGAUGAAUAUUCCGGAUUUUUCCAAAUUCCUAUACACCCGAAUGAUCAAGAAAAGACAACGUUUACAUGCCCCUAUGGAACUUUCGCAUAUCGCAGAAUGCCAUUUGGUCUAUGUAAUGCCCCCGCUACUUUCUGAUACCACUCAAAUUACCCUAAGGAGUGUUACUCUCAUCAAAAGAGGUUCAGAUGUAGUACUUAGAGAUCGAAUCCACAAGGAGCUAGGGAACAAUUGAAUCUAGUGUUUAUUAAUUUUAAAGGUUGUAAAUGUUUAAAUGGAAUAGCAAUAGUAACAAGCGAGUAAAUAAUAAAUGUAACUUGGUUGGAAAUGGUAUUAGAUGCAGAGCCACUAUUCAGGUGUUGGAGAUUAUAAUACCUAUAGAUGCCUAACUGUUGCAUGCAUGAUAUAUUAGAGCUCAUUCGCUUAACUCAGUGAUCAGCUGUCGCAUGUACCACUGGUUAACAGACUAGAUCUCGUGUCUCACCGGUUAGUAUGCAGACACAAGGCCUAUACGCGAGUAUGAAAUGCUGUACUAAGAUUCUAAAUUGGCGGUUAGCCCUCUCUAGCAAUCCUAAUAUGAUAGAUAGAUGUCAGGAUGGGAUAAAAAGGGUGCUUGAAUAUGCAAUCCUAUGAUCAAAUUCUAGUUAGCUAGGCUAAAACAAGCAAUGAAUACAAAUCUAUCAUGAAUAUUACAACAAGGCAGAUCUAUAGUUUGGGGCUAAUCCCACAAACCUAUCUGAACCCUGGAUCUAACAGUUGAACUACUCAGACAUAGCAAAUAAAUUCAUAUCAAUAGAUAAAUAAAAACUCAUAGAAUAGACGAAAAGAAAUAGAAACAAGGAGUUCCAAUCACAAGUGAUCUUCUCUCCCAAAUGAAACUUGUAACAAAACUAGGUCUAGAAAAAGCUCUGUUCUUCUGCUGUCAAAAACACUAGGCAGUAUAUAUUCUACUAGGUUAAAAACUCGUCAGGACAUUUUUGUAAUUUGGCUUGGCCUUGGUUUUUAAGUCUUCUGAAUCCAAAAUGUCGCGUCUGGUGUCUCGACAUCGAUCGAUGGUACUUGUGUACAUCGAUCGAUAUUAAUCUUCAUCUGUCGAGGCAUUUCCUGAUAUCGAUCGUCAGCACUGAUGCGCAUCGAUCGAUUAUUCUUCCUCUCGUCGACCUCUAAGUGGUCAUCUCGGGUGAAAUGUCCUUUAACCUCCAAAAUGCUCCAAAGUCAUAGCUUUACUCCGAAAUGCACCUGAACCUGAAAACAUACCUAGAAGAGUAGAAAACAUAUAUAUAUAUAUAUAGUAAAACACUUAUAUACCAUGGAUAAAAAUGGGUCAAAUCCAAGGUAUAUCAACUCCCCCAGACUUACCCUUUUGCUUGUCCUCAAGCAAAACAUACAGGCAGUCUCUCUGAAAGAGGUUUGAAAAUAUUUAGGGAUUUAAGAUUUUAAAACAUUGAAAUCUUUCCUAAACAAUUUUGCAACCACAUUUAAAAAGUCCUAAUCACAAAAGCACACUAUGCAAUAUCCUAGCUUAGCAACCUUUUCUAACAUAACACAACUCAUCAAUUCAUGUCUGACAUCCCCUCUCAUGAUUUCAUUUCUUAGCAUAAAUAUAAAGUGAAUGCUUUACCUUGGGAGUAUCGAUCACAUGAUGCAAGGAUUUCAGACAGAUAUCUGGAGCUGCAGGUAAAAGUUAGUUCCUAUUUUCUCUCUCUCUAAAUUUCUCUCUUGAGUCAAAGUCUGCUUCCAUUGCAGGAUCAGUGACCAAGAUUGGACAGGCUUCCAUGAAUCAAAACUUAAUGGUGGUUGCCACCAAGUUAUGUUCACUUCUUUUUGACCUAUAUCCAAGAGUUCUUUGUGAAAGCGAGCCUUAAAGAUUGCCGCCUCCAAGUUCCAUUUCGAACUCUUUUAUUUGAGUCCUUAUGAAUCAAGCCUUAAUGGUUUUAGCCACCAAGUCCUGUUCAGACUCAUCCUAAUUAAACAAUAGGUCUUAUUUAUAUUUUUUUAUUUAUUUUAUUUUUAUUACAUAUAUAUAUAUACAUAUUUUAAUACUCACUAACUAAUCUAGGGUCGAAAUUUAGAGAGAGAAAAUGUGAUAAAUAAUCUAAACCUGGCGUUACCUUCCAGACCUAAUGAACUCCUAGGAUGUUUCUUUGGAUUGAACUGGAUAGAUCCCUUGUAUAAACGAAUCAGAGACUCAAGUUUAUCAAGGAGAUGGAUCGUAUGGUGACACAAAGAGUUGCGGAAAGACUCCUUGAUACUCCUAGAUGACUAGCUUGGAUAUUACACACCAAAAUAGACACCCUUAGUUGUUGGAUAUGACACACCAACGGAAUUCACUCAAGACUUGAUGAGAAGUAAAGAGAGAACAAAGAAAUCUGAUAGAUUUUUGUAGGAAAAGAUUGUGUCUAAAAGAGAGAGCGCAUACAAGCUUAUAUAGAGAAGUAUGGAACAGGCUCCAUAUUCUCGAGAUCAUUAAAGGGAACAGGCUCCCUUGGAACUACAACAAAGACUAAAGACUUAUUCAAAUUUGAAAAGAGUUUAAAACAUGAAAUAAAAAACCAUAGUUUAAAAAUAACAUAAGGUGGAACCAUGAUACAUCAUCUAAGGUUUAUGUAAGUAACUUGUGGCCUCAUUAAAAAUCUGCCUUUGGAAAACCCAAUGGGACAAAACCAAAGGUUAGGAAAAGAGCACACACAAGCACUUGCUUAGAUGAUGAUCAGUUUGAAACAAUUGCUUGAAUGGUGAUAAGAGUGUCUUGAUUGAUCAAACGUCCUUCAAGGCUGUCUUCUUGCUUCCAUGAGAUCAUAAGUAUACUUCCAACAGCUUCUUUGAGUCUUCUAGCUUUGGCACGAGUGAUGGGACCUGGUGGAAUGACUAAGGCAUCCUCUUCUUCACUUGAUUUGUCUUUGAGCUCUUCAUCUCCAUCCUUGUGCUGGUCCAUGAUCAUAUCAUCCCCUCCCUCUUGAAAAGGAUUUGUCCUCAAAUCUGGCUCAUCAGCAAAAUAAGGAAUCAAGUCAGUGAUAUUAAAACUAUUGCUCACAUCAUACCUUCCUUGGAGAUCCAGCUUGUAAGCAUUGUUGCCGAUUUUCUUUAUGAUCUCAAAUGGUCCAUCAAUUCUUGGCAUGAGCUUGGAUUUCCUCUCAUUAGGAAAUCUUUCUUUCCUUAGGUGAAUCCAGACUUGAUCACCCACUUCAAUGACUCUUUCACGCCUUCCCUUGUUUGCUUGUUUGGCAUAUUGCUUAGUCUUCUCUUCUAUGUUGCGCCUUGCUUGUUCAUGAAGCUGUUGUACCUUCUCUGCCUUUUUCUUGCCAUCAAGACUAACUCUUUCACACUCAGGUAAAGGUAUUAGAUCCAAAGGAGAGAUGGGAUUGAACCCAUAAACAAUUUCAAAUGGAGAAAACUUAGUAGCAGAAUGCACAGCAUGAUUAUAUGCAAAUUCACAAUGAGGCAAACAAUCUUCCCAUGAUUUCAAGUUCUUCUUUAUGAUUGCACGCAAGAGUGUACCAAGAGUUCUAUUAACUACUUCAGUCUGACCAUCAGUUUGUGGAUGACAAGUAGUAGAAAACAAUAGCUUAGUGCCUAGUUUAGACCAAAGAGUUUUCCAAAAGUAGCUUAGAAACUUAGUAUCUCUAUCAGAUACAAUAGUCUUAGGCAUGCCAUGUAAGCGCACAAUCUCCUUAAAGAACAAGUUAGCUAUAUGCAAUGCAUCAUCAGUUUUAUGACAAGCAAUGAAGUGUGCCAUCUUAGAAAAUCUAUCAACUACCACAAAGAUUGAAUCUUUACCAGUACGAGUUCUAGGCAAUCCAACAAUGAAGUCCAUAGAGAUAUCAUUCCAAGGAUGAUAAGGGAUGGGUAAAGGAGUAUACAAACCAUGGUUUUGGACUUUGGACUUAGCUUGUUUACAAGUUGCACACCUUUCACAAAGUCUUUCCACAUCUCUUUUCAUCAGCGGCCAGUAGAAGUGAUCCUGCAAGGUCUUGAGAGUUUUUGCAACACCAAAAUGUCCCAUGAGACUUCCUCCAUGAGAUUCCCUAACAAAUAAAUCUCUCAAAGAACAAUUAGGCACACAAAGUCUAUUAUCAUAGAAAAGAAAUCCAUCCUGCCUAAAGUAAUGUCCAGCAGCAAAUUUCUCACAAGACUUGUAAGCAUCUUUAAAAUCAGGAUCAGUUUCAUACAUACCUUUAAUCUGCUCAAAACCCAACAGUUUGACAUCAAGAGUGUUUAAGAGAGCAUACCUUCUAGAUAGUGCAUCAGCAACUAUAUUCUCUUUACCUUGUUUGUACUUGAUCACAUAAGGGAAAGUUUCUAUGAAUUUAACCCACCUUGCGUGUCUCUUACUGAGCUUGUUCUGUCCUUUUAGAUACUUGAGGGACUCGUGGUCUGUGUGUAUGACAAAUUCUUUGGGCCAUAGAUAAUGCUGCCAAGUCUGCAAAGCCCUUACUAAAGCAUAUAGCUCUUUGUCAUAAGUUGCAUAGUUGAGAGUAGCUCCUCCACGCUUCUCACUAAAGUAUGCAAUAGGUCUUUUCUCCUGCAUCAACACAGCACCCACACCUAUACCAGAAGCAUCACAUUCUAUCUCGAAAGUUUUAUUAAAGUCAGGUAAAAUAAGGAGAGGAGAAUGAGUGAGCUUCUCUUUAAGGCAUUGGAAAGCAGUUUCCUGUGGCUCUCCCCAUUUGAAUCCCACAUCUUUCUUGAUUAUCUCGGUCAGUGGAGCUGCAAUGGUGCUAAAAUCCUUGACAAAGCGCCUGUAGAAGCCAGCCAACCCAUGAAAGCUUCUUACUUCACUCACAGUAGCAGGAAUUGGCCACUCCUUGAUUGCUUUGAUUUUCUCCUGAUCCACCUUAACUCCCUCUGCACUUACAACAAAACCUAGAAAGACCAAGUUAUCCGUUCCAAAAGUACACUUCUUAAGGUUAGCAAAAAGAGAUUCCUUUCUAAGCGCAUCAAGAACAGCUCUAAGAUGUCCUAUAUGAUCAUUAAAGCUCUUACUGUAUACCAGGAUGUCAUCAAAGUAUACCACAACAAAUUUGCCAAUGAAUGAUCUAAGAACAUGAUUCAUUAAUCUCAUGAAUGUACUAGGUGCAUUGGUUAAUCCAAAUGGCAUGACUAACCACUCAUAUAAACCAUGUUUAGUUUUGAAUGCAGUUUUCCAUUCAUCUCCUUCUUUCAUCCUAAUCUGAUGGUAACCACUUUUCAAAUCAAUCUUAGAAAAUAUGCAAGAACCAUGCAAUUCAUCAAGCAUAUCAUCUAAUCUAGGAAUAGGAUGGCGAUACUUUACAGUGAUAUUGUUGAUGGCUCUACAAUCAACACACAUGCGCCAGCUUCCAUCCUUCUUAGGCACAAGAAGUACUGGUACUGCACAUGGGCUCAUGCUUUCACGGAUAUGCCCCUUUGCCAUCAGAUUGAUUUUGUCCCUGGUUCUACACUUCCAAAUAGGCCAGCUUAUAGGACUAAUCCCGUGGAGACUACAAUCCCUCUAAGAGGUGGAAGACCUUGAGGAGUUUCUUCUGGAAACACAUCUAUAUAUUCCUGUAAAAGAUACUCAAUUUCACUCGGAUAUACCGGUGUUGGGUUAGUAACAUUCAAAUGAGACUCUUUAAAGAUAAGUAAAAGAAUGGAUUGAUGAGCAUUGAGAGUUCUUUUGAUAUCACCCGAGUUGGCAUAGAAACUAUGCUGCUUCUUUGAAUCAGGUUUGAGGUCUAUUUCUUUCUUCUUUUGUAGCUGCAGUUGAUCUUGGUGAACCUCCUUUGGUGUUAGAGGAACCAGCACAGUCUUCUUCCCUUUGAACUCAAACGUGUGCUUGUUGGUGUAGCCAUCAUGUAUCACUCGUCUAUCUGAUUGCCAUGGCCGACCAAGAAGGAUAUGUCCAGCUUCCAUAGGCAGUACAUCACAGAGAACCUCAUCCUCAUACCUUCCAAUUGCAAUGGGAACCGAAACCUGACUAGAAACCCUCAUUUCUCCUUCUUCAUUCAACCAUUGAAGCCGGUAGGGCUUUGGAUGUUUCUGUACUUGGAGGCCAAGCUUCUUUACCAUAGUUUCACUAGCUACAUUCACACAACUUCCUCCAUCAAUGAUAAGACUACAGACCUUUCCUUGCACAAGGCACCGAGUGUAGAAUAGAUUCUCUCUCUGUUCUUGCUCUUCAGCUUUACUUUGCAAACUCAAAGUUCUUCUAGCCACCAAUAGCUUUCCUCUCACGGGUUCUUCUUCAUAUUCUUCUUCAGUAAGCGCCUUAUACUCAGACUCUGAAAGCUCAUCCUCAGAUUCAUACUCUCCAUUCUCAAGAAGAAUCAUGAUUCUUUUAUUGGUGCACUCAUUUGCAUAAUGGCCUCUACCCUGACACUUAAAGCACUUAACAUCUCUAGCUCUUGCACUUGAAACCUCAGCCUUUCCUUUAUCCUUACUGUAAAUGGGAUUUGGCUUUGAAUCUUCUUUCAGUUGCGGUUUGCUUUCCUUUUGAUAGCUAGACUUUUCUUCUUUAGUUCCCUGAAGUCUGGUGUUGUAACGAGAGUGAGAAUGGCCCUUCCUUUUAACUUGUUGCUCAACUAGUAUAGCUUUGUGAAGCAUCUCCUCUAUCUCCACAUAGUGCUGCAUCUCCACGUUAUCUUGUAUCUCUCGGUUGAGACCUCCUAAGAACCUAGCCAUAGUAGCUUCUUUAUCUUCAGAAACACGAGCUCUCAGCAUCAACAACUCCAUGUCUUGAUAGUAUUCUUCAACAGACCGAGAUCCUUGGGUGAGUCUUCUUAACUUCUGGUGCAAGUCGCGAUGAUAGUGAUUUGGCACAAAUCUUUUACGCAUGAGAGCCUUCAUCUCGUGCCAUGUUUCAACGGGAUACUCUUGGUUAAGUCUUCUGGAAGUCACAAGCUGAUCCCACCAACUCAACGCAUAGUCAUGAAACUCGGUUGCUGCUAUCUGAAUUCUUUGGGCAUUGGUGUAGUGCUUACAGUUAAACACCAACUCCAUCUUCUUUUCCCAUUCCAAGUAAGCAUCCGGAUCAACUUUGCCAUAGAAAGGAGGUAUCUUCAGCUUUAAACCAGCAAGAUCAUCUCUGUAAGUUCUCCUUUCAUCAUGAUCUCUUCUAUAUCUCCUUCUACUAUCUCUAGAAGAGGAACUGCUGCGCGUGGCUCGGUUGCGCUCAUAGUAGGGGUCUGUUUCUUGUGAUUCAGCAUGCUCUCGUGGGGUUUCAUCACGUCUUUCUCGUCUAGACUCAUUGCUAUGACCUUGGCCAGUAGCUUGCCUUAUCUCUUGCCUUAUUUCAUCGCGAAGUUCCUUCAUACUGCUCUUGAUCAUAUUAGCAACGGUAGUGAUCAUCGUUUGGUUUAAUUGCUCAGUCAUCUGAUCUCUCAAUAACCUGUUCUGUCUCACGAGUUCUGCUUCUUCUUCCGACUCAUUCACCAUGGUACCUGAUUCAGAAAACACUCAAACAAGUAAGAUGUUCACAAGAAUCAAUUCAGAACAAUUAGUCGACGCGGAAACAACUUUCAAAAGAUUCAAAAGAUAGAAAACUUGUAGAUCACGGAUUAGAGAAUUCAAAUCGACAAGACUAAGAUCAGUUCUAUCAAUUUUGGAUUUAUGCAGAUCAGAUUCAAGAUAAAUAAGAACAGAUUUAUCACAGAAACUUCACAAAUCAAAUUAUUCAGCAAGUGAUUCAACAGAUCAAGUGAUUCGAUUACUUCCUUCACACGGAUCGGAUGAGUUUGAUUCAAAAUAUGAUAAGAACACUUAGAUCUAACAGGAUUCAACACAGAUGAUUAGUAAUCAGGUGAUAUGCUACUUAGAUAAUACGAGAAACAACAACAGAUCUCAGAUCUAUCAAUGGUAAUCAAAGGAGUUGAAGAGUUUAUUUGAAACCAAAGAGAAAUCGAAAACUUCCCAAUCCAAAGCAGCUCUGAUACCACUUAAUGAACUCCUAGGAUGUUUCUUUGGAUUGAACUGGAUAGAUCCCUUGUAUAAACGAAUCAGAGACUCAAGUUUAUCAAGGAGAUGGAUCGUAUGGUGACACAAAGAGUUGCGGAAAGACUCCUUGAUACUCCUAGAUGACUAGCUUGGAUAUUACACACCAAAAUAGACACCCUUAGUUGUUGGAUAUGACACACCAACGGAAUUCACUCAAGACUUGAUGAGAAGUAAAGAGAGAACAAAGAAAUCUGAUAGAUUUUUGUAGGAAAAAGAUUGUGUCUAAAAGAGAGAGCGCAUACAAGCUUAUAUAGAGAAGUAUGGAACAGGCUCCAUAUUCUCGAGAUCAUUAAAGGGAACAGGCUCCCUUGGAACUACAACAAAGACUAAAGACUUAUUCAAAUUUGAAAAGAGUUUAAAACAUGAAAUAAAAAACCAUAGUUUAAAAAUAACAUAAGGUGGAACCAUGAUACAUCAUCUAAGGUUUAUGUAAGUAACUUGUGGCCUCAUUAAAAACCUGCCUUUGGAAAACCAAAUGGGACAAAACCAAAGGUUAGGAAAAGAGCACACACAAGCACUUGCUUAGAUGAUGAUCAGUUUGAAACAAUUGCUUGAAUGGUGAUAAGAGUGUCUUGAUUGAUCAAACGUCCUUCAAGGCUGUCUUCUUGCUUCCAUGAGAUCAUAAGUAUACUUCCAACAGCUUCUUUGAGUCCUCUAGCUUUGGCACGAGUGAUGGGACCUGGUGGAAUGACAAAGGCAUCCUCUUCUUCACUUGAUUUGUCUUUGAGCUCUUCAUCUCCAUCCUUGUGCUGGUCCAUGAUCAUAUCAAGACCUGUCUGAAGAAUCCAAUCCCAUGUAUACCAAGCCCCAGGACAAGCGGUUAUGUCAGGUUUAGUGUUGGAAAUCAGCUUUGGUUACUUCAUACGGUUCAAGGUAAGUGUGUAGUUGAUAGGUUGAUCCGCUUUAGCAUCUUUAGUGCUAUCUGCAAUCAACAAAUCUAAAAUGGUGCUAAAGAUUGGUUAGAUAUUUAUGUUUAAAUCAAUAUAGGAUUAUAGUCCAUAUUUUCAAUAGCUAAGCAUAAUUUAUUUGAAAUUCCUUUUUACAUAAGAAUAAAAUAAAUUAUAUCAGUAAAUCUCCCCCCAUACUUAAAUUACACUGUCCCAGUGUAACUCAGCCGGAGUUAUGAUGAAUAGUUUAUGAUGUACGAAAUGUAACAAGUUGGGAAGAUACAUCUGACCGGAUUAGAUAUCGAUCGAUGUGUAAGUGUCACAUCGACCGUCGUGUGGUUGCCUAUGUCGAACGAUGUCGACGUCUCGUCGUCGGUCGAUAUUCAGGUCCUCCUACUUGGGUCCCCUAAAUCUGAAAUAAAUAAAACGAAAGAAAUUAAAUGCUAGCUAAUAAAACCAAAGUAAAAUACCUAAUAGUGGGUUGCCUCCCACUCAGCGCUUGGUUAUAGUCAUUUAGCUUGACUGUGGUAGUAAUUGGCUAUUGGGUGGAGAAGCAGAUGCUUGUUGGAAAGCAAGCAUCCACGUCAUCUCUGCGCAUUCUGGACCAAGAUGCAAUGAAACUUCUUGUGGCCUCAUCAUUUAUUGUCCAUUUGUCAUCCAUCUUCUCAAGUACUUUGGAGAUGUUCGGUAGCCUUUCUUGAAUGUUGUCAAUGCUGACCUGGUGCCAGCCUAUGUGUCAUAGGCGUAUGCUGAAAGUUCUGUCAGUUCCUUUUGCAUUGACUCUACCGUCUUGUGUAUCAGCUGCUCGCCGAUUGGUGUAGACUCGGUGUCGAUCGAUGCGAUUAUGUGUUCGUUGGUCGAUCUCGGCGAGUUGCCAUCGAUCGAUUUCGCUAGCGUCCUGUCGAUCGAUGCUGAUAUCUGAUGUUGAGCUGCGAGUUGCCUCUGAAUGGCUUUGACUUCUUUUUGUAGCCAUUCUGCGUGGUUGUCUACUCCACUGAUUUUGUUGUCGAAUGGAAAGUAGAUGUCAUCGCAGCGUUUGUCAAGUCGUUCCGCCAUGGUGUCUAGAGCAGUGUAGAUCUUGGAUGUGAUCUUGUCAACCUCUGCUGCUGUGUAAGGAAGUAACUCCACAGGUUUCUUGCCAUCGAUCCAAGGUCCUCGUAACCUGUCAAUCGAUGUUGAUUUUGCCUGCAAAAAACUUUGACUAGUAAUGUUCUAAAUAUCCUUUUGGGCAUCAAGUAAUUGAUUAGACAAUUUGUUUAAAUAUGUCAUGAUUGGUGAUAUAAAACGGUCAUGCAUAUCCUCGUAAGUCCUCAGCCUCUCAUUCAUGGCUGAGACUUUGGCGUCGAGCGAUGUGAAGGUACACAUGUCGAUCGAUGUGGCUGGUUGUUGGUCCUUCUUGCGAAUGGUGUCCAGAUCUUGCUGUAGUAGCUCGAUUUUAGUGCUUAGCCAGUCCACGUUGUUGUUGAGAGGGCAAUAAACGUCGCUUAUCCUUGUGUCGAUGUAUGAUACUUCCCAUUCAUCCCUGUGUUGUGUUGAACAUUGCGGUUCUACAGGGAUCUGAGCUGUAGGAAGACUAACGUCGAUCGAUGUUUCACGUGGUGCGUCGAUCGAUGCUGAGGUCGUAGCUUCCUUCUCAAGUUGCUGACGUAAACUCUCAAUUUCUGUCCUCAUUUCUGCCAUACAUCUGAAAAGCUCAUUGUAGCCUCUAUCCAAAGGCUGAUGUGUAUCAUCUACCAAUGUUUUGAGCUCCUCUCCCAAUUUCUCCUGAGCUCCACAAAUACCAAACACCAUUUCAUCGAUUUCUUCUCUGGUGUAGAGUUCUGGUGCCAGUCUUGUGGGUGUGAAGGAAGUGGCUGGUUCUGGAAGACAGAUGUGGCUCUCCUCAAAAAGAGAUGCUCUUUCCAGUAUUUUCCUGAUGUUGUCCUUUGUGACAGGUAUCAUCUCACCAAUUACGCCUCGUGCGUGUCCACACUCAUCUCUGUAGACUCCAUACUCGUCCCUUUGUUCCCAAGUGAACUUUCUGGCUUCGUACAUGUCAAAAGCGCAGUUCCCAAAUUCAUACCGUCUGUCGAUCGACGUCGGGUCAUCCUUAUCGAUCGACAUUGGUGUUACCCUGUCAAUCGAUGUCUCCGUUGUACCGUCGAUCGAUGCUUGCACUUUUGGUUGGCGUGAUAGAUCUGGGUUGAUCUCUGUUGUGGCGACUCAUGCGUGGUUGUUAGGAUCUGUUUGAAUGACGUCUGGAGUGCCACGUUGCUGUGAGAAUAGGUUGUCAGGUCCAUUGGCUAUUUGAAGGAUGUUUGCUAUGUCCUCUCUGGACACUUGUAAAAUCCUUCCAUCCAUUGCACGUGCGUUGCCAUCUGGGUCCCUGAAAAUACCAAAUUCAUCAGGUGUUAGAAAACCGUAAUCAAUGUUCGCAUAAUCAUUCAAUUUAAAAAUAAAAAGAUUAGGGUUUAGAGUAGUAUCGAUCGAUGUAGAUACAGUCACAUCGAUCGAUGGCAGUGUAAUUUCUGCAGAACUUUUGUUCUUGAGAUGAUUACUCUUCAUGGAUUUUUCUGUUGAUGUAGAAGGAAGAGUGUUCAUCUUUUUUACUUGUGUGUUCGCUCUGAUGUGUGUAGGUGAUUUCGGGGGUGCAAAAUGAUUUAUAUAGGUAUCUAUAAACCUAGUUGGGGAGAUAAUAUUCUCAUGCUCCUGGAUUUUCGCUGCGACGCGAAUAUCAAUCGAUGUUCCUUUCGGGGUGUCGAUCGAUUUGAGCGGUUGUUUUGCUGGACGAGGGUGGGUAUCGACCGAUGUGGAGUUCACAGCGUCGAACGAUGUUGGAAACGUGUUGGUGAACUUAUGUGUUUCAAGUCUUUCAUCCUGCAAAGAUAUUUCUAUUGCACGUUCUUUCCAGUAAUCCUCAUUAGGUGAAGUAAUUACAGUGUCAACUGUAAAACUUUCAUGGAAACCACUGUCUGCCCAACUGCCUAUGGAAUAAUCAUCAUGUCCUCUCUCGCUUGGAGGUUGGAAGGCAAAAUGUUGGUAACAAUGAUUUGGUGAAGCGAAAUGGUCAAGUGGGUGCAUUACGUUGAGUGACGUGUUGUUGCGGUCAUCGGUCACCAUUGACACAUUGAAAUCGAUCGAUGGAAAGAUUGGGGUGUCGAUCGAUUCCGAGUACUUCUCUGAUCCCUACUCUGUGCUUCAUGUCGAGAGCUUUACCCAAGCUUAUGACACUGCUUUAAAAUCAAGUACCGGAAGAGAAAGGUUCAAUAUCUGACAAGCUCUUACUGGCAACCGUAAGACAAGAUCGGAGUUUUACGGAAAGAUUAAUAUGGUUUACGGAGAAUUGAUGGAGAAAGCAGAUUCUUUAGGAGAACUAAUCCGAAAAUUAGAAGGUCAAGUAGCUGAGAUUGCAACUGCCAUAAAGAGAGACGCUGGAUGUCUUCCCGGAAGAACUGAUCUAAACCCAAGACGUCAAGUCAGUGCCGUAAUGCUGCGCAGCGGGAAAAACCUCGCAGCAGAUACGAGGAAUAAUUCAGAUGUUGGAAAGCCUGACGACGCCGACAAGACCGGGAAAAGCAACUUUCAUCCUAUUCUUCUUAAUGAUCUUGACCCAAAUCCAUCUCAAGAGAACCGGAAAACCACCACUGAAACGGCUAAGGAAAAGGCAAUAGACUUAGAACUAGAAGAAGAUAUGGAGAUUGAGGAUGAAAUCGAUCGACAGUACGGAACUGUCGUCGAUCGAUCCAAAACACCUACCAUCGAUCGACAACCUGAAAAACCCGUCGAUCGAAAACCUGAAAAACCCGUCGAUCGACGGUCUACUCAACCCGAGCCCAUAAUUGAAAGAGUCUAUAGAACUUUACCCCCUUUUCCUCCUAAAACGCAAACUAAGAAAUCAUUAGAAAAUGCAAUCUGCAAGAAAGCCUUAGAUAAGAUUACUGUCGAGAUGUCCCUUAGUGAUGCUAUAAAAAUAGCACCUUCAAUUAAGAAGUAUAUAAAGGAUAUGACAUCUCCAAACUAUCCGAUUGCAGAACAUAGCGUGAUGAUGAUUUCAGAAGAAGUAAGUGCUAUGAUUAAAGGAGAAACUCCAACGAAGAGAUCAGAUCCUGGUAGUUUCGUCCUAGAUUGUAAAAUAGAAGACACACGCUUCCUUAGAUCAUUAUGUGACCUCGGCUCUAGCGUGAACCUUAUGCCUUACUAUGUUGCAGUGACGUUAGGAUAUAAAGAGUUUAUGCCAACUCCGAUCACCCUGGUUUUAGCUGAUAGAUCUAUUAGGGUACCCGAAGGAAUUCUCGAAGAUGUUCCCAUAAAGAUUAACGAUUGCAUCGUGCCUACGGAUUUUGUUGUGUUGAAAUACAGACAAGAACCCAAAGACCCCCUCAUUCUGGGUCGGCCAUUCCUAGCUACAGCUGGAGCAAUCAUUGACGUCAAAGAAGGACGAAUUAAUUUGAACAUAGGGGAUAUCUCGAUGACUUUUGAUAUGGAAAAACUGAUUAAGCGACCCCUAAUAGAUGACCAGGCCUUCUACGUGGAAAAAGUUUCUGAGGAUGAAAGAGACUCUUUCAUAAACAUGUGUUCAGACAACCCCUUAGAAGACACCCUUAACCACGUGCAAAAUGAAGUUUUCGGCAUAUCAGAUAGGACAGACGAUUACAUGCAACUAAUGGACGCUAGCAUCGACGUUGCAAACGUAGAAGAAAAUGACGAUUUCAAAGUUGUCAUCGAUCGAUACCUUCAAGAUACCGUCGAUCGACAACCUCCCUCGCAAUCAAAUUAGUCUAAAGAUAAAGCACCAAAGGUAGAAUUAAAACCUCUACCCAGCGGUCUUAAGUACGCUUACCUUUAUGACCAGUCCUACCCUGUUAUUGUCAACGCCAAUCUCACUAGUGGAGAACUUGCUUUAUUGCUGAAUAAAUUACGCAAGUACAGGAAAGCGAUCGGGUAUUCUCUCGAUGACAUUCCUGGAAUCUCUCCCGAUCAUUGCAUGCAUCGGAUUAACUUGGAAGAUGACGCUAAAACGUCAAUAGAACAGCAAAGGAGAUUGAAUCCGAAUCUUAAGGAAGUAGUUAAAAAGGAAAUUAUAAAACUCCUUGAUGCUGGAGUUAUUUACCCUAUUUCGGAUAGUAAAUGGGUAAGCCCCAUACAUGUUGUACCCAAAAAGGGAAGUAUCACUGUAGUGAAGAAUGAAAAGGACGAACUCAUUCUGACUCGUACCAUUACUGGUCAUCGGAUGUGCAUUGAUUAUAGGAAAUUGAAUGCCGCUACUAGGAAAGACCAUUUUCCCCUUCCCUUUAUUGAUCAGAUGCUGGAGAGAUUAGCUAAUCACCAGUAUUACUGUUUUCUUGAUGAAUAUUCCGGAUUUUUCCAAAUUCCUAUACACCCGAAUGAUCAAGAAAAGACAACGUUUACAUUCCCCUAUGGAACUUUCGCAUAUCGCAGAAUGCCAUUUGGUCAAUGUAACGCCCCCGCUACUUUCUGAUACCACUCAAAUUACCCUAAGGAGUGUUACUCUCAUCAAAAGAGGUUCAGAUGUAGUACUUAGGGAUCGAAUCCACAAGGAGCUAGGGAACAAUUAAAUCUAGUGUUUAUUAAUUCUAAAGGUUGUAAAUGUUUAAAUGGAAUAGCAAUAGUAACAAGCGAGUAAAUAAUAAAUGUAACUUGGCUGGAAAUGGUAUUAGAUGCAGGGCCACUAUUCAGGUGUUGGAGAUUAUAAUACCUAUAGAUGCCUAACUGUUGCAUGCAUGAUAUAUUAGAGCUCAUUCGCUUAACUCAGUGAUCAGCUGUCGCAUGUACCACUGGUUAACAGACUAGAUCUCGUGUCUCACUGGUUAGUAUGCAGACACAAGAGAGUGUCGAUCGAUAGUCUAUUAAGACAUCGACAGAUACACCUUUGCCAACAUCGAUUGAUUGUCAGUUGAGGACAUCGAUCGACGGGUUCUAGCAAGGCCUAUGCGCGAGUAUGAAAUGCUGUACUAAGAUUCUAAAUUGGCGGUUAGCCCUCUCUAGCAAUCCUAAUAUGAUAGAUAGAUGUCAGGAUGGGAUAACAAGGGUGCUUGAAUAUGCAAUCCUAUGAUCAAAUUCUAGUUAGCUAGGCUAAAACAAGCAAUGAAUACAAAUCUAUCAUGAAUAUUACAACAAGGCAGAUCUAUAGUUUGGGGCUAAUCCCACAAACCUAUCUGAACUCUGGAUCUAACAGUUGAACUACUCAGACAUAGCAAAUAAAUUCAUAUCAAUAGAUAAAUAGAAACUCAUAGAAUAGACAAAAAGAAAUAGAAACAAAGAGUUCCAAUCACAAGUGAUCUUCUCUCCCAAAUGAAACUUGUAACAAAACUAGGUCUAGAAAAAGCUCUGUUCUUCUGCUGUCAAAAACACUAGGCAGUAUAUAUUCUACUAGGUUAAAAACUCGUCAGGACAUUUUGGUAAUUUGGCUUGGCCUUGGUUUUUAAGUCUGCUGAAUCCAAAAUGUCGCGUCUGGUGUCUCGACAUCGAUCGAUGGUACUUGUGUACAUCGAUCGAUAUCAAUCUUCAUCUGUCGAGGCAUUUCCUGAUAUCGAUCGUCAGCACUGAUGCGCAUCGAUCGAUUAUUCUUCCUCUCGUCGACCUCUAAGUGGUCAGCUCGGGUGAAAUGUCCUUUAAGCUCCAAAAUGCUCCAAAGUCAUAGCUUUACUCCGAAAUGCACCUGAACCUGAAAACAUACCUAGAAGAGUAGAAAACAUAGAUAUAUAUAUAUAUAUAUAUAUAUAUAUAUAUAUAUAUAUAUAGUAAAACUAUAUACCAUGGAUAAAAAUGGGUCAAAUCCAAGGUAUAUCAACUCCCCCAGACUUACCCUUUUGCUUGUCCUCAAGCAAAACAUACAGGCAGUCUCUCUGAAAGCGGUUUGAAAAUAUUUAGGGAUUUAAGAUUUUAAAACAUAGAAAUCUUUCCUCAACAAUUUUGCAACCACAUUUAAAAAGUCCUAAUCACAAAAGCACAAUAUGCAAUAUCCUAGCUUAGCAACCUUUUCUAACAUAACACAACUCAUCAAUUCACGUCUGACAUCCCCUCUCAUGAUUUCAUUUCUUAGCAUAAAUAUAAAGUGAAUGCUUUACCUUGGGAGUAUCGAUCACAUGAUGCAAGGAUUUCACACAGGUAUCUGGAGCUGCAGGUAAAAGUUAGUUCCUAUUUUCUCUCUCUCUCUAAAUUUCUCUCUUGAGUCAAAGUCUGCUUCCAUUGCAGGAUCAGUGACCAAGAUUGGACAGGCUUCCAUUAAUCAAAACUUAAUGGUGGUUGCCACCAAGUUAUGUUCACUUCUUUUUGACCUAUAUCCAAGAGUUCUUUGUGAAAGCGAGCCUUAAAGAUUGCCGCCUCCAAGUCCCAUUUCGAACUCUUUUAUUUGAGUCCUUAUGAAUCAAGCCUUAAUGGUUUUAGCCACCAAGUCCUGUUCAGACUCAUCCUAAUUAAACAAUAGUCUUAUUUAUAUUUUUUUAUUUAUUUUAUUUUUAUUAUAUAUAUAUAUAUACAUAUUUUAAUACUCACUAACUAAUCUAGGGUCGAAAUUUAGAGAGAGAAAAUGUGAUAAAUAAUCUAAACCAGGCGUUACCUUCCAGACCUGUCUGAAGAAUCCAAUCCCAUGUAUACCAAGCCCCAGGACAAGCGGUUAUGUCAGGUUUAGUGUUGGAAAUCAGCUUUGGCUACUUCAUACGGUUCAAGGUAAGUGUGUAGUUGAUAGGUUGAUCCGCUUUAGCAUCUUUAGUGCUAUCUGCAAUCAGUAAAUCUAAAAUGGUGCUAAAGAUUGGUUAGAUAUUUAUGUUUAAAUCAAUAUAGGAUUAUAGUCCCUAUUUUCAAUAGCUAAGGAUAAUUUAUUUGAAAUUCCUUUUUACAUAAGAAUAAAAUAAAUUAUAUCAGUAAAUCUCCCCCCAUACUUAAAUUACACUGUCCCAGUGUAACUCAGCCGGAGUUAUGAUGAAUAGUUUAUGAUGUACGAAAUGUAACAAGUUGGGAAGAUACAUCUGACCGGAUUAGAUAUCGAUCGAUGUGUAAGUGUCACAUCGAUCGUCGUGUGGUUGCCUGUGUCGAACGAUGUCGACGUCUCGUCGUCGGUCGAUAUUCAGGUCCUCCUACUUGGGUCUCCUAAAUCUGAAAGAAAUAAAACAAAAGAAAUUAAAUGCUAGCAAAUAAAACCAAAGUAAAAUACCUAAUAGUGGGUUGCCUCCCACUCAGCGCUUGGUUAUAGUCAUUUAGCUUGACUGUGGUAGUAAUUGGCUAUUGGGUGGAGAAGCAGAUGCUUGUUGGAAAGCAAGCAUCCACGUCAUCUCUGCGCAUUCUGGACCAAGAUGCAAUGAAACUUCUUGUGGCCUUAUCAUUUCUUGUCCAUUUGUCAUCCAUCUUCUCAAGUACUUUGGAGAUGUUCGGUAGCCUUUCUUGAAUGUUGUCAAUGCUGACCUGGUGCCAGCCUAUGUGUCAUAGGCGUAUGCUGAAAGUUCUGUCAGUUCCUUUUGCAUUGACUCUACCGUCUUGUGUAUCAGCUGCUCGCCGAUUGGUGUAGACUCGGUGUCGAUCGAUGCGAUUAUGUGUUCGUUGGUCGAUCUCGGCGAGUUGCCAUCGAUCGAUUUCGCUAGCGUCCUGUCGAUCGAUGCUGAUAUCUGAUGUUGAGCUGCGAGUUGCCUCUGAAUGGCUUUGACUUCUUUUUGUAGCCAUUCUGCGUGGUUGUCUACUCCACUGAUUUUGUUGUCGAAUGGAAAGUAGAUGUCAUCGCAGCGUUUGUCAAGUCGUUCCGCCAUGGUGUCUAGAGCAGUGUAGAUCUUGGAUGUGAUCUUGUCAACCUCUGCUGCUGUGCAAGGAAGUAACUCCACAGGUUUCUUGCCAUCGAUCCAAGGUCCUCGUAACCUGUCAAUCAAUGUUGAUUUUGCCUGCAAAAAACUUUGAUUAGUAAUGUUCUCAAUAUCCUUUUGGGCAUCAAGUAAUUGAUUAGACAAUUUGUUUAAAUAUGUCAUGAUUGGUGAUAUAAAACGGUCAUGCAUAUCCUCGUAAGUCCUCAGCCUCUCAUUCAUGGCUGAGACUUUGGCGUCGAGCGAUGUGAAGGUACACAAGUCGAUCGAUGUGGCUGGUUGUUGGUCCUUCUUGCGAAUGGUAAGCAGAUCUUGCUGUAGUAGCUCGAUUUUAGUGCUUAGCCAGUCCACGUUUUUGUUGAGAGGGCAAUAAACGUCACUUAUCCUUGUGUCGAUGUAUGAGACUUCCCAUUCAUCCCUGUGUUGUGUUGUGUUGAACAUUGCGGUUCUACAGGGAUCUGAGCUGUAGGAAGACUAACGUCGAUCGAUGUUUCACGUGGUGCGUCGAUCGAUGCUGAGGUCGUAGCUUCCUUCUCAAGUUGCUGGCGUAAACUCUCAAUUUCUGUCCUCAUUUCUACCAUACAUCUGAAAAGCUCAUUGUAGCCUCUAUCCAAAGGCUGAUGUGUAUCAUCUACCAAUGUUUUGACCUCCUCUCCCAGUUUCUCCUGAUCUCCACAAAUACCAAACACCAUUUCAUCGAUUUCUUCUCUGGUGUUGAGUUCUGGUGCCAGUCUUGUGGGUGUGAAGGAAGUGGCAUGUUCUGGAAGACAGAUGUGGCUCUCCUCAAAAAGAGAUGCUCUUUCCAGUAUUUUCCUGAUGUUGUCCUUUGUGACAGGUAUCAUCUCACCAAUUACGCCUCGUGCGUGUCCACACUCAUCUCUGUAGACUCCAUACUCGUCCCUUUGUUCCCAAGUGAACUUUCUGGCUUCGUACAUGUCAAAAGCACGGUUCCCCAAUUCAUACCGUCUGUCGAUCGACGUCGGGUCAUCCUUAUCGAUCGACAUUGGUGUUACCCUGUCAAUCGAUGUCUCCGUUGUACCGUCGAUCGAUGCUUGCACUUUUGGUUGGCGUGAUAGAUCUGGGUUGAUCUCUGUUGUGGCGACUCAUGCGUGGUUGUUAGGAUCUGUUUGAAUGACGUCUUGAGUGCCACGUUGCUGUGAGAAUAGGUUGUCAGGUCCAUUGGCUAUUUGAAGGAUGUCUGCUAUGUCCUCUCUGGACACUUGUAAAAUCCUUCCAUCCAUUGCACGUGCGUUGCCAUCUGGGUCCCUGAAAAUACCAAAUUCAUCAGGUGUUAGAAAACCGUAAUCAAUGUUUGCAUAAUCAUUCAAUUUAGAAAUAAAAAGAUUAGGGUUUAGAGUAGUAUCGAUCGAUGUAGAUACAGUCACAUCGAUCGAUGGCUGUGUAAUUUCUGCAGAACUUUUGUUCUUGAGAUGAUUACUCUUCAUGGAUUUUUCUGUUGAUGUAGAAGGAAGAGUGUUCAUCUUUUUUACUUGUGUGUUCGCUCUGAUGUGUGUAGGUGAUUUCGGGGGUGCAAAAUGAUUUAUAUAGGUAUCUAUAAACCUAGUUGGGGAGAUAAUAUUCUCAUGCUCUUGGAUUUUCGCUGCGGCGCGAAUAUCGAUCGAUGUUCCUUUCGGGGUGUCGAUCGAUUUGAGCGGUUGUUUUGCUGGACAAGGGUGGGUAUCGACCGAUGUGGAGUUCACAGCGUCGAACGAUGUUGGAAACGUGUUGGUGAACUUAUGUGUUUCAAGUCUUUCAUCCUGCAAAGAUAUUUCUAUUGCACGUUCUUUCCAGUAAUCCUCAUUAGGUGAAGUAAUUACAGUGUCAACUGCAAAACUUUCAUGGAAACCACUGUCUGCCCAACUGCCUAUGGAAUAAUCAUCAUGUCCUCUCUCGCUUGGAGGUUGGAAGGCAAAAUGUUGGUAACAAUGAUUUGGUGAAGCAAAAUGGUCAAGUGGGUGCAUUACGUCGAGUGACGUGUUGUUGCGGUCAUCGGUCACCAUUGACACAUUGAAAUCGAUCGAUGGAAAGAUUGGGGUGUCGAUCGAUUCCGAGUACUGCCCUGAUCCCUACUCUGUGCUUCAUGUCGAGAGCUUUACCCAAGCUUAUGACACUGCUUUAAAAUCACGUAUCGGAAGAGAAAGGUUCAAUAUCUGACAAGCUCUUACUGGCAACCGUAAGACAAGAUCGGAGUUUUACGGAAAGAUAAAUAUGGUUUACGGAGAAUUGAUGGAGAAAGCAGAUUCUUUAGGAGAACUAAUCCGAAAAUUAGAAGGUCAAGUAGCUGAGAUUGCAACUGCCAUAAAGAGAGACGCUGGAUGUCUUCCCGGAAGAACUGAUCUAAACCCAAGACGUCAAGUCAGUGCCGUAAUGCUGCGCAGCGGGAAAAACCUCGCAGCAGAUACGAGGAAUAAUUCAGAUGUUGGAAAGCCUGACGACGCCGACAAGACCGGGAAAAGCAACUUUCAUCCUAUUCUUCUUAAUGAUCUUGACCCAAAUCCAUCUCAAGAGAACCGGAAAACCACCACUGAAACGGCUAAGGAAAAGACAAUAGACUUAGAACUAGAAGAAGAUAUGGAGAUUGAGGAUGAAAUCGAUCGACAGUACGGAACUGUCGUCGAUCGAUCCAAAACACCUACCAUCGAUCGACAACCUGAAAAACCCGUCGAUCGACAACCUGAAAAACCCAUCAAUCGACGGUCUACUCAACCCGAGCCCAUAAUUGAAAGAGUCUAUAGAACUUUACCACCUUUUCCUCCUAAAACGCAAACUAAGAAAUCAUUAGAAAAUGCAAUCUGCAAGAAAGCCUUAGAUAAGAUUACUGUCGAGAUGUCCCUUAGUGAUGCUAUAAAAAUAGCACCUUCAAUUAAGAAGUAUAUAAAGGAUAUGACAUCUCCAAACUAUCCGAUUGCAGAACAUAGCGUGAUGAUGAUUUCAGAAGAAGUAAGUGCUAUGAUUAAAGGAGAAACUCCAACGAAGAGAUCAGAUCCUGGUAGUUUCGUCCUAGAUUGUAAAACACGACUCGAGGCCCAUCCUGGUAGCUACGUAGCGACCGGGCUCGAGCCAAAGUUCGGUCGCUGCAUAGCGACCGAGCUCUUCCGAACAUCGGUACGACACCAGUCCAUGCAUUCUCGUCAAACCUUCAAAUGCUAUCUCCCGAAGACAGUAGCGAGCUCAGUCUAUGCUUUCCGCUAUUCUAAAUCAACAAUCAAACUUUGCGGAUUAGAAACACUUCGAGUUGGAAGACGGCCCAAAGGGACCUAAAACACGACUCGAGGCCCAUCCUGCGAUUUCUUAACCAAAAGCCCGUAAACCACAGCACGGUUUACGCUUGGUCCACAAGGAAGGAUAAAUGUCAAGUUUCCGCGGAUGAAUACGGAAGUUUUGAAGAAAAUUGUGAAAAUCGGGAAAAAUGGAAUAUCUCCAUUUUUAUGCUAUGACGGCUUAAGGGCAGAAGAGUAAAAGCGUAAACCGACCUUGGAGCUAGUAUAUAAGGAGUCCUAGGCGAGGAGCAUAAGAGAGAUCUUUUUAGACUCGGAAUUCUCUGCACUUAGAAACUUUAGGCUUAUUCUCGACAAGUUCGGUUUCUAUGACUCGCACUCGAUUACUAGACGAACUCGCCCAGGCAGUUCGAUCUCUUGUCCAGCUCUAUCAAUUGAACUACGUUCGGCUUGAUCCUCGAAAGGGGUACGUAGGCAGCCUUUAACAAGGUUCAGUCCGAAAUCAAUCAAAAACCUUUUCUUUAUCUAUUUUGUCUUUCGUUAUCGAGCUGCGACUCAACUAGGUUUGAGCUAUUAGGCCGCUAGAACUAGGUAACUCGCUGACAGCCUUUGCGGCCAAAGCUUUCAUGAUCUCUUGUAAUGAUCGCAACGCUCUUACGCGGACUCGAAAUAAGAUCAACAGUUUUCCCUAAACUCGUUUGUUAUCUUUUCAUAAUUUCCGCAUGUAUUUGGUCACUUGUCGUUGGCUCCCGCAGAGAUCCGGGACCUCUAGAAAAUUAGGGUUUUCCUAGUUUCCUUAUUUAAACGGAAAUCGACAGUGCGAAUUUCGGUUCCCACAGUUUGGCGCUAGAAGGAGGGGGGGGGUAACGGAUUACUCUUACUUAUGGCCACAAAACGCUUGAUCGAAACGAUGUUUGGAUAUAUGAAAGACAAACUCGCAGCACUGACUGCUCCUAUGGCCAACGCUUACGCAAAUGCCGUAGUUUUCAACAAAUCGAAAACUUAGUUGCGACCUUCCGCCACAGGAAGAGCACUAAAACAAGCUCGCGAUUUCUCCCUGUAAACACGAAGGGAAAUGAUAAAUCUUAUCAAAACCCCGUAAAGAAAUCUCGAUGCGUAAGGGUUUUACCAAAACACGUUUUCCGAAAACAUUUCGGAAGGAUAAAACUUGUUCUCCCAAAAUAACCGCUGAAAAACCCCUACGUUAAUCGCGGAAAAAGGAAACACAACAAAACGAUUACACAACUCAGUCGCUACGUAACGACCGAGCACGCAGACGGCUCGGUCGCUACGUAGCGACCGAGCACGCACACGGCUCGGUCGCUACGUAGCGACCGAGCACACACGCUGCUCGGUCGCUAUGUAGAGACCGAGCACACACGCUCCUCGGUCACUACGUAGCGACCGAGCACGCACACGGCUCGGUCGCUACGUAGCGACCGAGCACACACGCACACGCUGCUCGGUUGCUACGUAGCGACCGAGCACACACGCUGCUCGGUCGCUACGUAGCGACCGAGCACGCACACGGCUCGGUCGCUACGUAGCGACCGAGCACACACGCUGCUCGGUCGCUACGUAGCGACCAAAUACGCACACGGCUCGGUCACUACGUAGCGACCGAGCACACACGCUGCUCGGUCGCUACGUAGCGACCGAGCACACACGCUGCUCGGUCGCUACGUAGCGACCGAGCACGCACACGGCUCGGUCACUACGUAGCAACCGAGCACACACGCUGCUCGGUCGCUACGUAGCGACCGAGCCCGCUCACGCUACUUGGUCGCUACGUAGCGACCGAGCCCGCACACGAUGCUCGGUCGCUACGUAGCGACCGAGCACGCACACACUGCUCGGUCGCUGCGUAGCGACCGAGCACGCACACCGCUCGGUCGCUACGUAGCGACUGAGCUCAAGCCAACUCUCCACUCGCUACGUAGCGACCUGUAAAGCCUCAGAAAGAUCCUCCUUUGGGUUCUCUUUUGAAUCCUCAUCGAAACGCUUUUCGUUUCGUUUCAAUCGGAGUUUCCGUUAAGAUUUUACGACGAAAACAAGUAGGACUCUUCUUGGCCUUCUUCCACUCGCUACGUAGCGAUCUGUCAGACCGUCAGUCGCUACGUAGCGACCUGUAAGGCCUCAAAGGGGUCCUCCUUUGCGUUCUCCUUUGAAUCCUCAUCGAAACGCUUUUCGUUUCGUCUCAAUCGGAGUUUCCGUUGAGAUUUUACGACGAAAACAAGUGGGACUCGUCUUGGCUUCCUUCCACUCGCUAUAGCGACCGAGAUGACAUCCUCACUCGCUAUAGCGACCUUUCAGGCCUCAAAGGAGUCCUACUUUGCGUUCUCCUUUGAAUUCUCAUCGAAACGCUUUUUGUUUCGUCUCAAUCGGAGUUUCCGUUGAGAUUUUACGACGAAACCAAGUGGGACUCAUCUCGGCUCCCUUCCACUCGCUAUAGCGACCGAGAUGACAUCCUCACUCGUUAUAGCGACCUGUCAGGCCUCAAUCCUUUGCGUUCUCCUUUGAAUUCUCAUCGAAACGCUUUUCGUUUCGUCUCAAUCGGAGUUUCCGUUGAGAUUUUACGACAAAAACAAGUAAAACUCAUCUUAAACUCCUUGGCUUGUUUCUGCUCACCCUACCUCCAUCUUUGCGUUCACUUUCGAAUCUCGAUCGAAACGUCUCUUGUUUCGCCUCGAUUGAAGUUACCAUUGAGACUUUAUGAUAUAAAAAAAAAACCGCAAAGACCUAUUUUCUCGCAUGGAUUCAGAUUAAUCGUAUAAAACGGCAACGGUUAACUUAACACCUUAGCCGCCUUAACUAUACGAUUACGUUGAACCUUUUUACAAAAAUUGACGUCUUAUCUAAGGAGAAGAUAACAAUAUAGUUCGGAAGAUAAAUGUCAAGUUUCAAAGGAUAAACACCAAUAUCGGAAAUGGCGAACAUACACGAGAAUAGGAAACAGAAAUGAGCACGCAAAACUGAGAAGGGACAAAACUGCAUCUUCGAGAGAACUAAGGUAUUUCCGACUUAAAAUUUUUGAAAUCAGACUUGGAAUUUUCGUAGGAAAUUACUUUGAGGCUGCCAUAGAACUUUAGGGAACGUAAAACCUAGGCGGAUAGUCUAGCGAACUAAGUUUUAAGCGAUUUUUCCUGUCUCGAUAUAUUGUUCCAUAAUUGUUCAUCCAGAUCUUGCAAACCGAUCUGAACUCUCCGAAAGUCGAGAAACGAUCGCCACGCAUAUCAAGCUCGCUUCCUAAAGAGAGAAAAAGUUAGAGACAUGAACGUCGUCUUAAAACCGAUUCGUUUCUGGCAAUUUUCUCGGAACCGACAUAUCCCAAGUCGUCAACGUGGAAAACAACCAAAUCACAGUCCAAGCGUCGUCUAUAAAUCGUCCCGAAUUAUCGAUCAUUCCAAACAUCAGAAGAGGAAACGUACACAACCCUUCAAAGUAUCGGUUCAACCGUUUUCUUUUGUAAAAUAAAAAAGGAGAGUAGGUACGUAUACUAUACUCGUAUACUCCCAAACUUCAAAAAACUUCUGCAAAUCGUCAAGAAUAGGCAAACGACAAUCUUAAUAUUCGUCUAAACGCUAGCAACAUAUCCAGACGAUCAUGAACAUAAUCUCAAAAACUAUACAUCAUUUCUUGUCGCAAUCAUGCGUACAGAAAACUUGUACCAAUAUCAAACUGAAACUCGACGAUUAGCCAAAGUAUUGAAGCCUUUUCUGGCUUCAGAAAGCCAGUUUCGCUUUAAAAAUUUCUACGAGAAAUCUUCAAUCGCCAAAGCAUUUUUUUAGUUUCCGUUGUACCAAGUAAGUCACGGAAAAGCAUCGAAAACAUUUGCGACAAAGAAAACUCGCGAAUAUAUGUAGCAUCGUGCACAUUAAAAGGAGCACUUUCCUCCCGAUGGUUAGCUAGAUCCACUUCUGGUUGACCAAUUCGUUCAAGAAACGAAUGUGUCAUGAGAAUCCUCUCGAAAAACCUAUGAAAAACGUUCCGCGACUAGAUCGUAUUGAAAUAAACUUCGGUAAUACUCCAUGGGUAACUCCAAGCAACUUUCACCUAAGAUCAAAAUCACAGCGGGAACGUUUGUCGUAGAACCCGCAGAAACAAUGCUACUUUGACAUAUGUAUACAUAUCACUGAUUUACGACCUUCAUAAAAUCGGUUAUAUGAUAUGAUAAAUUAUCGUAUAGCCCAUAGUCGGAAAUCAUAUGAUAAAUUCUUCGUAACGAAACUAAGUCCUAACAACCAAACGGUUAACGGAAAAUCUAAACUUUUCGAAAAUUGACCAAGUUCAAUACGCUCCACAAUUCACUUUAAGCCCGCAACGUUUUAACCAUAAUACGCGGCAUGUAAGGAAAAAUUUGUAACAAAGCUUCUAGAGCUAUACGAAACAUCCUAAAAAAUGCACGAAAUACAUCUCGGAAGGCCAACACUUCACAAAGCACUAUGAAGGAAAACGCUUGUUCCCAUGGACAAAUUUACACGACACCUCAGUCAUAAUUCUUCGAUCGCAAAUAAAACUAUUAGCAUCCAAACAUGAACAACAAUUUUGGCUGCGAACAUUCGUAGUCAAACUAGAAUGUUUUUCAAACGCAUGGCUAAGACUAAACCCUUGCAACAUCGCGAAAUAUCUUCAAGCCCGCGAACAUUUCAAGCACGAAACGUGGCAUACGAAAGAAUAACAAAUCUUCAGCAUCGCGAGACGUCGCAGACGCCUGAAGAUUAGUUCUUCGACGAAAUUUCCUUCCUCGAUAAAAACACCUUCAUGGAAAACCAAACAGUCAUACGCACUAACAUCUUCUCAAAAAAUAUUCUUCGCGAAGACACGAAACGGUAUUUCUUACCAUUAAGUUUGUUGCUGAUCACAACAAACUCUCAACGUCCUAAACAGACAUAGCCAUCUCACGAAGAUGACUCUCUUACAUCCGACACAAGGAUAAUAGCGCUAUAAAAGAAAUCCGAAAUUUUGGUCCAGCACUUCCGGUCUCCGGAGAGAUGCUCGAUUCGUAUCAAACAAGUCGUAUAAGCCGAGAACCUAUCGCGGACUUUAAAUCGAUACGAAUCAGGAAGAAAUCGCAACAGGAAAAACGAUAGCCGACCAGUCACCGCACAAUCCUUAAACCGAAAGUAAACCUAGGUCUUGCCCUAAACCCAGCGCACUGGUCUCUAACAUCUCUAGGCAUAGUAUCAAACACCCUGAUACGAGAUCCCAAAAUUUGUCUCUUUGCCAAUAUUCGAACGUCUUCAGAAAAUCCCGCAAGUUUACACACUGCGGAAAACUCUCGAAACAGAUUAUUGAUAUGGCAAUUCACACAGAGUUAGAUUACGAGACGACAACUCGUAGUCUUCCCUCUACACCCAUACAAAAUGCCAUCGGCAGCAACACGCCUUAUAACCGCUACAUAAAAACUAGACCAUAAAGGUCCUACUGGAAAACUAGUCAUAAGAACCUUAACUCCAAGACGAACUACGAAAGGCUUGAUCCCUUCAACAAGGGUACGUAGGCAGCCGUCAUAAGGCGCAGCCCCAAUCUUAUCGCGUUUUCUACUUUUAGGAGAGCGAGAAGAUCACUUACCACAGACCUUUUCAACCGUUAAUUCCGCCUAACUCACCUAACUUGCCUAACUUGCCAAGCCACUCGCUAGAACCUCACGCUAGAAACUCAUGGUUCUAACGAGCUGGGGGGCUAACUGUUGGAGUCAAAAUCGGUCACGACGGAAUCAAUGUCUGAAAGUCCGUAAAAAUCAGCAUAAACGUUUUUACGAAAAGUAAUCUUCGUAAAGAUAUCUAUAAGAAGAGCCUUGUAGUAAAAAUCUCGUCCAAAUCUCAAUCGAACCACUAAAUACCGAUUGUCCGAAGGCAACGGACAUGUAUCCAAAUCGGCCGCGGACAAGCUCGAGUAUGGAAAUCAGACCGCGGACAAGCCAAGCUCGAUCGAUACGCGGCGACCAAGCAUGCACACAGCUCGGUCGCUACAUAGCGAUCGAGCUCGAGCCAAGCUCGGUCGCUACGUAGCGACCGAGCGUCCGUCUCGCUCGGUCGCUACAUAGAGACCGAGCCCAAGCCAAGCUCGGUCGCUACGUAGCGACCGGGCUCGAGCCAAAGUUCGGUCGCUGCGUAGCGACCGAGCUCUUCUAAACAUCGGUACGACACCAGUCCAUGCAUUCUCGUCAAACCUUCAAAUGCUAUCUCCCAAAGACAGUAGCGAGCUCAGUCUAUGCUUUCCGCUAUUCUAAAUCAUCGAUCAAACUUCGCGGAUUAGAAACUGUGGAAAGUUCUUUCUUUGUCAAAAGAAAUCGUAGUAAACGCUUCGAGUUGGAAGACGGCCCAAAGGGACCUAAAACACGACUCGAGGCCCAUCCUGCGAUUUCUUAACCAAAAGCCCGUAAACCACAGCACGGUUUACGCUUGGUCGACAAGGAAGGAUAAAUGUCAAGUUUCCGCGGAUAAAUACGGAAGUUUUGAAGAUAAUUGUGAAAAUCGGGAAAAAUGAAAUAUCUCCAUUUUUAUGCUAUGACGGCUUAAGGGCAGAAGAGUAAAAGCCUAAACCGACCUUGGAGCUAGUAUAUAAGGAGUCCUAGGCGAGGAGCAUAAGAGAGAGCUUUUUAGACUCGGAAUUCUCUGCACUUAGAAACUUUAGGCUUAUUCUCGACAAGUUUGGUUUCUAUGACUGGCACUCGAUUACUAGACGAACUCGCCCAGGCAGUUCGAUCUCUUGUCCAGCUCUAUCAAUUGAACUACGUUCGGCUUGAUCCUCGAAAGGGGUACGUAGGCAGCCUUUAACAAGGUUCAGUCCGAAAUCAAUCAAAAACCUUUUCUUUAUCUAUUUCGUCUUUCGUUAUCGAGCUGCGACUCAACUAGGUUUGAGCUAUUAGGCCGCUAGAACUAAGUAACUCGCUGACAGCCUUUGCGGCCAAAGCUUUCAUGAUCUCUUGUAAUGAUCGCAACGCUCUUACGCGGACUCGAAAUAAGAUCAACAGUUUUCCCUAAACUCGUUUGUUAUCUUUUCAUAAUUUCCGCAUAUAUUUGGUCACUUGUCGUUGGCUCCCGCAGAGAUCCGGGACCUCUGGGAAAUUAGGGUUUUCCUAGUUUCCUUAUUUAAACGGAAAUCGACAGUGCAAAAUUCGGUUCCCACAGAUGUCAGGAUGGGAUAACAAGGGUGCUUGAAUAUGCAAUCCUAUGAUCAAAUUCUAGUUAGCUAGGCUAAAACAAGCAAUGAAUACAAAUCUAUCAUUAAUAUCACAACAAGGCAGAUCUAUAGUUUGGGGCUAAUCCCACAAACCUAUCUGAACCCUGGAUCUAACAGUUGAACUACUCAGACAUAGCAAAGCAAUUCAUAUCAAUAGAUAAAUAGAAACUCAUAGAAUAGAUGAAAAGAAAUAGAAACAAGAGUUUCAAUCACAAGUGAUCUUCUCUCCCAAAUGAAACUUGUAACAGAACUAGGUCUAGAAAAAGCUAUGUUCUUCUGCCGUCAAAAACACUAGGCAGUAUAUAUUCUACUAGGUUAAAAACUCGUCAGGGCAUUUUGAUAAUUUGGCUUGGCCUUGGUGUCUCGACAUCGAUCGAUGGUACUUGUGUACAUCGAUCGAUAUUAAUCUUCAUAUGUCGAGGCAUUUCCUGAUAUCGAUCGUCAGCACUGAUGCGCAUCGAUCGAUUAUUCUUCCUCUCGUCGACCUUUAAGUGGUCAGCUCGGGUGAAAUGUCCUUUAAGCUCCCAAAUGCUCCAAAGUCAUAACUUUACUCCAAAAUGCACCUGAACCUGAAAACAUACUUAGAAGAGUAGAAAACAUAGAUAUAUAUAUAGUAAAACACUUAUAUACCAUGGAUAAAAAUGGGUCAAAUCCAAGGUAUAUCACUUUCCAACGUUGUGUGAUGUCAAUCUUUACGGAUAUGAUCGAGGAAUUCAUGGAGGUAUUCAUGGAUGAUUUUUCAGUCUAUGGAUCAGAUUUUAAGAGUUGCCUCGACAAUUUAUGCAAAGUAUUGGAAAUAUGCGAAGAAAAGAACCUUGUCCUAAACUGGGAAAAAUGCCAUUUCAUGGUAAACGAUGGAAUAGUGUUAGGACAUAGGGUUUCCGCUGCUGGAAUAGAGGUCGAUAGAGCUAAUAUUGAAGUAAUGACCAGUUUACCUCCACCUAAAACCGUUAAGGACGUGCGAAGUUUUCUUGGACACGCCGGAUUUUACAGGAGAUUUAUACUGGACUUCAGCAAAAUCGCUAGACCUUUAAAUAACCUACUAUGCAAGGAUAUUAAAUUCGAUUUUACCCCCGAAUGCAUGAAAGCUUUUGAAGAUUUAAGGAAAUCCCUUAUCACUGCCUCCGUCGUACAAGUCCCCGACUGGAAUCUUCCUUUCGAAAUCAUGUGCGAUGCGAGUGAUUUCGCAAUUGGAGCAGUUCUAGGCCAAAGGAAGAUAAAAAGCUACAUGCCAUUUACUACGCCAGCCGCACGCUUGAUGAAGCACAACGGAAUUACGCAACAAAAGAAAAAGAACUAUUAGCUGUAGUUUACGCUUUUGAAAAAUUCCGUCAAUACUUGAUUGGCUCACGAGUGAUAGUUCACACUGAUCACGCUGCCAUCAAAUAUUUAAUGCAAAAGAAAGAUGCUAAACCUAGACUCAUACGCUGGAUUCUACUCCUCCAAGAGUUUGACAUUGAGAUUAAGGAUAAGAGAGGAGUAGAUAAUGGAGUCGCUGACCAUCUUUCUAGGAUAAGGAUAGAGGAUGAUGUCCCUAUAGACGAUUUCUUUCCCACAGAGAAUGUUGCACACAUAGAUACAUCUUUCGUCGGUCAAAUAUCUCUCACAUCUGAAGAUCUAUCGGUCGAUUCACGUAGGGAUACAUCGAUCGAUGACGAGACUGAUGUAAUUUCUCAUCUCUCCGAUAACCAAAAUCACGAACCCCCGUUUAUGAAGAUCAACUUCGGUUUACAAGUUCAUGUUUUUGGUAAUGAGAUUAAUCUCACAUCUGAGGAAUUAUCACAACGGGAGGUAAACGCGAUUGGUAGAAACCCGGAUAACCGACCCUGGUAUGCCGACAUAGUUAACUAUUUGGCAGCUGAGGUUGAGCCAGACGAACUCAAGGGAUAUAUGAGGAAGAAAUUUUUCAGAGAAGUAAGACGCUAUCAUUGGGAUGAACCUUACCUCUAUAAGCAUUGUUCUGAUGGCAUAUACAGACGAUGCGUAUCCAAAGCUGAAAUUCCAGACAUGAUUUACCAAUGUCACGGAGCUGAUUAUGCAGGACAUUUCACUACCUUUAAAACGGUUUCGAAAAUUUUCCAAGCAGGAUUUUGGUGGCCAACCAUUUUUCGCGAUGUCCAUGCAUUUAUAACCCAAUGUGACAGAUGCCAAAGACGUGGAAAAAUCAGCAAAAGACAAGAAAUGAAACAUAAGUUCAUUCUUGAAGUUGAAGUCUUUGAUUGCUGGGGUAUCGAUUUUAUGGGACCUUUCCCGUCUUCAUAUGGAAACAAAUAUAUACUAGUCGCUGUAGACUACGUAUCCAAAUGGGUCGAAGCAGUAGCUUCCCCUACCAAUGACGCAUCUGUGGUUAUUAAACUCUUCAAGAGUAUAAUCUUUCCAAGAUUUGGAGUUCCAAGAGUAGUCAUUAGUGACGGUGGAACUCAUUUCAUUAAGAAAAUCUUUGAUAGAAUGCUUAAAAAGAAUGGUGUUCAUCAUAGAGUAGCUACACCUUACCAUCCACAAACUAGUGGACAAGUAGAAGUCUCUAACCGGCAAAUUAAGGAAAUCUUAGGGAAAACCGUAGGAACCUCCAGAAAAGAUUGGUCUAGAAAACUAGAUAAUGCACUUUGGGCCUACAGGACUGAUAUCACUCAAAUUACCUUAAAGAGUGUUACUCUCAUCAAAAGAGGUCGAGUUAUAGUACUUAGGGAUCGAAUCCACAAGGAGCUAGAGAAACUAUUAGAUCUAAUAGUUAUAUGAUUAAGCUAGGCUAAUAGGUUUUAAAACAGUAAAUAAAGCAAGUAAUAAAUAAAACAAUAAACAAGAUGAACAAGGUAAUUGUUCAGCUUGGCAAGGAGUAGUUUGAUGGAGGGAUGAUUGAUAGAUCUAGGGUUUCUAUUCAGAUGUUGGAGAUUAUAAUUCCUAUAGGUACCUAUUUGUUGCAUGCAUGAUAUGUUGAGCUCAACCGCUUAACUCAGUGAUCAGCUGUCGCAUGUUUCACUGGUUAACAAGCUAGAUCUCGUGUCUCAACGGUUAGUAUGUUGACAACAAAAGAAUGUCGAUCGAUGGUCCUAUUGAGACAUCGACCGAUACACCUUUGCCUACGUCGGCCGAUAGUCAGUUGAGGACAUCGAUCGACGGGUUCUAGCCAGGCCUAUGCGCGAGUAUGAAAUGCCCUAUUAAGAUACUAAAUUGGCGGUUAGCCCUCUCUAGCAGUCCUAAUAUGAUAGAUAUAUGUCAGGAUGGGAUAACAAGGGUGCUUGAGUAUGCAAUCCUAUGAUCAAGUUCUAGUUAAUUACUCUAAAACAAGCAAUGAAUACAAAUCUAUCAUGAAUAUCACAACAAGGCGGAUCUAUAAUUUGGGGCUAAUCCAACAAACCUAUCUGAACCCUAAACCUAACAAGUGGAUCUACUCAGAAAUAAAAACAUAAAUCAUAGAUGAAUAGAUAUAAAACUGAAAUAGAAUAGAUAAGAAAACCAAUGGAGUUCCAGGAGGACUCUGAUAGGAGUUCCUCCCUUUUAUACUAAGAGAAACAAUGGAAAUGAAAGUGUGUAGAAAGCGUAGAAAGCGUAGCCGUCAACAAUGGCUUAGAAAUAACAUAAAUAGGGUUUCUGGUCGUCCAAGGGCAUUUUGGUAAUUUGUGGCUUCUAGGGCAUCACGCAGUCAUAAAAUAUACAAGGCCCAUGAUCUGGAAUCUCCAUCGAUCGACGUGCAGAAUGCUGCAUCGAUCGACGCGGCUUCCUCUUCUCGGCAGCUUCCUCUCGCGAGGCAGACUGACCACUCUUCAGUAAAACGGGCAUAACUUCUGCUACAGAAUGCUGAUUGACCUGAGACCGGUGGCAUUGGAAAGCUAACUCAAUGCUCUUUCUUGUGUCAAAAUAUGAGCUCAAUCUAACGGUCGGAAAGUCUCUAUCCAUAGCUAAACAUCUGACGCGUCUGUGCAACUCUUCACCUCCAAAGGCUUCAAAAGACUCCAAAAUCACCAUAUUUCCCUAAACGUCCCUGAACCUGUAAAUACUCUAAAUAGACUCCAAAAUAUAAUAAUUGUAUCUUAAAACACUUUAAACACUUAUAGACCAUGAUUAAAAAUGGAUAAAAUAUAUGGUCUAUCAACUCCCCCAGACUUACCAUUUUGCUUGUCCUCAAGCAAAACAGACGGGCAGUCUCUCUGAAAGAGGUUUUGAAAACAUCAGGGACUCACAUGAUUUAAAACUUAGAAUCAUCACCUCUACAAUAUUGCAAUCCACAUCUAAGAAUUCCUAAUCACAUAACCACAUUAUACAAUAUCCUAGCUUAGUAACCAAAUUUCACCUAGCCAACAUCUUAGCAAAUCAUGUAUGACAUUCCCCUCUACCAACCUCAUUUUUUAACAUAAAUAAAUUUGUAUGCUUUACCUUGGGAGUAUCGAUCACAAGACACAUAGACUCUUGCCCCAACAGGUAUCUGAGUAAACAGGUAGUCUUGUUCUGGUUUCUUUUACUCUAUAUCUCCCUUCUCUGAAUACUUUUUAUCUCAAUUCCAAUGAACAAAGAUGCUGAUGCAAUCCAUCUUAUUCACCUUCUUUUCGAUUUUUUUUUUUUUUUUUUUUUUCUUUCUUUUUCUUUUCUUGACAAAGUGUAGGCGAAUAGUGGGGUCAUCGGUAAUGUACCUACCCUUCGCUUCCAACAAUGUGUGAUCAUUCUAUUAGAGUAGAAUAAUGGGGUCAUCGGUAAUGUACCUACCCCUCUAAACCGCAAGAAAUCAUCUCAACCUUUUAUUUUAUUUUAUUAGGAUGCCAAAGGGAGGAGAUAAGGAAACCAAAAUCACUCAGACUUUUACCUUUCAGACCUGAAGGAGGAAUCCGAUCCAGUGUAUACCAAGCCCCAAGACAAGCAGUUAAGUCAAAUUAGGUUGGAGGUCAGCUUCGGUUCCUUCAAACAAUCUCAGCAAGUGUGAACAUAGUUGACAGGUUGAUCCACUUUAGUAUCUUUAGUACUAUCUGCAAUCAGUAAGUCUAGAAUGGCGCUAAAGAGUGGUUAGAUAACAAGCAUGAAUCUAAUAAGUUCAUUAUCCCCUUCUUGACUCAAUAAACACAGAUUUUGAAAAUAUUUUAAAUAAGACUCAUAAAAGUAGAUAAACGUAUAUCAAUAAACAUCCCCCCAGACUUAAAUUACACUCUCCCCAGUGUAUAUCUAGUCGGAGUUAUGGUUAGAACAUAAAUAAUAAGUAAACAAUUUAACAAGUAAGAACGAUAACCUGCUCGACAUCAGUGUCGAUCGACACAAUGAAUAGACAAUCGAUCGAUGUUGAUGAAGUGCUGUCGAUUGAUAGUGACAUGGUCUCAUCGGUCGAUGGCUAGAGCAAUCAUUCGACACAAUGAAGAGACAAUCGAUUGUUGGAUAUGAAGCGCUGUCGAUCGAUAUCGAGCUGGUGUCAUCGGUCGAUGUGCUGAGCAAUCGUCUACUCGAAUCUGUUUUUUUUUUAUCUAUGAAUAACUAAGUAAAACACAAUAUUAGCAGAACCUCCCCCAGACUUAAACAACACUAUCACUAGCGCUAUCCAGUCUAAGAUUGGUGGGAAAAUAAAUCAUAAGGACAAUAUUUAACAAGGAAAAACGGUAUACAUGCUUGGAUGUGAGUGUCGAGCAACACAGUUAAGUGGCGAUCGAUACUCUUGAUGCUCUGUCGAUCGAUGCUACGUAGCCAUCAAAGAUUCUCCUGCAAUCUCGUCUUCCUCGGAUCUUGUCCUUUUACUUAACAUAAACAAAACAUUUAAUACAAUUAAUAAAUAAAUAAUAAAACCAAUAAUCAAUAAAAAUAAUAAUAAUAAUAUUUUUUUAUUUUUUCUAUGAAAAGUGCUUUGCUAUAGUGUCCCUUGGUGUUGCUGCUACAGUGUCUCUGCUACAGUACGUCGUUACUGUUCAUUUUUUUUUUGUUUUUUUUUAACCUGAAAUCUUUAGAAAACAAAGAAUCAGUAAUAAAUGAAAGAUAAACCAUAUCUAAAACAAACCGAACAGUGGGUUGCCUCCCACUCAGCUUUAUUUUUAGUCUUUAGCUUAACUUCUGGAGAUCUGAUUAAGUCCGCAUAAGAAUGAGAACUUGCUCCAAACCAAGUUUCAAUGUCUACUCUUUGAAGCUUUAUCAUUCUUGUGUGAAAGCCUCCUCCAUAUACCCUUCUCCUUUGUCUAUCAUUUCAGCAAUAAGGAAUCCUUUAAGUUUUGCAUAUGGAUGUGGGAAGCAUUUGCUGCGCACUCUUGAUUUUCUGAUACUAUCUGAGAAGUAAGGAGUCAAUGGUAAUUGAGAACCUCCUUUGGUUCGUUUCCGCUUCUUCCAAUUUCUCCCCUUCUUUCCCACGGACUUGUGUAAUCUCACUAUGGACUUCCUGGCAUCAUCUGAGAAGUGAUGAAUCAAUGAUAACUGAGAACCUUCAUUGAUUCUCUUUUUCUUUUUCCAGUUCCUCCACUUCUUUCCCUCAGACUUGUCUGAAUGCGUGGUUGUAUCUCCAUAAAUAAUAUUUCCACACAAUUCAUACUCAUUCUACUCUGAUUCGCAUCUGGUGUCGAUCGAUGGUAUCUGAUCGGUGUCGAUCGAUGAUGAAGUGUUAGUGUCGAUCAAUUUUUUUCUGUUGAUGUUGCUCGAUGGUACUUCUGUUGGGCAGUUAUCUACUUCAUCUCUAAAUCGCAGCCCUCUCUGAGAAGCUUCUACAUGAUGUUGAUCAUUCAAUACCUCAAUGUAAGUACUCAGAUACACACCUUUAUCUGGUGGGAUAGGAGAUUCAACUUCAAACACUGCACAUGGAACCAUAAUCUUCACAGGAUCAUGUAUCAUCUUCACUCUUUUACAAAUCCCUACAGCUUCUUCUGCGCAUAUAGGUGGUCUUAGAUGUUCGGGGACAUCAGUGUGUGAUGUCUUAGACAUGUGCAUUAUCUCCUCAAUCGGUCCUGGUUCAAUUGGGUAUCCAGAUAGUUCAUCCAAACAUGGGUGUCGAUCGAUGCAAUCGGGUGGGUAUCCAGCGAUACAGUCGGGUGUAUAUAGAUUCAUGAUGUGUGGCGACUGUCGAUCGAUGGCGUAGGGUGGGUGUUGAUCGAUUAUGCAUGGAGUGUAUCGAUCGAUCUCAUCAGGUUGAUGUCGAUCGAUGUCGUCAGCCUUUUGUGAAAUUUUCAGACCUCUUCCCGAAGGGUGCUGAUCAUCAAACUUCUGCUUCGGGUUCUGGUCUAAAUCCUCAAGCCAUUCCUCCAUCUCCAAGAAGUCUUCCAUAGUUACUUCUUCACUCGAAUCCAAAUCUCCAAGCUGUUGCCCAUCCUCUAACUCCAAGAAUUCUUCUAGUUCCAAGAAAUCUUCCAUGGUGAUUUCUUUUUCUACUUUUUGGUCAGGAUAACAACUUGAUACAUCGAACGCUCUUCAGUGUCGAGUCUGCAAUGUCCUGAGGACAACUCGAUUUUUCAGGGAUUUCAAGUGGUAUCGAUCGACAACAGGAGUUUGUGUUGAUCGAUGUUUGAAGGCUGGGGUCGAUCGAUGUUACGGUUGGGAUGUCGAUCGAUGCUGAGGUUGGAGUGUCGAUAGGUUCUGAGCUCAUGUCACUAAUAUCGAUUUCUUCUAUUCUGCUCAGCUCUCCAGACACAUGUUGUUCAUCAUCUUCCACCAUAUAUUCCAUCAUAGAUCUCAUCUCAAUCUCUAGACUUGUUGCAGCAUCAUAGAGAAACUUGUUGACGAAAGCGUUUGCAAUGUCAUUCCAAGUAUUGAGAGAUCUUGAUGGUAGCUUCUUCAACCAAUGAGCUGCAUCCACAACAAAAGAGUAUGGGAAUAAUUUGCAUAAAUAGUAAUCUUCAGAGACUCCAUUGCAUUUGAUGGUUGAUGAUAGAUCUAUAAAUGUCUCCAGGUGGCUAGUGGGAUCUUCAUGAGGAAAACCAUGGAAAGAAUGCUGACCCACAAGAGAGAUAUAUGGAGGGUGCAGCUCAAGGACAAUAUUCUGAAGUGUUGAAUGACGCAAUGCAGACCCUUUAGCAUAAGCAUCCUCAGGACUGUUAUAGUCUCUAAUUGCCUUCGUUCGUCCAGUCCUAACAUACUCAGUGGUAGCAUCAGGGAUUGUAGAAGGUAUCGAUCGAUGAGAAAUAUCUGUAUCGAUCGUUUCUGAAGUGCGGAUAUCGAUCGAUUCUGAGUUACUACUGUCGAUCGAUUCUGAAGUCGGAUCUUUUAUAUCAGCUUCUUCUACUUUGCUCUGCUCUCCUGAUACAUGAUAUUCAUCAUCCUCAACUGUAUCAUGGUUGACCAGCUUUUCUCUGUUCAGUUCGUCCUUCUACUUACUCUCAUCUGCAUGGUGAACCUGAAUGUCUGGCUGCUUGACAUGAGUUGUCGGUGUUCCAAUAUCUCCAUUCUCCUCGCUGUAGAUGAAGUCAAGAAUCUGACUCAUACUAAUCAUUAUUCCUUUCUCCCAUUCUUUAAUCAUGUAAUCAAGCCUUUUACUUCGAGUUGCUACAGCCUCGCUGAAAAAUUUGCCUAUGAAAACCUCUUUGAUGUCUUCCCAACAUGUUAGAGAUCUUGGUUGCAGCUUACUGAACCAGCUAAAAGCAUCUCCGGAUAAACAAUAGGGGAAGAUCUUGCAGAAAAUGUGGUCUGCAGAUAUUUCAUCGUGCUUGUUUGCUGAGGCUAACUCCUCAAGUCUCUUGAUAAGAUCUUUGGGAUCCUCAUGAGGAAGACCGUAAAAUGGAUCCUCACUUUCCCAAUCAUACCAUUGACUUUUCAGAUUAAAGGUAUUCGUCUCAGCCACAUCAAUUACAUCAGGGAUUACACUACCCUCUGCAUUAAUUAAUUGUCCUGUGAGGCUGCAAGGACGACCUUCUUCGUCUCGCCAAAUACCUUUCUUGUCGAUCUUAAGUAUGAGCGCUUCGACCUUCUCUGUUUCUCCGUAAGUGGUGAUCGUCAUUGGAGGAACAGUGGCGCGAUGAAUAGUGUUUCGAUGAACAGUGUUCGGAUGAACAGUAUCGUGAUGAACAGUGUUCGGAUGAACAGUGUCCGUGUGAACAGUGUCACAAUGAACAGUGUUCUGGUGAACAGUGUCGAGCGAUAGAAUAUGAACAGUGUCGAUCGAUGGAAGAUUAAUAGUGUCAACCGACACGGGCUGAACAGUGUCGAUCGACGGGAUAUGAAUAGUGUCGACCGACACGGGAUGAACAGUGUCGAUCGACAAGAUAUAAAUAGUGCCGACCGAUAUGGGAUAAACAGUGUCGAUCGACGGAAGAUGAAUCGUGUUGACCGACACGGGAUGAACAGUGUCGAUCGACGUGAUAUGAACAGUGUCCGUGUGAACAGUGUCACAAUGAACAGUGUUCUGGUGAACAGUGUCGAGCGAUAGAAUAUGAACAGUGUCGAUCGAUGGAAGAUGAAUAGUGUCAACCGACACGGGCUGAACAGUGUCGAUCGACGGGAUAUGAAUAGUGUCGACCGACACGGGAUGAACAGUGUCGAUCGACAGGAUAUAAAUAGUGCCGACCGAUAUGGGAUAAACAGUGUCGAUCGACGGAAGAUGAAUCGUGUUGACCGACACGGGAUGAACAGUGUCGAUCGACGUGAUAUGAAUAGUGUCGCGAUGAACAGUAUCGCGAUGAAUAGUAUUAGGAUGAAUAGUAUUUGGAUUAAUAGUAUUAUGAUGAACAGUACCUGGAUGAACAGUACCUGGAUGAACAGUACCUCGGUGAAUAGUAUGGCGGUGAACAGUACCCGGAUGAAAAGUAACAUGAUGAACAGUACCCGGAUGAAUAGUACCUCGAUGAAUAGUGUUUUCCGACACAUGAUGAAUAGUGUCGUUCGAUGCUUGGCUCACGCUAUCGAUCGAUGCUGCUUUGAGGGUGUCGAUCGAUACAUCCCUCGUAGCCUUAUGGAUCGUGCAUAAACCAGCAGACUCCUUCCUUGAAGGACCUAGAAAUCCUCUCUUCAUUGUUUUUUGUUACUAAGAGUUAUGCACCCGAAAUAGAAAAAAACAUUUUAUGAGUUUUUCAAACAGUAACAAAACCUAGACUAAAUCUAACUAAACAAGAUCUAAUGGCGAUCAAAGCUCCCCGGCAAAGGCGCCAAAUUUGAUAUCACUCAAAUUACCCUAAAGAGUGUUACUCUCAUCAAAAGAGGUCGAGUUAUAGUACUUAGGGAUCGAAUCCACAAGGAGCUAGGGAACCGAUUAGAUAUAAUAGUUAUAUGAUUAAGCUAGGCUAAUAGGUUUUAAAAUAGUAAAUAAAGCAAGUAAUAAAUAAAGCAAUAAACAAGAUGAACAAGGUAAUUGUUCAGCUUGGCAAGGAGUAGUUUGAUGGAGGGAUGAUUGAUAGAUCUAGGGUUUCUAUUCAGGUGUUGGAGAUUAUAAUUCAUAUAGGUACCUAUUUGUUACAUGCAUGAUAUGUUAGAGCUCAACCGUUUAACUCAGUGAUCAGCUGUCGCAUGUUUCACUGGUUAACAAGCUAGAUCUCGUGUCUCAACGGUUAGUAUGUUGACAACGAAAGAGUGUCGAUCGAUGGUCCUAUUGGGACAUCGACCGAUACACCUUUGCCUACGUCGACCGAUAGUCAGUUGAGGACACCGAUCGACGGGUUCUAGCCAGGCCUAUGCGCGAGAAUAAAAUGCCCUAUUAAGAUACUAAAUUGGCGGUUAGCCCUCUCUAGCAGUCCUAAUAUGAUAGAUAGAUGUCAGGAUGGGAUAACAAGGGUGCUUGAGUAUGCAAUCCUAUGAUCAAGUUCUAGUUAAUUACUCUAAAACAAGCAAUGAAUACAAAUCUAUCAUGAAUAUCACAACAAGGCAGAUCUAUAGUUUGGGACUAAUCCAACAAACCUAUCUGAACCCUAAACCUAACAGGUGGAUCUACUCAGAAAUGAAAACAGAAAUCAUAGAUGAAUGGAUAUAAAACUGAAAUAGAAUAGAUAAGAAAACUAAUGGAGUUCCAGGAGGACUAUGAUAGGAGUUCCUCCCUUCUCUCCUAAGAGAAACAAUGGAAAUGAAAGUGUGUAGAAAGCGUAGAAAGCGUAGCCGUCAACAAUGGCUUAAAAAUAACAUAAAUAGGGUUUCUGGUCGUCCAAGGGUAUUUUGGUAAUUUGUGGCUUCUAGGGCUUCACGCAGUCAUAAAAUAUACAAGGCCCAUGAUCUGUAAUCUCCAUCAAUCGAUGUUCAGAGUGCUGCAUCGAUCGACACGGCUUCCUCUUCUCGGCAGAUUCCUCUCGCGAGGCAGACUGACCACUCUUCAGUAAAACGGGCAUAACUUCUGCUACAGAAUGCUGAUUGACCUGAGACCGGUGGCAUUGGAAAGAUAACUCAAUUCUCUUUCUUGUUUCGAAAUAUGGGCUCAAUCUAACGGUCGGAAAGUCUCCAUCAAUAGCUAAACAUCUGACGCGUCUGUGCAACUCUGCACCUCCAAAUGCUCCAAAAGAUUCCAAAAUUACCAUAUUUCUUCUAAACGUCUCUGAACCUGUAAAUAUUCUAAAUAGAUUCCAAAACAUAAUAAUUGUAUCUUAAAACACUUUAAAACACUUAUAGACCAUGAUUAAAAAUGGAUAAAAUAUAUGGUCUAUCAAGGACCGCCUACAAAACACCGUUACGAACAACACCAUUCCACCCCCUUUAUGGCAAAUCAUGUCAUCUACCAGUCGAACUGGAACAUAAAGCAGCUUGGGCUACCAAACUUUUGGACUUUGAUAUCAUACCAGCUGCAGAAAGGAGACUCAUCCAGCUUAACGAGCUUGAUCAAAUCAGACAUAUAGCUUUCGAAAAUUCAAAAAUCUAUAAAGGACUAAAGCUUAUCACGAUAGAAAGAUCAUAUCCCGGCACUUCGAGCCAGAUGAUCAAGUCCUCCUUUAUAACUCUCGAUUGACAUUAUUUCCUGGAAAGCUAAAAUCCCGUUGGUCUGGACCCUUCACCGUAACGAACGUUCAACCCUCCGGAGCUAUCACCUUACAAAAUGAGAAAGGCCAGGAAUUUACGGUGAAUCGCCAACGAGUUAAGCAUUAUUGGGCCAAACCACCAGCGAAAGUGCCCAUGGUGCUGUAUGAACCUGAUAAUUAGUUUAAUCAGGAAGUCCAGCUAAAGACUUAAAAAAUUAAGCGCUGAAUGGGAGGCAGCCCAUUUUUAUAAAAGAAAAAAAGAAUAAUAAUAAUAAUUUAAUUUAAAAAAUCAUUAAUUAAAAUUAAUAAAUUAUAUUUACUAGUAAUUAAUAGUAAUUUCCGUAUUUCUUAAUAUUAGCAUUAUUUACAAAAUUUAGAAAUUAGAAUUUGUCUUUAAAGAGGACAUCGAUCGGCGAGGCAUUACUGCCAUCGAUCGAUGCAGGCAUAUCGACGGUUUUAACACUAACUUCACUCGAUAUCAACCCAGUUCGUCUUCCACACUCACAAACGAAACCAAAAACAAAAACCCCAUUAUCUCUCUCGAUUCUCGACGGAUUUCGUCCGUUCUUCGCCUAAAUCCACUCGAUUUUUUACUCUGUAACUGUUAAAUCCACUCCCGAAAUCAACAAUCAAGGUAUGCACUCGAAAUUUUCAAUUUUUCGAAAAAUUAGGGUUUUCGUUUUGAGUUGGAUUAGAACGCUUGAUUUAGUGCGAUUGAGAGAUGUUUUUGUAGUUCAUAUUGCUUAUCUAGAGUUCGGUUUGUGAUUUCCAUGCAUUUAGAUUCGUAUAAACGCGAUUUGGAGUUGAGUGAUUUUGCAGGUUUCGCGAUUCCACAUCGGUCGAUAUGAACUUGUUCGCAUCGACCGAUGCUCUCUUGUCCGAUUGUUCCGACACGACGAUAUCGAUCGAUGUUCAGUAUAACCCAUCGAUCGAUAAGACAUUUUAUCGACAAUGCUAACCUUCUUUUCUUCUUGGUUUCAGAUGAGCAGCUCAGAGACAAACGCACGAAACAGAGAACUCAGGUCGAAAAGGAGGUUCGACGAGACUAGCAGCUCCUCCAACCCACAGCGUCAUCCAUGGCCUCGCGCCGAAAACACACCAUUCAAUGUCCCGGGCUAUGCUGAUCCUAAGGCAGCGAUCAACAGCAACGAGUGCCGUCAGCGUCCUCUGUCCGAUGACUGGGACGACUACGACAGCCUCUUCUACAAUGCCUGGCUAGGAAUUUCUAUCGAGCCCACCAAAUUCCUCGACCGACCCAUCCUGAAGAAGCUCGGGAUCGAGGGAGAUAUUAAGGACAUGAUCACACAGCUAGGACUCGGUACCAUGCCCUCUCGCGCUUACGACCUCUACCCCGAUCUCGUCCGCCAGUUCAUGGCCACUGUCAAGGUCACCUACAGGACUUCAGCUGGGAGGGUAGCGGGAGAUGGCACUUUGACCUUCUUCGCCAGAGGGACACGCUACAGGAUCACUAUCUCCGAGCUCUGCCGCAUCUACGGUUUCGAUGAGAGCAUCGCCUCUUACACGGUCCCACCUUUCUCACACAUUGAGGGAUUCUGGGACAUCGUCGGCACAGGAGUUUGGGACACGAACAGGGCCGUGCUAUCAGACAUCCGCUACUUCCUACGGCUCGUUGCAAACACACUUGUUUGCAAGAUGGAGCCCAACAAGGCCAGGAUAAAGGAGCUCACACUACUUUUCUGCGCAGUGAACGGCGUGGUGGAUUUGGUUGAGUUGGACGAGGAUGGCGAGGUAAGCCCGCCGAACCUCGGAGCUGUCUUUGCCACGCAUUUGGUGGAGCUGAAGAAGAAGCCCUUCACCAGCAAGGGCAAGAACAAGAAGGAGACAGUUGGGAGUCUUCUGACCUCGAUUUUCCAGUGAUCAGCUGUCGCAUGUUUCACUGGUUAACAAGCUAGAUCUCGUGUCUCAACGGUUAGUAUGUUGACAACGAAAGAGUGUCGAUCGAUGGUCCUAUUGGGACAUCGACCGAUACACCUUUGCCUACGUCGACCGAUAGUCAGUUGAGGACACCGAUCGACGGGUUCUAGCCAGGCCUAUGCGCGAGAAUAAAAUGCCCUAUUAAGAUACUAAAUUGGCGGUUAGCCCUCUCUAGCAGUCCUAAUAUGAUAGAUAGAUGUCAGGAUGGGAUAACAAGGGUGCUUGAGUAUGCAAUCCUAUGAUCAAGUUCUAGUUAAUUACUCUAAAACAAGCAAUGAAUACAAAUCUAUCAUGAAUAUCACAACAAGGCAGAUCUAUAGUUUGGGGCUAAUCCAACAAACCUAUCUGAACCCUAAACCUAACAGGUGGAUCUACUCAGAAAUGAAAACAGAAAUCAUAGAUGAAUGGAUAUAAAACUGAAAUAGAAUAGAUAAGAAAACUAAUGGAGUUCCAGGAGGACUAUGAUAGGAGUUCCUCCCUUCUCUCCUAAGAGAAACAAUGGAAAUGAAAGUGUGUAGAAAGCGUAGAAAGCGUAGCCGUCAACAAUGGCUUAAAAAUAACAUAAAUAGGGUUUCUGGUCGUCCAAGGGUAUUUUGGUAAUUUGUGGCUUCUAGGGCUUCACGCAGUCAUAAAAUAUACAAGGCCCAUGAUCUGUAAUCUCCAUCAAUCGAUGUUCAGAGUGCUGCAUCGAUCGACGCGGCUUCCUCUUCUCGGCAGCUUCCUCUCGCGAGGCAGACUGACCACUCUUCAGUAAAACGGGCAUAACUUCUGCUACAGAAUGCUGAUUGACCUGAGACCGGUGGCAUUGGAAAGAUAACUCAAUUCUCUUUCUUGUUUCGAAAUAUGGGCUCAAUCUAACGGUCGGAAAGUCUCCAUCAAUAGCUAAACAUCUGACGCGUCUGUGCAACUCUGCACCUCCAAAUGCGCCAAAAGAUUCCAAAAUCACCAUAUUUCUUCUAAACGUCUCUGAACCUGUAAAUAUUCUAAAUAGAUUCCAAAACAUAAUAAUUGUAUCUUAAAACACUUUAAAACACUUAUAGACCAUGAUUAAAAAUGGAUAAAAUAUAUGGUCUAUCAAGGACCGCCUACAAAACACCGUUACGAACAACACCAUUCCACCCCCUUUAUGGCAAAUCAUGUCAUCUACCAGUCGAACUGGAACAUAAAGCAGCUUGGGCUACCAAACUUUUGGACUUUGAUAUCAUACCAGCUGCAGAAAGGAGACUCAUCCAGCUUAACGAGCUUGAUCAAAUCAGACAUAUAGCUUUCGAAAAUUCAAAAAUCUAUAAAGGACUAAAGCUUAUCACGAUAGAAAGAUCAGAUCCCGGCACUUCGAGCCAGAUGAUCAAGUCCUCCUUUAUAACUCUCGAUUGACAUUAUUUCCUGGAAAGCUAAAAUCCCGUUGGUCUGGACCCUUCACCGUAACGAACGUUCAACCCUCCGGAGCUAUCACCUUACAAAAUGAGAAAGGCCAGGAAUUUACGGUGAAUCGCCAACGAGUUAAGCAUUAUUGGGCCAAACUACCAGCGAAAGUGCCCAUGGUGCUGUAUGAACCUGAUAAUUAGUUUAAUCAGGAAGUCCAGCUAAAGACUUAAAAAUUAAGCGCUGAAUGGGAGGCAGCCCAUUUUUAUAAAAGAAAAAAAGAAUAAUAAUAAUAAUUUAAUUUAAAAAAUCAUUAAUUAAAAUUAAUAAAUUAUAUUUACUAGUAAUUAAUAGUAAUUUCCGUAUUUCUUAAUAUUAGCAUUAUUUACAAAAUUUAGAAAUUAGAAUUUGUCUUUAAAGAGGACAUCGAUCGGCGAGGCAUUACUGCCAUCGAUCGAUGCAGGCAUAUCGACGGUUUUAACACUAACUUCACUCGAUAUCAACCCAGUUCGUCUUCCACACUCACAAACGAAACCAAAAACAAAAACCCCAUUAUCUCUCUCGAUUCUCGACGGAUUUCGUCCGUUCUUCGCCUAAAUCCACUCGAUUUUUUACUCUGUAACUGUUAAAUCCACUCCCGAAAUCAACAAUCAAGGUAUGCACUCGAAAUUUUCAAUUUUUCGAAAAAUUAGGGUUUUCGUUUUGAGUUGGAUUAGAACGCUUGAUUUAGUGCGAUUGAGAGAUGUUUUUGUAGUUCAUAUUGCUUAUCUAGAGUUCGGUUUGUGAUUUCCAUGCAUUUAGAUUCGUAUAAACGCGAUUUGGAGUUGAGUGAUUUUGCAGGUUUCGCGAUUCCACAUCGGUCGAUAUGAACUUGUUCGCAUCGACCGAUGCUCUCUUGUCCGAUUGUUCCGACACGACGAUAUCGAUCGAUGUUCAGUAUAACCCAUCGAUCGAUAAGACAUUUUAUCGACAAUGCUAACCUUCUUUUCUUCUUGGUUUCAGAUGAGCAGCUCAGAGACAAACGCACGAAACAGAGAACUCAGGUCGAAAAGGAGGUUCGACGAGACUAGCAGCUCCUCCAACCCACAGCGUCAUCCAUGGCCUCGCGCCGAAAACACACCAUUCAAUGUCCCGGGCUAUGCUGAUCCUAAGGCAGCGAUCAACAGCAACGAGUGCCGUCAGCGUCCUCUGUCCGAUGACUGGGACGACUACGACAGCCUCUUCUACAAUGCCUGGCUAGGAAUUUCUAUCGAGCCCACCAAAUUCCUCGACCGACCCAUCCUGAAGAAGCUCGGGAUCGAGGGAGAUAUUAAGGACAUGAUCACACAGCUAGGACUCGGUACCAUGCCCUCUCGCGCUUACGACCUCUACCCCGAUCUCGUCCGCCAGUUCAUGGCCACUGUCAAGGUCACCUACAGGACUUCAGCUGGGAGGGUAGCGGGAGAUGGCACUUUGACCUUCUUCGCCAGAGGGACACGCUACAGGAUCACUAUCUCCGAGCUCUGCCGCAUCUACGGUUUCGAUGAGAGCAUCGCCUCUUACACGGUCCCACCUUUCUCACACAUUGAGGGAUUCUGGGACAUCGUCGGCACAGGAGUUUGGGACACGAACAGGGCCGUGCUAUCAGACAUCCGCUACUUCCUACGGCUCGUUGCAAACACACUUGUUUGCAAGAUGGAGCCCAACAAGGCCAGGAUAAAGGAGCUCACACUACUUUUCUGCGCAGUGAACGGCGUGGUGGAUUUGGUUGAGUUGGACGAGGAUGGCGAGGUAAGCCCGCCGAACCUCGGAGCUGUCUUUGCCACGCAUUUGGUGGAGCUGAAGAAGAAGCCCUUCACCAGCAAGGGCAAGAACAAGAAGGAGACAGUUGGGAGUCUUCUGACCUCGAUUUUCCAGUGAUCAGCUGUCGCAUGUUUCACUGGUUAACAAGCUAGAUCUCGUGUCUCAACGGUUAGUAUGUUGACAACGAAAGAGUGUCGAUCGAUGGUCCUAUUGGGACAUCGACCGAUACACCUUUGCCUACGUCGACCGAUAGUCAGUUGAGGACACCGAUCGACGGGUUCUAGCCAGGCCUAUGCGCGAGAAUAAAAUGCCCUAUUAAGAUACUAAAUUGGCGGUUAGCCCUCUCUAGCAGUCCUAAUAUGAUAGAUAGAUGUCAGGAUGGGAUAACAAGGGUGCUUGAGUAUGCAAUCCUAUGAUCAAGUUCUAGUUAAUUACUCUAAAACAAGCAAUGAAUACAAAUCUAUCAUGAAUAUCACAACAAGGCAGAUCUAUAGUUUGGGGCUAAUCCAACAAACCUAUCUGAACCCUAAACCUAACAGGUGGAUCUACUCAGAAAUGAAAACAGAAAUCAUAGAUGAAUGGAUAUAAAACUGAAAUAGAAUAGAUAAGAAAACUAAUGGAGUUCCAGGAGGACUAUGAUAGGAGUUCCUCCCUUCUCUCCUAAGAGAAACAAUGGAAAUGAAAGUGUGUAGAAAGCGUAGAAAGCGUAGCCGUCAACAAUGGCUUAAAAAUAACAUAAAUAGGGUUUCUGGUCGUCCAAGGGUAUUUUGGUAAUUUGUGGCUUCUAGGGCUUCACGCAGUCAUAAAAUAUACAAGGCCCAUGAUCUGUAAUCUCCAUCAAUCGAUGUUCAGAGUGCUGCAUCGAUCGACGCGGCUUCCUCUUCUCGGCAGCUUCCUCUCGCGAGGCAGACUGACCACUCUUCAGUAAAACGGGCAUAACUUCUGCUACAGAAUGCUGAUUGACCUGAGACCGGUGGCAUUGGAAAGAUAACUCAAUUCUCUUUCUUGUUUCGAAAUAUGGGCUCAAUCUAACGGUCGGAAAGUCUCCAUCAAUAGCUAAACAUCUGACGCGUCUGUGCAACUCUGCACCUCCAAAUGCUCCAAAAGAUUCCAAAAUCACCAUAUUUCUUCUAAACGUCUCUGAACCUGUAAAUAUUCUAAAUAGAUUCCAAAACAUAAUAAUUGUAUCUUAAAACACUUUAAAACACUUAUAGACCAUGAUUAAAAAUAGAUAAAAUAUAUGGUCUAUCAAGGACCGCCUACAAAACACCGUUACGAACAACACCAUUCCACCCCCUUUAUGGCAAAUCAUGUCAUCUACCAGUCGAACUGGAACAUAAAGCAGCUUGGGCUACCAAACUUUUGGACUUUGAUAUCAUACCAGCUGCAGAAAGGAGACUCAUCCAGCUUAACGAGCUUGAUCAAAACAGACAUAUAGCUUUCGAAAAUUCAAAAAUCUAUAAAGGACUAAAGCUUAUCACGAUAGAAAGAUCAUAUCCCGGCACUUCGAGCCAGAUGAUCAAGUCCUCCUUUAUAACUCUCGAUUGACAUUAUUUCCUGGAAAGCUAAAAUCCCGUUGGUCUGGACCCUUCACCGUAACGAACGUUCAACCCUCCGGAGCUAUCACCUUACAAAAUGAGAAAGGCCAGGAAUUUACGGUGAAUCGCCAACGAGUUAAGCAUUAUUGGGCCAAACCACCAGCGAAAGUGCCCAUGGUGCUGUAUGAACCUGAUAAUUAGUUUAAUCAGGAAGUCCAGCUAAAGACUUAAAAAUUAAGCGCUGAAUGGGAGGCAGCCCAUUUUUAUAAAAGAAAAAAAGAAUAAUAAUAAUAAUUUAAUUUAAAAAAUCAUUAAUUAAAAUUAAUAAAUUAUAUUUACUAGUAAUUAAUAGUAAUUUCCGUAUUUCUUAAUAUUAGCAUUAUUUACAAAAUUUAGAAAUUAGAAUUUGUCUUUAAAGAGGACAUCGAUCGGCGAGGCAUUACUGCCAUCGAUCGAUGCAGGCAUAUCGACGGUUUUAACACUAACUUCACUCGAUAUCAACCCAGUUCGUCUUCCACACUCACAAACGAAACCAAAAACAAAAACCCCAUUAUCUCUCUCGAUUCUCGACGGAUUUCGUCCGUUCUUCGCCUAAAUCCACUCGAUUUUUUACUUUGUAACUGUUAAAUCCACUCCCGAAAUCAACAAUCAAGGUAUGCACUCGAAAUUUUCAAUUUUUCGAAAAAUUAGGGUUUUCGUUUUGAGUUGGAUUAGAACGCUUGAUUUAGUGCGAUUGAGAGAUGUUUUUGUAGUUCAUAUUGCUUAUCUAGAGUUCGGUUUGUGAUUUCCAUGCAUUUAGAUUCGUAUAAACGCGAUUUGGAGUUGAGUGAUUUUGCAGGUUUCGCGAUUCCACAUCGGUCGAUAUGAACUUGUUCGCAUCGACCGAUGCUCUCUUGUCCGAUUGUUCCGACACGACGAUAUCGAUCGAUGUUCAGUAUAACCCAUCGAUCGAUAAGACAUUUUAUCGACAAUGCUAACCUUCUUUUCUUCUUGGUUUCAGAUGAGCAGCUCAGAGACAAACGCACGAAACAGAGAACUCAGGUCGAAAAGGAGGUUCGACGAGACUAGCAGCUCCUCCAACCCACAGCGUCAUCCAUGGCCUCGCGCCGAAAACACACCAUUCAAUGUCCCGGGCUAUGCUGAUCCUAAGGCAGCGAUCAACAGCAACGAGUGCCGUCAGCGUCCUCUGUCCGAUGACUGGGACGACUACGACAGCCUCUUCUACAAUGCCUGGCUAGGAAUUUCUAUCGAGCCCACCAAAUUCCUCGACCGACCCAUCCUGAAGAAGCUCGGGAUCGAGGGAGAUAUUAAGGACAUGAUCACACAGCUAGGACUCGGUACCAUGCCCUCUCGCGCUUACGACCUCUACCCCGAUCUCGUCCGCCAGUUCAUGGCCACUGUCAAGGUCACCUACAGGACUUCAGCUGGGAGGGUAGCGGGAGAUGGCACUUUGACCUUCUUCGCCAGAGGGACACGCUACAGGAUCACUAUCUCCGAGCUCUGCCGCAUCUACGGUUUCGAUGAGAGCAUCGCCUCUUACACGGUCCCACCUUUCUCACACAUUGAGGGAUUCUGGGACAUCGUCGGCACAGGAGUUUGGGACACGAACAGGGCCGUGCUAUCAGACAUCCGCUACUUCCUACGGCUCGUUGCAAACACACUUGUUUGCAAGAUGGAGCCCAACAAGGCCAGGAUAAAGGAGCUCACACUACUUUUCUGCGCAGUGAACGGCGUGGUGGAUUUGGUUGAGUUGGACGAGGAUGGCGAGGUAAGCCCGCCGAACCUCGGAGCUGUCUUUGCCACGCAUUUGGUGGAGCUGAAGAAGAAGCCCUUCACCAGCAAGGGCAAGAACAAGAAGGAGACAGUUGGGAGUCUUCUGACCUCGAUUUUCCAGUAUCUCGGCAUCCACCUUGACUCUCGCUCUGCCGACCGCGACCACGCCUUCCUCGAUGAGCAGCACUUGAUGCACUCGCUAUGGCUCGAGGAAGGGAAGCUCUGGCGCCUCAGGAUCCGCGACGAGCAUCGCCUUCUACCCCUACCAGAUAGGAGGAUCACUGACUUCUGCAACAACGUGGAGCAGCUUCGAUGCAUGCUAGACGAGGCAUUCCUCCGCAACCCGCAGAACAUGUCACGCCGACCUCCCAGCAUUCGCCGUACCAGAGCUCGGGACGCACAUGCACCUCCUCUUCCUGACUUCCCGAACAUCCCGGACAUCCCUAUGCACGACCAGGGAGACUUUCAGAGGUUCGUGGUGGACGCUCUUCAGGCCAUCUGGGCUAGAGUGUCUUGUCGGAGCAGGAGAGCCACAGGAGCGCAGGCACCAGCACCAGCAGCACGCAGGGACCCAUCCCCAGAGGCCGAUGAGGCGACUGAUGAGGACACCAAUUAGUCCUCCCAUCUCUAUCUCUUCUCCUCUUAUUAUGAACUUGUUUAUUUAUUUUCCGAACUUGUAGGAUUUAUGUUUUUAAACUUAUAUUUUAUGUUUGAGGAUGCUUAUUAUUUCUUAUGCUUGAUUGUCUAACAGAGCUAACAUUAGGCAAGGGACUUCGAGUUUGACUCCAAGCACAUGCAAAAAUGUAUGUGCUUCGCCAUCGAUCAAUUUAGAGAGGAUUACAUCGAUCGAAUCUGGGCGAGUAACAUCGAUCGAUAUGGAGAGGAUUACAUCGAUUGAUGUGUAGUACAGAUAGGUACUUCAUUCUUACUCUAACAUUCUCAAACAUCUAACUUGAUUUUAACCUACCCUUGGACACUUUGCACCGAGUCGGUGCAAUUUAAGUCUGGGGGAGGUAGUUACUAACACCAUUUUCUUGAGUUUUUGUCAAAAAUCUUUUCAAAAAUAAUUUUAUUGAGUCAAGAAGGGGAUUAUGAACUAAUGAUUUCUACUUGAAUGUCUAACCACUUUCUAGCACCAUUCUAGAUUUACUGACUGAAGAUAAUACUAUAGAUGUUAAAGUGGAUCAACCAGUCAACUAUACACACUUGCUAGCUUGUUAGAAAGAACCGAAGCUAACCUCCAACACUAACCUGACUUCACUGCUUGUUUUGGGGCUUGGUAUACAUGGGAUCAGAUUUUUCAGACAAGUCUGGAAGGUAAUGCCUGGUUUAGAUUAUUUAUCACAUUUUCUCUCUCUAAAUUUCGACCCUAGAUUAGUUAGUGAGUACACCAAAAAAAAAAAAGAUCUAUUGUUUAAUUAGGAUGAGUCUGAACAGGACUUGGUGGCUAAAACCAUUAAGGCUUGAUUCAUAAAGACUCAAAUAAAAGAGUUCAAAACAGGACUUGGAGGCGGCAAUCUUCAAAGCUCGCUUUCGCAAAGAACUCUUGGAUAUAGGUCAAAAAGAAGUGAACAGAACUUGGCGGCAACCACCAUUAAGUUUUGAUUCAUGGAAGCCUAUCCAAUCUUGGUCACUGAUCCUGCAAUGGAAGCAGACUUUGACCCAAGAAAGAAAUUUAGAGAGAGAGAAACUAGGAACUAACUUUUACCUGCAGCUCCAGAUACUUGUCUGAAAUCCUUGCAUCCUGUGAUUGAUACUCCCAAGGUAAAGCCUACACUUUUUACAUUAAGAAAUGAGGUCUGUUGAGGAGAUUGAUAAUAAGAUUAGUUAAGAUUGUUGGCUAGAUGAUUUUGGUUGCUAAGCUAGGAUAUUGCAUAAUGUAUAUCUGUAAGAAGGAACCUUAGAUGUGGAAUGCAAUAUUAUAGAGGUGAUAAUUUCAAUGUUUCAAAUUUGUGAGUCCCUGAUGUUUUCAACCCUCUUCCAGAGAGAUUGUCCAUUGGUUUAACUUGAGGACAAGUCAAAAGAUAAGUCUGGGGGAGUUGAUAUACCAUGAUUUUCACCCGUUUUUAUACAUGGCAUAUAAAGGUUUUAAGAUGUAUUAAUCAUGUUUUAGAGUCUUUUCAAAGCAAAUACAGGUUUAUUCACCUGAUGGAAGGAAAUGAUACUUUUGGGACAUUUUGGAAUGCUUUUACGCAAGGAAAAUCGAUCGACGCUUGAAGAGCAACAUCGGUCGAUCAUAAUCACUUACCAUCGAUCGACAUACAUUUAUGUGCAUCGAUCGAUACCCAGUCACACGGAUGAAAUCGCAAAUUAAAAGAUUUCAUUUCUCAGAAGAUCUAUUAUUUACAACUUAAUUCCCUAGCCGCCUGUUAGGCUAUAUGUACUAGGGUUUUGUAUCAUUUCUAGCAGACACUUGCAAAAAGACCUAGUUUUGGAGAAAGAGCAUUUUGGCUACCAUUACGAGAGCUUAGGAAUGGAGAGAUAGAUCUGAAACUGCAAAACAGAGAAGAUCUUGAACUCCUUUAUUUCUAUUACUCUAUCUAUUUGUGUUCUAUGUUUCAUUUGAGUUUAUUUCACACCAUCAUGACUUUGUCUCUCAUGAAUAUGUUUGAGUAAAUCAAUUGUUAGAUUUAGGUUUCUCACCAUGGUUGAAAUUAUGUACUGCUAAUAUGACUGUUAAAAAGGUGUUUUGAUUGUUCUUUCAUUGCUUAUGGACUUAAUGCUAAAAUUAAGAUUGAUCACCUUCAUUUUAGAUCUUAGGAUUAAUUGAGUCCAACUAACCGUUUCCCCUCAAUACCUGAACCCAUUUGCGUGAUCUAACUAACUCAGGCGCAACGACAAUUGGUCUGAGAAGGUUAGAGAACAAGUUAAACCCGUUCGCAAAGCUCGCUAGAAUAACUGUCGAUCGACGCAACUAUCGUUCUGUCGAUCGAUCGUUACAAAGGUGUAUUGGUCGAUGUACAUCAAGUCACAUCGAUCGACACUCUCUCGAGAUCAAAGUACGACAUUUGAGAUUCGAGAUCUAGUGAAGAUAACCUAUCCGGUUAAAUAAAUGUUUAGUUCAAGAACCAUUAAACCCUUUAGUCUAAACUAAGUGCAUACAUUUUAUACCUGAGAAUUGCCUGAAUCUAGCUGCUUUCCCAAUCUUGAAACCACUUCAAUUCAAUCUAUUGAAUCACUGUUGUUUUCGAUUUAUCAUUUACUGCUUUUAAAACUAUUAAAACCUUUUAGUCUAUCUUCAUUUCUAAUUAUUUAAGUCUGUUGAGUAAUCCUAGAGUCUCUGUGGAUUUGAUCCCUAAGUACUACAUCUGAACCUCUUUUGAUGAGAGUAACACUCUUUAGGGUAAUUUGAGUGAUAUCAUUUAGCAUCUUUCUUUUGCAUUAAAUAUUUGAUGGCAGCGUGAUCAGUGUGAACUACCACUCGUGAGCCAAUCAAGUACUGACGGAAUUUUUCAAAAGCGUAAACUACAGCUAAUAGUUCUUUUUCUGUUGUUGCGUAAUCAAGCGUGCGGCUGGCGUAGUAAAUGGCGUGUAGCUUUUUGUCUUUCCUUUGGCCUAAAACAGCACCAAUUGCAAAAUCGCUCGCAUCGCACAUGAUUUUGAAAGGAAGGUUCCAGUCGGGGGCUUGUACGACGAAGGCAGUGAUAAGAGAUUUCUUUAAAUCUUCAAAAGCUUUCAUGCAUUCAGGGGCAAAAUCGAAUUUAAUAUCCUUGCAUAAUAGGUUAUUUAGAGGUCUAGCGAUUUUGCCGAAGUCCAGUAUAAAUCUCUUGUAAAAUCCGACGUGUCCGAGAAAACUUCGCACAUCUUUAACAGUUUUGGGCGGAGGUAAACUGGUCAUUGCUUCAAUCUUAGCUCUAUCUACCUCUAUACCAGCGACAGAAACCUUAUGUCCUAACACUAUUCCAUCGUUAACCAUGAAAUGGCAUUUUUCCCAUUUUAGGACAAGGUUCUUUUCUUCGCAUCUUUCCAAUACUUUGCAUAAAUUAUCAAGGCAACUCUUAAAAUCUGAUCCGUAGACUGAAAAGUCAUCCAUGAAUAUUUUCAUGAAGUCCUCGAUCAUAUCCGUAAAGAUUGACAUCAUGCAACGUUGGAAAGUGGCAGGGGCGUUACAAAGACCAAAUGGCAUUCUGCGAUAUGCGAAAGUUCCAUAGGGGUAUGUAAACGUUGUAUUUUCUUGAUCAUCCGGGUGUAUAGGAAUUUGGAAAAAUCCGGAAUAUCCAUCAAGAAAACAGUAAUACUGGUGAUUAGCUAAUCUCUCCAGCAUCUGAUGAAUAAAGGAAAGGGGAAAAUGGUCUUUCCUAGUAGCGGCAUUCAAUUUCCUAUAAUCAAUACACAUCGGAUGACCAGUAACAGUACGAGUCAGAAUGAGUUCGUCCUUUUCAUUCUUCACUACAGUGAUACCUCCCUUUUUAGGUACAACAUGUACAGGGCUUACCCAUUUGCUAUCCGAAAUAGGGUAAAUAACUCCAGCAUCAAGGAGUUUUAUAAUUUCCUUUUUAACUACUUCCUUUAGAUUCGAAUUUAAUCUCCUUUUCUGCUCUAUUGAUGUUUUAGCGUCAUCUUCCAAGUUGAUUCGAUGCAUGCAAAGAUCGGGAGAGAUUACAGGAAUGUCAUCGAGAGAAUAUCUGAUCGCUUUCCUGUACUUGCGUAAUUUAUUUACUAAUAAAACAAGUUCUCCACUAGUGAGAUUGGCGUUGACGAUUGAUACCAUUCAAAUUACCCUAAGGAGUGUUACUCUCAUCAAAAGAGGUUCAGAUGUAGUACUUAGGAAUCGAAUCCACAAGGAGCUAGGGAACAAUUAAAUAUAGUGUUUAUUAAUUCUAAGAGUUGUAAAUGUUUAAAUGAAAUAGCAAUAGUAACAAGCAAAGCAAAUAGUAAAUGUUACUUGGUUGGAAAUGAUAUUAGAUGCAUGGCCACUAUUCAGGUGUUUGAGAUUAUAAUAUCUAUAGAUGCCUAUUUGUUGCAUGCAUGAUAUGUUAAAGCUCAACCGCUUAACUCAGUGAUCAGCUGUCACAUGUUUCACUGGUUAACAGGCUAGAUCUCGUGUCUCAACGGUUAGUAUGUUGACAACGAAAGAGUGUCGAUCGACGGUCCUAUUGGGACGUCGACCGACACAUCUUUGCCUAAUUCGACCGAUAGUCAGUUGAGGACAUCGAUCGACGGGUUCUAGCCAGGCCUAUGCGCGAGUAUGAUAUGCCCUAUUAAAAUACUAAAUUGGCGGUUAGCCCUCUCUAGCAGUCCUAAUAUGAUAGAUAGAUGUCAGGAUGUGAUAACAAGGGUGCAUGAGUAUGCAAUCCUAUAAUCAUGUUCUAGUUAGCAAGGCUAAAACAAGCAAUGAAUACAAAUCUAUCAUGAAUAUCACAACAAGACAGAUCUAUAGUUUGGGGCUAAUCCCACAAACCUAUCUGAACCCUGGAUCUAAUAAAUGAACUACUCAGACAUAGCAAAGCAAUUCAUAACAAUGAAGAAAUGGGAAUUCAUAGUAUAGAUGAAAAGAAAUGAAAACAACGAUCUCCAAUCACAAGUGAUCUUCUCUCAAAAACUCUCUCUCUCUCUCUCUCAAAGUAAAACUGUAAUAAAAAGCUCUCCCUGCCGUCAAAACACUUAGGCAGUAUAUAAUCUACUAGGUUAAAAACUCGUCAGGGCAUUUUCGUAAUUUGGGUUGGACUUGGGCUUCAAGUCCGCUGGAUCCAAAUGUCGCAUGUCCAAUGUUUCAACAUCGAUCGAUGGUACUUGUGUACAUUGAUCGAUAUUAAUCUUCAUUUGUCGAGGCAUCUCAUGGUGUCGAUCGACACCACUCGAGGUGCAUCGAUCGAUUGUUCUUCCUCUCGUCGACCUCUACAUGGUCAGCUCGGGUGAAAUGUCUUUUAAGCUCCAAAACACUCUAAAGUCAUAGCUUUACUCCGAAUGCAGAUGAACCUGAAAACAUACCUAGAAGAGUAGAAAACAUAGAUAUAUAUAUAUAUAUAUAUAUAUAUAUAUAUAUAUAUAUAUAUAUAUAUAUAUAUAUAUAUAUAUAUAUAUAUAUAGUAAAACACCUAUAUACCAUGGAUGAAAACGGGUCAAAUCCAAGGUAUAUCAAUCACCCUUUAAACCUAGAUUUUAGGAUUAAUUGGGAUCAAGCCAUUGCUUGACUCAAUACCUGAAAAUUAACUAGUAUGAUCUAACUGACUAGAUACAGACGAGAGUUGAUAUAGUGAGUUUGAAAAUAUAAAUUAAACCUGUCCGUAAAACUUUCUGGAAGAAGUAUCGAUCGACACAUCGAUAUCCUGUCGAUCGAUAUUUUGAAAGGUGUAUCGAUCGAUAUUUUGAAAGGUGUAUCGAUCGAUAUUCAUAAAUAAUUAUCGAUCGACAAUUUCUCGUGACUAACAUACGAGAGCUAAAAUGCGAGAUCAAGAUUAGAUAAUCAGAUUGAUUAUAUCUUAAGUUUAAAUUCAAGAAUAAUUAAUAUCAAUAAACCUCUACAAACCCAAAUUAAGUUUACUUAUCAUACCUGGGAAUAUACCUGAAUCUAGCUAUUUCUCCAAACUGUUAACAACCUCAAAACAAAUCAAUCAAGCAAUAAAAUUGCUCACCACUCCAUUUACUGCUUUAAAACUUAUAAACCAUUUAAUCUAGAUUUAUUUCAAGACCAUAAUCUAUUGUGUAAUCCUAGAGUCUCUAUGGAUUCGAUCCCUAAGUACUACAUCUGAACCUCUUAUUUGAGAGAGUAAUUCACUCCUUAGGGUAAUUUGAGUGAUAUCCGUUAGCUUCCGACUAAUAAACAUCGACAUUAAAGGUAAAUUGGUCAUAAGGUUAUGACCAGUGUACGACUAAUAUAUGAGACGUAAAUGUACGUCACCUUUACGACAAAUGUAUUUACUUUUAACUUACGACCAACUUAUUGAGCCGUAAAGCUACGUCUGAUAUAUGACUAAUUUUUCUAGACGCAAUAUUACGACCAAUGUGCCUCUAAUUAUUAAUUACGAUCAUCUUGUAACGACCAAUAGAUUUUCGAAGUUAAUUGGUCCUAAAGCCCAUAUUACGACCAACUAGCUACUAAUACUAUAGUCGUUAAGGUCCUGUUUUCUUGUAGUGAAAAGUCCCCAGAAAAUAUUUCUCGCAAUAUAAAUUCCGUAUAAUUUUUAUCCACAAUAAGAAGCAAACAUUGUUGGGGUCAAAAACGGUAAUCUCGAAAUAAACGUCCAAAACCUGUGUUUCUGUAUGAAAGCUUUCUCGACACACUCUCGACAAAAUUUCCUGAGCAAAAGACUCGAGAGAAAUGGAUCACAGAACCAAACAAGCAGUCCAACUCGUUUGUUCGUACGUUUUAAGGUGCAGAACUGCACAGACGAGUCAGAUGUUUAUCUAUGGAUGAAGACCUUCCCGUGGUAUGAUUGAGCUUUGAGUUAGCUUUCCAAUGCCACCGGUCUGAGGUCAAUCAGCAUUCUGUAUCAUAAGUUAUGUCUGUUUUAUUGAAGGGUGGACAGAGCACACCGUCCAGCUCGGUGGAUGGCCGAGCUGGAUCGACCACGCGACCAGCUCGGCCAUCCGCCGAGGUGAACCAGUCCAGCUCGGCCAUCCGCCGAGGUGAACCAGUCCAGCUCGGCGGAUGGUCGAGCUUGGUCGACAACACGACCAGCUCGUCCAUCCGCCAAGCUGAACCAGUCAAGCUCUGCGGAUGGCCGAGCUGGAUCGAACACGCGACCAGCUCGGCCAUCCGCCCAGUCCAGCUCGGCGGAUGGCCGAACUGGAUCAACACGCAACCAGUUCGGCCAUCCGCCGAGUUGGAACGAUCGUUCUGUCAUAGUCCCAUCCUCGUAGCUCCCUCCUUCGGGAUUGGAUCGAACAUGCUCUUGUUUCAUUUCGAUCAGAGUCACCGAUGGAACUUUACGAUUUAAAACUGCAGUAACUCAUUGUUGGGGAAAAAUAUUCCAUGAAGAGCAUACUCCAGCUUCCGUCUUCCAGGUCUAUCCCCCCGGGGUCCGGGUUCCUGUCUCUGGGUCCCGGGUCCCUGUCCCCGAGUCUGGGACCUUCCUCCGUCUUCCAGGCCAAGUGAUUUCUCCUGCCUUCCUCUGUCAACCGCUUAACUCAGUGAUCAGCUGUCGCAUGUUUCACUGGUUAACAAGCUAGAUCUCGUGUCUCAACGGUUUGUAUGUCGACAACGAGAGAGUGUCGAUCGAUGGUGUAAUAACCCUCAUGAGCCAAUAAAUUUUUGGUCGAGAAAAAUCCCGCUCGACCAGUUUUUAGUUGGUUUAACAAGGAUUAAUAAAAAUAAAAAUCGACCCGGUAGAUUAAUUUCUCGAAGGGACUGUCUUGUGGUUGAAAGACCUUCACUUGAUAGUUUGGUCGAGUCUUAAAUAUUUUGGUCGAAUUUUUAUUAAACUGGAAGAGAGUUUCCGAGAACAAGACGAGAGCCAAAGACAAGGAAUAUUUGGUUGAAAAAUUAUUGAAAAUUAUCAACCAACUGCUACAAGUAAUUUUGGACCAGACUCAUGUCUUCCACCAGCCGCUUGCUCAGUCUUUAGUCACAUGACUUGCACCUGCCUGCUUGCCUAGCUUCUUCAGUAACUGGCACAUGAUAAUCACAAGCUGCCUGCUUGCCUUGUUUCUUAGAUUGUCAUGUGAGAAGCACAUGAAAGGGCUGGAGUUUCUUCAGGUUAAGGAAAGGACAGCAGCUUGUGCUGAGAGUGCUGAAGCAGCUGGCCAGCUGUCCCCACUCAGCUUAGCUUUGUCCUGAGUGAAACCCUCACCUGAAGCAAGCUCACCUCACAUUUAACCCCUCUCCAGCUGCUUCCCACGUUCAGAACCCUGCAGAAAAUCUAGAGAAUUUCAGUGAGAAAGAGAGAAAGAAGAACAGAAAAAUCAGAGAGAAAAAUCAAGAAAAUAAAUCAAGAAAAAAUUGGUGGUGACCUAAUCUUCAACCUUAGCUCAGUUUCUUACCUUGGGAAAGAUCAGAAGGUGAGAUUUUUAAAUAAAACCCUAGACCUAGUUGAGUUCAGAUCAUGAUCAGACCUUGAUCUUUCUCUUUGAUCAGUCCAGCCACAAGCUUACCUUGGAGAAGAGGAUCAGCUGAGGCCAUCUAGUCCUUUGGUUCAUCUUGGUAAGCUUUGGUCUCCUUGCCUCAGUCAGUAUCUGAUCAGAACAGUUGAUGUUUAGUUUAGGUCUUGGUCGGAUCAGUUGUAUAAGUUCUGAUACAGUUCAGUUCUUGUUAAUUUCGGUUUGAAUCAACCUCUUAGAACAACCAGCUAUGAUAUUUUGAUCUGGCUUUGAGUAAACCGAUUUGAGCUCAGUCUGAUCUUGUCCUGAACUUUGGUAGACUGACUAGAACCGAGCUGAACUUGUAUAGUCUGAGCAGAACCAAGCUUGAACUGAUCUGAUCUAAGGUGUUAAGGCAUGAACCAAACUGAUCUUGUGAUCAUACCACUCUGUUUCAGGUCAGAGGUAGAGUAAAGCUUGAAGUAUCCAGUCCUGUCCAUUCAGCCUUGUUCAAGUGGAACUCAAGUCUUGUCCAAGCCAGUUUCAAGACUAAUCUUUAGGUGAGUCUAGAGAGAAGAUGAGAUAGAUCAUGAAUGUGUACAUGAUUGAGUUUAAAUUGUAGUAUCUCAAUUAGAUAGUAAAGUCUUUGAAUCCUUUAAGAAGUGUAUGGGUUUACUUAGUGUAAACACUUACACUUAAAGAUUAAUCAAAAGGUUAAAGUGAGGUUAAUCAUAAUCAUAGUACUUGUUCCCAAGUACUAAUCUUAUUAUGAAAUAAUCAUGGUUUUGAUUAAGGAUUAAUCAUGGUUUAAUUAAGGAUUAAUCUUGGUUUAAUUAAGGAUUAAUCUUGGUUUAAUUAAGGAUUAAUCUUGGUUUAAUUAAGGAUUAAUCUGAAAUUAAUUAAAGAGUAAUCAUGAUUAAUUAAGUACUAAUCUUGGAUUAAUUAAAGAUUAAUAUGAGAUUAAUUAAGGAUUAAUCUAGGAUUAAUUAAGAGUUAAUUAUGAUUAAUUAAGGAUUAAUUAUGGAUUAAUUUUGGAAUAAUUAUGGAAGUAAAAGCAUGUGAAAUCUUGUUAUAUUCACUAUCCCUAAAGCCCCCGCAUUACCGUGACUUGGUCCUGCGAAUGGAACAAGGUCAUGAAGACACGAUGAUGGGGUAGCUCCCUGGAGACCGUGUACUGCAUGACGAUGCAGUGUCGGAUUGUUCAUACCGGACAUUCGACAAUGAUGGUGAUGCUAACUCACUAGUCUCGGUUAGCCUUAGUGGUUUCUCGGGUCUAGUAUAUAUAUUGUAUUAUAUGAGUAUGGUAACGGGCGGGUGUUGUGGAAGUGAUGUUUAAAAUAAGAAUUCACAAUGAUGAUCGAUAUUAAAGUAUAGUACUAGUACUUGCAUGAUCAUGUAUAUGCAUUUGAUAAUUGCUUGAUUUAUUAUUGAUUGUGUUGUGAUUCUAGAUUCACUGAGUAAACUAGUUGCUCAUGACUCAUUUGUGUGUGCAGGUAAACCUUAGGCGGGAGACACUUAAAUCUUUUGGACGGAAGGAGCGGCCAACCAGCGGUAGUAUUUUGUUGUCCUUGCAACGUACAUUUUGAUGUAUAUUUACUUAAAACGUUGUUGGGCGAUAGGCCGUAGGGUAAACAAUAACAGUUUGUAAGAUGUUUAAAGUAAAUAAAUAAUGUAUAAAAGAUGUUUAUAAAUCACGAGUUCUCAUAUGAUAUUAGUCCUUGUCCGGGACGAACUAACUAUCGAAUAUUGCUUUAUCGGGUUGAAAAGCCUAGAGUAAUAUCCGAUAGGAGUGUCUGUGUUCUUUGGUUGUUGGUCUAAGGUGAUCGGAUUUAUUUCGAGAACCUCGGGUCGACCAUCAGGGAACAUCGACCGUGUCAUUUCCGGUUAUCUACGAUCGGGGGUGUCACAAAGGUGGUAUCAGAGCAUUGUUAUACGAUGCUAGAAUGGGACUUGUUUUAAAAAACUUUCGAGUCAGAAAAUGUGUCGCAAGGAUAAUUAGGAUAUGCUGGUUUGUUCCUUCUUUUAUAAAUAGAUAGACCUGGGUAGAAACUUACCAUGAUCUUUUGUUGCAGAUGCCACCGAGACAGGCACAUCGUGGUGGACAUUAUCUACCGAUACCUAUUUCAUCAUCUUCAGACUCCUCGCCGCCAUCUACUCCGGCACCACUUCCGACUCCUAGCUUUGAGGCUACACCUUCAGGCUCUAGCUUUGAGACUGACCCGUCUGAAGGGUCAUAUGAUCAGACACCGGAGCACAUUCCUUUGUCUCCAGACCCAUACUUUAUGGACAUCGAGGUGGAUGUGGUACACGAUAGUCCAGUGCAUGGAGAUCAUCCCGCAGCUCCUGCAUCUCCUGCCGCUGAUAUUCCACCAGCUCCUGCCGCUCAUAUUCCACCGGGCCCUGCCGCACCUAUUCCGGCAGCACAACCUCAACCAGCGCCAACCGAUCCAGCUAUGAUAGCACUUCUGGAACUGAUGGCUGAGAUGGUGAAUUUGCAAUAUCAAGCACUGAAUGCACAGCGAGAAGCACAGCGUGCUCAGCCAGCUCCAGUACCUACCACUUCUCACCCGGACUUCCUGAAGAUAGUCAUGAUUAUGAAGAACUUGGGGACGAAGCAUUACCAGGGAGGCACUGAUCCCUUUGAAGCUGAUGCAUGGCUUCACAAUCUCGAGCAGAACUUUGCUGCAACCCGUUGUCCGGAAGAAUUUAAAAAGGACGUGGCUGUUUACUAUCUAGAGAAGGACGCCAUCAGUUGGUGGUUAUGCGUAGAGAGGAACUUUGGAGACUUCAAUCUGAGUUGGGCUGACUUCCGUACAGCGUUCGUUCGAAAGUACUUCCCACCGGAAGCCCGUGAUCGAUUGGAGAUUAAAUUCAUGGAGCUAGUUCAGGGAGGAUUAUCUGUUAGGAAGUAUGAGGCAGAGUUCACCCGUCUCAGGAAGUAUGUCCACUAUGGUCGAGAGGACGAGAUGAUGAUUAUCCGUAAGUUCCUUCGAGGACUUAACCCAUAUAUCAGGAGCAGACUUGAGGCAGUAGAGUUUCAUCGGCUUGCUGAUCUUGUUGAGCGUGCUGUGAAUGUUGAGGAGGCCAUUGCUGCUGAGAGAGCUUCUUCUAGCAAUGCCACACAACCUAGACGUCCAUCUGUUCCGUUCCAGCCUCAGCCGCAUUCUGCUAUGCAGCGAGGACGAGGAGGUAGAGCUUUUCGGGGAGGUCGUUCUGGAGGUUCUAGACCUAGAACCCCGACUUGUUUCACUUGUGGCCAGCUGGGCCAUGUUAGGAGGGAUUGUCCGACCGUGGGACAGUUCCAACCGGCUGUACCAUCUCACAUCACUUGUUUCACGUGUGGAGAGCGAGGACAUUAUGCGACAUCAUGUCCACGCACUCAUCUUGCUCAGCCUGUUGUUUCGAGUGCUCGACCCGCCAGACCAGUUAACCCACCUUUACCCUUACCUCCUGCUAAGCGUCAAGCCACUGCUGGUAGGGCUUACGCUUUAGAGUUACCAGGACCAUCCGGACCACCUCAGGGUCCGAUUUCAGGUUUGUUUUCUUAUCCGAUUGAGUGUUGCAUAAAUUAUUAAAAAUAAAAAAAUAAUUGAUUUGUGAAUUAGUGAUAUAAAAAUAUUAUAAAAGUGGUUGAGUAAGUAAUUGACGGUAAAGUCAAUUAUUGUCAGGGACUUUGCUUGUGGGUGGAAUAUCCGCCCACAUCCUUUUCGAUUCAGGAGCAACACAUAGUUUUGUAGCUCCCGAAGUAGCAUCCCAAUUCGAUGGAGAAUUCACUAAGGUGAAUUUAUCCAUUCCUGUUCUAACUCCCGGAGAUCAAGUUCUUGAAACUGAAGGCUGUAUUCUAAGAGUUCCAAUCAUUAUCCAAGAUAUGGUUUUUCCGGCUGAUUUGUUAGUUCUCCCCUUAGAGAGGUAUGAGGUAAUCUUAGGGAUGGAUUGGCUGUCAAGUUACCGAGCUCACCUUGAUUGUGGUCGAGGGAAGAUUGUUUUUGAGAGAGAUACCCAACCCCCUUUAGCUUACCAUGGCAUAGUACCAAGUGAUGGAGCGUCAUUAGUGUCAGCAUUGAGAAUUGAAAACGUUUUGGAGAAGGGUGAAGAAGUAUACUUAGUGACCUUAGUUGCUGGACCAGUAGAAGACGAGAAAGAGCAGAACAUGGAAGAAAUACCAGUAGUCAGAGAAUACGAGGACGUGUUUAAGGCAUUAGAGGGAUUGCCGCCGUCUAGGAGUAACCCCUUUAGUAUAACCUUAGAACCCGGAUCAGCUGCAAUAGCAAAGGCACCAUACCGAAUGGCACCAGCAGAACUCGCCGAGUUGAAGCAGCAGUUAGCUGAUUUGUUAGACAAGGGUUUCAUACGUCCUAGUUCAUCACCAUGGGGAGCACCCUUGCUAUUUGUAAAGAAGAAAGACGGAAGCAUGCGGUUAUGUAUAGAUUAUCGUGGAUUCAAUAACGUAACCAUAAAAGACAAGUACCCACUCCCAAGAAUUGAUGAGCUGUUAGACCAGUUACAAGGCGCAAGCUGGUUUUCGAAGAUUGAUUUAGCUUCGGGUUAUCAUCAGAUUCCGAUUUCCGAAACCGAUAUCAUGAAGACCGCCUUUAGAACCCGCUAUGGACACUUUGAGUUCGUAGUAAUGCCUUUUGGUCUUACCAAUGCCCCGGCUGCAUUUAUGCGACUGAUGAAUGAAGUAUUUCGGGAUUACCUGGAUGAGUUUGUUAUCAUAUUCAUUGACGACAUCCUCAUAUAUUCCCGAAGUGCAGAAGAACACGAAAGGCAUCUACGACUAGUUUUGGAGCGUCUCCGAGAUCAAAAGCUUUUUGCUAAGCUUAGUAAAUGUCGUUUCUGGAAAAGAGAAGUUGGCUUCUUAGGACAUCGAGUGUCAGAAGAAGGAGUUGCCGUCGAUCCAGAAAAGAUAGCUGCUAUUAAGGAAUGGCCGCAUCCGACUUCUGUUACCGAGAUUCGAAGUUUUCUCGGAUUGGCCGGCUAUUACAGAAAGUUUGUCCAAGCAUUUGCAAGCGUAUCAAAGCCUUUGACUCGUCUUACCGGUAAAGGGAUUGCUUAUGAAUGGAGUAUAGAAACCGAGAAAGCAUUCGAAAAGUUAAAAGAAGCUUUGACGACUGCACCUAUCUUAGCAUUGCCUAAGCCUAACCAACCAUACAACGUGUAUACGGAUGCAUCUCAUGUUGGUUUAGGUUGUGUGCUGAUGCAAGAAGAUAAGGUAAUCGCCUAUGCAUCUAGGCAACUAAGAAAGCAUGAAGUGAAUUAUCCGACACAUGACCUAGAGAUGGCUGCAGUAGUAUUUGCCCUUCGGAUUUGGCGAUCAUACUUGUAUGGUGAGAAGAUCCAAGUGUUCACUGACCAUAAAAGCCUUAAGUAUCUUUUCACUCAACCUGAUCUGAACCUAAGGCAAAGACGAUGGAUGGAGUUUGUAGCUGAUUACGACAUGCAGAUCCUAUACCAUCCAGGAAAAGCCAACGUUGUUGCUGAUGCGUUGAGUAGAAGGAAAGUUGAUGUAGAUGUUGAAAAAGAACUCCAGAACUUGGAAGCGGAAUUCAAGAUGAUUAGUUUGGCUGCCUUAGAAGGAGAGGAAAGAGAACCUCUAGAACUACAAGCAGUAAGCCAAGCUGGUUUACUUUCUCGUAUCCGAGAAUAUCAAAUGAGAGAUGUGAACCUGAAGAAGAUACGAGAGCAGUUGAAUGAAGGAAACUUCGGAGGAUAUCAAGUUGCAAGUGAUGGAACUUUGUUACUCAAUGGUCGAGUAACUGUUCCGAAAGGAGAAGGACUUCAAGAGGAGAUUUUAAGGACUGCACACCAUUCUCUCUUAAGCAUUCAUCCCGGGAGCACAAAGAUGUAUCGAGAUAUCAGAAGAUAUUACCACUGGCCAGGGAUGAAGAGAGAUGUUGCCAUAUGGGUUUCUCAGUGUCAGAGUUGCCAGCGGAUAAAAGCUGAACACCAAGUCCCAGGUGGCUUACUUCAAAGCCUACCUAUCCCUGAAUGGAAAUGGGAUGCAGUAGCAAUGGACUUUAUUUCUGGUUUACCUCGAGCACCCGGCCGUGGGAAUGAUGCAGUUUGGGUGAUUGUCGAUCGUCUCACCAAAUCUGCUCAUUUCCUACCGAUGAAACUUACAGACAAAGUUGAGACGUUAGCAGAGCUGUAUUUGGAGGAAAUAGUAAAGCUUCAUGGGGUACCAGCAAAUAUAGUUUCAGACCGAGACCCGCGCUUUACAGCUGAAUUUUGGCGAGCCUUUCAACAAGCCUUGGGAACUGAUUUGCAUAUGAGUACAGCGUUUCAUCCAGAAACCGAUGGCCAAACCGAAAGAACCAUUAGAACUCUGGAAGAUCUGUUAAGGUUGUGUAUCUUAGACUGGAAUGGUCCGUGGGAAAAGUUUUUGCCGCUGAUAGAAUUCUCCUACAACAAUAGCUACCACUCUAGUAUUGGUAUGUCACCAUACGAAGCAUUGUAUGGUCGACCUUGUAGAACGCCAGUAUGUUGGGCAGAAGUUGGUGAGAGAAGAAUUCUUGGUCCAGAAAUAGUAGAUGAGGCUGCAGAGAAAGUAAGGAUAAUUCAAACCAAUAUGAAGAAGGCUCAAGACCGACAAAAGAAGUAUGCAGACCGCGGUAGAAGAGAAGUCAUUUUUGCAGUAAAUGAUUUAGUCUUCUUGAAAGUAGCUGCACAAAAAGGAAAGGAUCGAUUUGGAAAAAUUGGGAAGCUAGCUACUCGUUAUAUUGGGCCAUACCGAAUUGUCGCCAGAGUUGGAGAAGUAGCCUAUAGACUAGAACUUCCACACGAUAUGCCUAUGCAUCCGGUAUUUCAUGUAUCGAUGUUGCGUAAGCAUAUACCAGAUCCGAAUAUGGUCGAGCCGCAGCGACCAGAGAACUUGCAACCUAACCUCACUUAUCCUGAAGGUCCUUUCCGAAUAGGCGAGCGUCGUAUCAAGAAAUUGAAGAAUAGGGAAAUUUCGCAAGUUCAAGUAUUUUGGGGAAAGCGACAGAGAGUUGUUAUAACAUGGGAGGAUGAAGAUAAGUUCCGAGUUGACUAUCCAGAACUCUUCUCAAAUACCCCAGUCGUCCAGUAAAGGGUGUACACUUGUUUUUUUGAGAAUUCGGGGACGAAUUCUUUUAAGGGGGGAAGAGUGUAAUAACCCUCAUGAGCCAAUAAAUUUUUGGUCGAGAAAAAUCCCGCUCGACCAGUUUUUAGUUGGUUUAACAAGGAUUAAUAAAAAUAAAAAUCGACCCGGUAGAUUAAUUUCUCGAAGGGACUGUCUUGUGGUUGAAAGACCUUCACUUGAUAGUUUGGUCGAGUCUUAAAUAUUUUGGUCGAAUUUUUAUUAAACUGGAAGAGAGUUUCCGAGAACAAGACGAGAGCCAAAGACAAGGAAUAUUUGGUUGAAAAAUUAUUGAAAAUUAUCAACCAACUGCUACAAGUAAUUUUGGACCAGACUCAUGUCUUCCACCAGCCUGCUUGCUCAGUCUUUAGUCACAUGACUUGCACCUGCCUGCUUGCCUAGCUUCUUCAGUAACUGGCACAUGACAAUCACAAGCUGCCUGCUUGCCUUGUUUCUUAGAUUGUCAUGUGAGAAGCACAUGAAAGGGCUGGAGUUUCUUCAGGUUAAGGAAAGGACAGCAGCUUGUGCUGAGAGUGCUGAAGCAGCUGGCCAGCUGUCCCCACUCAGCUUAGCUUUGUCCUGAGUGAAACCCUCACCUGAAGCAAGCUCACCUCACAUUUAACCCCUCUCCAGCUGCUUCCCACGUUCAGAACCCUGCAGAAAACUAGAGAAUUUCAGUGAGAAAGAGAGAAAGAAGAACAGAAAAAUCAGAGAGAAAAAUCAAGAAAAUAAAUCAAGAAAAAAUUGGUGGUGACCUAAUCUUCAACCUUAGCUCAGUUUCUUACCUUGGGAAAGAUCAGAAGGUGAGAUUUUUAAAUAAAACCCUAGACCUAGUUGAGUUCAGAUCAUGAUCAGACCUUGAUCUUUCUCUUUGAUCAGUCCAGCCACAAGCUUACCUUGGAGAAGAGGAUCAGCUGAGGCCAUCUAGUCCUUUGGUUCAUCUUGGUAAGCUUUGGUCUCCUUGCCUCAGUCAGUAUCUGAUCAGAACAGUUGAUGUUUAGUUUAGGUCUUGGUCGGAUCAGUUGUAUAAGUUCUGAUACAGUUCAGUUCUUGUUAAUUUCGGUUUGAAUCAACCUCUUAGAACAACCAGCUAUGAUAUUUUGAUCUGGCUUUGAGUAAACCGAUUUGAGCUCAGUCUGAUCUUGUCCUGAACUUUGGUAGACUGACUAGAACCGAGCUGAACUUGUAUAGUCUGAGCAGAACCAAGCUUGAACUGAUCUGAUCUAAGGUGUUAAGGCAUGAACCAAACUGAUCUUGUGAUCAUACCACUCUGUUUCAGGUCAGAGGUAGAGUAAAGCUUGAAGUAUCCAGUCCUGUCCAUUCAGCCUUGUUCAAGUGGAACUCAAGUCUUGUCCAAGCCAGUUUCAAGACUAAUCUUUAGGUGAGUCUAGAGAGAAGAUGAGAUAGAUCAUGAAUGUGUACAUGAUUGAGUUUAAAUUGUAGUAUCUCAAUUAGAUAGUAAAGUCUUUGAAUCCUUUAAGAAGUGUAUGGGUUUACUUAGUGUAAACACUUACACUUAAAGAUUAAUCAAAAGGUUAAAGUGAGGUUAAUCAUAAUCAUAGUACUUGUUCCCAAGUACUAAUCUUUAUUAUGAAAUAAUCAUGGUUUUGAUUAAGGAUUAAUCAUGGUUUAAUUAAGGAUUAAUCUUGGUUUAAUUAAGGAUUAAUCUUGGUUUAAUUAAGGAUUAAUCUUGGUUUAAUUAAGGAUUAAUCUGAAAUUAAUUAAAGAGUAAUCAUGAUUAAUUAAGUACUAAUCUUGGAUUAAUUAAAGAUUAAUAUGAGAUUAAUUAAGGAUUAAUCUAGGAUUAAUUAAGAGUUAAUUAUGAUUAAUUAAGGAUUAAUUAUGGAUUAAUUUUGGAAUAAUUAUGGAAGUAAAAGCAUGUGAAAUCUUGUUAUAUUCACUAUCCCUAAAGCCCCCGCAUUACCGUGACUUGGUCCUGCGAAUGGAACAAGGUCAUGAAGACACGAUGAUGGGGUAGCUCCCUGGAGACCGUGUACUGCAUGACGAUGCAGUGUCGGAUUGUUCAUACCGGACAUUCGACAAUGAUGGUGAUGCUAACUCACUAGUCUCGGUUAGCCUUAGUGGUUUCUCGGGUCUAGUAUAUAUAUUGUAUUAUAUGAGUAUGGUAACGGGCGGGUGUUGUGGAAGUGAUGUUUAAAAUAAGAAUUCACAAUGAUGAUCGAUAUUAAAGUAUAGUACUAGUACUUGCAUGAUCAUGUAUAUGCAUUUGAUAAUUGCUUGAUUUAUUAUUGAUUGUGUUGUGAUUCUAGAUUCACUGAGUAAACUAGUUGCUCACGACUCAUUUGUGUGUGCAGGUAACCCUUAGGCGGGAGACACUUAAAUCUUUUGGACGGAAGGAGCGGCCAACCAGCGGUAGUAUUUUGUUGUCCUUGCAACGUACAUUUUGAUGUAUAAUUACUUAAAACGUUGUUGGGCGAUAGGCCGUAGGGUAAACUAUAACAGUUUGUAAGAUGUUUAAAGUAAAUAAAUAAUGUAUAAAAGAUGUUUAUAAAUCACGAGUUCUCAUAUGAUAUUAGUCCUUGUCCGGGACGAACUAACUAUCGAAUAUUGCUUUAUCGGGUUGAAAAGCCUAGAGUAAUAUCCGAUAGGAGAAUCUGUGUUCUUUGGUUGUUGGUCUAAGGUGAUCGGAUUUAUUUCGAGAACCUCGGGUCGACCAUCAGGGAACAUCGACCGUGUCAUUUCCGGUUAUCUACGAUCGGGGGUGUCACAGAUGGUCCUAUUGGGACGUCGACCGAUACACCUUUGCCAACGUCGAUCGAUAGUCAGUUGAGAACAUCAAUCGACGGGUUCUUGCCAGGCCUAUGCGCGAGUAUAAUAUGCUUUAUUAAGAUACUAAAUUGGCGGUUAGCCCUCUCUAGCAGUCCUAAUAUUAUAGAUAGAUUUCAGGAUGGGAUAACAAGGGUGCUUGAGUAUGCAAUCCUAUGAUCAAGUUCUAGUUAGCAAGGCUAAAACAAGCAAUGAAUACAAAUCUAUCAUGAAUAUCACAACAAGGCAAAUCUAUAGUUUGGGGCUAAUCCCACAAACCUAUCUGAACCCUGGAUCUAAUAAUUGAACUACUCAGACAUAGCAGAGCAAUUCAUAACAAUGAAGAAAUAGAAAUUCAUAGUAUAGAUGAAAAGAAAUGAGAAGAAGGAGUUCCAAUCACAAGUGAUCUUCUCUCCAAAACUCUCUCUUCUCUCUCAAAGUAAAACUGUAACAAAAAGCUCUCUUCUGCCGUCAAAACACUUAGGCAGUAUAUAAUCUACUAGGUUAAAAACUCGUCAGGGCAUUUUCGUAAUUUGGCUUGGCCUUGGGUUUUAAGUCCGCUGGAUCCAAAAUGUCGCGUGUCUAAUUUCUCGACAUCGAUCGAUGGUACUUGCGUACAUCGAUUGAUAAUAAUCUUCAUCAGUCGAGGCAUCUCUUGGUGUCGAUCGAGAGCACUGAUGCGCAUCGAUCGAUUGUUCUUCCUCUCGUCGACCUCUACAUGGUGAUACCACUCAAAUUACCCUAAGGAGUGUUACUCUCAUCAAAAGAGGUUCAGAUGUAGUUAUUAGGGAUCGAAUCCACAAGGAGCUAGGGAACAAUUAAAUCUAGUGUUUAUUAAUUCUAAAGGUUGUAAAUGUUUAAAUGGAAUAGCAAUAGUAACAAGCGAGUAAAUAUAAAUGUAACUUGGUUGGAAAUGAUAUUAGAUGCAGGGCCACUAUUCAGAUGUUGGAGAUUAUAAUACUUAUAGAUGCCUAACUGUUGCAUGCAUGAUAUAUUAGAGCUCAUUCGCUUAACUCAGUGAUCAGCUGUCGCAUGUACCACUGGUUAAUAGACUAGAUCUCGUGUCUCACCGGUUAGUAUGCAGACACAAGAGAGUGUCGAUCGAUAGUCUAUUAAGACGUCGACCGAUACACCUUUGCCAACAUCGAUCGAUUGUCAGUUGAGGACAUCGAUCGACAGGUUCUAGCCAGGCGUAUGAAAUGCUCUACUAAGAUUCUAAAUUGGCGGUUAGCCCUCUCUAGCAGUCCUAAUAUGAUAGAUAGAUGUCAGGAUGGGAUAACAAGGGUCCUUGAGUAUGCAAUCCUAUGAUCAAGUUCUAGUUAAUUACUCUAAAACAAGCAAUGAAUACAAAUCUAUCAUGAAUAUCACAACAAGGCAGAUCUAUAGUUUGGGGCUAAUCCAACAAACCUAUCUGAACCCUAAACCUAACAGGUGGAUCUACUCAGAAAUGAAAACAGAAAUCAUAGAUGAAUAGAUAUAAAACUGAAAUAGAAUAGAUAAGAAAACUAAUGGAGUUCCAGGAGGACUAUGAUAGGAGUUCCUCCCUUCUCUCCUAAGAGAAACAAUGGAAAUGAAAGUGUGUAGAAAGCGUAGAAAGCGUAGCCGUCAACAAUGGCUUAGAAAUAACAUAAAUAGGGUUUCUGGUCGUCCAAGGGUAUUUUGGUAAUUUGUGGCUUCUAGGGCUUCACGCAGUCAUAAAAUAUACAAGGCCCAUGAUCUGUAAUCUCCAUCAAUCGAUGUUCAGAGUGCUGCAUCGAUCGACGCGGCUUCCUCUUCUCGGCAGCUUCCUCUGGCGAGGCAGACUGACCACUCUUCAGUAAAACGGGCAUAACUUCUGCUACAGAAUGCUGAUUGACCUGAGACCGGUGGCAUUGGAAAGCUAACUCAAUUCUCUUUCUUGUUUCGAAAUAUGGGCUCAAUCUAACGGUCGGAAAGUCUCCAUCAAUAGCUAAACAUCUGACGCAUCUGUGCAACUCUGCACCUCCAAAUGCUCCAUAAGAUUCCAAAAUCACCAUAUUUCUUCUAAACGUCUCUGAACCUGUAAAUAUUCUAAAUAGAUUCCAAAACAUAAUAAUUGUAUCUUAAAACACUUUAAAACACUUAUAGACCAUGAUUAAAAAUUGAUAAAAUAUAUGGUCUAUCAAGGACCGCCUACAAAACACCGUUACGAACAACACCAUUCCACCCCCUUUAUGGCAAAUCAUGUCAUCUACCAGUCGAACUGGAACAUAAAGCAGCUUGGGCUACCAAACUUUUGGACUUUGAUAUCAUACCAGCUGCAGAAAGGAGACUCAUCCAGCUUAACGAGCUUGAUCAAAUCAGACAUUUAGCUUUCGAAAAUUCAAAAAUCUAUAAAGGACUAAAGCUUAUCACGAUAGAAAGAUCAUAUCCCGGCACUUCGAGCCAGAUGAUCAAGUCCUCCUUUAUAACUCUCGAUUGACAUUAUUUCCUGGAAAGCUAAAAUCCCGUUGGUCUGGACCCUUCACCGUAACGAACGUUCAACCCUCCGGAGCUAUCACCUUACAAAAUGAGAAAGGCCAGGAAUUUACGGUGAAUCGCCAACGAGUUAAGCAUUAUUGGGCCAAACCACCAGCGAAAGUGCCCAUGGUGCUGUAUGAACCUGAUAAUUAGUUUAAUCAGGAAGUCCAGCUAAAGACUUAAAAAUUAAGCGCUGAAUGGGAGGCAGCCCAUUUUUAUAAAAGAAAAAAAAAGAAUAAUAAUAAUAAUUUAAUUUAAAAAAUCAUUAAUUAAAAUUAAUAAAUUAUAUUUACUAGUAAUUAAUAGUAAUUUCCGUAUUUCUUAAUAUUAGCAUUAUUUACAAAAUUUAGAAAUUAGAAUUUGUCUUUAAAGAGGACAUCGAUCGGCGAGGCAUUACUGCCAUCGAUCGAUGCAGGCAUAUCGACGGUUUUAACACUAACUUCACUCAAUAUCAACCCAGUUCGUCUUCCACACUCACAAACGAAACCAAAAACAAAAACCCCAUUAUCUCUCUCGAUUCUCGACGGAUUUCGUCCGUUCUUCGCCUAAAUCCACUCGAUUUUUUACUCUGUAACUGUUAAAUCCACUCCCGAAAUCAACAAUCAAGGUAUGCACUCGAAAUUUUCAAUUUUUCGAAAAAUUAGGGUUUUCGUUUUGAGUUGGAUUAGAACGCUUGAUUUAGUGCGAUUGAGAGAUGUUUUUGUAGUUCAUAUUGCUUAUCUAGAGUUCGGUUUGUGAUUUCCAUGCAUUUAGAUUCGUAUAAACGCGAUUUGGAGUUGAGUGAUUUUGCAGGUUUCGCGAUUCCACAUCGGUCGAUAUGAACUUGUUCGCAUCGACCGAUGCUCUCUUGUCCGAUUGUUCCGACACGACGAUAUCGAUCGAUGUUCAGUAUAACCCAUCGAUCGAUAAGACAUUUUAUCGACAAUGCUAACCUUCUUUUCUUCUUGGUUUCAGAUGAGCAGCUCAGAGACAAACGCACGAAACAGAGAACUCAGGUCGAAAAGGAGGUUCGACGAGACUAGCAGCUCCUCCAACCCACAGCGUCAUCCAUGGCCUCGCGCCGAAAACACACCAUUCAAUGUCCCGGGCUAUGCUGAUCCUAAGGCAGCGAUCAACAGCAACGAGUGCCGUCAGCGUCCUCUGUCCGAUGACUGGGACGACUACGACAGCCUCUUCUACAAUGCCUGGCUAGGAAUUUCUAUCGAGCCCACCAAAUUCCUCGACCGACCCAUCCUGAAGAAGCUCGGGAUCGAGGGAGAUAUUAAGGACAUGAUCACACAGCUAGGACUCGGUACCAUGCCCUCUCGCGCUUAUGACCUCUACCCCGAUCUCGUCCGCCAGUUCAUGGCCACUGUCAAGGUCACCUACAGGACUUCAGCUGCGAGGGUAGCGGGAGAUGGCACUUUGACCUUCUUCGCCAGAGGGACACGCUACAGGAUCACUAUCUCCGAGCUCUGCCGCAUCUACGGUUUCGAUGAGAGCAUCGCCUCUUACACGGUCCCACCUUUCUCACACAUUGAGGGAUUCUGGGACAUCGUCGGCACAGGAGUUUGGGACACGAACAGGGCCGUGCUAUCAGACAUCCGCUACUUCCUACGGCUCGUUGCAAACACACUUGUUUGCAAGAUGGAGCCCAACAAGGCCAGGAUAAAGGAGCUCACACUACUUUUCUGCGCAGUGAACGGCGUGGUGGAUUUGGUUGAGUUGGACGAGGAUGGCGAGGUAAGCCCGCCGAACCUCGGAGCUGUCUUUGCCACGCAUUUGGUGGAGCUGAAGAAGAAGCCCUUCACCAGCAAGGGCAAGAACAAGAAGGAGACAGUUGGGAGUCUUCUGACCUCGAUUUUCCAGUAUCUCGGCAUCCACCUUGACUCUCGCUCUGCCGACCGCGACCACGCCUUCCUCGAUGAGCAGCACUUGAUGCACUCGCUAUGGCUCGAGGAAGGGAAGCUCUGGCGCCUCAGGAUCCGCGACGAGCAUCGCCUUCUACCCCUACCAGAUAGGAGGAUCACUGACUUCUGCAACAACGUGGAGCAGCUUUGAUGCAUGCCAGACGAGGCAUUCCUCCGCAACCCGCAGAACAUGUCAUGCCGACCUCCCAGCAUUCGCCGUACCAGAGCUCGGGACGCACAUGCACCUCCUCUUCCUGACUUCCCGAACAUCCCGGACAUCCCUAUGCACGACCAGGGAGACUUUCAGAGGUUCGUGGUGGACGCUCUUCAGGCCAUCUGGGCUAGAGUGUCUUGUCGGAGCAGGAGAGCCACAGGAGCGCAGGCACCAGCACCAGCAGCACGCAGGGACCCAUCCCCAGAGGCCGAUGAGGCGACUGAUGAGGACACCAAUUAGUCCUCCCAUCUCUAUCUCUUCUCCUCUUAUUAUGAACUUGUUUAUUUAUUUUCCGAACUUGUAGGAUUUAUGUUUUUAAACUUAUAUUUAUGUUUGAGGAUGCUUAUUAUUUCUUAUGCUUGAUUGUCUAACAGAGCUAACAUUAGGCAAGGGACUUCGAGUUUGACUCCAAGCACAUGCGAAAAUGUCUGUGCUUCGCCAUCGAUCAAUUUAGAGAGGAUUACAUCGAUCGAAUCUGGGCGAGUAACAUCGAUCGAUAUGGAGAGGAUUACAUCGAUUGAUGUGUAGUACAGAUAGGUACUUCAUUCUUACUCUAACAUUCUCAAACAUCUAACUUGAUUUUAACCUACCCUUGGACACUUUGCACCGAGUCGGUGCAAUUUAAGUCUGGGGGAGGUAGUUACUAACACCAUUUUCUUGAGUUUUUGUCAAAAAUCUUUUCAAAAAUAAUUUUAUUGAGUGAAGAAGGGGAUUAUGAACUAAUGAUUUCUACUUGAAUGUCUAACCACUUUCUAGCACCAUUCUAGAUUUACUGACUCCAGAUAAUACUAUAGAUGUUAAAGUGGAUCAACCAGUCAACUAUACACACUUGCUAGCUUGUUAGAAAGAACCGAAGCUAACCUCCAACACUAACCUGACUUCACUGCUUGUUUUGGGGCUUGGUAUACAUGGGAUCGGAUUUUUCAGACAAGUCUGGAAGGUAACGCCUGGUUUAGAUUAUUUAUCACAUUUUCUCUCUCUAAAUUUCGACCCUAGAUUAGUUAGUGAGUACACCCAAAAAAAAAAGAUCUAUUGUUUAAUUAGGAUGAGUCUGAACAGGACUUGGUGGCUAAAACCAUUAAGGCUUGAUUCAUAAAGACUCAAAUAAAAGAGUUCAAAACGGGACUUGGAGGCGGCAAUCUUCAAAGCUCGCUUUCGCAAAGAACUCUUGGAUAUAGGUCAAAAAGAAGUGAACAGAACUUGGUGGCAACCACCAUUAAGUUUUGAUUCAUGGAAGCCUAUCCAAUCUUGGUCACUGAUCCUGCAAUGGAAGCAGACUUUGACCCAAGAAAGAAAUUUAGAGAGAGAGAAACUAGGAACUAACUUUUACCUGCAGCUCCAGAUACUUGUCUGAAAUCCUUGCAUCCUGUGAUUGAUACUCCCAAGGUAAAGCCUACACUUUUUACAUUAAGAAAUGAGGUCUGUUGAGGAGAUUGAUAAUAAGAUUAGUUAAGAUUGUUGGCUAGAUGAUUUUGGUUGCUAAGCUAGGAUAUUGCAUAAUGUAUAUUUGUAAGAAGGAACCUUAGAUGUGGAAUGCAAUAUUAUAGAGGUGAUAAUUUCAAUGUUUCAAAUCUGUGAGUCCCUGAUGUUUUCAACCCUCUUCCAGAGAGAUUGUCCAUUGGUUUAACUUGAGGACAAGUCAAAAGAUAAGUCUGGGGGAGUUGAUAUACCAUGAUUUUCACCCGUUUUUAUACAUGGCAUAUAAAGGUUUUAAGAUGUAUUAAUCAUGUUUUAGAGUCUUUUUAAAGCAAAUACAGGUUUAUUCACUUGAUGGAAGGAAAUGAUACUUUUGGGACAUUUUGGAAUGCUUUUACGCAAGGAAAAUCGAUCGACGCUUGAAGAGCAACAUCGGUCGAUCAUAAUCACUUACCAUCGAUCGACAUACAUUUAUGUGCAUCGAUCGAUACCCAGUCACACGGAUGAAAUCGCAAAUUAAAAGAUUUCAUUUCCCAGAAGAUCUAUUAUUUACAACUUAAGUCCCUAGCCGCCUGUUAGGCUAUAUGUACUAGGGUUUUGUAUCAUUUCUAGCAGACACUUGCAAAAAGACCUAGUUUUGGAGAAAGAGCAUUUUGGCUACCAUUACGAGAGCUUAAGAAUGGAGAGAUAGAUCUGAAACUGCAAAACAGAGAAGAUCUUGAACUCCUUUAUUUCUAUUACUCUAUCUAUUUGUGUUCUAUGUUUCAUUUGAGUUUAUUUCACACCAUCAUGACUUUGUCUCUCAUGAAUAUGUUUGAGUAAAUCAAUUGUUAGAUUUAGGUUUCUCACCAUGGUUGAAAUUAUGUACUGCUAAUAUGACUGUUAAAAAGGUGUUUUGAUUGUUCUUUCAUUGCUUAUGGACUUAAUGCUAAAAUUGAGAUUGAUCACCUUCAUUUUAGAUCUUAGGAUUAAUUGAGUCCAACUAACCGUUUCCCCUCAAUACCUGAACCCAUUUGCGUGAUCUAACUAACUCAGGCGCAACGACAAUUGGUCUGAGAAGGUUAAAGAACAAGUUAAACCCGUUCGCAAAGCUCGCUAGAAUAACUGUCGAUCGACGUAACUAUCGUUCUGUCGAUCGAUCGUUACAAAGGUGUAUUGGUCGAUGUACAUCAAGUCACAUCGAUCGACACUCUCUCGAGAUCAAAGUACGACAUUUGAGAUUCGAGAUCUAGUGAAGAUAACCUAUCCGGUUAAAUCAAUGUUUAGUUCAAGAACCAUUAAACCCUUUAGUCUAAACUAAGUGCAUACAUUUUAUACCUGAGAAUUGCCUGAAUCUAGCUGCUUUCCCAAUCUUGAAACCACUUCAAUUCAAUCUAUUGAAUCACUGUUGUUUUCGAUUUAUCAUUUACUGCUUUUAAAACUAUUAAAACCUUUUAGUCUAUCUUCAUUUCUAAUUAUUUAAGUCUGUUGAGUAAUCCUAGAGUCUCUGUGGAUUCGAUCCCUAAGUACUACAUCUGAACCUCUUUUGAUGAGAGUAACACUCUUUAGGGUAAUUUGAGUGAUAUCAUUUAGCAUCUUUCUUUUGCAUUAAAUAUUUGAUGGCAGCGUGAUUAGUGUGAACUACCACUCGUGAGCCAAUCAAGUACUGACGGAAUUUUUCAAAAGCGUAAACUACAGCUAAUAGUUCUUUUUCUGUUGUUGCGUAAUCAAGCGUGCGGCUGGCGUAGUAAAUCGCGUGUAGCUUUUUGUCUUUCCUUUGGCCUAAAACAGCUCCAAUUGCGAAAUCGCUCGCAUCGCACAUGAUUUUGAAAGGAAGGUUCCAGUCGGGGGCUUGUACGACGAAGGCAGUGAUAAGAGAUUUCUUUAAAUCUUCAAAAGCUUUCAUGCAUUCAGGGGUAAAAUCGAAUUUAAUAUCCUUGCAUAAUAGGUUAUUUAGAGGUCUAGCGAUUUUGCCGAAGUCCAGUAUAAAUCUCCUGUAAAAUCCGACGUGUCCGAGAAAACUUCGCACAUCUUUAACAGUUUUGGGCGGAGGUAAACUGGUCAUUGCUUCAAUCUUAGCUCUAUCUACCUCUAUACCAGCGACAGAAACCUUAUGUCCUAACACUAUUCCAUCGUUAACCAUGAAAUGGCAUUUUUCCCAUUUUAGGACAAGGUUCUUUUCUUCGCAUCUUUCCAAUACUUUGCAUAAAUUAUCAAGGCAACUCUUAAAAUCUGAUCCGUAGACUGAAAAGUCAUCCAUGAAUAUUUUCAUGAAGUCCUCGAUCAUAUCCGUAAAGAUUGACAUCAUGCAACGUUGGAAAGUGGCAGGGGCGUUACAAAGACCAAAUGGCAUUCUGCGAUAUGCGAAAGUUCCAUAGGGGUAUGUUAACGUUGUAUUUUCUUGAUCAUCCGGGUGUAUAGGAAUUUGGAAAAAUCCGGAAUAUCCAUCAAGAAAACAGUAAUACUGGUGAUUAGCUAAUCUCUCCAGCAUCUGAUGAAUAAAGGAAAGGGGAAAAUGGUCUUUCCUAGUAGCGGCAUUCAAUUUCCUAUAAUCAAUACACAUCGGAUGACCAGUAACAGUACGAGUCAGAAUGAGUUCGUCCUUUUCAUUCUUCACUACAGUGAUACCUCCCUUUUUAGGUACAACAUGUACAGGGCUUACCCAUUUGCUAUCCGAAAUAGGGUAAAUAACUCCAGCAUCAAGGAGUUUUAUAAUUUCCUUUUUAACUACUUCCUUUAGAUUCGAAUUUAAUCUCCUUUUCUGCUCUAUUGAUGUUUUAGCGUCAUCUUCCAAGUUGAUUCGAUGCAUGCAAAGAUCGGGAGAGAUUAUAGGAAUGUCAUCGAGAGAAUAUCUGAUCGCUUUCCUGUACUUGCGCAAUUUAUUUACUAAUAAAACAAGUUCUCCACUAGUGAGAUUGGCGUUGACGAUUGAUACCAUUCAAAUUACCCUAAGGAGUGUUACUCUCAUCAAAAGAGGUUCAGAUGUAGUACUUAGGAAUCGAAUCCACAAGGAGCUAGGGAACAAUUAAAUCUAGUGUUUAUUAAUUCUAAGAGUUGUAAAUGUUUAAAUGAAAUAGCAAUAGUAACAAGCAAAGCAAAUAGUAAAUGUAACUUGGUUGGAAAUGAUAUUAGAUGCAUGGCCACUAUUCAGGUGUUUGAGAUUAUAAUAUCUAUAGAUGCCUAUUUGUUGCAUGCAUGAUAUGUUAGAGCUCAACCGCUUAACUCAGUGAUCAGCUGUCACAUGUUUCACUGGUUAACAGGCUAGAUCUCGUGUCUCAACGGUUAAUAUGUUGACAACGAAAGAGUGUCAAUCGACGGUCCUAUUGGGACGUCGACCGACACAUCUUUGCCUAAUUCGACCGAUAGUCAGUUGAGGACAUCGAUCGACGGGUUCUAGCCAGGCCUAUGCGCGAGUAUGAUAUGCCCUAUUAAAAUACUAAAUUGGCGGUUAGCCCUCUCUAGCAGUCCUAAUAUGAUAGAUAGAUGUCAGGAUGGGAUAACAAGGGUGCAUGAGUAUGCAAUCCUAUAAUCAUGUUCUAGUUAGCAAGGCUAAAACAAGCAAUGAAUACAAAUCUAUCAUGAAUAUCAUAACAAGACAUAUCUAUAGUUUGGGGCUAAUCCCACAAACGUAUCUGAACCCUGGAUCUAAUAAAUGAACUACUCAGACAUAGCAAAGCAAUUCAUAACAAUGAAGAAAUGGGAAUUCAUAGUAUAGAUGAAAAGAAAUGAAAACAACGAUCUCCAAUCACAAGUGAUCUUCUCUCAAAAACUCUCUCUCUCUCUCUCUCAAAGUAAAACUGUAACAAAAAGCUCUCCCUGCCGUCAAAACACUUAGGCAGUAUAUAAUCUACUAGGUUAAAAACUCGUCAGGGCAUUUUCGUAAUUUGGGUUGGACUUGGGCUUCAAGUCCGCUGGAUCCAAAUGUCGCAUGUCCAAUGUUUCAACAUCGAUCGAUGGUACUUGUGUACAUUGAUCGAUAUUAAUCUUCAUUUGUCGAGGCAUCUCAUGGUGUCGAUCGACACCACUGGAGGUGCAUCGAUCGAUUGUUCUUCCUCUCGUCGACCUCUACAUGGUCAGCUCGGGUGAAAUGUCUUUUAAGCUCCAAAACGCUCCAAAGUCAUAGCUUUACUCCGAAUGCAGAUGAACCUGAAAACAUACCUAGAAGAGUAGAAAACAUAGAUAUAUAUAUAUAUAUAUAUAUAUAUAUAGUAAAACACCUAUAUACCAUGGAUGAAAACGGGUCAAAUCCAAGGUAUAUCAAUCACCCUUUAAACCUAGAUUUUAAGAUUAAUUGGGAUCAAGCCAUUGCUUGACUCAAUACCUGAAAAUUAACUAGUAUGAUCUAACUGACUAGAUACAGACGAGAGUUGAUAUAGUGAGUUUGAAAAUAUAAAUUAAACCUGUCCGUAAAACUUUCUGGAAGAAGUAUCGAUCGACACAUCGAUAUCCCUGUCGAUCGAUAUUUUGAAAGGUGUAUCGAUCGAUAUUUUGAAAGGUGUAUCGAUCGAUAUUCAUAAAGAAUUAUCGAUCGACAAUUUCUCGUGUCUAACAUACGAGAGCUAAAAUGCGAGAUCAAGAUUAGAUAAUCAGAUUGAUUAUAUCUUAAGUUUAAAUUCAAGAAUAAUUAAUAUCAAUAAACCUCUACAAACCCAAAUUAAGUUUACUUAUCAUACCUGGGAAUAUACCUGAAUCUAGCUAUUUCUCCAAACUGUUAACAACCUCAAAACAAAUCAAUCAAGAAAUAAAAUUGCUCACCACUCCAUUUACUGCUUUAAAACUUAUAAACCAUUUAAUCUAGAUUUAUUUCAAGACCAUAAUCUAUUGUGUAAUCCUAGAGUCUCUAUGGAUUCGAUCCCUAAGUACUACAUCUGAACCUCUUAUUUGAGAGAGUAAUUCACUCCUUAGGGUAAUUUGAGUGAUAUCCGUUAGCUUAUGACUAAUAAACAUCGACAUUAAAGGUAAAUUGGUCAUAAGGUUAUGACCAGUGUACGACUAAUAUAUGAGACGUAAAUGUACGUCACCUUUACGACAAAUGUAUUUACUUUUAACUUACGACCAACUUAUUGAGCCGUAAAACUACGUCUGAUAUAUGACUAAUUUUUCUAGACGCAAUAUUAUGACCAAUGUGCCUCUAAUUAUUAAUUACGAUCAUCUUGUAACGACCAAUAGAUUUUCGAAGUUAAUUGGUCCUAAAGCCCAUAUUACGACCAACUAGCUACUAAUACUAUAGUCGUUAAGGUCCUGUUUUCUUGUAGUGAAAAGUCCCCAGAAAAUAUUUCUCGCAAUAUAAAUUCCGUAUAAUUUUUAUCCACAAUAAGAAGCAAACAUUGUUGGGGUCAAAAAUGUUAAUCUCGAAACAAACGUCCAAAACCUGUGUUUCUGUAUGAAAGCUUUCUCGACACACUCUCGACAAAAUUUCCUGAGCAAAAGACUCGAGAGAAAUGGAUCACAGAACCAAACAAGCAGUCCAACUCGUUUGUUCGUACGUUUUAAGGUGCAGAACUGCACAGACGAGUCAGAUGUUUAGCUAUGGAUGAAGACCUUCCCGUGGUAUGAUUGAGCUUUGAGUUAGCUUUCCAAUGCCACCGGUCUGAGGUCAAUCAGCAUUCUGUAUCAUAAGUUAUGUCUGUUUUAUUGAAGGGUGGACAGACCACACCGUCCAGCUCGGUGGAUGGCCGAGCUGGAUCGACCAUGCGACCAGCUCGGCCAUCCGCCGAGGUGAACCAGUCCAGCUCGCCAUCCGCCGAGGUGAACCAGUCCAGCUCGGCGGAUGGUCGAGCUUGGUCGACAACACGACCAGCUCGUCCAUCCGCCAAGCUGAACCAGUCAAGCUCUGCGGAUGGCUGAGCUGGAUCGAACACGCGACCAGCUCGGCCAUCUGCCGAGCUGGAUUGACAACACAACCAGCUCGGCCAUCCGCCCAGUCCAGCUCGGCGGAUGGCCGAACUGGAUCAACACACGACCAGUUCGGCCAUCCGCCGAGUUGGAACGAUCGUGCUGUCAUAGUCCCAUCCUCGUAGCUCCCACCUUCGGGAUUGGAUCGAACAUGCUCUUGUUUCAUUUCGAUCAGAGUCACCGAUGGAACUUUACGAUUUAAAACCGCAGUAACUCAUUGUUGGGGAAAAAUAUUCCAUGAAGAGCAUACUCCAGCUUCCGUCUUCCAGGUUUAUCCCCCCGGGGUCCGGGUUCCUGUCUCUGGGUCCCGGGUCCCUGUCCCCGAGUCUGGGACCUUCCUCCGUCUUCCAGGCCAAGUGAUUUCUCCUGCCUUCCUCCGUCAACCGCUUAACUCAGUGGAUCAGCUGUCGCAUGUUUCACUGGUUAACAAGCUAGAUCUCGUGUCUCAACGGUUUGUAUGUCGACAACGAGAGAGUGUCGAUCGAUGGUCCUAUUGGGACGUCGACCGAUACACCUUUGCCAACGUCGAUCGAUAGUCAGUUGAGAACAUCGAUCGACGGGUUCUUGCCAGGCCUAUGCGCGAGUAUAAUAUGCUCUAUUAAGAUACUAAAUUGGCGGUUAGCCCUCUCUAGCAGUCCUAAUAUUAUAGAUAGAUUUCAUGAUGGGAUAACAAGGGUGCUUGAGUAUGCAAUCCUAUGAUCAAGUUCUAGUUAGCAAGGCUAAAACAAGCAAUGAAUACAAAUCUUUCAUGAAUAUCACAACAAGGCAGAUCUAUAGUUUGGGGCUAGUCCCACAAACCUAUCUGAACCCUUGAUCUAAUAAUUGAACUACUCAGACAUAGCAGAGCAAUUCAUAACAAUGAAGAAAUAGAAAUUCAUAGUAUAGAUGAAAAGAAAUGAGAAGAAGGAGUUCCAAUCACAAGUGAUCUUCUCUCCAAAACUCUCUCUUCUCUCUCAAAGUAAAACUGUAACAAAAAGCUCUCUUAUGCCGUCAAAACACUUAGGCAGUAUAUAAUCUACUAGGUUAAAAACUCGUCAGGGCAUUUUCGUAAUUUGGCUUGGCCUUGGGUUUUAAGUCCGCUGGAUCCAAAAUGUCGCGUGUCUAAUGUCUCGACAUCGAUUGAUGGUACUUGCGUACAUCGAUUGAUAUUAAUCUUCAUCAGUCGAGGCAUCUCUUGGUGUCGAUCGAGAGCACUGAUGCGCAUCGAUCGAUUGUUCUUCCUCUCGUCGACCUCUACAUGGUGAUACCACUCAAAUUACCCUAAGGAGUGUUACUCUCAUCAAAAGAGGUUCAGAUGUAGUUAUUAGGGAUCGAAUCCACAAGGAGCUAGGGAACAAUUAAAUCUAGUGUUUAUUAAUUCUAAAGGUUGUAAAUGUUUAAAUGGAAUAGCAAUAGUAACAAGCGAGUAAAUAUAAAUGUAACUUGGUUGGAAAUGAUAUUAGAUGCAGGGCCACUAUUCAGAUGUUGGAGAUUAUAAUACUUAUAGAUGCCUAACUGUUACAUGCAUGAUAUAUUAGAGCUCAUUCGCUUAACUCAGUGAUCAGCUGUCGCAUGUACCACUGGUUAAUAGACUAGAUCUCGUGUCUCACCGGUUAGUAUGCAGACACAAGAGAGUGUCGAUCGAUAGUCUAUUAAGACGUCGACCGAUACACCUUUGCCAACAUCGAUCGAUUGUCAGUUGAGGACAUCGAUCGACGGGUUCUAGCCAGGCGUAUGAAAUGCUCUACUAAGAUUCUAAAUUGGCGGUUAGCCCUCUCUAGCAAUCCUAAUAUGAUAGAUAGAUGUCAGGAUGGGAUAACAAGAGUGCUUGAAUAUGCAAUCCUAUGAUCAAGUUCUAGUUAGCUAGGCUAAAACAAACAAUGAAUACAAAUCUAUCAUGAAUAUCACAACAAGGCAGAUCUAUAGUUUGGGACUAAUCCCACAAACCUAUCUGAACCCUGGAUCUAACAGUUGAACUACUCAGACAUAGCAAAGUAAUUCAUAUCAAUAGAUAAAUAGAAACUCAUAAGAAUAGAUGAAAAGAAAUAAAAAACAAGGAGUUCCAAUCACAAGUGAUCUUCUCUCCCAAAUGAAACUUGUAACAAAACUAGGUCUAGAAAAAGCUAUGUUCUUCUGCCGUCAAAAACACUAGGCAGUAUAUAUUCUACUAGGUUAAAAACUCGUCAGGGUAUUUUGGUAAUUUGGCUUGGCCUUGGUUUUUAAGUCUGCUGAAUCCAAAAUGUCGCGUCUGGUGUCUCGACAUCGAUCGAUAUUAAUCUUCAUCUGUCGAGGCAUUUCCUGAUAUCGAUCGUCAGUGCUGAUGCGCAUCGAUCGAUUAUUCUUCCUCUCGUCGACCUCUAAGUGGUCAGCUCGAGUGAAAUGUCUUUUAAGCUCCAAAAUGCUCCAAAGUCAUAGCUUUACUCCGAAAUGCACCUGAACCUGAAAACAUACCUAGAAGAGUAGAAAACAUAGAUAUAUAUAUAUAUAUAUAUAUAUAAAACACUUAUAUACCAUGGAUAAAAAUGGGUCAAAUCCAAGGUAUAUCAACUCCCCCAGACUUACCCUUUUGCUUGUCCUCAAGCAAAACAUACAGGCAGUCUCUCUGAAAGAGGUUUGAAAAUAUUUAGGAUUUAAGAUUUUAAAACAUAGAAAUCUUUCCUCAACAAUUUUGCAACCACAUUUAAAAAGUCCUAAUCACAAAAGCACACUAUGCAAUAUCCUAGCUUAGCAACCAUUUCUAACAUAACACAACUCAUCAAUUCACGUCUGACAUCCCCUCUAUGAUUUCAUUUCUUAGCAUAAAUAUAAAGUGAAUGCUUUACCUUGGGAGUAUCGAUCACAUGAUGCAAGGAUUUCAGACAGGUAUCUGGAGCAGCAGGUAAAAGUUAGUUCCUAGUUUCUCUCUCUCUAAAUUUCUCUCUUGAGUCAAAGUCUGCUUCCAUUGCAGGAUCAGUGACCAAGAUUGGACAGGCUUCCAUGAAUCAAAACUUAAUGGUGGUUGCCACCAAGUUCUGUUCACUUUUUUUUGACCUAUAUCCAAGAGUUCUUUGCAAAAGCGAGCCUUGAAGAUUGCCGCCUCCAAGUCCCGUUUCGAACUCUUUUAUUUGAGUCUUUAUGAAUCAAGCCUUAAUGGUUUUAGCCACCAAGUCCUGUUCAGACUCAUCCUAAUUAAACAUAAGAUCUUAUUUAAAUUUUUUUUUAUUAUUAUUAUUAUUAUUUUUUAAAAAAAUACUCACUAACUAAUCUAGGGUCGAAAUUUAGAGAGAGAAAAUGUGAUAAAUAAUCUAAUCCAGGCGUUACCUUCCAGACCUGUCUGAAGAAUCCGAUCCCAUGUAUACCAAGCCCCAAGACAAGCGGUUAUGUCAGGUUUAGUGUUGGAAAUCAGCUUUGGUUACUUCAUACGGUUCAAGGUAAGUGUGUAGUUGAUAGGUUGAUCCGCUUUAGCAUCUUUAUUGCUAUCUGCAAUCAGUAAAUCUAAAAUGAUGCUAAAGAUUGGUUAGAUAUUCAUGUUUAAAUCAAUAUAGGAUUAUAGUCCCUAUUUUCAAUAGCUAAGCAUAAUUUAUUUGAAAUUCUUUUUUACAUAAGAAUAAAAUAAAUUAUAUCAGUAAAUCUCCCCCCAGACUUAAAUUACACUGUCCCAGUGUAACUCAGCCGGAGUAAUGAUGAAUAGUUUAUAAUGUACGAAAUGUAACAAGUAAGGAAGAUACAUCUGACCGGAUUAGAUAUCGAUCGAUGUGUAAGUGUUACAUCGAUCGUCGUGUGGUUGCCAAUGUCGAACGAUGUCGACGUCUCGUCGUCGGUCGAUAUACUUGGGUCUCCUAAAUCUGAAAGAAAUAAAACAAAAGAAAUUAAAUGCUAGCUAAUAAAACCAAAAUACCUAAUAGUGGGUUGCCUCCCACUCAGCGCUUGGUUAUAGUCAUUUAGCUUGACUGUGGUAGUGAUUGGCUAUUGGGUGGAGAAUCAGCUGCUUGUUGGAAAGCAAGCAUCCACGUCAUCUCUGCGCAUUCUGGACCAAGAUGCAAUGAAACUUCUUGUGGCCUCAUCAUUUCUUGUCCAUUUGUCAUCCAUCUUCUCAAGUACUUUGGAGUUGUUCUGUAGCCUUUCUUGAAUGUUGUCAAUUCUGACAUGGUGCCAGCCUAUGUUGUCAUAGGCGUAUGCUGAAAGUUAUGUCAGUUCCUUUUGCAUUGACUCUACCGUCUUGUGUAUCAGCUUCUCGCCGAUUGGUGUAGACUCGGCAUCGAUCGAUGCGAUUAUGUGUUCGUUGGUCGAUCUCAGCGAGUUGCCAUCGAUCGAUUUCGCUAGCGUCCUGUCGAUCGAUGCUGAUAUCUGAUGUUGAGCCGCGUGUUGCCUCUGAAUGGAUUUGACUUCUUUCUGUAGCCAUUUUGCGUGGUUGUCUAGUCCACUGAUUUUGUUGUCGAAUGGAAAGUAGAUGUCAUCGCAGCGUUUGUCAAGUCGUUCCUCCAUGGUGUCUAGAGCAGUGUAGAUCUUGGAUGUGAUCUUGUCAACCUCUGCUGCUGUGUAAGGAAGUAACUCCACAGGUUUCUUGCCAUCGAUCCAAGGCCCUCGUAGCCUGUCGAUCGAUCCUGAUUUUGCCUGCAAAAAACUUUGAUUAGUAAUGUUCUCAAUAUCCUUUUGGGCAUGAAGUAAUUGACUAGACAGUUUGUUUAAAUAUGUCAUGAUUGGUGAUAUAAAACGGUCAUGCAUAUCCUCGUAAGUCCUCAGCCUCUCAUUCAUGGCUGAGACUUUGGCGUCGAGCGAUGUGAAGGUACACAUGUCGAUCGAUGUGGCUGGUUGUUGGUCCUUCAUGCGAAUGGUGUCCAGAUCUUGCUGUAGUAGCUCGAUUUUAGUGCUUAGCCAGUCCACGUUGUUGUUGAGAGGGCAAUAAACGUCGUUUAUCCUUGUGUCGAUGUAUGAGACUUCCUAUUCAUCCUUGUGUUGUGUUGAACAUUGCGGUUCUGCAGGGAUCUGAGCUGUAGGAAGACUGACGUCGAUCGAUGUUGCACGUGGUGCGUCGAUCGAUGCUGAGGUCGUAGCUUCCUUCUCAAGUUGCUGACGUAAACUCUCAAUUUAUGUCCUCAUUUCUGCCAUACAUCUGAAAAGCUCAUUGUAGCCUCGAUCCAAAGGCUGAUGUGUGUCUUCUACCAAUGUUUUGAGCUCCUCUCCCAGUUUCUCAUGAGCUCCACAAAUACCAAACACCAUCUCAUCGAUUUCAUCUUUGGUGUAGAGUUCUGGUGCCAGUCUUAUGAGUGUGAAGGAAGUGGCAUGUUCUGGAAGACAGAUGUGGCUCUCUUCAAAAAGAGAUGCUCUUUCCAGUAUUUUCCUGAUGUUGUCCUUUGUGGCAGGUAUCAUCUCACCAGCUACGCCUCGUGCGUGUCCACGCUCAUCUCUGUAGACUCCAUACUCGUCCCUUUGUUCCCAAGUGAACUUUCUGGCUCCGUUCAUGUCGAAAGCGCGGUUCCCACAUUAAUAUCGUCUGUCGAUCGACGUCGGUUCAUCCCUAUCGAUCGACGUUGGUGUUACCCUGUCGAUCGAUGUCCCCGUUGUACCGUCGAUCGAUACUUGCCCUUUUGGUUGGUGUGAUAGAUCGGGUUGAUCUCUGUUGUGGUGACUCCUGCAUGGUUGUUAGGAUUUGUUUGAAUGACGACUGGAGUGCCACGUUGCUGUGAGAAUAGGUUGUCAGGUCCAUUGGCCACUUGAAGGAUGUCUGCGAUGUCCUCUCUGGACACUUGUAAAAUCCUUCCAUCCAUUGCACGUGUGUUGCCAUCUGGGUCCCUGAAAAUACCAAAUUCAUCAGGUGUUAGAAAACCGUAACCAAUGUUUGCAUAAUCAUUCAAUUUAGAAAUAGAAAGAUUAGGGUUUAGAGUAGUAUCGAUCGAUGUAGAUACAGUUACAUCGAUCGAUGGCAGUGUAAUUUCUGCAGAACUUGUGUUCUUGAGAUGAUUGCUCUUCAUGGAUUUUUCUGUUGAUGUAGAAGGAAGAGUGUUCAUCUUUUUUGCUUGUGUGUUUGCUCUGAUGUGUGUAGGUGGUUUCGGAGGUGCAAAACGAUUUAUAUAGGUAUCUAUAAACCUAGUUGGGGAGGGAAUAUUCUCCUGCUCCUGGAUUUUCGCUGCGGCGCGAAUAUCGAUCGAUGUUCCUUUACGGGUUUCGAUCGAUGUGAGCGGUUGUUUUGCUGGACGAGGGUGGGUAUCGACCGAUGUGGAGUGCACAGCGGCGAAGGAUGUUGGAAACAUGUUGGUGAACUUAUGUGUUUCAAGUCUUUCAUCCUACAAAGACAUUUCUACUGCACGUUCUUUCCAAUAAUCCUCAUCGUAUUCCUCGGUAUGUUCCUCAUUAGGUGAAGUAAUUACAGUGUCAACUGCAAAACUUUCAUGGAAACCACUGUCUGCCCAACCGCCUAUGGAAUAAUCAUCAUGUCCUCUCUUUCUUGGAGGUUGGAAGGCAAAAUGUUGGUAACAAUGUUUUGGUGAAGCGAAAUGGUCAAGUGGGUGCAUUACUUCGAGUGACGUGUUGUUGCGGUCAUCGGUCACCAUUGACACAUUGGAAUCGAUCGAUGAAAAUGUUAGGGUGUCGAUCGAUUCUGAGUACUCCGUUUCGUACUCCGAUUCAUACUCUGCUCCACAAUGGCAUACGCCAAUGAAGCCGAGUUCUUUCCCAUAAUCCACAGAAUUAAUGACCUUUCUCUUAGGUCGGAUGGGGUCGUAGUGGAUGUUUGGGUCUAUGAGCGUUAGACACAAUUUGUUCUUGUUCAUGUCACAUACGGCUCCUACUGUAGCUAGGAAAGAUCUUCCAAGCAGAAGUGAAGAGUUCCAGUUAAGCUCGAUGUCUAGGAUAGGAAAGUCUACAGGGACAAGGGCAUUACCAAUCUGUACCUCCAGAUCUCUUAUGAUACCUCCUGAUCGUUUCUCUAAAAGAUCCACGAAGGUGAAGGAUUCUGUUGAGGGUUCGAUGGUCAAACCAAGCUGGUCUGCCAUGAUCCUAGGGAGGAUACUAACUGAUGCUUCUGUGUCAAACAUUGAAUGGGGAUUUUCAACACCCUUGACUACGCAUGGUAUUGCAAACUUCCCAGGAUCACUCUUCUUCGUCAAUGUGAUCCUGUGUUUCAUCUUCUCUCUGACUUGAUGAAACAUUCUCUUAAUGUCCUCCUCGGUUACCUUUGUUUCUCUGAAGAACAUCCACAACCGGUGUGUGAAGUAAGCUUCAUCAAAAGGUUUUUCGAUUGGGAUUCUGAGGACUCGUUUAGUGAAACCAUCCAUCUCCUUAUCGUUAGCUUCCCUCUUAAGGUUUUUAGGAAUUUUCUCCUUUCUUUUCCUUAACCUUCACCCUUCAGAUUCUUGUUCUUCUUGAACAGAUUCUGGUGAAUUAUUUAAAGGGCUGGGUUUUGGUUCGGGUGGAUUUGCUAAUGGUUUAGGUGGUGGUCUGAGUGCGUUGAUGUAAUUAUUAUCGAUUGAGGGUAACCGCACUCGGUAUGUCACAGGUGCCUGUCGAUCGAUGGGAGGUGUGUUGUGACGAUCGACGUCGGACUCACUCUGUCGAUCGAUGGUUGGCUUAACCGACCGAUCGAUUUUAUCAUAGAAAGGGGAGGGUGGGUGAGGAUGCUUAGAUGCGAAUUCUUCAUGAGUUAGAAUUCGAACCGCAUUGCAUUCAGUCGAUUUGGCAGACGACGUCGAUCGAUGACUGGAGUAAUCCGUCCAUCGAUCUUCAUCAUGAUCUGUCGAUCGAUGCGAGUUCAUCGACAUCGGUCGACACCAUUGGGAUCCGCCGAGACUCAUGGAGCUUUCGAUUUCGAAAUCUCCUUCCUCAAGCUUUUCAUUUCUCACCACUUGCCAGAAAUCAUCAUCUAUGAUGGCAUUUACGUGGUGUUUUCCUUUGUCGGCUCCUGCCUCUCUAGCGAAAGCUUCUUGCCUCUUUAUAGUCUCGCCCGUCUGAAUUACUUGGGUUUCAAGUUUUCUCACCUGAGUCCCUAAGGUCUCGAUUUUGGUGUUCAGAUUGUUGUAGGCAGAGUCUAUCUUACCGUUGAAAUCCACAGUGAUUUGUUGUUGUCCCAACAGUACUCGAUCAAGCAUCUCUUCGAUCUUGCUUUCCUGAGUCUGGGAUGGUGGAUUUUGGUAGUAAGAGUUCGAGUAGCUCUUGCUGUUGUUGAAGGGUUUUUGAAAUUGUGAAUUUUGGUUACUUAUUUGGCCAUUUCCAAAGAAGUUUCUGUUUCCGCCCUGGUUUCCAAAUUUCUGGAAUCCGGUACCUCCGAUGUAAUUCACAUUUUCUUCUCCUUCGGUAUCUGCUACUUCUCCUUCAGCUGAACAGACUUGCUUCCUAAGAAGCUCGUGCACGACAUCUAACUUAGCUCUUACUUCGUCCAUCUGUUCCUUCCCGAUAGAGGCUACAGACUUCUUCCGUUCAGAGUCAGUGUUUUUGGUGCUGCUGCUGUUAGCAAGGUUUUCGAUAAGUCUCACAGCUUCCAACGGAUUCCGAGUAGUGAAGUUUCCUUCACUCGCAGUAUCAAGGGCCAUUUGAUACUGUAAGGCGAGACCUCGGAAGAAAGUGCUUAGCAGCUGCACUUCGUUAAAUCCAUGGUGUGGACAGUCUCGCUGGAAGAACCUAAAUCUAAUCCACCCAUCUUUGAAGGAGUCUCCAGCCUUCUGCGAGAAUGUGGAAAUUUUGUUCCGAAGUUCUUCAGCGCGCGCCUCAUCGAAGAAGUUUCGUAAGAAAGCAUUCUUGAUGUCGCUCCAGGAUGUUAAAGAUCCUGUGGGUUGCUGCCUAAGCCAGUGCAUCGCUUCUCCAUUCAGCGUGUAUCUGAGAAGAUUGCACAGCAGGUAAUCUUCAGGAACUCCUUCCAUCCGAAUAACAGCGAUUAGAUCCUCGAACCGUUCCAAAUGGUCCAUAGGAUGCUCGUGCGGUAACCCAGAGUAGGGUAUCUGCGACACGAGAGUGUAGUAUUGAGGCUUCAGCUCGAAAUUCUGCUUCUGGAUCUCCAGAAGUCGAAUAGCUGAUUUGUUGGAAUAGUACUCAUCUGGGCGAUGUAGUCGGCCAGUGGUUUCGAUCGAGCGUCCUCAUCUACAGGUUAAGCAGCUCCUGUAGCACCAGCAUUAGGGAUUACAGUUCCCUGAGCAUCUAUUUUCUGACGUGUUGCAUUACGCAGAUGACCGGCCUGGUCAUACAGGUUUCCGUUCUCGUCCUGAGUUAGAAUAAUAAUGUUUACCAUUUUUGACGACACGGUAUCGAUCGACGUACGCGGUGUAGUAUCGAUCGUUGUCAAACGAUUGGGAUUGAUCGACGAUAAUGGUCUUGUGUCGGUCGACGGUUGGUUGUGCGUAUCGAUCGACGACGAAGUGGUUGCGUCGAGCGAUGUGGAACGUUGACCUCUACGGAUGAUGCGUUCCAAAUGAGCAGGAUCGUCUGAGAACAGCAAGUCGGAAUGAGUUCGUCUUUUUCAUUCUUCACUACAGUGAUACCUCCCUUUUUGGGUACAACAUGUACGGGGCUUACCCAUUUGCUAUCCGAAAUAGGGUAAAUAACUCCAACAUCAAGGAGUUUUAUAAUUUCCUUUUUUACUACUUUCUUUAGAUUCGGAUUUAAUCUCCUUUGCUGCUCUAUUGACGUUUUAGCGUCAUCUUCCAAGAUGAUUCGAUGCAUGCAAAGAUCGGGAGAGAUUCCAGGGAUGUCAUCGAGAGAAUAUCCGAUCGCGUUCCUGUACUUGUGCAAUUUAUUUAGCAAUAAAGCAAGUUCUCCACUAGUGAGAUUGGCGUUGACGAUAACAGGGUAGGACUGGUCAUAAAGGUAAGCGUACUUAUGACAGCUGGGUAGAGGUUUUAAUUCUACCUUUGGUGCUUUAUCCUUAGACCAAUUUGAUUGCGAGGGAGGUUGUCGAUCGAUGGUAUCUUGUAGGUAUUGAUCGAUGACAACUUCUGAGUCGUCAUUUUCUUCUACGUUUGCAACUUCGAUACUAGCGUCCAUUAGUCGCAUGUAAUCGUCUGUCCUAUCUGAUAUGCUGAAAAUUUCAUUUUCCACGUGGUUAAGGGUGUCUUCUAAGGGGUUGUCUGAAAACAUGUUUAUGAAAGAGUCUUUUUCAUCCUCAGAAACUUUUUCGACGUAGAAGGCCUGGUCAUCUAUUAGGGGUCGCUUAAUCAGUUUUUCCAUAUCAAAAGUCAUCGAGAUAUCCCCUAUGUUCAAAUUAAUUCAUCCUUCUUUGACGUCAAUGAUUGCUUAGCUAUGAAUGGCCAACCCAGAAUGAGGGGGUCUUUGGGUUCUUGUCUGUAUUUUAACACAACAAAAUCCGUAGGCACGAUGCAAUCAUUAAUCUUUAUGGGAACAUCUUCGAGAAUUCUUUCGGGUACCCUGAUAGAUCUAUCAGCUAAAACCAGGGUGAUCGGAGUUGGCAUAAACUCUUUAUAUCCUAAAGUUACUGCAACAGAGUAAGGCAUAAGGUUCACGCUAGAGCCGAGGUCACAUAAUGAUCUAGGAAAACGCGUGUUUUCUAUUUUACAAUCUAGGACGAAACUACCAGGAUCUGGUCUUUUUGUUGGAGUUUCUCCUCUAAUCAUAGCGCUUACUUCUUCUGAAAUCAUCAUCACGCUAUGUUCUGAAAUUGGGUAGUUUGGAGAUGUCAUGUCCUUUAUAUACUUCUUAAUCGAAGGUGCUAUCUUUAUAGCAUCACUAAGGGACAUCUCAACAGAAAUCUUAUCUAAGGCUUUCUUGCAGAUCGCGUUUUCUAAUGAUUUCUUAGUUUGCUUUUUAGGAGGAAAAGGGGGAAAAGUUCUAUAGACUCUUUCAAUUAUGGGUUCGGGUUGAGUAGACCGUCGAUCGACUGGUUUUUCGUCCUCAAUCUUCGUAUCUUCUUCAAAUUCUAAAUCUAUUGCCUUUUCCUUAGCCUUUUCAGCGGUGGUUUUCCGAUUCUCUUGAGAUGGAUUUGGAUCAAGAUCGUUAAAAAGAAUAGGAUGAGAAUUGCUUUUGCCGGUUUUGUCAGUGUUGUCAGGUUUUCCAACAUCUGUGUUAUUCCUCGUAUCUGCUGCGAGGUUUUUCCCAAUGCGCAAUAUUACGGCACUGACUUGACGUCUCGGGUUUAAAUUAGUUCUCCCGGGAAGACAUCCUGCAUCUCUUUUUAUGGCAAGUGCAAUCUCAGCUACUUGACCUUCUAAUUUUUGGAUUAGUUCUCCCAAAGAAUCUGCUUUCUCCAUUAAUUCUCCGUAAACCAUAUUUAUUUUCCCGUAAAACUCCGAUUUUGUCUUACGGUUGCCAGUAAGAGCUUGUCUGAUAUUGAAUCUCUCUCUUUCGGUACGUGAUUUUACAGCAGUGUCAUAAUCUUGGGUAAAGCUAUCGACAUUAAGCACAUAGUAGGGAUCAGAACAGUUCGUUCCUUCAUCCAAAUAAUCAUUGGUGUCAGACAAAGCGUCGUCGUCGAUCUGGGCUAUAUCAGAUCGGUGUUUGUUUUGAAAAAAGGAAUGAAGGGACUUAAGGGAAUUCUUAAUUUCUAUCAAAUCAGAAUUGUCUUUUGGACUUGUGGAAUUUUCUAUCUCUUCAUCCAUCCUUUCAUUGGAUCUUCUCGUUGUCAUAUUCUUGAUAAGGCGUCUAGCUUCUUCGGGAUUCCUAGUGAUGAAAUUUCCAUCACUCGCUGUAUCGAGUGUGUUUUUUUAGCUCAAGUUAACACCUCCAUAAAAGAUGUUAAGAAGUUGUGGUUCUGAAUAACCAUGAUGGGGACAUUCAAGUUCAUAGGCUCUGAAUCUUCCCCAGGUGUUUUUAAACGAUUCGCGUGGACCUUGGCGAAAUGUAGAAAUUUGCUUUCUUACUUCCCAGUAGCGUUCAUCAGUGAAAAAUUCUCUAAGGAAGGCACUUCUAAUCUCUUCCCAACAAGUGAGUGAUCCUGCUGCUAAACAGUUUAACCACCUGAGGGCUUCUCCUUCUAGGGAGAAUGAGAAUAGUUUGCAACGGUCAUAUUCAUCUAGUAUUAAUUCUUCCAAAGUUUCAAUGUGAUCUUGUGGGUGCUCUGGGAGGGAUCCACGUAAUGGGUUUUGACGAACCAUACGGAAGUAAUAUGCGUUAAACUUAGAUUUCUUGGUAUCGUCUCCUGGUAUUUUGAGAGCGGACCUAUUGGAAUAGGUCCUACCAGGAUCAAGGUAGUCUUGCAUGGACAAAUUUAUAUCUUCACCUUCAGUUAAGGUGGAAUUUUCCUUAACAGGGAUUUCAGUCUCCUGUUCAGUUUGGCUAGCUUCAUUGCUCGUUUGACCAUUUAGUUCAGUUUGGACUACUUUCUCAUUAGCGGGCUUGGUAAGAUAAAACUUACCUGCUUCCGGCUGGGUGGUAUUGAUCGAUGUUGGCAGCUCCGUAUCGGUCGAUUUUUCUGACUCAAUGUCGCUCGAUGGAAACAUGUCUCCGUCGAUCGAUGGUUGGUCGCGCUCUGUGUUCUCCAUUCUUUGUGUCUGCGUAACAGAUUAAGAAAGAAAACUUUAGCAAGUUUUUCGUAACAAGUCUAUACUAAAUUCUAAAUUAAAUCUAAUGGUAAUAAGAAAGAGUCCCCGGCAACGGCACCAAAUUUGAUAUCACUCAAAUUACCAUAAAGAGUGUUACUCUCAUCAAAAGAGGUUCAGAUGUAGUACUUAGGGAUCAAAUCCACAGAGACUCUAGGAUUACUCAACAGACUUAAAUAAUUAGAAAAGAAAAUAGACUGAGAGGUUUUAGUAGUUUUAAAAGCAGUAAAUGAUAAAUACAAAACAAUAGUGAAACGAUAGAUUGAAUUGAAGUGGUUUCAAGAAUGGGAAAGCAGCUAGAUUCAGGUAAAUCUCAGGUAUGAAAUGCAUGCACUUAGUUUAGACUAAAGGGUUUGAUGGUUUUUGAACUAAACAAUGAUUUAACCGGAUAGGUUAUCUUCGCUAGAUCUCGGAUCUCAACUGUCGUAUUUUAAUCUCGAGAGAGUGUCGAUCAUUGUGACUUGAUGUAAAUCGACCGUUACACCUUUGUAACGAUCGACCGACAGAACGAUAGUUGCGUCGAUCGAUGGUUAUUCUAGCGAGCUUUGCGAACGGGUUUAACUUGUUCUCUAACCUUCUCAGACCAACUGUCGUUGCGUCUAAGUUAGUUAGAUCACGCAAGUGGGUUCAGGUAUUGAGGGGAAACGGUUAGUUGGACUCAAUUAAUCCUAAGAUCUAAAAUGAAGGUGAUCAAUCUCAAUUUUAGCAUUAAGUUCACAAGCAAUGAAAGAUCAAUCAAAACACAUUUUUAAAUAGUCAUAUUAGCAGUACAUAAUUUCAACCAUGGCAAGAAACCUAAAUCUAACAGUUGGUUUACUCAAACAUAUUCAUGAGAGACAAAGUCAUGAUGAUGUGAAAUAAACUCAAAUGAAACAUAGAACACAAAUAGAUAGAGUAAUAGAAGUAAAGGAGUUCAAGAUCUUCUCUAUUUUGCAGUCUCAGAUCUAUCUCUCCAAUCCUAAGCUCUUCUAAUGGUAGCCAAAAUGCUCAUUCUCCAAACUAGGUCUUUUUGCAAGUGUCUCCUAAAAUGAUACAAAACCCUAGUACAUAUAGCCUAACAGGCGGCUUGGGACUUAAGUUGCAAAUAAUAGAUCUUUUGGGAAAUGAAAUCUUUUAAUUCGCGAUCACACUUGUGUGACUGGGCAUCGAUCAAUGCACAUGUGUGUUUGUCGAUCGAUGAUAUGUGAUUAUGAUCGACCGAUGUUGCUCUUCAAGCGUCGAUCGAUUCUCCUUACAUAAAAGCAUUCCAAAAUGUCCCAAAAGUAUCAUUUCUUUCCAUCAGGUGAAUAAACCUGCAAUUGCUUUGAAAAGACUCUAAAACAUGAUUAAUACAUCUUAAAACUCUUAUAUACCAUGUAUAAAAACGGGUGAAAAUCAUGGUAUAUCAGCCACCAACGGCCAGUCCCAAUAAACACAAACGCGGCCAUCUUGGCCCACACAAAUUUCAAACACACAAUAAAGGCCAUACUCGGCCGAGAAUAUAUAAUAAUGGCCAGACACGGCCAGAACAUAAGAUAAGGGGAAACCCGUUCCCAUCAGACACCACUUACACCUUCAAGGAUCGAGAACGCAGUUUCCAGACAUGGAGGCUCCAAACGUGCUUAUUGGUCGAUCCUGUAAGAUCCGAUCCUGGAUUCGUCAAUCCAACCAGACCGCAGCUUACUUAAUCAUUUCAUUCAGUUAGAUCACUUUACUUCCGAUUCCAUAUGUAAUAUUUUUCUAAGUAUUUUUCAGAGUUCUGAGGUUCAUUCAAUCAUAAUUAGACAAUCAGAUUCAAGUAAAGCAAAUUCUUAUUUUAUAGAUACUUAAACAAGAUCCAUACAACAUCCAUUCAUUCUUAAUACAUAAGUUGCAUACUAGGCUAUCAUAAGAUCACAAGCACAAUAGGUUAUCAGUAUUUCACAUCUAUCAACAAGCACCCAAUCACCACACAUCUUCCCACGACUGGAGUCCUCACAGUUCCUUUCCUUUACCACGGUCCAAGUCUGUACCUGAAACCACAAACACAACACACAACACAAGGAUCUAUCAUUGCAUGGCUGGUUCCUUAACUAAUCAUCAAACUACACUUCAGGCCCCAAUCUGGCCGAUUUUUAAAGUGAUCUAAAAAUUAAUUAAAAUUCACUAAAGCUCAUGAUAAAUCCCAACUAAGAGAUUUCCAUAAUCAGAAUCCAAGGAAUCGACCAUCAGGACGGCUCGGUAAACACUCGGACCCGGCCACACUGGUCUGGACCGGAACACUCCGCCAAGCUGAAGUGAGCUGAUCACCAGCUGUCCCCAGCUGAGUGAGCUAGUCCAUCAGCUCCCAUGAGCUGAACAAAACUGAGUGAGCUGACACUACACUCUAUUGAGCUGGUUUCAUACUCUAUUGAGCAGAUUAAGCUUGACCCGGGCCUUUCCCAGCUACCGGAUCACUCGCCCAGCUCUAUUUAACUUGUCUCCAUCGUAUCCAGGUUAAGUCUCAGCUGUCUGACGUCCUUAACCAUCUAUUCGGGCCAUGGUACGCUUGUCUCAAGGUCAGAUGACCUGUUCAGCACAUUGCCUCGCACCACAGCCCGUCUGGAUGAUCCUAUCUAGGAUCGGGGACAUGACAGAUCCACCUCUUCAUCCUCGCCCGCAACAUCAAUCACAACCUCCUCCAUAUCAGGCGAGACCGGGACUGGAUCCCAGAAUCCUCAGAUCCUUGCCUUGAUUAGAGGGAUCAGGUUCUCAUCAUGAGCAUAGUCGUUCAUACCACCAUUCAUGGUGGACAUCUCGUCAUCAAAGUCGAAGUCAUCCCUUUGCGCCUUCCACAACGACCCGACAGAACCUCGACACUCACGAAAAUCGAGUGCGCCUACUAGAGACGGCCAUACUCAACCGCAAAUUGAGAAGCACGGUUCCCCAUCACAGCAGCAACCUCUCUCCUGCCCCGUCUCUCCGCUCUGCGAAUAGCCUUGGAGUGGUCGUGACCAGCCUUCAGCUCUCGUUCCACGGCCUCGCUCUGCACCCGGGCGAGGGUCUUCCCCGCCUUCUCCGCUUUGAAACGGUAAACCAUCGCCUCAUGAGUCCUUGCCUUAAGGGCCGAGCUGAUCAUGUUCACUCCCUAAAAAAAACCAUCAAUAAGAGUCUCGAAAAUAAAAUAGUCCAGAUUCAAGAUAGUCAAAAACAAAGGAAACUAACCCAUUAAUUAAGCGUGAUCCUUCUGAAACGACUUUUGAUCUCUCGGGUAUGUCCUACAGGUGCAGGUAAGUCAAAAUUCGAAGGAAGCCCGUCAAGGAACGCAUCGAAAUUCCUGUGUGGAAAGGGGACCUCACUUGUGCCGCUCCCAUCACCAUAAGGAAGGUUCGGAACCCAUCUAGGCAGCAUGAAAUCAUCCACGGGAAAGUCAAAAUCUUCGAGAUCAAUGCCUUUGUCCUUUGACUGCUUAGUUGUUCCCCUUUUCGUGGGAACGCUGCGAGGAACAGAAUCAUCCGAAUCCGUGCUGGGUUCUUCGGCCACUUGGACACCAGGGCCAGCAUGAUGACACCUCAACGCGCUGCAAACCCUUUGCGGCGUGAAGAACUUCCAGUAAAAUGGACUGUUCCGCAGAAGGUCCCGCAUGAUAACCGUGUCACUAGGAAACGUGAUGCUUCCGGCUGGGUGGUAUUGAUCGAUGUUGGCAGCUCCGUAUCGGUCGAUUUUUCUGACUCAAUGUCGCUCGAUGGAAACAUGUCUCCGUCGAUCGAUGGUUGGUCGCGCUCUGUGUUCUCCAUUCUUUGUGUCUGCGUAACAGAUUAAGAAAGAAAACUUUAGCAAGUUUUUCGUAACAAGUCUAUACUAAAUUCUAAAUUAAAUCUAAUGGUAAUAAGAAAGAGUCCCCGGCAACGGCACCAAAUUUGAUAUCACUCAAAUUACCAUAAAGAGUGUUACUCUCAUCAAAAGAGGUUCAGAUGUAGUACUUAGGGAUCAAAUCCACAGAGACUCUAGGAUUACUCAACAGACUUAAAUAAUUAGAAAAGAAAAUAGACUAAGAGGUUUUAGUAGUUUUAAAAGCAGUAAAUGAUAAAUACAAAACAAUAGUGAAACGAUAGAUUGAAUUGAAGUGGUUUCAAGAAUGGGAAAGCAGCUAGAUUCAGGUAAAUCUCAGGUAUGAAAUGCAUGCACUUAGUUUAGACUAAAGGGUUUGAUGGUUUUUGAACUAAACAAUGAUUUAACCGGAUAGGUUAUCUUCGCUAGAUCUCAGAUCUCAACUGUCGUAUUUUAAUCUCGAGAGAGUGUCGAUCAAUGUGACUUGAUGUACAUCAACCGUUACACCUUUGUAACGAUCGACCGACAGAACGAUAGUUGCGUCGAUCGAUGGUUAUUCUAGCGAGCUUUGCGAACGGGUUUAACUUGUUCUCUAACCUUCUCAGACCAACUGUCGUUGCGCCUAAGUUAGUUAGAUCACGCAAGUGGGUUCAGGUAUUGAGGGGAAACGGUUAGUUGGACUCAAUUAAUCCUAAGAUCUAAAAUGAAGGUGAUCAAUCUCAAUUUUAGCAUUAAGUUCACAAGCAAUGAAAGAUCAAUCAAAACACAUUUUUAAAUAGUCAUAUUAGCAGUACAUAAUUUCAACCAUGGCAAGAAACCUAAAUCUAACAGUUGGUUUACUCAAACAUAUUCAUGAGAGACAAAGUCAUGAUGAUGUGAAAUAAACUCAAAUGAAACAUAGAACACAAAUAGAUAGAGUAAUAGAAGUAAAGGAGUUCAAGAUCUUCUCUAUUUUGCAGUCUCAGAUCUAUCUCUCCAAUCCUAAGCUCUUCUAAUGGUAGCCAAAAUGCUCAUUCUCCAAACUAGGUCUUUUUGCAAGUGUCUCCUAAAAUGAUACAAAACCCUAGUACAUAUAGCCUAACAGGCGGCUUGGGACUUAAGUUGCAAAUAAUAGAUCUUUUGGGAAAUGAAAUCUUUUAAUUCGCGAUCACACUUGUGUGACUGGGCAUCGAUCAAUGCACAUGUGUGUUUGUCGAUCGAUGAUAUGUGAUUAUGAUCGACCGAUGUUGCUCUUCAAGCGUCGAUCGAUUCUCCUUACAUAAAAGCAUUCCAAAAUGUCCCAAAAGUAUCAUUUCUUUCCAUCAGGUGAAUAAACCUGCAAUUGCUUUGAAAAGACUCUAAAACAUGAUUAAUACAUCUUAAAACUCUUAUAUACCAUGUAUAAAAACGGGUGAAAAUCAUGGUAUAUCAGCCACCAACGGCCAGUCCCAAUAAACACAAACGCGGCCAUCUUGGCCCACACAAAUUUCAAACACACAAUAAAGGCCAUACUCGGCCGAGAAUAUAUAAUAAUGGCCAGACACGGCCAGAACAUAAGAUAAGGGGAAACCCGUUCCCAUCAGACACCACUUACACCUUCAAGGAUCGAGAACGCAGUUUCCAGACAUGGAGGCUCCAAACGUGCUUAUUGGUCGAUCCUGUAAGAUCCGAUCCUGGAUUCGUCAAUCCAACCAGACCGCAGCUUACUUAAUCAUUUCAUUCAGUUAGAUCACUUUACUUCCGAUUCCAUAUGUAAUAUUUUUCUAAGUAUUUUUCAGAGUUCUGAGGUUCAUUCAAUCAUAAUUAGACAAUCAGAUUCAAGUAAAGCAAAUUCUUAUUUUAUAGAUACUUAAACAAGAUCCAUACAACAUCCAUUCGUUCUUAAUACAUAAGUUGCAUACUAGGCUAUCAUAAGAUCACAAGCACAAUAGGUUAUCAGUAUUUCACAUCUAUCAACAAGCACCCAAUCACCACACAUCUUCCCACGACUGGAGUCCUCACAGUUCCUUUCCUUUACCACGGUCCAAGUCUGUACCUGAAACCACAAACACAACACACAACACAAGGAUCUAUCAUUGCAUGGCUGGUUCCUUAACUAAUCAUCAAACUACACUUCAGGCCCCAAUCUGGCCGAUUUUUAAAGUGAUCUAAAAAUUAAUUAAAAUUCACUAAAGCUCAUGAUAAAUCCCAACUAAGAGAUUUCCAUAAUCAGAAUCCAAGGAAUCGACCAUCAGGACGGCUCGGUAACCACUCGGACCCGGCCACACUGGUCUGGACCGGAACACUCCGCCAAGCUGAAGUGAGCUGAUCACCAGCUGUCCCCAGCUGAGUGAGCUAGUCCAUCAGCUCCCAUGAGCUGAACAAAACUGAGUGAGCUGACACUACACUCUAUUGAGCUGGUUCCAUACUCUAUUGAGCAGAUUAAGCUUGACCCGGGCCUUUCCCAGCUACCGGAUCACUCGCCCAGCUCUAUUUAACUUGUCUCCAUCGUAUCCAGGUUAAGUCUCAGCUGUCUGACGUCCUUAACCAUCUAUUCGGGCCAUGGUACGCUUGUCUCAAGGUCAGAUGACCUGUUCAGCACAUUGCCUCGCACCACAGCCCGUCUGGAUGAUCCUAUCUAGGAUCGGGGACAUGACAGAUCCACCUCUUCAUCCUCGCCCGCAACAUCAAUCACAACCUCCUCCAUAUCAGGCGAGACCGGGACUGGAUCCCAGAAUCCUCAGAUCCUUGCCUUGAUUAGAGGGAUCAGGUUCUCAUCAUGAGCAUAGUCGUUCAUACCACCAUUCAUGGUGGACAUCUCGUCAUCAAAGUCGAAGUCAUCCCUUUGCGCCUUCCACAACGACCCGACAGAACCUCGACACUCACGAAAAUCGAGUGCGCCUACUAGAGACGGCCAUACUCAACCGCAAAUUGAGAAGCACGGUUCCCCAUCACAGCAGCAACCUCUCUCCUGCCCCGUCUCUCCGCUCUGCGAAUAGCCUUGGAGUGGUCGUGACCAGCCUUCAGCUCUCGUUCCACGGCCUCGCUCUGCACCCGGGCGAGGGUCUUCCCCGCCUUCUCCGCUUUGAAACGGUAAACCAUCGCCUCAUGAGUCCUUGCCUUAAGGGCCGAGCUGAUCAUGUUCACUCCCUAAAAAAAACCAUCAAUAAGAGUCUCGAAAAUAAAAUAGUCCAGAUUCAAGAUAGUCAAAAACAAAGGAAACUAACCCAUUAAUUAAGCGUGAUCCUUCUGAAACGACUUUUGAUCUCUCGGGUAUGUCCUACAGGUGCAGGUAAGUCAAAAUUCGAAGAAUGGGAAAGCAGCUAGAUUCAGGUAAAUCUCAGGUAUGAAAUGCAUGCACUUAGUUUAGACUAAAGGGUUUGAUGGUUUUUGAACUAAACAAUGAUUUAACCGGAUAGGUUAUCUUCGCUAGAUCUCAGAUCUCAACUGUCGUAUUUUAAUCUCGAGAGAGUGUCGAUCAAUGUGACUUGAUGUACAUCAACCGUUACACCUUUGUAACGAUCGACCGACAGAACGAUAGUUGCGUCGAUCGAUGGUUAUUCUAGCGAGCUUUGCGAACGGGUUUAACUUGUUCUCUAACCUUCUCAGACCAACUGUCGUUGCGCCUAAGUUAGUUAGAUCACGCAAGUGGGUUCAGGUAUUGAGGGGAAACGGUUAGUUGGACUCAAUUAAUCCUAAGAUCUAAAAUGAAGGUGAUCAAUCUCAAUUUUAGCAUUAAGUUCACAAGCAAUGAAAGAUCAAUCAAAACACAUUUUUAAAUAGUCAUAUUAGCAGUACAUAAUUUCAACCAUGGCAAGAAACCUAAAUCUAACAGUUGGUUUACUCAAACAUAUUCAUGAGAGACAAAGUCAUGAUGAUGUGAAAUAAACUCAAAUGAAACAUAGAACACAAAUAGAUAGAGUAAUAGAAGUAAAGGAGUUCAAGAUCUUCUCUAUUUUGCAGUCUCAGAUCUAUCUCUCCAAUCCUAAGCUCUUCUAAUGGUAGCCAAAAUGCUCAUUCUCCAAACUAGGUCUUUUUGCAAGUGUCUCCUAAAAUGAUACAAAACCCUAGUACAUAUAGCCUAACAGGCGGCUUGGGACUUAAGUUGCAAAUAAUAGAUCUUUUGGGAAAUGAAAUCUUUUAAUUCGCGAUCACACUUGUGUGACUGGGCAUCGAUCAAUGCACAUGUGUGUUUGUCGAUCGAUGAUAUGUGAUUAUGAUCGACCGAUGUUGCUCUUCAAGCGUCGAUCGAUUCUCCUUACAUAAAAGCAUUCCAAAAUGUCCCAAAAGUAUCAUUUCUUUCCAUCAGGUGAAUAAACCUGCAAUUGCUUUGAAAAGACUCUAAAACAUGAUUAAUACAUCUUAAAACUCUUAUAUACCAUGUAUAAAAACGGGUGAAAAUCAUGGUAUAUCAGCCACCAACGGCCAGUCCCAAUAAACACAAACGCGGCCAUCUUGGCCCACACAAAUUUCAAACACACAAUAAAGGCCAUACUCGGCCGAGAAUAUAUAAUAAUGGCCAGACACGGCCAGAACAUAAGAUAAGGGGAAACCCGUUCCCAUCAGACACCACUUACACCUUCAAGGAUCGAGAACGCAGUUUCCAGACAUGGAGGCUCCAAACGUGCUUAUUGGUCGAUCCUGUAAGAUCCGAUCCUGGAUUCGUCAAUCCAACCAGACCGCAGCUUACUUAAUCAUUUCAUUCAGUUAGAUCACUUUACUUCCGAUUCCAUAUGUAAUAUUUUUCUAAGUAUUUUUCAGAGUUCUGAGGUUCAUUCAAUCAUAAUUAGACAAUCAGAUUCAAGUAAAGCAAAUUCUUAUUUUAUAGAUACUUAAACAAGAUCCAUACAACAUCCAUUCGUUCUUAAUACAUAAGUUGCAUACUAGGCUAUCAUAAGAUCACAAGCACAAUAGGUUAUCAGUAUUUCACAUCUAUCAACAAGCACCCAAUCACCACACAUCUUCCCACGACUGGAGUCCUCACAGUUCCUUUCCUUUACCACGGUCCAAGUCUGUACCUGAAACCACAAACACAACACACAACACAAGGAUCUAUCAUUGCAUGGCUGGUUCCUUAACUAAUCAUCAAACUACACUUCAGGCCCCAAUCUGGCCGAUUUUUAAAGUGAUCUAAAAAUUAAUUAAAAUUCACUAAAGCUCAUGAUAAAUCCCAACUAAGAGAUUUCCAUAAUCAGAAUCCAAGGAAUCGACCAUCAGGACGGCUCGGUAACCACUCGGACCCGGCCACACUGGUCUGGACCGGAACACUCCGCCAAGCUGAAGUGAGCUGAUCACCAGCUGUCCCCAGCUGAGUGAGCUAGUCCAUCAGCUCCCAUGAGCUGAACAAAACUGAGUGAGCUGACACUACACUCUAUUGAGCUGGUUCCAUACUCUAUUGAGCAGAUUAAGCUUGACCCGGGCCUUUCCCAGCUACCGGAUCACUCGCCCAGCUCUAUUUAACUUGUCUCCAUCGUAUCCAGGUUAAGUCUCAGCUGUCUGACGUCCUUAACCAUCUAUUCGGGCCAUGGUACGCUUGUCUCAAGGUCAGAUGACCUGUUCAGCACAUUGCCUCGCACCACAGCCCGUCUGGAUGAUCCUAUCUAGGAUCGGGGACAUGACAGAUCCACCUCUUCAUCCUCGCCCGCAACAUCAAUCACAACCUCCUCCAUAUCAGGCGAGACCGGGACUGGAUCCCAGAAUCCUCAGAUCCUUGCCUUGAUUAGAGGGAUCAGGUUCUCAUCAUGAGCAUAGUCGUUCAUACCACCAUUCAUGGUGGACAUCUCGUCAUCAAAGUCGAAGUCAUCCCUUUGCGCCUUCCACAACGACCCGACAGAACCUCGACACUCACGAAAAUCGAGUGCGCCUACUAGAGACGGCCAUACUCAACCGCAAAUUGAGAAGCACGGUUCCCCAUCACAGCAGCAACCUCUCUCCUGCCCCGUCUCUCCGCUCUGCGAAUAGCCUUGGAGUGGUCGUGACCAGCCUUCAGCUCUCGUUCCACGGCCUCGCUCUGCACCCGGGCGAGGGUCUUCCCCGCCUUCUCCGCUUUGAAACGGUAAACCAUCGCCUCAUGAGUCCUUGCCUUAAGGGCCGAGCUGAUCAUGUUCACUCCCUAAAAAAAACCAUCAAUAAGAGUCUCGAAAAUAAAAUAGUCCAGAUUCAAGAUAGUCAAAAACAAAGGAAACUAACCCAUUAAUUAAGCGUGAUCCUUCUGAAACGACUUUUGAUCUCUCGGGUAUGUCCUACAGGUGCAGGUAAGUCAAAAUUCGAAGGAAGCCCGUCAAGGAACGCAUCGAAAUUCCUGUGUGGAAAGGGGACCUCACUUGUGCCGCUCCCAUCACCAUAAGGAAGGUUCGGAACCCAUCUAGGCAGCAUGAAAUCAUCCACGGGAAAGUCAAAAUCUUCGAGAUCAAUGCCUUUGUCCUUUGACUGCUUAGUUGUUCCCCUUUUCGUGGGAACGCUGCGAGGAACAGAAUCAUCCGAAUCCGAGCUGGGUUCUUCGGCCACUUGGACACCAGGGCCAGCAUGAUGACACCUCAACGCGCUGCAAACCCUUUGCGGCGUGAAGAACGUCCAGUAAAAUGGACUGUUCCGCAGAAGGUCCCGCAUGAUAACCGUGUCACUAAGAAACGUGAUGCUUCCGGCUGGGUGGUAUUGAUCGAUGUUGGCAGCUCCGUAUCGGUCGAUUUUUCUGACUCAAUGUCGCUCGAUGGAAACAUGUCUCCGUCGAUCGAUGGUUAGACCACCAAUUUAGUAGUAUUAUGAAAUUUUACUAAAUUAAUUGACAAAAAAAUAUAACGAUGCCCAUGUUCCAUGAAAGAGAGUUUAAUAUACAUUAAUACAAAUGUAGAAUGUGUUUAGAAAUUUUAAAUCAACACUAAAGAUCAUAAGCUUCAGUAUAUAGAACAUUUACCGAAAAACUCGUAGGGGUUGUUAACUCAUAGAUUUUGAGAAAAAUUCAAAAAUAUGAAAAUUCUGUUUAAAUGCAUAGUUGCAUCCUUCACUAACAUAUGAUGAAGGUCAAAGAGGUAUGGAACUUUUUUUUUUGUCUCCUUUACUCUAGAGAAUAGCGAUUUAUAGUGGUUAGUCCACCAAUUUAGGGAGUAUUAUGAAGUUUUACUAAAUUAAUUGUCAAAAUAUUAUAGCGAUGCCCAUGUAACAUGAAAGAGAGUUUAAUAUACAUUAAUACAAAUGUAGAAUUUUUUUAUAAAUUUUAAAACAACACUAAAGAUCAUAGGCUUCAGUAUAUAGAACAUUUACCGAAAAACUCAACAUUUUCGUAGGGGUUAACUCAUCGAUUUUGAGAAAAAUUGAAAAAUAUGAAAAUUCUUUUUUUUAUUGCAUAGUUGCAUCUUUUACUAACAUAUGAUGAAGGUCAAAGAGGUUUGGAACUUUUUUUUGUCUCCUUUGCUCUAGAGAAUAGCGAUUUUAUAGUAGUUAGUCCCUCAAUUUAGGGAGUAUUAUGAAGUUUUACUAAAUUAAUUGAGAAAAAAUUAUAGCGAUGCCCAUGUACCAUGAAAGAGAGUUUAAUAUACAUUAAAAUAAAAAUGUAGAAUGUGUUUAGAAAUUUAAAAACAACACUAAAGAUCAUAGGCUUCAGUAUAUAGAACAUUUACCGAAAAACUCAAUAUUUUCGUAGGGGUUAACUCAUAGAUUUUAAGAAUAAUUCAAAAAUAUGAAAAUUCUGUUUUAAUACAUAGUUACAUCCUUCACUAAUAUAUGAUGAAGGUCAAAGAGCUUUGGAACUUUUUUUUGUCUCCUUUGCUCUAGAGAAUAACGAUUUUAUAGUGGUUAGUCCACCAAUUUAGGGAGUAUUAUGAAGUUUUACUAAAUUAAUUGACACAAAAUUAAAAUGAUGCCCAUCUACCAUAAAAUAUAAAUUGAUAUACAUUAAUACAAAUGUAGAUUGUGUUUAGAAAUUUUAAAUCAACACUAAAGAUCAUAAGCUUCAGUAUAUAGAACAUUUACCGAAAAACUCAAUAUUUUCGUAGGGGUUGUUAACUCAUAGAUUUUGAGAAAAAUUCAAAAAUAUGAAAAUUAUGUUUUAAUGCAUAGUUGCAUCCUUUACUAACAUAUGAUGAAGGUCAAAGAGGUUUGAAACUUUUUUUGUCUCCGUUGCUGUAGAGAAUAACAAUUUUAUAGUGGUUAGUCCACCAAUUUAGUAAUAUUAUGAAAUUUUACUAAAUUAAUUGUCAAAAAAUUAUAACGAUGCCCAUGUACCAUGAAAGAGAGUUUAAUAUACAUUAAUACAAAUGUAGAAUGUGUUUAGAAAUUUUAAAACAACACUAAAGAUCAUAGGUUUCAGUAUAUAGAACAUUUACCGAAAAACUCAACAUUUUCGUAGGGGUUAACUCAUCGAUUUUGAGAAAAAUUGAAAAAUAUGAAAUUUUUUUUUUUAUUGCAUAGUUGCAUCCUUCACAAACAUAUGAUGAAGGUCAAAGAGGUUUGGAACUUUUGUUGUCUCCUUUGCUCUAGAGAAUAGCGAUUUUGUAGUGGUUAGUCCACCAAUUUAUGGAGUAUUAAGAAGUUUUACUAAAUUAAUUAUCAAAAUAUUAUAGCCAUGCCCAUGUAACAUGAAAGAGAGUUUAAUAUACAUUAAUACAAAUGUAGUAUUUUUUAUAAAUUUUAAAACAACACUAAAGAUCAUAGGCUUCAGUAUAUAGAACAUUUACCGAAAACCUCAAUAUUUUCGUAGGGGUUGUUAACUCAUAGAUUUUGAGAAAAAUUCAAAAAUAUGAAAAUUAUGUUUUAAUACAUAGUUGCAUCCUUUACUAACAUAUGAUGAAGGUCAAAGAGGUUUGAAACUUUUUUUGUCUCUGUUGCUGUAGAGAAUAACAAUUUUAUAGUGGUUAGUCCACCAAUUUAGUAGUAUUAUGAAAUUUUACUAAAUUAAUUGACAAAAAAUUAUAACGAUGCCCAUGUACCAUGAAAGAGAGUUUAAUAUACAUUAAUACAAAUGUAGAAUGUGUUUAGAAAUUUUAAAACAACACUAAAGAUCAUAGGCUUCAGUAUAUAGAACAUUUACCGAAAAACUCAAUAUUUUUGUAGGGGUUGUUAACUCAUAGAUUUUGAGAAAAAUUCAAAAAUGUGAAAAUUCUGCUUUAAUGCAUAGUUGCAUCCUUCACUAACAUACGAUGUUUGGAACUUUUUUUGUCUCCGUUGCUCUAGGGAAUAGCGAUUUUAUAGUGGUUAGUCCACAAAUUUAGUAGUAUUAUGAAAUUUUACUAAAUUAAUUGACAAAAUAUUAAAAUGAUGCCCAUCUACCAUGAAAGAGAGUUUAAUAUACAUUAAUAAAAAUUUAAAAUGUGUUUAGCAAUUUUAAAACAACACUAAAGAUCAUAAGCUUCAGUAUAUAGACCAUUUACCGAAAAACUCAAUAUUUUCAUAUGGGUGUUAACUCAUAGAUUUUAAGAAAAAUUCAAAAAUCUGAAAAUUCUGUUUUAAUGCAUAGUUGCAUCCUUCACUAACAUAUGAUGAAGGUCAAAGAGGUUUGGAGCUUUUUUUUGUCUCCUUUGCUCUAGAGAAUAGCAAUUUUAUAGUGGUUAGUCCCCCAAUUUAGGGAGUAUUAUGAUGUUUUACUAAAUUAAUUGACAAAAUAUUAUAGAGAUGCCCAUGUACCAUGAAAGAGAGUUUAAUAUACAUUAAUACAAAUGUAGAAUGUGUUUAGAAAUUUAAAAACAACACUAAAGUUCAUAGGCUUCAGUAUAUAGAACAUUUACAGAAAAACUCAAUAUUUUCAUAGGGUUAACUCAUAAAUUUUGAGAAAAAUUCAAAAAUAAGAAAAUUCUGUUUUAAUGAAUAGUUUCAUCUUUCACUAACAUAUGAUGAAGGUCAAAGAGGUUUGAAACUUUUGUUGUCUCCGUGGCUCUAGAGAACAGCAAUUUUAUAGUGAUUAGUCCACCAAUGAAGUAGUACUAUGGAAUUUUACAAAAUUAAUUGACAAAAUAUUAAAACAAUGUCCAUAUACCAUGAAAGAGAGUUUAAUAUACAUUAAUACAAAUGUAGAAUGUGUUUAAUUUUUUUUAAAGAAAAAUGAAAGAUCAUAAGCUUCAGUAUAUAGAUCAUUUACCGAAAAACUCAAUCUUUUCACAGAUUUUGAGAAAAAUUCAAAAUUAUCAAAAUUCUGUUUUAAUGCAUAGUUGUAUCCUUCACUAACAUAUGAUGAAGGUCAAAGAGUUUUGGAACUUUUUUUGGUCUCCGUUGCUGUAGAGAAUAGCAAUUUUAUAAUGGUUAGUCCACCAAUUUUGUAGUAUUAUGAAAUUUUACUAAAUUAAUUGACAAAAAAUUAUAACGAUGCCCAUGUACCAUGAAAGAGAGUUUAAUAUACAUUAAUACAAAUGUAGAAUGUGUUUAGAAAUUUUUAAAUCAACACUAAAGAUUAUAAGCUUCAGUAUAUAGAACAUUUACCGAAAAACUCAAUAUUUUCGUAGGGAUUGUUACCUCAUAGAUUUUGAGAAAAAUUCAAAAAUAUGAAAAUUAUGUUUUAAUGCAUAGUUGCAUCAUUUACUAACAUAUGAUGAAGGUCAAAGAGGUUUGGAACUUUUUUUUGUCUUCUUUGCUCUAGAGAAUAGCGAUUUUAUAGUGGUUAGUCCCCUAAUUUAGGGAGUAUUAUGAAGUUUUACUAAAUUAAUAAACAAAACAUUAUAGCGAUGCCCAUGUACUAUGAAAGAGAGUUUAAUAUACAUUAAUACAAAUGUAGAAUGCGUUUAGAAAUUUUAAAUCAACACUAAAGAUCAUAAGCUUCAGUAUAUAGAAUAUUUACCGAAAAACUCAAUAUUUUCGUAGUGGUUGUUAACUCAUAGAUCUUGAGAAAAAUUCAAAAAUAUGAAAAUUCAGUUUUAAUGUAUAGUUGCAUCAUUUACUAACAUAUGAUGAAGGACAAAGAGGUUUGAAACUCUUUUUGUCUCCUUUGCUCUAGAGAAUAGCGAUUUUAUAGUGGUUAGUCCACCAAUUUAGGGAGUAUUAUGAAGUUUUACUAAAUUAAUUUUCAAAACAUUAUAGCGAUGCCCAUGUACCAUGAAAGAGAGUUUAAUAUACAUUAAUACAAAUGUAGAAUGUGUUUAGAAAUUUUAAAACAACACUAAAGAUCAUAGGCUUCAGUAUAUAGAACAUUUACUGAAAAACUCAAUAUUUUCGUAGGGGUUAACUCAUAGAUUUUGAGAAAAAUUGAAAAAUAUGAAAAUUCUUUUUUUAAUGCAUAGUUGCGUCCUUUACGAACAUAUGAUGAAGGUCAGAGAGGUAUGGAACUUUUGUUGUCUCCGUUUCUCUAGAGAUUAGCGAUGUUUUAGUGGUUAGUCCACCAAUGAAGUAGUAUUAUUGAAUUUUACAAAAUUAAUUGACAAAAAAUAAAACAAUUCCCAUCUACCAUGAAAGAUAGUUUAAUAUACAUUAAUACAAAUAUAGAGUGUGUUUAAAAUUUUUUAAAAAACACUAAAGAUCAUAAGCUUCAUUAUAUUGAACAUUUACCGAAAAACUCAAUAUUUUCGUAGGGGUUAACUCAUAGAUUUUAAGAAUAAUUCAAAAAUAUGAAAAUUCUGUUUUAAUGCAUAGUUGCAUCCUUCACUAAUAUAUAAUGAAGUUCAAAGAGGUUUGGAAAUUUUUUUUUGUUUCCUUUGCUCUAGAGAAUAAUGUUUUUAUAGUGGUUAGUCCACCAAUUUAGGAAGUAUUAUGAAGUUUUACUAAAUUAAUUGACAAAAAAUGAAAAUGAUGCCCAUCUACCAUAAACUAUAAUUUGAUAUACAUUAAUACAAAUGUAGAAUGUGUUUAGAAAUUUGAAAACAACACUAACGAUCAUAAGCUUCAGUAUAUAGAACAUUUACCGAAAAACUCAAUAUUUUCGUAGGGGUUAACUUUUAGAUUUUGAGAAAAAAUCAAAAAUAUGAAAAUUCUGUUUUAAUGCAUAGUUGCAUCCUUCACUAACAUAUGAUGAAGGUCAGAGAGGUUUGGAACUUUUUUUGGUCUCCGUUGCUGUAGAGAAUAGCAAUUUUAUAGUGGUUAGUCCACCAAUUUAGUAGUAUUAUGAAAUUUUACUAAAUUAAUUGACAAACAAAUAUAACGAUGCCCAUGUUCCAUGAAAGAGAGUUUAAUAUACAUUAAUACAAAUGUAGAAUGUGUUUAAAAAUUUUAAAUCAACAGUAAAGAUCAUAAUUUUCAGUAUAUAGAACAUUUACCGAAAAACUCAAUAUUUUCGUAUGGGUUAACUCAUAGAUUUUGAGAAAAAUUCAAAAAUAUGAAAAUUCUGUUUAAAUGCAUAGUUGCAUCCUUCACUAAUAUAUGAUGAAGGUCAAAGAGGUAUGAAAUUUUUUUUUUUGUCUCCUUUGCUCUAGAGNNNNNNNNNNNNNNNNNNNNNNNNNNNNNNNNNNNNNNNNNNNNNNNNNNNNNNNNNNNNNNNNNNNNNNNNNNNNNNNNNNNNNNNNNNNNNNNNNNNNAAGCUUGAUUUGGAUCAUAAAGUGGUGGAGAAUCACCAGGAAGUUGAAUAUAUCUCAUAGGAGUUGGGAUGAAGAAGUUAUCCCACUUUCAAAUCAGGUGAUUCCAGUUUCCAGUUUGGGAAUAGGGCAGCUUCUUCGUCGUUCCAAUCAAAGCAGGAUGAAUCACUUUGUAAGAAGCUUGAUUUGGAUACAUAAAGUGGUGUAGAAUCACUCGGAAGUUGAAUAAAUUUCAUAGGAGCUGGGAUGAAGAAGUUAUCCCACUUUCAAAUCAGGUGAUUCCAGUUUCGCAGUUUGGGAAUAGGACAGCUUCUUCGUCGUUCCAAUCAAACCAGGAUGAAUCACUUUGUAAGAAUCUUGAUUUGGAUACAUAAAGUGGUGGAGAACCACCAGGAAGUUGAAUAAAUCACAUAGGAGCUGGGAUGAAGAAGUUAUCCCACUUUCAAAUCAGGUAUUUCCAGUUUCGCAGUUUGGGAAUAGGACAGCUUCUUAGUCGUUGCAAUCAAACCAGGAUGAAUAAGUUUGUAAGAAGCUUGAUUUGGAUACAUAAAGUGUUGGAGAAUUACCAGGAAGUUGAAUAAACCGCAUAGGAGUUGGGAUGAAGAAGUUAUCCCACUUUCAAAUCAGGUGAUUCCAGUUUUCUUUAAUUUGGGAAUAGGACAGCUUCUUCGUCGUUCCAAUCAAAGCAGGAUGAUCACUUUGUAAGAAGCUUGAUUUGGAUACAUAAAGUGUUGGAGAAUCACCAGAAGUUGAAUAAAUCUCAUAGGAGUUGGAUGAAGAAGUUAUCCCACUUUCAAAUCAGGUGAUUCCAGUUCCCAGUUUGGGAAUAGGCAGCUUCUUCGUCGUUCCAAUCAAACCAGGAUAAAUCACUUUUGUAAGAAGCUUGAUUUGGAUACAUAAAAAGUGUGGAGAAUCACCAGGAAGUUGAAAAAAUCUCAUAGGAGUUGGGAUGAAGAAGUUAUCCCACUUUCAAUUCAGGUGAUUCCAGAUUCCCUGUUUGGGAAUAGGACAGCUUCUUCGUCGUUCCAAUCAAACCAGGAUGAAUCACUUUGUAAGAAGCUUAAUUUGGAUACAUAAAGGGGUUGAGAAUCACAACGAAGUUGAAUAAAUCUCAUAGGAAUUGGGAUGAAGAAGUUUUCCCACUUUCAAUUCAGGUGAUUCCAGUUUCCGAGUUAGGGAAUAGGACAGCUUCUUCGUCGUUCCAAUCAAAGCAGGAUGAAUCACUUUGUAAGAAGCUUGAUUUGGAUACAUAAAGUGGUGGAGAAUCACCAGGAAGUUGAAUAAAUCUCAUAGGAGUUGGGAUGAAGAAGUUAUCCCACUUUCAAAUCAGGUGAUUCCAGUUUCCCAGUUAGGGAAUAGGACAGCUUCUUCGUCGUUCCAAUCAAACCAGGUUGAAUCACUUUGUAAGAAGUUUGAUUUGGAUACAUAAAGUGGUGUAAAAUCACCAAGAAGUUGAAUAAAUCUCAUAGGAGUUGGGAUGAAGAAGUUAUCCGACUUUUAAAUCAGGUGAUUCCAGUUUGCAGUUCGAAUAGGACAGCUUCUUCGUCGUUCCAAUCAAAGCAGGAUGAAUCACUUUUAAGAAGCUUGAUUUGGAUACAUAAAGUGGUGGAGAAUCACCAGGAAUUUAUAUAAAUCUUAUAGGAGUUGGGAUGAAUAAGUUAUCCCACUUUCAAAUCAGGUGAUUCCAGUUUCCCAGUUUGGGAAAUAGGACAGCUUCUUCGUCGUUCCAAUCAAAGCAGGAUGAAGCACUUUGUAAGAAGCUUGAUUUGGAUCAUAAAGUGGUGGAGAAUCACCAGGAAGUUGAAUAUAUCUCAUAGGAGUUGGGAUGAAGAAGUUAUCCACUUUUAAAUCAGGUGAUUCCAGUUUCCCAAUUAGGAAUAGGAAAGCUUCUUCGUCGUUCCAAUCAAAGCAGGAUGAAUCACUUGUAAGAAGCUUGAUUUGGAUACAUAAAGUGGUGGAGAAUCACCAGGAAGUUGAAUAAAUCUCAUAAGAGUUGGGAUGAAGAAGUUAUCCCACUUUCAAUCAGGUGAUUCCAGUUUCCCUGUUAGGGAAUAGGACAGCUUCUUGUCGUUCCAAUCAAACCAGGAUGAAACACUUUUGUAAGAAGCUUGAUUUGGAUACAUAAAGUGGUGUAGAAUCACCAGUAAGUUGAAUAAAUCUCAUAGGAGUUGGGAUGAAGAAGUUAUCCCACUUUUAAAUCAGGUGAUUCCAGUUUCGCAGUUCGGAAUAGGACAGCUUCUUCGUCGUUCCAAUCAAAGCAGGAUGAGUCACUUUUUAAGAAGUUUGAUUUGAAUACAUAAAGUGGUGGAAAAUCACCAAGAAGUUGAAUAAAUCUCAUAGGAGUUGGGAUGAAGAAGUUAUCCGACUUUUAAAUCAGGUGAUUCCAGUUUCCCAGUUAGGGAAUAGGAAAGCUUCUUCGUCGUUCCAAUCAAAGAAGGAUGAAGCACUUUGUAAGAAGCUUGAUUUGGAUACAUAAAGUUGUGGAGAAUCACCAGGAAGUUGAAUAUAUCUCAUAGGAGGUUGGAUGAAGAAGUUAUCCGACUUUUAAAUCAGGUGAUUCCAGUUUCCCAGUUAGGGAAUAGGAAAGCUUCUUCGUCGUUCCAAUCAAAGCAGGAUGAAUCACUUUGUGAGAAGCUUGAUUUGGAUACAUAAAGUGGUGGAGAAUCACCAGGAAGUUGAAUAAAUCUCAUAAGAGUUGGGAUGAAGAAGUUAUCCCACUUUCAAUUCAGGUGAUUCCAGUUUCCCAGUUAGGGAAUAGGACAGCUUCUUCGUCGUUCCAAUCAAACCAGGAUGAAUCACUUUGUAAGAAGCUUGAUUUGGAUACAUAAAGUGUUGUAGAAUCACCAGUAAGUUGAAUAAAUCUCAUAGGAGUUGGGAUGAAGAAGUUAUCCCGCUUUUAAAUCAGGUGAUUCCAGUUUUGCAGUUUGGGAAUAGGACAGCUUCUUCGUCGUUCCAAUCAAAGCAGGAUGAAUCACUUUGUAAGAAGCUUGAUUUGGAUACAUAAAGUGUUUGAGAAUCACCAGGACGUUGAAUAAAUCUCAUAGAAGUUGGGAUGAAUAAGUUGUCCCACUUUCAAAUCAGGUGAUUCCAGUUUCCCAGUUUGGGAAUAGGGCAGCUUCUUCGUCGUUCCAAUCAAAGCAGGAUGAAGGACUUUGUAAGAAUCUUUAUUUGGAUACAUAAAGUGUUGAGAAUCACCAGGAAGUUGAAUAAAUCUCAUAGGAGGUUGGAUGAAAAGUUAUCCCACUUUCAAAUCAGGUGAUUCCAGUUUCCCAGUUUGGGAAUAGGACAGCUUCUUCGUCGUCCAAUCAAACCAGGAUGAAUCACUUUGUAAGAAGCUUGAUUUGGAUACAUAAAGUGUUGAGAAUCACCAGGAAGUUGAAUAAAUCUCAUAGGAGUUGGGAUGAAGAAGUUAUCCCACUUUCAAAUUAGGUGAUUCCAGUUUCCCAGUGGGAAUAGGACAGCUUCUUCGUCGUUCCAAUCAAACCAGGAUGAAUCACUUUGUAAGAAGCUUGAUUUGGAUACAUAACGUGGUGAGAAUCACCAGGAAGUUAAUAAAUCUCAUAAGAGUUGGGAUGAAGAAGUUAUCCCACUUUCAAAUCAGUGAUUCAAGUUUCCCUGUUAGGGAAUAGGACAGCUUCUUCGUCGUUCCAAACAAAGAAGGAUGAAGACUUUGUAAGAAGCUUGAUUUGGAUACAUAAAGUGGUGGAGAAUCACCAGAAGUUGAAUAAAUCUCAUAGGAGUUAGGAUGAAGAAGUUAUCCCACUUUUAAAUCAGGUGAUUCCAGUUUCCCAGUUAGGGAAUAGGACAGCUUCUUCGUCGUUCCAUUCAAACCAGGAUGAAUCACUUUGUAAGAAGCUUGAUUUGGAUACAUAAAGUGUGUGUAGAAUCACAGUAAGUUAAAUAAAUCUCAUAGGAGUGGAAUGAAGAAGUUAUCCCACUUUUAAAUCAGGUGAUUCCAGUUUUGCCCAGUUUGGAAUAGGACAGCUUCUUCGUCGUUCCAAUCAAAGCAGGAUGAAUCACUUUUUAAGAAGCUUGAUUUGGAUACAUAAAGUGGUGGAGAAUCACCCAGAAUUUAUAUAAAUCUUAUAGGAGUUGGGAUGAAUAAGUUACCCACUUUCAAAUCAGGUGAUUCCGGUUUCCCAAUUUGGGAAUAGGACAGCUUCUUCGUCGUUCCAAUCAAAGCAGGAUGAAGCACUUUGUAAGAAGCUUGAUUUAGAUUCAUAAAGUGGUGGAGAAUCACCAGGAAGUUGAAUAUAUCUCAUAGGAGUUGGGAUGAAGAAGUUAUCCCACUUUUAAAUCAGGUGAUUCCAGUUUCCCAAUUAGAGAAUAGGAAAGCUUCUUCGUCGUUCCAAUCAAAGCAGGAUGAAUCACUUUGUGAGAAGCUUGAUUUGGAUACAUAAAGUGGUGGAGAAUCAACAGGAAGUUGAAUAAAUCUCAUAAGAGUUGGGAUGAAGAAGUUAUCUCACUUUCAAUUCAGGUGACUCCAGUUUCCCUGUUAGGGAAUAUGACAGCUUCUUUGUCGUUCCAAUCAAACCAGGAUGAAACACUUUGUAAGAAGCUUGAUUUGGAUACAUAAAGUGGUGUAGAAUCACCAGUAAGUUUAAUAAAUCUCAUAGGAGUUGGGAUGAAGAAGUUAUCCCACUUUUAAAUCAGGUGAUUCCAGUUUCGCAGUUUCGGAAUAGGACAGCUUCUUCCUCGUUCCAAUCAAAGCAGGAUGAGUCACUUUUUAAGAAGCUUGAUUUGGAUACAUAAAGUGGUGGAGAAUCACCAGGAAUUUAUAUAAAUCUUAUAGGAGUUGGGAUGAAUAAAUUAUCCCACUUUCAAAUCAGGUGAUUCCAGUUUCCCAGUUUGGGAAUAGGACAACUUCUUCGUCGUUCCAAUCAAAGCAGGAUGAAGCACUUUGUAAGAAGCUUGAUUUGGAUUCAUAAAGUGGUGGAGAAUCACCAGGAAGUUGAAUAUAUCUCAUAGGAGUUGGGAUGAAGAAGUUAUCCCUCUUUUAAAUCAGGUGAUUCCAGUUUCCCAGUUAGGGAAUAGGGAAGCUUCUUCGUCGUUCCUAUCAAACCAGGAUGAAUCACUUUGUGAGAAGCUUGAUUUGGAUACAUAAAAUGGUGGAGAAUCACCAGGAAGUUGAAUAAAUCUCAUAAGAGUUGGGAUGAAGAAGUUAUCCCACUUUCAAUUCAUGUGAUUCCAGUUUCCCUGUUAGGGAAUAGGACAGCUUCUUUGUCGUUCCAAUCAAACCAGGAUGAAUCACUUUGUAAGAAGCUUGAUUUGGAUGCAUAAAGUGGUGUAGAAUCACCAGUAAGUUGAAUAAAUCUCAUAGGAGUUGGGAUGAAGAAGUUAUCCCACUUUUAAAUCAGGUAAUUCCAGUUUCGCAGUUUCGGAAUAGGAUAUCUUCUUCGUCGUUCCAAUCAAGGCAGGAUGAAUUACUUUCUAAGAAGCUUGAUUUGGAUACAUAAAGUGUUUGAGAAUCACCAGGACGUUGAAUAAAUCUCAUAGGAGGUUGGAUGAAGAAGUUUUCCCACUUUCAAAUCAGGUGGGUUUUCCGGUUUGGGAAUAGGGCAGCUUCUUCGUCGUUCCAAUCAAAGCAGGAUGAAGGACUUUGUAAGAAGCUUGAUUUGGAUACAUAGAGUGUUGUAGAAUCACCAAGAAGUUGAAUAAAUCUCAUAGGAGAUUGGAUGAAAAAGUUAUCCCACUUCCAAAUCAGGUGAUUCCAGUUCCCAGUUUGGGAAUAGGACAGCUUCUUCGUCGUCCAAUCAAACCAGGAUAAAUCAAUUUGUAAGAAGCUUGAUUUGGAUACAUAAAGUGUUCGAGAAUCACCAGGAAGUUGAAUAAAUCUCAUAGGAGUUGGGAUGAAGAAGUUAUCCCACUUUCAAAUUAGGUGAUUCCAGUUUCCCAGUUAAGGAAUAGGACAGCUUCUUCGUCGUUCCAAUCAAACCAGGAUGAAUCACUUUGUAAGAAGCUUGAUUUGGAUACAUAACGUGGUGGAGAAUCACCAGGAAGUUAAAUAAACCUCAUAGGAGUUAGGAUGAAGAAGUUAUCCCACUUUCCAUCAGGUGAUUCAAGUUUCCCUGUUAGGGAAUAGGACAGCUUCUUCGUCGUUCCAAACAAAGAAGGAUGAAGCACUUUGUAAGAAGCUUGAUUUGGAUACAUAAAGUGGUGGAGAAUCACCAGUAAGUUGAAUAAAUCUCAUAGGAGUUAGGAUGAAGAAGUUAUCCCACUUUUAAAUCAGGUGAUUCCAGUUUCACAGUUACGGAAUAGGACAGCUUCUUCGUCGUUCCAUUCAAACCAGGAUGGAUCACUUUGUAAGAAGCUUGAUUUGGAUACAUAAAGUGGUGUAGAAUCACCAGUAAGUUAAAUAAAUCUCAUAGGAGUUGGAAUGAAGAAGUUAUCCCACUUUUAAAUCAGGUGAUUCCAGUUUUGCAGUUUCGGAAUAGGACAGCUUCUUCGUCGUUCCAAUCAAAGCAGGAUGAAUCACUUUUUAAGAAGCUUGAUUUGGAUACAUAAAGUGGUGGAGAAUCACCCGGAAUUUAUAUAAAUCUUAUAGGAGUUGGGAUGAAUAAGUUAUCCCACUUUCAAAUCAGGUGAUUCCGGUUUCCCAAUUUGGGAAUAGGACAGCUUCUUCGUCGUUCCAAUCAAAGCAGGAUGAAGAACUUUGUAAGAAGCUUGGUUUAGAUUCAUAAAGUGGUGGAGAAUCACCAGGAAGUUGAAUAUAUCUCAUAGGAGUUGGGAUGAAGAAGUUAUCCCACUUUUAAAUCAGGUGAUUCCAGUUUCCCAAUUAAGGAAUAGGAAAGCUUCUUCGUCGUUCCAAUCAAAGCAGGAUGAAUCACUUUGUGAGAAGCUUGAUUUGGAUACAUAAAGUGGUGGAGAAUCAACAGGAAGUUGAAUAAAUCUCAUAAGAGUUGGGAUGAAGAAGUUAUCCCACUUUCAAUUCAGGUGAUUUCAGUUUCCCUGUUAGGGAAUAGGACAGCUUCUUUGUCGUUCCAAUCAAACCAGGAUGAAACACUUUGUAAGAAGCUUGAUUUGGAUACAUAAAGUGGUGUAGAAUCACCAGUAAGUUGAAUAAAUCUCAUAGGAGUUGGGAUGAAGAAGUUAUCCCACUUUUAAAUCAGGUGAUUCCAGUUUCGCAGUUUCGGAAUAGGACACUUCUUCGUCGUUCCAAUCAAAGCAGGAUGAGUCACUUUUUAAGAAGCUUGAUUUGGAUACAUAAAGUGGUGGAGAAUCACCAGAAAUUUAUAUAAAUCUUAUAGGAGUUGGGAUGAAUAAAUUAUCCCAUUUUCAAAUCAGGUGAUUCCAGUUUCCCAGUUUGGGAAUAGGACAGCUUCUUCGUCGUUCCAAUCAAAGCAGGAUGAAGCACUUUGUAAGAAGCUUGAUUUGGAUUCAUAAAGUGGUGGAGAAUCACCAGGAAGUUGAAUAUAUCUCAUAGGAGUUGGGAUGAAGAAGUUAUCCCUCUCUUAAAUCAGGUGAUUCCAGUUUCCUAGUUAGGGAAUAGGAAAGCUUCUUCGUCGUUCCUAUCAAACCAGGAUGAAUCACUUUGUUAGAAGCUUGAUUUGGAUACAUAAAAUGGUGGAGAAUCACCAAGAAGUUGAAUAAAUCUCAUAAGAGUUGGGAUGAAGAAGUUAUCCCACUUUCAAUUCAGGUUAUUCCAGUUUCCCUGUUAGGGAAUAGGACAGCUUCUUUGUCGUUCCAAUCAAACCAGGAUGAAUCACUUUGUAAGAAGCUUGAUUUGGAUGCAUAAAGUGGUGUAGAAUCACCAGUAAGUUGAAUAAAUAUCAUAGGAGUUGGGAUGAAGAAGUUAUCCCACUUUUAAAUCAGGUAAUUCCAGUUUCGCAGUUUCGGAAUAGGAUAUCUUCUUCGUCGUUCCAAUCAAGGCAGGAUGAAUUACUUUCUAAGAAGCUUGAUUUGGAUACAUAAAGUGUUUGAGAAUCACCAGGACGUUGAAUAAAUCUCAUAGGAGGUUGGAUGAAGAAGUUUUCCCACUUUCAAAUCAGGUGGGUUUUCCGGUUUGGGAAUAGGGCAGCUUCUUCGUCGUUCCAAUCAAAGCAGGAUGAAGGACUUUGUAAGAAGCUUGAUUUGGAUACAUAGAGUGUUGUAGAAUCACCAGGAAGUUGAAUAAAUCUCAUAGGAGGUUGGAUGAAAAAGUUAUCCCACUUCCAAAUCAGGUGAUUCCAGUUCCCAGUUUGGGAAUAGGACAGCUUUUUCGUCGUCCAAUCAAACCAGGAUAAAUCAAUUUGUAAGAAGCUUGAUUUGGAUACAUAAAGUGUUCGAGAAUCACCAGGAAGUUGAAUAAAUCUCAUAGGAGUUGGGCUGAAGAAGUUAUCCGACUUUCAAAUUAGGUGAUUCCAGUUUCCCAGAUAAGGAAUAGGACAUCUUCUUCUUCGUUCCAAUCAAACCAGGAUGAAUCACUUUGUAAGAAGCUUGAUUUGGAUACAUAACGUGGUGGAGAAUAUACCAGGAAGUUAAAUAAAUCUCAUAAGAGUUGGGAUGAAGAAGUUAUCCCACUUUCAAUUCAGGUGAUUCAAGUUUCCCUGUUAGGGAAUAGGACAGCUUCUUCGUCGUUCCAAACAAAGAAGGAUGAAGCACUUUGUAAGAAGCUUGAUUUGGAUACAUAAAGUGGUGGAGAAUCACCAGUAAGUUAAUAAAUCUCAUAGGAGUUAGGAUGAAGAAGUUAUCCCACUUUUAAAUCAGGUGAUUCCAGUUUCACAGUUAGGGAAUAGGACAGCUUCUUCGUCGUUCCAUUCAAACCAGGAUGAAUCACUUUGUAAGAAGCUUGAUUUGGAUACAUAAAGUGGUGUAGAAUCACCAGUAAGUUAAAUAAAUCUCAUAGGAGUUGGAAUGAAGAAGUUAUCCCACUUUUAAAUCAGGUGAUUCCAGUUUUGCAGUUUCGGAAUAGGACAGCUUCUUCGUCGUUCCAAUCAAAGCAGGAUGAAUCACUUUUUAAGAAGCUUGAUUUGGAUACAUAAAGUGGUGGAGAAUCACCCGGAAUUUAUAUAAAUCUUAUAGGAGUUGGGAUGAAUAAGUUAUCCCACUUUCAAAUCAGGUGAUUCCGGUUUCCCAAUUUGGGAAUAGGACAGCUUCUUCGUCGUUCCAAUCAAAGCAGGAUGAAGAACUUUGUAAGAAGCUUGGUUUAGAUUCAUAAAGUGGUGGAGAAUCACCAGGAAGUUGAAUAUAUCUCAUAGGAGUUGGGAUGAAGAAGUUAUCCCACUUUUAAAUCAGGUGAUUCCAGUUUCCCAAUUAAGGAAUAGGAAAGCUUCUUCGUCGUUCCAAUCAAAGCAGGAUGAAUCACUUUGUGAGAAGCUUGAUUUGGAUACAUAAAGUGGUGGAGAAUCAACAGGAAGUUGAAUAAAUCUCAUAAGAGUUGGGAUGAAGAAGUUAUCCCACUUUCAAUUCAGGUGAUUUCAGUUUCCCUGUUAGGGAAUAGGACAGCUUCUUUGUCGUUCCAAUCAAACCAGGAUGAAACACUUUGUAAGAAGCUUGAUUUGGAUACAUAAAGUGGUGUAGAAUCACCAGUAAGUUGAAUAAAUCUCAUAGGAGUUGGGAUGAAGAAGUUAUCCCACUUUUAAAUCAGGUGAUUCCAGUUUCGCAGUUUCGGAAUAGGACAACUUCUUCGUCGUUCCAAUCAAAGCAGGAUGAGUCACUUUUUAAGAAGCUUGAUUUGGAUACAUAAAGUGGUGGAGAAUCACCAGAAAUUUAUAUAAAUCUUAUAGGAGUUGGGAUGAAUAAAUUAUCCCAUUUUCAAAUCAGGUGAUUCCAGUUUCCCAGUUUGGGAAUAGGACAGCUUCUUCGUCGUUCCAAUCAAAGCAGGAUGAAGCACUUUGUAAGAAGCUUGAUUUGGAUUCAUAAAGUGGUGGAGAAUCACCAGGAAGUUGAAUAUAUCUCAUAGGAGUUGGGAUGAAGAAGUUAUCCCUCUCUUAAAUCAGGUGAUUCCAGUUUCCUAGUUAGGGAAUAGGAAAGCUUCUUCGUCGUUCCUAUCAAACCAGGAUGAAUCACUUUGUUAGAAGCUUGAUUUGGAUACAUAAAAUGGUGGAGAAUCACCAAGAAGUUGAAUAAAUCUCAUAAGAGUUGGGAUGAAGAAGUUAUCCCACUUUCAAUUCAGGUUAUUCCAGUUUCCCUGUUAGGGAAUAGGACAGCUUCUUUGUCGUUCCAAUCAAACCAGGAUGAAUCACUUUGUAAGAAGCUUGAUUUGGAUGCAUAAAGUGGUGUAGAAUCACCAGUAAGUUGAAUAAAUAUCAUAGGAGUUGGGAUGAAGAAGUUAUCCCACUUUUAAAUCAGGUAAUUCCAGUUUCGCAGUUUCGGAAUAGGAUAUCUUCUUCGUCGUUCCAAUCAAGGCAGGAUGAAUUACUUUCUAAGAAGCUUGAUUUGGAUACAUAAAGUGUUUGAGAAUCACCAGGACGUUGAAUAAAUCUCAUAGGAGGUUGGAUGAAGAAGUUUUCCCACUUUCAAAUCAGGUGGGUUUUCCGGUUUGGGAAUAGGGCAGCUUCUUCGUCGUUCCAAUCAAAGCAGGAUGAAGGACUUUGUAAGAAGCUUGAUUUGGAUACAUAGAGUGUUGUAGAAUCACCAGGAAGUUGAAUAAAUCUCAUAGGAGGUUGGAUGAAAAAGUUAUCCCACUUCCAAAUCAGGUGAUUCCAGUUCCCAGUUUGGGAAUAGGACAGCUUUUUCGUCGUCCAAUCAAACCAGGAUAAAUCAAUUUGUAAGAAGCUUGAUUUGGAUACAUAAAGUGUUCGAGAAUCACCAGGAAGUUGAAUAAAUCUCAUAGGAGUUGGGCUGAAGAAGUUAUCCGACUUUCAAAUUAGGUGAUUCCAGUUUCCCAGAUAAGGAAUAGGACAUCUUCUUCUUCGUUCCAAUCAAACCAGGAUGAAUCACUUUGUAAGAAGCUUGAUUUGGAUACAUAACGUGGUGGAGAAUAUACCAGGAAGUUAAAUAAAUCUCAUAAGAGUUGGGAUGAAGAAGUUAUCCCACUUUCAAUUCAGGUGAUUCAAGUUUCCCUGUUAGGGAAUAGGACAGCUUCUUCGUCGUUCCAAACAAAGAAGGAUGAAGCACUUUGUAAGAAGCUUGAUUUGGAUACAUAAAGUGGUGGAGAAUCACCAGUAAGUUUAAUAAAUCUCAUAGGAGUUAGGAUGAAGAAGUUAUCCCACUUUUAAAUCAGGUGAUUCCAGUUUCACAGUUAGGGAAUAGGACAGCUUCUUCGUCGUUCCAUUCAAACCAGGAUGAAUCACUUUGUAAGAAGCUUGAUUUGGAUACAUAAAGUGGUGUAGAAUCACCAGUAAGUUAAAUAAAUCUCAUAGGAGUUGGAAUGAAGAAGUUAUCCCACUUUUAAAUCAGGUGAUUCCAGUUUUGCAGUUUCGGAAUAGGACAGCUUCUUCGUCGUUCCAAUCAAAGCAGGAUGAAUCACUUUUUAAGAAGCUUGAUUUGGAUACAUAAAGUGGUGGAGAAUCACCCAGAAUUUAUAUAAAUCUUAUAGGAGUUGGGAUGAAUAAGUUAUCCCACUUUCAAAUCAGGUGAUUCCGGUUUCCCAAUUUGGGAAUAGGACAGCUUCUUCGUCGUUCCAAUCAAAGCAGGAUGAAGCACUUUGUAAGAAGCUUGAUUUGGAUUCAUAAAGUGGUGGAGAAUCACCAGGAAGUUGAAUAUAUCUCAUAGGAGUUGGGAUGAAGAAGUUAUCCCUCUUUUAAAUCAGGUGAUUCCAGUUUCCCAGUUAGGGAAUAGGAAAGUUUCUUCGUCGUUCCUAUCAAACCAGGAUGAAUCACUUUGUGAGAAGCUUGAUUUGGAUACAUAAAAUGGUGGAGAAUCACCAGGAAGUUGAAUAAAUCUCAUAAGAGUUGGGAUGAAGAAGUUAUCCCACUUUCAAUUCAUGUGAUUCCAGUUUCCCUGUUAGGGAAUAGGACAGCUUCUUUGUCGUUCCAAUCAAACCAGGAUGAAUCACUUUGUAAGAAGCUUGAUUUGGAUGCAUAAAGUGGUGUAGAAUCACCAGUAAGUUGAAUAAAUCUCAUAGGAGUUGGGAUGAAGAAGUUAUCCCACUUUUAAAUCAGGUAAUUCCAGUUUCGCAGUUUCGGAAUAGGAUAUCUUCUUCGUCGUUCCAAUCAAGGCAGGAUGAAUUACUUUCUAAGAAGCUUGAUUUGGAUACAUAAAGUGUUUGAGAAUCACCAGGACGUUGAAUAAAUCUCAUAGGAGGUUGGAUGAAGAAGUUUUCCCACUUUCAAAUCAGGUGGGUUUUCCGGUUUGGGAAUAGGGCAGCUUCUUCGUCGUUCCAAUCAAAGCAGGAUGAAGGACUUUGUAAGAAGCUUGAUUUGGAUACAUAGAGUGUUGUAGAAUCACCAAGAAGUUGAAUAAAUCUCAUAGGAGAUUGGAUGAAAAAGUUAUCCCACUUCCAAAUCAGGUGAUUCCAGUUCCCAGUUUGGGAAUAGGACAGCUUCUUCGUCGUCCAAUCAAACCAGGAUAAAUCAAUUUGUAAGAAGCUUGAUUUGGAUACAUAAAGUGUUCGAGAAUCACCAGGAAGUUGAAUAAAUCUCAUAGGAGUUGGGAUGAAGAAGUUAUCCCACUUUCAAAUUAGGUGAUUCCAGUUUCCCAGUUAAGGAAUAGGACAGCUUCUUCGUCGUUCCAAUCAAACCAGGAUGAAUCACUUUGUAAGAAGCUUGAUUUGGAUACAUAACGUGGUGGAGAAUCACCAGGAAGUUAAAUAAACCUCAUAGGAGUUAGGAUGAAGAAGUUAUCCCACUUUCCAUCAGGUGAUUCAAGUUUCCCUGUUAGGGAAUAGGACAGCUUCUUCGUCGUUCCAAACAAAGAAGGAUGAAGCACUUUGUAAGAAGCUUGAUUUGGAUACAUAAAGUGGUGGAGAAUCACCAGUAAGUUGAAUAAAUCUCAUAGGAGUUAGGAUGAAGAAGUUAUCCUACUUUUAAAUCAGGUGAUUCCAGUUUCACAGUUACGGAAUAGGACAGCUUCUUCGUCGUUCCAUUCAAACCAGGAUGGAUCACUUUGUAAGAAGCUUGAUUUGGAUACAUAAAGUGGUGUAGAAUCACCAGUAAGUUAAAUAAAUCUCAUAGGAGUUGGAAUGAAGAAGUUAUCCCACUUUUAAAUCAGGUGAUUCCAGUUUUGCAGUUUCGGAAUAGGACAGCUUCUUCGUCGUUCCAAUCAAAGCAGGAUGAAUCACUUUUUAAGAAGCUUGAUUUGGAUACAUAAAGUGGUGGAGAAUCACCCGGAAUUUAUAUAAAUCUUAUAGGAGUUGGGAUGAAUAAGUUAUCCCACUUUCAAAUCAGGUGAUUCCGGUUUCCCAAUUUGGGAAUAGGACAGCUUCUUCAUCGUUCCAAUCAAAGCAGGAUGAAGAACUUUGUAAGAAGCUUGGUUUAGAUUCAUAAAGUGGUGGAGAAUCACCAGGAAGUUGAAUAUAUCUCAUAGGAGUUGGGAUGAAGAAGUUAUCCCACUUUUAAAUCAGGUGAUUCCAGUUUCCCAAUUAAGGAAUAGGAAAGCUUCUUCUUCGUUCCAAUCAAAGCAGGAUGAAUCACUUUGUGAGAAGCUUGAUUUGGAUACAUAAAGUGGUGGAGAAUCAACAGGAAGUUGAAUAAAUCUCAUAAGAGUUGGGAUGAAGAAGUUAUCCCACUUUCAAUUCAGGUGAUUCCAGUUUCCCUGUUAGGGAAUAGGACAGCUUCUUUGUCGUUCCAAUCAAACCAGGAUGAAACACUUUGUAAGAAGCUUGAUUUGGAUACAUAAAGUGGUGUAGAAUCACCAGUAAGUUGAAUAAAUCUCAUAGGAGUUGGGAUGAAGAAGUUAUCCCACUUUUAAAUCAGGUGAUUCCAGUUUCGCAGUUUCGGAAUAGGACAACUUCUUCGUCGUUCCAAUCAAAGCAGGAUGAGUCACUUUUUAAGAAGCUUGAUUUGGAUACAUAAAGUGGUGGAGAAUCACCAGAAAUUUAUAUAAAUCUUAUAGGAGUUGGGAUGAAUAAAUUAUCCCAUUUUCAAAUCAGGUGAUUCCAGUUUCCCAGUUUGGGAAUAGGACAGCUUCUUCGUCGUUCCAAUCAAAGCAGGAUGAAGCACUUUGUAAGAAGCUUGAUUUGGAUUCAUAAAGUGGUGGAGAAUCACCAGGAAGUUGAAUAUAUCUCAUAGGAGUUGGGAUGAAGAAGUUAUCCCUCUCUUAAAUCAGGUGAUUCCAGUUUCCUAGUUAGGGAAUAGGAAAGCUUCUUCGUCGUUCCUAUCAAACCAGGAUGAAUCACUUUGUUAGAAGCUUGAUUUGGAUACAUAAAAUGGUGGAGAAUCACCAAGAAGUUGAAUAAAUCUCAUAAGAGUUGGGAUGAAGAAGUUAUCCCACUUUCAAUUCAGGUUAUUCCAGUUUCCCUGUUAGGGAAUAGGACAGCUUCUUUGUCGUUCCAAUCAAACCAGGAUGAAUCACUUUGUAAGAAGCUUGAUUUGGAUGCAUAAAGUGGUGUAGAAUAACCAGUAAGUUGAAUAAAUAUCAUAGGAGUUGGGAUGAAGAAGUUAUCCCACUUUUAAAUCAGGUAAUUCCAGUUUCGCAGUUUCGGAAUAGGAUAUCUUCUUCGUCGUUCCAAUCAAGGCAGGAUGAAUUACUUUCUAAGAAGCUUGAUUUGGAUACAUAAAGUGUUUGAGAAUCACCAGGACGUUGAAUAAAUCUCAUAGGAGGUUGGAUGAAGAAGUUUUCCCACUUUCAAAUCAGGUGGGUUUUCCGGUUUGGGAAUAGGGCAGCUUCUUCGUCGUUCCAAUCAAAGCAGGAUGAAGGACUUUGUAAGAAGCUUGAUUUGGAUACAUAGAGUGUUGUAGAAUCACCAGGAAGUUGAAUAAAUCUCAUAGGAGGUUGGAUGAAAAAGUUAUCCCACUUCCAAAUCAGGUGAUUCCAGUUCCCAGUUUGGGAAUAGGACAGCUUUUUCGUCGUCCAAUCAAACCAGGAUAAAUCAAUUUGUAAGAAGCUUGAUUUGGAUACAUAAAGUGUUCGAGAAUCACCAGGAAGUUGAAUAAAUCUCAUAGGAGUUGGGCUGAAGAAGUUAUCCGACUUUCAAAUUAGGUGAUUCCAGUUUCCCAGAUAAGGAAUAUGACAUCUUCUUCGUCGUUCCAAUCAAACCAGGAUGAAUCACUUUGUAAGAAGCUUGAUUUGGAUACAUAACGUGGUGGAGAAUAUACCAGGAAGUUAAAUAAAUCUCAUAAGAGUUGGGAUGAAGAAGUUAUCCCACUUUCAAUUCAGGUGAUUCAAGUUUCCCUGUUAGGGAAUAGGACAGCUUCUUCGUCGUUCCAAACAAAGAAGGAUGAAGCACUUUGUAAGAAGCUUGAUUUGGAUACAUAAAGUGGUGGAGAAUCACCAGUAAGUUGAAUAAAUCUCAUAGGAGUUAGGAUGAAGAAGUUAUCCCACUUUUAAAUCAGGUGAUUCCAGUUUCACAGUUAGGGAAUAGGACAGCUUCUUCGUCGUUCCAUUCAAACCAGGAUGAAUCACUUUGUAAGAAGCUUGAUUUGGAUACAUAAAGUGGUGGAGAAUCACCAGUAAGUUGAAUAAAUCUCAUAGGAGUUAGGAUGAAGAAGUUAUCCCACUUUUAAAUCAGGUGAUUCCAGUUUCACAGUUAGGGAAUAUGACAGCUUCUUCGUCGUUCCAUUCAAACCAGGAUGAAUCACUUUGUAAGAAGCUUGAUUUGGAUACAUAAAGUGGUGUAGAAUCACCAGGAAGUUGAAUAUAUCUCAUAGGAGUUGGGAUGAAGAAGUUAUCCCACUUUUAAAUCAGGUGAUUCCAGUUUCCCAAUUAGGGAAUAGGAAAGCUUCUUCGUCGUUCCAAUCAAAGCAGGAUGAAUCACUUUGUGAGAAGCUUGAUUUGGAUACAUAAAGUGGUGGAGAAUCAACAGGAAGUUGAAUAAAUUUUAUAAGAGUUGGGAUGAAGAAGUUAUCCCACUUUCAAUUCAGGUGAUUCAAGUUUCCCUGUUAGGGAAUAGGACAACUUCUUUGUCGUUCCAAUCAAACCAGGAUGAAACACUUUGUAAGAAGCUUUAUUUGGAUACAUAAAGUGGUGUAGAAUCACCAGUAAGUUGAAUAAAUCUCAUAGGAGUUGGGAUGAAGAAGUUAUCCCACUUUUAAAUCAGGUGAUUCCAGUUUCGCAGUUUCGGAAUAGGACAGCUUCUUCGUCGUUCCAAUCAAAGCAGGAUGAGUCACUUUUUAAGAAGCUUGAUUUGGAUACAUAAAGUGGUGGAGAAUCACCAGGAAUUUAUAUAAAUCUUAUAGGAGUUGGGAUGAAUAAAUUAUCCCACUUUCAAAUCAGGUGAUUCCAGUUUCCCAGUUUGGGAAUAGGACAGCUUCUUCGUCGUUCCAAUCAAAGCAGGAUGAAGCACUUUGUAAGAAGCUUGAUUUGGAUUCAUAAAGUGGUGGAGAAUCACCAGGAAGUUGAAUAUAUCUCAUAGGAGUUGGGAUGAAGAAGUUAUCCCUCUUUUAAAUCAGGUGAUUCCAGUUUCCCAGUUAGGGAAUAGGAAAGCUUCUUCGUCGUUCCUAUCAAACCAGGAUGAAUCACUUUGUGAGAAGCUUGAUUUGGAUACAUAAAAUGGUGGAGAAUCACCAGGAAGUUGAAUAAAUCUCAUAAGAGUUGGGAUGAAGAAGUUAUCCCACUUUCAAUUCAUGUGAUUCCAGUUUCCCUGUUAGGGAAUAGGACAGCUUCUUUGUCGUUCCAAUCAAACCAGGAUGAAUCACUUUGUAAGAAGCUUGAUUUGGAUGCAUAAAGUGGUGUAGAAUCACCAGUAAGUUGAAUAAAUCUCAUAGGAGUUGGGAUGAAGAAGUUAUCCCACUUUUAAAUCAGGUAAUUCCAGUUUCGCAGUUUCGGAAUAGGAUAUCUUCUUCGUCGUUCCAAUCAAGGCAGGAUGAAUUACUUUCUAAGAAGCUUGAUUUGGAUACAUAAAGUGUUUGAGAAUCACCAGGACGUUGAAUAAAUCUCAUAGGAGGUUGGAUGAAGAAGUUUUCCCACUUUCAAAUCAGGUGGGUUUUCCGGUUUGGGAAUAGGGCUGCUUCUUCGUCGUUCCAAUCAAAGCAGGAUGAAGGACUUUGUAAGAAGCUUGAUUUGGAUACAUAGAGUGUUGUAGAAUCACCAAGAAGUUGAAUAAAUCUCAUAGGAGAUUGGAUGAAAAAGUUAUCCCACUUCCAAAUCAGGUGAUUCCAGUUCCCAGUUUGGGAAUAGGACAGCUUCUUCGUCGUCCAAUCAAACCAGGAUAAAUCAAUUUGUAAGAAGCUUGAUUUGGAUACAUAAAGUGUUCGAGAAUCAGCAGGAAGUUGAAUAAAUCUCAUAGGAGUUGGGAUGAAGAAGUUAUCCCACUUUCAAAUUAGGUGAUUCCAGUUUCCCAGUUAAGGAAUAGGACAGCUUCUUCGUCGUUCCAAUCAAACCAGGAUGAAUCACUUUGUAAGAAGCUUGAUUUGGAUACAUAACGUGGUGGAGAAUCACCAGGAAGUUAAAUAAACCUCAUAGGAGUUAGGAUGAAGAAGUUAUCCCACUUUCCAUCAGGUGAUUCAAGUUUCCCUGUUAGGGAAUAGGACAGCUUCUUCGUCGUUCCAAACAAAGAAGGAUGAAGCACUUUGUAAGAAGCUUGAUUUGGAUACAUAAAGUGGUGUAGAAUCACCUGUAAGUUGAAUAAAUCUCAUAGGAGUUGGGAUGAAGAAGUUAUCCCACUUUCAAAUCAGGUGAUUCCAGUUUCCCAGUUUCGGAAUAGGACAGCUUCUUCGUCGUUCCAAUCAAAGCAGGAUGAAUCACUUUGUCAGAAGCUUGAUUUGGAUACAUAAAGUUGUGAAGAAUCACCAGGAAUUUGAAUAAAUCUCAUAGGAGGUUGGAUGAAGAAGUUAUCCCACUUUCAAAUCAGGUGAUUCCACUUUCCCAGUUAGGGAAUAGGAUAGCUUCUUCGUCGUUCCAAUCAAACCAAGAUCAAUCACUUUGUAAGAAGCUUGAUUUGGAUAGAUAAAGUGGUGUAGAAUCACCAGGAUGUUGAAUAAAUCUCAUAGGAGUUGGGAUGAAGAAGUUAUCCCACUUUUAAGUCAGGUGAUUCCAGUUUUGCAGUUUCAGAAUAGGACAGCUUCUUCGUUGUUCCAAUCAAACCAAGUAAAAAUCUUCAUAGUACCGAAUAUGGAAGACUUCCAUCUACUCUAACCGACAAGAACCGACAUAUAGACGACUAUAUAAAGGGAACCGAAACCCUAGAUUAAGGGAUUAACACUUUUAGACUUAGAGAUUAUACUUAGACGGCUAGGGUUAGGGUUCAUACCAAAAAUACUUGUAAUCCUUGCUUGUCCUUGCUUGUCUACUCAAUAAAGAUCUCUUCAAGUCUCUUACUCUCUAAUCUCUCAUAAAUGAUAUCACUCAAAUUACCCUAAGGAGUGAAUUACUCUCUCAAAUAAGAGGUUCAGAUGUAGAACUUAGGAAUCAGAUCCACAAAGACUCUAGGAUUACCCUAAUUGAUCUGUUUUGAGGUUGUUAACAUUUGGGAGAAAUAGUUAGAUUCAUGUAUAUUCUUAGGUAUGAUAAGUAAUACUUAAGUUGGGUGUUUAGGGGUUUAUUAAUAUUAAUUGUUCUUGAAUUCAAACUAAGAUAUAGUCUAUUUGAUUGUCUAAUCUGGAUUUCGGAUUUCAACUUUCGUAUGUUAAUCACGAGAAAGUUUCGAUAGAUAAUUCUUUAUGAAUAUCGAUCGAUAUACCUUUUAAAGUAUCGAUCGACAGGGCUAUCACUGCGUCGAUUGAUACUUCUUCCAGAAAGCUUUACGUACAGGUUUGAUUUAUAUUCUCUAACUUACUAGAUCAACUCUCGUCUGUAUCUAGUCAGUUAGAUCAUACUAGUUAAUUUUCAGGUAUUGAGUCAAGCAAUGACUUGAUCUCAAUUAAUCCUAAGAUCUAAGAUUUAUGGUUUAUCAACUCUAAGCUUAGUAAUAAGAACAACUAGAUGAAGAACUAAUUAAAUCACCCUAACAGAAAUUUAAGCUAGCAAUACAUAUAUCAACCUAUAUGAGAAACUUAAAUCUAACAGUGAGAUUACUCAGACAUAUUCAGAAAAGGCAUGGUUAUGAUGGUCUGAAUAAUAUUGCAAUAGAUAAAUAAACAUAAUAGAGUAAAGAAACAAAGGGGGUUCAAUAUUUUCUCUCUCUCCAAUCCUACGCUCUCUCUCUAGAAUAGUAUGAAGCAUUGCCAUCAACAAUGCCUUAGAAAACAGUAAAAUAGGGUUUCUGGUCAUCCAGGGGUAUUUUGGUAACUUAGUGUGGCUUCUGGGCUUCAAAAGGUCUUGAAAUAUGCUUGGCCCACGUUCUGGCAUCCAUAUCGAUCGAUGUCAAGAGUUCCGCAUCGAUCGACAUACGUUCCUCUUCUCGACAUUUUCCUCUCGCAAGGCAGACUGACCACUCUUCAGUACAAUGGGCAUAACUUCUGCUACAAGAUGCUGAUUUACCUGACACCGGUGGCAUUGGAAAGAUAACUCAAAUAUCUAUCUUUUGUCCAAAGAUGAACUCAAUAUAACGGUGGGAAAGUCUCCAUCCAUAGCUAAACAUCUGAUGCAUAUGUGCAGUUCUGCACUCAAAAUGCUCCAAAAUCACCAUAUUUCUCCAUAAUGUACCUGAACCUGAAAAUACUCUAAAUAGACUCUAUAUAUUAGUAAAUAUAUAUUAAAACACUUAUAUACCAUGGCUGAAAGUGGGUAAAAUCCAUGUUAUAUCUACUCCCCCAGACAUACUCUUUUGUUUGUCCUCAAACAAAACAUACUAGAGCAGUCUCUCUGAAAGAGGUUUGAAAACAGCAGGGAUUCUCAUGAUUUAAAACUUAGAAUCAUCACCUCUACAAUAUUACAAUCCACAUCUAAGAAGUCCUACUCAGAAAAGCACAUUAUAUCAUAUCCUAGUUUAGCAACCAAAUUCACCUAGCCAACAACUUAGCAAAUCAUGUUUUACAUUCCCGUCUACCAACCUCAUUUCUUAACAUAAAUAAAAGUGCAAGCUUUACCUUGGGAGUAUCAAUCACAGGAUGCAAUGAUUUUCAAACAAGUAUCUGAAUCUGCAGGUAAAAGUUAGUUCGUAUCUUUUUUCUCUACUAAUUUCUCUCUUUAGUCAAAGUCUGCUUAUAUUGCAAGAUCAAUGACAAAGAUUGGACAGGCUUCCAUGAAUCAAAACUUAAUGGUGGUUGCCACCAAGUCAUGUUCACUUCUUUUUGACCUAUAUCCAAGAAUUCAUAUGAAUCGAACCUUGAUGAUUGCCGCCACCAAGUCCCGUUCGAAUUAUUUUUGUAGGAAUCCUUAUGAAGCAAGCCUUAAUGGUUGUAGCCACCAAGUCAUGUUCGGAUUCCACUUAACUAACACAUGUAUAUAUAUAUAAUUUCUAUUUUUCUUUCUUUUUCUUUUUUUUUUCUUUUUCGUUUUUUUUUUUUUUGAAAUAAAUAUCUCUACCAAUAAAUCUAGGGUCGAAAUAGAGAAAGAAAAGGUGAUAAAUCUACACAAGGUUUUACCUUCUAGACUUGUUUAAAGAAUCCGUUCCCAUGUAGACCAAGCUCCAAGACAAGCAGUUGUGUCAGGUUUAGUGUUGGAGGUCAGUUUUGGUUCCUUCAAACAAUCUUAACAAAUGUGAUUAGUUGACAGGUUGAUCCACUUUAGUAUCUUUAGUACUAUCUGCAAUCAAUAAUUCUAGAAUGGUGCUAGAGAGUGGUUAGAUAACAAGUAAAAGUCUAAUAAGUUCAUUAUCCCCUUCUUGACUCAAUAAAACUCUUUUGAAAACAUUUUGAUAAGACUCAUGAACACACUAAUAUCAGUAAACAUCCCCCAUACUUAAAUUACACUGUCCCUAGUGUAUAUCUAGUUGGAGUUAUGGUGAGAAAUAAUCAUAAGUACACAAUUUAACAAGUUAUAACAAUAUACCUGACCAAGUAAGUGUCGAUCGAUGGAAAGGAGUUGCCAUCGGUCGGUGCAGGUGAUGUACGGUCGAUCGAUAUCGACAUGCUCUCAUCGGUCGAUUUUAUAAUUGUCUACUCGGAUUUUUUUAUUUAUUUAAACUAAAUCCUAAAUAUCCUAAAACUAGAAAUGGGUUGCCUCCCAUUCAGCGCUUAUUUUGAGUCUUGAGCUCGACUCGAGGUCUGAAUGUCUAAUUAUCAUGAAGAAGGCCUAAGUGUAAAGGCCUGCUAAUUGGCGGUUUAGCCCAAAAGUGUUUCACUCGUUGUCCAUUCACUGUAAAUUCUUCUCCUUUAUCGUUUAUAAGUGUGAUGGCUCCAUAAUGUUUGACAUCCACAACAGUGAAAGGACCUGACCAACGAGAUCGGAGUUUUCCAAGAAACAGCGUAAGUCGAGAGUUAUAUAACAGCACUUGAUCAUUUGGUUCGAAGUUCCUGGAGAUGUUCUUUUUAUCAUGAUAUGCUUUCGUUUUCUCUUUAUAGAUCUUUGAACUCUCAUAGGCUAAUUGUCUUAUUUCUUCCAGCUCGUUAAGCUUAAUUACUCUCCUUUCGGCAGCUGGUUUGAUGUCGAAAUUUAAUAAUUUUAUAGCCCAUGCUGCCUUAUGUUCUAGCUCAACCGGUAAGUGACAAGAUUUUCAAUAGAGUAGGUGAAAUGGGGUUGUUCCUAGUGGGGUUUUGUAUACAGUUUGGUAGGCCCAAAGUGCAUUGUCCAGUUUUCUAGACCAAUCUUUCCUAGAAGUUCCUACGGUCUUUUCUAAGAUUUCUUUGAUCUGUCGAUUUGAGACUUCUACUUGUCCACUUGUUUGCGGAUGGUAGGGUGUAGCAACUCUAUGGUGAACUCCGUUCUUCCGGAGCAAUCCGUCAAAAUCUUUGUUAAUAAAAUGGAAGCCACCGUCGCUUAUGACUAUUCUAGGAACUCCAAAUCUUGGAAAAAUAAUGCUCUUGAAAAGCUUGAUAACUACAGAUGCGUCAUUUUUUGGGGAGGCUACUGCUUCGACCCAUUUUGAUACAGAAUCAACAGCGACUAGUAUGUAUUUGUUCCCAUACGAAGAAGGGAAAGGACCCACGAAAUCUAUUCCCCAACAAUCAAAGACUUCUACCUCUACAAUAGAUUUCUGUUCCAUUUCAUGUCUUUUACUGAUUUUCCCCCUUCGUUGGCAUCUGUCGCAUUGUGCUAUGAAUGCAUGAGCAUCGGGAAACUUGGUCGGCGACCAGAAUCCUGCCUGAAGACUUUUAGAUACCGUUUUAAAGGUUGCAAAAUGUCCAGCGUAGUCGGAUCCAUGGCAUUAGAAUAAAAUAUCAGGGAUUUCAGUUUCGGCGACGCAACGUCUAUAUAUCCCGUCAGAGAAAUGUUUGUAGAGAUAUGGUUCGUCCCAGUGAUAUCUCCUAACUUCUCUUAAAAAUUUCUUCCUUGUAUAACCUCUUAGCUCUUCGGGUUCCACGUCAGCAGCUAGAUAGUUUACGAUAUCAGCGUACCAAGGUCUAUUCUUUAAACCUUUUUCGACUGCGUGCACUUCCCGAUGCAGACUUUGAUCUACGGGGGAAUCAUGGUGAGCAUGCAGCUCUUUGUACGCGACAUUAACUAUUAUAACGAAGGUUUUGGGAUUUGUGUCUUUGUUUAGAUCAUUUGAAGUGUCGAUCGACAUACUAUCACCGUCAUAAAUUGUCAUGGUACUGCCGUAAUCGAUCGACAUAGCAUUAUUGUCGUCGAUCAACAGGUCCUCGGAAGUGAGACAUACAUUCCCGAUGAACGAAUCCGUUCGGUAAACGCUUUCAGUUGGUAAGAAGUCAUCGAUAGGGAAGUCGUUUUCUAUUCUUAUCCGGGAAAGAUGAUAUGCAACUCCGUUUUCUACUCCUAUUUUUUCUUUAAUCUCAAUGUCGAAUUCUUGAAGUAAAAGGAUACAUCGCAUGAGACGUGGUUUCACAUCUUUCUUUUGCAUCAAAUAUUUAAUAGCAGCAUGGUCAGUAUGGACAAUGACUCGCAAACCGACCAGGUAUUGGCGGAACUUUUCGAAUGCAUAAACCACGGCGAGCAGUUCUUUUUCUGUUGUUGCGUAAUUCCUUUGUGCCUCGUCGAGCGUUCUACUGGUAUAGUAAACUGCAUGUAGCUUUUUGUCUUUUCUUUGGCCUAGAACUGCUCCUACAGAGAAAUAACUCGCAUCGCACAUGAUUUCGAAAGGAAGAUUCCAGUCAGGUGCUUGUACGAUGGGGGCAGUUAUCAAAGCUUUCUUUAUUUCCUCAAAAGACUUUACGCAUUCUGGUGAGAAGACGAAUUUAACUUCUUUAGAGAAAAGAGAGGUGAGAGGUCUAGCAAUUUUGCUAAAAUCAUGUAUGAACAUUGAUAUACCUUGGAUUUGACCCAUUUUUAUCCAUGGUAUAUAAGUAUUUUACUAUAUAUAUAUAUAUCUAUGUUUUCUACUCUUCUAGGUAUGUUUUCAGGUUCAGGUGCAUUUCGGAGUAAAGCUAUGACUUUGGAGCAUUUUGGAGCUUAAAAGACAUUUCACCCGAGCUGACCACUUAGAGGUCGACGAGAGGAAGAAUAAUCGAUCGACGCGCAUCAGUGCUGACGAUCGAUAUCAGGAAAUGCGUCGACAGAUGAAGAUUAAUAUCGAUCGAUGUACACAACUACCAUCAAUCGAUGUCGAGACACCAUACGCGACAUUUUGGAUUCAGCAGACUUAAAAACCAAGGCCAAGCCAAAUUACCAAAAUGCCCUGACGAGUUUUUAACCUAGUAGAAUAUAUACUGCCUAGUGUUUUUGACGGCAGGAGUACAAAGUUUUUCUAGACCUAGUUUUGUUACAAGUUUCAUUUGGGAGAGAAGAUCACUUGUGAUUGGAACUCCUUGUUUCUAUUUCUUUUCAUCUAUUCUAUGAGUUUCUAUUUAUCUAUUGAUAUGAAUUGCUUUGCUAUGUCUGAGUAGUUCAACUGUUAGAUCCAGGGUUCAGAUAGUUUGUGGGAUUAGCCCCAAACUAUAGAUCUGCCUUGUUGUGAUGUUCAUGAUAGAUUUGUAUUCAUUGCUUGUUUUAGCCUUGCUAACUAGAACUUGAUCAUAGGAUUGCAUAUUCAAGCACCCUUGUUAUCCCAUCCUGACAUCUAUAUAUCAUAUUAGGAUUGCUAGAGAGGGCUAACCGCCAAUUUAGAAUCUUAGUAGGGCAUUUCAUACUCGCGCAUAGGCCUGGCUAGAACCCGUCGAUCGAUGUCCUCAACUGACAAUCGAUCGAUGUUGGCAAAGGUGUACCGGUCGACGUCUUAAUAGACUAUUGAUCAACACUCUCUCGUGUCUGCAUACUAACCUGUGAGACACGAGAUCUAGUCUGUUAACUAGUGGUACAUGCGACAGCUGAUCACUGAGUUAAGCGAAUGAGCUCUAAUAUAUCAUGCAUGCAACAGUUAGGCAUCUAUAGGUAUUAUAAUCUCCAACACCUGAAUAGUGGCCCUGCAUCUAAUAUCAUUUCCAACCAAGUUACAUUUAUAUUUACUCGCUUGUUACUAUUGCUAUUCCAUUUAAACAUUUACAACCUUUAGAAUUAAUAAACACUAUAUUUAAUUUUUCUCUAGCUCCUUGUGGAUUCGAUCCCUAACUACUACAUCUGAACCUCUUUUGAUGAGAGUAACACUCCUUAGGGUAAUUUGAGUGGUAUCAAAUAUCCUGUAGAAUCCGGCAUGCCCGAGAAAACUUCUCACGUCUUUUACGUUCGUGGGUGCAGGCAAACCGGUCAUUACUUUAAUUUUUGCUUGAUCUACUUCUAUACCAGCAGCGGACACUUUAUGAUAGGACGAUUCCAUCAUUAACCAUGAAGUGGCAUUUUUCCCAAUUUAGAAUGAGGUUCUUUUCUUCACAUCUUGCCAAAACCUUACAUAGGUUAUCGAGACAGUUUUUGAAACUGGAUCCAUAUGCAGAGAAAUCGUCCAUGAAGACUUCCAUGAAAUCUUCUAUCAUAUCAGUAAACAUUGACAUCAUGCAUCGUUGGAAAGUGGUAGGGGCAUUACAAAGACCGAAUGGCAUUCUGCGGUAUGCGAAUGUUCCGUACGGGCAUGUAAAGGUGGUCUUUUCUUGAUCGUCAGGAUGUAUAGGGAUUUGGAAAAAUCCAGAGUAUCCGUCAAGAAAACAGUAGUAUUGGUGAUUUGCCAAUCUUUCCAACAUUUGAUCAAUGAACAGUAAGGGAAAGUGAUCUUUUCUGGUGGCAGCGUUUAGCUUCCUAUAAUCGAUACACAUUCGUUGUCCAGUGACAGUUUGCGUGGGAAUGAGUUUGUUUUUAUCGUUCUUAACCACUGUAAUUCCGCCUUUCUUAGGUACAACAUGCACGAAGCUCACCCAGUUGCUAUCAGAAAUUGGAUAGAUGAUUCCAGCAUCUAGAAGUUUGAUAAUUUCCUACUUGACAACUUCUUUGAAGUUUGGGUUUAGCCUUCUUUGAUAUUCCACUGACGAUUUGGAAUCGUCUUCUAAGUGAAUUCGGUGCAUGCACAGAUUUGGAAUCGUCUUCUAUGGGGGUUUUCUGCAGAAGUGAUUUCUACAGUGCUUGGAGAAAGGCGUUUUCCGCUUCUUAGUAACACAGUACAAACUUGGCGGCUUGGGUUGGUAUCAGUUUUUUCAGGAAGGAAUCCUUCAUCUCUUCUGACAAACCCAAUGUUAUGCGCAACUUGGCUAUCUAAUUUAUUGACAUGUUUACUCAAAGUUUCAAACUUAUCAUGUAAAUCAGAAUAUACGGAAUCCAAUCUUUCAUCAAAAAGCGCACUCAUUUUCUGCUGGCUUUUUAGAACUUGACCAAUCAUAGAUUCCAGCUUGCACCUAUGAGUCUGUCCUGCCUCGUAGGUCCUUAUGAAGCUCAUGUUUCGCUGCUGAUCGGCAAGUCUUUGUUUGCGAAAGCCAGUUUCAUCGAUCAGGUAUACAUGCUGUUCUGCAUCUCCUUCACGUAGCAAGGCCUGACUCUCUUCGGUAAACCAAACUUGCUCAUCUCCAAUCACAAAGGCAUGAGCUAAAUAUAACGUUUCUUUCCCCUCAGAUAUCGGAUCUCCAUUCGAAUUCUCGGCCAUCUUCCUCCUCUCUAGAUCAGUCUUCUUGGCACUAGUGCUAGAAGCAACCUUUACAAUGAGCCUUAUAGCUUCUUCAUGUGUCUUAUUUUUGAAGUUCCCUUGAAUCGCAACGUCCAAAGUCGCUUGGUAUGUCAGGUGGAGACCUCUGAAGAAAAUAUUAAAUAGCUGGAUUUCGGGAAAACCAUGGUGUGGGCAGUCUCACUGGUAGGCUUUGAAUCUCAACCAAGAAUCAUUAAAAGCUUCAGUAGUGCCUUAAGAAAAAUUAUAGAUCUUAUUCCUAAAUUCCUCGGUUCGUGCAUCAUCGAAGAAGUUGUUGAGGAAGGCGCUUUUGAUAUAACUCCAGCAAGUGAAAGAUCCUGGCUGCAAUUGUUUCAGCCAGUGCCUCACAUCUCAAGCAAGGGAGUGCGUGAAGAGUUUGCAAAAUAGGUAGUCUUCAGAGACUCCAUGCACCUUGAUGUUAGAUACAAAGUCCUCAAGUGUUUCGAUAUGGUCUAUGGGAAUUUCAUUAGGAAGACCACGAAAGGGGUGCUGACAUACUAGAGAGAAAUAUUUGGGUUUUAGUUCAAAGUCUUUUCUUUGAAUUGCUGGAGGACGGAUCGCAGACCUGUUAGUGUAGAACCGAUCAGGUCUGAUGUAAUCUCCGAGCGUUUGGUGAUGCUCCGGUCAAGCAUCCAAAACAACAGCUACUCCAAUAGGAAUUGGAGCCCUAUGUCUAUAAUUAAUUUGGUUUGAUGCAUGGCAUACUCGACCUUUUUGAUUUCCUAGAACCACUUUUUCUUUAUUGAAACAUGUAAGAACAUACUUACUUGCUUCUGGCAGGAUGGCGUCGAUCGAUAUUGGUAGCGGAGUGUCGAUCGAUUUUUGUGUUGACCCAUCGCUCGAUGUUAUUGUCUGAGCGUCGAUUGAUUUUGGGCCAAAAUUCAUGUCUUCCAUCUUAAGUACCUGUGUCAGCAGGGAAAGAGGGAAAACUUUAGCUGAUUCAGUAACAAAAUCUAGACUAUAUUCUAAACUUAAUCUAAUGGUAAUAAGAAAACGUUCCCGGCAACGGCGCCAAAUUUGAUAUCACUCAAGUUAUCCUAAGGAGUGAAUUACUCUCUCAAAUAAGAGGUUCAGAUGUAGUACUUAGGGAUGGAAUCCACAGAGACUCUAGGAUUACACAGUAGAUUAUGGUCUUGAAAUAAAUCUAGAUUGAAUGGUUUAUAAGUUUUAAAGCAGUAAAUGGAGUGGUGAGCAACUUUAUUGCUCGAUUGAUUUGUUUUGAGGUUGUUAACAGUUGGGAGAAAUAGCUAGAUUCAGGUAUAUUCUCAGGUAUGAUAAGUAAAACCUAAUCUGGAUUUCAGAUUUCAACUUUUGUAUGUUAAUCACGAGAAAGUGUCGAUCGAUAAUUCUUUAUGAAUAUCGAUCUAUAUACCUUUCAAAAUAUCGAUCGACAAGGCUAUCGCUGCGUCGAUCGAUACUUCUUCCAUAAAGCUUUACGAACAGGUUUGAUUUAUAUUCUCUAACUCACUAGAUCAACUAUCGUAUGUAUCAAGUUAGUUAGAUAAUACUAGUUUAUUUUCAGGUAUUGGGUCAAGCAAUAACUUGAUCCCAAUUAAUCCUAAGAUCUAAGUCUUAGGGCUUAUCAACCUUCAGCUUAGUAGUAAGAACAACUAGAUGGAGAACUAAUUAAAUCCCCCUAACAUCAAUUCAAACUAGCAAUACAUGUAUCAACCUAUGAGAAACCUAAAUCUAACAGUGAGAUUACUCAAACAUAUUCAUAAAAGACAUGGUUAGGAUGGUCUGAAUAAUAUUGCAAUUGAUAAAUAAACGAAAUGGAGUAAAAAAACAAAGGGAGUUCAAGAUCUUCUCUCUCUCAAGGUGUACAUAUCGCUCUCUCCAAUCCUAAGCUCUCUCUCUCUCUAAAAUAGGGUUUCUGAUCGUCCAGGGGUAUUUUGGUAACUUCGUGUGGCUUCUGGGUUUUAAAAGGUCUUGAAAUAUGCUUGGCCCACAUUCUGGCAUCCAUAUCGAUCGAUGUUUACGUAGACAGGUGAUACCACUCAAAUUACCCUAAGGAGUGUUACUCUCAUCAAAAGCGGUUCAGAUGUAGUACUUAGGGAUCGAAUCCACAAGAAGCUAGGGAACAAUUAAAUCUAGUGUUUAUUAAUUCUAAAGGUUGUAAUGUUUUAAAUAAAAUAGCAAUAGUAACUAGCGAGUAAAUGAUAAAUGUAACUUAGGUUGGAAAUGAUAUUAGAUGCAGGGCCACUAUUCAGGUGUUGGAGAUUAUAAUUCCUAUAGAUACCUAACUGUUGCAUGCAUGAUAUAUUAGAGCUCAUUCGCUUAACUCAGUGAUCAGCUGUCGCAUGUACCACUGGUUAACAGACUAGAUCUUGUGUUUCACCGGUUAGAUGCUGACACAAGAGAGUGCCGAUCGAUAGUCUAUUACAACGUCGACGGAUACACUUUUGCCAACAUCGAUCGAUUGUCAGUUGAGGACAUCGAUCGACGGGUUCUAGCCAGGCCUAUGCGCGAGUAUGAAAUGCUCUACUAAGAUUCUAAAUUGGCGGUUAGCCCUCUCUAGCAAUCCUAAUAUGAUAGAUAGAUGUCAGGAUGGGAUAACAAGGGUGCUUGAAUAUGCAAUCCUAUGAUCAAGUUCUAGUUAGCUAGGCUAAAACAAGCAAUGAAUACAAAUCUAUCAUGAAUAUCACAACAAGGCAGAUCUAUAGUUUGCGGCUAAUCCCACAAACCUAUCUGAACCCUAGAUCUAACAAUUGAACUACUCAGACAUAGCAAAGCAAUUCAUAUCAAUAGAUAAAUGGAAACUCAUAGAAUAGAUGAUAAGAAAAUGAAACAAGGAGUUCCAAUCACAAGUGAUCUUCUCUCCAAAUGAAACUUGUAACAAAACUAGGUCUAGAAAAGAAAAGCUCUCUCUGCCGUCAAAACUUAGGCAGUAUAUAUUCUACUAGGUUAAAAACUCGUCAGGGCAUUUUGGUAAUUUGGCUUGGCCUUGGUCUUUAAGUCUGCUGAAUCCAAAAUGUCACGUCUGGUGUCUCGACAUCGAUCAAUGGUACUUGUGUACAUCGAUCGAUAUUAAUCUUCAUCUGUCGGGGCAUUUCCUGAUAUCGAUCAUCAGCACUGAUACUCAUCGAUCGAUUAUUCUUCCUCUCAUCGACCUCUAAGUGGUCAGCUCGGGUGAAAUGUCCUUUAUGCUCCAAAAUGCUCCAAAGUCAUAGCUUUACUCCGAAAUGCACCUGAACCUGAAAACAUACCUAGAAGAGUAGAAAAAUAGAUAUAUAUAUAUAUAUAUAUAGUAAAAUAAUAAUAUACCAUGAAUAAAAAUGGGUCAAAUCCAAGGUAUAUCAACUCCCCCAGACUUACCCUUUUGCUUGUCCUCAAGCAAAACAUAUAGGCAGUCUCUCUGAAAGAGGUUUGAAAAUAUUUGGGAACUUAAGAUUUUAAAAACAUAGAAAUCUUUCCUCAACAAUUUUGCAACCAAAUUUAAAAGUCCUAAUCACAAAAGCACACUAUGCAAUAUCCUAGCUUAGCAACCAUUUCUAACAAAACACAACUCAUCAAUUCACGUCUGACAUCCCCUCUAUUGAUUUCAUUUCUUAGCAUAAAUAUAAAGUGAAUGCUUUACCUUGGGAGUAUCGAUCACAUGAUGCAAGGAUUUCAGACAGGUAUCUGGAGCUGCAGGUAAAAGUUAGUUCCUAGUUUCUCUCUCUCUAAAUUUCUCUCUUGAGUCAAAGUCUGCUUCCUUUGCAGGAUCAGUGACCAAGAUUGGACAGGCUUCCAUGAAUCAAAACUUAUUUGUGGUUGCCACCAGGUUCUGUUCACUUCUUUUUUGACCUAUGUCCAAGAGUUCUUUGCGAAAUCGAGCCUUGAAGAUUGCCGCCUCCAAGUCCCGUUUCAAACUCUUUUAUUUGAGUCUUUAUGAAUCAAGCCUUAGUGGUUUUAGCCACCAAGUCCUGUUCAGACUCAUCCUAAUUAAACAAUAGAUCUUACUUAUUAUUAUUUUUUUAUUAUUAUUUUUUUUAAUACUCUAUAUCUAAUCUAGGGUCGAAAUCUAGAGAGAGAAAAUGUGAUAAAUAAUCUAAACCAGGCGUUACCUUCCAGACCUAUCUGAAGAAUCUGAUCCCAUGUAUACCAAGCCCCAAGACAAGCGGUUAUCUCAGGUUUAGUGUUGGAAAUCAUCUUUGGUUACUUCAUACGGUUCAAGGCAAGUGUGUUGUUGAUAGGUUGAUCUGCUUUAGCAUCUUUAGUGCUAUCUGCAAUCAGUAAAUCUAAAAUGGUGCUAAAGAUUGGUUAGAUAUUCAUGUUUAAAUCAAUAUAAGAUUAUAGUCCCUAUUUUCGAUAGCUAAGCAUAAUUUAUUUGAAAUUCUUUUUUACGUAAGAAUAAAAUAAAUUAUAUCAGUAAAUCUCCCCCCCCCCAGACUUAAAUUACACUGUCCAAGUGUAACUCAGCCGGAGUUAUGAUGAAAUGUGUAUGAUGUACGAAAUGUAACAAGUAGGUAAGAUACAUCUGACCGGAUUAAAUAUCGAUCGAUGGGUAAGUGUUACAUCGAUCGUCGUGUGGUUGCCUUUGUCAAACGAUGUUGACCUCUCGUUGUCGGUCGAUAUUCAAGUCCUCCUUCUUGGUUCUCCUAAAUCUGAAAGAGAUAAAACGAAAGAAAUUAAGUGCUAGCUAGAAAACCGAAGUAAAAUACCUAAUAGUGGGUUGCCUCCCACUCAGCGCUUGGUUAUAGUCAUUUAGCUUGACUGUGGUAGUGAUUGGCUAUUGGGUGGAGAAGCAUCUGCUUGUUGGAAAGCAAGCAUUCGCGUCAUCUCUGCGCAUUCUGGACCAAGAUGCAAUGAAACUUCUUGUGGCCUCAUCAUUUCUUGUCCAUUUGUCAUCCAUCUUCCCAAGUACAUUGGAGAUGUUAUGUAGCCUUUCUUGAAUGUUUCAAUGCUGACCUGGUGCCAGCCUAUGUUGUCAUAGGCGUAUGCUGAAAGAUCUGCCAGUUCCUUUUGCAUUGACUCUACUGUCUUGUGUAUCAGCUGCUCGUCGAUUGGUAUAGAAUCGGCGUCGAUCGAUGCGAUUACGUGUUUGUUGGUUGAUCUCGGUGAGUUGCCGUCGAUCGAUUUUGCUUUUGUCUUGUCGAUCGAUGCAGAUAUCUGAUGUUGAGCUGCGAGUUGCCUCUGAAUGGUUUUGACUUCUUUCUGUAGCCAUUCUGCGUGGUUGUCUAGUCCACUGAUUUUGUUGUCGAAUGGAAAGUAGAUAUCAUCGUAGCGUUUGUCAAGUCGUUCCUCCAUGGUGUCUAGAGCAGUGUUGAUCUUGGAUGUGAUCUUGUCAACCUCUGCUGCUGUGUAAGGAAGUAACUCCACAGGUUUCUUGCCAUCGAUCCAGGAUCCUCUUAGCCUGUCCAUCGAUGCUGAUUUUUCCUGCAAAAAACUUUGAUUUGUAAUGUUCUCAAUAUCCUUUUGGGCAUCAAGUAAUUGACUAGACAAUUUGUUUAAAUCUAUCAUGACUGGUGAUAUAAAACGGUCAUGCAUAUCCUCGUAAGUCCUCAGCCUCUCAUUCAUUGCUGAGACUUUGGCGUCGAGCGAUGUGAAGGUGCACAUGUCGAUCGAUGUGGCUGGAUGUUGGUCCUUCUUGCGAAUGGUGUCCGGAUCUUGCUGUAGUAGCUCGAUUUUAGUGCUUAGCCAGUCCACGUUGUUGUUGAGAGGGCAGUAAACGUCGUUUAUCCUCGUGUCGAUGUAUGAGACUUCCCAUUCAUCCCUGUGUUGUGUUGAACAUCGCGGUUCUGCAAGGAUCUUAGCUGUAGGAAGACUAACGUCGAUCGAUGUUGCACGUGGUGCGUCGAUCGAUGCUGAGGUCGUAGCUUCCUUCUCAAGUUGCUGACGUACACUUUCAAUUUUUGUCCUCAUUUCUGCCAUACAUCUGAAAAGCUCAUUGUAGCCUCUAUCCAAAGGCUGAUGUGUUUCAUCUACCAAUGUUUUGAGCUCCUCUCCCAGUUUCUCAUGAGCUCCACAAAUACCAAACACCAUUUCAUCGAUUUCUUCUUUGGUGUAGAGUUCUGGUGCCAGUCUUGUGAGUGUGAAGGAAGUGGCAUGUUCUGGAAGACAGAUGUGGCUCUCUUCAAAAAGAGAUGCUCUUUCCAGUAUUUUCCUGAUGUUGUCCUUUGUGACAGGUAUCAUCUCACCAGCUGCGCUUCGUGCGUGUCCACGCUCAUCUCUAUAGACUCCAUAUUCGUCCCUUUGUUCCCAAGUGAACUUUCUGGCUCCAUACAUGUCGAAAGCGCGGCUCCCAAAUUCAUAGCGUCUGUCGAUCAACGUCGGAUCAUCCAUAUCGAUCGACGUCGGAUCAUCCAUAUCGAUCGACGUUGGUGUUACCAUGGCGAUCGAUGUCUCCGUUGUACCGUCGAUCGAUGCUUGCUCUUUUGGUUGGCGUGAUAGAUCUGUGUUGAUCUCUGUUGUGGCGACUCCUGCGUGGUUGUUAGGAUUUGUUAGAAUGACGUCUGGAGUGCCACGUUGCUGUGAGAACAGGUUGUCAGGUCCAUUGGCUACUUGAAGGAUGUGUGCUAUGUCCUCUCUGGACACUUGUAAAAUCCUUCCAUCCAUUGCACGUGCGUUGCCAUCUGGAUCCCUGAAAAUACCAAAUUCAUCAGGUGUUAGAAAACCGUAAUCAAUGUUUGCAUAAUUAUUCAUUUUAGAAAUAGAGAGAUUAGGGUUUAGAGUAGUAUCGAUCGAUGUAGAUACAGUUACAUCGAUCGUUGGCAGAGUAAUUUCUGCAGAACUUGUGUUCUUGAGAUGAUUGCUCUUCAUGGACUUUUCUGUUGAUGUAGAAGGAAGAGUGUUCAUCUUAUUUGCUUGUGUGUUUGCUCUUAUGUGUGUAGGUGGUUUCGGAGGUGCAAAACGAUUUAUAUAGGUAUUUGUAAACCUGGUUAGGGAGAGAAUAUUCUCCUGCUCCUGAAUUUUCGCUGCGGCGCCAAUAUCGAUUGAUUUUCCUUUCGGUGGGUCGAUCGAUGUGAGCGGUUGUUUUGCUGGACGACGGUGGGUAUCGACUGAUGUGGAGUGCACAGCGUCGAACGAUGUUGGAAACGUGUUGGUGAACUUGUGUAUUUCAAGUCUUUCAUCCUGCAAAGACAUUUCUAUUGCACGUUCUUUCCAGUAAUCCUCAUCGUAUUCCUCGGUAUGUUCCUCAUGAGGUGAAGUAAUUACAGUGUCAACUGCCAGCAAAACUUUCAUGGAAACCACUGUCUACCCAACUGCUUAUGGAAUAAUCAUCAUGUCCUCUCCUGGUUGGAGGUUGGAAGGAAAAAUGUUGGUAACAAUGAUUAGGUGAAGCGAAAUGGUCAAGUGGGUGCAUUACGUCGAGUGACGUGUUGUUGUGGUCAUCGGUCACCAUUGACACAUUGGAAUCAAUCGAUGGAAAGGUUGGGGUGUCGAUCGAUUCCGAGUACUCUGUUUCGUACUCGGAUUCAUACUCUGCUCCACAAUGGCAUGCGCCAAUGAAGCCAAGUUCUUUCCCAUAAUCCACAAGAUUAAUUACCUUUCUCUUAGGUCGGAUGAGAUCGUAGUGGAUGUUUGGGUCUAUGAGCGUUAGACACAAUUUGUUUUUGUUCAUGUCACAUACAGCUCCUACUGUAGCUAGGAAAGAUCUUCCAAGCAGAAGUGAAGAGUUCCAAUUAAGCUCGAUGUCUAAGAUGAAAAUCUACAGGGACAAGGGCAUUACCAAUCAGUACCUCCAGAUCUCUUAUGAUGCCUCCGGAUCGUUUCUCUAAAAGAUCCACGAAGGUGAAGGAUUCUGUUGAGGGUUCGAUGGUCAAACCAAGCUGGUCUGCCAUAAUCCUAGGGAGGAUACUAACCGAUGCUCCUGUGUCACACAUUGAAUGGGGAAAUUCAACACCCUUGACUAUGCAUGGUAUUGUAAACUUCCCAGGAUCACUCUUCUUCGUCAAUGUGAUCCUGUGUUUCAUCUUUCCUCUGACUUGAUGAAACAUUCUCCUAAUGUCCUCCUCAAUUACCUUUGUUUCUCUGAAGAACAUCCACAAUUGGUGUGUGAAGUAAGCUUCAUCAAAAGGUUUUUCGAUUGGGAUUUUGAGGACUCGUUUAGUAAAACCAUCCAUCUCCUUAUCGUUAGCUUCGCUCUUAAGGUUUUUAGGAAUCUUCUCCUUUCUUUUCCUUAACCUUCUCCCUUCAGAUUCUUGUUCUUCUUGAACAGAUUCUGUUCAACUAGUUAAAGGGUUGGGUUUUGGUUCGGGUGGGUUUGCUAAUGGUUUAGGUGGUGGUCUGAGUGCAUUGAUGUAAUCAUUAUCGAUUGAGGGUAACCGCAUUUGGUAUGUCAGAGGUGCCUGUCGAUCGAUGGGAGGUGUGUUGUGACGAUCGACGUCGGACUCACUCUGUCGAUCGAUGGUUGAGUUAACCGAUCGAUCGAUUUUUUCAUAGAAAGGGGAGGGUGGGUGAGGAUGCUUAGCUGCGAAUUCUUCAUGAGUUAGAAUUCGAACCGCAUUGCAUUCAGUCGAAUUGGCAGACGACGUCGAUCGAUGACUGGAGUAAUCCGUCCAUCGAUCUUCAUCAUGGUCUGUCGAUCGAUGCGAGUUCAUCGACAUCGGUCGAAACCAUUGGGAUCCGCCGAGACUCAUGGAGCUUUCGAUUUCGAAAUAUCCUUCCUCAAGGUUUUCAUUUCUCACCACUUGCCAGAAUUCGUCAUCUAUGAUGGCAUUUACGUGGUGUUUCCCUUUGUCGGCUCCUGCCUCACUAGCGAAAGCUUCUUGCCUCUUAAUAGUCUCGCCCGUCUAAAUUACUUGGGUUUCAAGUUUUCUCACCUGAGUCCCUAAGGUCUCGAUUUUGGUGUUCAGAUUGUUGUAGGCAAAGUCUAUUUUACCGUUGAAAUCCACGAUGAUUUGUUGUUUUCCCAACAGUACUCGAUCAAGUAUUUCUUCGAUCUUGCUUUCGUGAGUCUGGGGUGGUGGAUUUUGAUAGUAAGAGUUCGAGUAGCUCUUGCUGUUGUUGAAGGGUUUUUGAAAUUGUGAACUUUGGUUACUUCUUUGGCCAUUUCCAAAGAAGUUUCUGUUUCCGUCCUGGUUUCCAAAUUUCUAGAAUCCGGUACCUCCGAUGUAGUUCACACCUUCUUCUCCUUCUGUAUCUGCUACUUCUCCUUCAGCUGAACAGACUUGCUUCCUAAGAAGCUUGUGCACCAUAUCUAACUUAGCUCUUACUUCGUCCAUCUGUUCCUUCCCGAUAGAGCACUACAAGAAAUAUGUAUAUUCUUAGCGCGGAAAAUAUGCUAUAGUAGACCUUUUAUAGCGAAUUCAUAAAUGCUAUGUCAUCGGCAGCCAUCGUAGGGUACCCUUCUAUGAUAGCGUUUUAUCUUGAUGCUACGAAAUGUGUGGAUAUGGUAACAAUAACUGGGUGAUAUUAUUAACUCCACUAUAGCACGCUUAUUUUUGUUAUAAUAUAUUUACGAUUCAUUUUCCGUGCUAUGAUAGGUCCUUCAUCAAUAGCAAUUUCCAACUGCUAUUAUAUUUUGUGCUAUUAUAUGUAUGUAUAGUACAAUAGCUGUUUGUAAUUGUUGUACUAAAAUUUUUUAUAGCUCCCACAAAUCGAUAGUAAUGUAAUUCGUAGGUUUAUUUUAAUGCUAUGAUAGUUGAUUAUAACAGUUUAUUUUUUGCUAUUGUUGACUUGUUCCAGAGCUAUGGUUUGGUUCUCGAAAAUGGUUUUCAAUCUGAAAUCUUAUAAUAAAACUUAAUCGUUUUUAAAACUUAACCAUUCAUAAACGUCAUACAUAUGUCUUAAGAAAAUAAAGAUCACACAUUCAGUUUCAGAACAGAAAGACAUAAGCGAACAUAAUAAGCAACAUAAGCUGAUUACCAAACAUAAGUUUAAAACUAGCAACUUCUGGACCAAACUUCUUCAUUCCCCCUGCAGGCUGCAAAAUAUCAAUACCUCUCAUCAGUUAAGCAAUACUCAUCAGUUAAGCAAUUACCAUUUACAGUUUAAAAACGCAAAGCACAACACUUACAUCAGACUAAAAGAUGACCAAUUUAUCAAUUGGCCAUGCAAUUGACGAACCAUGUGCAUCUUUCACAGACUCAAUUUCAUCUGAUUUCCUCCAAACUUCUGCAUCAUGUACCUUCACAACAUCUACCCACACUCUAGCUGCAUUAGGACCCAAGCGUGCAAAAUGGACCAUUUGAUCUGGGUCUGUUGAAUGCACACGACCUUCAGCAACAACUCGUUUCCUCUCACCAAUGUCCAUCAAUUUGCACUUCUGAUUCACUGUCAUAGCUCCAUGAUUAAGCUGACAAGUUUACAAUAGAAACCAUCUAAAACUCAUACAUCUCAAAGAAUAUAACAAGAUUAUAUCACAAGAUGAUUUCGAAGAGGCAAAAUAUUACCUGAAUUGUGGAUUGAGACUUUUCAUUCAGAGUUUUAGAAGUUGUUGCUCCUGAUUUUUCAGUAGGAAACUUAGAACCUACACCUGCAGCUCUUGCUUUUCCUACAGAUGCUUGUUGUCUUGGUGCUUCUGGUGGGUUUUGAAAGACCACUUUUCGAGCAGGCCAUGAAAUAAAAGAGGAUAAGCAGUCGUCAAGAUAUGCCUCAUCCAUCGUCGGCCUCCAUAAAUAUGUACCACUUUCAUGUACCACAUCAAGAAACACUUUCACUGCUUUCGGUCCGAGAGGAAGUCCAUUCACCAAUGCAUUCGGUUCUUGUGUCUGCCAACGUCCUUCACCAACAACUAAAUUAUCAUCAGAUAAAUCCAGUAAUUUGCAUUUGUUGAGAGAGUUAGAUCUCGAGCCCUGUGAAAGACAUUGUGAAAAAAUUUCAUCAAAGACCAAAUCAUUACCUUAACUACUAUGAGAAUGCUACAAAAACCCUUACCAGUGGUGCAAUGUCUUCUGGUUGGAGCCCCUGACCUAGUUCAACACAUUUAUUCUUAGGCCAUGCAAUAACGUGUCCUACAGCUUCCUUAAUUGUGCACAUAUUACUCGAAGGUCUCCACAGGAAAGCUUCAGGUUCCGUAGCAGCAUCAACCAAGACUUUAGCAUCCAUAGGGCCUAAUCUACUUUCAUUCACUAUAUCAUCUGGGUCUGAAGAAACAAUACGACCCUCAGCAACAUUCCCAUCUUCAUCAGCCCAAUCAAUAAGAAGACACCUCUUUUGUGAUUUUGUGUUCACACUCUGUUACAUGUUCAGUUGAAAAUAUGUGAGUGAAACAUAAGAACUAAAUCAUUGAUCUGUUACAUACAAUUGAUGACUUACUCUUGCAGCCGAGUUUUCACCCAUUUCAUUGUCUUCUCUCUGUAAGCAAACAUUAUUAUUAGGUCCUUUCACAAUCAUAAAUCUUAAACGUUUGUAAGGGACUAACCUGUUUUUUAACUUUCGCAAGUUCAGCUUGUAACUCAUUAACCUUUGCCUGGAGAUGAAUCUGAUUCUCUUGCAUUUCAGAAAUAGACUUGUGCUUCACUUGGAAGCAAGCUAAUCUGGUCUUACUCAUAUUCCUGCCCAUUGCUCUCAUACGACCAGGAUUAUCAGGUCCUAACAGUUGGUUGAGUUCAUCUUCAUCUUGAUUUGUGCCAGAUGAUUGAUUAGUACCUUGCACAAUCUCAGCUGCCUUUCGCUGUGCAUCAGAAAACAAACCAAAAAAAUUAGAAGACAACAUCAGUAAAAGAGAUCAUCAUGUUUGUAACUCACAAUCUUCUCAGCGGCAUUCGUGUUAAUCGGAGUCCCAUCUUUUCUGGUACGUGACUUCACCCAGACUUUAAGCCUCGACACUUCAGAUGGGUUGGCAGAACCUUUUUUCUAUGGAAAUAUUAUAUAUCAGUAGCCUUAUAUCAUCAGUUAUAAUGAAAGAACAUUUAGCAUGUAGGCUUACCAUCUCUUCUGCUAGUCUCACCAUACCCUUGCGACUACAUGUGUGAGGUAUCUGGUUGCGUCUUCUCUCCUUGUAGCUAUCACUCAGAGCCUAUAAUAUGAUAUGUUAAUAUGUGAUCUACUUAGCAUAUAAAGAUCUUACUCAAUUCUAAAUGUAUACCUUGAAUUCAGUGCUAGUUUUCAGCUUAACGAAUUUGCGCCACUCAACAGGGGGAACGUUCUUCGGUCUGAGAUUCAUCCUUUGUUGGUUAUUGUCAGCUGCAUUAAUCUGAGUAACUAAGCGUGACUUGGAUGACCUCCAUAAUCCUCCCAUCUGCUUAAGCACUGCAGUUCUUUGAUAUUCCUCAUCAACUUCAAACCUUGCCUGCAUUCACAUAGUAAACAAAUCAGUAGUAUAUAUCGUUAACUUAUUUAAUUUGCAUAUACCAUAGUAUUGAAAUUGUACCUGAACCGAUUUCCAGAGCACUGUCUUCACAUCUUCGGUGAUUUUUUUCCAACAUUCAAUUGUGACAGGAACAUGUUCCCUUACCAAUGGUCCUAAAUAUGAAGACAAUUUCACAGAACCAGGACCGUAAGGUUCUCCCAUGAAAGUGAAAUCUACAUGCACUCUGCUGUUUGGAUCUUUAGCUAUGUCUUUCAUCAUUGUUGGUCCACGCUUUCUUUUACGGGAGUUUGAAUCUUCUGGCUCUGGAACUGUAGUCUGUCCGAUCUCACCGUCAGGCUCACUAUCAUCUCGUUGUGUCUCAGGUUGCUCAUCUUCAUCUUGUGGUUGUGUCUCAGGUUGCUCAUCUUCAUCUUGUGGUUGUGUCUCAGGUUGCUCAUCUUCAUCUUGUGGUUGUGUCUCAGGUUGCUCAUCUUCAUCUUGCGGUUCUGCCAAAUGCUGCUCACCUGUAUCUGCUUCUAUCUCAUGUUGCUGACCUGGUACCAAAGUACACACGAACUCAACAUCAUCAUCUGCUUGUUUUGCUUUAUUUUUUGGCUUCCUUCCUCUUUUGUUUUUCUUUGGACCGGCCAUAUCAAUUUACCUGAAAAAAAUUAUGAAAGGAAGAAUUAAUUCCAAGCUAACACACUGAUAAAUCCAAUCAAACAGACCAAGACCAACCAAUCAAACAAUCAACAAGCAGACAGACAAUGACCAAGCCAAACAAACAUACAGACAAUGAAAAUAAUAAAAAAGGAUACGAUUCACACAUAUAUGCCUUCACAAUCAGUUCUGACGUUCUCUGCCUCAUCAAUGUCAACUUCCAUGUCGAUAUUUGAAGGCAAUGGCCCAAUGUCUGCAGUCCCCUCUUGAAUAUCUUCCUUACUGUAUCUUCUCGAAGGACCUCUCAUAACAGUAUACCAGUGUGAUGACUCAUCUUCCCGAGAGUAAAAGACUUGCUUUGCUUGAGAUGCUAGAAUGUAAGGAUCACUUGCAAAGGAUGCUUGACUAUGAUGGAGGUUAACAAGGGUGAAACCAUCUUCAAUCUUCACUCCAUUACCCUUUACUGCCCAUUCACACCGGAACAGAGGGACAUAGAAGACAUUAUAAUCAAUCAAAAUGAUGUCAGUUACUCUGCCGUAAUAAGAAACCAGAUCGACGACCUGUGAUGUAUCUCUAGCACUAGAUCUACAGACUGCUCUAGCCUCAUAAUAAACCCCACUAUUCUGACUUCUUCUAUCAAUUGACGUUGUGUGAAACCUCUGCCCAUUAACUAUGAAUCCUGUAUAAGACCUUGCAGAACAACGUGGACCAUAAGCUAUCCACUUAAGUGUUUCUUCAUGCUCGGUAGAAUCAAGAGGCACCUAACAAAGUAAAAUCAAGUCAAAAACAUGUCCACUUAACUAUGAAUUAUAAAAACAAGUCAGUAACCUGUUCUUUUAGCCAAGUUGCGAAAUGCUUUGUGUGCAUACUCCAUAAGGUUGAUGCAUCUCGAUGACAUUUUGCAUAUGUGUCUUGUAAAUACUGUAGAUGCUCACUUGUAAGAAAAUUAAAGCACAAGAAAUGGAUCAGUUGGUUAAUCAGAAAACAAAUAAAAACAAGUGAGUUUAGAUACUUACUCUACGUAUGGUUCGACGAUAGCCAUGUUUUGGAUGAUAGCAAGAUGUGCUAUUUUCUUUUCCAUUUCAGUCAGAGUAAUUGAAGUGCUCUUGGAUAUUGGACGACCUUCUAAGAUGGAGUUGUUCUCAUACUCUGUGUUUCUGUCUGUUUUUUCUUCAACGUUUGUUGUCUUCUUCAAAAAUUCACUGCAAAAUCUGAUACAUUCUUCAGCUAAAUACGACUCAGCAAUGCAUCCCUCAGGUCUUGCAGGAUUUCUCACAAAGUCUUUGAGGACUUUCAUGUACCUGAGAGGAAAGCAAGUGUAGAUUGAUUAGUGAAAGUGAGUAUAGCCAAAAUUUAAAACAGUCAUAUAAAUAAUACCUCUCAAAUGGGUACAUCCAUCUAAAUUGGACAGGUCCACCAAGGCGGGCUUCUCUUCCUAGGUGCACAGUCAAAUGGACCAUGAUAUCAAAGAAGCUUGGAGGGAAAAAUCUUUCAAACAAGCAUAGAGUCUCAACAAUCUCAGCUUCCAUAACCAACAGCUUCUCCCUAUCAAUCACUCUCUGACACAACAUAUUGAAGAAUGCGCACAACCUCAAAAUGGCUAGCCUAGGUCCUUUAGGUAACAAUCCUUUAAGCGCGAUCGGAAGAAGUUGCUGCAUCAAAACAUGAUAGUCAUGAGAUUUCAAACCUGAUACUUUACAGUCAUCUAGUGAAACACCUCUUGAAAUGUUUGAGCAAUAUCCAUCUGGCCCUUUGAAGUCAAAUAGUCGUCUGCAAAAGAUCUUCUUCUCGGCCUUAGACAAAGACCACGGUGCUGGAGGAAGAUAUGUUCGUUUUCCUUGGAUUUUAGGGUGCAACUCCGGCCUAAUACCAAGAUCCUCCAGAUCUUUGCGAGCAGCAAGACCAUCCUUAGAUUUCCCACAGUGCAACAAUGUGGAAACUAAACUCGCAGCCACAUUUCUCUCCACAUGCAUGACAUCCAAGUUGUGUCUCACAGGAAGUUCCUACGUAAAACAGAAAAAACAUAAAAAAAUCAGUACUCAACAUCUGAGCUUAAAUCAGAGAAAAAAAAUCAUAAACAGAAACAGAAAAAUUCAUCAACAGAAACAGAAAAAUUAAUACCUCCCAGUAUGGUAGUCUGAAGAAGAUUGAUCUCUUCUUCCACCGAGAUAUCUCAUCUUCAUCUACUUGAACAUUUUCCUCUUCCUCUUCCUCUUCCUCUGAUUCACUGGAUAAAGCCUCAACAUCAGAGCUUACUUCAGUACUCUGAAUCCUUUUCCUCUUACUUGCAGAUCUUUUAAAAUUUCCAAAGUCAUUGUUGAAGUUUCUCAGAUUUUGAGAAAUUUCACGACCUGUCAGUAUUCUACCCCUUCUUCCUUGUUCGGAUUUUCCAUCAAACCACCUUUUCUUUCCCCUAAAACUAUGAGCUGGUGGCAGACCCUUUCUGUGGCACAUGUAGACAUGUUUCCUGCUGAACUUUAGCCACAUACUAUCUGUCUUCUUUCCACAUAACGGACACCCCAUUUUCCCCUUAACUUUACAGCCUGCAAGAUUCCCAUAAGCUGGGAAAUCACUGAUCGUCCAAAGCAGCAUUGCCUUAAGAUUAAAAGUACUACGACUUACAGCGUCGUAGGUUACCUCUCCACUGCUCCACAGAUGGUUUAGAUCGUCGAUGAGGGGUUCUAAGUACACAUCGAUGCUAUUACCAGGCUGUUGUGGACCAGGAAUCAACAAGGAAAGCAUGAUGUUCUCCUUCUUCAUGCAUAGGUCAGGCGGCAAGUUGUAGUUCACUAGCAAAACAGGCCAGCAACUGUACAUCGAAUUCUUCAUAUUGAAGGGAUUAAAUCCGUCAGUUGAAAGACCAAGCCUCAGGUUCCUUUCUUCUGCUGCAAAGGCCGGGUGUUUUGCAUUCAUCUGAUCCCAUGUGACUGAAUCAACCGGGUGUCGAAGUUUUCCGUCAGUGCUUUUGUUGGUGAAGUGCCACCUCAAAUCUUUUGCCAUUUGCUCAGACCUGAACAUCCUCUUCAGUCUUGGUAUGAUGGGAAAGUAACGUAAUACUUUCUGUGGGACGCCUUUCUUCUUCUCGCCAGUGUGCAUAUUGGUCUUCCAUCUUGAAGCCUUGCAUUUUGGACACUUUUCAAGCUUCUUGUACCUCUUUCUGAAUAGACAGCAGUCAUUGACGCAUGCAUGAAUCUUCUCGUAGCCCAUAUCAAAGGAUUUCAGAAAUUUCUUUACCUCAUACAACGAAGUGUGGAGCACAUUAUCCUCUGGUAACAUCUCCGGUAAGGUCUCAAGCAGAUCGUUGAAGCUCUUGUCAGACCACCCAUUCUGUGUCUUCAGUCUGAAUAAAGAAACAAUGGCGGAUAGCUUGCUGUGUGAUGCACAACUCGGAUACAACGGAGUCUCUGCUUCAGCUAUCUUUGCCAAGAAUUCAUCUUCUUUCUUGUCGUCUCCCUCUGCCAUCUCAGAUAACUCUCCAGUACCAGCUAACUCUUCAUCAAAACACUCAGCGGCUCUGUAUAACCCGAAGAUCUCAUCAUUCCACUGACUUGUGCUGCUUUCAGAUACAACUCUAGACUCCAAUUCUCCAUGAAGAUACCAAUCAGACCGCUUCUUGUAAGACUCAUCCAUUCCCCUAGUAACUAGAUGAUCAACUACCACAGCUCCUGAGUGACGAUCAAUAUUACGGCAGUCAAUGCAGGGACAAACAAUCAUAUCAGUUCCUCCCUGACCUCCAGCCACAUCUCGUACAAAAUUUGAAGCCCCUCUCUCAUACGCAGGAUCAACUCUGCAAUGGAGCAUGAAAAGCAAAACAAAAAUAAACAGAGUUAAGUCUCUCAACACAUACUGAAACAUAUCAAAUAAUAACAAAAAUAAACGAAUUAAGUACCUGCUAAGAUGAACCCAUGCCUUAUCCACCAUUAUAUUGCUAAACUGAAACUGAAACUUCACUAACAAUUUUUUGACAAAUUGUCAUCAGAGUCAUCAGUAUAAUCACUCAGAAUACUCAGAACUUGUCCUCGAUUUCAUAGUAAAAGCAGUCAAAGUCAUCAGUAUAAUCACUCAGAAUACUAUAAUACCACACAACGCAACGAUUCUGAACAAAUCUACUACGAUUCUAAGCAAAAACGAAAACUGAUUCACACAACACAAUGACAAUCAAGCUAACUAUCAACACAGAGAUGAGAUGAAAUCAAAUCAGGAAAGAGCUGAGCUAACUAACAACACGGAUUUGAGCUAACUAUCGACACAGAGAUGGCGUAAUGGCGACCUUCGAUACCUUCAGGGACGGAAAUGGUAUCGGAAUGGUGGAUGACGGAGCUUUAAUUGGCGGAUGGGAGAGGCGGAACUCGAUUAGAGGUCUAAUGGAAAGAGGGGAAAAUUAGGAUUAUGUGAGAAAGAGGGAAAAAUUAGGGAAGAUAGAGGGAAAACACGAUUAGAGAGAGGGAAAGUGAGAUGAUUAAUGAUUUUUUACUAAGUGUGUACGCGGAAUAGCUAAUUUUGGGUUCCCGCUUAAUGAAAAACUAUCAUAGCAAUUAUAUAGCGCUAUUAAACUAAAUUUUUUUUCUUAGAGUUCUUACAAUAGCAAUUCGGUAAAACGAGCUAUCGUACUGUGCUAUCAAUGUGGACUUUUUUUGUAGUGGAGGCUACAGACUUCUUCCGUUCAAAGUCAGUGUUUUUGGUGCUGCUGCUGUUAGCAAGGUUUUCGAUAAGUCUCACAGCUUCCAACGGAUUCCGAGUAGUGAAGUUUCCUUCACUCGCCGUAUCAAGAGCCAUUUGAUACUGUAAGGCGAGACUUCGAAAGAAAGUGCUUAGCAGCUGCACUUCAUUAAAUCCGUGGUGUGGACAGUCUCGCUGGAAAAACCUAAAUCUAAUCCACGCAUCUUUGAAAGACUCUCCAGCCUUCUGCGAGAAUGUGGAAAUUUUGUUCCGAAGUUCUUCAGCGCGCGCCUCAUCGAAGAAGUUUCGUAAGAAAGCAUUCUUGAUGUCUCUCCAGGAUGUUAAAGAUCCUGUUGGUUGCUGCCUAAGCCAAUGCAUCGCUUCUCCAUUCAGCGUGUAUCUGAAGAGCUUGCACAGCAGGUAAUAUUUGGGGACUCCUUCCAUCCGAAUGGCAGCGAUUAGAUCCUCGAACCGUUCCAAAUGGUCCAUAGGAUGCUCGUGCGGUAACCCAGAGUAGGGUAUCUGCGACACGAGAGUGUAGUAUUGAGGCUUCAGCUUGAAAUUCUGCUUCUGGAUCUCCGGAAGUCGAAUCGCUGAUCUGUUGGAAUAGUACUCAUCUGGGUGAUUGUAGUCGGCCAGUGGUUUCGAUCGAGCGUCCUCAUCUACAGGUUGAGCAGCUCCUGUAGCAUCAGCAUCAGGGAUUACAGUUCCCUGAGCAUCUAUUUUCUGACAUGUUGCAUUACGCAGAUGACCAGCCUGGUCAUACAGGUUUCCGUUCUCAUCCUGAGUUAGAAUAAUAAUGUUUACCAUUUUUGACGACACGGUAACGAUCGACGUACGCGGUGUAGUAUCGAUCGUUGUCAAACGAUUGGGAUCGAUCGACGAUGACGGUCUGGUGUCGGUCGACGGUUUGUUGUGUGUAUCGAUCGACAACAAAGUGGUUGCGUUGAGCGAUGUGGAACGUUGACCUCUACGGAUGGUGCGUUCCAAAUGAGCAGGAUCGUCUGAGAACAGCAAGUCUUUCUCCUUGUUGUUUCUGGUACCGCUGGGCAUGCACCUGAAAAGACAAGAAAAAGAAAGAUUGUUAGAAAAGGGGAUAAAGAAAAGAAUAAGAAUUAAUAAAACUAAAUCUAAUGGCGAUCAAAGCUCCCCGACAACGGCGCCAAAUUUGAUACCACUCAAAUUACCCUAAGGAGUGUUACUCUCAUCAAAAGAGGUUCAGAUGUAGUACUUAGGGAUCAAAUCCACAAGGAGCUAGGGAACAAUUAAAUCUAGUGCUUAUUAAUUCUAAAGGUUGUAAUGUUUUAAAUAAAAUAGCAAUAGUAACUAGCGAGUAAAUGAUAAAUGUAACUUAAGUUGGAAAUGAUAUUAGAUGCAGGGCCACUAUUCAGGUGUUGGAGAUUAUAAUUCCUAUAGAUGCCUAACUGUUGCAUGCAUGAUAUAUUAGAGCUCAUUCGCUUAACUCAGUGAUCAGCUGUCGCAUGUACCACUGGUUAACAGACUAGAUCUUGUGUCUCACUGGUUAGAUGUAGACACAAGAGAGUGUCGAUCGAUAGUCUAUUAAGACGUCGACCGAUACACUUUUGCCAACAUCGAUCGAUUGUCAGUUGAGGACAUCGAUCGACGGGUUCUAGCCAGGCCUAUGCGCGAGUAUGAAAUGCUCUACUAAGAUUCUAAAUUGGCGGUUAGCCCUCUCUAGCAAUCCUAAUAUGAUAGAUAGAUGUCAGGAUGGGAUAACAAGUGUGCUUGAAUAUGCAAUUCUAUGAUCAAGUUCUAGUUAGCUAGGCUAAAACAAGCAAUGAAUACAAAUCUAUCAUGAAUAUCACAACAAGCCAGAUCUAUAGUUUGGGGCUAAUCCCACAAACCUAUCUGAACCCUGGAUCUAACAAUUGAACUACUCAGACAUAGCAAAGCAAUUUAUAUCAAUAGAUAAAUAGACACUCAUAGAAUAGAUGAUAAAAAAAUGAAACAAGGAGUUCCAAUCACAAGUGAUCUUCUCUCCAAAUGAAACUUGUAACAAAAAUAGGUCUAAAAAAGAAAAGCUCUCUCUGCCGUCAAAACUUAGGCAGUAUAUAUUCUACUAUGUUAAAAACUCGUCAGGGCAUUUUGGUAAUUUGGCUUAGCCUUGGUCUUUAAGUCUGCUGAAUCCAAAAUGUCGCGUCUGGUGUCUCGACAUCGAUCGAUGGUACUUGUGUACAUCGAUCGAUAUUAAUCUUCAUCUGUCGAGGCAUUUCCUGAUAUCGAUCGUCAGCACUGAUGCGCAUCGAUCGAUUAUUCUUCCUCUAGUCGACCUCUAAGUGGUCAGCUCGGGUGAAAUGUCCUUUAUGCUCCAAAAUGCUCCAAAGUCAUAGCUUUACUCCGAAAUGCACCUGAACCUGAAAACAUACCUAGAAGAGUAGAAAGUAUAGAUAUAUAUAUAUAUAUAUAUAUAUAUAUAUAUAUAUAUUGUAAUAUAAUAAUAUACCAUGGAUAAAAAUGGGUCAAAUCCAAGGUAUAUCAAUAGGGCUGGGCGGAUGUGGGUGUUUUGCUGCGAAUUCCUCACAAGUCAUGAUCCUCACAGCUUUGCAAGAUGCGAUGUAUUCCGUAGGUGUUGUCGAGCGAUGUCCAGGAGAGGACGUCGAUCGAUUUUGGAUGACACAUGUCGAUCGAUGUUCGUGGCUUGGCGUCGAUCGACACCAAUGUGAUCCGCGGAAACUCAUCAGACUUUCUACUUCGAAAUCUCCUUCUUGCAGCUUCUCUUCCUUCACCACUUGCUAUAAAUCAUCCCCAAGGAUGGCUUUCACGUGGUGUCUCAUAACAUCAUCUUCUAUCCUUUUUGUUAAGGUUCCUGCCUCUUAACAGCUUCUCAUGUCCGAACAACCUGCAUCUCUAGCUUCUUCACAUGAGUGCUCAAACUUUUUGUUGAGGAAAAAAUUCCAUGAAGAGAUUACUCCAGGUUCCAGGUUCCUUCCCCCGGGUUCCAGGUUCCCGACUCCAGCUUCCAGGGUCCUGCCCCCUGGUCAGGGUCCCGCCUCCGGGUUCCGACUUCUGGCUUCCAAGUUGAAUGGUUUCUCCUACCUUAGACACGAAGAGAUCCUCUUAAAUCCAAGAGAAAAAGGAAGUAUUCCAACAUAUAGGCCGUUCUUAAGAAAAUUGGAAAUAUUCUAUUAUCUAAGGAUACAUUGAAUAUUUCCAAACCCUAGGAGGGGGCACGACCUCCACUAUAAAUAUAGGUUUCUAAACCUAAGGAGGAAGGGGGGGGGGGGAAGACGUCCAUAAACAGACCUCACAAGUUCUACAGCCGCCAAGGCAAUAUUCUAACCCUAGAAGACCUUUUCCUUCGACAUGCCUAUGAUAGGCUGAUCCCGAUGAUUGUUCCCGACAAGAUGAAGUCAUACAUGUGGGAGGGGGCCCAAACUAGCGCCAAACUGUGGGAACCAAAAUUCGCACUGUCGAUUUAUGUUUAAAUUAGGAAAGGGAGUACCCUAGUUUCCCAGAGGUCCCGAAUAUCUAUUAGAACCACAUGCCAAGCAAUCAGAACACGAAACGAAAACAAUAAUAAAACAAGAAAUCGUAAAAAAAGCAAAAAAUGUCUUAUUCCGAAUUCGCAUAUGAGCGUUACAACAAGGUAGAAGCCUAGGCUAUGAAAGCUGUCGGCGAGAUCCCUAGUUCUAACAACCUAAGACUGCAAAAUCUAGUUGAGUCGCAGCUCGAAAUAACAAAUACGAAAAGUUGCCUAAUUGUUCUAAGUGAUAAGUUUGCUGUGUAAAAGUUCUCUUUUCUGCCUCUCACCUAGGACUCCUUAUAUACUCGCUCCUAGGUCGGUUUACGCUUUUCCCGUUCUGCCCUUAAGCCGUCAUAGCUUAAAAAUGGAGAUAUUCCGUCUUUUCCAAUCUUCGUGAUUAUCUUCGGAAACUUCAGAUUUAUCCGCGGAAACUUGACAUUUAUCCUUUUCUUACGAACCAAGCAUAAACCAUCAUAUGGCUUAUGGGCUUUUGGUUAAGAAAUCAUAAGUGGGCUUCGAGCUGCGUUUUAGCCCUCAUUGGGCCGUCUUUGACUCGAGACGUUUAUUACGGUUUCUUCGAUAAAAACAAACUUCCUGCGGUUUUUAUCAUAAAGUUCGAUUGAUGACUCCGAGUGACGAAAAACAUGAAAUGGUUUUGCUAUGGUUUUUGGGAGAUAGCAUUAAAGAGUAGACGAGAAUGCAUGGAUUCGUGUUGUGUCGAUGUUUUAAGAGAGCUCGGUCGCUACGUAGAGACCGAGCCGUGUACGUGCUCGGUCACUACGUAGCGACCGAGCUUGGCCCGAGCUUGGUUGCUACGUAGCUCUCUACUUAAGGAGAAGAAGGCCAGGAAGGCCAAGUCUUCGGAGGUGUGUCGACUUCAACGUCAGAUCGAGAAUGACGUAGGAUCGACGACCGAAGGGAUCGAAGAGGCCAAGGAUGCGCUCCGAGCUGAGUUCCAGGCGCAUUUGGCGAAGAUCUCUGCCUUUAUUGGCUCCCUCGAGUGCAUCCGCAGUAGAGAUUUGGCCUUGGUGACUGUCGAGGGCGGGAUGGCUAUAGUUUGCGCACUCCAGAGGGAGACUCCUCCGUCCUUAAAGGCCGAAGAGACCAGGUUGUCCGAUUGUAAGGGAGAUUCGGCGGCCGUAGAUGGGGAUUUUGAUCUCGUCCUGGCUGACCUGAAAUCCGCGUGCUUCCUCCCGACGUGUUCAAAAGACCCAGAGGGGAAAGAUCCCAUGGUCGGGGAAAAUGGAGGCGACGCGGCCCCGAGCAUGGACGAGGUGAUGGGCGAAGAGGAGGCUUGACUUCAGAAGAUGGCCAUGGUAACGAUCUCUCGUGAGAGAUUUUUUUUUUGUUUAUGUUUAUGUUUUGGCCUUGUAUCGCCUUGUUUUAUAUUUCGGGACUGGCCGUUUGUGGCUUUGAUUCCCUGCCGCUCUGCGGCUUUUGUUAUUUUUUUUUAUGAAUGGAUAAUCAGUUUGCGUUUACGUGAGUAAGUGUAUGGAAGGCGGAUUAUGAGUUGUCGUCUCAUAUCUCUUUCCGAUGUGAAAUGCUUUAUUCGCGAUCUGUUUCGAGCGUUUUCCGCGAAAUCCUAAUUUUGCGGGAUAUCUGAAGACGUCAAAUGUAAGCAUCGAGACAUGUUUUAGGAUCUCAUGUCUUCUUUUCGAUAUCAUGCCUUGAGAUGUUAAGACCAGUGCGAUGGGUUUAGGGUAAGACCUAGGUUUACUUUCGGUUUUAAGAUUUAUGCGGUGACUGGCCGACUAUUGAUUUUCUUGCUGUGAUUUUAACCUGACUCGUAACGAUUUAAAGUCCGCGAUAUGUUCUCGGCUUAUACGACUUGUCUGAUACAAAUCGAGCAUCUCUCCAGAGACGACUUUUAAGCCAACUGGAAGUGCUUGACCAAAAUUUCGGAUUUCUUUUGUAGCGAUAUUAUCCUUGUGUCGGAUGUACGAGGGUCAUCUUCGUGAGAUGCUGUUUCUGUUUAGGACGUUUAAGAGUUCGAUGUGAUCAGCAACGAACUUGUGGUAGAUAUUACCAUUUGGGUCUUCGCGAAGAAUAUGUGUUUUGCGGAGAUGUUAGUGCGUAUAUCAUUUUUCAAUAGUUUCGUUUUGUCGGAUGGGAAACAACUUCUUAGCGAUUUUUGCAAUGUCUAACAGCGCCGGAGGUUGAUUUGUCCCUAAUGACUGGUUUACUUGCGAGUUUUUUCAGGACUCGGAUAUAAUUUGUUGGAUGAAGAUGAUUUGCUCGGUUUUGAAGGGUAUAAGUUUCAGAAAUAUCGAGGGCGUGGUGGGAUAUUUUGAACUUUGGAGUAUGCGAGUAUACGUACCCACUCCCCCCCCCCCUUUUAGAUAGGGGGGACAGCUGAAUUCGUCUUUCGACAAACUGCCUACGUACCCCUUAUGGAGAUCAAGCCGUCUCGUAGUUUGGUUGUUGCGAAGUGGUUUAUUUAGUGAUAGUAUUUUUUGAGAUGCAUUGCGUUCCAGGUUCUCGGGAUUUUUACGCCUUGCAUGUUGGCUAUCUCGUAGGAGCCUGGUCGAACGACUUUUACGAUCUUGUAGGGUCCUUCCCAGUUCGUUCCAAGUUUUCCCGCGUUUUGUUCAGCGGUGUUUUGGAAUAAUUUGCGAAGAACCAACUCUCCUUCGUUGAAUCUGCGAUUCCGUACGUUGGAAUGAUAAUAUUUUGCGGCUGCGUGUUGGUAAUUCUGCAUUCAGACGAGCGCUCGAUCCCGGCGCUUGUUAACGAGGUCAAGAUCGUCUAGAAGCAUAGCGUUAUUGGGCUCUUCUCAUUCGGGCAAUAAUCUCCUUCACACACCAGGGAACUCGACUUUUGCGGGAAUCAUGCAUUAUGUCCCGUAGACGAGGGCAAAAGGUGUUUCUCCUGUUGCUCGUCUUUGGGUUGUGGGAUGUGUCCAGAGGACUCCCUCGAGUUCGUCUACCCACCUGCAUUUUUUGGCGUCUAGACGGUUCUUAAGUCCGUCUAGAAGGGUCUUAUUGAUCGUCUCGGCUUGUCCGUUUUAUUGCGGGUAUCUGGGAGUCGACUUGUUUAGUCGUAUCUUCCAUUUUUCACAAAACGCUUCGAAUCGGGUGGAGAUGAACUGAGAUCCUUUCUCAGUUACGAUUUCGUAAGGAAUUCCAUGUCUACAAAUAAUGUUUUUCCAUACGAAAUUUUCAACUUGAACAUCUUUGAUACUUGCGUACGAGUCUGCCUCUACCCACUUUGCGAAGAAAUCUGUGAGGACUAAGAGGAAACGCUUUUGCUUUGAAUUGAGAAGGGGUCCGACGAUAUCCAUGGACCAGCACAUGAAAGGAUACGGCGACGUGAUGAAAAAAAAUAACUUCUGCUGGUUUUCGGAUGGUCGGAGCAUGCUUUUGGUAUUUUCUGCACUUUCGUGCGAAUUUCUCACAAUCCUCCGAUCAUCGUUGGCCAGUAGUAUCUGUGGCGUUUGAUUUUUACUGCUAGUGACCUUCCACCGGAAUGGUUUCCGCAGGACCCAGAAUGGACUUCUUCCAUGACGUUUCUCGCUUUUUGUCCUUCCAAACACGUCAUGAGUGGUCUGGAAAGUUUCCAUUUGUAAAUUUCACCGUCGACCGUUACGUAACGCGCGGCCUGCGUUCAGAUUUUACGGGCCGCCCAUUUUUUGGGAGGUAACUUUCCAUCGGUGAUGUAGGCUCGAAUCGUUUCCAGCCAUGGCGUAUUGUAGCCGUAGUUGGAUUGUUCUGAUUUCUCCUCCGGCUGUCCUGCGACCUCUUCUACAUCGUCGUCUUGAUCCCCGAUGAGGUUGAUGAUGAUUGGUGGUGCGAUACUCGGGUGUUCGAUGAAUUUGACCGGAAUCACUCUUUUAAGACCUGGGUCGGAACUCGAUGCCAGGGCUGCGAGAGCAUCGGCUUGGACGUUCUCAGAACGGGGGAUUCGCGUAAGAGCGAAGCAAUCAAAUUCUUUGGCUAGAUUCUGGACCAGUUUGAGAUACGCAUCCAUUCUUUCGUCCCUCGCUUCGUAUUCUCCGCUAUAUUGACUUGCAACUAGCUGAGAAUCACAGUAGGCAUGGAUGUUACGUAUCCUCAAUCGGUGAGCUAAACGUAGCCCUGAAAUGAGUGCUUCGUACUCGGCCUCGUUGUUGGAUGCGUGAAAUUCCAAUCUGAAUGAUUGUUCUAAGAUUUCACUGGUUGGUGAAGUGAGGCGGAUUCCGAUGCCCAAUCCUUGCUUAGAUGAGGAUCCGUCCACGUGAAGAAACCAGGUUGAAUUUGGUUCCUUGUUGGUCACGGUCCCCGUUGGUCACGGUCCCCGUUGGUCACGGUCUCUGUUGGUCACGGUCCCAGUUGGUCACGGUCCCCGUUGGUCACGGUCCCUGUUGGUAGUUCGACUAAAAAAUCUGCGAGUACCUGGGAUUUCGCGCUUGUACUCGGUCGAUAUUCGAUAUCGUACUCGGUCAACUUGACUGCCCAUUUGGCUAGUCGGCCCGACUGACUGGGCUGUGCAGAAUCGUCCGUAGGGAGAAAGUCGUGAGGAUGACGAUUGUGUGUGAUUGGAAAUAUGGUCUUAGCUUUCGCGCCGAAGUUACAACUGCGUAUGCUAGUUUUUCCAUCAACAGAUACCUUGACUCAGCAUCUAGCAAUGUGUUGCUUAUAUAAAAAAUAGGUUGAUGUUCGCCGCGCUCUUCCCUGAUUAGACGCCGCUCACAGCCGUUGCUGAUACUGCGAUAUAUAAGAACAAGGGUUCUCUUUCGACAGGUUUUGCGAGAAUUGGAGGAGUGGCCAAGUAUCGUUUCAACUGUUGAAAAGCAUUUUCGCACUCUUCUGACCAUUCAAAUUUUUUAUUCCCCCGCAAGAUAUCGUAGAAAGGUAGGCACUUGUCUGUCGACCUGAGAUGAAUCGGUUAAGUGUUGCGACUCUACCGGUCAAUCUCUGGACUUCCCGUUUAUUCUUGGGUGAAUCCAUCUCGAUAAAUGCAUUGAUCUGUUUUGGAUUAGCUUCGAAACCACGGGAUUUGACUAGGUAUCCGAGGAAUUCUCCCAAUGCUACGGCGAAUCUGCAUUUUACCGGGUUGAGCUUCAUGUUAUGGGAAUUCAGUUGUGCGAAACAUUCCUCAAGUUGAGAUAAGUGAUCUCUUGCCUGGGUAGAGCUCGUGUGUUGUAUAGCAGAUAGGAGCUAUCCCGAUGGUGUGCAGCGUUUCGAACACGUCCUCGUCGAUCCCAAGAUCAGCCAAAGUCUCCGCGUGGCAGAAACGAGUGGGUAACAUGUCAACCCGGAGGAUGGCGUUGUAGCGCGCUGCUGUCCCCUUAUCCCACCCCUCGCAGUUGAAAUCCAAGAGCAAUGGGCUGUCGAGAUCAAUUGGUUCACCCUCUUGUUCCCGGGGCCAUGGGUAGGUCGCAGAGGUUUGUUGAUGUGCUUGAGGGGGUGGCGUGUUGCAUGUAGCUUUCUUUCACUUGGCGGAUUGCUUAGUUUUGGCCAUCGAGUUUUUGCGAUUUGGAUGGGGACUGUCGAGCCUCGUACCUGUAGAAACUGGUGAAGUGAACUGCAAAGACAGAGAGAACUCGAAAUUCCAAACGAGUGAGAAGCCAAAACCACUUAAAACGGUUGAGAAUCAAAGAUUUUGUGGUUGCUUAAAAAUCGCAGGGGGAAGGGUCACUGUGCGGCACAGUGAAAGGGGAAAGUGGAAGGGUGAAGCCUUAAAUAGGAAAAACCCUAACUACCCCCGAAUUUUUUUAUUUAUUUAUUUUUUUUUUGGUUCGGAACACUUACAUGGAAUAGUCAAUGGGUUGUUCUACCAGAAGAACAGUUCUUUGGUUGUUCUGACUGAAGAGUCCAACUUUUUUUUCUUAUUUUUGACCUACAAAAUAAAUCUGAAAAGAAAUAUAAUAAACUAUGGAAAUCAAUGUACAUACUAACCAGUGGGUUGCCUCCCACCAAGCGCUUGGUUAAAGUCAUUAGCUUGACUUGGAUCAGCCUAAUGGGGGAUCGCUUAGGACUCUUCUCCCUCUGCGAUGGUGGAGUCAGCAAGGUAAUGCCUGACGCGCUGUCCGUUCACUACGAACUCGUCUCCUUUUCUGUCCAGUAACACAACGGCUCCGUAGGGUCGAACUUCCUUAACAGUGAAGGGCCCCGACCACCUAGACUUUAACUUGCCUGGGAACAAUCUCAGCCUCGAAUUGAAAAGCAAGACCUUAUCGUUGGGUUCGAAAUGUCUCGCAAUAAUUCGCUUGACAUAGUAGGCCUUGGUCUUCUCCUUGUAAAUUUUGGAUCUUUCAUAGGCGAGGUGCCUUAUCUCCUCCAGCUCAAGAUUAGAAUCAUGCGUCUCUCGGUUGCUGGCUUGAUGUCAAAAUUCAGUAGCUUGACUGCCCAUGCAGCCUUGUAUUCGAGCUCGACAGGGAGGUGACAUGCCUUACCAUAUACCAGGUGAUAGGGGGUCGUCCCUAGCGACAUUUUGUUGGCUGUUCUGUAGGCCCAUAGUGCAUCGUCCAGCUUAAGUGACAAGUCCUUUCGUGACGUGUUGACAGUUUUCUGGAGGAUGCUUUUGAUCUCCCUAUUGGAAACCUUAACCUGUCCACUCGUCUGUGGAUGAUAUGUGGUUGCCACCUUGUGCUUUACUCCAUUCUUCGUCAGGAGGCCCUGAAAUGCCUUGUUGAUGCAGUGUGUUCCACCAUCGCUAAUUUCCACCCGAGGCACUCCAAAUCUCGGAAAGAUGAUGGCUGUUCUGUAGGCCCAUAGGGCUCGCCAUCGCUUCUACCCACUUAGAUACAUAAUCUACGGCGACGAGGAUGUACUCAUUCUUGAAGGACGGAGGAAAUGGUCCCAUGAAAUCGACUCCCCAAUCGUCGAAUACUUCAACCUCUAGAAUGUAAUUCUGAGGCAUCUCAUUCCUCUUGCUGAUUUUCUCAAGUCGCUGGCAUGCAUCGCACCUGGCUAUGUAGGCGUGAGCAUCCCUGAACAUUGUUGGCCACCAGAAUCCUGCUUGAAGGAUUUUGGAAACCGUUCUGAAUGUAGCGAAGUGGCCUGCGUAAGAUGAACCAUGGCAGUGAUGUAGGAUUCCGGGAAUAUCUGCCUCUGGAACACACCUUCUGAAUAAGCCAUCCUUUCCAUGUCUGUACAAGAACGGUUCAUCCCAAACAUAAUGCCUCGCCUCCCUUAAAAUUUUCCUCUUGUCGUUUCCGGUGAAAUUAAGAGGUUGCUUUUCAGCAGCUAGAAAAUUCACAAUUUCAGCAAACCACGGGAGGUUAGAGUACUGCUUUUGGAUCACUUUGACCGGAUAUUCCGCGAUGUGAGAACAAUCGGGUCUCCUUCCCAGAGGUUGUUCUGCGAUGCUGGAACAGUCUGAUGUGAUUCCCAGAGGUUGUUCCGCGAAACGCAGACCAACCACGUUGAUGUGUUCCACUGGGUGUUCUUCAUCAAGAGUUGUGUCGUCCUCAAUAUUCCUUCUGGACAGGUGGUCUGCAACCCCAUUCUCGCCGUGAUUUUGUCUAAGCGAUUGUUGAAGAAUGCCAGCCUUGGGAGACUCCUCUCUUAUCCUUUAUCUCAAGAUCGAAUUCUUGGAGGAGAAGAAUCCACCUUAACAACCUCGGUUUCGCAUCUUUCUUUGUGAGCAGAUACUUAAGAGCAGCAUGGUCUGUGUGCACAAUCACCUUAGAUCCCACCAGGUAGGAUCUGAACUUCUCGAAUGCAAAAACAAUAGCCAGAAGUUCUUUCUCUGUCGUAGCGUAUCUGCACUGAGCUUCAUCCAUAGUUUUGCUUGCGUAAUAGAUCACAUGAAGUUUCUUAUCCUUGCGCUGCCCAAGUACUGCUCAAACUGCAAAGUCGCUUGCAUCAGUCAUGAUUUCAAAGAGGAGAUCCCAGUCUGGCGGUUGCACAACAGGUGCGCUGACUAGAGCUCCUUUGAUGGUGUGGAACGCAGCUAGACACUCACUGUCGAAAUCGAACUUGAUCUCCUUGCAGAGCAGUCUGGUGAGUGGUCUCGCUAUCCUUGAGAAAUCCUGGAUAAAAUGUCUGUAAAACCCAGCGUGACCCAUGAAACUCCUGAUGGCUUUCACAUUUGUUGGUGGUUGCAAACUCCUCAUCACCUAGAUCUUUGCCUUAUCCACCUCAAUGCCUUUCUCGGAGAUCUUGUGCCCCAGAACAAUCCCAUCUGUGACCAUGAAGUGGCACUUCUCCCAAUUGAGCACCAGAUGUUUCUCCUCACACCUUUUUAGUACUCUGCACAAUUUUGACAAACAGACACUAAAGGAGCUUCCAUAGACACUGAAAUCAUCCAUAAAAACUUCCAUAAUGUCUUCAAUCAGGUCAGUAAAGAUUGACAUCAUGCAGCGCUGAAAUGUUGCUGGCGCAUUGCACAAGCCGAAUGGCAUUCUCCUGGAAGCAUACGUUCCGUAGGGGCACGUGAACGUCGUCUUUUCCUGAUCAUCUAGAUGGAUAGGGAUCUGUAAGAAACCUGAAUAACCAUCUAAAAAGCAAUAAUAUUGGUGGUUAGCCAAUCUCUCAAGCAUUUGAUCAAUAAAAGGGAGUGGAAAGUGAUCCUUUCUAGUUGCUGCAUUUAGUUUCCUGAAAUCAAUGCACAUGCGAUGUCAUGUCACUAUCCUAGUAGGGAUCAAUUCAUUCUUUUCAUUCGUGAUAACAGUGAUCCCACCUUUCUUAGGUACUACAUGAAGAGGGCUAACCCAUUUACUAUGAGAUAUGGCAUAGAUCACACCUGCUUCAAGAAGUUUCAUAAUCUCUUUCUUAGCAACAUCUUUUAGAUUCGGGUUUAACCUCCUCUGAUGUUCGACAGAAGUCAUUGAUUCAUCUUCUAGUUGUAUUCUAUGCAUGCAUAAAUCAGGUGAAAUGCCAGGUAUGUCAGCUAGUGAAUAUCCUAAUGCCUUACGUUAUUUCCUAAGCUCACACAAAAGCAAUGCAGUUUCCACAUUAUUUAGUUCAGCAUUCACAAUGACAGGAUAGGUGGAAUUUGGACCUAAGAAAGCGUACCUGAGCCCCUUAGGAAGGGGUUUUAGCUCAACCUUGGGAGCUUUAAGCUCGCUCCAGGGGUCCUUUGGUUGGUUCGACAGAACAGGCGAGUUUGGUGUAGGGGUCGCUCCAGCUGGGGUGGUGUCGUCCCUGUUGCUCUCCUCCCCCAGCUUAGACUCGCUACCAUUCUUCCCAUACUCCUUGUGGAGUCAAGCAUCUUGGCAUACCCAUGUGCAUCAAUGUUUACGACACUCUGCUCGGCCUCAGCUCUUACUAAUGCAAGCUCCAGUGGGUCUUCGGUAAGAAUCUCCUCGAUCAUUCCUUCGCGAGGUUGGAGCGGAUUAAUCCCUUCAUCAACCUCAAAGGUCUGCCCAUCCAACAUCGGCUUCUUUAGCAACUCAUCUAUCUCGAAUUGCAUAACUAUGUCCCCAAGAUUCAGAUCAAUCUUCCCCUGUCGCACAUCAAUGAUGGCUCCAACAAUACAUAAGAAUGGUCUUCCCAAGAUGAGAGGAUCUUUAGACUCUUCUUCCAGCUCCAGAACAACGAAGUCUGCUGGAACAGAGGUGUUUCCAACUUUUACUUGGAGAUCCUCUAGAAUACCGACCGGAGAUUUGACUGAUCUAUCUGCGAACACCAAGGACAUCUUAGUUGGUUUGAAAUGCGUGUAUCCUAGACGUCGAGCUACAGAGUAGGGCAUGCAGUUCUACAGAGUAGAAUUGCAUUGCACUCCUUAGGAUUUUUGUCUGUUUUACCAGGUAGAACACCAAGGACAUCUUAGUUGGUUCACGCUGGAUCCAAGAUCAACCAAGGAGCAUGCAAAAACUGUUUUCCCAAUCUGGAUAGGGAUGACGAACUUGCUGGGGUCUCCUCGCUUCUUUAUCUAUCUGUUAUGAAGCACUGCACUGCACUCCUUAGAAACUGUCAUGAAUUCGCUCUCCUCUGAUAUUUUUCCUGAGAUCAAUCCUUUCAUAAAGCUGCGCAUGGAGGGCAUCAUUUGGAUCACAUCCAUCAGGGGGAGUCGGACGAUUAGAUCCUCCAGCAUCUUCCUGCACUUCAUCUCCUCUAUGUCCUUACGAGUACCCUUUGCUGGAACAGGGUAAGGGACUUUAGGAAUGUAUUCGCGAGGAGGAACAACCUCUGGGAUUGGGCGAACAGCUUCAGCUGGUUGUUCUGGCCCUGGUGAACUUGUUUCAACUGCUGGUUCUGUAUUCCCCUCUACUGCCAGGGUAUCGGCUGGUAGUUGUUCCGACUCUUUCUGCUUCCCUUUCUCAGCCGUGGUGAACCUCCUCUUCUCCGGCUUGGAAAGUUGCUUCCCGCUCCUUAGCUGAACUGCAUUGCACUCCUUAGGAUUUUUGUCUGUUUUACCAGGUAGAGUACCUUGCUGCCUCUUGACACUCUCAACAGUCUGAGCUAUCUGAAUGUCCAUGUGUCUCAUAUGGCUCGCGACAUUAUCAUACUUGGUGCUCAAAUCUCCAAACAUAUGGUUCAUUUUGGUAUUAAUCUCGGUAGUAACCUGGUUUAGAGCUUUCCCUUGGAGCUGUUGUCCUUGGUGUAGCUGCUGCAACAUAGUUUUGUUUCAUCUUGCGGAACCGCGACAGAGGCGGAAGUAGCAGGCUGAGUGUUCUGGUGCUUCUGCAUCUGAGGUUGAUUGUUCUAUGGUUGGCUUAGAAAAUAGGUUCGGGGUUGGUAGUUCUUUUGAUACCCCGCAUACUGACCUUGACUGCUCUGUGCCGGAUCAACCGGUUUCUCCUGCUUAGGCCAGAAAAGUUGUGGAUUGUUCCUUACGUUAGGGUUUGGGUGGUAGUUCUUUAGCUGCCACCCUUGCCCAUUUACGUAGCUCACUUCCUGCUGAUCUUCUCCUGCUUGUUCAGCUUCAAACGCCUUGUCGCCUGCACUCUUCUUAGGAGUUGCUUCUUCCAUUAUGAAAACUUGGCUCUGGUUUCCCUUAAGCAGUUGGUCCACCUUCGCCGCAAGAUCAUCUAUAUUGUUCACACUUUUGGAGCGAUCGUGCUCCUUGUUCUUGUUGAGUGAACUUGAAGCCAUGUUCUCAAUCAACGCGAACGCACUAGGUGUGGUUUGAGUCAUGAGGUCUCCGUUACUAGAAGAAUCAAGGGUGUUUCGGAACACAUAGCUCACUCCAUCAUAGAACACCUCCAAUAUGUAAUCAUCAUCAGACCCAUAGUGUGGGCACUCUCUCUGGUACUCCUUGUACCUUUCCCAAGCUUCAUGAAAGGUUUAUCAGAUUUCUGCUUGAAAUUGGAGAUUCUAUGCCUUAGAGCCGUGGUUUUGGACUUUGUGUAGAAGUGGCUUAGGAAUGCUGAUCGAACCUGGUCCCAUGAGGUGAGAGAACCGGUUGGGAGAGAUUGCAGCCAGCGAGAAGCUUUCCCUUCAAGAGAGAAUGGGAACAGCGAGCAUUUGACAUAAUCUGGUGGCACUCCAUUAGAGCAAGAGAAAUUGCAGAUCCUCUCAAAGGCCUCUAUGUGGUCCAUUGGAAUGUCUGAAGUGAGGCCGCUGAACGUGCUCUUCUGUACCAGACCUACCAGUGCAGGUUUGAUCUCAUAAUCUUGUAGAGUACAGGGUGGAGAGCUGAUGGGGGAGAAGUUAGUAGCGAAGUUUGGCGGAAGGUUUCGCUCCCUAAUAAGAGCACCACGCUCUUCUCGUGUGGCGUUCUCGGCUGCUUGGUCCUCAGCAGUUUGUUGCUGAUUUUGGAUGGUUUGCUGCAUCUGCAACAUCUGUUGUUGCUGAGUCUGUAUUUGUUGUUGAAUGAGUGCCAAUGCAGCAGUGAGGUCAUCCAUGUUGACGUGAUCACCCAUGUUGGUGUUGGUUGUUCUUGGCUGUUGACGGUUCUGUCUUUCUAAUCUUGUGAGUUCUUUGUUGGUCAGUUGAUGUAGUGGUCCUUGUGCUUUGCUCCGAGUAUGUCUACUGGUCAUGCACUUGGAUCAUCUGUUCCAACAAAGAAAUAAAGCAAGUUAGAUAUCUCACACUAAAUAUUAAACCGAAAAAGAAAGGUAAAGCUUAGUCCCCGUCGCAACGGCGCCAAAACUUGGUACACUAAAAAUGAAUCCUUGCUACUGUCAAGUUAACAGUGGUAAUUGUAAUAUUUGAGAUUCAAUCCUGAGGACCAGUUUACUUUUUACUCUUAUGAGUUCAAUAAUAAGCUGAGAAACAAGUGGGGUUUUGGGAAUUCAUUGUGACGCAAGUAACUAGAAUACCUAGAUGGUUCAAAUUUGAUUUAAAUGAAGCCGGCUUAGGGUUAUUAAUCGGAUGUCAAUGCAGAACUGAACAACUAUUCAAGUGCAAUGAGGUGCACUCUAGAAUUCAGAUCACUCGGCUAGAACAAUCCACUAUCGUGGUCUUGCUCCCUUUGCAUAUCGGUCUUGAAUCCUAAGUUCUCACUUGGAACAAGACACGAUAACAAGCCUUAGAGACAAGAUCUGAUUAGUUCACGUAAUACCCUAAUAUCUACUCUCGCUGAUUAGGGAUACAAAGCUCAUUCAAUAUAUGUCAAUUUAUCUCCUAAGCGGUUAGCUAGGUGAUUAAAUCAGAGAUCGACAGUUCAUGCGGCUAACACCCUACAACCCUAAGCAAGCUUAGCCUACUACUCAAUCAUAAAGCAGGAUGACACAAACAUGGUUUCUGAAUAAUACUGCAUAUAAAAUAAAGUAGAAAGACAAGGGUUCAGGAUGAUCUUCUCGUGAGAAUGAGAGAUGAAGCCUUCUCCCUUACAAGUUGCUUAAUCCAAAGAAAAUAGUUAUAGGUCUCUUGCAAAAACUAGCGUCCGAAAAAGAAAUGAUAGCAUAGGCCUUUUUAUAUGGAGGCGCUGGUGGUAAAGAGAUAAGAGAGAGUGGAAUCUAGGGCAAACUUCCAGAAUUGGAACUUUCCUUAAUGAUCGGGAACAGUCAAACGCUUGUUCUCUUCGGGAACAACCUUCGGGUUGUUCUAGAUGACUGUUCCGCAUCGAAUCCUUCAAAACGGCAUCCGACUUCCAGAAUCUCUCUUCUUUACUCUUUCACCUGCUCCAAACCUGGAAUGAUAUCAAUUAAACACGAAUUAGGACUUAGAAUUAGCUCAAAGCACACAUAUAAUGGUACUAAAAACACCAUAUAUCAUGGUUCGGGUGGUUUGGUUGGGAUCCAUAGUCGCGCUUAGGAAACUUAGAUCGGUUUCUUAGCAAAGAUGUUUUUCAUUUAUCUUUCCACAGUCGGUGCCAAAAUGUAGAACCUAAAAUCUACACUAAGUAUUUGAAAGUGAUCGGGAGUUUGAUCUAGGGAAGAUAAAAGAUGUAGGCAACAAUAUCUUUAGAAAACAACGAUGUUAAUAGUUUCCAGUAGGCAAAAAUGGACUUUAUUGAUGAAUAGGACCGAAUACAAUAAGUUGAACUAGAUUGAAUUACACAAGUGAGAUCGUUAAAGAAAAGGAUCUAAGAACAGGAGAAAACAAAGUCGAUGUAUGUGUGUAGCUCUCUCUCUAGGGUUUUCAACGUGUUCUUCUUCAUGUCCCUUCUCAUUUCUUUAUAGCGAGUCGACUUCGCGAUCUCUGUAGCUGUUCUGCGACCUUUGUAACUGCUCCGCGAUCUUAGUAACCGCUCCGCGAUCUCUGGGGGCCUCGACUUCUUUGCUUUUGAGCUCGGUUGCUUGCUACGGGUUUUGAUCCUUACAGCACAUCACUUUGAUCGUGGCCCGUUAAGGUAUUACCCAAAAUUGGGUCCAACAUCUGGGAUGUAACGAACUUCACUCAAUGUGACCGAUGAUCCAUCUUUGUUGUCUAUGGUUAUUUUUCCCAUUCCUCAAACUAUGCACAAUGAGUUGUGACCCAUCAUCACUUUAUUCCCGUCAUAUUCCACAAACUCUGAUAGAAGAUCCCUUUGUUGCGUGAUAUGAAAAGUGCAACCUGAUUCCAACACCCACUCUUCAUUUGAUACCAUCAGACUGUCUGUCAGGGCUAUUAACCCUGGAAGAUUCUUUGCCACGUUUGCUGAGUUUUCUAAAUUUGAGGAGUGAGAUGUUUUUUGUGUUCUGGACAGUCUCGUUUCCAGUGUCCAUCGCUUCCACAUAUCCAACAAGUUUUAUCUUGUUUUACAUUCUACUUUCCUAUUGACCUGAAUCUGCUCUUUCGUUUGCUGUUCCAUUGCUUGUUAUUUCUUGAGUCAUUUCUGGUCGAUGUUCUUCCCCUUGACUCACUGUAAAGACCCUUUGAGUGUAUGCCUCUUGUUGUCAACCCCUUCUGCUUUAUCUCUGCCUCUUUUGAGUAUGCCAUAGUGAUGACUUUGUUGACUGUCAGCAUGUCUUUCCGGUUCCAUAUUGUAUGGUAUGUACCAAUGGCUCACAGGCUGUAGUCAGCCCAGAGAGUAGUUGAAUGGCUUGAUCCUCGUCUGAGAUGUCGAUCUUGAUACUUGCCAAAUCAGCUAGAAGCUUUAGGAAAGAGUCAAAGUUCUCUUCCAUUGGUUUAUUUUCUUCCAUCCUGAAGCAAGAAAACUUCUUCUUGAGAUAUAUUCAGUUUGGCAAAGACUUUGUUUGGUAGUCUCUCUCAAAUUCUUUCCCCAUUCUAAGAGAUAUAGUCUCAUUCAUAAUCUUCAUCAAGAUCAAAUCACUGGGACAAGUGGUGAAUAGACUCCUAGCUCUUAGAUAUCUUUCUGCCUUCUUUAGGUCUUUCUUUACUUCGACACCUUCCUCUAGCUUUGCUAUAUCAAAUUCAAAAGUGGUUUCUUUCUAAAGUACUGAUACCAGGCCUUGAAUCGCUAACUGUGUCAUCAUCUUAAAUUUCCAAAGUCCAAAGUCACCGUUCCUAUCGAACUUCUCGAUCUCGAACCUCCCUGGCGUCGGAUCCAUCCUCUUUGAUGUGUGAUUCCUCGCUUCUUGUCACUUGCAGAUAACCAAGAAAACAAUCCCACAACAACUAGAUGCACAACCAAAGAUUCAAGAUCAGAUCGAUUUAGUAUAAGAGUAGAAUUGAACUUCCUUUAUAAUCCCAAUCAACCUCUUCUCGUUGAUUGGUGCUCCUCGAUCUUUACUCCUCGUAGAACCAGAUCGUUCUUCUGAAUCCGGACCUCGAUCAUGUCUUCUGAAUCCUUUGAAUGCUCUAGCCUAGCUCUGAUACCACUUGUAGAAUAAUCUGAUACACACUUGUAUUGUAUCUCAAUGAUCUCUCUUGACUAUCGAACGCUUUGAUUCUAUCGAUCUCUCACGUCUCUCGUAGUUUGAAGAUCGCGACUCCACUCACACACUCGAAAACCCAGAACGCAACACGAAAGAAAACAAUUGACAAGAAAACACCCAAAGUUUUAGAGUUCCCCAGAUUUUGGGUACAUCUCCUUCAGGAUCGGUACCUGGAAUUCGUUAUCUCUUUGGAGUGUUACACGAGAUUCUUUACAACAAUGGCAGAAUCAUCUGCUUCGGUACCUGGAUAACAUGAGAAGAAGACGAGGCUGUUAGGUUGUUAUGAGGUGUUAUCCUCUGCUUCUCAUCCUUCUCCUUUUAUAUGCACAUGUAACUUCAGCUCCUGGGUUUCACUCUUUCACCAGAGGCCGAGCAUAAUCUUUAUCGCUCUUCUUUAUUAUUGACGUCCAGGCCCAGUUGUCAACGACAGGCCCAGUCCAGAUCAACUCAGUCACUUGCCAAUCUCACAUAGAAUAUUUUUGGAAUAUAACUUUUUUAUAUGUUUUAAAAAUUAUGUAUUGCCAUUUUUGAUCUACAUUAAAUAUGUAUUGUCAUUUUUUUUUGUCAGCAAACAAAGCAGACUCAUGUAGACUCUGCGAACCACCCCGAUAGCUCUGCAUCCAUAUGGACGACAAAUGACGGUUGCUUUCUUGCACUGCGUGCGAGACUGUCCGCCUUUGAGUUUUGUGUCUGUGGUAUAUGAAUGAUCUCUGAGCUGUUAAAACUCCUCUUUAAAACUUUUAUGUCUUCCAAAUAGCUUGCAAAGGCUGGCCACUCUUCUGGUUCCGACACCAUCUUCACCAAUUGAGCACUAUCUGUUGCAAAAGUAACCCAUGCUUGUCUAAGAUUCCUCAUACAUUCCAUUGCCCAUAUAAGGGCCUCUAUCUCUGAGUGUAGUGGCGACUGACUCGCUCUCGUGUUCCUUGCUCCCAUUAGUCCAUCGUAGCCUUCCAGGGUACUAUACCAUCCUUGCCCUGAAAAGCUAUCCUCAUUUUUCCAAGAUCCGUCUGUAAAACACCAUCUACCUGGUAUACUCGUUAUUAUCGAAGAUACAUGAAUUUGGGUGCGUUCCAUGUCUUGAGUCUGAGAAUUUUGUGCUUCCACCCAAAGUAACGAUUCCAUUUCUGCCAGUUUAAGAGUAUCUCUCGGGUCCAUAUCCAAAUUGCUAAAAACUUUAUUGUUUCUACCUUUCCAUAUAUACCAGAGAAUCCAAGCAAAUGAAUGAUCCUCCAUUUCAGGAGAAAGUCUCCAAAAUAAAUGAUCCAUAUUGGUAAACAAAGAUUGAGUGGGAAAAAUAUUUGGAUUCAUCGGGAUCCGUGAAAGUGCCCAGACCUGAACCGCCGGUGGACAUUCAAAAAACACGUGAUUAGCUGAUUCCUCGGGAGCACCACAUCGGUCACAAACAGUAUCUCCUUGCAUUCCUCUUGACCUCAAAUUUUUCUUAACCACUAUACAUCCCGUCAAUAGUUGCCAUAAACAAUGUUUCAACUUGGGUGGGCAGCGUAACUUCCAACAGAACGUCUUCAAAGGUGUUAUCGAAGGGCCAAACUGGGGUGGCAUUAUUUCUCUAUCCGGAUAUACUCGUUCCACUUCAUAUCCAGAUUUAACCCUAUAUUUUCCAUUCUUUGUAAAAUGCCAUCCAUUCCGGUCUUCUAGAUGAGAUCUACUGAUAGGAAUACUUUGAAUAAUUUUCACAUCUUGCGGAUCCACCAGAGCCCGAAUAACCUGUAGGUUCCAUGAUCGUGACGUUCCAUCGAUAAGAGCAUCCACUGUUAGGUCCGGGUAAAGAUUGUGUUGAUUUUUAUUUGCUGGUCUCGGGCGAGUGGAUGGAAGCCAAGGGUCAUUCCAUACUGAUAUAGAUGAUCAUGUUCCCACCCUUUGAUUAGUCCUAUGCUAACCAGAGAUCUAGCAGAGACAAUACUACCCCAACCAUAAGAUGACAAGUAUGAUCUAAUGGGUUCCAGGGGUGAAGCAUUCCUGAAAUAUCUCCCUUUGAAUACACGAGAAAAUAAAGUAUUCGGUUUGUCCAUUAAUCUCCAAAAUUGUUUCCUAAGCAUAGCUGUAUUAAAAUCUGUGAGAUCUUUGAAUCCCAAACCUCCAUCGUCCUUAGAGCUACACAGUUUGUCCCAUGAUUUCUAAUGCAUACCUCUCUUGUUACCCCCUGGACUCCACCAGAACUGUGCUACAGCACUAACUAAUUUCUUCAUUGUUUAGCAAGGCUAUAACCACAGAUUUUAUAAUCACUUCCUUACCCCCUCUGGUGAAAAACUUAAAAGUCCAACCAUUUACUCUGCUAUUUAGACGCUCCUGAACAAAUCCAAAAACUUGCACCUUUGAUCCUCCCAUAUUUUCUGGGAUGCCCAAAUAAGACCCCAUUCCUCCUAAAUUAUGUAUACCUAAGAUAUCUCGAACUUCCUGUCGUGUAGCUUCUGCAAUCUUGUGUCCAAAUUGAAUCGAAGAUUUUUCAAAAUUUAUUUGUUGUCCUGAAGCCCCUUCAUAUUCUUUGAGAAUCCUAAGAAUUGUCUGACAUUCUUCCUUCUGAGCUUUGCAAAAGAAAAGGCUAUCGUAUGCAAAUAAUAAAUGGGAAAUUGGGGGGCAGGCCCUAGCAACCUUUAGACCCGUUAGUUGCUUAUUUCGUUCUGCCUUUUUAAUAUUUGCGACCAAUGCUUCCGUACACAUAAUAAACAGAUAAGGGGAUAGAAGGUCCCCCUGACGUAAUCCCCUAUGUGGUAUUAUAUGUCCUUUUGGCUGUCCAUUCAAUAAAACCUUAUACUGAACCGAGGAAAUGCAUUACAUCAUUAAUUGGAUCCAAUGCUGGCCGAAUCCCACCUUGGUUAGUAGUUCUUGGAUAAAGAUCCAUUUAACUUUGUCAUAAGCUUUGCUCAUAUCCGUUUUUAUUGCCAAAAAUUUAUCCUGACACGAUUUAUUAGUUCGCAAACCAUAGAACAUCUCCUGAGCUAUAAGAAUAUUAUCUGAUAUUAAUCAUCCAGCAAAAAAAGCCGAUUGCGUCUACGAGAUCAGUGAUGGAAGACAGACCUUUAAUCUUUGACAUAAUACCUUAGAUAUAAUCUUGUAUCCUACAUUACAUAAGCUGAUAGGUAUGAGUUCAGUCAUCCUUGUGGGUCUCUCCGUUUUAGGAAUCAGACAAAUAUUUGUAGUGUUUAACCUUGUGUCCAAAUUUCCCGAUGCCAAAAAACUAUUGACCAUUUCCAAUAGAUCAUUUUUUAUUAUAUGCCAUGAGUGUUGAAAAAAGAGAGCCGUCAUUCCAUCCGGCCCAGGAGCUUUCUCCGGAUGCAUCAUGAAUAAGCAUGUCGAACUUCCUCCUCAGUUGCCAACCGAACAAGCCGUUGAUUCAUUUGUGGUGUAAUUGAGGGUGUAAUCUCAUCUAAAAAACCAUCAAAACCAGUAGGAGUUGUUGUCUGAAACAGAUCUUCAAAAUAAUCCACUGCCACCUUUUCUACCCCCUGCUCCUCAAUUAUCCAGUUUCUAUCAGAAUCAUAUAGACCCACAAUUCUAUUACGAGCACGACGUUGUUUUGUUAGAGCAUGAUAGAAUUUUGUAUUGAGAACCCCAGAAGUGUGCCACAUAUUACGACUCUUUUGUUGCCAGUACUCUUCAUCAUCCUUAUAAGCUUCCUGUAACUUCCUUGAGACCUCUAGAAUAUCUUCUUGGGUUCUAGUAUUAUCCGUUUGGACUUCAAGUGCUUUCUGGAGUUCUCCAAUUUUCUCUUUCCCAUAAGGUGGAUUAUUCUUCCGCCAUGUAGAGAUCUCAUGAUGGCAGUUUGUAAUUUUUGAAACGAAAUCCCCCGGAUUCGCCUCUGAGAAUUCACCCCACCCUCUUGCAAUCGAGUCCAAUAAGCCUUCUUGUCCAAUCCAUCUCUUGUCAAACCGAAAUUUUCCCCUCCGUCUUGUUAUUUUAUUGUCCAGAAAAGCCACCACCGGUCGAUGAUCGGACCCCACCAUUCUCAAAUAUUCUGUGUAAGAGCAUGGAAAAAGUGUAUCCCAAUCUUCAUUCGCUAAAGCUCGAUCCAACCGGCACCGAACCAUAACUUUUUUCUUUUUUCCUUGUUUCCUUCUUCCUUGCCAGGACAUCUGAUUUCCUCGGACUGGGAACUCCAAAAGUUCAGUAUUCCUAAUCAUGUCAUUAAACGGUACAAAAGAUCCUGCACUGCGUAUGCCCCCCCCCCCCAUCUUUUUCAUGAUUCCCAGUUAUCUCAUUCAAAUCUCCAAUAAUAAACCACGGCUCUGACCUUGCUAGGCCAUACCUUGUUAACCGUUCCCAAACUUGAUCCCGUAACUGUUGAACCGGCUCUCCAUAAACAAAGGUCAUAUAAACUUUUUUUCCAAGGGCCAAAGUUUCAACAUCAAUCAUACGAUUACUAGUAUAUAGAAUAUCAACCUGGUAUUCAUUAUUGUAAAACAAUGCCAAACCUCCACUCGCACCAACCGGGUCCACUGUAACUAAAUUAUCAUAACCAAAAUGAGACUGAAGACCCUGAAGGUAAACUAAAUCUUGUUUUGUCUCGGAGAGAAACCAAAAAUCCGGUCUAUGUUUAUGCCAUAUUUCCCGUAAAUAACUAAUUGUCCAGUGACUUCCCGCACCUCUACAAUUCCAACUCAAUACUAUCAUAAAAACCUUUUAGAAAAAACUCAUUAGAGCUAGAUUAUCGGGUGUGAAGAAACUCUGGGUAACCAGACUCCACUCGACAGAAAACUGAUAUUUCAUUAUGUAUUGUCAUAUACAUGUAUAUAUAUAUAUAUAUAUAUGAAUUAUGGUUCAUCUAUUUAGUUUCCAUUAUUUUCUGUUUUAAAAUAAAUUUAUUAAAUAAAUAAAUGUAUUUUAAGUGGUAAUAUUUUGUAUUAUUUGUUGUUUUCAUAGUAAGUAAUAUUUUUUUAUUAAAUUUCUAUUUGAACUUCAAACAAGAAUAAUUAAUAAUAUAUAGUAAAAUUAUAAAACAAAGUAUAUAUAACUUAUAUUUAAACAUAGAAUUAAAAUUUUAAGUUUACGUUUAAACAUAAAAUUAUAUUUGUUUUUGCUGUUUUUUAAAUAGGCUUAUGUGUGUUUUGGUAAUGAUAUUAUAUUUUAUUAUAUCACAAUAAAUAUUUUACUAUUGAUAAUAUUUUCAUUUCAUUAUUUUAUAAGCAAAAACCAAAAAAAAAAUUAACCAAAAUAUAAAAUCAUAAUUCAUGGUUUUCAAAAAUUUAAAAUAUAAUGCAAAAUUAAAAAAAAAAUCCAAAUCUAAAAUAAAAAAAACCAACAACUAAAAACAAAAUUAAAAAUUAAAAAUCUAGAAACCAAACAAACAAUCAUCUCCAUAAAUGGAUCUUGAUUAGAUUGGUAGUCUGGAUCUAAUUGUUUUAGGUUCGGUUAAUAAUUAGUUAGAAAGGUAGUGUCAAAUUGUUUUUGUUAUAAUUUCUAUUUAAAAAAUAAUAAUUUAAAUAAAUAAAAGAGGAAAGUCUCCAAACAAGAAUUUUUUUCAGCCAUUUUAUAUCUUUUUUGGUAAAAAAUUCCCAACAUAAACUACAAACGAUUUUAUUUUUGCAAAGAGUACAUAUUAUAACUCGAACAUAGAUACAUUACAUUACGAAAGUUUAUUCACCUAAUUUCUUUUAUUUGACUUAAGUAACUUUUACAAACUCACCAUGGUUUUACUUAUAGUCAUAUACACAUACAUGUCACAGUUGUAUACAGGACUGUGUGUAUACAUAGAUGAAAUCAUCCAUGGUGGUUAAAGUAUUGAUAGAUUUAGUUGCCAGGCUGAGUCUGAACAGCUUCUGGACCGUGUCCACCGUGGCCUCCUCUUCCUCCGUGUCCCCCGUGGCCUCCUCUUCCUCCCUUGUAUCCUCCACCUCUUCCUCCGUUGUAUCCUCCACCGCCGUUGUAUCCUCCUCCCCCGUUAUAUCCUCCACCUCCCUUGUAUCCUCCACCUCCGUUGUGUCCUCCUCUGUUAUAUCCUCCUCGUCCGUUGUAACCUUCAUUUCCGCCAUGGCCACCACCAUAUCGAUCAGGUUGCACAGUUUCCUCACUCUCUGUUUUCACCGUACAUAUCCAAAACAAAGCACCUCAAUAUUAUUUCAAAGAUAUCUUUUAGCACGUGCAUAUGUGCAUUCCACUCCCCGAUUUUUGAAAUAAAUUUCGAUUAAAACUAUUCAAAUAUAUAUAAUUUCGGAUCUCGGUCAAAAAAGAUAAAUCGCAUCAUUAUAUACCUUCAAUAUAAAAUUUAGACCGAACAUCUAAAUGAUUUGAGAUGGCCUGAUACGUAUAAAAGGUUUCAAUAUCAUACAUAUCGUCUUCUUUUUUUCUUUUUUAAUAAAACUGGGCUAAUCUCCUGGAGAGCCUACCAGGAAAAGACAAACCCGGUUCCUCUACGGAGGAGUUAGAUAUUCACACCGCCUAGCUACACAUAUCGUUUUUUUUACUAGACAAAUAUUCCCUGCCUUUUUAAUAUAAGUCAGUUUUAGAAUUAUGCACACAGAUAAAAAAAUUAUUAUUUUUUAUAUUUUCUAACAAAAAUAUCAUUAAUUAUUUAUCUAACCACGAAUCAGUCAAUAAUAAAAUAGAAAGUAUAUUAUCAUUAGUUAUAUAAAACUAAGUGUUAAUAAAUUUUACAUAGAAAAUCGAAAAAAUCAUAUAAUUUAGAACAUAAAAAUUUCUAAAACGACUUAUAUUAAAAAACGGAAGGAGUAGAUAACAACAUCAUACUUAAAUGUGUUUUGACUUAGCAAGUCCAAAUAAUUAACCAGCAUUAAUUCAAACAAACUUUCUGGACUUAAAACGGACGAAAUGGUAUGAUGAAAUUUUGAAAUAGUACUUUAGCACCACAGCCUUUGGAACUACUUUUAUUUUUAUAUAGAAUAAUAAUUUUACGUACCCGACUUCUGUGCAGAUGCUGCGGCCAUUUCUGACACAACGAGAAGAAUUGCAAAGACACCCAGCAUAAUCAAAGUCUUUGAAGCCAUUUUUUUUUUUUUGCUAAAUUGUAAAUAUCAUAUAAUGAAAGGUUUAGGGUUUUACAAGCCUAAAUUGUGAUACCUUGGCAAAAAGAAAGAAAAAACAAGGCAGUCACAAAAAGUUAGAGUAGAAACAUUUAGUUAUCUAAUCCAAAGUUGCAUAAGAGAUUUGAAGCUUCUCCUAUGUCUUCGCGCACUUAUCGUGUUGCGAACCUCCCUGUCGAUGGAGCUGAAGGUCGUCUGGGUUGGGCAGAAUCCUGAGAGAUGCACCGCUGAAUUACAUUGCCUCCAGACGUUGUAGAGGAGAGAUUGUGUGGCCAGCUUCUUGAGCGUUGUUGGUGCUGAGGCAGAGGGGGCUCGUACCCAGGACAGAAGCUCUUCCCAAGACAGAAAAGCCCUACGAAGAGGAUCCAAUCGCGCAAAAAUGAAGCUCCAAAUGGCAUUGCUGUAGUUGCAGGAGAGGAAAAGAUGCUCUCUGGUUUCUUCAUGGUUGUUACAGAAGCAGCACGCCGUUUGAAUAUUGAGACCCCACGAGGCAAGCCUGACCUUCGUUGGUAAACGGUUGAGGUUCGCUAGCCACAUGAUGAACGCCUGUCUUGGAAUGGCUCCACUGAACCAGACUGCGUUGGCCCAAGUCUUUUUUGGUGAUCUUGGUCUCAGGACCUCCCAUGUCUUGGAAGAGGAGAAGCCCUUGCAGUCUUUGGAGUCGACUACCCAUUCGAACACGUCUGAUUCUGUCUGGUGUAGCGGAAGCUGGAUGGUCGUUAAGUGGAUAUGGAGAGCGAGAGCGUUGUCUGAUCUAGGCUGAGGAAGCUUCCAUGUCGUUUCAUUUGUAGCGUCUCUAACGGAGGCUGAGAUAGGUACUCUACAGACCCUAGGACCCGAAUCACCUAAGAAUUUGAUUAGCUGGCCAAAGGGAGUCCAACUAUCGAACCAGAACUUUGAGUUUGCUCCAUUGUGAACUCUGCACUUUAAGAACUGCUCUGCCAGUGGUCUGAGGGAGAGGAUCGAGUUCCAAGAUGCCGAGUCCGAUCUCUUGCUUUCUAAUGCCCAGAAGCUAUCAUUCUGUAGAUGGUGGUGGGUGUGCCAUUGCACCCAUAGGGAGUUAGUGCCCGAGAAUAAUAGCCAAAUAAACCGCAGGCACAACACCUUGUUCCAGUCAUUGAAACUCCUUAAGCCAAGGCCUCCUUCUGUUUUCGGUAGACAGACUGUUUUCCAAGCCACUUUUGCUGAGACUCUAUUCUCAAUAUUUCCAGCCCAUAGGAAACGUGAGCAGAAGGAUUCUAUCUUUUUCAGACAGCCCUUGGGUAAUAUGAACGUUGUCAUCCAAAAAUUUACAGUUCCAUUUAUGACAGAAGACAAUAGCUGGAGUCUCCCUGCAUAACUCAACAUUUUAACAGCCCAUGACCUGAAUGUACCAACUAGGUUCUGUAUCAAAGGGUCAUACUCCGAUAUCCUAAGCUUUCUAUGCAUCAGCGGUAAACCGAGAUAGCGAAUAGGGAGCUUACCAAUUGGGAACUCGUAUCUAGCGACUUCCGCAGUUUCCAAGGGGUUGAGACCAGCAACGAAGAGCUCUGACUUGUCUCUGUUAACUUGCAGCCCUGACCAGCUGGCAAAAUCAUCUAAGGUUUCUGCGAUUUCGUGCAGAGAAUUAGAGCCCCCAUCAAAGAAGAUCAUCACAUCAUCAGCAAACAUCAAGUGAGAGAUAUUAACAUCAGCGGUUCUAGGAUGGUAUGAGAUGUAACCCAAGUCAAAUCUAGCAGAUAAAAGUCUGGAGAAGACUUCCAUUGCUAGCACGAAUAGGUAAGGCGACAGCGGGUCCCCCUGCCUAAGACCUUUCGAGCUCUUGAAAAACCCAUCAGAAAUGCCAUUUACUGAAACAGAGAAUGUUGGAGUCGUGAUACACUCCUGAAUCCAGCCAAUGAAGAUCUCAGGAAAGUUGAUGGCUCUGAGGGUAGAGAUAAUGAAGUCCCAUCUGAUUGAGUCGAAGGCCUUCCGCAAGUCAACCUUGAGCAUACCCCUCUUUGAGAUGUUUUUCCUGUUGUAACCAUGGACAAUCUCCGUUGCUAGAAGAACAUUUUCAGACAACAACCUGCCUUUGAUAAACGCAGACUGCGACGGUGAGAUGACAUUGUAGAGUAUCUCUUGAAGGCGGUUUGUUAGCAGUCUGGAUAUCACUUUGUAUAGAGUAUUGACGCAGGAUAUUGGUCGAAAAUCCUUAGUCCUAUCAGCAUUAGAAGACUUGGGGAUGAGGAUCAGAGAGGUUGCAUUCCAUUGCUUUAAGAGUUUGCCCGAUCUGAAGAACUCCAGAAUAGCUUCUGUUGCCUCAACGCCCACAAUACUCCAAGCCCCUAUGAAGAACUCUGCUGGGUAACCAUCUGGACCACUAGUUUUGUUCGAGGGCAGAGCAAAAAACGCUUCUCUAAUUUCUUGCCUAGUGAACUCCCUAAUAAGAUCCUCCUUCUGUACCUCAGUGCAUCGGUAGGGCAAAAGCAGAGAGAGAUCUUGAGGGUCUAAAGAAGAGGGGUCAUGCUCUGCGCCUAGCAAGUCUGAAAAGUAAUUCAGGCAGAGGCUUUGGAUCGCAGCCUGUCCCUCCACUCUCGUGUUUUGAUCAUCUAAGAGAUAAUGAAUAUGAUUAGAUGCCCUUCUCGUUGCGAUAAGUCUGUGGAAAUACGCUGAGUUGCAGUCGCCACCUUUAAUUGAGUUUAUGUGAGAUCUUUGAAAUAAGAAUCUCUCCUCGGCUUUGGAAAGGGUUACCCAUCUGUCCAUCUCCACUCUCUCUGCUACCGCAUUUGCAUCAGUUGGUCUUAGGAGGAGGAUUUGCUGCGCAGCUAGUAGCUUCUCGUGAGCCUCCUUUACUCUCUUUUCCAGGUUUGAAUAGUUCUCCUUGCUGAAGGUUCGAAUACCCGCCUUUAUCAUUUUCAACUUCCUAGCGAUGGUGAGCAUCGCUGAUCCAGUGACAUUUGUAGAGUACCAAAGAUCUGUAAGGUAAUCAAGAAACUGCUCGUUGUGAAGCAAGAAGUUGUAGAAGCGGAAUGGUCUCUUUUCUCUAGUCGAUGCCGCCUUCAAGAGAACAGUAGCCACUGCGUGGUCCGAGAAGUCUGGUUCCCCAAAGAUAGCAAUAGAGUCCGGGUUGCUGGAGAGCCAGUUAUCGUUGACAAGUACUCUAUCAAGUUUCUUGGCGAUGACAUUAGUCUUGCUUUUAUUUGUCCAAGUGAAGGUCGGCCCCUUGAAUGACAGAUCAGCCAAAUCAGCUUCCAAUAGAGUCUCCCUGAACAACCUUGUUUUAGUGUCAACGUUUAGAGAUGUCGGUCUGGAGUGUUCUUGGGGGUGAAGCGUUUGGUUGAAAUCUCCUAAGACCAUCCAAGGCCUGUUUUUGAUUCUCGGAUCAUCACUCAAACUGAUAAUCUCCUUCCAAAGUUCCCGUCUCUGCUCCUCCUCAUUUGAGGCAUAUAUAACGGUGAUAAUAUAAGCAGAAGGCUGGUUAGGAAGUUGGACCUCUGAAGUAAUCGAUUGUAGGGAUUUGUGUAACACUGUUACCAUGACAGAAGGGUGCCACACUACCCAGAUCUUCCCAAUCUCCGAGAAACUGUAGUUCUCCACAAAUUGCCAGCCAGGUAGAAUGCCGGUUAAGAACUUCUGAAUCUUUGGCUGCUUUACAUGGGUUUCUAUAAUACCCCCAAAAAGUGGUUUAUUUAGCUUCCACCAUUUUCUAAAUCCGCUGCGGUGACUAUAUACGUUGAACCCGCGCACAUUCCAGCAAAAAAAGUCUAUAUACAUUGAUGAUUAGUGUUUUGAGGGAAGAGCCCCUCGGUUUUUCUUCUUACUUCUCCUGGAUAACACCCUGAUGAAGUUCUCAUGGUCGUCGUGGUAGCCAUCUGAUUCACCAGAGUAGGUGUCAGAGGAGUCAUGCUCUAGGUCAGAUGAUUUCUCUUCCUCAGUGCCUUCGCUAAGCUUGACUCUUUCGUUUCCCGGGGGGGUUUUUUCAGCAGGGGUAAGGCCACUACUAUCACCUUUAUCCUGAACUAUCGUCGGAGGUAAUGUGACAAUUGGUUCCUGAACACGUUUCCCAUUAUCACGAACUUGCCACUGCAGCUGUGGAGCCUUAUCUUUGAAGCCAUUUUCUUUAACCGAAUUUAAGUUAUAACACUCUCUUUGUCGAAAAACAAAUGAUGAAUAAAAUGUCAGUCUGCAUGAUCUCUAUUUAAAGAGAAAGAGGAGCAGCGGAUGAGAAAAGCCAAAUAACAAAAAUUCAAUAAAAAUAAUUUAAUUUUUUAAUUAAAAGAAAAAGAGGCAGAAUUUAUCACAACAUUGGAUUUGGAACUUUAUAGAAUUUGAACACCUACUAAGUUCCAGAAAAUCUAAAAUUAAGAUAAAAUGUUGAAAAAUUAUUACAGUUUCUUUAAAAAGAUUUAAAUCAAUUUUAUAAUAUUUAAAAAAAUAUUUAAACCUUUGAAUUUUAUUUUAAUGAAAAUUUAUGUUCUUUAAAAUUUUAUUUUUAUUACUUAUUAAUUUAUAUAAAAUAUAUAAAUAUACAAAAUAAUAUUUCUAAAUAAACUUUAUUUAUCUGAUUUCAUUUUUUUAUUUUUAUGUAAAAGUGAAAAAUAAAGAAGAAUUUAUUUUGUAAGAAAUUUCAAAUAACAUCAUCAUAGGAAGUGAUAUUUUUAUUCAUUAACUUUUAACCAUAUAAGUUAUUUUUAUAAUUCCACCACUUCUUAUUUGAUAGAUUUUAAUGACUAAAUCUAUAUUUCCAAUAAGUUAGAAUUUCGAAGAACUAAUACAAAUUAUGAACUCAAUAACUUUGGAUUUCAAAUUAUUUCUGUAAAUGUUAAAUACAAUAUAACUGAUGAUUUUGGGGGAAAAUGAAAUCCUAUAAACUUACUAAUCGGUUAAUUCAAUAAUUACUCUAAAAUAUUUUCUAGAGAGACUUCUUGGAUGAGGAGUUUGAAAAGUAAUUAAGUAGAAAGUGAAAAGAAGUUAUUUUGUUAAAUAUUUAAGAUGGGUUUACUUAAUUCAUUUAACUGUUAUGAAAAAUGUGUUCUCAAUAUAUUCUAUUUAGGUUAUUUCCUACUUUUCAGUUUUAGAUCUUGUUAAGCUUGAAUGUACCAUGCGUAAGAAGAAUAUAAUGACCCACAUUCUGGUCCAAUGAAUUCAGAUCGAGGCCCAAACCCAUCCCCAUAAGCCCAUGAUAUUUUCUAUAAAAACUCAGCACUCUACUUUGUUUUCUUCACCAAAAAUCAUCAAGAAAAGUUUAGAGAGAAGAAGUUAAUGGGAGAAAUGAGGAAUUGUUACAGAACCUGAGCCACCACUGGGUUCGUCGGAGCCUUCUCACGCCGUGACUGUGUCGAGCACGCCACCACCGUUAACCGCCCAAGGUAACACGGAAACCACAUGCAUUAGCUUCAAUUUCGGGUCUGUUUAGUAAAUCGCCCAUUACUUCCUAACCAUUAGCUUCAUAACUUCCGUUUAGCUUCAGCUGCAUGCAAGACCAACAUUGUGUUCCUCUUGUGGAGACGAAGCCAUAGACACCAACCACACCGUGAUCGGAGCCCGGACGAAGCCGCUAGAGCUUCCCGAAGUUUCGCUACGAUCGGAGUCCGCCGGAGCCGCCACGCAUUCCGGCCACUUGCCACCGUCUCCGACCAUCGUUCGCCGGAGCCGUCGUGCCCGGCCACCGUCCGUCCGCCGCCGAGAAGCUGCCACCGUAUCGCCGCCUCUCCGCUGCCGUCGGCGAUUUCCCGGUAAACCGCCGCCACCCUCCGCCGUCGCCGCCGUCACCACCGGUGACCGUCGCCGGUAACUCGGCCAAGUCCGGUGAGACAACUCGGUGACUCAGUCAACUGGUGGUUUGACUGGUUUAAUUGGUUUAAAUCGAUUUUGGGUUGGUUAGGUUAAACCGGUUGGUUAUUGGAAAUUGAUUUUGGAUAGAAGUAAACCGGUUUGCAAUUAAUUAGGAUCUGGUUCAAUUAAAAAUCAAAAUCGGCUGAGUUAAACCGGUCGGUUCAGUUUGAUUUCAAUUUGGUUAAGGGUUGACCGGCUUGGGUCAGAGUUGACCAGGUUGACCUUUGACCUGCGGAUUGACUUUUUGGUAAACUUUAACCAGACCCGUUUUAAACCGUUCGAAAGCCGUUCUGACUCAGAAUUUUGCCCUGAUUUCAGAUUAAGAGUCUAUUUGAGCAGCUGGAGUUCAUAGAUACCACAUUUCCCUAUUGCUCAGGUGAGGGUCUAUUCUCGAACUUCUCGUAUACGGCUUAGGACCUCGAAUAAGUAUAACUUAUUUCUAAUAUGUUCUAUCUGCUUGAAAUCGAGUCAGUCAUUGCUUGUUUAGUUAUUAGGUUCUUUGCUUAAAUCGAAAUUAGGUGGUUAGAGGAUUCAACAUCGAUUGUUUCACUUAAUGUAAAUGCUUAGCUAGGAUUGUUUUUGUGUGGAGACGGAUACAGAGACAGACUUAUGUAUGCCGGAUCGUAUGAGGUUAUGGCCAACUAUAGUCGACCGGUUGAGCUGUAGCCUGGAAGGAUCGAUAAAUCGUCCAUGGGCGGUGUCCGAGCACUAUCUCGAGCUGUGUUAUGUUUUUGGCCUUUUAGUGGGCAGCGAGUGCGCGCCUCGCUAGAACAAUUUUUUGUUGUUUGGAUACUUUAGGUGCCGUGUUUGACAUGUAUUAGAAUUAAAUUAUAUUUAUUUGGAGUGCUAUGUCCGGGUCCAUGGACUUUAGGGUAGCAUCUCAUACCUCAUUGGGUGAUUACCCUGUCGCUCACCCCUCACUCUGACCGAUGAGCAGGGGUGAUUAUCGGACUGGUGCUAUUGGGCUUUUGGGCUUCUAUCGCUUUUAUCGCUUUUACCGUUAUCGGGCUUUUAGGCCUUUGGACUUGGUGGCAACCACCAUUAAGUUUUGAUUCAUGGAAGCCUGUCCAAUUUUGGUCAAUGAACUUGCAAUAGAAGCAGACUUUGACUUAAGAGAGAAAUUAAUAGAGAGAAAAGAUAGGAACUAACUUUUACCUACAGAUCCAGAUACUUGUUUGAAAAUCCUUGCAUCCUGUGAUCGGUACUCCCAAGGUAAAGCUUGCACUUUUAUUUAUGUUAAGAAAUGAGGGUGGUAGAGGGGAAUGUCAGACAUGAUUUGCUAAGUUGUUGGCUAGGUGAAUUUGGUUGGUAAGCUAGGAUAUGGUAUAAUGUGCUUUUGUGGUUAGGACUUCCGAGAUGUGGAUUGAAAAAUUGUAGAGGUGAUGAUUCUAAGUUGUACAUCAUGUGAGUCCCUACUGUUUUGAGAGACUGCAUGUUUGUUUUGCUUGAGGACAAGCAAAAUGUUAAGUCUGUGGGAGUUGAUAGACCAUUGAUUUUACCCACUUUCAGCCAUGGUCUAUAAGUGUUUUAAUAUAUAUUUACUACUAAAUAGAGUCUAAUAGAGUCUAUUUAGAGUAUUUACAGGUUCAAGUACGUUCUAGAAAAAUAUGGUGAUUUUGGAGUCUUUUGAGGUGCAGAACUGCACAGGCGCGUCAGAUGUCUAGCUAUGGAUGGAUAUCUUCCCACCGUUAGAUUGAGCCCAUCUUUUGACACAAAAUAGUGAUUUGAGUUAGAUUUCCAAUUCCACCAGUUUGAGGUCAAUCAGCAUCCUGUAGCAGAGGUUACAAUCGUUUUACUGAAGAGCGGUCAGUCUGCCUCGCAAUAGGAAGCUGUCAAGGAGAUAAAAGAUUGUCGAUCGAUGACACAACAUUGGUGACAGUGAUGCCAGAAUAUGGGCUGAGCAUAUUUUAUGACCGCUGAAGCCCAGAAGCAACCUCAAAUUACCAGAAUACCUUUGGACGACCAUAAACCCUAUUCAUGUUAUUCAUAAGCCUUUGUUGACGGCUACACGCUCUUUAAGAUUUCUUGGAUUCUUGUUCUAGGUUAGGAGAGAAAGGAGAAACUCCUUCAGAGUCCUCCUGGAACUCCAUUCGUUUUGGUUUUAUAUUAUUUAUGCUUUUCAUCUAUGAUUUCUAUGACAAACUUCAUGCCUGAAUAGAUCCACCUGUUAGGUUUAGGGUUCACAUAGAUUAUGAAGGAUUAGCCCAAAAUAUAGAACUGCUAAGUAGUGAUAUUCAUCAUAGGAUUGUUCUUACUACUUGUGUUCUAGAGUCAUGAACUAUAACCCUGAUCUUAGAAUCAUUAGGCACAAUUGCGAACGCUUGGUCUUUUCUCUGAACUGAAUUCUAUUGAGAUAGGAUUGCUAGAAACAUACGAGAGUUGAUUUUGGAACCCUAGGGAACACAUAUUCAACCCGAUCGUAAAGCUUGCUAGAAGCAAUAUCGAUCGAUGAUCCAAUAGAUUAAUCGAUCGAUAUUGUGAAAGGUGUAUUGAUCGAUAUUCUUAUAGAAUAAUCGAUCCACACUUUCUUAUGAUCAGUAAACGAGAGUUGAGAUCUAAGAUCUGGAUAGUAGACUGCAUAUACAAUGGAAUUUGUUAGAUUUGUACUCCCAGUUGAGUUCUAUAAUAUCUUGCAACCAACAAUUAGCCUCUAUAUCAUUAAAAUCCUCAUUACCUGAAUAGAAACCCUAGAUCUAGUAACCAUCCUCCCAUCAAACAACUCUUUGCCAAGCUGAACAAUUGUCUUGUUCAACAUGUUUACUGCUUUAUUUACUGCUUUGCUAUAUUUAUUUACCGAUGUAUAAACUAUUAGCCUAGCUUAAUCAUAUAACUAUUAGAUCUAAUUUGUUCCUUAGCUCCAUGUGAAUUCGAUCACUAUGUACUACAACUCGACCUCUUAUUUGAGAGAGUAUAAAUCACUCGUUAGGGUAAUUUGAGUGAUAUCACAUUUUUCUCUCUCUAUUUCGACCCUAGAUUUAUAGGUAGAGAUAUUUAUUUAAAAGAAAAAGAAAAGGAAAAGGAAAGAAAAAAAAUAAAAAUAAUAAUAGGUAUUAGUUAGGUGGAAUCCAAACAGGAUUUGGUGGCUACAACCAUUAAGGCUUGCUUCAUAAGGGUUCCAACAAAAAGAAUUCCAACGGGACUUGGGGGCGGCAAUCAUCAAGGUUCGAUUCACAUGAAUUCUUGGAUAUAUGUCAAAAAGAAGUGAACAUGACUUGGUGACAACCACCAUUAAGUUUUGAUUCAUGGAAGUCUGUCCAAUCUUAGUCAAUGAUCUUGCAAUACAAGCAUACUUUGACUUAAGAGAGAAAUUAGUUGAGAGCACUUUUAUUUAUGUUAAGAAAUGAGGUUAUAGAGGAGAAUGUCAGACAGGAUUUGCUAAGCUGUUGGCUAGGUGAAUUUGGUUGCUAAGCUAAGAUAUGGUAUAAUGUGCUUUUGUGAUUAGGACUUCUUAGAUAUGGAUUGCAAUAUUGUAGAGGUGAUGAUUCUAAGUUUUAAAUCAUGUGAGUCCCUGCUGUUUUCAAACCUCUUUCAGAGAGACUGUCCGUGUGUUUUGCUUGAGGACAAGCAAAAAGGUAAGUCUGAGGAGUUUGAUAGACCAUGGAUUUUACCCACUUUCAGUUAUAGUCUAUAAGUGUUUUAAUAUAUAUUUACUACUAUAUGGAGUCUAUUUAGAGUACUUACAGGUUCAUGUACGUUCUAGAUAAAUAUGGUGAUUUUAGAGCGUUUUGAGGUGUAGAACUGCACAGGCGCGUCAGAUGUCUAGCUAUGGUUGGAGACCUUUCAACUGUUAGAUUUAACCCAUAUUUUGACACAAUAUAGAGUUUUGAGUAAGAUUUCCAAUUCCCACUGGUUUGAGGUCCAUCAGCAUCCUGUAGCAGAAGUUAUGAUCGUUUUACUGAACAGCGGUCAGUCUGCCUCGCAAGAAGAAGCUGUCGAGGAGAUGAAGGAAUGUCAAUUGAUAACACAGCAUUGGUGUCGAUUGACAGUGAUUCCAGCAUAUGGGCUGAGCAUAUUUUAUGACCAUUGAAGCCCAGAAACAACCCCAAAUUACCAGAAUACCCUUGGCCGACCAGAAAUCCUAUUUAUGUUAUUUAUAAGCAAUUGUUGACGGCUACACGCUCUUUAAGCUUUCUUUGAUUCUUGGUAUAGGUUAAGAGUGAAAGGAGGAACUCCUUCUGAGUCCUCCAGGAACUACAUUGGUUUUUGUUUUAUAUUAUUUAUGCUUUUCAUCUAUUCAUCUAUGAUUUCUGUGACAAACUUCAUGUCUGAAUAGAUCUUCCUGUUAGGUUUAGGGUUCAAAUAGGUUAUGAAGGAUUAGUCCAAAAUAUAGAACUGCUAAGUUAUGAUAUUCAUCAUAGGAUUGUUCUUACUGCUUGUGUUCUAGAUUCAUGAACUAGAACCCUGAUCUUAGAAUCUUUAGGCACAAUUGCGAAUGCUUGUUCUUUUCUCUGAACUGAAUUCUAUUGAGCUAGGAUUGCUAGAAAUAUAGGAGAGUUGAUUUAGGAACCCUAGUGAACACAUAUUCAACCCGAUCGCAAAGCUUGCUAGAAGCGAAAUCGAUCGAUAAUCCAAUAGAUUAAUCGAUCGAUAUUUUGAAAGGUGUAUCGAUCGAUAAUCCUAUAGAAUAAUCGAUCGACACUUUCUUGUGAUUAGUAAACGAGAGUUGAGAUCCAAGAUCUGGAUAUUAGACUGUCUAUACAAUGGAAGUUGUUAGAUUUGUACUCCUAGUUGAGUUCUAUAAUAUCUUGCAAGCAUAAUUAGCCUCUAUAUCAUUAUAAUCCUCAUUACCUGAAUAGAAACCCUAGAUCUAGCAACCAUCCUUCCAUGAAACAACUCUUUGCCAAGCUGAACAAUUGUCUUGUUCAACUUGUUUACUGCUUUAUUUACUGCUUUGCUAUAUUUAUUUACUGUUUUAUAAACUAUUAGCCUAGCUUAAUCAUAUAACUUUUAGAUCUAGUUGGUUCCCUAGCUUCCUGUGAAUUCAAUCUCUAAGUACUACAACUCGACCUCUUAUUUGAGAAAGUAUAAAUCACUCCUUAGGGUAAUUUGAGUGAUAUCACGUCUUCUCAGCUCCCAUGAGAUGAAUCAAACUUUGAACAACGGUAUUCGAAGAAUCACUCAUAGAAAAACCUGCAACAAUAUGAAUGCUAGUUAAUUUACCUGAGGACACCAAAGGAAAACUAAACAAAAAGCGCUGCAUAACUAUCGACGAAUAUGACCCAUUCGAAAGGGAUGAGCCUAAAGUUAAAGCUCCCAACUAAGGCAUUGUUAACUUCAAAUAAAAAGUACUUCUCACGAGAAACGCCGCAAUUCAGCAAUCCGCCAAAGCAAUACUUUUCCAUAGGUAUGAGAGAGAUGGUCCCUUCUGAUCCUCUUUUUUUCUCAAAGAUCGAUAGAAGGUUCCCGGUGUUCAGGGGGAGCAGCUGAUCUUUGGACCUUACGGAGAGCACAUUUGCUAUUCAAUCAUAGUUUGCCGACAUAUGACGAAAACGUGAAUCCCAACUGGGCCAGAACCUUAAGAACAAACAUAACGAUCGGGAAAGACAGCUCAUAUACAUCGAAAUAUGACAUGUGGGAACAACAAAACUAUGGUUUAACUGUUCCAAACCGGUGUUCUCCGGCAAGAGAAUUUUUAUUGGAGAUGAUUGCAUGUGUCUUUGUCUGAAUAAAACCAAAUACCCUUCGGUCAUGAGGGAUUUAGGAUGAGGACGAACAUACUAUUUUUUUGCCGACGACAAUCUCUUAAAAGAAAAAUAGGAGCGAUGCAUUCUCGUCGAUACGACACCAAUCCAUGCAUUCUCGUCUAUCCUUCGACACUAUUUCCCAAAGACCGUGGCGAACUCAGCUCAUGUUUUCCGAUCAUUCUAAAUCAUCGAUCAAACUUUGCGGAAAAAACCGCGGGAAGUCCAUUCUUUAUCAAAAGAAGUCGCGAUAAACGUUUCGAGUCGGAAGACGGUCCUAAGGGACCUAAGACACGACUCGAGGCCCAUCUCAAGGUUUCUUAACCAAAAGCCCGUAAACCGUAGGACGGUUUACCCUUGGUUCGCAAGGGAAGAUAAAUGUCAAGUUUCCGUGGAUAUAUACGGAAUUUUGAGGAUAAUUACGAAGAUCGAAAAAAAUGAAAUAUCUCCAUUUUUUGCUAUGACGGCUUAAGGGCAGAAGAGUAAAAGCGUAAACCGAUCUUGGAGCGAGUAUAUAAGGAGUCCUAGGCGAGAGGCAUGGGGGGGGGGGGGAACUCUUUUAGACUAAGAAUUCUCUGCACUUAGAAACUUUAGGCUUUAUUCUCGACAAGUUAGGUUUCUAUGAUUGGCAUUCAAUUACUAGACGAACUCGCCCAGGCAGUUCGAUCUCUUGUCCUGCUCUAUCAAUUGAAAUACGUUCGGCUUGAUCUUCGAAAGGGGUACGUAGGCAGCCUUUAAAAAGGUUCAGUCCGAAAUCAAUCAAAAACCUUUUAUGUAUCUUUUUUGUUUUUUGUUAUCGAACUGCGACUCAACUAGGUUUGAGCUUUUAGGCCGCUAGAACUAAGUAACUCGCUGACAGCCUUUGCGGCCAAAGCUUUUAUGAUCUCUUGUCAUGAUCACAACGCUCUUACGCGGACUCGAAAUAAGAUCUACUGUUAUCUCUAAACUUGUUUAUUAUCUUUUCAUGAUUUCCGCAUAUAUUUGGUCACUUGUCAUUGGCUCUCGCAGAGAUCCGGAACCUCUGGAAAAUUAGGGUUUCCCUAGUUUUCUAAUUUAAACGGAAAUCGACAGUGCGAAUUUCGGUUCUCACACGAAUUUUCGACUUUUCUUAUCCCUAUAAACUAUGUCUGUCCCGUGUUAAAAAUACAUAUUUUUUAGAAAUCAAAUUUUGUAAGAAAUAAUAUGCUAUAUUUUUACAGAUAUAUUAAUCAAUAUUACUUGUUAUGUUGAAUAACCAUUGUUUAUCCAAGAAGUUUUUUCCUUUUCUUGCAGUCUACCUAAUCCAGUCAAACAUUAAAGUAAAUAAGGAGAUUAUGAAAGUAUGAAUAUAUUGGUCCUCAUAUGGUGGGUUGGAUUCAUUUGUGAAUAUAUUUCAAAAUCUAUUAAUGGCAACCCCACCAGUUUUUUAGAUUGUUUAUUACCAAUGUCUUAAACACAGCGCAGUCACACACGUAUAGAUAUAGGAUUUCAUUUUUUGGUUAUAAUUGUUUUAUUAUUAGAAACUGUUAUCAUCAUUGGAUCCUCUUGGAAAAGUCCUUGCCGACAGAUUUUAAACAGCCGUAUACAGACAAAUAUAUUCAGUGAAAGUAAAGCAUAGAGUAGCAUCGCAACACGUAGUAACUACCAACGAAGGUGCAAAAUUUGCUUGGCUAUCUCUAAUCAUAAUACGAAUAUUCUAAUGGAUUUCAUUUGAUUAGAUUAACGCUUGGCUAUAGUUAGUUUACGACGAGUCGAUGAAAAUAUCCAUCCAAAUCACCUUAACAAAGCAGAACAAAGAAUAAAAUCACGCAGCUCUUAGAUUUAAAUAAAAAUAUAAUUAAGAAUAAAAAUGGAUUAGUAACCAUUACCACUAACUACUUUAGAAAGAUCUUUGAAUUAUCUAAGCCAAAAAAUAUUGAAGAGGCACUAGCUUAAGAGGCACUCGCUAGCUUCUCAAUCAUGCAGAGAGACAAGGAAAGAUAACGGGGAUGCGCGUCAUUCGCACGUGUCCUUAGAUAUUUCAUCUUCUCUUUGCUGAUGAUAGUUUUUUUUCUGUAAGACGGGAUCCCGUGAGUGUGAAAAAAUAAUGAAAGUAGUCAGGAAGUAUAGUAAAGCAUCAGGUCAAUGUAUCAACUUUUAUAAAUCGUCCUUACUCUUUAGUAAGUGGACUAAUACAAAUAUUAGACAAGAGAUUAAAGAUGCACUUGGAAUACAAAACGAAGGAAGAAUGGUUCCAAGUGCAAACUUUUUGCAAUUCUCAAGGAUACGUUGAUGCAUAGAGUGAAUGGAUAAACAAGUAGAUGGCUCUCAAAAGAAGGGAAGAAAGUGUUAAUUAAAUCCAUUCUGCCAGCUCUUCCGACUUACGUUAUGUCUACUUUCCUGCUCCCUUUGAAGAUAUGUGAUAACCUAGGAAGUGUCAUUGCUCAAUUGUGUUGGGCUUCAAAUCCACCAAAAAGAGGAAUACAAUGGGCGAAAUGGGAAAAAGUCUGCUUACCAAGAGAGGAGGGAGAUAUUAGUUUUCGUAUGAUCCAUGAUUCAAUCUGGCGCUAAUGGCAAAACAGUUAUGGAGUCUAGUUCAGUUUCCUCACUCUGACUCUUUGGUUGCCCGGGUCUUGAGGGGAAGAUAUUAUAGAUUGAGUUCACCACUCAGAGUAAACUCUGCUAGCAGUCCAUUGUUAUUACUGAGAAUCAGACAUAAGAUACAUUCAGGUUAUGAAGUCAAGGUGUGGGAGGAUACGUGAAUCCCAACGACCCCUGCGAGAUCAGCUAUCCAUGUAGCGCCAGUUAUGCAUCCUAAUCCGAGAGUUAGCGAUUUCAUUAAUCAAGUAUCAAAGGAUUGGGAUGUUGGUCUAUUGGAGAACUAUAUCAAUCUUGAUGACAUACCGCUUAUUAGGAGUUUGGCCAUAAGCUCAACUCAUCGUCGUGAUACAUUCUGCUGGAACUAUACAAGGAGUGGCCAAUACACGGUUAAAUCUGAAUAUUGGGUGGCUCAUAAUUUAUUAAAGGCAGAGGAGGAGAAGGAGGUCUUGGAGCCGAGUAUCACUAAGCUUCAAGCCUUUGCUUGGAAGUUAAAGGCGCCUAAAAAGAUAUGUCAUCUUAUAUGGCAAUUGUUAACUGGUCAUGUGGCAGUAACGAGGAACUUAGCAAGAGGCAAUAUGAGGUAUGAUAACUACUGCCCAAGAUGUGGUGAACUAGAAGUAUUUGUAACCCAAGCCAUAUUCGAAUGUCCACCAGCUCUACAAGUUUGGUCCUUAUCAUCAACUCCAAUAAGCCCAUAUAUAUAUCCACUACCAAGCGACCACACAAAUAUGGAUUACCUAUUCUGGAGGAAAAAAACAUUAUCGAACCAGAACAAGACAUGAAUCCUUAUCCCUGGAUAAUCUGGUAUAUUUGGAAGGCUAGGAAUGACAAAAUUUUGAGGGGGAUAGACAGAGAUCCUUUGGAGCUAGUUCGACAUGCAGAAAGUGAAUGUCAAGCCUGGUUUGAUGCGAACGAAGUGGUACAACCAGUGGUACAAGAUAACAAUACUGAGGAACCCCAAGUCAUAAGCUUGGGUAAUAUUUGCUUGUUAGAUGGAUCUUGGACAGCCUCUGCUCACUUUAGUGGAUGUGGAUGGGUCUGGAUGGACAGUGGCGGAAACAUUCAACUUAUGGGGACAAGAAACUUCACUCGACGCGAAUCAGCAUUGCAUUCAGAAGUAGAAGCACUGCGGUUGUCAAUUGAGAACAUGCUUCAACAUUCAACAUGCCAGAGUUUUGGGACAGAUUGUAAGGACCUGACUGCAAUGAUAAAGGAGCCUCAUGUCUGGCCAAGAUUUGCGAUGGAAUUGGAAAGCAUAGAGACGUUACAGAUAUGCUUCCCGGAUUUUAACAUCAUUCAUGUUCCACGAACGCGCAAUCAGAUUUCAGAUUUUUUAGCUAAAACUGCUAGAUCUUUCUGCAGAGAGUUACAUUUUAUUGGUUGUUUUAUUCCGGUCUGGUUACCCAGACCACCUCAAGCUUAAGUAAUAAAAUGACCUUUUGACAUCAGAAAAGAAAAACGUAAAGGAAGCUUGAGAAAUCAGAAAUGCGUGGAUGAGAUGAGCACUAACAACGGUUAUCGAGUGUAGACAUGUAUAUUUUUUUUGCAACAUGUACAUUCUAAGUAUCAAAUCACGUAGUAGCGAUCGAAGGCGGAUAAAGAAUGGUUGGGUAUUAGAAUACCUAUUUGAAGCAUAUGUUAAAGAAAUGAAAAAAUAAUUCGGGAAUAGGAUAUUGCAAUAACAUAUUUAACAGAUGAAAAUUAUAAACACGACGUACUGCCAUUACCCAUGAUAGUACUUCAAUUUUAUUAAUCUAGGAUAUUCAGACUUUUGUAUAAGUUUAGAGUAAUUUUCAAAAUAGAUGCACCCCAUGGAUAGUAUCUCUCUCUACAUAAUCAUAAUCAAGUGGACUGUCCAUAUUCAUGUAAAUCCCCAUGAUAACGUGAUCUAGUUUCGCCGCAGUAAGUGGAUCGAAUCUAAAAUGUGUUGGCGUGCCAAUUUGUCUCUUUAACUCGGUCAUAAGGAUCCUGACAAUGAUAAUAAUUAUAUAGUUGAUAAUAUAUCAGAUUUUGCCAAACUUAAAUGACAUUUUGGAGGAAAAAGGAUUCAGGUUCGGAAUACAUUUUUAGGAAAGCUAAACAUAAUUGUUUAUUUAAUUGUUUUAGUCAUUAUAACAUCAAAAUGUUAUUCUAUUAUUCAAAUCGAUGUGGACUGAGAAUCCAAACCGAAAUAAAAUAACCAACAUAAACUAGACUUCUAUGAAAAUUUUGUGCACUCCUGAAAUGUUAAAAGAUUGGUGACAACUCAUCAUGUAGGAGUGUUGUUAAAAGAUGAGGUCUUGGGUUCGAGUAACGCCAAACGAACAAAUAACCUACCGGUGGAUGUGGAGGUGUUUCCUCCCACGGUGAGGGGUUAGGAUCGGUGCCCAGCAAGGCUGUGAGCCGGGUUCCGAGUCAGCGGGACGGGUUGUCAGAUAAAAAGUCAACUUUUUGUGACAACCCGUCCACUCACUAGGACCCCAGGCUCACAGCCUGACAGGACACCAACCUUAACCCCUCCAUUAUGAGUUCUCUCUCACUCCAUAAUUAGGUUGUUGGUGCGCUCGACAUUCCUCGAACUCAAGACCUCACCAUUUAACAAAACUCCCACAUGACGAGAUAUCUCCAAUUGAUCAUAUCAAUAACCUACCGGUGGAUGUAGAGGUGUUUCCUCCCACGGUGAGGAGUUAGGGUCGGUGCCCUGCAGGGCUGUGAGCUUGGGAUCCUACUGAGUGGGACGGGUUGUCACAUUAAAAGUCGACUUUUUAUGUGACAGCCCAUCCCGCUCACUCGGAAUCCGGCUUACUCGGGAGUUAUAUGCUUAUAGCACCCCGACCCCAUGGUUAAUGGGUCAUCCACGCCCGCUCUCUCGGCAUGUGGGCCCCAUCUCGUUCCAACAGUUGGUUCAUAAUUUUUUUUAAAAGGCUCAAAAUCAUUGUUUACUGACCUUGCAAUCACCUGACCUUUCAAUGUACUUUGGUCUCACUCACACGGUACCGCGAAUCACUUCCCGAUAGGUCACCCAUCAUUUCACUACUCCAGCCCAAGUAUGUUUAACCCAGGAGUUCUAAACGGAUGUGUUACGGAAAAGGUAAGUCACCUCUGGUAACAUGGGUAGCCAAAUCAAUUCUCUUAAGCCUUUCCAUAUAUCACAACUAGGGAUGUUACAAUUAUGCAACGUCCUCGUUGCGUCCCACGACAGGUCUCAAGACGCCUCUCAGGUCAGAACCGAGAUGGCUAACCAGCUCUGAUACCACUUGUAAUUCCCCGACCACCCAUGGCUAAUGGGUCACCCACGCCUGCUCACUUGGCCCGUGGACCCCGUCCCGUUUCAAUAGUCAGUUUGUAAUUUUUUUCAAAGCCUCGAAAUCAUUGUUUACUGACCCUGGAAUCACCACCUGAAUUUUUCCGUGCUUUGGCCUCACUCACAUGGUUUCGCAAAUCACUUCCCGAUAGGUCACCUAUCCUUUCUGUCACAUCCCGGGCCCGAGCCCAAUUUUUAGUGACAAUGCCCGUGAUGAUUUGGCCCAUGUAGAGAAAACCCUAGGGUUUUUCCCUUCUUCUUCUAUAAAAAGGAGGCAGCCCCUAAGAUUUUCUCCAGAGACUCAAAACCUAGCAAAGCCCUGCCCAGUUGGAGAGAGAGCAGCCGCCGGCUACCAAACCACCACCAGAGCCACCGCGAGUCACCGUAGCACUGCCGGCGACCGUGUAAUCUCACCGAAGAGGAGAUCUCGCCGUGUUUCGAUUCCUUCUCGUCGUUUCCUUGAGUCUUCUACUCUUUUUCUUCUAGAUCCAGCAACUAGUGAGGGUAAAGAAACCCUAAACACUCUCUUUUAGAUCUCUCCUAUCUCUUUCUUCUUCUUGAUCUAUGAUCUAGGGUUUGGGUGGAAACCAACCCUUGUUCUUGUAGAUCUGGUUAGUAAGGACCCGUAGAACUCAGAUCUACAUCAACUCUCUCAUCUCGCAGAUCUAGGCUAAGGUGAGGGCUUGUUGCAAUCUCUGUCUCCUUCUAUCAUUAUCUCAUCAUGGUAGAAAUGUCUAGGUUGAUCAUUCAUCCAUACUUGUUACUUUCUAUAGAUCUACUAAUAUAAAUAAAUAUACAUAUGAUAAAUAUAAAUAUCUUGAUGCUUGAUGUGUGAAAAACAUAGAUCUAUUGCUAAGGUUGUUAAAAUAUGGUUGAAUGAUGUUUGAGGAUUGAAUGUGAUGAUUGUAUUGAUUGGGGUUAUUGUAUAAGAGUAUGAUAUCUAUAUAAUUGGGAGAUGUAAACGAGUUAGAGAAAGGCGUAAGGCCUAUGUGUGCCGGUGUAACGUGGUGGAAUGACAUAUAUGUAUGUCUCGGGCGUUACAUCGUUUCUUGUUGGGUCAUGUGGCAAUCGUUUGAGUUGGCAUGAUUCAUCGCCAGAGCGGACAUGCGCCGUGCCUGUAUGUGAAGUAAAGAUGUAGUAACACGGAUCACGUGGAGACAGCGUGAUGUGGCGUGACCGUGUGAAUGUGGUGGCCCGGAUCACGUGGAGACAGCGUGAUGUGGCGUGAUCGCGUGAAGGUGUGGAACUCACGGAGACAGUGUGAUGUGGCAAGUUCUCACACGACAACAUGAGAGGCGUGGAGACAGCGUGAUGUGGCGUUAGUCUCAUGUUGGCACCGUCGGGGUUUAUCCUCGUUUCUUGUUGAUUGCUUUCGAUUUACUGAAUGUUUAAGUUAGAUGCUUAAGCUAUGUUGUGUGAUGAUUGUUGGUGAUUGAUUUCGGGGCUCCUAGAGCUUCCCUCACUGAGUAUUUGUCGAAAUACUCAGCCCUCCUUUCUUUUUCAGGUGAGUUCGAGGAAGUGCAGGAGUGGUCAUCUCGGUGUGAUGCUGGUUUUCGGGUUGUUUGGUUUUAUUUAAGUUAUUUCAUUUUAAGACUUGGUGAUUUGGUUUUAAGCGUUUCCUAUUCGUUUUAGUACGAUUUUGUAAGACAUUUGGAUUCGAUCCUUGGGAAUGAGAUUUGCAUUGGCCUUUUGAGUGUUUCUUGUUGAUGAAGGCAAUGUGAAUUCAUGCCGUCUCGGUUAAGCAAGAUAUGGGUGUGAUACUUUCACUACUCCAGCCCAAUCAUGCUUGAAUUUCCCCGUGAUUUGGCCUCACUCACAAGUAACGCCAAGCGCACCAAUAACCUACCGUUGGAUGUGGAGGCAUUUUUUCCCACGGUGAGGGGUUAAGUUCGGUGCCCUGCAGGGCUGUGAGCUGGGUUUUGAGUGAGCGGGACGGGUUGUCACAAAAAAAAAUCGCUUAACAACACUCCUCUAGGAUGAGUUUUCACCAAAAAUCGCUUAACAACACUCCUCUAGGAUGAGUUUUCACCAAUUGAUCUGCAGAUCAAUUGGUGACAACUCAUCCUAGAGGAGUGUUGUUAAAGGGUGAAGUCUUGGGAUCGAGUAACGCCAAGCGCACAAAUAACCUUCCGGUGGAUGUGGAUGCGUUUCCUCCCAUGAUGAGUGGUUAGGGUCGGUGCCAUGCAAGGCUGUGAGCUGGGUUCCGAGUGAGCGGGAUGGGUUGUCACACUUUUCAAUUCUUCGGUGUUAUCUUCUAGUGAGUUCAUUAACUGAUCUGCACAGUGCAUUCAUGUGUCUUCUUUGUGUGUUCUCCGUGUCUGCAAUCUGUUUUGUAAUUUGUGGUUUUUUUUGGGCGAUUGUAAAAAUUCUCUCUAGUUUUUAUAAAGCGCCAGAAUGUGCUAGGUGCAAGGGUCUUUGAAGUGUUUCUUCCUCUCUCUCUCUCUCUCUGCGACGGUCCCAAUACUUGGAUUGUUUGAUCAAUCUGAACAGGAUGGUUCCUCCUCAUUACAUGCAGGUACUGAGUCCAAAAGGCAAAUUAUUUCCAUUUCAACCAAUCUUUCUUGUGAAGAAGGUUUGCUCUGGUAAAGGAGUUCCUCAGGCUAGGAUCUUCUUCACUUUACCUAUCCUUCCUUUCAAGCGCUUCAUAGUCUACAGUAAAUCGUUAUUGGAUGGCGAAUGUGAUCUUUAAUUGUUACUUACUCGGAUUAACUAAACAAGUAGGAAAGAUUAGUAAGAUCCGGAAUUUCUUACAAUUUGUUUGCGUAAUCCGAAUUUCAAAUCUGCUUAUGAUAGUUGUAUGGGGUUUAUUCAUUUCCAUCAGAGUCGUGCGAGCUUUUAUAGCUGCCCGAAACAAAAAAUAAAAAAAUAAAAUCAUUUUUCAAAAAUACAUCAAAAUUAUUAAAUAAUAUUAUUAUUGACAAAAAAACAGCAUCAUUACAUUACAAACAACUAAUAAUUAAAUAAGCAAAAAAAUAGUUCUAAACUAUAACAAAUUUCUAUUUAUGCUAGGAAAAAGUAUAAACAAAUUUGAAAAUAAGAAAAAAAUAUUUUAAAAUUUCCAUUGUUAUUAUUUUGCAUAGAUAAAAUAAUUAAGUAACUCAAUAUUUUUAAUUGAUUUUCAAACGAAGAUAAAAGCAUUACUAUACAAACUUAAAAUAUUUAUAGACUAAACACAAAUUUGAGAUAAAUAUUGAGAAAGAAUAAUAUUACACUCAGAAGUGAUAACCACCGAAAUAUGAAUAAAGUAACUUGUAAACUUCUAAUUAUGUAAAGCAUUAUUAUUUUUAAUUAUUUAUUAUUUGUCUCAGUUAAAACAAAUAGAUUUAAAACAAAAGUAUAUAAUAGUUUAACCGUAUGAGUUAUUACUAGAGGUGGCCAAUGUAAAUGCAAGAACUAACCCACAAAGUAAAGCAGAGAGUACACCAGAAAAUAUCUUUACAAAGAUAUGUGUUAUUACUAGUAUUCUUUUAAAGUGAACUUACAAGUCUCUCUUUAAACAGAACCCGAACAAGAUCAAGACCCUUCUUGACUUGCUCCCCUAGCCUCACACGUCCUAAGAUUGAAUACAAGAUCUCUAGAACCUCUACCCCUUAGCCCUUAGUGUUAUUCACUCGCUUACAAGCUUAGUGAACUCCACUCUUAUGCUAAGAAUACAAUUCUCCCUAAUCCACAUGUCGAGUAUGACUAUAUAUACAAUACAGCCAAGUCGGCUAUCCACGCCUAUCUAUCCAAUAUUCACUAUCUACCCAAAUAAGGCAACCCUAAAACCUGUCCAAAGUCUUUAAGAAACUUCCCAUCGUGAGAUCUCCCUUCUCCAAGGUGAAUCUCUUUAAGCUUGCUCCCCAAGAUGUCUUCGUAUUAACUUCGCCUUGGUCCGCAUUCCAUUCUUCAAGUCGCAAUCUUCAUCUUGACUUGUUCAUCCGCACGUACACUUCUCUGUUACAGACUCUGCUCUAUUCACUGAUGUACUUGCGUCUGUAUCAGAACAUCUAUCUGAUCUUUGCAUCUACAAUCUCCCCCUUUUAGUUUGGAUGCCUCUCAAGUACCUGCACAGAUCCACUCAAACAACCACACACAUUCGAACACAUAUAUCCUGAAUAAUAUGUGCAUUAAACUGAAAUGAAGGUUCAAAAUAUGAAAGUUCAAGAGUUAGAGAUAAACAUAAAACCAAAACCACAAAAACCAGGAACAUUGUUUUAUCUCUCACUCCCCCAUAAUUAAAUAAACCGAGAAAAAUUAAAAUUUUCUCCCCCAUAAUCUAGUUUUCCCAUAUUGUAAACUGUUGUCGUUUAACAUGAGUUUAAGUUCUUUUCAACAUUGUCUCAAACAAGUCUGAGUUACAAAGUUGUGCCUUUAUCUGUUCGUAAUAUAUUCUUUCACCGGUGAGCUCUUCAUGUCCACAUCUUAAAUCAUUUGAUCAUAAAUGUUCCUGAUUUGUAGCCCCUCUGUAAACCCCAUAUAUAUGAUUCUCAUCUUUGAUGAUCCAAUCUGCAUAUGCACAAAACUCAUUGAUUCCUCUUAGAUUUAACCAUCUUCUAGAAAAUGUUUCUCUCUGCCUCUCCAGUUCGUCAAACCGGCGUUCCGGCGUCCGUCACGCAACCUUCGAGUAUCUCCGUCUUGGUCGUAGUAGUCAGAGCAUAGCCUCUGGCUUCCUCGCUUCUGGGAUUCCAUGAACUUCAAGAAAGACAGGGAGUUUGUCGGAAUCACGGUUCUCUUCCUUGAUGAAAACGUAAGUUAAUCUUCGAUCUAUCACACUUAUUUAACAUAUCUGUUUUAAUUGAUUUCCUGACUCUUUGUUGAAUAAUAUUAUUUACAGAUUCCGUGAUUCAUGGGUUUACUCCCGUCGCACGUGCUAAUCCUUACAUGUCAUCUUUUGAAAGCAGGUUCCAUUGUGAAAGUCGAUCGUUUUGAGGUUGCUAGGUGCUCAAGCAUGUACAAGAUAACUGAUCAUCCAUUCCUAAUUUGUUUUAUCUCACUAACCAUUAUUGUUGAAGUCAUCACAGGUGCUCCGGAGAUCUAUCUCCAGUCAAGAUUCGACUGUUCGACAAUCUCCAAGUGAUUGCGAACAAAAACCUAGAACUCCCAGGUAUAUUAUCAUGUUGCAUCUGGGUUUAUAUUAUGUUUUGAUAUCAUAACUGAUAUUUAAACUCGCAGAUGUGGUUGGGCAAAUAUGUUAUGUCCAGGGCACUAACCUCACCAAAGAAACAACUCGAGUCGUUAUUCGUCUCUUCAUUGAUCCGUAAGAAAAAAUAAACACAUAAUUUCCUUUAUAUUAUUGUCUAUAUUGUGCUAACAUCAAUAAUAAAAAAUAUUUCAUACCCAAGAUUUGUGGUCGUCUAUUUAUCUCCCUUACUUAUCAAUCUAAUUUUACAUAAAUCUUUAUUUUACAGCUUAAAAGAAAUCACAAUAACCCAAACAAUCAAAACACCAAAAACUAGAAUCUCAAAAAAGAUGCAUCAUUAAUGAUCACCUCUCUUUUUGUCUAGUCUUACAAAUAAACUUCAAAAUAAGUAUACCAAACCAAUCAAACUCAACAAAAACUCAAUGACACAUAAAUUGAGCCAACUAAACAAAUACAAACUACACGGCCAGCUAUUUAACAAUUUACAAACUACCAAGAUCAGUAAAAUUACUUAAACAAAAAAGCAGAUUAAGUUACAAACUCUGAUAAAUACAAAUAACAAUGAUUUUUGUUUACAUAUUACCCAUCAAACAAAAGAGAAACAAACACAGUCACACCAGGAGAUACAAGACACAAUCCCAACAGACACAAAGGAGGCAAGAACAUCUCCACUUGCUCACUCCUCUUAUCUUAUGAAAAUAGCUUACAUGCUCAAUGUCAACAGACCAAAGCUAUUGUCUUCUUAUGAAAAAUACAUAUAUUCGUUUAAAAGCCAUUAUGGCCCAAAUACUAAUUGUCACUCAUUUUAUAGUUAUUUCUACAAGUCUUCAUGUAUUUGUUUUAAAGGUCCGAUAAAAGAAACAAGUUUAAAAUUAAAAAAAGCAUAUAAUCAACAUAAUAAGAAUAAAAUAAUAUUACUUAAUAUACACAACUUACACAACUAGACUGGAGAAAAAAUAUUCAGAAACAAAAGUACUCUCGAUAACGUUAAUAUAAUUUAUGUAAUCUCAACAGUACAAGUAACAAAUUAAAAACAAACAAACAAUAAGUCUCCAACACCACAAACUAUAUCAAUCACAUUAUUAACACAGUUUAGUCUUUCAUGAGUGAAGAACAUUGCAUACACAGUUCAUCAUCACAACUCUAACCCUAUAACAAUAAAAUACUUAAAAAAUAAUGAUCAACCCAAAACGCAAAAUUCAGAACUACAAUAACUCUAACAAAUAUUAAGACGAAUCAAGAACUAUAUCCACAACUCCGCGCCAAGAGCUUGGAGGCAAUGCCCUAGUUUAUUUAAAUACACCAGCAUAUAAAAAUGAAUAGUAUGAAUACUUAACCGUGGCCAAUAACACAACUAAAGACUUUAUUCGAUGCAUUAUGAAAAAAUGAUGCCCUAAGCGAAAAUUUCUUUUCCUAUAAGGCACGCACGGCACGGCACGGUACGGCACUGAUUUCCAUGUAUGAUUUGGUUGUAUAAUUUUGUAUUGUAUGUUUUAGGAUGAAAUAAAUAAAAUUAUAUAUUAAAAAAAGGUAUUGUCAAUAACAUUGAACGUUGUUGGAUACGUGGAGUCUCGGGUGUAUUGUUUCGCUAAACUCUUUUACUGAUGUUAUGGAACUAAAUGAUUUUUCAAAUUUCUUUUUUUUUUCUUUUUCUUUGUGAAACGGGAAAUUGUCAAAAGACAUCAUUGCCGUGAGCGUUCGGGUGCGCAUACGUUUUCUGUUUUUUUUUUCUUUUUUGGCAACAAACGGCUAUUCUAUUACUCAAAUUUGAAGUGGUUUGGAUAACCAGACCGGAAUAUAAAUACCAACAAAACACAACGAUCUAUGAAAAGAACGGGUAACAAGUCAGCAAUUCCAUUUUGCACCCUUGGGAAGUAUUGAAUUUUGAAGUUCGGAAAAUGCAUCUUGAGAAUUUGAAUGGCCUCCAGCUCAGCUGAGAAGUUUGGCCAUGCUUGUGGAUCAUUCAUUAUUGCAAUCAGGUCCUUGCAAUCCGUUCCAAAUUUCUGACAUGUCGAGUGCUGUAGCAUGCUCUACAUUGCCCAUCUUAAUGCUUCCAGUUCAGAGUGGAGUGACGUUUCGCGCCUCCUUAAGUUCCUUGUUCCCAUUAGUUGCAUCUUCCCUCUGUCAUCCUUCCAUACCCAUCCAAGUCCACUGAAUUGAUCUGUAGAGGUCCAUGAACCAUCAACCAUACAGAUGUUUCCAAGCUUAAGGCAUGUGUUUCUUCAACCAUUUGUGUCUGUGGAGGAGCAGGUAUAGAUUCCUUUGCACUAUACUAUGCAUGACACUCACUCUCUGCGUAUCUGACUAACUCCAAGGGGUCCCUAUCUAUACCUCUGAACAGCUUAUCGUUCCUUGCUUUCCAUAUGUACCAAAUUAUCCAAGGAUAUGGGUCUCUAUAAUUUUGUGCUUCCAUAAUACUAUUCUUCCUCCAAAAGAGAUAAUCCAUGUUAGUGUAGAUACUCUCAGUAGGGAAAGUCUGAGAGCUAGACGGUGUUGAUGACAGUUCCCAUGCUUGUAUUGCCGGUGGGCAUUCAAAGAUCGCAUGAGUAGCCGUCUCUUCCGGCUCUCCACAUCUUGGGUAGUAGUUAUCACAUCGCAUAUUGCGACAUACCAGAUUCCUUGUGACAGCUACCUGCCCAGCAAUAAACUGUCAUAUAAGAUGACAAAUCAUUUGUGGUGCAUUGACUUUCCAAGAAAAGGCUUGAAGUUUGCUUAUGUUGGGCUCAACAACUUCUUUUUCCUCCACAUCUCUCAGAAUAUUUGUAGCUACCCAAUAUCCUGAUUUUACAGUAUAUUGUCCAUUUUUGGUGUAGCUCCAACAAAAAGUAUCGCGUCGAUGAGUAGGGCUUAUGGCCAGACUCUAAAUAAUAGAUAUAUCCUCUCGUUCUACAUAUUGAUCUAGUAUCCGAGUAUCCCACUCCUUUGAUUCAAAAUCGAUAAGAUUACUGACUAACAUCUUUGGAUUAAAUAAUGGGGCUCUGGGGCGCGCCGGUCUUGCUGGAAUCGAAUGAAUCCAUGGAUCUUGCCAAACAUUAAUUUGGGUGCACUUUACUCAUGAUGCCCAAGAGUAAAAGUUUUCUUGCCGGUAUGAAACUCAUCCACACAUACGAUGGACUAUCCACUGCACCGAUUCGCAAAGGCAAACUCAAUCGAUAGUAUCUUCCCCGAAGAACUCUCGCCACUAGUGAAUCUGGGAAUAGUACAAGACGCCAAAGCUGUUUCGCCAGAAGGGCAAGGUUAAAUUCGUGGAUCAUGCGAAAACCAAUACCUCCCUCCUCUCUAGGGGCACACAUCUUCUCCCAUUUAGCCCAGUGGAUCCCAUGCUUUGGUGAAUUUGAACUCCACCAGAAUUGUGCGAUGGCAUUCGCAAGGUUUUCACAUAUCUCCAAAGGGAGUAGGAAACUGGACAUGACAUAUGUCGGAAGAGCUAACAGGAUAGAUUUUAUUAGAACUUCUUUUCCACCUUUUGAUAGCCAUAUCUACCCGUCCAUCCAUUCACUCUGUGUAGUAGUUUUUCUUUCAAGAACACAAAUAGCCUACACUUGGAUCCACUAAUAUCCUCUGGAAUUCCUAAGUAGGAUCCCAUCCCCCCUUCAUUAUGGAUACACAAGUGUAUCUUUAGUCAGCUGUCGAUCAUUAGCAGGAAUCCUCUUACCAAAGAGUAAUGAGGAUUUAUGAAAGUUAAUACAUUGUCAUGAUGCUUUCCCAUAUUUUGUGACUACUUUCAUAACUUCUUCACAUUCACGGGGUUCUGCCUUACAAAAGAAAAGGCUAAUCAGCAAAGAGAAGGUGUGAUACCGAGGGGCAAGCGCAUGCGACUCGUGUCUCUGUUAUCUUCCCUUGAUUCUCUACAUGAUUAAGAAGGCUAACGAGCGCUUCCGUGAAUAGAAUAAAUAUGAAAGGAGACAGAGGAUCUCCUUGACGUAAACCUCUACCUGGAACAAUAUUUUCCCUUGCCUCUCCAUUCAUGAGUACUUUGUACUUGACCGAGGUAAUACACUCAUAAUCAAGCCAAUCCAUAUUUCUGAAAAACCCAUCUUCCGCAUGACAGCGUCAAUGAAUAACCAAUCAAUCAUAUCAUAUGCUUUACUCAUAUCCGUCUUUAUGCCCAUUCUCUUGACUCGUCUACCUUGUUUGGUUCUUAGAGCGUGAAACAUCUGCAGAGCUAUCAUGAUAUUAUCUGUGAUCUGUCUCCCUGCAACAAAAGCUGACUGGGUUUCUGAUAUCCGUUGUGGGAGGACCUUCUUCAAUCUUUGGCAUAAGACCUUAGAUAUUAUUUUAUAACUGACAUUGCACAGGCUGAUAUGUCUAAAUUUUGUCAUCUCUUUCGGCUUAUCCGUCUGUGGAAUUAGGCAGAUAUUAGUAUCAUUUAAUCCAUGCACCAUUGUUCCUUCGAAAAGAAACUGAUUAACCAUAAGACUUAAUUCCUCUUUGACAAUAUCCCAAAACUUCUGAUAGAAAAGAGCCGUCAUUCCAUCUGGCCCAGGGGCUUUUUCUGGGUGCAUUGCGAAAAGAGACAGUUUUACCUCCCAUUCAGUUACUGGUCUUGUGAGGUCCUCAUUUACUGCCCCAGUAAUCGAUGUUGAUACCUCUGUCAAAGCAUCGUCUAUAUCCUCCGGGUUUGAAGACUCAAAAAUUUGCCUGAAAUAGCUAGUAGCAUUGGCUACUAAUCCUUCCUCAUCCUCCACCAUGUUUCCAUUCUCGUCUAGAAGUUGUGUGAUCCUAUUCCUCGCUCUUUUCUGCUUCACCAGCGCAUGAAAAUAUUUAGAGUUCUUAUCACCUUCCCUUAACCAGAGAACCGUACUCUUCUGUCUCCAAAACAUCUCUUCUGCCUUAAGAGCAGUAGUUAGUUCCUUAAGCGCGUCAGCUAUUUCCUCAGAGGUAGCAUCAUCAUUUCAAUAUAGAUCGUCCACCUUUUCUUUAAGCUCCUCCACUUGCUUUUCUGUAUUCACAAUGUUUUGUCUCCUCCAUUGACUCAAUGCCUUCCUACAACUGGCAAUAUGAUCUAUUAUAUUAGCUUCUGGUGGCAAAUCCUCUGACUUCCAACCUUCCAAAAUGACUUGCCUUAGUUCUUAAUUAUCCAACCAGCGUUUAUCAAAUUUAAAUUUUUUUUUCUUUCUCACUGGUUUUGUUUAUAGUUAAAAAAAGAAUUAUUUUAUACAGUUUAUAAUUAUCGUACAUUAUUUUUGUUUGUGUUUCUUUUCAUUUAUAUAAUACUGAUUCCUUUAUUUUUCUCUAGGAGUUACUCACUUUCACUUGUUCUUUUUUUCUUAACUUAUAUAAGACUAACUUUAUAUGUUUCAUGUGAAUUUACUAUACAUAGUAAUUAUGGAUGCUGCAAUAUAUGUUAAUUGGGUGUUAUUUUGUAUUGUAAUUCUUUGUUGUGUGUGUUUCCAGAAAUAUGUUGUGUCGGGAACUUAAUUUAAUAAUAGUACGAAAGUGUUAAAUACUAUUAUGUUAUUUUAUAUUCCCAUAACUUGUAAACAUUAUUGUGAGUGCUUAAUAAGUUCUUCUUAUAUUCUUUCUCGACUUGCAGCUGCCACUCCUCUUCGCUUUAGCUCGUUCCAGCUCUCCGCGGUCGGUGCUCCUCACCUCUGUCUGGAGUGGGCUGUUCUGCUUUCUUUUGUUCGGUUAUGCUUCUCUGCUUAUUCAGUUUUCAGCAGGGAAGUUGAGGAGUCGCUACUUUGGGAAAGAUUAUCUGGUGGUUGAGGUGACAGAUCUAUUCAUUGUAAUUGUGUGGCGUUUGGCGGUUCAUCGGCGAUCUGUCUACCUCUUCUUGUCUCGUCUUAAGUGAUCUUUCGAUCAAAAUGGUGUUUUGGCCUCUCUCUGGUUCGUCUGCUCUUUCUCAAUGGCAGGGAUUUGAGUACUGUCCCUGCUUCAGUCAAGUGCGGUGGUCAGGGUGCGACGUCUCAUCUCAGAUUAGUGGCAUCUCUUUUCGGCGUGUGCAUAUUCUCCUUUCCUGAGGUUAUGCCUAGGCGGAUGUCUUGGGUCUGUUAGCUCUGGCGUGAGCACCUCUUCGGUGAUGGCUGGGGGUGGUGCUUCAAUGUGGUGGAGUUCAGAGUUUCCCCUUUGUUUGCUCUUCGGAUCUAUCUAGAUCUGUUAUGGUUUCCAGCGUGGCUUCGCUUCAAAGGUUAUGGACAUGUGAUUAUUCAAUUGAGUUUUGGUCCGCUGCAGUGUUGGUGGUGAUUAGGUGUUGAAUAGAGGCAUCGGUCUGACUUUGGCGGCUCUGUUGCAAUCUUGGGAGAUGAUUCUUCAGGAUUUUAUAGCUUGAGAAUGCUGGCCGGAGGCAACUUUUCUGACUGCUAGUAGAAGCUCCUAUGCCGCCGGGUGUAGCUUGAUCUUCUGAAGUUGGUUCGUUUUUGCAUAGUUCUUGGAGAAGCUAUAGGCUCUUCUCACUUGUGAGGUUUGAGGGCAGGUCUCGGAAGGAGGAGCUCGUGGCAACAAAGAUGAGGAUUCCAGUUCUUUGGAUCUGCGGCAACUUUGCAAAUGUUUGAGUUCUAUACUCGGAAUUGGUGCUUUAUCAUCCAUGAUCCCCUUAAUUUAUUUUGAGGUGUUUUUUUUUUGUUGUUUUUGCUUGUUUUCCUUUGUAGCAACUCCAUAAUUGUUUUGCCAGUAGUGCCAAAUUGAACUCAUGGAUCAAUCUGAACCCAAUUCCUCCUUCCUCUUUUGGUAAACAAACUUUUUCCCAUUUCGACCAGUGUAUGCCUCUUUUAGGGGGAUUCGAACUCCACAAGAAUUGUGCAAUGGCACUAGCGAGGUUCUCACAAAUCUCUAAUGGAAGCAAAAAUGUCGACAUAACGUAUGUCGGGAGAGCGAGUAGAAUGGACUAAAACUUAAUGUUUAUGUAGUAUAUUGCUUCAGCAAUUAUAUUCAGUUUAAACUAAAACUUUUGACCUUUAAUUAAGUCCUACAAUCAAAGCCUUACAACAUUUUUAUGAAGAAAAAUUUAUGUAUUUAAUUUAAACUCUCCCUUGACCUUUGUAACAUAUCCAAUACCAAAUUACCAAUCAUGACAAAACCCUAUACCAUAAAAUAUAAAAACGGUCAGUUGUUACAUAUACAAUCAUUAUAUGUAUCAAAUAAAUGUUUUAUUUAUAAGUAUGAACUUAUCAUAUUUAAGAUAACUAAUCACCACACAAAUUGCAUAUCUUUCUCACGAACAAUAUUUUACAUUUCGGAAUAUGGAAUAUAUGGAUCAUUCGAACUUCGAAGUAUGGAUCUUUCAUAACUGUAAAGAUUAUCCACUAGAUUUCCAUUUCAUUUCUAAAUCCCUAUUCAGGCUCAAUAUAUUAACAAGAUCAGCAAAUAAUAAUACUGAGCUUUAAUUUUGUUAGACAACCGACGCACAAAAAGGUAUCUUUCCAGAGAUACCAAUCAAAAUAUACAUAAAAUUUUGCAUUACAAACUAAUAAAAGAUGAUCUACGCUAUAUGCUAUCCAUUCAGUUACAAAUUAAGAAAUGCAAUAUCCUAAAUUAUAUUUUUAAUUUUCUAUAUUAGUUAGUUUCUAAACCCGAUUCGCUAGGAAAAUAUUAUUGAAUAUCCCCGUGACCUGUUUAACAUUAUUUUCCAGUACUAUAUAUACACCGUAAUUGGCAGAGGUGGCAGCUAACACAAAAUACCAAUAACUACAUAGAAAACAUGAAGCUUACAGAGAAGUUAUCAUACCUCUCCGAAGUGAAACCUUUCAAAACGAAUUGGUGGAUCCACGUGAAAGCUGUUCACAUGCACAUUUAAACAAUUCAAUCAACAAUUUGGUGACACAACAGAAUCAUUUUCUAUGACAAGGUAAACGAUUAUAAGCUAAUUUAGUCAAGAAAUAUUUGAUAUUUCAUUCGUUCGUCAUGACUUAUUAAUUAUUCAUAUCUUUGUUACAGUGUAUUAAAAUUCUUGCAACAAGAAAAAAUAUUUGGUUAGUUUGGGGAGGACUGCCGUAUGGGUGAUUAGAAAAACCUUGAAGUGUUUUACUUAAUUUCAGCACUGGUGAAUACCGACCUACCGCUCACUGUUUAUAAAAUGGGUUUUAUAGACCUCACCAUAAUUACUCCAUACGAAUUCAGUAGUGACCGAUAUGUUUCUUUCUUUUAUGGAGUUUGAAACUAUUUUGAAUGGAAGACUAAACACAAGUUUCUUGAUUGAUAAGUUUAAAAAGUCGUGAUUGUUUAAGAAAAUCGUGAUUGUUUGAAUUUUGUUUGACUGAAUUUUGACUAAUGUUACGUGUUGUGUUUUAUGUAGAUGUUGUGGGGCAAGCAAUAUUUAUUGGAGAGCUACAAACCCUCCAAUGUAGUAGAAAAUAAAGAAAGAAAAUAAAAUUCACACUUGGAGGCAUAAAGUAAGUUUAGUUAGAAAGCUCAAUUUAAAUAUCAUUCUGUUAAAAUGUAAAAUAAUAUUGUAUAUCCAUAACGUUAUAUUCAUUAGUAAAUCAAAACAACUACUAUUCAUAUACACUAAUUACAACAUAAGCACACAAAAAAAAAAUAACAAAAGGAGAGCUAAUGAGUAUCUGUUAAGAUUAUUUUCUCAGUUGUUAGUUGAAAAGAGCUUCUUCUUAAAACAGAACCAGUACUGAACAGUGUCUGGAAAGGUAUGGCGAUCCUGUUUUACUAAACAAGAAAAAAUGUUUGUUUGAAGUUGUCUUUUAGUAGUUUUACGAACAUAAACAUAUGGCCAGUGAAGAACAAAUCAUUAUUUUACAAGGUUCAUUGAACAAUAUAUUAUACAAACUUUAUAAAGAUAGACUUGAGAUCAACUUAUCUUAACAGAGUUUGUUGUAUUUUAUUUAUAUAAAUUAAAAUUAGCUUUUGAAUUAUUAGAGCCUAAAUUACAUGUAAAUAGAUCUAAAUUAGCUUCUGAAUUUUUAUUGUAGAGCCUAAAUUGUCUGAAAAAAAUAAUUCCACAAUAAGAAACAUAAUAUAUUUUCUUUAUAGAAUACUUAGCUUUAGUAGUGUUUCAAAAAAAAAAAAAAAAGAAUACUUAGCUUUAGUAAAAAAAUAUCUUCUUCUCUUUUUGUAACUUCAGCUAUGAGGAGAAUCCUCCGUUAUCAUACGUAAACAACUUGGACACAUACAUAAGAAGUAAGAACACAACACAUCUUACUGAUUGCACCAAAAACACACACAUCUUACUGAAACAAAAAUCGAAUUGGGUAGUUAAAUAUUAUAUGGAAAGAGUGCGAUGAAUCCUAGGGUUGAGAACUGUAAUGCAACAGAGCUGAGAUGUGAAAAAGCUGAGGAAAAAGAUCUAGAGCAACUGUCUGCUAAGACUGCUCUAGGCGCAGAAGAAAGAAUAGAGCAGCUUGCUAGCUCUGAAGUGACUGCUCCCGACGAACCUAUUGAGAUUUCACCAGUGCGAGUCUAUGUUCCUAAGGUUCCAUAUCCAAUUCCACCUAGACAUUUGAUGGAUCCCAUUAGUGCAGAACAACUGGCCGGGUUUAUGAAGAUGGUGAGAAGGCUUCCUCAAAAUAUCUCAUUUGAACAUGCUUGGGAGAUUCGACCAUUGCAUUUGUUCUUCAAAAACUGCAGAGAAUCUCGGGAGAAAAUCAAGGCACUCUUUACUGAAGCACUGACAGCAUCGCUGAAGGUACUGCCUAAUGUUGAUGACCCUGAAAAUUUGUUUUUCCUUGUUCCAUUGCUGGAGUGGAAUUCAAGGAAGCUCUUUGUGAGUAUGGGUCUAGUGUAAACCUUGUCUCAAAAGCGAUUGUAGACGAGCUGGGCAUUGUUGAUGUGUGUAAACCUUGUCUCAAAAGCGAUUGUAGAUGAGCUGGGCAUUGUUGAUGUUGAGCCUUCUCAUGUGAAGCUGGCUUUUACCAACUCUUCCAUGGCAGUCCCUUAUAGAACUAUUCACAAUCUUCCUGUCCAGGUUGGGGACUGCAUGCUCCAUACCGAAUUUCAGGUUGUUGAUAUGAGCAAAGAUCAUGAGAUGCCUUUGAUCUUUAGGAGGUCAUUUAUGGCUACAGUUGGAGCAAAUCAAGCAAUAAUCGACCUGCCUAAUAAGAGAGUCUCCUUCUCCAACAUCAACAAGAAGGUUUUCUACAAGGCUGUCCCAAUCAGAUCACAAAUUCGAUACGCCUCUUGCAUCUCAAUGGUUAAUGGAGAACAGUUGAAAAUUGUUCCUAAAGUGUUUGGAAAAAAGGCUGAGAUCAAAGAAGUCCUGGAUGGAGAUCCUCACACUGAUACAACGAAACUCAGUGGAAAUGCAAAGCUGAAUGAAAAAGUCCACAAGAAAAGGCUCAAGGGUGCCCUAUGAUGAGUUUGAUACCUCGCUUGUGUGAUGAGAAUGUAUUGAGCAUGAGGUAAAGUGCAAGGGAACCUCUAAACCUUUCUCUAAAGUCAGAGUAAUUCUCACACAUGAGCUGAAAGAGAAAGAAGAAGCUGUUAUGAAAGGGUUGUUGAGCAAAGUCUUGAAGCUGAAUAUGUCUAAUUGUGGAGCUUGUUUUGGAACAAGCCGUCAGGCUCAACACGACUGAUCCAUGUCUCCAAGUCAAGCUAGUGACUUAAACCAAGCGCUUGGUGGGAGGUAACCCACUGGUAAGUGUAAAUAUAAGUUGGUUUUGUUUUUGUUUGUUUAUUUUUCGUUUUAGUUUAUUGAGUCUCAGGUCAAAAAACAGAAAAAUACGAAAUACUUAAAAAUUCUAGGUUGCUGAAGGAGCGACUGCUCCAGGCGGAGAUCUUGCAAUGGAACACCCAGAAUUUUCGUGGAGCGCCUGCUCCACUCAGGUAAGUAUCUCACAAAAAAAUAUAUAUAUUUAUUCUUGUUUUCACCUUCUCUCUGAUUUAUUUCACACCAGGGACGUUGUGAAGUAAGUCUGGGGAGUGUUUCGUCGUUUAUUAACUUGUUUCUUUAUUUUUUUUACUUUUGGGUCAGUUUGAGUCAGUUUUUAGGAUUGAGUCAGUCAAAACUUUGUGGGAAUUAGAACCUUAUUUUGUGCUGAUCACUAACCACCUCGUUCUUUAGUUAUCUUAUUCAGUAACCUUAGUAGUGGCGAAAGACACACAUGUGGACCUCGAACACCCUGAUAUAUCUCACUUGAUUCUCUAGAAGUUCUCAGCCGAUCAGUUUACACUAGGUAGACUUAACUCCACCUAACUUGAACCUAAUAUUGACUGAAAUUCUUCCUGUUAUGGGGAUUAGAUCAGGGAAACGAAAACUGAUAUCACUCAAAUUACCCUAAGGAAUGAUUUUGCUCUCUCAAAUAAAAGGUUCAAUUGUAGUACUUAGGGAUCGAAUCAACAAGGAGCUAGGGAACCUAAUAAAUCUAAUCAGACUAGUUAAGCUAGAUGGUUUAAUUGUUUAAAUGUAAAGUUGCAAUUGUUUGAGCACGCAAUUUCUCGAUUGAUUGGUUGAGGUUUUGGUGCUUAAAAGAAAAUAGUAGACCUAGGGUUUUUAUUCAAGAAAUUUGGAGUUAUAAUCCUAUAGAUGCCUAACAAGUUGCAUGCAUGAUAUUGUAGAGCUCAACACUUAUAAAAGAACCACUAGGCUCUCGCUUUCUAGAUUCGUCUAUUGACCAGUGUCGAUCGAUGAUUCCAUAUGAAUAUCGAUCGAUGCACUAUUCGAAACGUCGACUGGUUAUUCUAUUUGAAUUACGAUCGACGUCGUUGGUCAAGCGUUAAUGUGCGGGUUGAAUGUGCUCACUAACCUCACUAGAUCAGCUCUCGCCUUACUCUUAGCAAGAUCUUAGCUCAAUUAGAAUGGUUUCAGGAUGAGAUGAAAGCUUACGCUUAUACCUAAUAAUCCUAGGGCAAGUUCUAGGUAGCUAAUCUAGAAUCAGGCAUUAUUGAUUAAUAUCACAACUUAGCAAUCUAUAGUUGGGGCUAAUCCCUUAUAACCUUUUUAAACUCUAAAAUCUAAUAAGGGAACUAUUCAGACAUGACUAAGCAAUUCAUAACAGCAAAUAGGUAUAAAAACUGCAUUAGAAUAAUAGAUAAAUAUAAAUGGAGUUCCAAUCACAAAUAACUUUGGAUCUUCUCUUCAAUCUACUAAAAAUCCUAGAAAACCUUUGCUGUGAAAAUAGUAAAACAAGAAAAGCACACUUUGCCUCUAACAUGUUGACAAAGUUUAUAUAAUUAGGUUAAAACUCUUCAGGGGUAAUCUUAUAAAUUGGUGAAGACUUGGGCUCUAAGUCGGCUGUGACCAAACAUGCUUUAUGCGCGCUUCGCUAUCGAUCGAUGUCAAGAUGUGAGCAUCGAUCGAUCAUUCCUCUUCAAUAUCGACCAAUGGUCGAGCUCGAUGGUCAUCUCGGGUGCUUACUCGAAAUAUCUCCAAAAUGCUCCAAAAUCAUCACUUUCCUCCAAAUCACUCCUGAUCCUAUAAAUACUCUAAAUAGACUCUAUAAUAUAAUAAUUAGUAAUUAAGAAACUUAUAAACCACGGGUAAAAGUGGGUCAAAUCCAUGGUCUUUCAAGAACACGCUCAGAACUUUUUAUCCUUUUUAUCCAUCUUUCUGAUCCUGAGUGGCUAGCUCAUCUUUAGCUAGUGCCCACCCUGCACGUCAGUCUUUAUUCCACUUUCAUGCAUUUGUUUUUCAGUGUCAUAUGUGUAGAUAUGUCCAAAAAGGUCAGAGAGGAAAGCAUCAACGCAACUUCUUACUCGGUUCCAGGGACCGAACUCAGGGUUCCUUCUAGCAGGGACCUGGAGCGUUCCCUUAUCGGGGACCCGAGGGUCUUGGUCCUGCCUGGAGGCUGGAGGAAAUGAUACCGGGGUAUUUUUCCCCAAAGUUUGCCCCUUAUUUCUCGAUUUUGUCAUCAAAUUCGGCGAAUAAUCUGUGCACUCCAGUCAACCGGGGUUGCUCAUUCUCAGCAGGCUUACCUUAGGCAGGACCCUGUUCCAUUGAUCUUGCUAUCCUGGGUUCCAUCAAGCCGGAACUCAUUCUGAACCCAGGUGAGGAUCGGUUCCUUCGUGUUUGAUCGGAGCUAGUUGUAGUUUCUCUUAUCUUCUGGAGAUAACAGUGUUGGAACUCUGAUGUUUAGGCUGCGUAUAGGCUGGAGAGAGUCGGAGAGAUGAUACUGGUAAUAGGUUCCUCAAGGUCCCGUUAGUUUUUUGGGUCCCUAGGAUUGACUGAUAUUUUCCCUCAUCGUGCUUCGAGACUCGUUUUCCCAUGCAGUCUCAUAUUUUUGACGCGUGUAAGUCAAUCCUAGGGUUUUUGAUUUUGUUUCCCCAUUUUUGCUGCAUGGACUUUUGGGUUUCUUUUUCUUUCUCACCAAAGUCUCGCGCGAUCUCUGUUGCUCAGGCCUAGGUCUUCACUCUCUCAGGUAACACCCUCUUUCUCCCCAUCCUUUAUUCCAAACUUUUUAGGAUGUCAAACUGGCUAGAUCUCGUCCUCGGCUCUUCUUCGAUAGGUACUAGGGUUCAUUCAAGACGUAGGGUUGGAAACGAGGCCAAUGAAUCCAUUGAUUCCUCAGAAUCUUCUCUGGAUCUGACCGCCGAAAUAGAGGAACUCAGGAAUGCUACCGUUGGAGAGGUUCUGCCAUCUCCGGGAGGAGACAGAUUUUCGCUGGUGUGUCUUCUAUGGGUAAUAGGAGUAGAGGAGGUUGCAAACUGGAUAAUGAGGUUUCGUCAUCCUGACGAAGUUACCAUUCGGAUCCCUGGUCCUUUUGAUAGGGUUUUGGAUUUUGAGCUGGGUGAGAUCCCUGUAUAUGCAGGUUUCUUCGAAUCGGGUUUCAGAGACCAGGUUCCUUCUUUGGUGGCCAAGAUCUUGAAAGUAGUGAGGAUCUCCCCUGGACAGCUGAAUCCUCCUUCGUGGAGGAUUUUGAUAGCUAUGCAUAAUCUCGGUGAUCUUGAGGGUAUUACCGUUGGAGUCGCUGAGGUUCUAUACUGUUAUUCCAUCUCUCCUUUGAACGGUGGGGAGUUUAGGUAUCAUUUCCGUCCUCGUGGAAAAGCGCUUCCUGUGUGGGAGCUUUCGAAGGCUGAGAAAAAACAUUGCCUUGUCUUCAUGGGGUGUUGGACUUCGAAGUUUGCUUUUAUGCCUUUUCCUGGAUCUCCCCCACUUGGUGUGCAGCUGGUGGGUCAUAGAAACUGCCAUGACUUUCUUUAAAUGUCUGAUGCUGAUGUCUUUUGUUUUCUUACACAGCCAUAUCUCACUCGGAUUAUCCUUCAGGAAGGGAUACGGUCUAGCAGCUGUUGGAGCUUCCCCUUGAGCACCGCAAAGUCUCUUUCCUUGUAAGCGAUGAAGCACUAGAUCGGUGUAGCGUUAGAGGUAAGCUUUUCUAUCGUAGUUUUUCCCGUUUUCCUUCUAUGAACUCAAGCCAGGUUGGUUAUGUCUUUCAGGCGUGAUGUCGGGUUCUAGAGGUGAUGAGGCCUUGGCGGAAUAUAAGAAAGCUCUUGAGGCGAUGUCCGCAAGGAAGGCUGCAGCCAAGGAAACUGCUCCCGUUGAAGAUGAAGAGGUCUAAUUUUUUGGUAGUACCAGGCGUCAGCCGACUACCGUCACAGCUCCUUCGUCCUCCAAGAAAAAGUCUAAAGUCUCUGGCUCUGCUCUCAAAUCCUCCCCUCCCGUCUCUGAUAAUUGGUCCAAGGUUCUGGCCAAUUUGAAUGCAAAGGUGUUCCCUCUGACUCCUGCGUGUCUGGCAUCGGAUGGGGACUCUUCUAUGGUCAUCCGCUCUCUUCAGGGUGGACUACUCCAGGUAGCAUAUCAUGUUCUUUGUCUUGCUUUCGCAACGUCUCUCUUUAUAGGUGUUGGAGUCAAAAUCGGUCACGACGAAAUCAAUGUCUGAAAAUCCGUAAAAAUCAGCAUGAACGUUUUUACGAAAACUAAUCUUCGUAAAGAUAUCUUUACGAAGAGCCUUGCGGUAAAAUCUUGUUCAAAUCUCAAUCGAACCACUAAAUACCGAUUGUCCGAAGGCAACGGACAUGUAUCCAAAUCGGCUGCGGACAAGCUCGGGUAUGAAAAUCGGACCGCGGACAAGCCAAGCUCGAUCAAUACGCGGCGACCAAGCAUGCACACAGCUCGGUCGCUACGUAGCGACCGAGAGUCCAUCCCGCUCGGUCGCUACGCAACGACCGAGCUCGAGCCAAGCUCGGUGACUACGUAGCGACCUAACGGGACGGACACUAGGUCGCUACGUAGCGACCGAGAUCUUCAGAAAAGUCGAUUCGACACCAGUCCAUUCAUUCUCGUUUAUCCUUCGAUGCUAUCUCCCGAAGACCGUAGCAAACUCAGUUCAUGUUUUCUGCCAUUCUAAAUCAUCGAUCAAACUUUGCGGAUAAAACAGCGGAAAGUUCGCUUUUUAUCGAAAGAAGUCGCAGUAAACGCUUCGAGUCGGAAGACGGCCCAAAGGGACCUAAAACAUGAUUCGAGGCCCAUCCUACGACUCCUUAACCAAAAGCUCGUAAACCGUAGCACAGUUUACGCUUGGCGCACAAGGAAGGAUAAAUGUCAAGUUUCCGCGGAUAAAUACAAAAUUUUAAGGAUAAUUACGAAGAUCAGAAAAAAUAGAAUAUCUCCAUUUUAUGCUAUGACGACUUAAGGGCAGAAGAGUAAAAGCGUAAACCGUCCUUAGAGCUAGUAUAUAAGGAGUCCUAGGCGAGAGGCAUGGAGAGAUAGCUUUUUAGACUCGGAAUUCUCUGCACUUAGAAACUUUAGGCUUUAUUCUCGACAAGUUCGGUUUCUAUGACUGGCACUCAAUAACUAGACGAACUCGCCCAGGCAGUUCGAUCUCUUGUCCUCCUCUAUCAAUUGAACUACGUUCGGCUUGAUCCUCGAAAGGGGUACGUAGGCAGCCUUUAACAAGGUUCAGUCCGAAAUCAAUCAAAAACCUUUUCUGUAUCUAUUUCGUCUUUUGUUAUCGAGCUGCGACUCAACUAGGUUUGAGCUAUUAGGCCGCUAGAACUAAGUAACUCGCUGUAAGCCUUUGCGGCCAAAGCUUUUAUGAUCUCUUGUAAUGAUCGCAACGCUCUUACGCGGACUCGAAAUAAGAUCCACUGUUUUCUCUAAACUCGUUUGUUAUCUUUUCAUGAUUUCCACAUAUAUUUGGUCACUUGUCGUUAGCUCUCGCAGAGAUCCGGGACCUCUGGGAAAUUAGGGUUUUCCUAUUUUCCCAAUUUAAACGGAAAUCGACAGUGCGAAUUUCGGUUCCCACAAUAGGUUGGAUUAUGUUGAUGCAGGUGGCGUCUCAACUAUUCCAUCUUGGGGAAAGGAUGGAAGAUAAGACUACUGUCCUGGCCAAAUUGGAUGCGUUGACCGCUCAGCUGCGUGAGGAGAAAGACGCUGUCUUGGCCAAAGGGAGUGAAAUUAAGGCCUUGAAGCUCGAGGCACAGAAUCAGGAAGAGGCACUGGAGCGUGUGGCAGCGGAGAACGCUUCUUUGCUGAAGCAGUUGGAGGACAAGGAGGAGGACAUAUGUGAGUUGAGAUACGCCGCGGAGGUCUUCGAUAAUGAGAACGCAAUGGCCGUAAAUGGUGCCAAGGUUGUGGCCCGUUGGGAGCUGAUGCGAGAAUGGCUUCACCGUCAUACUGACAGUUGGGAGCCUGCGACAGCCCUGGAGCAAUACAAGACCGUGAAGACUACUGAGGCUGAGCUUUUUGGUCUUCAUAUUCCUUGUUUUGAUGAUGAGCCAGAGGUUCCUGAGAGGGGUGAUACCACUCAAAUUACCCUAAGGAGUGUUACUCUCAUCAAAAGAGGUUCAGAUGUAGUACUUAGGGAUCGAAUCCACAAGGAGCUAGGAAACAAUUAAAUCUAGUGUUUAUUAAUUCUAAAGGUUGUAAUGUUUUAAUAAAAUAGCAAUAGUAACAAGUGAGUAAAUGAUAAAUGUAACUUAGGUUGGAAAUGAUAUUAGAUGCAGGGCCACUAUUCAGGUGUUGGAGAUUAUAAUUCCUAUAGAUGCCUAACUGUUGCAUGCAUGAUAUAUUAGAGCUCAUUCGCUUAACUCAGUGACCAGCUGUCGCAUGUACCACUGGUUAACAGACUAGAUCUUGUGUCUCACCGGUUAGAUGCAGACACAAGAGAGUGUCGAUCGAUAGUCUAUUAAGACGUCGACCGAUACACCUUUGCCAACAUCGAUCGAUUGUCAGUUGAGGACAUCGAUCGACGGGUUCUAGCCAGGCCUACGCGCGAGUAUGAAAUGCCCUACUAAGAUUCUAAAUUGGCGGUUAGCCCUCUCUAGCAAUCCUAAUAUGAUAGAUAGAUGUCAGGAUGGGAUAACAAGGGUGCUUGAAUAUGCAAUCCUAUGAUCAAGUUCUAUUUAGCAAGGCUAAAACAAGCAAUGAAUACAAAUCUAUCAUGAAUAUCACAACAAGGCAGAUCUAUAGUUUGGGGCUAAUCCCACAAACCUAUAUGAACCAUGGAUCUAACAGUUGAACUACUCAGACAUAGCAAAGCAAUUCAUAUCAAUAGAUAAAUAGAAACUCAUAGAAUAGAUGAAAAGAAAUAGAAACAAGGAGUUCCAAUCACAAGUGAUCUUCUCUCCAAAUGAAACUUGUAACAAAACUAGGUCUAGAAAGAAAAGCUCUCCUCUGCCGUCAAAACACUUGCAGUAUAUAUUCUACUAGGUUAAAAACUCGUCAGGGCAUUUUGGUAAUUUGGCUUGGCCUUGGUUUUUAAGUCUGCUGAAUCCAAAAUGUCGCGUCUGGUGUCUCGACAUCGAUCGAUGGUACUUGUGUACAUCGAUCGAUAUUAAUCUUCAUCUGUCGAGGCAUUUCUUGAUAUCGAUCAUCAGCACUGAUGCGCAUCGAUCGAUUAUUCUUCCUCUCGUCGACCUCUAAGUGGUCAACUCGGGUGAAAUGUCCUUUAAGCUCCAAAAAUGCACCUGAACCUGAAAACAUACCUAGAAGAGUAGAAAACAUAGAUAUAUAUAGUAAAGUACUUAUAUACCAUGCACAAAAAUGGGUCAAAUCCAAGGUAUAUCAACUCCCCCAGACUUACCCUUUUGCUUGUCCUCAAGCAAACCAUACAGGCAGUCUCUCUGAAAGAGGUUUUAAAAUAUUUAGGGAUUUAAGAUUUUAAAAACAUAGAAAUCUUUCCUCAACAAUUUUGCAACCACAUUUAAAAAGUCCUAAUCAGAAAAGCACACUAUGCAAUAUCCUAGCUUAGCAACCAUUUCUAACAUAAAACAACUCAUCAAUUCACGUAUGACAUCCCCUCUACUGAUUUCAUUUCUUAGCAUAAAUAUAAAGUGAAUGCUUUACCUUGGGAGUAUCGAUCACAUGAUGCAAGGAUUUCAGACAGGUAUCUGGAGCUGCAGGUAAAAGUUAGUUCCUAGUUUUUCUCUCUCUAAAUUUCUCUCUUGAGUCAAAGUCUGCUUCCAUUGCAGGAUCAGUGACCAAGAUUGGACAGGCUUCCAUGAAUCAAAACUUAAUGGUGGUUGCCACCAAGUUCUGUUCACUUCUUUUUGACCUAUAUCCAAGAGUUCUUUGCGAAAGCGAGCCUUGAAGAUUGCCGCCUCCAAGUCCCGUUUCGAACUCUUUUAUUUGAGUCUUUAUGAAUCAAGCCUUAAUGGUUUUAGCCACCAAGUCCUGUUCAGACUCAUCCUAAUUAAACAAUAGAUCUUAUUUAUUUAUUUAUUUAUUUUUAUUAUAUUAUUAUUUUUUUUUUAAUACUAACUAAUCUAGGGUCGGAAUCUAGAGAGAGAAAAUGUGAUAAAUAAUCUAAACCAGGCGUUACCUUCCAGACCUGUCUGAAGAAUCCGAUCCCAUGUAUACCAAGCCCCAAGACAACCGGUUAUGUCAGGUUUAGUGUUGGAAAUCAGCUUUGGUUACUUCAUACGGUUCAAGGCAAGUGUGUAGAUGAUAGGUUGAUCUGCUUUAGCAUCUUUAGUGCUAUCUGCAAUCAGUAAAUCUAAAAUGGUGCUAAAGAUUGGUUAGAUAUUCAUGUUUAAAUCAAUAUAGGAUUAUAGUCCCUAUUUUCAAUAGCUAAGCAUAAUUUAUUUAAAAUUCCUUUUUACAUAAGAAUAAAAUAAAUUAUAUCAGUAAAUCUCCCCCCCAAACUUAAAUUACACUGUCUCAGUGUAACUCAGCCGGAGUUAUGAUGAAUAGUUUAUGACGUACGAAAUGUAACAAGUAGGUAAGAUACAUCUGACCGGAUUAGAUAUCGAUUGAUGUGUAAGUGUUACAUCGAUCGUCGUGUGGUUGCCUAUGUCUCUGAAUGGCUUUGACUUCUUUUUGUAGCCAUUCUGCAUGGUUGUCUAGUCCACUGAUUUUGUUGUCGAAUGGAAAGUAGAUGUCAUCGCAGCGUUUGUCAAGUCGUUCCUCCAUGGUGUCUAGAGCAGUGUAGAUCUUGGAUGUGAUCUUGUCAAAUUCUGCUGCUGUGUAAGGAAGUAACUCCACAUGUUUCUUGCCAUCGAUCCAGGGUCCUCUUAGCCUAUCGAUCGAUGCUGAUUUUGCCUGCAAAAAACUUUGAUUAGUAAUGUUCUCAAUAUCCUUUUGGGCAUGAAGUAAUUGACAAGAAAAUUUGUUUAAAUCUAUCAUGACUGGUGAUAUAAAACGGUCAUGCAUAUCCUCGUAAGUCCUCAGCCUCUCAUUCAUUGCUGAGACUUUAGCGUCGAGCGAUGUGAAGGUGCACAUGUCGAUCGAUGUGGCUGGUUGUUGGUCCUUCUUCCGAAUUGUGUCAAGAUCUUGCUGUAGUAGCUCGAUUUUAGUGCUUAGCCAGUCCACGUUGUUGUUGAGAGGGCAGUAAACAUCGUUUAUCCUUGUGUCGAUGUAUGAGACUUCCCAUUCAUCCCUGUGUUGUGUUGAACAGCGCGGUUCUGCAGGGAUCUGAGUUGUAGGAAGACUGACGUCAAUCGAUGUUGCACUUGGUGCAUCGAUCGAUGCUGAGGUCGUAGCUUCCUUCUCAAGUUGCUGACGUAAACUCUCAAUUUAUGUCCUCAUUUCUGCCAUACAUCUGAAAAGCUUAUUGUAGCCUCUAUCCAAAGGCUGAUGUGUAUCUUCUACCAAUGUUUUGACCUUCUCUCCCAGUUUCUCCUGAGCUCCACAAAUACUAAAAACCAUCUCAUCGAUUUCAUCUUUGGUGUAGAGUUCUGGUGCCAGUCUUGUGAGUGUGAAGGAAGUGGCAUGUUCUGGAAGACAGAUGUGGCUCUCUUCAAAAAGAGAUGCUCUUUCCAGUAUUUUCCUGAUGUUGUCCUUUGUGACAGGUAUCAUCUCACCAGCUGCGCCUCGUGCGUGUCCACGCUCAUCUCUGUAGACUCCAUAUUCGUCCCUUUGUUCCCAAGUGAACUUUCUGGAUCCAUACAUGUCGAAAGCGCGGUUCCCACAUUCAUACCGUCUGUCGAUCGACGGCGGUUCAUCCAUAUCGAUCGACGUUGGUGUUACCCUGUCUAUCGAUGUCUCCGUUGUACCGUCGAUCGAUGCUUGCUCUUUUGGUUGGCGUGAUAGAUCUGGGUUGGUCUCUGCUGUGGUGACUCCUGCGUGGUUGUUAGGAUCUGUUUGAAUGACGUCUGGAGUGCCACUUUGCUGUGAGAAUAGGUUGUCAGGUCCAUUGGCUACUUGAAGGAUGUCUGCUAUGUCCUCUCUGGACACUUGUAAAAUCCUUCCAUCCAUUGCACGUGCGUUGCCAUCUGUGUCCCUGAAAAUACCAAAUUCAUCAGGUGUUAGAAAACCGUAAUCAAUAUUUGCAUAAUCAUUCAAUUUAGAAAUAGAAAGAUUAGGGUUUAGAGUAGUAUCGAUCGAUGUAGAUACAGUUACAUCGAUCGAUGGCAGUGUAAUUUCUGCAGAACUUUUGUUCUUGAGAUGAUUGCUCUUCAUGGAUUUUUCAGUUGAUGUAGAAGGAAGAGUGUUCAUCUUAUUUGCUUGUGUGUUUGCUCUGAUGUGUGUAGGUGGUUUCGGAGGUGCAAAACGAUUUAUAUAGGUAUCUAUAAACCUAGUUAGGGAAGGAAUAUUCUCCUGCUACUGGAUUUUCGCUGUGGCGCGAAUAUCGAUCGAUGUUCCUUUGUGGGUGUCGAUCGAUGUGAGUGGUUGUUUUGCUGGACGAGGGUGGGUAUCGACCGAUGUGGAGUGCACAGCGUCGAACGAUGUUGGAAACGUGUUGGUGAACUUAUGUGUUUCAAGUCUUUCAUCCUGCAAAGACAUUUCUAUUGCACGUUCUUUCCAGUAAUCCUCAUCGUAUUCCUCGGUAUGUUCCUCAUUAGGUGAAGUAAUUACAGUGUCAACUGCAAAACUUUCAUGGAAACCACUGUUUGCCCAACUGCCUAUGGAAUAAUCAUCAUGUCCUCUCCUGGUUGGAGGUUGGAAGGCAAAAUAUUGGUAACAAUGAUUUGGUGAAGCGAAAUGGUCAAGUGGGUGCAUUACGUCGAGUGACGUGUUGUUGUGGUCAUCGGUCACCAUUGACACAUUGGAAUCGAUCGAUGGAAAUGAUGGGGUGUCGAUCGAUUCCGAGUACUCUGUUUCGUACUCCGAUUCAUACUCUGCUCCACAAUGGCAUGCGCCAAUGAAGCCAAGUUCUUUCCCAUAAUCCACAGAAUUAAUGACCUUUCUCUUAGGUCGGAUGGGGUCGUAGUGAAUGUUUGGGUCUAUGAGCGUUAGACACAAUUUGUUUUUGGUCAUGUCACAUACAACUCCUACCGUAGCUAGGAAAGAUCUUCCAAUCAGAAGUGAAGAGUUCCAGUUAAUCUCGAUGUCUAAGACAUGAAAAUCUACAGGGACAAGGGCAUUACCAAUAUGUACCUCCAGAUCUCUUAUGAUGCCUCCUGAUCGUUUCUCUGAAAGAUCCACGAAGGUGAAGGAUUCUAUUGAGGGUUCGAUGGUCAAACCAAGCUAGUCUGCCAUGAUCCUAGGGAGGAUACUAACUGAUGCUCAUGUGUCACACAUGGAAUGGGGAAAUUCAACACUCUUGACUACGCAUGGUAUUGCAAACUUCCCAGGAUCACUCUUCUUCGUCAAUGUGAUCAUGUGUUUCAUCUUCUCUCUAACUUGAUGAAACAUUCUCCUAAUGUCCUCCUCAGUUACCUUUGUUUCUCUGAAGAACAUCCACAACCGGUGUGUGAAGUAAGCUUCAUCAAAAGGUUUUUCGAUUGGGAUUCUGAGGACUCGUUUAGUGAAACCAUCCAUCUCCUUUUCAUUAGCUUCCCCCUUAAGGUUUUUAGGAAUCUUCUCCUUUCUUUUCCUUAACCUUCUCCCUUCAGAUUCUUGUUCUUCUUGAACAGAUUCUGGUGACCUAUUUAAAGGGUUGGGUUUUGGUUCGGGUGGGUUUGCUAAUGGUUUAGGUGGUGGUCUGAGUGCAUUGAUGUAAUCAUUAUCGAUUGAGGGUAACCGCACUCGGUAUGUCAUAGGUGCCUGUCGAUCGAUGGGAGGUGUGUUGUGACGAUCGACGUCGGGCUCACUCUGUCGAUCGAUGGUAUGCUCAACCGAUCGAUCGAUUUUAUCAUAGAAAGGGGAGGGUGGGUGAGGAUGCUUAGCUGCGAAUUCUUCAUGAGUUAGAAUUCGAACCGCAUUGCAUUCAGUCGAAUUGGCAGACGACGUCGAUCGAUGACUGGAGUAAUCCGUCCAUCGAUCUUCAUCAUGGUCUGUCGAUCGAUGCGAGUUCAUCGACAUCGGUCGACACCAUUGGGAUCCGCCGAGACUCAUGGAGCUUUCGAUUUUGAAAUCUCCUUCCUCAAGCUUUUCAUUUCUCACCACUUGCCAGAAAUCAUCAUCUAUGAUGGCAUUUACGUGUUGUUUUCCUUUUUCGGCUCCUGCCUCUCUAGCGAAAGCUUCUUGCCUCUUUAUAGUCUCGCCCGUCUGAAUUACUUGGGUUUCAAGUUUUCUCACCUGAGUCCCUAAGGUCUCGAUUUUGGUGUUCAGAUUGUUGUAGGCAGAGUAUAUCUUACCGUUGAAAUCCACGGUGAUUUGUUGUUGUCCCAACAGUACUCGAUCAAGCAUCUUUUCGAUCUUGCUUUCCUGAGUCUGGGGUGGUGGAUUUUGGUAGUAAGAGUUUGAGUAGCUCUUGUUGUUGUUGAAGGGUUUUUGAAAUUGUGAAUUUUGAUUACUUCUUUGGCCAUUUCCAAAGAAGUUUCUGUUUCCGCUCUGGUUUCCAAAUUUUUGGAAUCCAGUACCUCCAAUGUAGUUCACAUCUUCUUCUCCUUCCGUAUCUGCUACUUCUCCUUCAGCUGAACAGACUUGCUUCCUAAGAAGCUCGUGCACCACAUCUAACUUAGCUCUUACUUCGUCCAUCUGUUCCUUCCCGAUAGAGGCUACAGACUUCUUCCGUUCAGAGUCAGUGUUUUUGGUGCUGCUGCUGUUAGCAAGGUUUUCGAUAAGUCUCACAGCUUCCAACGGAUUCCGAGUAGUGAAGUUUCCUUCACUCGCCGUAUCAAGAGCCAUUUGAUACUGUAAGGCGAGACCUCGGAAGAAAGUGCUUAGCAGCUGCACUUCAUUAAAUCCGUGGUGUGGACAGUCUCGCUGGAAAAACCUAAAUCUAAUCCACGCAUCUUUGAAGGACUCUCCAGCCUUCUGCGAGAAUGUGGAAAUUUUGUUCCGAAGUUCUUCAGCGCGCGCCUCAUCGAAGAAGUUUCGUAAGAAAGCAUUCUUGAUGUCGCUCCAGGAUGUUAAAGAUCCUGUGGGUUGCUGCCUAAGCCAGUGCAUCGCUUCUCCAUUCAGCGUGUAUCUGAAGAGCUUGCACAGCAGGUAAUCUUCGGGGACUCCUUCCAUCCGAAUGGCAGCGAUUAGAUCCUCGAACCGUUCCAAAUGGUCCAUAGGAUGCUCGUGCGGUAACCCAGAGUAGGGUAUCUGCGACACGAGAGUGUAGUAUUGAGGCUUCAGCUCGAAAUUCUGCUUCUGGAUCUCCGGAAGUCGAAUAGCUGAUCUGUUGGAAUAGUACUCAUCUGGGCGAUUGUAGUCGGCCAGUGGUUUCGAUCGAGCGUCCUCAUCUACAGGUUGAGCAGCUCCUGUAGCAUCAGCAUCAGGGAUUACAGUUCCCUGAGCAUCUAUUUUCUGACCUGUUGCAUUACGCAGAUGACUGGCUUGGUCAUAGAGGUUUCCGUUCUCAUCCUGAAUUAGAAUAAUAAUGUUUAUCAUUUUUGACGACACGGUAUCGAUCGACGUAUGCGGUGUAGUAUCGAUCAUUGGCGAACGAUUGGGAUCGAUCGACGAUGACGGUCUGGUGUCGGUCGACGGUUGAUUGUGCGUAUCGAUCGACGACGAAGUGGUUGCGUCGAGUGAUGUGGAACGUUGACCUCUACGGAUGGUGCGUUCCAAAUGAGCAGGAUCGUCUGAGAACAGCAAGUCUUUCUCCUUGUUGCUUCUGGUACCGCUGGGCAUGCACCUGAAAAGACAAGAAAAAUAAAGAUUAUAAGAAAAGGGGGUAAAGAAAAGAAAAAGAAUUAAUAAAACUAAAUCUAAUGGCGAUCAAAGCUCCCCGGCAACAGUGCCAAAUUUGAUACCCCUCAAAUUACCCUAAAGAGUGUUACUCUCAUCAAAAGAGGUUCAGAUGUAGUACUUAGGGAUCGAAUCCACAAGGAGCUAGGGAACAAUUAAAUCUAGUGUUUAUUAAUUUUAAAGGUUGUAAUGUUUUAAUGAAAUAGCAAUAGUAACAAGCGAGUAAAUGAUAAAUGUAACUUAGGUUGGAAAUGAUAUUAGAUGCAGGGCCACUAUUCAGGUGUUGGAGAUUAUAAUUCCUAUAGAUGCCUAACUGUUGCAUGCAUGAUAUAUUAGAGCUCAUUCGCUUAACUCAGUGAUCAGCUGUCGCAUGUACCACUGGUUAACAGACUAGAUCUUGUGUUUCACCGGUUAGAUGCAGACACAAGAGAGUGUCGAUCGAUAGUCUAUUAAGACGUCGACUGAUGCACCUUUGCCAACAUCGAUCGAUUGUCAGUUGAGGACAUCGAUCGACGGGUUCUAGCCAGGCCUAUGCGCGAGUAUGAAAUGCCCUACUAAGAUUCUAAAUUGGCGGUUAGCCCUCUCUAGCAAUCCUAAUAUGAUAGAUAGAUGUCAGGAUGGGAUAACAAGGGUGCUUGAAUAUGCAUUCCUAUGAUCAAGUUCUAGUUAGCAAGGCUAAAACAAGCAAUGAAUACAAAUCUAUCAUGAAUAUCACAACAAGGCAGAUCUAUAGUUUGGGGCUAAUCCCACAAACCUAUCUGAACCCUGGAUCUAACAGUUGAGCUACUCAGACAUAGCAAAGCAAUUCAUAUCAAUAGAUAAAUAGAAACUCAUAGAAUAGAUGAUAAGAAAAUGAAACAAGGAGUUCCAAUCACAAGUGAUCUUCUCUCCAAAUGAAACUUGUAACAAAACUAGGUCUAGAAAAGAAAAGCUCUCUCUGCCGUCAAAACUUAGGCAAUAUAUAUUCUACUAGGUUAAAAACUCGUCAGGGCAUUUUGGUAAUUUGGCUUGGCCUUUGUUUUUAAGUCUGCUGAAUCCAAAAUGUCGCGUCUGGUGUCUCGACAUCGAUCGAUGGUACUUGUGUACAUCGAUCGAUAUUAAUCUUCAUCUGUCGAGGUAUUUCCUGAUAUCUAAGUGGUCAGCUCGGGUGAAAUGUCUUUUAAGCUCCAAAAUGCUCCAAAGUCAUAGCUUUACUCCAAAAUGCACCUGAACCUGAAAACAUACCUAUAAGUGUAGAAAACAUAGAUAUAUAUAUAUAUAUAUAGUAAAGUACUUAUAUACCAUGGAUAAAAAUGGGUCAAAUCCAAGGUAUAUCAAGGGGCGGUGCGCCGGAGCCUGCUGACGAUCCUCCCACCAACUGACCUUCUUGUUCCAGAACUCUUACCCCCGUGAAGGGGUUUCUUUCAUUUUAUAGUUGCCUUUGAUAAGGGUUGAAAACUUUGAACCAGGCCUCUGUGCCUUUUGUUGUUUUAAGACUUUGGCUCUGUUGUGCCGUUUUGAAGUAUGCUUCUGGAUUCGCAUCUUUUCUCCUUUCGUAGAUGAUAUCCGUAUUGUUUCUGCGAUUUUCAAUCUUUCGAAAGUUUGCAGGUCAUUGAGUGACCUCGGGGCCUCGAGGCUUGACUCACGAGUCGUAAUCGAAGCAUUGUUGAGCUAAGCGUUGAUUGCUUGAGGGUCUCUUACAGGACCUGGGCCGCAUGGGCUCUAGAUUUCAUGAACGUCGGAGGACCCACGGAUCCUGGGUAUUGAGGUUCCUUGGAACCUCUAGACCCUAGAAUGAUUAGGUGACCCUAUGAAUCUCCCAUAAUUGGAUCUCCUCUGGGACCCUUGACUCACUUGGAGAGUUUUGAUAAGCUUAGGACCCUGAGGUCGUUGUAGGGAACCGGUGGGUUCCGGACCCUGAGGUCUUGAGUUGGACACAUGAUCUUUGGACCCUGAAGUCUUUUUAGGGAACCAAUAAGUUCUUGGCCCUGAGGCUUGUCUGAGCCCGGAGUUCUUUCUCAGAACCCGGAAUUAAGGUUUAAAAGGGACCGCAUUCUUCCACCCUAGGUGAGGCCACUCUCGGUAUCUGUUGGGGUAUCGCAUUCUACCGCUUGGAAGCUGGUCACUAUCGAGUUCCCAUGCUGCAUUCUGCUUUCUGCAGAAAGUCACUAUCAGACUUAGAGGGUGCUGGUGUGGGUGAAAACCCAAGUGCCAGGCCUUGCUACUUUCCACGUCUGGAGAAGUAGGAUAUUAUGUGGUGCUCUUGGACUUUUGCACUUGCUCAAGGGGAAUUAUACCUCGUGUCCCCUGUAUUAUUCUAGCACGUAGCGUUUUAAUACAGGUACUUUCACAUUUUUGGUAUUUUUGUUUGGGACCCCGAUAUGUCUGAGGCUAUACAUGGGUUUUAGGUAGUAUUGAUGUCAUACUCGGGCUUGCGCAGACCCAUUCCUACCUUAUGUCUCAUACCCAUUUUGUUUUUUCGUGGUCGUACCACUUGUCAUUAAGGGUUGGCCAGGAUCGAAGGUCUCUUGGACCUGAUCCAGCUCGUUUACCCCUUUUAAGUAUUAUGGCAUUACUACUACUCUUUUAUAGUAAGAACUAUUUUAUUAUAUAAGCUUUGUUCGGAGACGUUUCAGCGUAUAUAAGAGUAGGAAAACAUAAUGCUUAAAUAAUAGAUAAAAUAAUUAAUAGAAAUCAUGGUCCGAAGACCAUACAAGAUAUCAGCUUGCGAGGUAUCCCGGUGGUUAGGCCAUGUUUUACCUCUUGCUGCUAGGCGAUCUGCAGGGUUUGACUUGCUUUUGGGACGAGCAUCCUUGCUAGAGGGUUCCUCCUUUUUUUGCAGGGUUUUGCCUCUUUCUUGGGUCUAGGGACCGUGGUCGAGACUCGUUUCAUGCCCCAGCCUUUAGUGUUCGGGGACCACUGUCUUCUGUAGAUGAAGGUUUUCAGUACUUCCACGAAACGUGUAGUCACAUUCAUCCACUGGAGGGACCAGGUUCGGAGGUCUCCUGUCUGGCUAAGUGUCUCCCUCCUGCGUCUGUGGGGCGCUCUUUGCUUCGGAUCCGUCCGAUGUACCUUCUGAGGAGGUCUCCUUGAAGUACUUGUGCCCCAUUAUUUAUCUGUGAGACCACUGGCUGAUACCUGGUAAGGUUCUCGGUGAUCUUGUCUAUGUGAGGCGGGGUACGAGGGUCCUGCGAGGACCAGGUCUUGUGAGCAUAUGCAACUUUGAAGGGCUUCGGGGGAGACCAUGCGAAGCGGUCAACAUAGGUUGUCUGAGGAUUCCUCGGGUUCUUGGAAUGAUUCAGGGUCCGCUUUCUCAAGAACAACCCCCAAUUACUUGUAUCAUUGACCUUUGAUCCCUGGGUUCGUGGGGUUCGAGGUCUUCUCUGUAAUUGCUAUAAGACCUUGGUCUUCCCCUUCAGGGUGGUCUGGUAGCAGGAUCGAGAGUUCUCUUGGUCUCUCCUAAUUACUCUGAUGCCCCAGGGUGUAGGAAACUUCACCAUCUGGUGAAGGGUUGAGGGGACUGCUCCCAUGUCGUGAAUCCAGGGUCGUCCCAAGAUCAUGUUAUAUGCUGAUUGGGAAUCUACGACCAGGAAUUUGGUAGACAUGUUGACCCCUUCAGCGUAUACUGGGAGGAUAGCCUCUCCGGCGGUUUGCUUGACCUCGAUGCUGAACCCGAUGAGUGGGGUUACCUUGCGCGUCAGGGUGCUCUCCUCCAGCCCUAGAUCUUGGUACACCAUCUAGAAGAUAAUUUUUCUGGAGAUGCCGUUAUCUACUAGUAUUCUUUUCACCAAGCAGUUCGCUACGGUGAGAGAGAUAACUAGAGCAUCAUGGUGGGGAGCUAGGAUCUUCUCUUGCUCUUUAGCUGUGAAGCUUAUCUCGUCCGUGCCUAGAAGUAGGCACUUCGGUUGGACUGUUUCCAGACCAUGCUUACCGUUACGGGUGCUUUUCUUUACGGCUGCAUGGCUUACUCCGGUCACUUCUGAGCCUCCGGAUAUGACAUAGAUCACCCGAUCUUGGCGAGGUGGUGAGGCUGGUGAAGCUCCUUUGGAUCUUCCUACUGUUUCUUUGCUGAGGUGGGCCUGGGCUUUCUCUGAGAGGAAUUCUCAGAGAUGCCCCUUUUGGAGCAGUUCGUUGACCUCGAUCCUCAGGGCGAUGAAGUCUUCGGUUUUGUGGCCAUGAUCGCUGGGGAAGUCGCACAAGAGUUCCGGGUUCUGGAAUGAGUCAGGUGCUUUCAGAUUUGGAGGCCACUUAACCUGUUGGCCCAUCUGUCUCAGUGCGUUGACCAGAUCUUGUGUUGAUAUUGAGAGAUGGGAGUGACACACUAAAAAUGAAUCCUUGCUACUGUCAAAUUAUCAGUGGUAAUUGUAAUAUUUUAGAUUCAAUCCAGAUGACCAAUUUACUCUUUACUCUUAUGACUUCAAUAUUAAGCUGAGAAGCAAGUGGGUUUUUUUUUUAAAACAAUUGUAACGCAAGUAACUAGAAUACCUAGAGAUUCAAAUUCGAUUUAAAUGAAAGCCGGCUUAGGGUUAUUCAUCGGGUGUCAAUGCGGAACCGAACAACUAUUCAAGUGCAAUGAGGUGCAGUCUAGAACUCAGAUCACUCGCCUAGAACAAUCCACUAUCGUGGACUUGCUCACUUUGCUGAUCGGUCUUGAGUCCUAGGCACUCACUUGGAACGAGACCCGAUAGCAAGACUUAGAGAUCAGGUCCGAUUAGUUCACUUAAUACCCUAAUAUCUACUCUCGCUGAUUAGGGAUAUGAAGCUCAUUUAAUAUAUGUCAAUAUAUCUCCUAAACGGUUAGCUAGGUGAUUAAACUAAAGGUCGAACAUUAAGUGAUCAAUUCAAUACAAGCAGUAAGAAGAAUAUGAAUGAAGAACAGUUAAGGUCACUCAUUUGUGUUCAGCUCAUGCGAUUAACAUCCUACAACCCUAAGCAAGCUUAGCCUACUACUCAAUCAUAAAGCAGGAUGACAUAGACAUGGUUUCUGAAUAAUACUGCAUAUAAUAUAAAGUAGAAAAACAAGGGUUCAGGAUAAUCUUCUCGUGAGAAUGAGAGAUGAAGCCUUCUCCCUUACAAGUUGCUCAAUCCAAAAUAGUUCUAGGUCUCUUGUAAAACUAGCGUAAGAAAAAAAAAUAGAAAUGAUAGCAUAGGCCUUUUAUAUGGAGGCGUCGAUGGCAAAGAGAUAAGAGAAUGGAAUCUAGGGCAAACUUCCAGAAUGGGAAGUUUCCUUAAUGACCGGGAACAGUCAGACGCUUGUUCUUUUUGGGAACAGCCUUCGGGUUGAUCUAACUGGCUGUUCCGCAUCGAAUUCUCCAAAAUGACAUCUGACUUCAUGAAGCUCUCUUCUUUGCUUUUUCACCUGCUCCAAACCUGGAAUAAUAUCAAUUAAGCACGAAUUGGGACUGAGAAUUAACUCAAAACACACAUAUAAUGGUAUUAAAAACACCAUAUAUCAAUUCCCCCAGACUUAGAUCCUUGUUUGUCCUCAAACAACGCCAAGUCUCAAGAACAGGGAGAAAGGUUUGAAAGAGUGGGAACUCGCUUGAUCUCAAUAACCAUACUCUUACCACAAAUCUCUGAACCGUACAAGCUGUAGACUCAGACCACAAACCCUUACCAGAACACCCACGAUCGCUGUUUGAGAAUCAGCUCCAUACUAUGUAUCUCAUACUUGAAAAAGGGUACACUAUCGAGACAAAACUCCUUGAAUUCAAUUAUGGACAGCGUGAGCUUCUCAUCACAGGCACUAUUCAGGGUAGACGGCCUAGGUAAGGAACAGACUAUUUCAUGAUGGAGCUAGGAGUGUUUAGGAGCUACCAAAUUUAAGUGGAUGCAGGAUAUCGCGCAAAAUAGCAGGAGAGGACGGAUCCAUUGAUGUCCACAUCCCUUACUCGUUUCUGCUUCACGGACGCAGUUGUUCUUUCCUUCGGAUCAACUGUGGGACUGUUCUUAAGUUCUUGACUUCCCUUUUCUACUCUUCAAAAUUUGGAACCAACUCCUUGCUCAACCUUCCCAGUGGCGAGUAUUUUUCGGAUUCACCUUCCCCAUCUCCAUCACUAUAAAGUAGAUAGAAACAAUAUAUAUAAAUUUGUUUUUUUGGAUUUUUUUUUUACACGGUGAUAGGGUUGCGAGGGAGAUGCAACAUAAUGAAUGUUUUGCAGCCACUUGAAGGACCCUAAGAUCGGCUCACUCGAAUGGAUCAGAUUUGGAUAUGAACUCCGAAUGGAGAACUAGAUGGAUUGAAGGGUCGCACGAAGGUUGCGAAAUGGCCUUCGAUAUUCCCGGGUUCAGUUGGUGCUUGAUAUGACUCACAUGAACAACAAAAGAAUGUGGGAACCGAAAUUCACACUGUCGAUUUCCGUUUAAAUAAGGAAACUAAGAAAACCCUAGUUUCUCAGAGGACCCGGAUAUCUGUUAAUUACCACACGUCAAGCAAUCAGAACACGAGAAUAACAACGAUAAAAAUAAGAAAUCGAAAAGAGAGCAAAGUAGAUCUUAUUCCGAAUCUGCGUAUGAGCGUUACAACAAGGUAUAAGCCUGGGCUCGAGAGCUGUCGGCGAGAUUCCUAGUUCUAGCAACCCUAAGACGGCUAAACCUAAUUGAGUCGCAGCUCGAAAUAACAAAAACGGAAAACUGCCUAAAUUGCUCUAAAUGCUAAGUUUGCUCUGAAAAAGUCCUCCCUCUGCUCCUCGCCUAGGACUCCUUAUAUACUAGCUCCAAGGUCGGUUUACGCUUUUACUCUUCUGCCCUUAAGCCGUCAUAGCAUAAAAUGGAGAUUUUCCAUUUUUUCCGUUCUUCUUAAUUAUCUUGAAAACUUCCGUAUUUAUCCGCGGAAACUUGACAUUUAUCCUUCCUCGUGGGCCAAGCGUAAACCAUGCUGUGGUUUACGGGCUUUUGGUUAGGAAAAUCGUAGGAUGGGCUUCGAAUCGUGUUUAGGUCCCUUUGGGCCGUCUUCUGACUCGACACGUUUACUACGAGUUUUCCGCGGUUUCUAAUCCGCGAAGUUUGAUCGAUGAAUUAGAAUAGCAGGAAACAAGGACUGAGCUUGCUACGGUCUUCGGGAGAUAGCAUUCGAAGGUUUUGAUGAGAUUGCAUGGACUGGUGUCGUAUCAAUGUUCGGAAAGGUUCAAUCGCUACACAGCGACCGAACUUUGGCUCGAGCCCGCUCGCUACGUAGCGACCGAGCGGGACAAUCGCUCGGUCGCUGCGUAGCGACCGAGCUUGGCUGAGCUCGGUCGCUACGUAGCGACCAAGCGAGACGAUCGCUCGGUCGCUACGUAGCGACCGAGCUUUGGCUCGAGCUUGGUCGCUACGUAGCGACCGAGUGGGACGAUCGCUCGGUCGCUGCGUAGCGACCGAGCUUGGCUCGGGUUCGGUUGCUUCGUAGCGACCGGACAGCGUGUAUACGUAGCGACCGAGCUUGGUUUGUUCGGUUUGAAUCCCAAAGGAUACUUCUUCGUAAAAACCUCGUAUAGGUUAUUUUUACGAAAAUUACAUCUCUUCUUUUACUAACUCUUUCGGAAAUACGAUCUCUGAGGAUUUUCGGGUGGUAAUUCCGUCGUAACCGUUUUUGACCCCAACAGUUAGCCCCCCAGCCCGUUAGGAUCAUGUAUCGUAGGAUCCUAGCGUGCGGUUAGGCAUGUUUGGCAAGUUAGGCGUGAUGGAUGGAAUUAAUAUUCGAAAGUCCGAGCUUGAAUAGUAAAUCCUCAUAUGUUAUAAGAAGAGAGGUAACUUGUUCCAUAAUUUUUUCACUUUCUUGUUUUUCUCUAAGAUCUUUCAAAAAAGAAAUUUCUAUCUUUCUCUCCACCCUUUUCCUCUAUUCUCUCAAGAGAAGUGUAAUGAUGUCGAGCAAGAAAAAGAUUGCGAAAAAAGGGUCUUCGUCCGCGAGUCCUUAUGAAGAGCUCGUCGUUCCAAAGAUGGAGUUCGUGCCUCACUCGGUCCAUCUUGCCGAGAACGAGGCAUGGUGGGUUGCUCACUAUGGCUCGUUGACCCCUCCCAAAGAGAAGCCGUUCCCGGUCCUGGUCCAUCGUGGAGUCGAGGAAGAGGAUGCAAGCAGGACUACUGACGAGUUUCUCGCGACGAUGCGAUCGUUCUACCACAUCCCGGAUGUUGUGGAGUUCCGGUUCCCUGCCGCGGGGAAUGUGCUAACAAUCCCCCGGAGGGUUACUUUACUUGUUAUGAGGCGUUCGUAGUGCGUUGUCGCCUCUGGUUCCCAAUACCCGAAAUUCUCGUCCGAGUGUUGGACCGUUUCGAAGUUGCGAUAAGUCAGUUGACACCCCUUGCCAUUCAGCACCUUAUUGGGAUCCUGAUCCUAAGCUACGAGCAUGGCCUUUCCCUUUCCGUCAAUCAUUAUGAAGCGCUUUUGAGGCUUCAACUUGUCAGGGGUACGGAUAAGCAUAGGUUGGUCCCUCGGAAAUUUAUGUCAGUGGUUACGAAGUUUAUUUCGAACUUCAACUCGUGGAAGAAGUUCUUUUUCUUUGUCCGUAUAGACGCUGCAUCCGCCGAAGAGAGUUGCAUUCCAUUGUUCCGGAGGUUUCCGAAUGAUCGUCCCUUCAUCAACCCUUUUGCUCCGUUCCCCGAGGACAUCAUUUCGGUGAGGGAUCUUCUCAGGAAUGGUCCCUUCUUCUGGACUUCUUUUACGCCGAAGAGGGUUCGGAAGGCACUGAGAUUCGUGCAACCCGGUCCUGCUUUGGAUGCGGACACGGGAAGCGACUCCGAACCCGACGACCAGAAUCCCGUCGAAGCUCCGACAGCUGCGCCGGAGUCGAGCUCUUGGAAGGGAAAAGAUGUCGAUCUUGGCGACAUAGAGUUUUCGAUGGAUGACUCUAUGCUUCCAGGAUGGGAUCCGAACCUUGCUUACGGCGACGGAGCGGUUCGAGCGAGGCCCCUAUUCCGGAUUUCGAUGAUUUCUUUGCUGGGCUGCCAUCGGGUUUCGAUGCUCCUCCUCCUACGAAAGAAUCGGCGAGGCCGAGAGUCGUUGCGGAAGGAUCUCGCAUCAUCAAUGGGGUUAGUUUUUUUUUGAGAAUUUUUUGGUGAUUGUCCUAUGUAUAUAUUUAUAACAUGCCAAUCGAUUUUGCAGGGCCUGAGCUUGCUGGGCUCGGCCAUUGAGGCGGGCCAUAGAGAAGCCAUGGUCUACCGCUUCAAGGCGGAGAAAGCGGAGCGGGAUCUCACUCGCGUGCAAGGCGAGAUGCUGGAGCGAGAGGCUCAGCUUACUCGUGAUCAUGCGCGGGCUGUUCGUAAAGCGGAGAGGAAAGGCAAAAGAGAAAUCGUCGAGGUGAUGAAGACUCGUGCAUCUCAGUUCCAGGUUGAGUACGGGAACCUCAAGAAUGCCUUUACCUCGGUGGGUGACUUUCGCGAGUGCCGUGGUUCGGUCGGAAGUCUUUGGAGGACGCGAGCCGAUGACUAUAUAUUUGAAGAGGAAAUGAGCUUGAUGAAGAGUGGGAUGAGUGACCGUGCCCACGCUGAGGCGCUUAUCCCUCCGAUCGACGAGAGGAUUCAAGGGUUCUGGGAUUCUAUCCCGGUUUCCCCUGAUACCGAGGAGGUUCCGACCGAUUUUCCCGAUGGUGGCGAGGAAGUGGAUCGUCCCGCUGAUGCGUUUGGUGCUUCGUUGUCCGGGGACUUUGACUUUGGAUCAUGAGGGAUGGAUCAGUUAUCCUUGUUUUCGGCCGAGUGUGGCCCUUUGAAUUUGGAUUUCGUUUAGGCCUAGAUGGCCGUAUUUGUAUUUCCGGGACUGGCCGUUAGUGGCUUUGAAUCCCUUGCCGCUUUACGGGGUUUAUUUAUAUGAUAAAUGUUUUGUUUCGAGUUUUCCUGAGUAGGGUUGAAGUAAAUACGAGUUGUCGUCUCGUAUGUAGUUCUGAUUAGACGUUCAAUCUGUUGGUUCGUUCGUGAUUUUCGUAAAAAUUUACUUAUCUUUACGAUUUUCGAGAAUAUUGAGAUACGAACGGAGAGACAUGGUUUAUGAUCUCGUAUCUUUUAGAUAUCAUGCCUUGAGAUGUUUGAGACCAGAGCGUUGGGUUUAGGGCAAGACCUAGGUUUACUUUCGGUUAAGGUUUGUGCGGUGACUAGCCGGCUAUCGUUUUUCCUGUUGCGAUUUCUUCCUGACUCGCACCGAUUUAAAGUCCGCGAUAUGUUCUCGGCUUAUAUGACUUGUAUGGUACGAAUCGAGCAUCUUCUCAGAAUCAACUGGAAGUGCUAAACCAAAAUUUCGGAUUUUUGUUGUAACGCGCUUUUGUCCUUGUGCUGGACGUUUUUAAAGAUUAAAAGAGUGAUUGGAUUGCGUUUGUUUAAGACGGCUGGCGUGUUCAUCGGGGCCAAUCGACGAAUGAGGUGUAAGGAUUUUGGUGGUCGCGUUUGGACAAUUUGUUAGCAUUGUCCUCGAAUUUUAACUUUUGCGACGUCUCGCAGUUAUUUCGAGGAUUAUGCGUGUGUUUGCGUGUUUGAAAGAUGAUAAUCUUUACGAUUUUUGGGCCGGAAGGGGCCACUUACAAGAGUCUUAACGUUUUCAGGCGUGUCCUGAAAGUUUCUUUUGUGUUUUACUGAAGCGUAAACGUUUUCGAUAAGAAAAAACAACGUAUAUUGUAUUAAAAGUUUUUGAAGUUUCUAAAAACUCGAUUACAAUAAUGAAGAUUUUUCUAAGUGGGAGUAUACGAGUAUACGCACCCACUCCCCCCCCUUUAUUAGAGAGGGGGAUAGCUGAACUCGUCUUUUGACGAGCUGCCUACGUACCCCUUUCGAGGAUCAAGCCAUCUCGUAGUUCUGUUUCAUGCCGCGAGUGUUCUUACUCGGCGGUAGAUGUCGCGAUGUCCACCUUGACCGUGUCGAUCGUGGCUGGGUCGACGCUAUUUUCCGGAUGUUCCGGUUGAGCUGUUGCGUGGGCUUCGGAUUUAUGUCGAGCCUCGACAUCCGAUGCGUUUGCGUUGAUAGACGAUUUUACUUCGUCUUCUCCCGGGACGCUUUUGGCUGAAGAUCGAUCUAUCUUCGCGCGUUUGCCGUUUGUGGAAGUCGUGAUUUGCCUUAACUUAUGCUCCGCGAGGAAGCAUAGUCGCGACUGUUUUUGGCAUCCCCAGAUGGCCGCGACUCCGCUCGGCGUCGGGAACUUGAGACCCAGGUGGUAGGUUGAUGGAACUGCCUGCAUGGCGUUGAGCCAUGGGGUUCCCAUGAUUACGUUGUAUAUAGCGGGAUGAUCGACUACCGCGAAUUCGAUGAUUUUUGUGAUCUCUUUGGCCAUGACUGGCAAUUGGAUUGAUCCGAGAGUCAUCGACACUUCGCCUGAAAAACCCGUGAGCGGUUUUGGCGUCGGAAUUACUUCUCCGAGUUUGAUACUCAUCCGCUUGAAAGUGUCGCGGAAGAUUACGUUGACCGUGCUUCCCGUGUCGACGAGUACCCUUCCGACUUCUAAAUCUCGUAUGACGAGAUCUAUGACGAGCGGGUCGCAGUGAGGUUGGUCGAUACCGCCGGCUUCUUCUUCUGUGAAGGUGAUCGAGCAACUUUGGCCGUCUCGAGGAGGAGACCAUGUAGGCCAAUUUGCACUUGACUCUGCCUUCCGUUGGUAAGCCUUGAUGGCCGACACGGUAUCGCCGCAGUAUUGUGAUCCUCCGAUGAUCAUAUUGACUCUGUGACGAUUGUUAUCGUUCCCUUUGUCAUCCGGCCUCCUACCGCGUUUAUCCCCAGGAUGGUUUCGUUGAGGGGAUUUUUCAGCGGGCGGAUUUCUAUCCGUCUUUGGAGGCCGAUCAGAAUCGAGGAUGAGAUCCUUGACGCUAGUUACUUCCGAAAGCUCUCCAGCGAGUAGCUUCGCGGCCAGUCUUGCUCCCAAGACUUUGCAAUUGGUCGUGGAGUGUCCUCGGGAUUGGUGGAACUCGCAGAAGGUGUUUUCGUCAUACCCUUGAUUGCGAGUCCAUGUGUUGCUCGUGGUCCGGCCUUGAUCCGAACUGAUCGCAUAGUUAUGCGCCCCUUGGAGAUCUUCCCCCUCAUGAUGGACGUACUUGUCGUUACGAGAGUUCUUCUUUUUCCCCUUCGGAUCUGCGUCUUUCGAGGAUGGUCUUGCCGGCUUAUGUUUUUGCGAUAAGACUUUAGUUUCUUCCUCGACUAUGAUGUAGUCCGUUGCUUUGUGGAGUGCGUCCUGGAUCGUUCGCGGUUUGUCGAGAGUUAUCCAUUUUCUGAAUUUCGACUUGUACCAGAGCGUCUUUCUCAGCGCGUCGAUGGCCACUUUGUCGCUUAUCCCGCUGACCCUGGACAUUAUCAGCUUGAACCGACUGAUAAAUUUGCGGAGGGGUUCGUCUUCCCUCUGGGAGAGACUCCAGAGAUCAACAUCGGAGGUUUCCCUGUCUAUGAAUACAGAGUACUGUUUGAGAAAUUCCGAUGCGAGCUGUCGAAAACUUCUGAUGGUGUUGCGACGAAGGCGUGCAAACCAUUCGAGCGCUGCUCCUUCGAGAUUCUCGACGAACAGGCGGCAAUAGCCGGCAUCUUUUUCGCUGUCCUUCCGUCUUGCUCUUCCCAUCGCGAUGUGGAAAGCCUGAAGGUGCGCUUUCGGAUCGGCCGUACCAUCGUACUUCGGUACUUUGAUCUUUCCUGGAUCGGACACCCUCAUGUCCGAAAUGCGACUGGUAAAGGGGGUCUUUCGAGCUCCUUCCAGCAGUCGAUCGAUCUCGGGGGCAUGAUGGAUUUGAGACUUUACGGCUCUCACUUCUGCCGCAGUCUUAGUGAUGUAGUCGCGAAGAUCGCGGAUAUCCGAUGUCUCGUCAGUAGAUUUUCGAGCCUGUCGGCGUUUACUGCGAGUGAGUUUGGUUUGCCUUUCGGCUAGUUCCUCUUGUUCGUUCCAAUAGGCGACUUCUUCUUCUUCCGUCAUUGGUUUUUCGAACGGGGAGUCUUCCCGAGCGGAUCGGCUUCUGGUCCUUCUUGGGAUUCUGUCGACAUCCUCGUCGGUGUCGUUGGAGACAUCGCUAGGAUCCAGGUCAAUGUGUUCGGCUUCGUUAUCCUCCGAGUCCUUUGCAGGGGGCGGAAGAUUUUCAGGGUUCCCCUUUUCGACGGGAGAUUUCUCGCUAGGGUUUUGACCGGAAGGUCGUUCCCGCGCGAGUCCUGCUCUAUCGAGUAGGGUGGCGAAGUCGAGCAUCUUCCCAUGGAUUUUGGUGGUUCCGCGGGGACGGAUAGCUUGGGUCAUUGCCGUUAAGGUUUCAACCUGUUUGGUCAAGGUAUUCACGAGCUUAUCCUGUUCUUCCGACCUUUUCUCAUAGGUGGCGAACAUCUUUUUGAACUCCUCGAGCGUCGCGGCGUUGGCUUGCGCGUUGGCCGCGGAUACGUCCGCUACUGGAGUGUGGAGAUCGGUGCUGCUGCCUCCAUUAAGAGGAGUUUGCACGUUAUCCGCGUCGUUCGUUGACAUGUCAGAUUGUGUGUGGCUUUUGCGGGUUAGAUUGAUCUGUAAAUUCCCCUCCUUCUAGCGCCAAACUGUGGGAACCGAAAUUCACACUGUCGAUUUUCGUUUAAAUAAGGAAACUAAGAAAACCCUAGUUUCCCAGAGGACCCGGAUAUCUGUUAAUUACCACGUCAAGCAAUCAGAACACGAGAAUAACAACGAUAAAAACAAGAAAUCGAAAAGAGAGCAAAGUAGAUCUUAUUCCGAAUCUGCGUAUGAGCGUUACAACAAGGUAUAAGCCUGGGCUCGAGAGCUGUCGGCGAGAUUCCUAGUUCUAGCAACCCUAAGACGGCUAAACCUAAUUGAGUCGCAGCUCGAAAUAACAGAAACGGAAAAUUGCCUAAAUUGCUCUAAAUGCUAAGUUUGCUCUGAAAAAGUCCUCCCUCUGCUCCUCGCCUAGGACUCCUUAUAUACUAGCUCCAAGGUCGGUUUACGCUUUUACUCUUCUGCCCUUAAGCCGUCAUAGCAUAAAAUGGAGAUUUUCCAUUUUUCCCGUUCUUCAUAAUUAUCUUCAAAACUUCCAUAUUUAUCCGCGGAAACUUGACAUUUAUCCUUCCUCGUGGGCCAAGCGUAAACCAUUAUGUGGUUUACGGGCUUUUGGUUAGGAAAAUCGUAGGAUGGGCUUCGAAUCGUGUUUAGGUCCCUUUGGGCCGUCUUCCGACUCGACACGUUUACUACGAGUUUUCCGCGGUUUCUAAUCCGCGAAGUUUGAUCGAUGAAUUAGAAUAGCGGGAAACAUGGACUGAGCUUGCUACGGUCUUCGGGAGAUUUUGACGAGAAUGCAUGGACUGGUGUCGUAUCGAUGUUCGGAAAGGUUCAAUCGCUACACAGCGACCGAAUUUUGGCUCGAGCCCGGUCGCUACGUAGCGACCGAGUGAGACGAGUGCUCGGUCGCUACGUAGCGACCGAGCUUUGGCUUGAGCUCGGUCGCUACGUAGCGACCGAGCGGGACGAUCGCUCGGUCGCUACGUAGCGACCGAGCUUGGCUGAGCUCGGUCGCUACGUAGCGACCGAGCGAGACGAGCGCUCAGUCGCUACGUAGCGACCGAGCUUGGCUGAGCUCGGUCACUACGAAGCGACCGAGCGGGACGAUCGCUCGGUCGCUACAUAGCGACCGAGCUUGGCUGAGCUCGGUCGCUACGUAGCGACCGAGCGAGACGAGAGCUCGGUCGCUACGUAGCGACCGAGCUUUGGCUCGAGCUUGGUCGCUACGUAGCGACCGAGCGGGACGAUCGCUCGGUCGCUGUGUAGCGACCGAGCUUGGCUCGGGUUCGGUUGCUUCGUAGCGACCGGACGGCGUGUAUACGUAGCGACCGAGCUUGGUUUGUUCGGUUUGAAUCCCAAAGGAUACUUUUUCGUAAAAACCUCGUAUAGGUUAUUUUUACGAAAAUUACAUCUCUUCUUUUACUAACUCUUUCGGAAAUACGAUCUCUGAGGAUUUUCGGGUGGUAAUUCCGUCGUAACCGUUUUUGACCCCAACAAAGAAGAAUCUUGAACCGUUGCUUGAUAUGACUCACAAGACCAACGAGUUUGAGGGGUGUUUACUUGGAUAUGACUCAUCAAGAAACUAAAAACAAGUUCUAAACGAAGAACAAAGAGUUUAACUCAAACUUUAGACUAAAACGAUUUCUUAUUUAUUAUAAUGAAAGAGUUUUGUAGAUCUAUAAAUUAAAUAGAAAAGUUGAUCUAGAUCUAGUCAUUAAACAAAAUAAAGACAGAUUAUUAAAUGUGACUGAUCGGCUUCUGUCCAGGUUCGUUGUAUCCUGAAGCAUGGACCGCGGUAAGGAGAAGGACGGAUGUGGGACUGUCCGUAUGAGCCACCAUGUCCGGAUCAUGAACCAGACUGGAACAAGUGCGUCCUAUGUCUUUAGAAAGGUGAAGGAUCCUUGCCUUAGUGAGAUUUGGCUGAUCAAAGUGCAUGAACUGAUCAAAAGGGUCGAUCAGUCCAUCAGUACGGUCGCCUGUACGUGCAGUAUGGGCCAAUCGAGCCAGAAGAGAGAAGUCUCGAUCAUUUUGUGAAACCUCAUGAUCCAAGUCAAGUCUGGCAUGAUCUUUCUCAAGUCUGGGAUGAUCUUUCUCAAGUCUGGCUUUAUCUUUCUCAAGUCUGGUUUGAUCCAAGUCAAGUCUGGCAUAGUGAAAAACAUGAACCUCGGUUGAAAUGUUCAGAACGACCUGAACUCCAUGCUGAGAUGGUUCCAUGUACUGAUCCGUGGACUGCGGCACAUCAUUCCCUCCCUCUUCAAAAGGAUUUGUGCUCAAAUCCAUUGUACAUGUAUCAAAAGGGAAUAAAUCAGAUACAAAGGAUUUAAAAUUCAUGGAAAAUUCAAUGAAGGAAGAUUUUGGACAGAAACUUCCUUAGAGGUUUGAACUCGUUUCCCUCAAGUAUAUCCGGUUCCAUGUUCCACGAACACAAGUCUUUAGGAAUUCACCUGUGCUUGCUCUCCUUGGAAACUUUGGUUCGUUGAGGAUCGGUUUUGGCUCAGGCCGCUUCUUUCUUGGUCUGGAAUCUCCUUUAGAAGUCGGGUACUUGCAGAUAGACAGACUGGAGAACCUCCGGUUCGAAAAUUCAUAACUGCUUCCUCGAUUAAGCGUUUCACGUGAUUCCAAGCCUCCGUGAAUCCUUGGUCAGUUGGCUUUCCAGAAAAAUUAGAUUCAUGACAAAAGACCUUCUGAAUGUUCAGAUAUUCUUUUUGGACUGAAACCCUAUCUCUGACAUCUCCAAGGUAGCCGGUUUGGACAACAAGGCUUCUCCAAAUCUCAGGCUGUUGGGCACGGUCAAUGCUUUCAUUUCUCAGAGGCUGAACCUGUCUUUCCUGGAUACUCAAAACAAACACUAAAAGACCAAGAUCAAAUGUGCAAGACAAAUACUUGUUCAAAUCAAAAAUCAAGAUAUCUUUUCAGAGAACAAGUUGCACACAUUUCAGCUUGUCAAGAUGCACAUCAAAGUAGACAUUACAGACCAGAAUUUUAUCAAGAUAUGCAACAAUAGUAUUAAUUUUCAAGACGUGCAUAUCCUGCUCAGCAUCUGAACACACAAACUUAAGUUCAAAAUGAGAAUCAACUAUCAAAGACUCAAGAUGUUUUUCAAAGAAAGUGUUGUAAACCACAAUUUCACCAAGGCUCAAAACAACACAAUUAUCAAGAAUUGAUCUCAGAGAAUGCCAAGUUUUAUCAGUUUCAGAACUCAAGAGAUCAAGCUGCAAAACAUAAUCACAAAAAUCAAGAUCACAAAAAUCAAUUUCAGUUUCAAGUGAUUUCUGUUCAAACAUCUUUUUAAUCAAGAAAUCAUCCAAUACACAAGAGGAUGCAAUCAAAUUAUGAGUGAUCAUUGCAUGUUUAGAAGAACUCAGAUCAAAGCUAUUCUUUUUGAAAACAAACGAAUCAAAAGAUUUUCUAGCAUAAAAAUCAGUUUGUUUCAAAUCAAGCUCAAGAGAUUUUUCAAAACGAUCAAAGCCUUUGCUAUGCUUUAAGAACUGAUCAAAACUCAAAAUAAAUUCAGACUUGAUGCCAUUGCCUUUUUGAAAACAUUUUUGAUCAAGAAGUUUCUCAGGUUUAAACAAUUUUCAAGAAUUAAUCAUGUUUUCAAAAACAGAUUUUGAAACACAAAAAUCUUUCAUCUUGUCAAGACCAAAACGAAUCACUAUCAAGAGAACUGAUCUUAACAAACAUAUCAGGCUGAGAAUUAAGCAAAUCAGAUUACUCACAGUGCGCUUGAAGUUCAAAAGACAAAGGGGUAUGAGUUGUGCCGGGAUCAAAGCAAAGAUGGCUCUCCAUAACGAUGGAUGUGAUGUUGGUUGCUUCUUCAUUAAAGACUGGACCAGGUUCGUCCUCCUCAUCAAAGAUAGGAUCUAUAUCUUCACCAAAAGAUAUCCUAGUGUCAAGACAUGGUCUUUGAUGUGGUAAAUCUAGAUCCUCUAAAACCCGUGGAGAGAAAACAAGACUACUCGGAUGCUCCGGUUGCAAAAUGGUUAGUUCUACAAUAGCAUGUUCAAUAUCAGUUACAAACUCAGGUUCAAGAGAAGAAAGAUUAUAAUUUUUCUCACAAGAAAACAAGCUUUCAAUUGGCUCUUCAUCAUAUUCAUCAUAGAUGGGUAAAGAAUCUGAAAAAUCUUUCAACUCCUCAACAUGGGUUUCAGAUUUACCUUUGGAUUUCUUGCUGACGAAUAAGGAUGGCUCAGCUACAGGUGCACGUUUGGAUGUGCUCUUCUUUUGGUUCUUGCUGAUGUCCUUGAGGGCUUUCAUCAUUCCCUUCUCAAAAUUGUCACAUAUCUCUUGGACAUCAAACUGAAGGAAUCGCCUCUUUGGAUUAGCUUCACCUUGGGACGACUUGAAAGGUUCAUUGCACCUCCUGUUUGGCCUAUCCUGCACACUAACAAACUCAUCAAAAUUAUUCAAAGAAUAUUUAAAUGAAGAUUGAGAGAUAGUUUGUUGUGGGGAUUUCUCCUUACUACUUUUCCUUUGAAGACCAAACAUCAUAACCUGAAAAUCUCAACACAAAAGUUAGAAAAUAAAACAUCACACUCUCAAGUGUUUAAUCUCACCCACUCAAGUGUUUCUCUCAGAAUUUGGAUGGUCACACAACAAGUUUUCACUCGAAGUUCUAAGAAGAACAAAUCAAAGAAACUCAAUGGACAAAAUCCAAGCAAACACAAGGGAAUUUUAAAAGAGAGAAAGAUAAGAGAUUUUUGGUUUUGGGAAUCCGUUUUAACCACCUCAAAGGCUGGAUUUCUCCUCAGCCAGCAGGCUUUCUCUUCCACCACCAAUCCCCAAAUGAAAAAACUUUUCGAAUUUUUUUUUUUAAUAGAUCUUUUUUUUUGAUAGAUUGAGGAUGGUAAUGAGGGGCCCGGAUUCAAGAUAGAUAGAUGAAGAGUGUUUAUUAAGAAAAGGAAGAUGAGAAAGAUGAAUGAUUCAGAAGAUACCAAACGAGCGGCUCUGAUACCACUUGAAGGACCCUAAGAUCGGCUCACUCGAAUGGAUCAGAUUUGGAUAUGAACUCCGAAUGGAGAACUAGAUGGAUUGAAGGGUCGCACGAUGGUUGCGGAAUGGCCUUCGAUAUUCCCGGCUUCAGUUGGUGCUUGAUAUGACUCAGAAGGCCACCAAAAGAAGAAUCUCGAACCGUUGCUUGAUAUGACUCACAAGACCAACGAGUUUGAGGGGUGUUUACUUGGAUAUGACUCACCAAGAAACUAAGAACAAGUUAUAAACGAAGAACAAAGAGUUUAACUCAAACUUUAGACAAAAAUGAUUUCUUAUUUAUUAUAAUGAAAGAGUUUCAUACUUAUAGAGUUUUGCAGAUCUAGGAAUUAAAUAGAAAAGUAGAUCUAGAUAUAGUCAUUAAAUAAAAUAAAGACAAAUUUUUAAAUGUGACUGAUCGGCUUCUGUCCAGGUUCGUUGUAUCCUGAAGCAUGGACCACGGUAAGGAGAAGGACGGAUGUGGGACUGUCCGUAUGAGCCACCAUGUCUGGAUCAUGAACCAGACUUGUGACACCCCCGAUCUGGUCUAAGUAUAAGUUGACUCGACCAGCCGUGCAACAAUCAAACAAGAACAUGCACAGCCGAUCACUCGUAACUGAAACCAAACCGAGAAGCCACAAUGUAUACAUAAACGACUAACCCGAAGUUCCCGAAAUAAAUCCAGGUACCUUAGGCCAACCGCCUAAGUACACAUAUCCUAUUAGGUACAACCCGAGGCUUUACAACCUUAAGAGUAAUACCCAAUAGUUGGUUCGUCGGGACAAGGACUAAUAUCAUUUGGAACCCGUACUUUAAAAACAUUCUUUAUACACUAUAUACUUAUUCAUUUAAAAGAAUCUUACGAAAUCUUAUAGAUUAACCUCGAGGUUUUCGGUCAACAAACCUUAUACAUAAAGUAUAUCAAAACAACUGGAUAGAUAAUAAAACUACCGCUGGCUACUGCCGUUCCUUCCCAUCCUAGAGUAAAGGUCUCCCAUCUACUGGUUACCUGCAUAUCAAAUGAGUCAUGAGUAACUAGUUUACUCAGUGAGUCUAAUCCCACACCCAAACACAUAUCAAUAGUAUCCCGAGCAAGAGACACCAUUUGAAUGCAGUAGAAUUAUAUUCCAUAAUUAAUAUAAUUAUAUGGCCUCUCAAUCCAUCCAUGUGAAUCUAUCUUAAACAUCACAUCCACGAUACCCGCCAAUCACUCAUACUCUUAAUAUAUAUAUAUAUGCUAAACCCGGAAAACCACCAAGGCUAACCGAGCCUAACGGGGAAUAAAUAUAACCAUCAUCUCCAUCAGAUAUUCCAAGAUAGAACAUCCAACGCUGCAUGCAUUUACACGGCCUCCAGGGUGCGACCCAUCAUCCUGUCUUCAUGACCUUGCUCCAUAUCGCAGGACCAAUUCACGGCAAUGCGGAACUUUCGGGAGAGUGAGUAUACAAUAAGAAUUCACAUGAUUCACACUUAUUAAUAGAAUACUUAUAGAUUAGUACUUGAGAACAAGUACUAAGGCUCGGGAUAACCUCAAAGAAUUAUUCUUAUUAAUUCUUAAGUAUUUAAACUAGAUAAAUACUUCAUAUAUAAAUAUGGAUCAAGGGAUAAUACUUAAUCAAUCAACCAUAAUUACUCUUUAAUUAAUCCAUGAUUAAUCCUUAAUUAAUCAAUGAUUAUCCCUUAAUUAAUUCAUGAUUAAUUCUUAAUUAAUCAACCAUAUUCAAUAUGCAAUCAUGCAUACUCAUUCAUAAUUCAUUCAUCAUCUAUCUAGACUCACCUUUAAAUCCAUGAGAUUGGCUAAGGAAGACUAGACUCGAGCUCAAGCUAAUCACACUUCACUUCUGGAUCACUCUCGGUUCAGAACCAGCACAAGGAUCCGGCUGAUCCGAAUACUCUCCUUGGCCAUCUGAACUCAAAACAUAACAGUUGGAACAUAAGGUUCACUAGUCUGGUUCAAGAAGAAACUCAACUCAGUUCAUAACAUUUCAGUUCAGUUCGGUUCAAGACAGAUUGAUACCAUGUUCAGCUCGGUUCAAGCUUUAACAAUUUAACUCGGUUCAUAUCAGCUUAGUUCAUGCUCAGCUAACUCCGGUUCUAAUCAGUUCCCAACAGCUUAACUCAGUUAUACUCAGACGACAUCAGUUCAAGACAAUUUCAGACCACAGACAGCUCGGCUAAGAUCAGAUCAGAACAUACUCAGUUCAAUUCAGUUCUAAACAAGAUCAAAUCAGUUCGGUUUAAUUCCCAUAAUUCUUAUCAGUUCGUCUACUGGUUCCAUGAGACUGAUUAAAUCAUAAACCAACCAAGACAGAAGAGAAAAAGACCUUAGACAACUGAUCCUGACAGGUUAACCAACAUACAGCAAUUGGUUCUCAUCAAAACAUGGCUGAAUCAAGAAGCUGAAGCUUACCGGUUUUACUCAACUAAUUAAACUUGACUGGUUGUCUCUCUUCAAGCUAACCACGAAUUAACCUGAUCAACACCACAAGAAUCCAUGGUUGGAUUUAUUCAGAAUUUAUCUCCAGUGUAGGCAAACCAACAAAACUUCUCACAUAAACUUAUCCACAACCAUCUUACCGAUCAAAAUCAAAGGCUGAAGAACAUCGGUGAUUCUCUACUUCAGGACGCGGAACUGAUAUCACUCAAAUUACCCUAAAGAGUGUUACUCUCAUCAAAAGAGGUCGAGUUAUAGUACUUAGGGAUCAAAUCCACAAGGAGCUAGGGAACCGAUUAGAUCUAAUAGUUAUAUGAUUAAGCUAGGCUAAUAGGUUUUAAAGCAGUAAAUAAAACAAGUAAUAAAUAAAGCAAUAAACAAGAUGAACAAAAUAAUUGUUCAGCUUGGCAAGGAGUAGUUUGAUGGAGGGAUGGUUGAUAGAUCUAGGGUUUCUAUUCAGGUGUUGGAGAUUAUAAUUCCUAUAGGUACCUAUUUGUUGCAUGCAAGAUAUGUUAGAGCUCAACCGCUUAACUUAGUGAUCAGCUGUCGCAUGUUUCACUGGUUAACAAGCUAGAUCUCGUGUCUCAACGGUUAGUAUGUUGACACGAAAGAGUGUCGAUCGAUGGUCCUAUUGGGACAUCGACCGAUACACCUUUGCCUACGUUGACCGAUAGUCAGUUGAGGACAUCGAUCGACGGGUUCUAGCCAGGCCUAUGCGCGAGUAUGAUAUGCCCUACUAAGAUACUAAAUUGGCGGUUAGCCCUCUCUAGCAGUCCUAAUAUGAUAGAUAGAUGUCAGGAUGGGAUAACAAGGGUGCUUGAGUAUGCAAUCCUAUGAUCAAGUUCUUGUUAAUUACUCUAAAACAAGCAAUGAAUCCAAAUCUAUCAUGAAUAUCACAACAAGGUGUAUCUAUAGUUUGGGGCUAAUCCCACAAACCUAUCUGAACCCUGGAUCUAACAGGUGGAUCUAUUCAGACAUGAAGUUUGUCACAGAAAUCAUAGAUGAAAUAUAACUGAAAAAGAAAUGAUUAAGAAAACCAAUGGAGUUCCAGGAGGACUCUGAUAGGAGUUCCUCCCUUCUCUCCAAAGAGAAACAAUGGAAAUGAAAGCGUAUAAAAAGCGUAACCGUCAACAAUGGCUUAGAAAUAACAUAAAUAGGGUUUAUGGUCGUCCAAAGGCAUUCUGUUAAUUUGUGGUUACUUCUGGGCUUCACGCAGUCAUAAAAUAUACAAGGCCCACGAUCUGAGAUCUCCAUCGAUCGACGUGCAGAGUGCUGCAUCGAUCGACGCGGCUUCCUCUUCUCGGCAGCUUCCUCUCGCGAGGCAGACUGACCACUCUUCAGUAAAACGGGCAUAACUUCUGUUACAGGAUGCUGAUUGACCUGAGACCGGUGGCAUUGGAAAGCUAACUCAAAGCUCUAUCUUGUUUAAAAAUAUGGGCUCAAUCUAACGGUCGGAAGGUCUCCAUCCAUACCGAACAUCUGACGCGUCUGUGCAACUCUGUACCUCCAAAGGCUCCAAAAGACUCCAAAAUCACCAUAUUUCUCCUAAACGUCCUUGAACCUGUAAAUACUCUAAAUAGACUCCAAAACAUAAUAAUUGUAUCUUAAAACACUUUAAAACACUUAUAGACCAUGAUUAAAAAUGGGUAAAAUAUAUGGUCUAUCAACUCCCCCAGACUUACCCUUUUGCUUGUCGUCAAGCAAAACAGACUGGCAGUCUCUCUGAAAGAGGUUUUGAAAACAACAGGGAAUCACAUGAUUUAAAACUUAGAAUCAUCACCUCUACAAUAUUGUAAUCCACAUUUAAGAAUUCCUAAUCACAGAAGCACAUUAUACAAUAUCCUAGCUUAGCAACCAAAUUCACCUAGCAAACAUCUUACCAAAUCAUGUCUGGUAUUCCCCUCUACCAACCUCAUUUCUUAACAUAAAUAAAUGUGUAUGCUUUACCUUGGGAGUAUCGAUCACAAGACACAUGGACUCUUACCCCAACAUGUAUCUGAGUAAACAGGUAGUCUUGUUCUGGUUUCUUUUACUCUAUAUCUCCCUUCUUUGAAACCUUUUUAUCUCAAUUCCAAUGAACAAAGAUGCUGAUGCAGUCCAUCUUAUUCACCUUCUUUUCGAUUUUUUUUAUUUUUUAUUUUUUUAUUUUUUAUUUUUUUUAUUUUUUAUUUUUUCCUUUUUCUUUUCUUGACAAAGUGUAGGCGAAUAGUGGGGUCAUCGGUAAUGUACCUACCCCUCGCUUCCAACAAUGUGUGAUCAUUCUAUUAGAGUAGAAUAAUGAGGUCAUCGGUAAUGUACCUACCCCUCGCUUCCAACAAUGUGUGAUCAUUCUAUUAGAGUAGAAUAAUGAGGUCAUCGGUAAUGUACCUACCCUUCUAAACCGCAAGAAAUCAUCUCAAUCUUUUAUUUUAUUUUAUUAGGAUGCCAAUGGGAGGAGAUAAGGAAACCAGAAUCACUCAGACUUUUACCUUUCAGACCUGAAGGAGGAAUCCGAUCCAGUGUAUACCAAGCCCCAAGACAAGCAGUUAAGUCAAAUUAGGUUCGAGGUCAGUUUCGGUUCCUUCAAACAAUCUCAGCAAGUGUGAACAUAGUUGACAGAUUGAUCCACUUUAGUAUCUUUAGUACUAUCUGCAAUCAGUAAGUCUAGAAUAGUGCUAAAGAGUGGUUAGAUAACAAGCAUAAAUCUAAUAAGUUCAUUAUCCCUUUCUUGACUCAAUAAAAACAUAUUUUGAAAGUAUUUUAAAUAAGACUCAUAAACGUAGAUAAAUGUUAGUAAUCCCCCCAGACUUAUAUUACACUGUCCCCAGUGUAACACAGUCGGUGGUAAGGUGAAAAUCAUAAAGUAGAAGUACAAAAUUUAACAAGUAAGAACGAUAACCUGCUCAGUAUCGAUCGAUACAAUGAAGUGACAAUCGAUCGUUGUUGAUGAAGUGUUGUCGAUCAAUAUCGAGAUGGUCUCAUCGGUCGAUGAUCUGAGCAACCGUCUACAUGGAUCUGUUUUUUUUUUUUCAUUACUAAAACACAAUAUCAGUAGAACCUCCCCCAGACUUAGAUAACGCUGUGACCAGUGUAUAUCCAGUCCGAGUUAUGGUGUAAAGUAAAUCAUAAGUACUCAAUUUAACAAAUUAGAAUGAUAUACCUGACCGGAAUGGAUGUCAAUCGAUGUAAACAUGUUGUCAUCGGUCGUGGAAGAUGUAGCAAUGUCGAUCGAUAUCGACUUGUUCUCGUCGGUCGCUAUCAUGACAAUCGUUUACUUGGGUCCGUAUUCUAAACAUCUAACUUAAACCUAAUAUUAAUAUAACCUUUCCCAAACUUAAAUAACAUUGUGACCAAUGUUAUUCAGCCUAAGAUCGGUGGGAGAAUAAAUCAUAAGGACAAUAUUUAACAAGGAAGAACAAUAUACCUAACUUUUAUGUGAAUAUUGACCAACACAGUUAAGUGGCGAUCGAUACCCUUGAUACUCUGUCGAUCGAUGUUAGCUAGCCAUCAUCGAUUUCUAUGGAAACUCGUCUUCCUCGGAUCUUUUCCUUGUACCUAACAUAAAUAAAACACUAAAAAUCUAAAAGUUAAUAAUAUAUAACUAAUAAAACCAAUUAACUAAUAAUUUUAUUUUAUUUUUUGUUUUAUUUUUUAUUUUUUUUUACCUGAAAAUAUUAGAAAACAAGAAAAAUCAGUAAUAAAUGAAAAUUAAAUCAUAUUUAAAACAAACCUAACAGUGGGUUGCCUCCCACUCAGCGCUUAUUUUUAGUCAUUAGCUUGACUUCUGGAGAUAUGAUUAAGUCCGCAUAAGAAUGAGAACUUGCUCCAAACCAAGUCUCAAUGUCUACUCUUUGAAGCUUUAUCAUUCUUGUGUGAAAGCCUUCUCCAUAGACCCUUCUCCUUUGUCUAUCAUAUCAACAAUAAGGAGUGCUCUAAGUUUUGCAUAUGGAUGUGAGAAGCAUUUGCUGCGCACUCUUGAUUUUCUGAUACUAUCUGAGAAGUAAGGAGUCAAUGGUAAUUGAGAACCUCCUUUGGUUCGUUUCCGCUUCUUCCAAUUUCUCCCCUUCUUUCCCAAAGACUUGUGUAAUCUCACUCUGGAUUUCCUGGUAUCAUCUGAGAAGUGAGGAAUCAAUGAUAUCUGAGAACCUUCAUUGAUUCUAUUUUUCUUCUUCCAGUUCCUCCACUUCUUUCCCCCAGACUUGUCUGAAUGCGUGGUGGUAUCUCCAUAAAAAAUAUUUCCACACAAUUCAUACUCAUUCUGCUCUGAUUCGCGUCUGGUGUCGACUGAUGGUAUUUGAUCGGUAUCGAUCGAUGAUGAAGUGUUAGUGUCGAUCAAUUCCGAUUUGCUCAUGUCGCUCGAUGGUGCUUCUGCUGGGACUUCAUCUACUUCAUCUCUAAAUCGCAGCCCUCUUUGAGAAGCUUCUACAUGAUGUUGAUCAUUCAAUACUUCAAUGAAAGAACUCAGAUACACACCUUUAUCUGGUGGGAUAGGAGAUUCAACUUCAAACACUGCACAUGGAACCAUAAUCUUCACAGGAUCAUGUAUCCUCUUCACUCUUUUGCAAAUCCCAACAGUUUCUUCUGCGCAUAUAGGUGGUCUUAGAUGUUUGGGGACAUCAAUGUGUGAUGUCUUAGACAUGUGCAUUAUCUCCUCAAUCGGUCCUGGUUCAAUUGGGUAUCCAGAUAGUCCAUCCAAACAUGGGUGUCGAUCGAUGCAAUCGGGUGGGUAUCGAGCGAUACAGUCGGGUGUAUGUAGAUUCAUGAUGUGUAGCGACCGUCGAUCGAUUGCGUAGGGUGGGUGUUGAUCGAUUAUGCAGAGAGUGUAUCGAUCGAUCUCAUCAGGUUGAUGUCGAUCGAUGUCGUCAGCCUUUGGUGAAAUUUUCAGACCUCUUCCCGAAGUGUGCUGAUCAUCAAAUUUUUGCUUCGGGUUCUGGUCUAAAUCCUCAAGCCAUUCCUCCAGCUCCAAGAAGUCUUCCAUAGUUACUUCUUCACUCGAAUCCAAAUCUCCAAGCUGUUGUCCAUCCUCCAACUCCAAGAAUUUUUCUAGUUCCAAGAAGUCUUUCAUGGUGAUUUCUUUUUAUACUUUUUGGUCAGGAUAAAAACUUGAUACAUCGAUGAUCUUCAGUGUCGAGUCUGCAAUGUCCUGAGGACAACUCGAUUUUUCAGGGAUUUCAAGUGGAAUUGAUCGACAACAGGAGUUUGUGUCGAUCGAUGUUGGAAGGCUGGGGUCGAUCGAUGUUGAGGUCGGAAUGUCGAUCGGUUCUGAGCUCAUGUCAGUAAUACCGACUUCUUAUAUUCUGCUCAGCUCUCCAGAUACAUGUUGUUCAUCAUCUUCCACCAUAUAUUCCAUCAUAGAUCUCAUCUCAAUCUCUAGACUUGCUGCAGCAUCAUAGAGAAAUUUGUUGAGGAAGGCGUAUCUGAUGUCAUUCCAGGUAGUGAGAGAUCCUAGUGGCAACUUCAUGAACCAAUAUGCUGCUUCUCCAGCAAGAGAGUAUGAGAAUAAUUUGCAUAAAUAGGUCUUCAAAGACUCCAUUGCAUUUGAUGGUCGAUGCCAGAUCUAUAAAUGUCUCCAGGUGGCUAGUGGGAUCUUCAUGAGGAAAACCAUGGAAAGAAUGUUGACCCACAAGAGAGAUAUAUGCAGGGUGCAGCUCAAGGACAGUAUUCUGAAGUGCUGAACGACGCAAUGCAGACCUUUUAGCAUAAGCAUCCUCAGGACUGUUAUAGUCUCUAAUUGCCUUCGGUCGUCCAGUCCUAACAUUCACAGUUAUAGCAUCAGGGAUUGUAGAAGGUAUCGAUCGAUGACAAAUAUCUGUAUCGAUCGUUUCUGAAGUGCGGAUAUCGAUCGAUUCUGAGUUACUACUGUCGAUCGAUGCUGAAGUCGGACCUUUUGUAUCAGCUUCUUCUACUUUGCUCUGCUCUCCUGAUACAUGAUAUUCAUCAUCCUCAACUAUAUCAUGGUUGACCAGCUUUUCUCUGUUCAGUUCGUCCUUCUGCUUACUCUCAUCUGCAUGGUGAACCUGAAUGUCUGGCUGCUUGACAUGAGUUGUCGGUGUUUCAAUAUCUCCAUUCUCGUCGCUGUAGACGAAGUCAAGAAUCUGACUUGUAGUAAUCAUUAUUCCUUUCUCCCGUUCUUUAAUCAUGUUAUCAAGCCUUUUACUUCGAGUUGCUACAGUCUCGCUGAAAAAUUUGCCUAUGAAGGCUUCUUUGAUGUCUUCCCAGCAGGUUAGAGAUCUUGGUUGCAGUUUACUGAACCAGCUAAAAGCAUCUCCAGAUAAACAAUAGGGGAAGAUCUUGCAGAAAAUGUGGUCUGGAGAUAUUUCAUCGUGCUUGUUUGCUGAGGCUAACUCCUCAAGUCUCUUGAUAAGAUCUUUAGGAUCCUCAUGAGGAAGACCGUAAAAUGGAUCCUCACUUCACCAAUCAUACCAUUGACUUGUCAGAUUAAAGGUAUUCGUCUCAGCCACAUCAAUUACAUCAGGGUUUACACUACCCUCUGCAUUAAUUAAUUGUCCUGUGAGGCUGCAAGGGCGACCUUCUUCGUCUCGCCAAAUACCUUUCUUAUCAAUCUUAAGUAUGAGCGCUUCGACCUUCUCUGUCUCUCCGUAAGUGAUGUUCAUCAUUGGAGGAACAGUGCCGCGAUGAAUAGUGUUUUGACGAACAGUGUCGCAAUGAACAGUGUUCGGAUGAACAGUAUCGCGAUGAACAAUGUUAGGAUGAACAGUAUUCGGGUGAACAGUGUCGAUCGAUGGAAGAUGAAUAGGGUCGACCAACACGGGAUGAACAGUGUCGAUCGACGGGAUAUGAAUAGUAUCGACCGACAUGGGAUGAACAGUGUCGAUCGACGGGAUAUGAAUAGUGUCGACCGACACGGGAUGAACAGUGUAGAUCGACGGGAUAUGAAUAGUGUCGACCGACACAGGAUGAACAGUGUCGAUCGACGGUAGGUGAAUAGUAUCGCGAUGAACAAUACUAUGAUGAAUAGUAUUAUGAUGAAGAGUACCUGGAUGAACAGUAUCUCGAUGAAUAGUAUUGCGGUGAAUAGUACCCCAUAUGAACAGUAACAUGCUGAACAGUCCCCGGAUGAAUAGUACCGCGAUGAAUAGUGUUUUCCGACACAUGAUGAAUAGUGUCAUUCGAUGCUUGGCUCACGCUAUCGAUCGAUGUUGCUUCGAGGGUGUCGAUCGAUACAUCCCUCAUAGACUUACGGAUCGUGCAUAAACCAACAGGUUCCUUCUUUGAAGGACCUAGAAAUCCUCUCUUCAUUGUUUUCUGGUACUAAGAGUUAUGUACCUGAAAUAGAAGAAAAAAUUUUAUGAGUUUUUCGAACAGUAACAAAACCUAGACUAAAUCUAACUAAACAAGAUCUAAUGGCGAUCAAAGCUCCCCGGCAACGGCGCCAAAUUUGAUAUCACUCAAAUUACCCUAAAGAGUGUUACUCUCAUCAAAAGAGGUCGAGUUAUAGUACUUUGGGAUCGAAUCCACAAGGUGCGAGGGAACCGAUUAGAUCUAAUAGUUAUAUGAUUAAGCUAGGCUAAUAGGUUUUAAAGCAGUAAAUAAAACAAGUAAUAAAUAAAGCAAUAAACAAGAUGAACAAGGUAAUUGUUCAGCUUGGCAAGGAGUAGUUUGAUGGAGGGAUGGUUGAUAGAUCUAGGGUUUCUAUUCAGGUGUUGGAGGUUAUAAUUCCUAUAGGUACCUAUUUGUUGCAUGCAAGAUAUGUUAUAGCUCAACCGCUUAACUUAGUGAUCAGCUGUCGCAUGUUUCACUGGUUAACAAGCUAGAUCUCGUGUCGAUCGAUGGUCCUAUUGGGACAUCGACCGAUACACCUUUGCCUACGUUGACCGAUAGUCAGUAGAGGACAUCGAUCGACGGGUUCUAGCCAGGCCUAUGCGCGAGUAUGAUAUGCCCUACUAAGAUACUAAAUUGGCGGUUAGCCCUCUCUAGCAGUCCUAAUAUGAUAGAUAGAUGUCAGGAUGGGAUAACAAGGGUGCUUGAGUAUGCAAUCCUAUGAUCAAGUUCUUGUUAAUUACUCUAAAACAAGCAAUGAAUCCAAAUCUAUCAUGAAUAUCAAAACAAGGUGGAUCUAUAGUUUGGGGCUAAUCCCACAAACCUAUCUGAACCCUGGAUCUAACAGGUGGAUCUAUUCAGACAUGAAGUUUGUCACAGAAAUCAUAGAUGAAAUAGAUGUAAAACUGAAAUAGAAAUGAUUAAGAAAACCAAUGGAGUUCCAGGAGGACUCUGAUAGGAGUUCCUCCCUUCUCUCCUAAGAGAAACAAUGGAAAUGAAAGCGUGUAGAAAGCGUAGCCGUCAACAAUGGCUUAGAAAUAACAUAAAUAGGAUUUCUGGUCGUCCAAAGGCAUUCUGGUAAUUUGUGGUUACUUAUGGGCUUCACGCAGUCAUAAAAUAUAUAAGGCCCACUAUCUGGGAUCUCCAUCGCGAGGCAGACUGACCACUCUUCAGUAAAACAGGCAUAACCUCUGCUACAUGAUGCUGAUUGACCUGAGACCGAUUGCAUUGGAAAGCUAACUCAAAGCUCUAUAUUGUGUAAAACUAUGGGCUCAAUCUAACGGUCGGAAGGUCUCCAUCCAUAGCUAAAUAUCUGACGCGUCUGUGCAACUCUGCACCUCCAAAGGCUCCAAGAGAUUCCAAAAUCACCAUAUUUCUCCUAAACGUCCUUGAACCUGUAAAUACUCUAAAUAGACUCCAAAACAUAAUAAUUGUAUCUUAAAACACUUUAAAACACUUAUAGACCAUGACUAAAAAUGGGUAAAAUAUAUGGUCUUUCACAAACCUUCAGCUCUUAAACACUCCAAAACGCACUGAUUAAAUUCACAGAAGGGUGAGAAAGGGUCGUUCAUGCUCACUUCUCUUCUCUGAUUUUUUUCUGAAUUUUUGCAUGAGUUUUUCUCACAGAUUUUUCUCUUUUCUUUCUCUCUUUCUCUCUGAAAUUUUAUCUGGUUUUUCUUGUGCAACAGGACGUCCACAAGAGAGAAGAAGGUAUUUUAUAGCAUAAGGGGUUGCUUCAGCUGAGGGUUUACUUAAACCAAAGCAAGUUGCUGUCCUUUCCCUCCUUUGAAGAAAGAUUAUUUUGUUUUUAUUAAACAAGCAACCAGCUUGUGACUUUCAUGUGACUUUAGUGAAGCAUGCAAGCAGGUAGGUGCAGCUCAUGUGACUGAUUUACUGAAAAAGCAAGCAGAAUAGCUGGUGAAGGUAUUAGACUGGUCGGAAUUUAGUUAAGAAACUUAACGACAAUUUCGGACAGUUUUCGACUAAAAAUUUUCAUCCUUCGAAUCUUGUCUUGCUUUCAACUAAGCUUGCCUAGCUUAAGUAAAUUCGACCAACAUUAUUAACACUCUACCAGAACUAUCAAUGAGAGGCCUUUCGGCCACAAGACAGUCCCGUCUAGGGUUUCUAUUCAGGUGUUGGAGGUUAUAAUUCCUAUAGGUACCUAUUUGUUGCAUGCAAGAUAUGUUAGAGCUCAACCGCUUAACUUAGUGAUCAGCUGUCGCAUGUUUCACUGGUUAACAAGCUAGAUCUCGUGUCUCAAUGGUUAGUAUGUUGACACGAAAGAGUGUUGAUCGAUGGUCCUAUUGGGACAUCGACCGAUACACCUUUGCCUACGUUGACCGAUAGUGAGUUGAGGACAUCGAUCGACGGGUUCUAGCCAGGCCUAUGCACGAGUAUGAUAUGCCCUACUAAGAUACUAAAUUGGCGGUUAGCCCUCUCUAGCAGUCCUAAUAUGAUAGAUAGAUGUCAGGAUGGGAUAACAAGGGUGCUUGAGUAUGCAAUCCUAUGAUCAAGUUCUUGUUAAUUACUCUAAAACAAGCAAUGAAUCCAAAUCUAUCAUGAAUAUCACAACAAGGUGUAUCUAUAGUUUGGGGCUAAUCCCACAAACCUAUCUGAACCCUGGAUCUAACAGGUGGAUCUAUUCAGACAUGAAGUUUGUCACAGAAAUCAUAGAUGAAAUAGAUGUAAAACUGAAAUAGAAAUGAUUAAGAAAACCAAUGGAGUUCCAGGAGGACUCUGAUAGGAGUUCCUCCCUUCUCUCCUAAGAGAAACAAUGGAAAUGAAAGCGUGUAGAAAGCGUAGCCGUCAACAAUGGCUUAGAAAUAACAUAAAUAGGAUUUCUGGUCGUCCAAAGGCAUUCUGGUAAUUUGUGGUUACUUCUGGGCUUCACGCAGUCAUAAAAUAUAUAAGGCCCACUAUCUGGGAUCUCCAUCGCGAGGCAGACUGACCACUCUUCAGUAAAACAGGCAUAACCUCUGCUACAUGAUGCUGAUUGACCUGAGACCGAUUGCAUUGGAAAGCUAACUCAAAGCUCUAUAUUGUGUAAAACUAUGGGCUCAAUCUAACGGUCGGAAGGUCUCCAUCCAUAGCUAAAUAUCUGACGCGUCUGUGCAACUCUGCACCUCCAAAGGCUCCAAGAGAUUCCAAAAUCACCAUUUUUCUCCUAAACGUCCUUGAACCUGUAAAUACUCUAAAUAGACUCCAAAACAUAAUAAUUGUAUCUUAAAACACUUUAAAACACUUAUAGACCAUGACUAAAAAUGGGUAAAAUAUAUGGUCUUUCACAAACCUUCAGCUCUUAAACACUCCAAAACGCACUGAUUAAAUUCACAGAAGGGUGAGAAAGGGUCGUUCAUGCUCACUUCUCUUCUCUGAUUUUUUUCUGAAUUUUUGCAUGAGUUUUUCUCACAGCUUUUUCUCUUUUCUUUCUCUCUUUCUCUCAGAAAUUUUAUCUGGUUUUUCUUGUGCAACAGGACGUCCAGAAGAGAGAAGAAGGUAUUUUAUAGCAUAAGGGGUUGCUUCAGCUGAGGGUUUACUUAAACCAAAGCAAGUUGCUGUCCUUUCCCUCCUUUGAAGAAAGAUUAUUUUGUUUUUAUUAAACAAGCAACCAGCUUGUGACUUUCAUGUGACUUUAGUGAAGCAUGCAAGCAGGUAGGUGCAGCUCAUGUGACUGAUUUACUGAAAAAGCAAGCAGAAUAGCUGGUGAAGGUAUUAGACUGGUCGGAAUUUAGUUAAGAAACUUAACGACAAUUUCGGACAGUUUUCGACUAAAAAUUUUCAUCCUUCGAAUCUUGUCUUGCUUUCAACUAAGCUUGCCUAGCUUAAGUAAAUUCGACCAACAUUAUUAACACUCUACCAAAACUAUCAAUGAGAGGCCUUUCGGCCACAAGACAGUCCCGUCUAGGGUUUCUAUUCAGGUGUUGGAGGUUAUAAUUCCUAUAGGUACCUAUUUGUUGCAUGCAAGAUAUGUUAGAGCUCAACCGCUUAACUUAGUGAUCAGCUGUCGCAUGUUUCACUGGUUAACAAGCUGGAUCUCGUGUCUCAACGGUUAGUAUGUUGACACGAAAGAGUGUCGAUCGAUGGUCCUAUUGGGACAUCGACCGAUACACCUUUGCCUACGUUGACCGAUAGUGAGUUGAGGACAUCGAUCGACGGGUUCUAGCCAGGCCUAUGCGCGAGUAUGAUAUGCCCUACUAAGAUACUAAAUUGGCGGUUAGCCCUCUCUAGCAGUCCUAAUAUGAUAGAUAUAUGUCAGGAUGGGAUAACAAGGGUGCUUGAGUAUGCAAUCCUAUGAUCAAGUUCUUGUUAAUUACUCUAAAACAAGGAAUGAAUCCAAAUCUAUCAUGAAUAUCACAACAAGGUGGAUCUAUAGUUUGGGGCUAAUCCCACAAACCUAUCUGAACCCUGGAUCUAACAGGUGGAUCUAUUCAGACAUGAAGUUUGUCACAGAAAUCAUAGAUGAAAUAGAUGUAAAACUGAAAUAGAAAUGAUUAAGAAAACCAAUGGAGUUCCAGGAGGACUCUGAUAGGAGUUCCUCCCUUCUCUCCUAAGAGAAACAAUGGAAAUGAAAGCGUGUAGAAAGCGUAGCCGUCAACAAUGGCUUAGAAAUAACAUAAAUAGGAUUUCUGGUCGUCCAAAGGCAUUCUGGUAAUUUGUGGUUACUUCUGGGCUUCACGCAGUCAUAAAAUAUAUAAGGCCCACUAUCUGGGAUCUCCAUCGCGAGGCAGACUGACCACUCUUCAGUAAAACAGGCAUAACCUCUGCUACAUGAUGCUGAUUGACCUGAGACCGAUUGCAUUGGAAAGCUAACUCAAAGCUCUAUAUUGUGUAAAACUAUGGGCUCAAUCUAACGGUCGGAAGGUCUCCAUCCAUAGCUAAAUAUCUGACGCGUCUGUGCAACUCUGCACCUCCAAAGGCUCCAAGAGAUUCCAAAAUCACCAUAUUUCUCCUAAACGUCCUUGAACCUGUAAAUACUCUAAAUAGACUCCAAAACAUAAUAAUUGUAUCUUAAAACACUUUAAAACACUUAUAGACCAUGACUAAAAAUGGGUAAAAUAUAUGGUCUUUCACAAACCUUCAGCUCUUAAACACUCCAAAACGCACUGAUUAAAUUCACAGAAGGGUGAGAAAGGGUCGUUCAUGCUCACUUCUCUUCUCUGAUUUUUUUCUGAAUUUUUGCAUGAGUUUUUCUCACAGAUUUUUCUCUUUUCUUUCUCUCUUUCUCUCUGAAAUUUUCUCUGUUUUUCUUGUGCAACAGGACGUCCAGAAGAGAGAAGAAGGUAUUUUAUAGCAUAAGGGGUUGCUUCAGCUGAGGGUUUACUUAAACCAAAGCAAGUUGCUGUCCUUUCCCUCCUUUGAAGAAAGAUUAUUUUGUUUUUAUUAAACAAGCAACCAGCUUGUGACUUUCAUGUGACUUUAGUGAAGCAUGCAAGCAGGUAGGUGCAGCUCAUGUGACUGAUUUACUGAAAAAGCAAGCAGAAUAGCUGGUGAAGGUAUUAGACUGGUCGGAAUUUAGUUAAGAAACUUAACGACAAUUUCGGACAGUUUUCGACUAAAAAUUUUCAUCCUUCGAAUCUUGUCUUGCUUUUAACUAAGCUUGCCUAGCUUAAGUAAAUUCGACCAACAUUAUUAACACUCUACCAGAACUAUCAAUGAGAGGCCUUUCGGCCACAAGACAGUCCCGUCUAGGGUUUCUAUUCAGGUGUUGGAGGUUAUAAUUCCUAUAGGUACCUAUUUGUUGCAUGCAAGAUAUGUUAGAGCUCAACCGCUUAACUUAGUGAUCAGCUGUCGCAUGUUUCACUGGUUAACAAGCUAGAUCUCGUGUCUCAACGGUUAGUAUGUUGACACGAAAGAGUGUCGAUCGAUGGUCCUAUUGGGAUAUCGACCGAUACACCUUUGCCUACGUUGACCGAUAGUGAGUUGAGGACAUCGAUCGACGGGUUCUAGCCAGGCCUAUGCGCGAGUAUGAUAUGCCCUACUAAGAUACUAAAUUGGCGGUUAGCCCUCUCUAGCAGUCCUAAUAUGAUAGAUAGAUGUCAGGAUGGGAUAACAAGGGUGCUUGAGUAUGCAAUCCUAUGAUCAAGUUCUUGUUAAUUACUCUAAAACAAGCAAUGAAUCCAAAUCUAUCAUGAAUAUCACAACAAGGUGGAUCUAUAGUUUGGGGCUAAUCCCACAAACCUAUCUGAACCCUGGAUCUAACAGGUGGAUCUAUUCAGACAUGAAGUUUGUCACAGAAAUCAUAGAUGAAAUAGAUGUAAAACUGAAAUAGAAAUGAUUAAGAAAACCAAUGGAGUUCCAGGAGGACUCUGAUAGGAGUUCCUCCCUUCUCUCCUAAGAGAAACAAUGGAAAUGAAAGCGUGUAGAAAGCGUAGCCGUCAACAAUGGCUUAGAAAUAACAUAAAUAGGAUUUCUGGUCGUCCAAAGGCAUUCUGGUAAUUUGUGGUUACUUCUGGGCUUCACGCAGUCAUAAAAUAUAUAAGGCCCACUAUCUGGGAUCUCCAUCGCGAGGCAGACUGACCACUCUUCAGUAAAACAGGCAUAACCUCUGCUACAUGAUGCUGAUUGACCUGAGACCGAUUGCAUUGGAAAGCUAACUCAAAGCUCUAUAUUGUGUAAAACUAUGGGCUCAAUCUAACGGUCGGAAGGUCUCCAUCCAUAGCUAAAUAUCUGACGCGUCUGUGCAACUCUGCACCUCCAAAGGCUCCAAGAGAUUCCAAAAUCACCAUAUUUCUCCUAAACGUCCUUGAACCUGUAAAUACUCUAAAUAGACUCCAAAACAUAAUAAUUGUAUCUUAAAACACUUUAAAACACUUAUAGACCAUGACUAAAAAUGGGUAAAAUAUAUGGUCUUUCACAAACCUUCAGCUCUUAAACACUCCAAAACGCACUGAUUAAAUUCACAGAAGGGUGAGAAAGGGUCGUUCAUGCUCACUUCUCUUCUCUGAUUUUUUUCUGAAUUUUUGCAUGAGUUUUUCUCACAGAUUUUUCUCUUUUCUUUCUCUCUUUCUCUCUGAAAUUUUCUCUGUUUUUCUUGUGCAACAGGACGUCCAGAAGAGAGAAGAAGGUAUUUUAUAGCAUAAGGGGUUGCUUCAGCUGAGGGUUUACUUAAACCAAAGCAAGUUGCUGUCCUUUCCCUCCUUUGAAGAAAGAUUAUUUUGUUUUUAUUAAACAAGCAACCAGCUUGUGACUUUCAUGUGACUUUAGUGAAGCAUGCAAGCAGGUAGGUGCAGCUCAUGUGACUGAUUUACUGAAAAAGCAAGCAGAAUAGCUGGUGAAGGUAUUAGACUGGUCGGAAUUUAGUUAAGAAACUUAACGACAAUUUCGGACAGUUUUCGACUAAAAAUUUUCAUCCUUCGAAUCUUGUCUUGCUUUUAACUAAGCUUGCCUAGCUUAAGUAAAUUCGACCAACAUUAUUAACACUCUACCAGAACUAUCAAUGAGAGGCCUUUCGGCCACAAGACAGUCCCGUCUAGGGUUUCUAUUCAGGUGUUGGAGGUUAUAAUUCCUAUAGGUACCUAUUUGUUGCAUGCAAGAUAUGUUAGAGCUCAACCGCUUAACUUAGUGAUCAGCUGUCGCAUGUUUCACUGGUUAACAAGCUAGAUCUCGUGUCUCAACGGUUAGUAUGUUGACACGAAAGAGUGUCGAUCGAUGGUCCUAUUGGGAUAUCGACCGAUACACCUUUGCCUACGUUGACCGAUAGUGAGUUGAGGACAUCGAUCGACGGGUUCUAGCCAGGCCUAUGCGCGAGUAUGAUAUGCCCUACUAAGAUACUAAAUUGGCGGUUAGCCCUCUCUAGCAGUCCUAAUAUGAUAGAUAGAUGUCAGGAUGGGAUAACAAGGGUGCUUGAGUAUGCAAUCCUAUGAUCAAGUUCUUGUUAAUUACUCUAAAACAAGCAAUGAAUCCAAAUCUAUCAUGAAUAUCACAACAAGGUGGAUCUAUAGUUUGGGGCUAAUCCCACAAACCUAUCUGAACCCUGGAUCUAACAGGUGGAUCUAUUCAGACAUGAAGUUUGUCACAGAAAUCAUAGAUGAAAUAGAUGUAAAACUGAAAUAGAAAUGAUUAAGAAAACCAAUGGAGUUCCAGGAGGACUCUGAUAGGAGUUCCUCCCUUCUCUCCUAAGAGAAACAAUGGAAAUGAAAGCGUGUAGAAAGCGUAGCCGUCAACAAUGGCUUAGAAAUAACAUAAAUAGGAUUUCUGGUCGUCCAAAGGCAUUCUGGUAAUUUGUGGUUACUUCUGGGCUUCACGCAGUCAUAAAAUAUAUAAGGCCCACUAUCUGGGAUCUCCAUCGCGAGGCAGACUGACCACUCUUCAGUAAAACAGGCAUAACCUCUGCUACAUGAUGCUGAUUGACCUGAGACCGAUUGCAUUGGAAAGCUAACUCAAAGCUCUAUAUUGUGUAAAACUAUGGGCUCAAUCUAACGGUCGGAAGGUCUCCAUCCAUAGCUAAAUAUCUGACGCGUCUGUGCAACUCUGCACCUCCAAAGGCUCCAAGAGAUUCCAAAAUCACCAUAUUUCUCCUAAACGUCCUUGAACCUGUAAAUACUCUAAAUAGACUCCAAAACAUAAUAAUUGUAUCUUAAAACACUUUAAAACACUUAUAGACCAUGACUAAAAAUGGGUAAAAUAUAUGGUCUUUCACAAACCUUCAGCUCUUAAACACUCCAAAACGCACUGAUUAAAUUCACAGAAGGGUGAGAAAGGGUCGUUCAUGCUCACUUCUCUUCUCUGAUUUUUUUCUGAAUUUUUGCAUGAGUUUUUCUCACAGAUUUUUCUCUUUUCUUUCUCUCUUUCUCUCUGAAAUUUUAUCUGGUUUUUCUUGUGCAACAGGACGUCCACAAGAGAGAAGAAGGUAUUUUAUAGCAUAAGGGGUUGCUUCAGCUGAGGGUUUACUUAAACCAAAGCAAGUUGCUGUCCUUUCCCUCCUUUGAAGAAAGAUUAUUUUGUUUUUAUUAAACAAGCAACCAGCUUGUGACUUUCAUGUGACUUUAGUGAAGCAUGCAAGCAGGUAGGUGCAGCUCAUGUGACUGAUUUACUGAAAAAGCAAGCAGAAUAGCUGGUGAAGGUAUUAAACUGGUCGGAAUUUAGUUAAGAAACUUAACGACAAUUUCGGACAGUUUUCGACUAAAAAUUUUCAUCCUUCGAAUCUUGUCUUGCUUUCAACUAAGCUUGCCUAGCUUAAGUAAAAUUCGACCAACAUUAUUAACACUCUACCAGAACUAUCAAUGAGAGGCCUUUCGGCCACAAGACAGUCCCGUCGAGGUAUUAAAUCACCGGGUCGACUUUAUUUUUAAAUCUGAUCGACCAACUCCAAACUGGUCGAGCGGAGUUUUUCUCGACCAAAAAUUAACUGCCUCGUGAGGGUUAUUACAUUCUUCCCCCCUUAAAAGAAUUCGUCCCUGAAUUCUAAAAACAUAGCUGUACAGACUUUUACUGAACACUGGAGUCUCUGCAAGAAGUUUAAAAUAACCAACUCUGAACUUAUCCUCGUCUGCCCGUGUCAAACCAACUGAUGGGUCCCCAAAUACUUGAAGUUUUAUAAAUUUUUCCUUUUCUCCAAUCUUCUGAUAUGGUGCUCACCUAUCCGCAAAGGACCUUUAGGAUAGGCUAAAUAGGGUUACAAGUUUUCUAGUCUCAGCAGUUCUAUCAUACUGGGUCUGAUAUAAGAUUACGCAAAAUCGGCUUACCAAUAGCAUAACUAAAAGAAGUUCCGGUUUAGAGAUAACCAUUUCAACUCUGAACAACUCGGUACAGACCAAAUAACAGAUUUGCGGAUUUUCCCAACUUUUCUAAAACAAUUCUUUCUUUUCUGAGCAAACACUUUCUCGAUAACCAACUCUUCAUCGCGCAUAACUUUCAUAUACUGCGGUCUACAUACUUCCUUUGACAUCAUUGAAUCUCUGAAUACCAUUACUUCUGAAACCUUUCUAUCUGCUUUCCUCCAGUUCAAUAACAUGGAAAUAUGGAACGUCAGGUGAUGUGCCAUACGUGAAGGUAACAUCUUCAGUCUGGUCAAUGUCAACUUGAUUAACCGUGCAACAAUCAAACAAGAACAUGCACGAUCAAUCACGCUAACAUGAUUCAGACCAAGGGUGCCACUCUUAAAUACACACACACACACUUAUUCUAGGAAUGAUUUCCCUUACAGUAUUCCAUACCCUUCUUAUCUACCUGAGAUACUCUUCAAAAACUUCUGAACGAUUCAAUCUCACUAAAGUUUCACAUAUCCAAGUCUUGUUCUAUUACUUUCUGAUUUCCUUCUUCUGUAUAGUAACUGAGGAAACAACAAGUCCGCCUAUACCAAACCUGAUUUACCAACGAAGUACUCUUGUAUGAUGACUUCACAUUUUCUCUCUUAAUACAUCUUCCGAUCUCUUAACAACUUGAGCAUUCCCAUAUGCCUUAUGGUUAUGCCUUUUUCCUUGCACACUUAAAUCUUCCUUGGGAUUUACUUCACAUCUGCUUAAUUGUAGGUUGAAUUUGGGUUCAUUCUCCCACAUCUCCACUUUAUGAACCUGUACAUGACACAGUCCUCAUACUAUUCUUCGAAAUUCUCUUCACCCAGUUCCUUCUAUGAAUUCCUUAGAUUCUCAUCCUUCAACUGAGUUCCUCAAAUACGAAUGAAUAAGCCAUCUUGAUUUUCUACUUGCAAUCUUGAAGGUUCUCUAUUCUCUCCCUAUACGGCAGCAAAAUAAAUCACUCCCAAUUCCCCUUCAUGAUUCUUGAUAUCCUACUCAAUAUCAUCAUUAAUAUCACUUCCUCUUAAAGCAUAAGCAGCAAUAUUUGCUCUUCCUAAGGCUUCUUUGAUCAGUGAAAACUUGCAUUCUUUCUCCAUAUUGAAAUGAUCACUAAAUUUGAUGUGCAACAGAACUGCCACCAACUCCAACUUGUGCAUCAAAUAGUAUUCCUUAUGCUUCUUUAGCUCCCUUGAUGCAUAAACGAUUACCAUAUCGUCUUGCAUUAGCAUUCACCUAGACCAACACAUAAUACAUCCAUGUAGUAGUAUAUGGCUGGUUAGGCUCAUGCAAGUCUAAGAUAUGCAUAGACGUAGAUACUUCCUCUAAUUGAUUGCAUACUUCAUCAAUACUUUUAUUCCAUUCCAAGGUAACACCAUUCUUAGUCGAUCAACUCAUUGGUGGAUAUGGUUUCUAACUCUUGAACAAACUUCUGAUGGUAACCGGCCAAUCCACAGAACUUCGAAUCUCGAUAACUGAAAUUGAGUACGACCAUUAUGUAGUAGUAGCGAUCUUUUGUAAAUAUGCAACAACUCCUUGUUCCAUUUACUGACUAAGGGAUCUAACUUCCAAUUUCCAUGCAGAAAUACUUACUACAACGUGAAGCGUCCAUCAAACGUCGUUAGAAUAAAACUGCGCCUUGCGACCGAUCUUAACCAUUCUUCAAUUCUAGAACUUGAUACUUUACCCUGAUGGUCAUGUCCUUGAUAUUAUACUCGAAAAUAACUGCAAACUCUGGUUCUUCUUCUUUACCACUGACAUGGGUACACUCCACAGAAAAUAACUAAGUCGAACGAAACCUUUCUCCAAACAAAUCUUCUGACUGCUACUUGAAUUCGGCAAGAACCACUUGGUUUGAUGCCUAGGCUAUUGCAGCGAAUCAAGGUUCAACCAGAAUACUUGACAGGUUACUUCUGGAUGUCAACAAAUUUUCCACUUUCUUAAACAUAGCUUCAUGUUCCCUAGUUAUCUAACUGUCCUCGAUACUCUGCUUCUUGUUACUUUCUCUCCGCCCAAUUAUGAUGAUAACUGAAUACGCCACUUCACCGUUUCCCAAAAGGUUCCCAACUCUCCAGACUGAUAUGAGCGAGGCUCCAACACUUAGUAGAAUACCACUGCAGGCCAACGGUAACUGGUCUUCUCUCAAAGACUUCCUUCCUCAACAACAUCCUAAUUGAGCUCGAUAACUAGAUAGCCAAUCUCACUCUAGAUAGAAACAAACCGCUCUAAUGGAAGUACUAAGGAAUGGGGAUGGGAUACGAAGGCAUACCAUAACUCUAAAUGGCAGCCAGUACUUCCACGAAUAAGAACAGUGUACCUGAAUUAACUAAAGUGAAUCCUUCCUAAAACAGUGACACUACCCGUGAACUACAUCUAUGUGUUGUUCCCGCAUCAAACACAAUAUGGGCGGAAAAUUCUGUCCAUAGAGGCAAGGUCUCAUACGACACCUUGAUCACUCCUUCACUUAUUUAUUUAAUCCCUCAUAAAUUUUAAAAAUGCACACAACACGCAAUGGGAUAAGAAGCAAUCCUGUGAUUGGACCUUUUCAGAGGUUUUGACGGUCCAGGCAACUAUAAAGUGUAGGCUCUACCCAAAUAGCCAAACACUUAGUUAGUGACUAAUGGUAAGGAAAGCGAACAAGUUUAACAAGCGGUACCCUAGGUAUAGGGAAAAAGAUCGGGUAACUUCAUGGGCCAUGGUAGUAUAACCUCUGUACUCAUUACUGGCACCACCGAAGCGCGAAUGACGUAAGCGAUCGAGUAUUUUAUAUACUUGAACAAUCAUCACCUUACUCUCCUUGCUAGCCAAAACCAAAACAACUCAGGGUCCUCGGUCUUGAUCUGAUGAAACGUCCAACAAAAAUUAUCUCCAUCGACUUUCUUGAUUCAUUACUUGAAACUGACCUUCUAUCUGAAUAGGUUGAUAGUUAAAUAAUCUGCAUGAAUUGGUAAACUUCUUUAGUAAAAACGGCUUCUGUAGAAUUCAUGUGAUCCUCCACCAACUCCUCAUAGCUCUUGAGCUUUAUAGUUCGGGUUACUCUGAGAUUAAUGGCUGAGUCACAAUAGUACAUCUUCAUGAUCUUUAGCUCAUCCUCCAAACCAUAAUCGAUGAAUCAGAUUAACUUGACUUCGAAAUCUUGGCGGAAACAUCUCACUGUGCGAACUCCAUAUCGGUCCCAUGUUUUGGGUAGAAAACACUCCAUUUUGAACUCUUGAAAGAAAUCCGCCUAACUUGGACUAACAUUUCCCAAAUGAUGCUUGACACUUAAUCACCAACUUAUUGUAUCAUUCUUGAUGAUGUAUGGUUCCAUAUCCUUCUUGCAAUCUUCUGAACAAUGGGCCACGUUAGUUGUUCUGCUCCUAGUGUUGCAUUCGAAAUCUUCCUCUAUACAAAAUCUACAUCGAAUGGUUUAGUACUUGUCGGUGUUGUCCCAACUUCUUUAUCUUGUUCACAAACUUCAAGAAGUCUUGUUGCAACGGAAUGGUGCUGGUGCGUCCAUCGUCUUGUACUACUACUGAACUAUCUCCGCCACCAACGUUAAGCUUGAAACAAGUGCUGAAUCAAUCAUGCUUGUACGUCUCUGGUUCUGGUACGUUUGGGCAUAAGCUGGAUUGAAAUGAGCAGCCGAAAGAAUAUGUCAUAUGAAGUCGGAUAUUCUGAACCGGAUCAUCACCAACAACGUCAACUUUGACUUCAAUAAAACAUGGGCCGAAGAUGUAAUUGAUGUGUCAACUCUGUCUCAUAUAUCUUUGAAUAUCGAUAUCCACACUAGAAGUUGUAGGAACCGCAUGAAAGCAUGAUGAUACCAACUCCGACAAUGAUGGUAGCUGAUAUACCUUGGAUUUGACCCAUUUUAAUCCAUGGUAUAUUAUUAUUUUACUAUAUAUAUAUCUAUGUUUUCUACUCUUCUAGGUAUGUUUUCAGGUUCAGGUGCAUUUCAGAGUAAAGCUAUGACUUUGGAGCAUUUUGGAGCAUAAAGGACAUUUCACCCGAGCUGACCACUUAGAGGUCGACGAGAGGAAGAGUAAUCGAUCGAUGUACACAAGUACCGUCGAUCGAUGUCGAGACACCAAACGCGACAUUUUGGAUUCAGCAGACUUAAAGACCAAGGCCAAGCCAAAUUACCAAAAUGCCCUGACGAGUUUUUAACCUAGUAGAAUAUAUACUGCCUACGUUUUGACGGCAGAGAGAGCUUUUCUUUUCUAGACCUAGUUUUGUUACAAGUUUCAUUUGGAGAGAAGAUCACUUGUGAUUGGAACUCCUUGUUUCAUUUUCUUAUCAUCUAUUCUAUGAGUUUCUAUUUAUCUAUUGAUAUGAAUUGCUUUGCUAUGUCUGAGUAGUUCAACUGUUAGAUCCAAGGUUCAGAUAGGUUUGUGGGAUUAGCUCCAAGCUAUAGAUCUGCCUUGUUGUGAUAUUCAUGAUAAAUUUGUAUUUGUUGCUUGUUUUAGCCUAGCUAACUAGAACUUGAUCAUAGGAUUGCAUAUUCAAGCACCCUUGUUAUUCCAUCCUGACAUCUAUCUAUCAGAUUUGCUAGAGAGGGCUAACCGCCAAUUUAGAAUCUUAGUAGAGCAUUUCAUACUCGCGCAUAGGCCUGGCUAGAACCCGUCGAUCGAUGUCCUCAACUGACAAUCGAUUGAUGUUGGCAAAAGUGUAUCGGUCAACGUCUUAAUAGACUAUCGAUCGACACUCUCUUGUGUCUGCAUCUAACCGGUGAGACACAAGAUCUAGUCUGUUAACCAGUGGUACAUGCGACAGCUGAUCACUGAGUUAAGCGAAUGAGCUCUAAUAUAUCAUGCAUGCAACAGUUAGGCAUCUAUAGGAAUUAUAAUCUCCAACACCUGAAUAGUGGCCCUGCAUCUAAUAUCAUUUCCAACCUAAGUUACAUUUAUCAUUUACUCGCUAGUUACUAUUGCUAUUUUAUUUAUAACAUUACAACCUUUAGAAUUAAUAAACACUACAUUUAAUUGUUCCCUAGCUCCUUGUGGAUUCGAUCCUUAAGUACUACAUCUGAACCUCUUUUGAUGAGAGUAACACUCCUUAGGGUAAUUUGAGUGGUAUCAAAUUUGGCGCCGUUGCCGGGGAGCUUUGAUCGCCAUUAGAUUUAAUUUUAUUAAUUCUUAUUCUUUUCCUUACCCCCUUUUAUAACAAUCUUUCUUUUUCUUGUCUUUUCAGGUGUAUGCCCAGCGGUAACAGAAGCAACAAAGAGAAAGACUUGCUGUUGACAGACGAUCCUGCUCAUUUGGAAAGCACCAUCCGUAGAGGUCAACGUUCCACAUCGCUCGACGCAACCACUUCGUCGUCGAUCGAUACACAUAACCAACCGUCGACCGACACCAGACCGUCAUCGUCGAUCGAUCCCAAUCGUUCGAUAACGAUCGAUACCGUGUCGUCAAAAAUGGAAAACAUUAUUAUUCUAACUCAGGAUGAGAACGGAAACCUUUAUGACCAGGCCGGUCAUCUGCGUAAUGCAACAUGUCAGAAAAUAGAUGCUCAGGGAACUGUAAUCCCUGAUGCUGAUGCUACAGGAGCUGCUCAACCUGUAGAUGAGGACGCUCGAUCGAAACCACUUCCGGAGAUCCAGAAGCAGAAUUUCGAGCUGAAGCCUCAAUACUACACUCUCGUGUCGCAGAUACCCUACUCUGGGUUACCGCACGAGCAUCCUAUGGACCAUUUGGAACGGUUCAAGGAUCUAAUCGCUGCCAUUCGGAUGGAAGGAGUCUCCGAAGAUUACCUGCUGUGCAAGCUCUUCGGAUACACGCUGAAGGGAGAAGCGAUGCAUUGGCUUAGGCAGCAACCCACAGGAUCUUUAACAUCCUGGAGCGACAUCAAGAAUGCUUUCUUACGAAACUUCUUCGAAGAGGCGCGCGCUGAAGAACUUCGAAACAAAAUUUCCACAUUCUCGCAGAAGGCUGGAGAGUCCUUCAAAGAUGCAUGGAUUAGAUUUAGGUUUUUCCAGCGAGACUGUCCACACCACGGAUUUAAUGAAGUGCAGCUGCUAGGCAAUUUCUUUCGAGGUCUCGCCUUACAGUAUCAAAUGGCUCUUGAUACGGCGAGUGAAGGAAACUUCACUACUCGGAAUCCGUUGGAAGCUGUGAGACUUAUCGAAAACCUUGCUAACAGCAGCAGCACCAAAAACAAUGACUCUGAACGGAAGAAGUCUGUAGCCUCUAUCGGGAAGGAACAGAUGGACGAAGUAAGAGCUAAGUUAGAUGUGGUGCACGAACUUCUUAGGAAGCAAGUCUGUUCAGCUGAAGGAGGAGUAGCAGAUACAGAAGGAGAAGAAGAUGUGAACUACAUCGGAGGUACCGGAUUCCAGAAAUUUGGAAACCAGGACGGAAACAAAAACUUCUUUGGAAAUGGCCAAAUAAGUAACCAAAGUUCACAAUUUCAAAAACCCUUCAACAACAGCAAGAGCUACUCGAACUCUUACUAUCAAAAUCCACCACCCCAGACUCAGGAAAGCAAGAUCGAAGAAAUAAUUGAUCGAGUACUGUUGGGACAACAACAAAUCACCGUGGAUUUCAACGGUAAGAUAGACUCUGCCUACAACAAUCUGAACACCAAAAUCGAGACCUUAGGGACUCAGAUGAGAAAACUUGAAACCCAAGUAAUUCAGACGGGCGAGACUAUUAAGAGGCAAGAAGCUUUCGCUAGAGAGGCAGGAGCCGACAAAGGGAAACACCACGUAAAUGCCAUCAUAGAUGAUGAAUUCUGGCAAGUGGUGAGAAAUGAAAACCUUGAGGAAGGAGAUUUCGAAAUCGAAAGCUCCAUGAGUCUCGGCGGAUCCCAAUGGUGUCGACCGAUGUCGAUGAACUCGCAUCGAUCGACAGACCAUGAUGAAGAUCGAUGGACGGAUUACUCCAGUCAUCGAUCGACGUCGUCUGCCAAUUCGACUGAAUGCAAUGCGGUUCGAAUUCUAACUCAUGAAGAAUUCGCAGCUAAGCAUCCUCACCCACCCUCCCCUUCUAUGAAAAAAUCGAUCGAUCGGUUAACUAAACCAUCGAUCGACAGAGUGAGUCCGACGUCGAUCGUUACAACACACCUCCCAUCGAUCGACAGACACCUCUGACAUACCGAGUGCGGUUACCCUCAAUCGAUAAUGAUUACAUCAAUGCACUCAGACCACCACCUAAACCAUUAGCAAACCCACCCGAACCAAAACCCAACCCUUUAACUAGUUCAACAAAAUCUGUUCAAGAAGAACAAGAAUCUGAAAGGAGAAGGUUAAGGAAAAGAAAGGAGAAGAUUCCUAAAAACCUUAAGAGGGAAGCUAACGAUAAGGAGAUGGAUGGUUUUACUAAACAAGUCCUCAGAAUCCCAAUCGAAAAACCUUUUGAUGAAGCUUACUUCACACACCGGUUGUGGAUGUUCUUCAGAGAAACAAUGGUAACUGAGGAGGACAUUAGGAGAAUGUUUCAUCAAGCCAGAGGAAAGAUGAAACACAGGAUCACAUUGACGAAGAAGAGUGAUCCUGGGAAGUUUGCAAUACCAUGCAUAGUCAAGGGUGUUGAAUUUCCCCAUUCAAUGUGUGACACAGGAGCAUCGGUUAGUAUCUUCCCUAGAAUUAUGGCAGACCAGCUUGGUUUGACCAUCGAACCCUCAACAGAAUCCUUCACCUUCGUGGAUCUUUCAGAAAAACGAUCCGGAGAUAUCAUGAGAGAUCUGGAGGUACUGAUUGGUAAUGCCCUUGUCCCUGUAGAUUUUCAUGUCUUAGACAUCGAGCUUAACUGGAACUCUUCACUUCUGCUUGGAAGAUCCUUCCUAGCUACAGUAGGAGCUGUAUGUGACAUGAACAAAAACAAAUUGUGUCUAACGCUCAUAGACCCAAACAUCCACUACGAUCCCAUCCGACCUAAGAGAAAGGUAAUUAAUUCUGUGGAUUAUGGGAAAGACCUUGGCUUCAUUGGCGCAUGCCAUUGUGGAGCAGAGUAUGAAUCGGAGUACGAAACAGAGUACUCGAAAUCGAUCGACACCCCAACCUUUCCAUCGAUCGAUUCCAAUGUGUCAAUGGUGACCGAUGACCACAACAACACGUCACUCGAUGUAAUGCACCCACUUGACCAUUUCGCUUCACCUAAUCAUUGUUACCAACAUUUUGCCUUCCAACCUCCAACUAGGAGAGGACAUGAUGAUUAUUCCAUAGGCAGUUGGGCAGACAGUGGUUUCCAUGAAAGUUUUGCAGUUGACACUGUAAUUACUUCACCUCAUGAGGAACAUACCGAGGAAUACGAUGAGGAUUACUGGAAAGAACGUGCAAUAGAAAUGUCUUUGCAGGAUGAAAGACUUGAAAUACACAAGUUCACCAACACGUUUCCAACAUCGUUCGACGCUGUGCACUCCACAUCGGUCGAUACCCACCCUCGUCCAGCAAAACAACCGCUCACAUCGAUCGACACAUCGAAAGGAAAAUCGAUCGAUAUUCGCGCCGCAGCGAAAAUUCAGGAGCAGGAAAAUAUUCCCUCCCUAACCAGGUUUACAGAUACCUAUAUAAAUUGUUUUACACCUCCGAAACCACCUACACACAUCAGAGCAAACACACAAGCAAAUAAGAUGAACACUCUUCCUUCUACAUCAACAGAAAAAUCCAUGAAGAGCAAUAAUCUCAAGAACACAAGUUAUGCAAAAAUUACUCUGCCAUCGAUCGAUGUAACUGUAUCUACAUCGAUCGAUACUACUCUAAACCCUAAUCUCUCUAUUUCUAAAAUGAAUAAUUAUGCAAACAUUGAUUACGGUUUUCUAACACCUGAUGAAUUUGGUAUUUUCAAGGAUCCAGAUGGCAACGCACGUGCAAUGGAUGGAAGGAUUUUACAAGUGUCCAGAGAGGACAUAGCAGACAUCCAUCAAGUAGCCAAUGGACCUGACAACCUGUUCUCACAGCAACGUGGCAGUCCAGACGUCAUUCUAACAAAUCCUAACAACCACGCAGGAGUCGCCACAACAGAGAUCAACACAGAUCUAUCACGCCAACCAAAAGGGCAAGCAUCGAUCGACGGUACAACGGAGACAUCGAUCGCCAGGGUAACACCAACGUCGAUCGAUAUGGAUGAUCCGACGUUGAUCGACAGACGCUAUGAAUGUGGGAGCCGCGCUUUCGACAUGUAUGGAGCCAGAAAGUUCACUUGGGAACAAAGGGACGAAUAUGGAGUCUACAGAGAUGAGCGUGAACACGCACGAAGCGCAGCUGGUGAGAUGAUACCUGUCUCAAAGGACAACAUCAGGAAAAUACUGGAAAGAGCAUCUCUUUUUGAAGAGAGCCACAUCUGUCUUCCAGAACAUGCCACUUCCUUCACACUCACAAGACUGGCACCAGAACUCUACACCAAAGAAAAAAUCGAUGAAAUGGUGUUUGGUAUUUGUGGAGCUCAGGAGAAACUAGGAGAGGAGCUCAAAACACUGGUAGAUGAAACACAUCAGCCUUUCGAUAGAGGCUACAAUGAGCUUUUCAGAUGUAUGACAAAAAUGAGGACAGAAAUUGAAAGUUUACGUCAGCAACUUGAGAAGGAAGCUACGACCUCAGCAUCAAUCGACGCACCACGUGCAACAUCGAUCGACGUAAGUCUUCCUACAGCUAAGAUCCUUGCAGAACCGCGAUGUUCAACACAACACAGGGAUGAAUGGGAAGUCUCAUACAUCGACAUAAGGAUAAACGACGUUUACUGCCCUCUCAACAACAACGUGGACUGGCUAAGCACUACAAUCGAGCUACUACAGCAAGAUCUGGACACGAUUCGCAAGAAGGACCAACAUCCAGCCACAUCGAUCGACAUGUGCACCUUCACAUCGCUCGACGCCAAAGUCUCAGCAAUGAAUGAGAGGCUGAGGACUUACGAGGAUAUGCAUGACCGUUUUAUAUCACCCGUCAUGAUAGAUUUAAACAAAUUAUCUAGCAAUUACUUGAUGCCCAAAAGGAUAUUGAGAACAUUACUAAUCAAAGUUUUUUGCAGGAAAAAUCAGCAUCGAUCAACAGACUAAGAAGACCCUGGAUCGAUGGCAAGAAACCUGUGGAGUUACUUCCUUACACAGCAGCAGAGGUUGACAAGAUCACAUCCAAUAUCUACACUGCUCUAGACACCAUGGACGAACGACUUGACAAACGCUGCGAUGACAUCUACUUUCCAUUCGACAACAAAAUCAGUGGACUAGACAACAACGUAGAAUGGCUACAGAAAGAAGUCAAAGCCAUUCAGAGGCAACUCGCAGCUCAACAUAAGAUAUCAGCAUCGAUCGACAUGACAAAAGCAAAAUCGAUCGACGGCAACUCACCGAGAUCGACCAACAAACACGUAAUCGCAUCGAUCGACGCCGAAUCUAUACCAAUCGGCGAGCAGCUGAUACACAAGACAGUAGAGUCAAUGCAAAAGGAACUGACAGAUCUUUCAGCAUACGUCUAUGACAACAUAGGCUGGCACCAGGUCAGCAUUGACAACAUUCAAGAAAAGCUACAGAACAUCUCCAAUGUACUUGGGAAGAUGGAUGACAAAUGGACAAGAAAUGAUGAGGCCACAAGAAGUUUCAUUGCAUCUUGGUCUAGAAUUCGCAUAGAUGACGUGGAUGCUUGCUUUCCAACAAGCAGAUGCUUCUCCACCCAAUAGCCAAUCACUACCACAGUCAAGCUAAAUGACUAUAACCAAGUGUUGAGUGGGAGGCAACCCACUAUUAGGUAUUUUACUUCGGUUUUCUAGCUAGCAAUUAAUUUCUUUCGUUUUAUCUCUUUCAGAUUUAGGAGAACCAAGUAGGAGGACUUGAAUAUCGACCGACGACGAGAAGUCGACAUCAUUCGACAUAGGCAACCACACGACGAUCGAUGUAACACUUACCCAUCGAUCGAUAUUUAAUCCGGUCAGAUGUAUCUUACCUACUUGUUACAUUUCGUACAUCAUACACAUUUCAUCAUAACUCCGGCUGAGUUACACUGGGACAGUGUAAUUUAAGUCUGGGGGGGGAGAUUUACUGAUAUAAUUUAUUUUAUUCUUACGUAAAAAGGAAUUUCAAAUAAAUUAUGCUUAGCUAUCGAAAAUAGGGACUAUAAUCUUAUAUUGAUUUAAACAUGAAUAUCUAACGAAUUAUUAGCACCAUUUUAGAUUUACUGAUUGCAGAUAGCACUAAAGAUGCUAAAGCAGAUCAACCUAUCAACUACACACUUGCCUUGAACCGUAUGAAGUAACAAAAGCUGAUUUCCAACACUAAACCUGACAUAACCGCUUGUCUUGGGGCUUGGUAUACAUGGGAUCGGAUUCUUCAGAUAGGUCUGGAAGGUAACGCCUGGUUUAGAUUAUUUAUCACAUUUUCUCUCUCUAGGUUUCGACCCUAGAUUAGUUAUAGAGUAUUAAAAAAAAAAAUAAUAAUAAUAAGUAAGAUCUAUUGUUUAAUUAGGAUGAGUCUGAACAGGACUUGGUGGCUAAAACCAAUAAGGCUUGAUUCAUAAAGACUCAAAUACAAGAGUUCGAAACGAGACUUGGAGGCGGCAAUCUUCAAGGCUCGCUUUCGCAAAGAACUCUUGGAUAUAGGUCAAAAAAAGAAGUGAACAGAACUUGGUGGCAACCACCAUUAAGUUUUGAUUCAUGGAAGCCUGUCCAAUCUUGGUCACUGAUCCUGCAAUAGAAGCAGACUUUGACUCAAGAGAAAAAAUUUAGAGAGAGAGAAACUAAGAACUAACUUUUACCUGCAGCUCCAGAUACCUGUCUGAAAUCCUUGCAUCCUGUGAUCGAUACUCCCAAGGUAAAGCAUUCACUUUAUAUUUAUGCUAAGAAAUGAAAUCAGUAGAGGGGAUGUCAGACGUGAAUUGAUGAGUUGUGUUAUGUUUGAAAUGGUUGCUAAGCUAGGAUAUUGCAUAGUGUGCUUUUGUGAUUAUGACUUUUUAAAUGUGGUUGCAAAUUUAUUGAGGAAAGAUUUCUAUCUUUUUAAAAUCUUAAGUUCCCAAAUAUUUUCAAACCUCUUUCAGAGAGACUGCCUGUAUGUUUUGUUUGAGGACAAGCAAAAGGGUAAGUCUAGGGGAGUUGAUAUACCUUGGAUUUGACUCUUUUUUAUCCAUGGUAUAUUAUUAUUUUAUAUAUAUAUAUAUAUAUAUAUAUAUAUAUCUAUGUUUUCUACUCUUCUAGGUAUGUUUUCAGGUUCAGGUGCAUUUCGGAGUAAAGCUAUUACUUUGGAGCAUUUUGGAGCAUAAAGGACAUUUCACCCGAGCUGACCAUUUAGAGGUCGACGAGAGGAAGAAUAAUUGAUCGAUGCGCAUCAGUGCUGACGAUCGAUAUCAGGAAAUACCUCGACAGAUGAAGAUUAAUAUCGAUCGAUGUACACAAGUACCGUCGAUCGAUGUCGAGACACCAGACUCGACAUUUUGGAUUCAGCAAACUUAAAGACCAAGGCCAAGCCAAAUUACCAAAAUGCCCUGACGAGUUUUUAACCUAGUAGAAUAUACAUUGCCUAAGUUUUGACGGCAGAGAGAGCUUUUCUUUUCUAGACCUAGUUUUGUUACAAGUUUCAUUUGGAGAGAAGAUCACUUGUGAUUGGAACUCCUUGUUUCAUUUUCUUAUCAUAUAUUCUAUGAGUUUCUAUUUAUCUAUUGAUAUGAAUUGCUUUGCUAUGUCUGAGUAGUUCAGCUGUUAGAUCCAGGGUUCAGAUAGGUUCGUGGGAUUAGCCCCAAACUAUAGAUCUGCCUGGUUGUGAUAUUCAUGAUAGAUUUGUAUUCAUUGCUUGUUUUAGCCUAUCUAACUAGAACUUGAUCAUAGGAUUGCAUAUUCAAGCACCAUUGGUAUCCCAUCCUGACAUCUAUCUAUCAUAUUAGGAUUGCUAGAGAGGGCCAACCGCCAAUUUAGAAUCUUAGUAGAGCAUUUCAUACUCGCGCAUAGGCCUGGCUAGAACCCGUCGAUCGUUGUCCUCAACUGACAAUCGAUCGAUGUUGGCAAAAGUUUAUCGGUCGACGUCUUAAUAGACUAUCGAUCGACACUCUCUUGUGUCUGCAUCUAACCGGUGAGACACAAGAUCUAGUCUGUUAACCAGUGGUACAUGCGACAGCUGAUCACUGAGUUAAGCGAAUGAGCUCUAAUAUAUCAUGCAUGCAACAUUUAGGCAUCUAUAGGAAUUAUAAUCUCCAACACCUGAAUAGUGGCCCUGCAUCUAAUAUCAUUUCCAACCUAAGUUACAUUUAUCAUUUACUCGCUAGUUACUAUUGCUAUUUUAUUUAAAACAUUACAACCUUUAGAAUUAAUAAACACUAGAUUUAAUUGUUCCCUAGCUUCUUGUGGAUUCGAUCCCUAAGUACUACAUCUGAACCUCUUUUGAUGAGAGUAACACUCCUUAGGGUAAUUUGAGUGGUAUCAGUAGCAAACCCGAUCACGUCCUUAGCUCACCCGAGCAUGAUGAUAAUGGAUUGAAGCAUUACCGGAUUGAACCAAAACAUGUCGAUAACAAACCGAAUCAUGACGGUAGAAAGCUCAAUCAUGACUGUAGGAAUCUCGAUCUUGACAGGAUCAAAAUUGGUAAGUACACUCCACUCCGUCGAGCUUGCCUUGAUGCAUCUCGUAUGAAAGAUAACAGUAAGGUAACAACCCAUGACUAUCUAUCCUAAGAUGAAGGAACCAGCCAGCACAUCCUAAUUAUCCUUGCGACUCAUUUUUACUCGAAAAACUUUUGAAACAAGUCCCAUUCAAGCAUCGUAUAACCAUGCUCUGAUACCACCUUUGUGACACCCCCGAUCUGGUCUAAGUAUAAGUUGACUCGACCAGCCGUGCAACAAUCAAACAAGAACAUGCACAGCUGAUCACUCGUAACUGAAACCAAACCGAGAAGCCACAAUGUGUACAUAAAUGACUAACCCGAAGUUCCCGAAAUAAAUCCAGGUACCUUAGGCCAACCGCCUAAGUACACAUAUCCUAUUAGGUACAACCCGAGGCUUUACAACCUUAAGAGUAAUACCCAGUAGUUGGUUCGUUCGGACAAGGACUAAUAUCAUUUGGAACCCGUACUUUAAAAACAUUCUUUAUACACUAUAUACUUAUUCAUUUAAAAGAAUCUUACAAAAUCUUAUAGAUUAACCUCGAGGUUUUCGGUCAACAAACCUUAUACAUAAAGUAUAUCAAAACGACUGGAAGGGUAAUAAAAGUACCGCUGGCUAAUGACGUUCCUUCCCAUCCUAGAGUAAAGGUCUACAAACUACUGGUUACCUGCAUAUCAAAUGAGUCAUGAGUAACUAGUUUACUCAGUGAGUCUAAUCCCACACCCAAACACAUAUCAAUAGUAUCCCGAGCAAGCGACACCAUUUGAAUGCAGUAGAAUUAUAUUCCAUAAUUAAUAUAAUUAUAAGGCCUCUCAAUCCAUCCAUGUGAAUCUAUCUUAAACAUCACAUCCACGAUACCCGCCAAUUACUCAUACUCUUAAUAUAUAUAUGCUAAACCCGGAAAAUCACCAAGGCUAACUGAGCCUAACGGGGAAUAAAUAUAACCAUCAUCUCCAUCAAAUAUUCCAAGAUAGAACAUCCAACGCUACAUGCAGUUACACGGCCUCCAGGGUGCGACCCCAUCAUCGUGUCUUCAUGACCUUGAUCCAUAUCGCAAGACCAAUUGACGGCAAUGCGGAACUUUCGGGAGAGUGAGUAUACAAUAAGACUUCACAUGAUUCACACUUAUUAAUAGAAUACUUAUAGAUUAGUACUUGAAAACAAGUACUAAGGCUCGGGAUAACCUCAAAGAAUUAUUCUUAUUAAUUCUUAAGUACUUAAACUAGAUAAAUACUUCAUAUAUAAAUAUAGAUCAAGGGAUAAUACUUAAUCAAUCAACUAUAAUUACUCCUUGAUUAAUCUAUGAUUAAUCCUUAAUUAAUCAAUGAUUAUCCCUUAAUUAAUUCAUGAUUAAUUCUUAAUUUAUCAACCAUAUUCAAUAUGCAAUCAUGCAUACUCAUUCAUAAUUCAUUCAUCAUCUAUCUAGACUCACCUUUAAAUCCAUGAGAUUGACUAAGGAAGACUAGACUCGAGCUCAAGCUAAUCACACUUCACUUCUGGAUCACUCUCGGUUCAGAACAUGCACAAGGAUCCGGCUGAUCCGAAUACUCUCUUUGGCCAUCUGAAUUCAAAACAUAACAGUUGAAACAUAAGGUUCACUAGUCUGGUUCAAGAAGAAACUCAACUCAGUUCAUAACAUUUCAGUUCAGUUCGGUUCAAGACAGAUUGAUACCAUGUUCAGCUCGGUUCAAGCUUUAACAAUUUAACUCGGUUCAUAUCAGCUUAGUUCAUGCUCAGCUAACUCCGGUUCUAAUCAGUUCCCAACAGCUUAACUCGGUUAUACUCAGACGACAUCUGUUCAAGACAAUUUCAGACCAUAGACAGCUCGGCUCAGAUCAGAUCAGAACAUACUCAGCUCAAUUCAGUUCUAAACAAGAUCAAAUCAGUUCGGAUUAAUUCCCAUAAUUCUUAUCAGUUCGUCUACUGGUUCUAUGAGACGGAUUAAAUCAUAAACCAACCAAGACUGAAGAGAACAAGACCUUAGACAACUGAUCCUGACAGGUUAACCAACAUACAGCAAUUGGUUCUCCUCAAAACAUGGCUGAAUCAAGAAGCUGAAGCUUACCGGUUUUACUCAACUAAUUAAACUUGACUGGUUGUCUCUCUUCAAGCUAACCACGAAUUAACCUGAUCAACACCACAAGAAUCCAUGGUUGGAUUUAUUCAGAAUUUAUCUCCAGUGUAGGCAAACCAACAAAAUUUCUCACAUAAACUUAUCCACAACCAUCAUACCGAUCAAAAUCAAAUGCUGAAGAACAUCGGUGAUUCUCUACUUCAGGACGCCAAACCUUCAGCUCUUAAACACUCCAAAACUCACUGAUUAAAUUCACAGAAGGGUGAGAAAGGGUCGUCCAUGCUCACUUCUCUUCUCUGAUUUUUUUUCUGAAUUUUUGCAUGAGUUUUUCUCACAGAUUUUUCUCUUUUCUUUCUCUCUUUCUCUCUGAAAUUUUCUCUGGUUUUUUCUUGUGCAACAGGACGUCCAGAAGAGAGAAGAAGGUAUUUUAUAGCAUGAGGGGUUGCUUCAGCUGAGGGUUUACUUAAACCAAAGCAAGUUGCUGUCCUUUCCCUCCUUGGAAGAAACAUUAUUUUGUUUUUAUUAAACAAGCAACCAGCUUGUGACUUUCAUGUGACUUUAGUGAAGCAAGCAAGCAGGUAGGUGCAGCUCAUGUGACUGAUUUACUGAAAAAGCAAGCAGAAUAGCUGGUGAGGGUAUUAGACUGGUCGGAAUUUAGUUAAGAAACAUAACGACAAUUUCGGACAGUUUUCGACUAAAAUUUCUCAUCCUUCGAAUCUCGUCUUGCUUUCAACUAAGCUUGCUAUGGGAACCGAAAUUCGCACUGUCGAUUUCCGUUUAAAUAAGGAAACUAGGAAAACCCUAACUUCCCAGAGGACCCGGAUAUCUGUUAAUUACCACACGUCAAGCAAUCAGAACACGAGAAUAACAACGGUAAAAAUAAGAAAUCGAAAAGAGAGCAAAGUAGAUCUUAUUCCGAAUCUGCGUAUGAGCGUUACAACAAGGUAUAAGCCUGGGCUCGAGAGCUGUCGGCGAGAUUCCUAGUUCUAGCAACCCUAAGACGGCUAAACCUAAUUGAGUCGCAGCUCGAAAUAACAAAAACGGAAAGUUGCCUAAAUCGCUCUAAGUGCAAAGUUGCUCUGAAAAAGUUCUCUCUCUCUGCUCCUCGCCUAGGACUCCUUAUAUACUAGCUCCAAGGUCGGUUUACGUUUUUACUCUUCUGCCCUUAAGCCGUCAUAGCAAAAAAUGGAGAUAUUCCAUUUUUCCCGAUCUUCACAAUUAUCUUCAAAACUUCUGUAUUUAUCCGCGGAAACUUGACAUUUAUCCUUCCUCGUGGGCCAAGCGUGAACCAUGCUGUGGUUCACGGGCUUUUGAUUAGGAAAAAUCGUAGGAUGGGCCUCGAGUCGUGUUUUAGGUCCUUUUGGGCCGUCUUCCGACUCGACACGUUUACUACGAGUUUUCCGCGGUUUCUAAUCGAAGUUUUGAUCGAUGGAUUAGAAUAGCGGGAAACAUGGACUGAGCUUGCCACGGUCUUCGGGAGAUAGCAUUCGAAGGUUUGACGAGAAUGCAAGGACUGGUGUCGUAUCGCUGUUCGGAAAGGUUCAAUCGCUACACCGCGACCGAUCUUUGGCUCGAGCCCGGUCGCUACGUAGCGACCGAGCGGGACGAUCGCUCGGUCGCUACGUAGCGACCGAGCUUUGGCUCGAGCUCGGUCGCUACGUAGCGACCGAGCGGGACGAUCGCUCGGUCGCUACGUAGCGACCGAGCUUUGGCUCGAGCUCGGUCGCUACGUAGCGACCGAGCGGGACGAUCGCUCGGUCGCUACGUAGCGACCGAGCUUGGCUCGAGCUCGGUCGCUACGUAGCGACCGAGCGGGACGAUCGCUCGGUCGCUACGUAGCGACCGAGCGGGACGAUCGCUCGGUCGCUACGUAGCGACCGAGCGUGGCGGACGUUUGUCGCUGCGUAACGACCUGUUUCGAGCUUUCCUCGGAUAUCUCGGUUCUUUCUUUCGCGAAGCUUUUUCGUAAGGAAGAAUCUUUCUCCGAAAAGUACUCUUCGGAGAAACUCUUAUUUUCUUAUUCAGACGUUUUGAAUGUUAAAUUUGUCAUAACCGUUUUUGACCCCAACAGUUAGCCCCCCAGCCCGUUAGAGUUGUGACUCUAGCGGGCGGAUAGAUGACUUUUACAAGGUUGAGUGUAUUGGACGAAAUUUACAUUUAAAACUCCGCGAAAUAAAAGUUGUCGAGGCGACGUUCCGAACCCAUACUUCUAUAUGUAAUGAGCUCUUGUCAUUCAUUCUCUUCACACCUUUCCUUCUUCAUUUCUUCAAAAACCUCUCUAGCUUCAUAACUUUCCUUUCAACAUGUCUUCCUCCCAAGGUGAUAAGAAGGAUUCCGACGUCGAGAUGGGUGAGGCCACUUCUCCGGCUCCAGUUCCAACUUCUCCGGCGGAAGUGCCGGCUUGUGUUGCCGGUCAUCUUUCUUUCCGAGAGAAACUAGUUCGUCGUCAAGCCGAGAAAGGAUUGGCUCAGACUGGCUCCGAGUUUCCGUCUUCCUCCGAGCAGGUCGUUGCCCCGUGUCAUGGGACUGACGUCGCGGCUCCCCUCCCGCAAGUCCUACCUGCGGGAUCUUCCACGACUCCGAUCCUCGUCGAGGACAAAGAAAAGGCAGCUGACUCUAUGCCUCCGCCUCCGGCCAGAAAAGAAAUCGUUCUGGCGUUGCGUGCUCCUAGCGCUGUCCAGGUUACUCAGCCUAAGAGUCGGAAGAGGAAACUGGCCAAGAGCGGUGACGGGGAGACUUCGCAGCGAGGUGGGUCGAGCCUAGCAUCGGGACUUCGUGGAAAGGUUUGUUUCUUGUUUGAAUUCUCGAUCGUCUUUCGUGCAUUCUCUUUACGGACUUAAUCUUAGGAAUUUUUACCGUUCGCAGUUCAUAUCGUUGAUCGAUGGGAUGAUCAGCGAAUGCGGCUCUGAGACCAGUCGUCUUUCCGGGGAGUUGGUGGAGCUUCAGGGGAGAUGGUCCGAAACCGAGGCUAUGUUGACGGCUGUCGAGGAUUCUCACUCUGCGAAAGUGUCGAAGCUCGAGGUUGCGAUAGGAGAGCUUGAGAGGGACCUCGGGAAGACGGCGAGUUCUUUACUUAAGGAAAAGAAGGCCAGGAAGGCCAAAUCCUCGGAAGUGCGUCGACUCCAGCGUCAAAUCGAGAGCGACGCUGGACUAGCGCGCCGCGGGAUCCAAGAGGCUACGGAUGCCCUUCGCGCGGAGUUUCAGGUCGCUUGGCGAAGAUUUCCGCUUCCCUGGAUUCCCUCGAGUGUAUCCGGAGCAGGGAUUUCGCUUUGGCGACGAUUGAGGGCGGGAUGGCCGUAGUUCGGUCGUUCCAAAGUGAGACUCCCCCGACCUUGGAGGCCGAAGAGGCCCGACUGUCCGGCUGUAAGGGAGAUAUGGCGGCCGAGGAUGGCGAUUUCGGUCUCAUCCUGGCCGACCUAAAAUCCGCUUGCUUCCUUCCGACGUGUUCAGAAGACCCAGAGGGGAAAGAUCCGAUGGUCGGAGAGAAUGGAAGUGACGCGGCUCCAGGCUCGGACGAGGCGGCGGGUGAAGAGGGGGCGUAAGUUCUGAGGGUGAUUUGGGUUAAAUCUCUUGCGAGAGAUUUGUUUUUUUUUUUUUAUGUCUUUAUGUUUUGGCCUUGAAUGGCCUUGUUUGUAUUUCGGGACUGGCCGUGUGUGGCUUUGAAUCCCUGCCGCUCUGCGGCUUUAUAAUAUGAUAAUCGGAUAACGCUUUUUAUGAAUUUGUGAAUAGUGAGGAGGAAGGUGAUGAGUUGUCGUCUCAUAUCCUUCUUCGAUUGUGAAAUGUUUUAUUCGAGACCUGUUUCGAGAGUUCUUCCGCGAGAUGUGAACUCCGCGGGGUGCUGAAGGUAUCGAACGUAACAUAGAGGCGUGGUUUAAGAAUCUCUUAUCUUUCGAUAUCAUGCCUUUGAGAUGUUAGAGACCAGUGCGCUGGGUUUAGGGCAAGACCUAGGUUUACUUUCGGUUUAAGGAUUGUGCGGCGACUAACCGGCUAUCGUUUUUCCUGUCGCGAUUUCUUCCUGAUUCGUAUCGAUGUAAAGUCCGCGAAAAGUUCUCGGCUUAUACGACUUGUUUGAUACGAAUCGAGCAUCUCUCCGGAGACCGGAAGUGCUGGACCAAAAUUUCGGAUUUCUUUUAUAGCGCUAUUAUCCUUGUGUCGGAUGUAAGAGAGUCAUCUUCAUGAGAUGGCUAUGUCUGUUUAGGACGUUUGUGAGUUCGAUGUGAUCAGCAUCGGACUUGGUGGCGUGUGCCGUUGUUUUGAUUAAUUUGCGCAAAAUAAAUGUUAAUGUGUGCAUAUAUGUGUCUUUUUGUGGAGAUUUCGUUUGCUCGGAAGAAACCAUCUUUGAGGCAUCUUUUGCGACGUCUCGCGAUGCUAAAGGUUUGAUUCUCCCAAGCGGCCGAAUAAUCUCCGAAGACCUCGUGUGGUUUCACGGGUGAGGAUGUUUUGAUAAGUCGAAAACACCAAGAGUGCGGUAAGAAGUUUUUCGAUUUUUUUGGGAGUAUACGAGUAUACGUACCCACUCCCCCCUUUUUUAAUGAGGGGGGACAGCUGAAUUUGCCUUUCGGCAAACUGCCUACGUACUCCUUGCGGAGAUCAAGCCGUCUCGUAGUUCAGUGAUUGCGAGUUGGUUCGUUUAGUGAUAGUAUUUUUUGAGAUGCAUCGCAUUCCAGGUUCUAGGGAUUUUUACGCCCUGCAUGUUGGCUAUUUCGUAGGAACCUGGUCGGACGACUUUUUCGAUUUUAUAGGGACCUUCCCAGUUUGCUCCGAGUUUUCCCGCGUUUCGUUCAGCGGUGUUUUGGAAAACUUUGCGAAGGACCAGAUCUCCCUGAUUGAACCUACGAUUCCGUACGUUGGAAUUAUAGUAUCUUGCAGCGGCGUGCUGGUAGUUUUGAAUUCGGAUGAGCGCUCGAUCCCGGCGUUCGUUAAUGAGGUCGAGAUCGUCCAAGAGCAUAGCAUUGUUGAGUUCCUCUCGUUCGGGUAAGAACCUUCUUCGAACACCGGGAAAUUCUACUUCUGCGGGAAUCAUGCACUCCGUCCCGUAUACCAAGGCGAAGGGAGUUUCUCCCGUUGCUCGCCUUGGGGUGGUACGGUGAGACCAGAGGACUCCCUCGAGUUCGUCGGCCCAUCUUCCUUUUUUGGCCUCCAAGCGUUUCUUCAGUCCGUCGAGAAUGGUCUUGUUGAUUGUUUCAGCCUGUCCGUUGCACUGCGGAUAUCUGGGAGUUGACUUGUUGAGUCGUAUCUUCCACUUUUCGCAGAAUGCCUCGAAUCGGGUGGAAAUGAAUUGAGACCCGUUAUCGGUUACGAUUUCGUAAGGAACUCCAUGCCUACAGAUGAUGUUUCUCCAUACGAAAUUCUCGACUUGGACGUCUUUUAUACUCGCGUACGAGUCGGCCUCUACCCAUUUUGAGAAGAAAUCGGUAAGCACUAGAAGGAAACCGCUUUUGCUUUGAAUUAUGCAGAGGUCCGACAAUAUCCAUGGCCCAGCGCAUAAAGGGAUAGGGCGAUGUGAUGGAGGAAAGAACUUCGGCCGGUUGUCGGAUAGUUGGCGCAUGCCUUUGGCAUUUUUCGCAUUUUCGUGCGAAUUUCUCGCAAUCUCCGAUCAUUGUUGGCCAAUAGUAUCCAUGGCGUUUGAUUUUCACGGCUAGUGAUCUUCCGCCGGAAUGGUUGCCGCAUGAGCCGGAAUGUAUUUCCUCCAUCACUUUCCUCGCCUUUUCUCCUUCCAGGCACGUCAAGAGUGGUCCGGAGAAUCUCCACUUGUAGAUUUCGCCGUCCACUGUUACGUAGCGUGCGGCUUGUGUUCGGAUCUUGCGAGCUGACCAUUUUUCGGCGGGCAGUUGCCCGUCGAUAAUGUAGUCUCGAAUCGUCUGAAGCCAUGGGGUAUCACAACCGUAAUCGGAUUGCUCCGAUGGUGGUGGUAUCGUAAUCUCUUCUUCCUCGUCGUCUUGACCUUCUAUGAGAUUGACAACGACUGGCGGUCCGAUACUCGGAUGUUCGAUGAAUUCGACCGGAAUUACCCUUUUGAGUCCUGGAUCGGAACUUGAUGCUAAGGCCGCGAGGGCGUCCGCCUGGACAUUCUCGGAACGGGGGAUCCGGGUAAGGGCGAAACAGUCGAAGUCUUGAGCUAGACCUUGGACCAGUUUGAGGUACGCGUCCAUCCGUUCGUCUCUGGCUUCAUAUUCUCCGCUGAAUUGACUGGCCACUAACUGGGAGUCGCAGUAAGCAUGGAGAUUACGUAUUUUUAAGCCGUGAGCCAAACGUAGACCUGCGAUCAAUGCUUCGUAUUCGGCCUCGUUGUUUGAGGCAUGGAAUUCCAGUCUGAACGAUUGUUCCAGGAUCUCGCUCGUUGGAGAUGUGAGACGGAUCCCGAUACCCGAUCCUUGCUUGGAUGAGGAUCCGUCGACGUGGAGGAGCCAGGUGGAAUUUGGUUCUUCGUUGGUUAUUGCUCCCGCUGGAAGUUCGACCAAAAAGUCUGCGAGCACUUGUGACUUUGCGCUCGUCCUUGGUCGGUAUUCGAUAUCAUACUCGCUCAACUCGACCGCCCACUUGGCCAAUCGGCCUGAUUGACUUGGGCUAUGCAAAAUUGUCCGUAAGGGAAAAGUCGUUAGGAUAACAAUCGUGUGGGAUUGGAAAUAUGGUCGUAGUUUUCGGGCCGAUGUUACGACCGCGCAUGCCAAUUUUUCCAUCAACGGAUACCUAGAUUCGGCAUCGAGCAAGGUUUUGCUUAUGUAAAAAAUAGGUCUCUGUUCCCCGCGUUCUUCCCUGAUCAGGACUCCGCUUACGGCUGUUGCCGAUACCGCGAUGUAUAAGAAUAAAGGCUCCCCUUCCACGGGUUUUGCGAGGACUGGAGGAGUAGCUAAAUAACGCUUCAGCUGUUGGAAGGCGUUUUCGCACUCUUCCGUCCAUUCGAACUUUUUAUUCCCUCGCAGGACGUCGUAGAAGGGCAGGCACUUAUCUGUUGAUCGUGAAAUAAAUCGGUUAAGUGCUGCGAUUCUGCCGGUCAGUCUUUGGACUUCCCGUUUAUUCUUCGGCGAAGCCAUCUCGAUUAGAGCGUUGAUCUGUUUUGGAUUUGCUUCGAUACCGCGGUUGGUCACCAAGUAGCCGAGGAAUUCUCCUGAUGCCACGGCGAAUCUACAUUUCGUCGGGUUGAGCUUCAUGUUAUGGGAGUUUAGUUGUGCAAAGCAUUCUUCGAGAUGUGACACGUGAUCUCUUGCUUUGAGGGAUUUGACAAGCAUGUCGUCAAUAUAAACUUCCAUCGUUUUUCCGAGUUGUUUGGAGAACAUUCGGUUCACGAGUCGUUGGUAAGUUGCUCCAGCGUUUUUGAGGCCGAAGGGCAUUACCUCAUAACAAUAGGUUCCGCGAUCGGUAAUGAACGCAGUCUUCUCACGAUCGUCGGGAUUCAUCCUAAUUUGAUUAUAACCUGAGAAAGCAUCCAUGAAGGAUAAGAGUUCGUUGCCCGCCGUUGCUUCUACCAAUCGAUCGAUAUGUGGUAGAGGGAAGCUAUCCUUUGGACAUGCCUUGUUUAGGUCGGUAAAAUCUACGCAAACUCGCCAUUUCCCGUUUUUCUUUUUGACUACUACGGGGUUGGCGAGCCAGUCCGGGUAUCUUACCUCUGUUAUCGACCCAACUUUAAGCAGUUUUUCGACCUCAUCGUUUACCGCGGUAGCACGUUCGGGUCCCAGCUUCCGUCUUUUCUGUUUGACGGGUUUGAAUGUUGGAUCGAUAUUCAGCUCGUGACAUGUUAUGUUAAUGUCAAUCCCUGGCAUGUCUUCCGCAGCCCAUGCGAAAGUGUUAAGGUUCUUUUUAAGACAGGUUAUGAGUUCUGUCUUUAGUGGCUCGUGGAGAUUGGCUCCAAUCUCGACGCAGCGUUCUGGGAAGGCUUCGUCGAGACAGAUUGUUACCACGGGUUCACAAGUUGGCUCGCGUUUUUCGUCUAGAGCUGCGAAGAUACGAGAUUGCCAGAAGAAUUCCGCUGAAUCCUGACUUCGCGUAUCUUUGCUGGAGGUCUUUUUCUCCGCUCUCUUAGGAGCAAUUUCGUGGAUCGGUCUCUUUCGUUUUAGUUCCGCGGCGAAACAGACCUGUGAAACUCUUGGAUUUCCCCAGAUUACCUCGACUCCGUUGGGGGUCGGGAACUUGAGGCAAAGAUGGUAGGUUGAUGGGAUUGCGCGCAUGGUGUUCAGCCAUGGUGUUCCCAUGAUAACGUUGUAAGACGCGGGGCGGUCAACGACUAGAAACUCUGUGAUGUUUGUCACGGUUCCGGCUUUGACAGCGAGUCUAAUCGAUCCAUAGGCCAUGGUCGUUUCCCCCGAAAGCCCUAGCAGUGGGCUUGGGCAUUUUGCGAUCUCGGAUUGACUGAUCCCCAUCUUUUCAAGAGUGUCUUUGAAGAUGAUAUCGGCCGAGCUUCCGGUAUCGAUUAGUACUCUAGCGACGUCGAUAUCUCGAAUUGUCAACUCGAUAACAAGGAGAUCGUUCCGAGGUUUGGCUCGAUCGACCGUUUCUCCCCCCUUGAACGAGAUGACAUUCGCGCACGUCGAAUCCCGCAUGUCGUUCCUGAUCGUUGAGUGGUUUUUGCGGGUUAGAUUGAUCCGUAAGUCCCCCUCCUUCUAGCGCCAAACUGUGGGAACCGAAAUUCGCACUGUCGAUUUCCGUUUAAAUAAGGAAACUAGGAAAACCCUAGUUUCCCAGAGGACCCGGAUAUCUGUUAAUUACCACACGUCAAGCAAUCAGAACACGAGAAUAACAACGAUAAAAAUAAGAAAUCGAAAAGAGAGCAAAGUAGAUCUUAUUCCGAAUCUGCGUAUGAGCGUUACAACAAGGUAUAAGCCUGGGCUCGAGAGCUGUCGGCGAGAUUCCUAGUUCUAGCAACCCUAAGACGGCUAAACCUAAUUGAGUCGCAGCUCGAAAUAACAAAAACGGAAAGUUGCCUAAAUCGCUCUAAGUGCUAAGUUUGCUCUGAAAAAGUUCUCUCUCUCUGCUCCUCGCCUAGGACUCCUUAUAUACUAGCUCCAAGGUCGGUUUACGUUUUUACUCUUCUGCCCUUAAGCCGUCAUAGCAAAAAAUGGAGAUAUUCCAUUUUUCCCGAUCUUCACAAUUAUCUUCAAAACUUCCGUAUUUAUCCGCGGAAACUUGACAUUUAUCCUUCCUCGUGGGCCAAGCGUGAACCAUGCUGUGGUUCACGGGCUUUUGAUUAGGAAAAAUCGUAGGAUGGGCCUCGAGUCGUGUUUUAGGUCCCUUUGGGCCGUCUUCCGACUCGACACGUUUACUACGAGUUUUCCGCGGUUUCUAAUCGAAGUUUUGAUCGAUGGAUUAGAAUAGCGGGAAACAUGGACUGAGCUUGCCACGGUCUUCGGGAGAUAGCAUUCGAAGGUUUGACGAGAAUGCAAGGACUGGUGUCGUAUCGCUGUUCGGAAAGGUUCAAUCGCUACACCGCGACCGAUCUUUGGCUCGAGCCCGGUCGCUACGUAGCGACCGAGCGGGACGAUCGCUCGGUCGCUACGUAGCGACCGAGCUUUGGCUCGAGCUCGGUCGCUACGUAGCGACCGAGCGGGACGAGCUCGGUCGCUACGUAGCGACCGAGCGGGACGAUCGCUCGGUCGCUACGUAGCGACCGAGCUUUGGCUCGAGCUCGGUCGCUACGUAGCGACCGAGCUUGGCUCGAGCUCGGUCGCUACGUAGCGACCGAGCUUGGCUCGAGCUCGGUCGCUACGUAGCGACCGAGCGGGACGAUCGCUCGGUCGCUGCGUAGCGACCGAGCGUGGCGGACGUUUGGUCGCUGCGUAACGACCUGUUUCGAGCUUUCCUCGGAUAUCUCGGUUCUUUCUUUCGCGAAGCUUUUUCGUAAGGAAGAAUCUUUCUCCGAAAAGUACUCUUCGGAGAAACUCUUAUUUUCUUAUUCGGACGUUUUGAAUGUUAAAUUUGUCGUAACCGUUUUUGACCCCAACACUUGCCUAGCUUAAAUUAUAUUCGACCAACAUUAUUAACACUCUACCAGAACUAUCAAUGAGAGGCCUUUCGAACACAAGACAGUCCCGUCGAGGUAUUAAUUCACCGGGUCGACUUUAUUUUUAAAUCUGAUCGACCAACUCCAAACUGGUCGAGCAGAGUUUUUCUUGACCAAAAAUUAACUGCCUCGUGAGGGUUAUUACAAGACUGAACCAAGUGCGUCCUAUGUCUUCAGAAAGGUGAAGGAUCCUUGCCUUAGUUAAAUUUGGCUGAUCAAAAGGGUCGAUCAGUCCAUCAGUACGGUCGCCGGUACGUGCAGUAUGGGCCAAUCGAGCCAAAAGAGAUAAGUCUCGCUCAUUUUGUGAAACCUCAUGAUCCAAGUCAAGUCUGGCAUGAUCUUUCUCAAGUCUGGGAUGAUCUUUCUCAAGUCUGGCAUGAUCUUUCUCAAGUCUGGCAUGAUCUUUCUCAAGUCUGGCAUGAUCUUUCUCAACUCUGGCAUGAUCCAAGUCAAGUUUGGCAUAGUGAAAAACAUGAACCUCGGUUGAAAUGUUCAGAACAUCCUUGAUAUACCUUGGAUUUGACCCGUUUUCAUCCAUGGUAUAUAGGUGUUUUACUAUAUAUAUAUAUCUAUGUUUUCUACUCUUCUAGGUAUGUUUUCAGGUUCAGGUGCAUUUCGGAGUAAAGCGAUGACUUUAUAGCAUUUUGGAGCUUAACGGACAUUUCACCCGAGCUGACCACGUAGAGGUCAACGAAGGGAAGAACAAUCGAUCGAUGUGCAUCCAGUGCUGUCGAUCGACACCAAGAGAUGCCUCGACAGAUGAAGAUUAAUAUCGAUCGAUGUACAGAAGUACCAUCGAUCGAUGUCGAGACAGAGGACGCGACAUUUUGAAUCCAGCGGACUUUAAAACCCAAGGCUAAGCAAAAUUACGAAAAUGCUCUGACGAGUUUUUAACCUAGUAGAUUAUAUACUGCCUAAGUGUUGUGACGGCAGGAGAGCUUUUUGUUACAGUUUCACUUUGAGAGAGAAUAUAGAGUUUGGGAGAGAAGAUCACUUGUGAUUGGGACUCCUUGUUUUCAUUUCUUUUCAUCUAUACUAUGAAUUUCCAUUUCUUCAUUGUUAUGAAUUGCUUUGCUAUGUUUGAGUAGUUCAUUUAUUAGAUCCAGGGUUCAGAAAGGUUUGUGGGAUUAGCCCCAAACUAUAGAUCUGCCCUGUUGUGAUAUUCAUGAUAGAUUUGUAUUCAUUGCUUGUUUUAGCCUUGCUAACUAGAACUUGAUCAUAGGAUUGCAUACUCAAGCACCCUUGUUAUCCCAUCCUGACAUCUAUCUAUCAUAUUAGGACUGCUGGAGAGGGCUAACCGCCAAUUUAGUAUCUUAAUAGGGCAUAUCAUACUCGCGCAUAGGCCUGGCUAGAACCCGUCGAUCGAUGUCCUCAACUGACUAUCGGUCGACAUAGGCAAAUAUGUAUUGGUCGACGUCCCAAUAGGACCAUCGAUCGACACUCUUUCGUUCUCGACAUACUAACCGUUGAGACACGAGAUCUAGCCUGUUAACCAGUGAAACAUGCGACAGCUGAUCACUGAGUUAAGCGGUUGAGCUCUAACAUAUCAUGCAUGCAGCAAAUAGGCAUCUAUAGGUAUUAUAAUCUCCAACACCUGAAUAGUGGCCCUGCAUCUAAUAUCAUUUCCAACCAAGUUACAUUUACUAUUUACUUCGCUUCUUACUAUUGCUAUUUCAUUUAAACAUUUACAACUAUUAGAAUUAAUAAACACUAGAUUUAAUUGUUCCCUAGCUCCUUGUAGAUUCGAUCCCUAAGUACUACAUCUGAACCUCUUUUGAUGAAAGUGAUACCACUGAAAUUACCCUAAGGAGUGUUACUCUCAUCAAAAGAGGUUCAGAUGUAGUACUUAGGGAUCGAAUCCACAAGGAGCUAGGGAACAAUUAAAUCUAGUGUUUAUUAAUUCUAAGAGUUGUAAAUGUUUAAAUGAAAUAUAGCAAUAGUAACAAGCGAAGUAAAUAGUAAAUGUAACUUGGUUGGAAAUGAUAUUAGAUGCAGGGCCACUAUUCAGGUAUUGGAGAUUAUAAUACCUAUAGAUGCCUAUUUGCUGCGUGCAUGAUAUGUUAGAGGUCAACCGCUUAACUCAGUCAUCAGCUGUCGCAUGUUUCACUGGUUAAUAGGCUAGAUCUUGUGUCUCAACGGUUAGUAUGUCGACAACGAAAGAGUGUCGAUCGAUGGUACUAUUGAGACGUCGACCGAUAUACCUUUGCCUACGUCGACCGAUAGUCAGUUGAGGACAUCGAUCGACGGGUUGUAGCCAGGCCUAUGCGCGAGUAUGAUAUGCCCUAUUAAGAUACUAAAUUAGCGGUUAGCCCUCUCUAGCAGUCCUAAUAUGAUAGAUAGAUGUCAGGAUGGGAUAACAAGGGUGCUUGAGUAUGCAAUCCUAUGAUCAAGUUCUAGUUAGCAAGGCUAAAACAAGCAAUUAAUACAAAUCUAUCAUGAAUAUCACAACAAGGCAGAUCUAUAGUUUGAGGCUAAUCCCACAAACCUAUCUGAACCUUAGAUCUAAUAAUUGAACUACUCAGACAUAGCAAAGCAAUUCAUAACAAUGAAGAAAUAGAAAUUCAUAGUAUAGAUGAAAAAAAAUGGAAACAAGGAGUUCCAAUCACAAGUGAUCUUCUCUCCAAAACUCUCUCUUCUCUCUCAAAGUAAAACUGUAACAAAAAGCUCUCUCUUGCCGUCAAAACACUUAGGCAGUAUAUAAUCUACUAGGUUAAAAACUCGUCAGGGCAUUUUUGUUAUUUGGCUUGGCCUUGGGUUUUAAGUCCGCUGGAUCCAAAAUGUCGCGUGUCUAAUGUCUCGACAUCGAUCGAUGGUACUUGUGUACAUUGAUAUACCUUGGAUUUGAGUCCAUGGUAUAUAAUUAUUUUACUAUAUAUAUAUCUAUGUUUUCUACUCUUCUAGGUAUGUUUUCAGGUUCAGGUGCAUUUUGGAGUAAAGCUAUGACUUUGGAGCAUUGGAGCAUAAAAGACAUUUCACCCGAGCUGGCCACUUAGAGGUCGACGAGAGGAAGAAUAAUCGAUCGAUGUGCAUCAGUGCUGACGAUCGAUAUCAGGAAAUGCCUCGACAGAUGAAGAUUAAUAUUGAUCGAUGUACACAAGUACCGUCGAUCGAUGUCGAGACACCAGACGCGACAUUUUGGAUUCAGCAGACUUAAAGACCAAGCCCAAGCCAAAUUACCAAAAUGCCCUGACGAGUUUUUAACCUAGUAGAAUAUAUACAGCCUAAGUGUUUGACGGCAGAGAGAGCUUUUUCAUUUCUAGACCUAGUUUUGUUACAAGUUUCAUUUGGAGAGAAGAUCACUUGUGAUUGGAACUCCUUGUUUCAUUUUCUUAUCAUAUAUUCUAUGAGUUUCUAUUUAUCUAUUGAUAUGAAUUGCUUUGCUAUGUCUGAGUAGUUCAACUGUUAGAUCCAGGGUUCAUAUAGGUUUGUGGGAUUAGCCCCAAACUAUAGAUCUGCCUUGUUGUGAUAUUCAAGAUAGAUUUGUAUUCAUUGCUUGUUUUAGCCUUGCUAACUAGAACUUGAUCAUAGGAUUGCAUAUUCAAGCACCCCUGUUAUCCCAUCCUGACAUCUAUCUAUCAUAUUAGGAUUGCUAGAGAGGGCUAACCGCCAAUUUAGAAUCUUAGUAGGGCAUUUCAUACUCGCGCAUAUGCCUGGCUAGAACCCGUCGAUCGAUGUCCUCAACUGACAAUCGAUCGAUGUUGGCAAAAGUGUAUCGGUCGACGUCUUAAUAGACUAUCGAUCGACACUCUCUUGUGUCUGCAUCUAACCGGUGAGACACAAGAUCUAGUCUGUUAACCAGUGGUACAUGCGACAGCUGAUCACUGAGUUAAGUGAAUGAGCUCUAAUAUAUCAUGCAUGCAACAGUUAGACAUCUAUAGGAAUUAUAAUCUCCAACACCUGAAUAGUGGCCCUGCAUCUAAUAUUAUUUCCAACCUAAGUUACAUUUAUCAUUUACUUGCUAGUUACUAUUGCUAUUUUAUUUAAAACAUUACAACCUUUAGAAUUAAUAAACACUAGAUUUAAUUGUUCCCUAGCUCCUUGUGGAUUCGAUCCCUAAGUACUACAUCUGAACCUCUUUUGAUGAGAGUAACACUCCUUAGGGUAGUUUGAGUGGUAUCAAAUUAGGCGCCGUUGCCGGUGAGCUUUGAUCACCAUUAGAUUUAGUUUUAUUAAUUCUUAUUCUUUUCUUUACCCCCUUUUCUAAUAAUCUUUCUUUUUCUUGUCUUUUCAGGUGCAUGCCCAGCGGUUCCAAAAGCAACAAGGAGAAAGACUUGCUGUUCUCAGACGAUCCUGCUCAUUUGGAACGCACCAUCCGUAGAGGUCAACGUUCCACACCGCUCGACGCAACCACUUCGUCGUCGAUCGAUACGCACAACCAACCGUCGACCGACACCAGACCGUCAUCGUCGAUCGAUCCCAAUCGUUCAACAACGAUCGAUACUACACCGCGUACGUCGAUCGAUACCGUGUCGUCAAAAAUGGUAAACAUUAUUAUUCUAACUCAGGAUGAGAACGGAAACCUGUAUGACCAGGCUGGUCAUCUGCGUAAUGCAACAGGUCAGAAAAUAGAUGCUCAGGGAACUGUAAUCCCUGAUGCUGAUGCUACAGGAGCUGCUCAACCUGUAGAUGAGGACCCUCGAUCGAAACCACUGGCCGACUACAAUCGCGCAGAUGAGUACUAUUCCAACAGAUCAGCGAUUCGACUUCCGGAGAUCAAGAAGCAGAAUUUCGAGCUGAAGCCUCAAUACUACACUCUCGUGUCGCAGAUACCCUACUCUGGGUUACCGCACGAGCAUCCUAUGGACCAUUUGGAACGGUUCAAGGAUAUAAUCGUUUCCAUUCGGAUGGAAGGAGUCCCCGAAGAUUACCUGCUGUGCAAGCUCUUCAGAUACACGCUGAAUGGAGAAGCGAUGCACUGGCUUAGUAUGUUGACACGAAAGAGUGUCGAUCGAUGGUCCUAUUGGAACAUCGACCGAUACACCUAUGCCUACGUCGACCGAUAGUCAGUUGAGGACAUCGAUCGACGGGUUCUAGCCAGGUCUAUGCGCGAGUAUUAAAUGCCCUACUAAGAUUCUAAAUUGGCGGUUAGCCCUCUCUAGCAAUCCUAAUAUGAUAGAUAGAUGUUUGGAUGGGAUAACAAGGGUGCUUGAAUAUGCAAUCCUAUGAUCAAGUUCUAGGUAGCAAGGCUAAAACAAGCAAUGAAUACAAAUCUAUCAUGAAUAUCACAACAAGGCAGAUCUAUAGUUUGGGGCUAAUCCCACAAACCUAUCUGAACCCUGGAUCUAACAGUUGAACUACUCAGACAUAGCAAAGCAAUUCAUAUCAAUAGAUAUAUAGAAACUCAUAGAAUAGAUGAAAAGAAAUAGAAACAAGGAGUUCCAAUCACAAGUGAUCUUCUCUUCCAAAUGAAACUUGUAACAAAACUAGGUCUAGAAAAAGCUCUGUUCUUCUGCCGUCAAAAACACUAGGCAGUAUAUAUUCUACUAGGUUAAAAACUCGUCAGGGCAUUUUGGUAAUUUGGCUUGGCCUUGGUUUUUAAGUCUGCUGAAUCCAAAAUGUCGCAUCUGGUGUCUCGACAUCGAUCGACGGUACUUCUGUACAUCGAUCGAUAUUAAUCUUCAUCUGUCGAGGCAUUUCCUGAUAUCGAUCAUCAGCACUGAUGCGCAUCGAUCGAUUAUUCUUUCUCUCGUCGACCUCUAAGUGGUCAGCUCGGGUGAAAUUUCCUUUAAGCUCCAAAAUGCUCCAAAGUCAUAGCUUUACUCCGAAAUGCACCUGAACCUGAAAACAUACCUAGAAGAGUAGAAAACAUAGAUAUAUAUAGUAAAAUACUUAUAUACCAUGGAUAAAAAUGAGUCAAAUCCAAGGUAUAUCAGUGGGAUUAGCCCCAAACUAUAGAUCUGCCUUGUUGUGAUAUUCAUGAUAGAUUUGUAUUCAUUGCUUGUUUUAGCCUUGCUAACUAGAACUUGAUCAUAGGAUUGCAUAUUCAAGCACCCUUGUUAUCCCAUCCUGACAUCUAUCUAUCAUAUUAGGAUUGCUAGAGAGGGCUAACCGCCAAUUUAGAAUCUUAGUAGGGCAUUUCAUACUCGCGCAUAGGCCUGGCUAGAACCCGUCGAUCGAUGUCAUCAACUGACAAUCGAUCGAUGUUGGCAAAGGUGUAUCGGUCGACGUCUUACUAGACCAUAGAUCGACACUCUCUCGUUUUCUGCAUACUAACUGUUGAGACACGAGAUCUAGUCUGUUAACCAGUGGUACAUGCGACAGCUGAUCACUGAGUUAAGCGAAUGAGCUCUAAUAUAUCAUGCAUGCAACAGUUAGGCAUCUAUAGGUAUUAUAAUUUCCAACACCUGAAUAGUGGCCCUGCAUCUAAUAUCAUUUCCAACCAAGUUACAUUUAUUAUUUACUCGCUUGUUACUGUUGCUAUUUCAUUUAGACAUUUACAACCUUUAAAAUUAAUAAACACUAGAUUUAACUGUUCCCUAGCUCUUUGUGGAUUCGAUCCCUAAGUACUACAUCUGAGCCUCUUUUGAUGAGAGUAACACUCCUUAGGGUAAUUUUAGUGGUAUCAGCUACAGAACAUCUCCAAAGUACUUGAGAAGAUGGAUGACAAAUGGACAAGAAAUGAUGUGGCCACAAGAAGUUUCAUUGCAUCUUGGUCCAGAAUGUGCAGAGAUGACGUGGAUGCUUGCUUUCCAACAAGCAGCUGUUUCUCCACACAAUAGCCAAUCACUACCACAGUCAAGCUAAAUGAUUAUAACCAAGCGAUGAGUGGGAGGCAACCCACUGGUGAUAUAAAACGGUCAUGCAUAUCCUCGUAAGUCCUCAGCCUCUCAUCCAUUGCUGAGACUUUGGCGUCGAGCGAUUUGAAGGUGCACAUGUCGAUCGAUGUGGCUGGAUGUUGGUCCUUCUUGCGAAUGGUGUCCAGAUCUUGCUGUAGUAGCUCGAUUUUAGUGCUUAGCCAGUCCACGUUGUUGUUGAGAGGGCAGUAAACAUCGUUUAUCCUCGUGUCGAUGUAUGAGACUUCCCAUUCAUCCCUGUGUUGUGUUGAACAUCGCGGUUCUGCAAGGAUCUUAGCUGUAGGAAGACUGACGUCGAUCGAUGUUGCACGUGGUGCGUCGAUCGAUGCUGAGGUCGUAGCUUCCUUCUCAAGUUGCUGACGUACACUUUCAAUUUUUGUCCUCAUUUCUGUCAUACAUCUGAAAAGCUCAUUGUAGCCUCUAUCCAAAGGCUGAUGUGUUUCAUCUACCAAUGUUUUGAGCUCCUCUCCCAGUUUCUCCUGAGCUCCACAAAUACCAAACACCAUUUCAUCGAUUUCUUCUUUGGUGUAGAGUUCUGGUGCCAGUCUUGUGAGUGUGAAGGAAGUGGCAUGUUCUGGAAGACAGAUGUGGCUCUCUUCAAAAAGAGAUGCUCUUUCCAGUAUUUUCCUGAUGUUGUCCUUUGUGACAGGUAUCAUCUCACCAGCUGCGCUUCGUGCGUGUCCACGCUCAUCUCUAUAGACUCCAUAUUCGUCCCUUUGUUCCCAAGUGAACUUUCUGGCUCCAUACAUGUCGAAAGCGCGGCUCCCAAAUUCAUAGCGUCUGUCGAUCGACGUCGGAUCAUCUAUAUCGAUCGACGUUGGUGUUACCCUGGCGAUCGAUGUCUCCGUUGUACCGUCGAUCGAUGCUUGCCCUUUUGGUUAGCGUGAUAGAUCUGUGUUGAUCUCUGUUGUGGCGACUCCUGCGUGGUUGUUAGGAUUUGUUAGAAUGACGUCUGGAGUGCCACGUUGCUGUGAGAACAGGUUGUCAGGUCCAUUGGCUACUUGAAGGAUGUCUGCUAUGUCCUCUCUGGACACUUGUAAAAUCCUUCCAUCCAUUGCACGUGCGUUGCCAUCUGGAUCCCUGAAAAUACCAAAUUCAUCAAGUGUUAGAAAACCGUAAUCAAUGUUUGCAUAAUUAUUCAUUUUAGAAAUAGAGAGAUUAGGGUUUAGAGUAGUAUCGAUCGAUGUAGAUACAGUUACAUCGAUCGUUGGCAGAGUAAUUUCUGCAGAACUUGUGUUCUUGAGAUGAUUGCUCUUCAUGGACUUUUCUGUUGAUGUAGAAGGAAGAGUGUUCAUCUUAUUUGCUUGUGUGUUUGCUCUUAUGUGUGUAGGUGGUUUCGGAGGUGCAAAACGAUUUAUAUAGGUAUUUGUAAACCUGGUUAGGGAGAGAAUAUUCUCCUGCUCCUGAAUUUUCGCUGCGGCGCGAAUAUCGAUCGUUUUUCCUUUCGGUGUGUUGAUCGAUGUGAGCGGUUGUUUUGCUGGACGAGGGUGGGUAUCGACCGAUGUGGAGUGCACAGCGUCGAACGAUAUUGGAAACGUGUUGGUGAACUUGUGUAUUUCAAGUCUUUCAUCCUGCAAAGACAUUUCUAUUGCACGUUCUUUCCAGUAAUCCUCAUCGUAUUCCUCGGUAUGUUCCUCAUGAGGUGAAGUAAUUACAGUGUCAACUGCCAGCAAAACUUUCAUGGAAACCACUGUCUACCCAACUGCCUAUGGAAUAAUCAUUAUGUCCUCUCCUGGUUGGAGGUUGGAAGGAAAAAUGUUGGUAACAAUGAUUAGGUGAAGCGAAAUGGUCAAGUGGGUGCAUUACGUCGAGUGACGUGUUGUUGUGGUCAUCGGUCACCAUUGACACAUUGGAAUCGAUCGAUGGAAAGGUUGGGGUGUUGAUCGAUUCCGAGUACUCUGUUUUGUACUCCGAUUCAUACUCUGCUCCACAAUGGCAUGCGCCAAUGAAGCCAAGUUCUUUCCCAUAAUCCACAAGAUUAAUUACCUUUCUCUUAGGUCGGAUGGGAUCGUAGUGGAUGUUUGGGUCUAUGAGCGUUAGACACAAUUUUUUUUUGUUCAUGUCACAUACAGCUCCUACUGUAGCUAGGAAAGAUCUUCCAAGCAGAAGUGAAGAGUUCCAAUUAAGCUCGAUGUCUAAGAUGAAAAUCUACAGGGACAAGGGCAUUACCAAUCAGUACCUCCAGAUCUCUUAUGAUGCCUCCGGAUCGUUUCUCUGAAAGAUCCACGAAGGUGAAGGAUUCUGUUGAGGGUUCGAUGGUCAAACCAAGCUGGUCUGCCAUAAUCCUAGGGAGGAUACUAACCGAUGCUCCUGUGUCACACAUUGAAUGGGGAAAUUCAACACCCUUGACUAUGCAUGGUAUUGUAAACUUCCCAGGAUCACUCUUCUUCGUCAAUGUGAUCCUGUGUUUCAUCUUUCCUCUAACUUGAUGAAACAUUCUCCUAAUGUCCUCCUCAGUUACCUUUGUUUCUCUGAAGAACAUCCACAAUUGGUGUGUGAAGUAAGCUUCAUCAAAAGGUUUUUCGAUUGGGAUUUUGAGGACUCGUUUAGUAAAACCAUCCAUCUCCUUAUCGUUAGCUUCCCUCUUUAGGUUUUUAGGAAUCUUCUCCUUUCUUUUCCUUAACCUUCUCCCUUCAGAUUCUUGUUCUUCUUGAACAGAUUCUGUUGAACUAGUUAAAGGGUUGGGUUUUGGUUCGGGUGGGUUUGCUAAUGGUUUAUGUGGUGGUCUGAGUGCAUUGAUGUAAUCAUUAUCGAUUGAGGGUAACCGCAUUUGGUAUGUCAGAGGUGCUUGUCGAUCGAUGGGAGGUGUGUUGUGACGAUCGACGUCGGACUCACUCUGUCGAUCGAUGGUUGAGUUAACCGAUUGAUCGAUUUUUUCAUAGAAAGGGGAGGGUGGGUGAGGAUGCUUAGCUGUGAAUUCUUCAUGAGUUAGAAUUCGAACCGCAUUGCAUUCAGUCGAAUUGGCAGACGACGUCGAUCGAAGACUGGAGUAAUCCGUCCAUCGAUCUUCAUCAUGGUCUGUCGAUCGAUGCGAGUUCAUCGACAUCGGUCGAAACCAUUGGGAUCCGCCGAGACUCAUGGAGCUUUCGAUUUCAAAAUCUCCUUCCUCAAGGUUUUCAUUUCUCACCACUUGCCAGAAUUCGUCAUCUAUGAUGGCAUUUACGUGGUGUUUCCCUUUGUCGGCUCCUGCCUCACUAGCGAAAGCUUCUUGCCUCUUAAUAGUCUCGCCCGUCUAAAUUACUUGGGUUUCAAGUUUUCUCACCUGAGUCCCUAAGGUCUCGAUUUUGGUGUUCAGAUUGUUGUAAGCAAAGUCUAUCUUACCGUUGAAAUCCACGGUGAUUUGUUGUUGUCCCAACAGUACUCGAUCAAGUAUUUCUUCGAUCUUGCUUUCGUGAGUCUGGGGUGGUGGAUUUUGAUAGUAAGAGUUCGAGUAGCUCUUGCUGUUGUUGAAGGGUUUUUAAAAUUGUGAACUUUGGUUACUUCUUUGGCCAUUUCCAAAGAAGUUUCUGUUUCCGUCCUGGUUUCCAAAUUUCUAGAAUCCGGUACCUCCGAUGUAGUUCACACCUUCUUCUCCUUCUGUAUCUGCUACUUCUCCUUCAGCUGAACAGACUUGCUUCCUAAGAAGCUCGUGCACCAUAUCUAACUUAGCUCUUACUUCGUCCAUCUGUUCCUUCCCGAUAGAGGCUACAAAAUUCUUCCGUUCAGAGUCAGUGUUUUUGGUGCUGCUGCUGUUAGCAAGGUUUUCGAUAAGUCUCACAGCUUCCAACGGAUUCCGAGUAGUAAAGUUUCCUUCACUCGCCGUAUCAAGAGCCAUUUGAUACUGUAAGGCGAGACUUCGAAAGAAAGUGCUUAGCAGCUGCACUUCAUUAAAUCCGUGGUGUGGACAGUCUCGCUGGAAAAACCUAAAUCUAAUCCACGCAUCUUUGAAGGACUCUCCAGCCUUCUGCGAGAAUGUGGAAAUUUUGUUCCGAAGUUCUUCAGCGCGUGCCUCAUCGAAGAAGUUUCGUAAGAAAGCAUUCUUGAUGUCUCUCCAGGAUGUUAAAGAUCCUGUUGGUUGCUGCCUAAGCCAAUGCAUCGCUUCUCCAUUCAGCGUGUAUCUGAAGAGCUUGCACAGCAGGUAAUCUUUGGGGACUCCUUCCAUCCGAAUGGCAGCGAUUAGAUCCUCGAACCGUUCCAAAUGGUCCAUAGGAUGCUCGUGCGGUAACCCAGAGUAGGGUAUCUGCGACACGAGAGUGUAGUAUUGAGGCUUCAGCUUGAAAUUCUGCUUCUGGAUCUCCGGAAGUCGAAUCGCUGAUCUGUUGGAAUAGUACUCAUCUGGGCGAUUGUAGUCGGCCAGUUGUUUCGAUCGAGCGUCCUCAUCUACAGGUUGAGCAGCUCAUGUAGCAUCAGCAUCAGGGAUUACAGUUCCCUGAGCAUCUAUUUCCUGACAUGUUGCAUUACGCAGAUGACCGGCCUGGUCAUACAGGUUUCCGUUCUCAUCCUGAGUUAGAAUAAUAAUGUUUACCAUUUUUGACGACACGGUAUCGAUCGACGUAUGCGGUGUAGUAUCGAUCGUUAUCAAACGAUUGGGAUCGAUCGACGAUAACGGUGUGGUGUUGGUCGACGGUUUGUUGUGUGUAUCGAUCGACGACAAAGUGGUUGCGUCGAGCGAUGUGGAACGUUGACCUCUACGGAUGGUGCGUUCCAAAUGAGCAGGAUCGUCUGAGAACAGCAAGUCUUUCUCCUUGUUGUUUCUGGUACCGCUGGGCAUGCACCUGAAAAGACAAGAAAAAGAAAGAUUGUUAGAAAAGGGCGUAAAGAAAAGAAUAAGAAUUAAUAAAACUAAAUCUAAUGGCGAUCAAAGCUCCCCGACAACGGUGCCAAAUUUGAUACCACUCAAAUUACCCUAAGGAGUGUUACUCUCAUCAAAAGAGGUUCAGAUGUAGUACUUAGGGAUCAAAUCCACAAGGAGCUAGGGAACAAUUAAAUCUAAUGCUUAUUAAUUCUAAAGGUUGUAAUGUUUUAAAUAAAAUAGCAAUAGUAACUAGCGAGUAAAUGAUAAAUGUAACUUAGGUUGGAAAUGAUAUUAGAUGCAGGGCUACUAUUCAGGUGUUGGAGAUUAUAAUUCCUCUAGAUGCCUAAAUGUUGCAUGCAUGAUAUAUUAGAGCUCAUUCGCUUAACUCAGUGAUCAGCUGUCGCAUGUACCACUGGUUAACAGACUAGAUCUUGUGUCUCACCGGUUAGAUGUAGACACAAGAGAGUGUCGAUCGAUAGUCUAUUAAGACGUCGACCGAUACACUUUUGCCAACAUCGAUCGAUUGUCAGUUGAGGACAUCGAUCGACGGGUUCUAGCCAGGCCUAUGCGCGAGUAUGAAAUGCUCUACUAAGAUUCUAAAUUGGCGGUUAGCACUCUCUAGCAAUCCUAUUAUGAUAGAUAGAUGUCAGGAUGGGAUAACAAGGGUGCUUGAAUAUGCAAUUCUAUGAUCAAGUUCUAGUUAGCUAGGCUAAAACAAGCAAUGAAUACAAAUCUAUCAUGAAUAUCACAACAAGGCAGAUCUAUAGUUUGGGGCUAAUCCCACAAACCUAUCUGAACCAUGGAUCUAACAAUUGAACUACUCAGACAUAGCAAAGCAAUUUAUAUCAAUAGAUAAAUAGACACUCAUAGAAUAGAUGAUAAGAAAAUGAAACAAGGAGUUACAAUCACAAGUGAUCUUUUCUCCAAAAAAAACUUGUAACAAAACUAGGUCUCGAAAAGAAAAGCUCUCUCUGCCGUCAAAACUUAGGCAGUAUAUAUUCUACUAUGUUAAAAACUCGUCAGGGCAUUUUGGUAAUUUGGCUUAGCCUUGGUCUUUAAGUCUGCUGAAUCCAAAAUGUCGCGUCUGGUGUCUCGACAUCGAUCGAUGGUACUUGUGUACAUCGAUCGAUAUUAAUCUUCAUCUGUCGAGGCAUUUCCUGAUAUCGAUCGCCAGCACUGAUGCGCAUCGAUCGAUUAUUCUUCCUCUCGUCGACCUCUAAGUGGUCAGCUCGGGUGAAAUGUCCUUUAUGCUCCAAAAUGCUCCAAAGUCAUAGCUUUACUCCGAAAUGCACCUGAACCUGAAAACAUACCUAGAAGAGUAGAAAACAUAGAUAUAUAUAUAUAGUAAUAUAAUAAUAUACCAUGGAUAAAAAUGGGUCAAAUCCAAGGUAUAUCAACAGGGCUGGGCGGAUGUGGGUGUUUUGCUGCGAAUUCCUCACAAGUCAUGAUCCUCACAGCUUUGCAAGAUGCGAUGUAUUCCGUAGGUGUUGUCGAGCGAUGUCCAGGAGAGGACGUCGAUCGAUUUUGGAUGACACAUGUCGAUCGAUGUUCGUGGCUUGGCGUCGAUCGACACCAAUGUGAUCCACGGAAACUCAUCAGACUUUCUACUUCGAAAUCUCCUUCUUGCAGCUUCUCUUCCUUCACCACUUGCCAUAAAUCAUCCCCAAGGAUGGCUUUCACGUGGUGUCUCAUAACAUCAUCUUCUAUCCUUUUUGUUAAGGUUCCUGCCUCUUAACAGCUUCUCCUGUCCGAACAACCUGCAUCUCUAGCUUCUUCACAUGAGUGCUCAAACUUUUUGUUGAGGAAAAAAAUUCCAUGAAGAGAUUACUCCAGGUUCCAGGUUCCUUCCCCCGGGUUCCAGGUUCCCGACUCCAGCUUCCAGGGUCCUGCCCCCUGCUCAGGGUCCCGCCUCCGGGUUCCGACUUCUGGCUUCCAAGUUGAAUGGUUUCUCCUGCCUUAGACACGAAGAGAUCCUCUUAAAUCCAAGAGAAAAAGGAAGUAUUCCAACAUAUAGGCCGUUCUUAAGAAAAUUGGAAAUAUUCUAUUAUCUAAGGAAACAUUGAAUAUUUCCAAACCCUAGGAGGGGGCACGACCUCCACUAUAAAUAUAGGUUUCUAAACCUAAGGAGGAAGGGGGGGGGGGAAGACGUCCAUAAACAGACCUCACAAGUUCUACAGCCGCCAAGGCAAUAUUCUAACCCUAGAAGACCUUUUCCUUCGACAUGCCUAUGAUAGGCUGAUCCCGAUGAUUGUUCCCGACAAGAUGAAGUCAUACAUGUGGGAGGGGGCCCAAACUAGCGCCAAACUGUGGGAACCAAAAUUCGCACUGUCGAUUUAUGUUUAAAUUAGGAAAGGGAGUACCCUAGUUUCCCAGAGGUCCCGAAUAUCUAUUAGAACCACAUGCCAAGCAAUUAGAACACGAAACGAAAACAAUAAUAAAACAAGAAAUCGUAAAAAGAGCAAAAAAUGUCUUAUUCCGAAUUCGCAUAUGAGCGUUACAACAAGGUAGAAGCCUAGGCUAUGAAAGCUGUCGGCGAGAUCCCUAGUUCUAACAACCUAAGACUGCAAAAUCUAGUUGAGUCGCAGCUCGAAAUAACAAAUACGAAAAGUUGCCUAAUUGUUCUAAGUGAUAAGUUUGCUGUGUAAAAGUUCUCUUUUCUGCCUCUCACCUAGGACUCCUUAUAUACUCGCUCCUAGGUCGGUUUACGCUUUUCCCGUUCUGCCCUUAAUCCGUCAUAGCUUAAAAAUGGAGAUAUUAUGUCUUUUCCAAUCUUCGUGAUUAUCUUCGGAUACUUCAGAUUUAUCCGCGGAAACUUGACAUUUAUCCUUUUCUUACGAACCAAGCAUAAACCAUCAUAUGGCUUAUGGGCUUUUGGUUAAGAAAUCAUAAGUGGGCUUCGAGCUGCGUUUUAGCCCUCAUUGGGCCGUCUUUGACUCGAGACGUUUAUUACGGUUUCUUCGAUAAAAACAAACUUCCUGCGGUUUUUAUCAUAAAGUUCGAUUGAUGACUCCGAGUGACGAAAAACAUGAAAUGGUUUUGCUACGGUUUUUGGGAGAUAGCAUUAAAGAGUAGACGAGAAUGCAUGGAUUCGUGUUGUGUCGAUGUUUUAAGAGAGCUCGGUCGCUACGUAGAGACCGAGCCGUGUACGUGCUCGGUCACUACGUAGCGACCGAGCUUGGCCCGAGCUUGGUUGCUACGUAGCUCUCUGCUUAAGGAGAAGAAGGCCAGGAAGGCCAAGUCUUCGGAGGUGUGUCGACUUCAACGUCAGAUCGAGAAUGACGUAGGAUCGACGACCGAAGGGAUCGAAGAGGCCAAGGAUGCGCUCCGAGCUGAGUUCCAGGCUCAUUUGGCGAAGAUCUCUGCCUUUAUAGGCUCCCUCGAGUGCAUCCGCAGUAGAGAUUUGGCCUUGGUGACUGUCGAGGGCGGGAUGGCUAUAGUUUGCGCACUCCAGAGGGAGACUCCUCCGUCCUUAGAGGCCGAAGAGACCAGGUUGUCCGAUUGUAAGGGAGAUUCGGCGGCCGUAGAUGGGGAUUUUGAUCUCGUCCUGGCUGACCUGAAAUCCGCGUGCUUCCUCCCGACGUGCUCAAAAGACCCAGAGGGGAAAGAUCCCAUGGUCGGGGAAAAUGGAGGCGACGCGGCCCCGAGCAUGGACGAGGUGAUGGGCGAAGAGGAGGCUUGAGUUCAGAAGAUGGCCAUGGUAACGAUCUCUCGUGAGAGAUUUUUUUUUUGUUUAUGUUUAUGUUUUGGCCUUGUAUCGCCUUGUUUUAUAUUUCGGGACUGGCCGUUUGUGGCUUUGAAUCCCUGCCGCUCUGCGGCUUUUGUAAUUUUUUUUUUAUGAAUGGAUAAUCAGUUUGCGUUUACGUGAGUAAGUGUAUGGAAGGCGGAUUAUGAGUUGUCGUCUCAUAUCUCUUUCCGAUGUGAAAUGCUUUUUUCGCGAUCUGUUUCGAGCGUUUUCCGCGAAAUCCUAAUUUUGCGGGAUAUCUGAAGACGUCAAAUGUAAGCAUCGAGGCAUGUUUUAGGAUCUCAUGUCUUCUUUUCGAUAUCAUGCCUUGAGAUGUUAAGACCAGUGCGAUGGGUUUAGGGUAAGACCUAGGUUUACUUUCGGUUUUAAGAUUUAUGCGGUGCUGGCCGGCUAUUGAUUUUCUUGCUGCGAUUUAACCUGACUCGUAACGAUUUAAAGUCCGCGAUAUGUUCUCGGCUUAUACGACUUGUCUGAUACAAAUCGAGCAUCUCUCCAGAGACGACUUUUAAGCCAACUGGAAGUGCUUGACCAAAAUUUCGGAUUUCUUUUGUAGCGAUAUUAUCCUUGUGUCGGAUGUACGAGGGUCAUCUUCGUGAGAUGCUGUUUCUGUUUAGGACGUUUAAGAGUUCGAUAUGAUCAGCAACGAACUUGUGGUAGAUAUUACCAUUUGGGUCUUCGCGAAGAAUAUGUGUUUUGCGGAGAUGUUAGUGCGUAUAUUAUUUUUCAAUAGUUUCGUUUUGUCGGAUGGGAAACAACUUCUUAGCAAUUUUUGCAAUGUCUCACAGCGCCGGAGGUAGAUUUGUCCCUAAUGACUGGUUUACUUGCGAGUUUUUUCAGGACUCGGAUAUAAUUUGUUGGAUGAAGAUGAUUUGCUCGGUUUUGAAGGGUAAAAGUUUCAGAAAUAUCGAGGGCGUGGUGGGAUAUUUUGAACUUUGGAGUAUGCGAGUAUACGUACCCACUCCCCCCCCCCCUUUUAGAUAGGGGGACAGCUGAAUUCGUCUUUCGACAAACUGCCUACGUACCCCUUAUGGAGAUCAAGCCGUCUCGUAGUUUGGUUGUUGCGAAGUGGUUUAUUUAGUGAUAGUAUUUUUUGAGAUGCAUUGCGUUCCAGGUUCUCGGGAUUUUUCCGCCAUGCAUGUUGGCUAUCUCGUAGGAGCCUGGUCGAACGACUUUUACGAUCUUGUAGGGUCCUUCCCAGUUCGUUCCAAGUUUUCCCGCGUUUUGUUCAGCGGUGUUUUGGAAUAAUUUGCGAAGAACCAACUCUCCUUCGUUGAAUCUGCGAUUCCGUACGUUGGAAUUAUAAUAUUUUGCGGCUGCGUGUUGGUAAUUCUACAUUCAGACGAGCGCUCGAUCCCGGCGCUCGUUAACGAGGUCAAGAUCGUCUAGAAGCAUAGCGUUAUUGGGCUCUUCUCAUUCGGGCAAUAAUCUCCUUCACACACCAGGGAACUCGACUUUUGCGGGAAUCAUGCAUUAUGUCCCGUAGACGAGGGCAAAAGGUGUUUCUCCUGUUGCUCGUCUUUGGGUUGUGGGAUGUGUCCAGAGGACUCCCUCGAGUUCGUCUACCCACCUGCAUUUUUUGGCGUCUAGACGGUUCUUAAGUCCGUCUAGAAGAGUCUUAUUGAUCGUCUCGGCUUGUCCAUUUUAUUGCGGGUAUCUGGGAGUCGACUUGUUUAGUCGUAUCUUCCAUUUUUCACAAAACGCUUCGAAUCGGGUGGAGAUGAACUGAGAUCCUUUAUCAGUUACGAUUUCGUAAGGAAUUCCAUGUCUACAAAUAAUGUUUUUCCAUACGAAAUUUUCAACUUGAACAUCUUUGAUACUUGCAUACGAGUCUGCCUCUACCCACUUUGCGAAGAAAUCUGUGAGGACUAAGAGGAAACGCUUUUGCUUUGAAUUGUGAAGGGGUCCGACGAUGUCCAUGGACCAGCACAUGAAAGGAUACGGCGACGUGAUGAAAAAAAAUAACUUCUGCUGGUUUUCGGAUGGUCGGUGUAAUAAUCCUCACGAGCCAAUAAAUUUUUGGUCAAGAAAAAUCCCACUCGACCAGUUUUUAGUUGGUUCGACCAUGAUUAAUAGAAAUAAAAAUCGACCCGGUAGAUUAAUUUCUCGACGGGACUGUCUUGUGGUUGAAAGACCUUCACUUGAUAGUUUGGUCGAGUCUUAAAUAUUUUGGUCGAAUUUUUAUUAAACUGGAAGAGAUUUUCCGAGAACAAGACGAGAGCCAAAGACAAGGAAUAUUUAGUUAAAAAUUAUUGGAAAUUAUCAACCAACUGCUACAAGUAAUUUUGGACCAGACUCAUGUCUUCCACCAGCCUGCUUGCUCAGUCUUUAAUCACAUGACUUGCACCUGCCUGCUUGCUUAGCUUCUUCAGUAAAUGGCACAUGACAAUCACAAGCUGCCUGUGUGCUUGCUUCCUCCUUUAAUUAUGAGAAAAAGACCAAAAUAGCACUAAAUCAAGUUUUUGUUCCCAAACUAGCACUCAAGGCCAAAAGUCACAAAAAUAGCACUCAAGGGGUGGGGUUUAGGGUUUAGAAUUUAGGGUUUAGGGUUUAGAGUUUAGGUUUUAGGGUUUAGAGUUGAAAAGUGAGGUUUUGGGGAUAAGAUUUCAAAUUUUGAAAAAUAAAAAAAUUUAAAUUUUUCAAAAAAUAAAAUGCUAUUUUGGUCAUUUUAGUUUUUGAGUGCUAUUUUUGUGAUAUAAACUUAGAAAUGUGCUAUUUUGGAGAUUUGCCCUUUAAUUAUUUAUGAUUGGCUGGAAACUACUUCAUGGGAGGGAAAGGACAGUAUGGUGUAGAUGAUGAAACAGGUUGCCAGCUGUCUGCUCUCAGCCAAGCUUUGUUAUGAGCUAAACCCUCAGGUGAAGCAACCACAGCUUGUAUUUAACCCUCCUCCAGCUGCUUCCCACGUUCAGAACCCUGCAGAAAAACCUAGAGAAUUUCAGUGAGAAAGAGAGAAAGAAGAACAGAAAACUCAGUGAGAAAAAUCAAGAAAAAAAUUGGUGGUGACCUAAUCUUCAACCUUAGCUCAGUUUGGUUCUUGAGAAAGAUCAGAAGGUGAGAUUUUUAAAUAAAACCCUAGACCUAGUUGAGUUCAGAUCAUGAUCAGACCUUGAUCUUUCUCUUUGAUCAGUCCAGCCACAAGCUUACCUUGGAGAAGAGGAUCAGCUGAGGCCAUCUAGUCCUUUGGUUUGUCUUGGUAAGCUUUGGUCUCCUAGCCUAAGUCAGUAUCUGAUCAGAACAGUUCAUGGCUACCUUAGAUCUGGGUCGGAUCAGUUGUUUAAGUUAUGAUACAGUUCAGUUCUUGCUUAGUUUCGGUUUGAAUCCAUCUCCUAAAACAGUUUGCUAAGGUGUUAGGGAUUGAUUGGAGUUAAACGAAACUAAACUCAGUCUGAUCUUGUCUUUUUUUUUUUUUUUGUCACUGAAUAUUUCAUUAGAAAAACUAAGAAGAAGAUUUGUGCUCAAAACGAUGGCCCAAAUCAAGAUGUCCGUUACAAAGAGAAAUAAGCUUGAAGAGCUUUUUUGCUAAAACAUCGGCAACUAAGUUGUCCGAUCUAGAAACAUGAUACAAAGAACAUGCUGCAAACCCAGAGGAGAUCGAUUGGAUGUCGUACACAAAACCAAUGAUUUCUUUAGACUGGAGAUCGCCGGAGAUAGCUCUGAUGAGCGUUAAACUAUCGGAGAGAACCUUGAGUGUGGAGAACUCCAAGGUUAGCGCCAUGCAAAGUGCUGAUCGAAUCACGAUGGCCUCUGCAAUAAAGGGUGAGCUGAUGAAGCUUUCUAAACACCGAAGUCCUAACUGACUUAAUUUUCCAUUGAGAAACACCAACGGUGGUUGAUAAGCUGAAUGUGAACAGCUCUGAAACUGGGCUAUGUGAACCCGUAAAAACAGAUGUGAAAGGCUCUCGAUAGCCAGAAUUUGGACCAGGCCCAUCAAAAUCAACACAAUAACCUCUUUGGUGACAAGCUUGGGUUUGACGGAGUACGGAAGACAUGAUAGAGACAACUUCAUCCUUCUAAAAACGCUGAGAAUGAUGAGGUAUGGUGACGGAGCAGAAGUUCUAAUCUGACCAAACCUUCGGACCUCGACAUUACCGUGACAAGACCAACGAGUUGUAAUCAAACUAAACCUGAGCAACCAGUCAUAUACCUCUUUCAAAAUGAAAAUAUGAGAGCGAGCGUUGUUAGAAAGGCGAAGAGUGCUGGUUAAGAGAUGAGGGUAUGGGCUCAAAACUUCAUCUUGAUUCAUGGGCCAGGCCCAAACUGAGAAGAAACCAGGGCUGACGUCAGCGCCUCCGGAUCUGAGAAGCUUGUUUGCCGCAGAAAGAGAGCUUGGAGAUAAGGUGGAUCUGAGAUGACGGUCGUCGGAAUGAAGUGUAGCGUUUGAACAAAGGCUCACAGCUGGUUCAAUGAUUCCACUUGCACCAAGCAGAGAAGCGGCUGUGACAAAAGUAACAGAAGAAGCGGCUGUGACGAGAGUAGCAGUAGAAGCGACAAGAGGAGGGUCCGGUGGGUCUGGUGGAACUGGCGGUUGAGGAGGCUGUCGCUGCUCUAGAGAUAUCAGAUCUGGAGGCUCUGGCUUACGAGGUAACAACGGAGGCUUGUACGUCCCUGAGCUGUGAGCAGGAGCGGAAAGGUUGAAGAAGCAGGAUCUCACCGGCAGCGGUAAGAUAGACGUCGUAAGAGCACUGCCGGGAGAGACGCCCGAUUUUCCAGCUUUUAAGAGCUUUUCAAUUCUCGGUGAUACGAUUCUCCGGUUCAACCCAGGCGGGUUCCCGAUAAUGAGAAGCAUGGCUUCUUAGAGUGAAGGUUGAACGGAGACCAACUUGCGCCGUGAAUCCAUGGAGGCUGGGAAGUGGCUCUGCAUCGGCUCCUUGGUUUGUGUGCCAGAGAGAAAAGUCUCCUCUCUCUUUCUAUCUCUAGUUUUUUCAAUGUCUGCAACUGUCUUUCAGUCUGAUCUUGUCUUGAACUGUUGUUAACUGAAUAGAACUGAACUGAUCUGAUCUGGUAUGAAAGGAACCGAGCUUGAACUGAUUUGAUUUAAGUUGUUUAGCUUGAACCGAACUGUCAGAUUGUUGAUGUUCUGAACCCAACCUUGCCCUGUUUUGAUCAGCUAAGGUGUGGAGCUUUGCUAGUCCCAUCCUAUCCAUUCAGUCUCUUGGUAAGCCACAAUCAAGUGAGUCAGAUGAGUUGUUGAGUUAACCAUAGUAACCGAUCAGAACCUUGUCCAUUCUCAGGUCCAUUCAGCCUUGUUCAAGUGGAACUCAAGUCUUGUCCAAGCCAGUUUCAAGACUAAUCUUUAGGUGAGUCUAGAUAGAUGUUGAGAUUGAUUGAGUUAGUAAAGUCUCUCAAGUUUAUAAGAAUGGUGUUAUGUUUACUUAUUGUAAACUAUACAUAAGAGUAAUCAAAAGGUUAGAGUGAGGUUAAUCAUAAUCAUAGUACUUGUUCUCAAGUACUAAUCUUAAUUAUGAAAUAAUCAUGGUUUUGAUUAUGGAUUAAUCUUGGUUAAUUAAGAAUUAAUCUUGGUUUAAUUGAGAAUUAAUCUGAGAUUAAUUAAAGAGUAAUCAUGAUUAAUUAAGUACUAAUCUUGGAUUAAUUAAAGAUUAAUAUGAGAUUAAUUAAGGAUUAAUCUAGGAUUAAUUAAGAGUUAAUUAUGAUUAAUUAAGGAUUAAUUAUGAAUUAAUUUUGGAAUAAUUAUGGAAGUAAAAUCAUGUGAAGUCUUGUUAUAUUCACUAUCCCUAAAGCCCCCGCAUUACCGUGACUUGGUCCUGCGAACGGAACAAGGUCAUGAAGACACGAUGAUGGGGUAGCUCCCUGGAGACCGUGUACUGCAUGACGAUGCAGUGUCGGAUUGUCCAUACCGGACAUUCGACAAUGAUGGUGAUGCUAACUCACUAGUCUCGGUUAGCCUUAGUGGUUUCUCGGGUCUAGUAUAUAUAUUGUAUUAUAUGAGUAUGGUAACGGGCGGGUGUUGUGGAAGUGAUGUUUAAAAUAAGAAUUCACAAUGAUGAUCGAUAUUAAAGUAUAGUACUAGUACUUGCAUGAUCAUGUAUAUGCAUUGAUAAUUGCUUGAUUGUUAUUGAUUGUGUUGUGAUUCUAGAUUCACUGAGUAAACUAGUUGCUCAUGACUCAUUUGUGUGUGCAGGUAAACCUUAGGCGGGAGACACUUAAAUCUUUUGGACGGAAGGAGCGGCCAACCAGCGGUAGUAUUUUGUUGUCCUUGCAACGUACGUUUUGAUGUAUAUUUACUUAAAACGUUGUUGGGCGAUAGGCCGUAGGGUAAACUAUAACAGUUUGUAAGAUGCUUAAAGUAAAUAAAUAAUGUAUAAAAGAUGUUUAUAAAUCACGAGUUCUCAUAUGAUAUUAGUCCUUGUCCGGGACGAACUAACUAUCGAAUAUUGCUUUAUCGGGUUAAAAACCUAGAGUAAUAUCCGAUAGGAGUGUCUGUGUUCUUUGGUUGUUGGUCUAAGGUGAUCGGAUUUAUUUCGAGAACCUCGGGUCGACCAUCAGGGAACAUCGACCGUGUCAUUUCCGGUUAUCUACGAUCGGGGGUGUCACAAAGGUGGUAUCUGAGCAUUGUUAUACGAUGCUAGAAUGGGACUUGUUUCAAAAAACUUUCGAGUCAAAAAUGUGUCGCAAGGAUAAUUAGGAUAUGCUGGUUUGUUCCUUCUUUUAGGAAUUGAUAGACCUGGGUAGAAACUUACCAUGAUCUUUUGUUGCAGAUGCCACCGAGACAGGCACAUCGUGGUGGACAUUAUCUACCGAUACCUAUUUCAUCAUCUUCAGACUCCUCGCCGCCAUCUACUCCGGCACCACUUCCGACUCCUAGCUUUGAGGCUACACCUUCAGGCUCUAGCUUUGAGACUGACCCGUCUGAAGGGUCAUAUGAUCAGACACCGGAGCAGAUUCCUUUGUCUCCAGACCCAUACUUUAUGGACAUCGAGGUGGAUGUGGUACACGAUAGUCCAGUGCAUGGAGAUCAUCCCACAGCUUCUGCAUCUCCUGCCGCUGAUAUUCCACCAGCUCCUGCCGCACCUAUUCCGGCAGCACAACCUCAACCAGCGCCAACCGAUCCAGCUAUGAUAGCACUUCUGGAACUGAUGGCUGAGAUGGUGAAUUUGCAAUAUCAAGCAUUGAAUGCACAGCGAGAAGCACAGGGUGCUCAGCCAGCUCCAGUAACUACCACUUCUCACCCGGACUUCCUGAAGAUAGUCAUGAUUAUGAAGAACUUGGGGACGAAGCAUUACCAGGGAGGCACUGAUCCCUUUGAAGCUGAUGCGUGGCUUCACAAUCUCGAGCAGAACUUUGCUGCAACCCGUUGUCCGGAAGAAUUUAAAAAGGAUGUGGCUGUUUACUAUUUAGAGAAGGACGCCAUCAGUUGGUGGUUAUGCGUAGAGAGGAACUUUGGAGACUUCAAUCUGACUUGGGCUGACUUCCGUACAGCGUUCGUUCGAAAGUACUUCCCACCGGAAGCCCGUGAUCGAUUGGAGAUUAAAUUCAUGGAGCUAGUUCAGGGAGGAUUAUCUGUUAGGAAGUAUGAGGCAGAGUUCACCCGUCUCAGGAAGUAUGUCCACUAUGGUCGAGAGGACGAGAUGAUGAUUAUCCGUAAGUUCCUUCGAGGACUUAACCCAUAUAUCAGGAGCAGACUUGAGGCAGUAGAGUUUCAUAGGCUUGCUGAUCUUGUUGAGCGGGCUGUAAACGUUGAGGAGGCCAUUGCUGCUGCGAGAGCUUCUUCUAGCAAUGCCACACAACCUAGACGUCCAUCUGUUCCAUUCCAGCCUCAGCCGCAUUCUGCUGUGCAGCGAGGACAGGGAGGUAGAGCUUUUCGGGGAGGUCGAUCUGGAGGUCCUAGACCUAGAACCCCAACUUGUUUCACUUGUGGCCAGCUGGGCCAUGUUAGGAGAGAUUGUCCGACCGUGGGACAGUUCCAACCGGCUGUACCAUCUCACAUCACUUGUUUCACGUGUGGAGAGCGAGGACAUUACGCGACAUCAUGUCCACACACUCAUCUUGCUCAGCCUGUUGUUACGAGUGCUCAACCCGUUGUACCAGUUAACCCACCUUUACCCUUACCUCCUGCUAAGCGUCAAGCCACUGCUGGUAGGGCUUAUGCUUUAGAGUUACCAGGAUCAUCCGGACCACCUCAGGGUCCGAUUUCAGGUUUGUUUUCUUACCCAAUUGAAUGUUGCAUAAUUUUUUUUAAUGAUUUGUGAAUUAGUGAUAUAAAAAAUAAUAAUAAUAAAGUGGUUGAGUAAGUAAUUGACGGUAAAGUCAAUUAUUGACAGGGACUUUGCUUGUGGGUGGAAUAUCCGCCCACAUCCUUUUCGAUUCAGGAGCAACACAUAGUUUUGUAGCUCCCGAAGUAGCAUCCCGAUUCGAUGGAGAAUUCACUAAGGUGAAUUUAUCCAUUCAUGUUCUAACUCCCGGAGAUCAAGUUCUUGAAACUGAAGGCUGUAUUCUAAAAGUUCCAAUCAUUAUCCAAGAUAUGAUUUUUCCGGCUGAUUUGUUAGUUCUCCCCUUAGAGAGGUAUGAGGUAAUCUUAGGGAUGGAUUGGCUGUCAAGUUACCGAGCUCACCUUGAUUGUGGUCGAGGGAAGAUUGUUUUUGAGAGAGAUACCCAACCCCCUUUAGCUUACCUUGGCAUAGUACCCAGUGUUGGAGCGUCACUAGUGUCAGCAUUGAGAAUUGAAAGCCUUUUGGAGAAGGGUGAAGAAGUAUACUUAGUGACCUUAGUUGUUGGACCAGUAGAAGACGAGAAAGAGCAGAACAUGGAAGAAAUACCAGUAGUCAGAGAAUAUGAGGACGUGUUUAAGGCAUUAGAGGGAUUGCUGCCGUCUAGGAGUAACCCCUUUAGUAUAACCUUAGAACCCGGAUCCGCUGCAAUAGCAAAGGCACCAUACCGAAUUGUCGCUAGAGUUGGAGAAGUAGCCUAUAGACUAGAACUUCCACCCGAUAUGCCUAUGCAUCCGGUAUUUCAUGUAUCGAUGCUAUGUAAGCAUAUACCAGAUCCAACUAUGGUCGAGCAGCAGCGACCAGAGGACUUGCAACCUAACCUCACCUAUCCUGAAGGUCCUUUGCGGAUAUGCGAGCGUCGUAUCAGGAAAUUGAAGAAUAGGGAAAUUUUGCAACUUGAAGUAUUGUGGGGAAAGCGACAGAGAGUUGUUAUAACAUGGUAGGAUGAAGAUAAGUCUGAGCUGAUUACCCAUAACUCUUCUCAGAUAACCCAAUCGUCCAGUAAAGGGUGUACACUUGUAUUUUGAGAAUUCGGGACGAAUUCUUUUAAGGGGGGAAGAGUGUAAUAACCCUCACGAGCCAAUAAAUUUUUGGUCAAGAAAAAUCCCACUCGACCAGUUUUUAGUUGGUUCGACCAUGAUUAAUAGAAAUAAAAAUCGACCCGGUAGAUUAAUUUCUCGACGGGACUGUCUUGUGGUUGAAAGACCUUCACUUGAUAGUUUGGUCGAGUCUUAAAUAUUUUGGUCGAAUUUUUAUUAAACUGGAAGAGAUUUUCCGAGAACAAGACGAGAGCCAAAGACAAGGAAUAUUUAGUUAAAAAUUAUUGGAAAUUAUCAACCAACAGCUACAAGUAAUUUUGGACCAGACUCAUGUCUUCCACCAGCCUGCUUGCUCAGUCUUUAAUCACAUGACUUGCACCUGCCUGCUUGCUUAGCUUCUUCAGUAAAUGGCACAUGACAAUCACAAGCUGCCUGUGUGCUUGCUUCCUCCUUUAAUUAUUUAUGAUUGGCUGGAAACUACUUCAUGGGAGGGAAAGGACAGUAUGGUGUAGAUGAUGAAACAGGUUGCCAGCUGUCUGCUCUCAGCCAAGCUUUGUUAUGAGCUAAACCCUCAGGUGAAACAACCACAGCUUGUAUUUAACCCUCCUCCAGCUGCUUCCCACGUUUAGAACCCUGCAGAAAAACCUAGAGAAUUUCAGUGAGAAAGAGAGAAAGAAGAACAGAAAACUCAGUGAGAAAAAUCAAGAAAAAAUUGGUGGUGACCUAAUCUUCAACCUUAGCUCAGUUUGGUUCUUGAGAAAGAUCAGAAGGUGAGAUUUUUAAAUAAAACCCUAGACCUAGUUGAGUUCAGAUCAUGAUCAGACCUUGAUCUUUCUCUUUGAUCAGUCCAGCCACAAGCUUACCUUGGAGAAGAGGAUCAGCUGAGGCCAUCUAGUCCUUUGGUUUGUCUUGGUAAGCUUUGGUCUCCUAGCCUAAGUCAGUAUCUGAUCACAACAGUUCAUGGCUACCUUAGAUCUGGGUCGGAUCAGUUGUUUAAGUUAUGAUACAGUUCAGUUCUUGCUUAGUUUCGGUUUGAAUCCAUCUCCUAAAACAGUUUGCUAAGGUGUUAGGGAUUGAUUGGAGUUAAACGAAACUAAACUCAGUCUGAUCUUGUCUUGAACUGUUGUUAACUGAAUAGAACUGAACUGAUCUGAUCUGGUAUGAAAGGAACCGAGCUUGAACUGAUUUGAUUUAAGUUGUUUAGCUUGAACCGAACUGUCAGAUUGUUGAUGUUCUGAACCCAACCUUGCCCUGUUUUGAUCAGCUAAGGUGUGGAGCUUUGCUAGUCCCAUCCUAUCCAUUCAGUCUCUUGGUAAGCCACAAUCAAGUGAGUCAGAUGAGUUGUUGAGUUAACCAUAGUAACCGAUCAGAACCUUGUCCAUUCUCAGGUCCAUUCAGCCUUGUUCAAGUGGAACUCAAGUCUUGUCCAAGCCAGUUUCAAGACUAAUCUUUAGGUGAGUCUAGAUAGAUGUUGAGAUUGAUUGAGUUAGUAAAGUCUCUCAAGUUUAUAAGAAUGGUGUUAUGUUUACUUAUUGUAAACUAUACAUAAGAGUAAUCAAAAGGUUAGAGUGAGGUUAAUCAUAAUCAUAGUACUUGUUCUCAAGUACUAAUCUUAAUUAUGAAAUAAUCAUGGUUUUGAUUAUGGAUUAAUCUUGGUUAAUUAAGAAUUAAUCUUGGUUUAAUUGAGAAUUAAUCUGAGAUUAAUUAAAGAGUAAUCAUGAUUAAUUAAGUACUAAUCUUGGAUUAAUUAAAGAUUAAUAUGAGAUUAAUUAAGGAUUAAUCUAGGAUUAAUUAAGAGUUAAUUAUGAUUAAUUAAGGAUUAAUUAUGAAUUAAUUUUGGAAUAAUUAUGGAAGUAAAAUCAUGUGAAGUCUUGUUAUAUUCACUAUCCCUAAAGCCCCCGCAUUACCGUGACUUGGUCCUGCGAACGGAACAAGGUCAUGAAGACACGAUGAUGGGGUAGCUCCCUGGAGACCGUGUACUGCAUGACGAUGCAGUGUCGGAUUGUCCAUACCGGACAUUCGACAAUGAUGGUGAUGCUAACUCACUAGUCUCGGUUAGCCUUAGUGGUUUCUCGGGUCUAGUAUAUAUAUUGUAUUAUAUGAGUAUGGUAACGGGCGGGUGUUGUGGAAGUGAUGUUUAAAAUAAGAAUUCACAAUGAUGAUCGAUAUUAAAGUAUAGUACUAGUACUUGCAUGAUCAUGUAUAUGCAUUGAUAAUUGCUUGAUUGUUAUUGAUUGUGUUGUGAUUCUAGAUUCACUGAGUAAACUAGUUGCUCAUGACUCAUUUGUGUGUGCAGGUAAACCUUAGGCGGGAGACACUUAAAUCUUUUGGAUGGAUGGAGCGGCCAACCAGCGGUAGUAUUUUGUUGUCCUUGCAACGUACGUUUUGAUGUAUAUUUACUUAAAACGUUGUUGGGCGAUAGGCCGUAGGGUAAACUAUAACAGUUUGUAAGAUGUUUAAAGUAAAUAAAUAAUGUAUAAAAGAUGUUUAUAAAUCACGAGUUCUCAUAUGAUAUUAGUCCUUGUCCGGGACGAACUAACUAUCGAAUAUUGCUUUAUCGGGUUGAAAAGCCUAGAGUAAUAUCCGAUAGGAGUGUCUGUGUUCUUUGGUUGUUGGUCUAAGGUGAUCGGAUUUAUUUCGAGAACCUCGGGUCGACCAUCAGGGAACAUCGACCGUGUCAUUUCCGGUUAUCUACGAUCUGGGGUGUCACAGUCGGAGCAUGCCUUUGGUAUUUUUUGCACCUUCGUGCGAAUUUCUCACAAUCCUCCGAUCAUCGUUGGCCAGUAGUAUCCGUGGCGUUUGAUUUUUACUGCUAGUGACCUUCCACCGGAAUGGUUUCCGCAGGACCCAGAAUGGACUUCUUCCAUGACGUUUCUCGCUUUUUGUCCUUCCAAACACGUCAUGAGUGGUCUGGAAAGUUUCCAUUUGUAAAUUUCACCGUCGACCGUUACGUAACGCGCGGCCUGCGUUCAGAUUUUACGGGCCGCCCAUUUUUUGGGAGGUAACUUUCCAUCGGUGAUGUAGGCUCGAAUCGUUUCCAGCCAUGGCGUAUUGUAGCCGUAGUUGGAUUGUUCUGAUUUCUCCUCCGGCUGUCCUGCGACCUCUUCUACAUCGUCGUCUUGAUCCCCGAUGAGGUUGAUGAUGAUUGGUGGUGCGAUACUCGGGUGUUCGAUGAAUUUGACCGGAAUCACUCUUUUAAGACCUGGGUCGGAACUCGAUGCCAGGGCUGCGAGAGCAUCGGCUUGGACGUUCUCAGAACGGGGGAUUCGCGUAAGAGCGAAACAGUCAAAUUCUUUGGCUAGAUUCUGGACCAGUUUGAGAUACGCAUCCAUUCUUUCGUCCCUCGCUUCGUAUUCUCCGCUAUAUUGACUUGCAACUAGCUGAGAAUCACAGUAGGCAUGGAUGUUACGUAUCCUCAAUCGGUGAGCUAAACGUAGCCCUGAAAUGAAUGCUUCGUACUCGGCCUCGUUGUUGGAUGCGUGAAAUUCCAAUCUGAAUGAUUGUUCUAAGAUUUCACUGGUUGGUGAAGUGAGGCGGAUUCCGAUGCCCAAUCCUUGCUUAGAUGAGGAUCCGUCGACGUGAAGAAACCAGGUUGAAUUUGGUUCCUUGUUGGUCAUGGUCCCCGUUGGUCACGGUCCCCGUUGGUCACGGUCCACGUUGGUCACGGUCCCUGUUGGUAGUUCGACUAAAAAAUCUGCGAGUACCUGGGAUUUCGCACUUGUACUCGGUCGAUAUUCGAUAUCGUACUCGGUCAACUUGACUGCCCAUUUGGCUAGUCGGCCCGACUGACUGGGCUGUGCAGAAUCGUCCGUAGGGAGAAAGUCGUGAAGAUGACGAUUGUGUGUGAUUGGAAAUAUGGUCUUAGCUUUCGCGCCGAAGUUACAACUGCGUAUGCUAGUUUUUCCAUCAACAGAUACCUUGACUCAGCAUCUGGCAAUGUGUUGCUUAUAUAAAAAAUAGGUUGAUGUUCGCCGCGCUCUUCCCUGAUUAGACACCGCUCACAGCCGUUGCUGAUACUGCGAUAUAUAAGAACAAGGGUUCUCUUUCGACAGGUUUUGCGAGAAUUGGAGGAGUGGCCAAGUAUCGUUUCAACUGUUGAAAAGCAUUUUCGCACUCUUCUGACCAUUCAAAUUUUUUAUUCCCCCGCAAGAUAUCGUAGAAAGGUAGGCACUUGUCUGUCGACCUGAGAUGAAUCGGUUAAGUGUUGCGACUCUACCGGUCAAUCUCUGGACUUCCCGUUUAUUCUUGGGCGAAUCCAUCUCGAUAAAUGCAUUGAUCUGUUUUGGAUUAGCUUCGAAACCACGGGAUUUGACUAGGUAUCCGAGGAAUUCUCCCAAUGGUACGGCGAAUCUGCAUUUUACCGGGUUGAGCUUCAUGUUAUGGGAAUUCAGUUGUGCGAAACAUUCCUCAAAUUGAGAUAAGUGAUCUCUUGCCUGGGUAGAGCUCGUGUGUUGUAUAGCAGAUAGGAGCAAUCCCGAUGGUGUGCAGCGUUUCGAACACAUCCUCGUCGAUGCCAAGAUCAGCCAAAGUCUCCGCGUGGCAGAAACGAGUGGGUAACAUGUCAACCCGGAGGAUGGCGUUGUAGCGCGCUGCUGUCCCCUUAUCCCACCCCUCGCAGUUGAAAUCCAAGAGCAAUGGGCUGUCGAGAUCAAUUGGUUCACCCUCUUGUUCCCGGGGCCAUGGGUAGGUCGCAGAGGUUUGUUGAUGUGCUUGCGGGGGUGGCGUGUUGCAUGUAGCUUUCUUUCGCUUGGCGGAUUGCUUAGUUUUGGCCAUCGAGUUCUUGCGAUUUGGAUGGGGACUGUCGAGCCUCGUACCUGUAGAAACUGGUGAAGUGAACUGCAAAGACAGAGAGAACUCGAGAUUCCAAACGAGUGAGAAGCCAAAACCACUUAAAACGGUUGAGAAUCAAAGAUUUGGUGGUUGCUUAAAAAUCGCAGGGGGAAGGGUCACUGUGCGGCACAGUGAAAGAGGAAAGUGGAAGGGUGAAGCCUUAAAUAGGAAAAACCCUAACUACCCCCGAAUUUUUUUAUUUUUUUAUUUUUUUUUGGUUCGGAACACUUACCUGGAAUAGUCAAUGGGUUGUUCUACCAGAAGAACAGUCCUUUGGUUGUUCUGACUGAAGAGUCCAACUUUUUUUUCUUAUUUUUGACCUACAAAAUAAAUCUGAAAAGAAAUAUAAUAAACUAUAGAAAUCAAUGUACAUACUAACCAGUGGGUUGCCUCCCACCAAGCGCUUGGUUAAAGUCAUUAGCUUGACUUGGAUCAGCCUAAUGGGGGAUCGCUUAGGACUCUUCUCCCUCUGCGAUGGUGGAGUCAGCAAGGUAAUGCCUGACGCGCUGUCCGUUCACUAGGAACUCGUCUCCUUUUCUGUCCAGUAACACAAAGCUCCGUAGGGUCGAACUUCCUUAAUAGUGAAGGGCCCCGACCACCUAGACUUUAACUUGCCUGGGAACAAUCUCAGCCUCGAAUUGAAAAGCAAGACCUUAUCGUUGGGUCCGAAAUGUCUCGCAAUAAUUCGCUUGACAUAGUAGGCCUUGGUCUUCUCCUUGUAAAUUUUGGAUCUUUCAUAGGCGAGGUGCCUUAUCUCCUCCAGCUCAAGAUUAGAAUCAUGCGUCUCUCGGUUGCUGGCUUGAUGUCAAAAUUCAGUAGCUUGACUGCCCAUGCAGCCUUGUAUUCGAGCUCGACAGGGAGGUGACAUGCCUUACCAUAUACCAGGUGAUAGGGGGUCGUCCCUAGCGACAUUUUGUAGGCUGUUCUGUAGGCCCAUAGUGCAUCGUCCAGCUUAAGUGACAAGUCCUUUCGUGACGUGUUGACAGUUUUCUGGAGGAUGCUUUUGAUCUCCCUAUUGGAAACCUUAACCUGUCCACUCGUCUGUGGAUGAUAUGCGGUUGCCACCUUGUGCUUUACUCCAUUCUUCGUCAAGAGGCCCUGAAAUGCCUUGUUGAUGCAGUGUGUUCCACCAUCGCUAAUUUCCACCCGAGGCACUCCAAAUCUCGGAAAGAUGAUGGAGCUGAACACCUUAGUCGCCACUUUUGCAUCAUUAGUAGGGCUCGCCAUCGCUUCUACCCACUUAGAUACAUAAUCUACGGCGACGAGGAUGUACUCAUUCUUGAAGGACGGAGGAAAUGGUCCCAUGAAAUCGACUCCCCAAUCGUCGAAUACUUCAACCUCUAGAAUGUAAUUCUGAGGCAUCUCAUUCCUCUUGCUGAUUUUCCCAAGUCGCUGGCAUGCAUCGCACCUGGCUAUGUAGGCGUGAGCAUCCCUGAACAUUGUUGGCCACCAGAAUCCUGCUUGAAGGAUUUUGGAAACCGUUCUGAAUGUAGCGAAGUGGCCUCCGUAAGAUGAACCAUGGCAGUGAUGUAGGAUUCCGGGAAUAUCUGCCUCUGGAACACACCUUCUGAAUAAGCCAUCCUUUCCAUGUCUGUACAAGAACGGUUCAUCCCAAACAUAAUGCCUCGCCUCCCUUAAAAAUUUCCUCUUGUCGUUUCCGGUGAAAUUAAGAGGUUGCUUUUCAGCAGCUAGAAAAUUCGCAAUUUCAGCAAACCACGGGAGGUUAGAGUACUGCUUUUGGAUCACUUUGACCGGAUAUUCCGCGAUGUGAGAACAAUCGGGUCUCCUUCCCAGAGGUUGUUCUGCGAUGCUGGAACAGUCUGAUGUGAUUCCCAGAGGUUGUUCCGCGAAACGCAGACCAACCACGUUGAUUUGUUCCACUGGGUGUUCUUCAUCAAAAGUUGUGUCGUCCUCAAUAUUCCUUCUGGACAGGUGGUCUGCAACCCCAUUCUCGCCGUGAUUUUGUCUAAGCGAUUGUUGAAGAAUGCCAGCCUUGGGAGACUCCUCUCUUAUCCUUUAUCUCAAGAUCGAAUUCUUGGAGGAGAAGAAUCCACCUUAACAACCUCGGUUUCGCAUCUUUCUUUGUGAGCAGAUACUUAAGAGCAGCAUGGUCUGUGUGCACAAUCACCUUAGAUCCCACCAGGUAGGAUCUGAACUUCUCGAAUGCAAAAACAAUAGCCAGAAGUUCUUUCUCUGUCGUAGCGUAUCUGCACUGAGCUUCAUCCAUAGUUUUGCUUGCGUAAUAGAUCACAUGAAGUUUCUUAUCCUUGCGCUGCUCAAGUACUGCUCCAACUGCAAAGUCGCUUGCAUCAGUCAUGAUUUCAAAGAGGAGAUCCCAGUCUGGCGGUUGCACAACAGGUGCGCUGACUAGAGCUCCUUUGAUGGUGUGGAACGCAGCUUGACACUCACUAUCGAAAUUGAACUUGAUCUCCUUGCAGAGCAGUCUGGUGAGUGGUCUCGCUAUCCUUGAGAAAUCCUGGAUAAAACGUCUGUAAAACCCAGCGUGACCCAUGAAACUCCUGAUGGCUUUCACAUUUGUUGGUGGUUGCAAACUCAUCAUCACCUCGAUCUUUGCCUUAUCCACCUCAAUGCCUUUCUCGGAGAUCUUGUGCCCCAGAACAAUCCCAUCUGUGACCAUGAAGUGGCACUUCUCCCAAUUGAGCACCAGAUGUUUCUCCUCACACCUUUUUAGUACUCUGCACAAUUUUGACAAACAGACACUAAAGGAGCUUCCAUGGACACUGAAAUCAUCCAUAAAAACUUCCAUAAUGUCUUCAAUCAGGUCAGUAAAGAUUGACAUCAUGCAGCGCUGAAAUGUUGCUGGCGCAUUGCACAAGCCGAAUGGCAUUCUCCUGUAAGCAUACGUUCCGUAGGGGCACGUGAACGUCGUCUUUUCCUGAUCAUCUAGAUGGAUAGGGAUCUGUAAGAAACCUGAAUAACCAUCUAAAAAGCAGUAAUAUUGGUGGUUAGCCAAUCUCUCAAGCAUUUGAUCAAUAAAAGGGAGUGGAAAGUGAUCCUUUCUAGUUGCUGCAUUUAAUUUCCUGAAAUCAAUGCACAUGCGAUGUCAUGUCACUAUCCUAGUAGGGAUCAAUUAAUUCUUUUCAUUCGUGAUAACAGUGAUCCCACCUUUCUUAGGUACUACAUGAAGAGGGCUAACCCAUUUACUAUGAGAUAUGGCAUAGAUCACACCUGCUUCAAGAAGUUUCAUAAUCUCUUUCUUAGCAACAUCUUUUAGAUUUGGGUUUAACCUCCUCUGAUGUUCGACAGAAGUCAUUGAUUCAUCUUCUAGGUGUAUUCUAUGCAUGCAUAAAUCAGGUGAAAUGCCAGGUAUGUCAGCUAGUGAAUAUCCUAAUGCCUUACGUUAUUUCCUAAGCUCACACAAAAGCAAUGCAGUUUCCACAUUAUUUAGUUCAGCAUUCACAAUGACAGGAUAGGUGGAAUUUGGACCUAAGAAAGCGUACCUGAGCCCCUUAGGAAGGGGUUUUAGCUCAACCUUGGGAGCUUUAAGCUCGCUCCAGGGGUCCUCUGGUUGGUUCGACAGAACAGGCGAGUUUGGUGUAGGGGUCGCUCCAGCUGGGGUGGUGUCGUCCCCGUUGCUCUCCUCCCCCAGCUUAGACUCGCUACCAUUCUCCCCAUACUCCUUGUGGAGACAAGCAUCUUGGCAUACCCAUGUGCAUCAAUGUUUACGACACUCUGCUCGGCCUCAGCUCUUACUAAUGCAAGCUCCAGUGGGUCUUCGGUAAGAAUCCUCGAUCAUUCCUUCGCGAGGUUAGAGCGGAUUAAUCCCUUCAUCAACCUCAAAGGUCUGCCCAUCCAACAUCGGCUUCUUUAGCAACUCAUCCAUCUCGAAUUGCAUAACUAUGUCCCCAAGAUUCAGAUCAAUCUUCCCCUGUCGCACAUCAAUGAUGGCUCCAACAAUACAUAAGAAUGGUCUUCCCAAGAUGAGAGGAUCUUUAGACUCUUCUUCCAGCUCCAGAACAACAAAGUCUGCUGGAACAGAAGUGUUUCCAACUUUUACUUGGAGAUCCUCUAGAAUACCGACCGGAAAUUUGACUGAUCUAUCUGCGAACACCAAGGACAUCUUAGUUGGUUUGAAAUGCGUGUAUCCUAGACGUCGAGCUACAGAGUAGGGCAUGCAGUUCUACAGAGUAGAAUUGCAUUGCACUCCUUAGGAUUUUUUGUCUGUUUUACCAGGUAGAACACCAAGGACAUCUUAGUUGGUUCACGCUGGAUCCAAGAUCAACCAAGGAGCAUGCAAAAACUGUUUUCCCAAUCUGGAUAGGGAGGACGAACUUGCUGGGGUCUCCUCGCUUCUUUAUCUAUCUGUUAUGAAGCACUGCACUGCACUCCUUAGAAACUGUCAUGAAUUCGCUCUCCUCUGAUAUUUUUCCUGAGAUCAAUCCUUUCAUAAAGCUGCGCAUGGAGGGCAUCAUUUGGAUCACAUCCAUCAGGGGGAGUCGGACGGUUAGAUCCUCCAGCAUCUUCCUGCACUUCAUCUCCUCUAUGUCCUUACGAGUACCCUUUGCUGGAACAGGGUAAGGGACUAUAGGAAUGUAUUCGCGAGGAGGAACAACCUCUGGGAUUGGGCGAACAGCUUCAGCUGGUUGUUCUGGCCCUGGUGAACUUGUUUCAACUGCUGGUUCUGUAUUCCCCUCUACUGCCAGGGUAUCGGCUGGUAGUUGUUCCGACUCUUUCUGCUUCCCUUUCUCAGCCGUGGUGAACCUCCUCUUCUCCGGCUCGGAAAGUUGCUUCCCGCUCCUUAGCUGAACUGCAUUGCACUCCUUAGGAUUUUUGUCUGUUUUACCAGGUAGAGUACCUUGCUGCCUCUUGACACUCUCAACAGUCUGAGCUAUCUGAAUGUCCAUGUGUCUCAUAUGGCUCGCGACAUUAUCAUACUUGGUGCUCAAAUCUCCGAACAUAUGGUUCAUUUUGGUAUUGAUCUCGGUAGUAACCUGGUUUAGAGCUUUCCCUUGGAGCUGUUGUCCUUGGUGUAGCUGCUGCAACAUAGUUUUGUUUCAUCUUGCGGAACCGCGACAGAGGCGGAAGUAGCAGGCUGAGUGUUCUGGUGCUUCUGCAUCUGAGGUUGAUUGUUCUGUGGUUGGCUUAGAAAAUAGGUUCGGGUUUGGUAGUUCUUUUGAUACCCCGCAUACUGACCUUGACUGCUCUGUGCCGGAUCAACCGGUUUCUCCUGCUUAGGCCAGAAAAGUUGUCGAUUGUUCCUUACGUUAGGGUUUGGGUGGUAGUUCUUUAACUGCCACCCUUGCCCAUUUACGUAGCUCACUUCCUGCUGAUCGUCUCCUGCUUGUUCAGCUUCAAACGCCUUGUCGCCUGCACUCUUCUUAGGAGUUGCUUCUUCCAUUAUGAAAACUUGGCUCUGGUUUCCCUUAAGCAGUUGGUCCACCUUCGCCGCAAGAUCAUCUAUAUUGUUCACACUUUUGGAGCGAUCGUGCUCCUUGUUCUUGUUGAGUGAACUUGAAGCCAUGUUCUCAAUCAACGCGAACGCACUAGGUGUGGUUUGAGUCAUGAGGUCUCCGUUACUAGAAGAAUGAAGGGUGUUUCGGAACUCAUAGCUCACUCCAUCAUAGAACACCUCCAGUAUGUAAUCAUCAUCAGACCCAUGGUGUGGGCACUCUCUCUGGUACUCCUUGUACCUUUCCCAAGCUUCAUGAAAGGUUAAUCAGAUUUCUGCUUGAAAUUGGAGAUUCUAUGCCUUAGAGCCGCGGUUUUGGACUUUGUGUAGAAGUAGCUUAGGAAUGCUGAUCGAACCUGGUCCCAUGUGGUGAGAGAACCGGUUGGGAGAGAUUGCAGCCAGCGAGAAGCUUUCCCUUCAAGAGAGAAUGGGAACAGCGAGCAUUUGAUAUAAUCUGGUGGCACUCCAUUAGAGCGAGAGAAAUUGCAGAUCCUCUCAAAGGCCUAUGUGGUCCAUUGGAAUGUCUGAAGUGAGGCCGCUGAACGUGCUCUUCUGUACCAGACCUAUCAGUGCAGGUUUGAUCUCAUAAUCUUGUAGAGUACAGGGUGGAGAGCUGAUGGGGGAGAAGUUAGUAGCGAAGUUUGGCGGAAGGUUUCGCUCCCUAAUAAGAGCACCACGCUCUUCUCGUGCGGCGUUCUCGGCUGCUUGGUCCUCAGCAGUUUGUUGCUGAUUUUGGAUGGUUUGCUGCAUCUGCAACAUCUGUUGUUGCUGAGUCUGUAUUUGUUGUUGAAUGAGUGCCAAUGCAGCAGUGAGGUCAUCCAUGUUGACGUGAUCACCCAUGUUGGUGUUGGUUGUUCUUGGCUGUUGACGGUUCUGUCUUUCUAAUCUUGUGAGUUCUUCGUUGGUCAGUUGAUGUAGUGGUCCUUGUGCUUUGCUCCGAGUAUGUCUACUGGUCAUGCACUUGGAUCAUCUGUUCCAACAAAGAAAUAAAGCAAGUUAGAUAUCUCACACUAAAUAUUAAACCGAAAAAGAAAGGUAAAGCUUAGUCCCCGUCGCAACGGCGCCAAAACUUGGUACACUAAAAAUGAAUCCUUGCUACUGUCAAGUUAACAGUGGUAAUUGUAAUAUUUGAGAUUCAAUCCUGAGGACCAGUUUACUUUUACUCUUAUGAGUUCAAUAAUAAGCUGAGAAACAAGUGGGGUUUUGGGAAUUCAUUGUGACGCAAGUAACUAGAAUACCUAGAUGGUUCAAAUUUGAUUUAAAUGAAGCCGGCUUAGGGUUAUUAAUCGGAUGUCAAUGCAGAACUGAACAACUAUUCAAGUGCAAUGAGGUGCACUCUAGAAUUCAGAUCACUCGGCUAGAACAAUCCACUAUCGUGGUCUUGCUCCCUUUGCAUAUCGGUCUUGAAUCCUAAGUUCUCACUUGGAACAAGACACGAUAACAAGCCUUAGAGACAAGAUCUGAUUAGUUCACGUAAUACCCUAAUAUCUACUCUCGCUGAUUAGGGAUACAAAGCUCAUUCAAUAUAUGUCAAUUUAUCUCCUAAGCGGUUAGCUAGGUGAUUAAAUCAGAGAUCGACAGUUCAUGCGGCUAACACCCUACAACCCUAAGCAAGCUUAGCCUACUACUCAAUCAUAAAGCAGGAUGACACAAACAUGGUUUCUGAAUAAUACUGCAUAUAAAAUAAAGUAGAAAGACAAGGGUUCAGGAUGAUCUUCUCGUGAGAAUGAGAGAUGAAGCCUUCUCCCUUACAAGUUGCUUAAUCCAAAGAAAAUAGUUAUAGGUCUCUUGCAAAAACUAGCGUCCGAAAAAGAAAUGAUAGCAUAGGCCUUUUUAUAUGGAGGCGCUGGUGGUAAAGAGAUAAGAGAGAGUGGAAUCUAGGGCAAACUUCCAGAAUUGGAACUUUCCUUAAUGAUCGGGAACAGUCAAACGCUUGUUCUCUUCGGGAACAACCUUCGGGUUGUUCUAGAUGACUGUUCCGCAUCGAAUCCUUCAAAACGGCAUCCGACUUCCAGAAUCUCUCUUCUUUACUCUUUCACCUGCUCCAAACCUGGAAUGAUAUCAAUUAAACACGAAUUAGGACUUAGAAUUAGCUCAAAGCACACAUAUAAUGGUACUAAAAACACCAUAUAUCAUGGUUCGGGUGGUUUGGUUGGGAUCCAUAGUCGCGCUUAGGAAACUUAGAUCGGUUUCUUAGCAAAGAUGUUUUUCAUUUAUCUUUUCCACAGUCGGUGCCAAAAUGUAGAACCUAAAAUCUACAUACAUUAAGUAUUUGAAAGUGAUCGGGAGUUUGAUCUAGGGAAGAUAAAAGAUGUAGGCAACAAUAUCUUUAGAAAACAACGAUGUUAAUAGUUUCCAGUAGGCAAAAAUGGACUUUAUUGAUGAAUAGGACCGAAUACAAUAAGUUGAACUAGAUUGAAUUACACAAGUGAGAUCGUUAAAGAAAAGGAUCUAAGAACAGGAGAAAACAAAGUCGAUGUAUGUGUGUAGCUCUCUCUAGGGUUUUCAACGUGUUCUUCUUCAUGUCCCUUCUCAUUUCUUUAUAGCGAGUCGACUUCGCGAUCUCUGUAGCUGUUUUGCGACCUUUGUAACUGCUCCGCGAUCUUCGUAACCGCUCCGCGAUCUCUGGGGGGCCUCGACUUCUUUGCUUUUGAGCUCGGUUGCUUGCUACGGGUUUUGAUCCUUACGGCCCAUCACUUUGAUCAUGGCCCGUUAAGGUAUUACCCAAAAUUGGGUCCAACAUCUGGGAUGUAACGAACUUCACUCAAUGUGACCGAUGAUCCAUCUUUGUUGUCUAUGGUUAUUUUUCCCAUUCCUCAAACUAUGCAGAAUGAGUUGUGACCCAUCAUCACUUUAUUCCCGUCAUAUUCCACAAACUCUGAUAGAAGAUCCCUUUGUUGCGUGAUAUGAAAAGUGCAACCUGAUUCCAACACCCACUCUUCAUUUGAUACCAUCAGACUGUCUGUCAGGGCUAUUAACCCUGGAAGAUUCUUUGCCACGUUUGCUGAGUUUUCUAAAUUUGAGGAGUGAGAUGUUUUUUUGUGUUCUGGACAGUCUCGUUUCCAGUGUCCAUCGCUUCCACAUAUCCAACAAGUUUUAUCUUGUUUUACAUUCUACUUUCCUAUUGACCUGAAUCUGCUCUUUCGUUUGCUGUUCCAUUGCUUGUUAUUUCCUGAGUCAUUUCUGGUCGAUGUUCUUCCCCUUGACUCACUGUAAAGACCUGAGUGUAUGCCUCUUGUUGUCAACCCCUUCUGCUUUAUCUCUGCCUCUUUUGAGUAUGCCAUAGUGAUGACUUUGUUGACUGUCAGCAUGUCUUUCCGGGUCCAUAUUGUAUGGUAUGUACCAAUGGCUCACAGGCUGUAGUCAGCCCAGAGAGUAGUUGAAUGGCUUGAUCCUCGUCUGAGAUGUCGAUCUUGAUACUUGCCAAAUCAGCUAGAAGCUUUAGGAAAGAGUCAAAGUUCUCUUCCAUUGGUUUAUUUUCUUCCAUCCUGAAGCAAGAAAACUUCUUCUUGAGAUAUAUUCAGUUUGGCAAAGACUUUGUUUGGUAGUCUCUCUCAAAUUCUUUCCCCAUUCUAAGAGAUAUAGUCUCAUUCAUAAUCUUCAUCAAGAUCAAAUCACUGGGACAAGUGGUGAAUAGACUCCUAGCUCUUAGAUAUCUUUCUGCCUUCUUUAGGUCUUUCUUUACUUCGACACCUUCCUCUAGCUUUGCUAUAUCAAAUUCAAAAGUGGUUUCUUUCUAAAGUACUGAUACCAGGCCAUGAAUCGCUAACUGUGUCAUCAUCUUAAAUUUCCAAAGUCCAAAGUCACCGUUCCUAUCGAACUUCUCGAUCUCGAACCUCCCUUGCGUCGGAUCCAUCCUCUUUGAUGUGUGAUUCCUCGCUUCUUGUCACUUGCAGAUAACCAAGAAAACAAUCCCACAACAACUAGAUGCACAACCAAAGAUUCAAGAUCAGAUCGAUUUAGUAUAAGAGUAGAAUUGAACUUCCUUUAUAAUCCCAAUCAACCUCUUCUCGUUGAUUGGUGCUCCUCGAUCUUUACUCCUCGUAGAACCAGAUCGUUCUUCUGAAUCCGGACCUCGAUCAUGUCUUCUGAAUCCUUUGAAUGCUCUAGCCUAGCUCUGAUACCACUUGUAGAAUAAUCUGAUACACACUUGUAUUGUAUCUCAAUGAUCUCUCUUGACUAUCGAACGCUUUGAUUCUAUCGAUCUCUCACGUCUCUCGUUGUUUGAAGAUCGCGACUCCACUCACACACUCGAAAACCCAGAACGCAACACGAAAGAAAACAAUUGACAAGAAAACACGCAAAGUUUUAGAGUUCCCCAGAUUUUGGGUACAUCUUCUUCAGGAUCGGUACCUGGAAUUCGUUAUCUCUUUGGAGUGUUACACGAGAUUCUUUACAACAAUGGCAGAAUCAUCUGCUUCGGUACCUGGAUAACAUGAGAAGAAGACGAGGCUGUUAGGUUGUUAUGAGGUGUUAUCCUCUGCUUCUCAUCCUUCAUUUUAUAUGCACAUGUAACUUCAGCUCUUGGGUUUCACUCUUUCACCAGAGGCCGAGCAUAAUCUUUAUCGCUCUUCUUUAUUAUUGACAUCCAGGCCCAGUUGUCAACGACAGGCCCAGUCCAGAUCAACUCAGUCACUUGCCAAUCUCACAUAGAAUAUUUUUGGAAUAUAACUUUUAUAUGUUUUAAUAAAUAUGUAUUGCCAUUUUUGAUCUACAUUAAAUAUGUAUUGUCAUUUUUUUUUUGUCAGCAAACAAAGCAGACUCAUGUAGACUCUGCGAACCACCCCGAUAGCUCUGCAUCCAUAUGGACGACAAAUGACGGUUGCUUUCUUGCACUGCGUGCGAGACUGUCCGCCUUUGAGUUCUGUGUCUGUGGUAUAUGAAUGAUCUCUGAGCUGUUAAAACUCCUCUUUAAAACUUUUAUGUCUUCCAAAUAGCUUGCAAAGGCUGGCCACUCUUCUGGUUCCGACACCAUCUUCACCAAUUGAGCACUAUCCGUUGCAAAAGUAACCCAUGCUUGUCUAAGAUUCCUCAUACAUUCCAUUGCCCAUAUAAGGGCCUCUAUCUCUGAGUGUAGUGGCGACUGACUCGCUCUCGUGUUCCUUGCUCCCAUUAGUCCAUCGUAGCCUUCCAGGGUACUAUACCAUCCUUGCCCUGAAAAGCUAUCCUCAUUUUUCCAAGAUCCGUCUGUAAAACACCAUCUACCUGGUAUACUCGUUAUUAUCGAAGAUACAUGAAUUUGGGUGCGUUCCAUGUCUUGAGUCUGAGAAUUUUGUGCUUCCACCCAAAGUAACGAUUCCAUUUCUGCCAGUUUGAGAGUAUCUCUCGGGUCCAUAUCCAAAUUGCUAAAAACUUUGUUGUUUCUACCUUUCCAUAUAUACCAGAGAAUCCAAGCAAAUGAAUGAUCCUCCAUUUCAGGAGAAAGUCUCCAAAAUAAAUGAUCCAUAUUGGUAAACAAAGAUUGAGUGGGAAAAAUAUUUGGAUUCAUCGGGAUCCGUGAAAGUGCCCAGACCUGAACUGUCGGUGGACAUUCAAAAACACGUGAUUAGCUGAUUCCUCGGGAGCACCACAUCGGUCACAAACAGUAUCUCCUUGCAUUCCUCUUGACCUCAAAUAUUUCUUAACCACUAUACAUCCCGUCAAUAGUUGCCAUAAAAAAUGUUUCAACUUGGGUGGGCAGCGUAACUUCCAACAGAACGUCUUCAAAGGUGUUAUCGAAGGGCCAAACUGGGGUGGCAUUAUUUCUCUAUCCGGAUAUACUCGUUCCACUUCAUAUCCAGAUUUAACCCUAUAUUUUCCAUUGUUGUAAAAUGCCAUCCAUUCCGGUCUUCUAGAUGAGAUCUACUGAUAGGAAUACUUUGAAUAAUUUUCACAUCUUGCGGAUCCACCAGAGCUCGAAUAACCUGUAGGUUCCAUGAUCGUGAUGUUCCAUCGAUAAGAGCAUCCACUGUUAGGUCCGGGUAAAGAUUGUGUUGAUUUUUAUUUGCUGGUCUCGGGCGAGUGGAUGGAAGCCAAGGGUCAUUCCAUACUGAUAUAGAUGAUCAUGUUCCCACCCUUUGAUUAGUCCUUUGCUAACCAGAGAUCUAGCAGAGACAAUACUACCCCAACCAUAAGAUGACGAGUAUGAUCUAAUGGGUUCCAGGGGUGAAGCAUUCCUGAAAUAUCUCCCUUUGAAUACACGAGAAAAUAAAGUAUUCGGUUUGUCCAUUAAUCUCCAAAAUUGUUUCCCAAGCAUAGCUGUAUUAAAAUCUGUGAGAUCUUUGAAUCCCAAACCUCCAUCGUCCUUAGAGCUACACAGUUUGUCCCAUGAUUUCUAAUGCAUACCUCUCUUGUUACCCCCUGGACUCCACCAGAAUUGUGCUACAGCACUAACUAAUUUCUUCAUUACCGUUUUUGGAAUUCGAAAGCAUGACAUCACAUUGUUUAGCAAGGCUGUAACCACAGAUUUUAUAAUCACUUCCUUACCCCCUCUGGUGAAAAACUUAAAAGUCCAACCAUUUACUCUGCUAUUUAGACGCUCCUGAACAAAUCCAAAAACUUGCACCUUUGAUCCUCCCAUAUUUUCUGGGAUGCCCAAAUAAGACCCCAUUCCUCCUAAAUUAUGUAUACCUAAGAUAUCUCGAACUUCCUGUCGUGUAGCUUCUGCAAUCUUGUGUCCAAAUUGAAUCGAAGAUUUUUUCAAAAUUUAUUUGUUGUCCUGAAGCCCUUCAUAUUCUUUGAGAAUCCUAAGAAUUGUCUGACAUUCUUCCUUCUGAGCUUUGCAAAAGAAAAGGCUAUCGUAUGCAAAUAAAAAUGGGAAAUUGGGGGGCAGGCCCUAGCAACCUUUAGACCCGUUAGUUGCUUAUUUCGUUCUGCCUUUUUAAUAUUUGCGACCAAUGCUUCUGUACACAUAAUAAACAGAUAAGGGGAUAGAAGGUCCCCCUGACGUAAUCCCCUCUGUGGUAUUAUAUGUCCUUUUGGUUGUCCAUUCAAUAAAACCUUAUACUGAACUGAGGAAAUGCAUUACAUCAUUAAUUGGAUCCAAUGCUGGCCGAAUCCCACCUUGGUUAGUAGUUCUUGGAUAAAGAUCCAUUCAACUUUGUCAUAAGCUUUGCUCAUAUCCGUUUUUAUUGCCAAAAAUUUGUCCUGACACGGUUUAUUAGUUCGCAAACCAUAGAACAUCUCCUGAGCUAUAAGAAUAUUAUCUGAUAUUAAUCAUCCAGCAAAAAAGCCGAUUGCGUCUCCGAGAUCAGUGAUGGAAGACAGACCUUUAAUCUUUUACAUAAUACCUUAGAUAGAAUCUUGUAUCCUACAUUACAUAAGCUGAUAGGUCUGAGUUCAGUCAUCCUUGUGGGUCUCUCCUUUUUAGGAAUCAGACAAAUAUUUGUAGUGUUUAACCUUGUGUCCAAAUUUUCCGAUGCCAAAAAACUAUUGACCAUUUCCAAUAGAUCAUUUUUUAUUAUAUGCCAUGAGUGUUGAAAAAAGAGAGCCGUCAUUCCAUCCGGCCCAAGAGCUUUCUCCGGAUGCAUCAUGAAUAAAGCAUGUCGAACUUCCUCCUCAGUUGCCAACCGAACAAGCCGUUGAUUCAUUUGUGGUGUAAUUGAGGGUGUAAUCUCAUCUAAAAAACCAUCAAAACCAGUAGGAGUUGUUGUCUGAAACAGAUCUUCAAAAUAAUCCACUGCCACCUUUUCUACCCCCUGCUCCUCAAUUAUCCAGUUUCCAUCAGAAUCAUAUAGACCCACAAUUCUAUUACGAGCACGACGUUGUUUUGUUAGAGCAUGAUAGAAUUUUGUAUUGAGAUCCCCAGAAGUGUGCCACAUAUUACGACUCUUUUGUUGCCAGUACUCUUCAUCAUCCUUAUAAGCUUCCUGUAACUUCCUUGAGACCUCUAGAAUAUCUUCUUGGGUUCUAGUAUUAUCCGUUUGGACUUCUUCAAGUGCUUUCUGGAGUUCUCCAAUUUUCUCUUUCCCAUAAGGUGGAUUAUUCUUCCGCCAUGUAGAGAUCUCAUGAUGGCAGUUUGUAAUUUUUGAAAUGAAAUCCCCCGGAUUCGCCUCUGAGAAUUCACCCCACCCUCUUGCAAUCGAGUCCAAUAAGCCUUUUUGUCCAAUCCAUCUCUUGUCAAACCGAAAUUUUCCCCUCCGUCUUGUUAUUUUAUUGUCCAGAAAAGCCACCACCGGUCGAUGAUCGGACCCCACCAUUCUCAAAUAUUCUGUGUAAGAGCAUGGAAAAAGUGUAUCCCAAUCUUCGUUUGCUAAAGCUCGAUCCAACCGGCACCGAACCAUAACUUUUUUCUUUUUUCCUUGUUUCCUUCUUCCUUGCCAGGACAUCUGAUUUCCUCGGACUGGGAACUCCAAAAGUUCAGUAUUCCUAAUCAUGUCAUUAAACGGUACAAAAGAUCCUGCACUGCGUAUGCCCCCCCCCUUUCAUGAUUCCCAGUUAUCUCAUUCAAAUCUCCAUUAAUAAACCAACGGCUCUGACCUUGCUAGGCCAUACCUUGUUAACCGUUCCCAAACUUGAUCCCGUAACUGUUGAACCGGCUCUCCAUAAACAAAGGUCAUAUAAACUUUUUUCCAGGGACAAAGUUUCAACAUCAAUCAUACGAUUACUAGUAUAUAGAAUAUCAACCUGGUAUUCAUUAUUGUAAAACAAUGCCAAACCUCCACUCGUACCAACCGGGUCCACUGUAACUAAAUUAUCAUAACCAAAAUGAGACUGAAGACCCUGAAGGUAAACUAAAUCUUGUUUUGUCUCGGAGAGAAACAAAAAAUCCGGUCUAUGUUUAUGCCAUAUUUUCCGUAAAUAACUAAUUGUCCAGUGACUUCCCGCACCUCUACAAUUCCAACUCAAUACUAUCAUAAAAACCUUUUAGAAAAAACUCAUUAGAGCUAGAUUAUCGGGUGUGAAGAAACUCUGGGUAACCAGACUGCACUCGACAGAAAACUGAUAUUUCAUUAUGUAUUGUCAUAUACAUGUAUAUAUAUAUAUAUAUAUAUAUGAAUUAUGGUUCAUCUAUUUAGUUUGCAUUAUUUUCUGUUUUAAAAUAAAUUUAUUAAAUAAAUAAAUGUAUUUUAAGUGGUAAUAUUUUGUAUUAUUUGUUGUUUUCAUAGUAAGUAAUAUUUUUUUAUUAAAUUUCUAUUUGAACUUCAAACAAAAAUAAUUAAUAAUAUAUAGUAAAAUUAUAAAACAAAGUAUAUAUAACUUAUAUUUAAACAUAGAAUUAAAAUUUUAAGUUUACUUUUAAACAUAAAAUUAUAUUUGUUUUUGCUGUUUUUUAAAUAGGCUUAUGUGUGUUUUGGUAAUGAUAUUAUAUUUUAUUAUAUCACAAUAAAUAUUUUACUAUUGAUAAUAUUUUCAUUUCAUUAUUUUAUAAGCAAAAACCAAAAAAAAAAAAUUAACCAAAAUAUAAAUCAUAAUUCAUGGUUUUCAAAAAUUUAAAAUAUAAUGCAAAUUAAAAAAAAAAUCCAAAUCUAAAAUAAAAAAACCAACAACUAAAAAACAAAAAUCAAAAUUAAAAAUCUAGAAACCAAACAAACAAUCAUCUCCAUAAAUGGAUCUUGAUUAGAUUUGUAGUCUGGAUCUAAUUGUUUUAGGUUCGGUUAAUAAUUAGUUAGAAAGGUAGUGUCAAAUUGUUUUUGUUAUAAUUUCUAUUUAAAAAUAAUAAUUUAAAUAAAUAAAAGAGGAAAGUCUCCAAACAAGAAUUUUUUUUCAGCCAUUUUAUUAUUUUUUUGGUAAAAAAUUCCCAACAUAAACUACAAACGAUUUUAUUUUUGCAAAGAGUACAUAUUACAACUCGAACAUAGAUACAUUACAUUACGAAACUUUAUUCACCUAAUUUCUUUUAUUUGACUGAAGUAACUUUUACAAACUCACCAUGGUUUAAUUAUAGUCAUACACAUACAUGUCACAGGUGUAUACAGGACUGUGUGUAUACAUAGAUGAAAUCAUCCAUGGUUGUUAAAGUAUUGAUAGAUUUAGUUGCCAGGCUGAGUCUGAACAGCUUCUGGACCGUGUCCGCCGUGGCCUCCUCUUCCUCCGUGUCCCCCGUGGCCUCCUCUUCCUCCCUUGUAUCCUCCACCUCUUCCUCCGUUGUAUCCUCCUCGCCCGUUAUAUCCUCCACCUCCCUUGUAUCCUCCACCUCCGUUGUGUCCUCCUCUGUUAUAUCCUCCUCGUCCGUUGUAACCUUCAUUUCCGCCAUGGCCACCACCAUAUCGAUCAGGUUGCACAGUUUCCUCACUCUCUGUUUUCACCGUACAUAUCCAAAACAAAGCACCUCAAUAUUAUUUCAAAGAUAUCUUUUAGCACGUGCAUAUGUGCAUUCCACUCCCCGAUUUUUGAAAUAAAUUUCGCUUAAAACUAUUCAAAUAUAUAUAAUUUCGGAUCUCGGUCAAAAAAGAUAAAUCGCAUCAUUAUAUACCUUCAAUAUAAAAUUUGCACCGAACAUCUAAAUGGUUUGAGUUGGCCUGAUACGUAUAAAAGGUUUCAAUAUCAUACAUAUCGUCUUCUUUUUUUCUUUUUUAAUAAAACUGGGCUAAUCUCCUGGAGAGCCUACCAGGGAAAGACAAACCCGGUUCCUCUACGGAGGAGUUAGAUAUUCACACCGCCUAGCUACACAUAUCGUUUUUUCUUACUAGACAAAUAUUCCCUCACUUUUUAAUAUAAGUCGUUUUAAAAUUAUGCAUACAGAUUAAAAAAAUAUUAUUUUUUAUAUUUUCUUAAAAAAACAUCAUUAAUUAUUUACCUAACCACGAAUCAGUCAAUAAUAAAAUAGAAAGUAUAUUAUCAUUAGUCAUAUAAACUAAGUUUUAAUAAAUUUUACAUAGAAAAUCGAAAAAUCAUAUAUUUGGAACAUAAAAAUUUCUAAAACGACUUAUAUUAAAAAAACGGAGGGUAGAUAACAACAUCAUACUUAAAUGUGUUUUGACUUAGCAAGUCCAAAUAAUUAACCAGCAUUUAUUCAAACAAACUUUCUGGACUUAAAACGGACGAAAUGGUAUGAUGAAAUUAUGAAAUAGUACUUUAGCACCACAGCCUUUGGAACUACUUUUAUUUUUAUAUAGAAUAAUAAAUUUACGUACCCGACUUCUGUGCAGAUGCUGCGGCCAUUUCUGACACAACGAGAAGAAUUGCAAAGACACCCAGCAUAAUCAAAGUCUUUGAAGCCAUUUUCUUUAACCGAAUUUAAGUUAUAACACUCUCUUUGUCGAAAACAAAUGAUGAAUAAAAUGUCAGUCUGCAUGAUCUCUAUUUAAAGAUAAAGAGGAGCAGCGGAUGAGAAAAGCCAAAUAACAAAAUUCAAUAAAAAAAUUUAAUUUUUUAAUUAAAAGAAAAGAGGCAGAAUUUAUCACAACAUUGGAUUUGGAACUUUAUAGAAUUUGAACACCUACUAAGUUCCAGAAAAUCUAAAAUUAAGAUAAAAUGUUGAAAAAUUAUUACAGUUUCUUUAAAAAGAUUUAAAUCAAUUUUAUAAUAUUUAAAAAAUAUUUAAACCUUUGAAUUUUAUUUUAAUGAAAAUUUAUAUUCUUUAAAUUUUAUUUUUAUUACUUAUUAAUUUAUAUAAAAUAUAUAAAUAUACAAAAUAAUAUUUCAAAUAAACUUUAUUUAUCUGAUUUCAUUUUUUUAUUUUAUGUAAAAGUGAAAAAUAAAGAAGAAUUUAUUUUGUAAGAAAUUUCAAAUAACAUCAUCAUAGGAAGUGAUAUUUUUUCUUCAUUACUUUUAACCAUAUAAGUUUUUUUAUAAUUCCACCAAUCUUAUUUGAUAGAUUUAAUGACUAAAUCUAUAUUUCCAAUAAGUUAGAAUUUUGAAGAACUAAUACAAAUUAUGAACUCAAUAACUUUGGAUUUCAAAUUAUUUCUGUUAAUGUUAAAUACAAUAUAACUGAUGAUUUUGGGGGAAAAUGAAAUCCUAUAAACUUACUAAUCGGUUAAUUCAAUAAUUACCCUAAAAUGUUUUCUAGAAGAACUUCUUGGAUGAGGAGUUUGAAAAAUAAUUAAGUAGAAAGUGAAAAGAAGUUAUUUUGUUAAAUAUUUAAGAUGGGUUUACUUAAUUCAUUUAACUGUUAUGAAAAAUGUGUUCUCACUAUAUUCUAUUUAGGUUAUUUCCUAUUUUUCAGCUUUAGAUCUUGUUAAGCUUGAGCGUACAUGCGUAAGGAGAAUAUAAUGAUCCACAUUCUGGUCCAAUAAAUUCAGAUCGAGGCCCAAACCCAUCCCCAGAAGCCCAUGAUAUUUUCUAUAAAAACUCAGCACUCUACUUUGUUUUCUUCACCAAAAAUCAUCAAAAAAGUUUAGAGAGAAGAAGUUAAUGGGAGAAAUGAGGAAUUGUUACAGAACCUUGAGCCACCACUGGGUUCGUCGGAGCCUUCUCACGCCGUGACUGUGUCGAGCACGCCACCACCGUUAACCGCCCAAGGUAACACCGGAAACCACAUGCAUUAGCUUCAGUUUCGGGUCUGUUUAGUAAAUCGCCCAUAACUUCCUAACCAUUAGCUUCAUAACUUCCGUUUAGCUUCAGCUGCAUGCAAGACCACCAUUGUGUUCCUCUUGUCGAGACGAAGCCAUAGACACCAACCACACCGUGAUCGGAGCCCGGACGAAGCCGCUAGAGCAUCCCGAAGUUGCGCCACGAUCAGAGUCCGCCGGAGCCGCCACGCAUUCCGGCCACUCGCCACCGUCUCCGACCAUCGUUCCCCGGAGCCGUCGUGCCCGGCCACCGUCCGGAUGCCGCCGAGAAGCUACCACUGUAUCGCCGCUUCUCCGCUGCCGUCGGCGAUUUCCCGGUAAACCGCCGCCACCCUCCGCCGUCGCCGCUGCCCACCCUCCGCCGUCGCCGCCGUCACCACCGGUGAUCGUCGCCGGUGACUUGCCGGUAACUAGGCCGAGUCCAUGAGACAACUCGGUGACUCAGUCAACUGGUGGUUUGACUGGUUUAAAUCGAUUUUGGUUGGUUAGGUUAACCGGUUGGUUAUUGGAAAUUGAUUUUGGAUAGAAGUAAACCGGUUUGCAAUUAUUAGGAUCUGGUUCAAUUAAAAAUCAAAAUCGGCUGAGUUAAACCGGUCGGUUCAAUUUGAUUUCAAUUUGGUUAAGGGUUGACCGGCUUGGGUCAGAGUUGACCAGGUUGACCUUUGACCUGCGGAUUGACUUUUUGGUAAACUUUAACCAGACCCGUUUUAAACCGUUCGAAAGCCGUUCUGACUCAGAAUUUCGCCUGAUUUCAGAUUUAGAGUCUAUUUGAGCAGCUGGAGUUCAUAGAUACCACAUUUCCCUACUGCUCAGGUGAGGGUCUAUUCCCGAACUUCUCGUAUACGGCUUAGGACCUCGAAUAAGUAUAACUUAUUUCUAAUAUGUUCUAUCUGCUUGAAAUCGAGUCUGUCAUUGCUUAUUUAGUUAUUAGGUUUCGGCUUAAAUCGGAAUGAGGUGGUUAGAGGAUUCAACAUGGAUUGUUUCACUUAAUGNNNNNNNNNNNNNNNNNNNNNNNNNNNNNNNNNNNNNNNNNNNNNNNNNNNNNNNNNNNNNNNNNNNNNNNNNNNNNNNNNNNNNNNNNNNNNNNNNNNNGAGCCAAGCUCGGUCGCUACGUAGCGACGAGCGAUCGUCCCGCUCGGUCGCUACGUAGCGACCGAGCGAUCGUCCCGCUCGGUCGCUACGUAGCGACCGAGCUCGAGCCAAAGCUCGGUCACUACGUAGCGACCGAGCGAUCGUCCCGCUCGGUCGCUACGUAGCGACCGAGCUCGAGCCAAGCUCGGUCGCUACGUAGCGACCGAGCGAUCGUCCCGCUCGGUCGCUACGUAGCGACCGAGCUCGAGCCAAAGCUCGGUCGCUACGUAGCGACCGAGCGAUCGUCCCGCUCGGUCGCUACGUAGCGACCGAGCUCAGCCAAGCUCGGUCGCUACGUAGCGACCGAGCGAUGUCCCGCUCGGUCGCUACGUAGCGACCGAGCUCGAGCCAAAGCUCGGUCGCUACGUCGCGACCGAGCGAUCGUCCCGCUCGGUCGCUACGUAGCGACCGAGCUCGGCUCGAGCUCGGUCGCUACGUAGCGACCGAGCGAUCGUCCCGCUCGGUCGCUACGUAGCGACCGAGCUCGAGCCAAAGCUCGGUCGCUACGUAGCGACCGAGCGAUCGUCCCGCGGCGUACGUAGCGACCGAGCUCAGCCAAGCUCGGUCGCUACGUAGCGACCGAGCUCGAGCCAAGCUCGGUCGCUACGUAGCGACCGAGCGGGACGAUCGCUCGGUCGCUACGUAGCGACCGAGCUUCGAUCGAGCUCGGUCGCUACGUAGCGACCGAGCGGGACGCCGCUCGGUCGCUACGUAGCGACCGAGCUCGGCCCAAGCUCGGUCGCUACGUAGCGACCGAGCGAUCGUCCCGCUCGGUCGCUACGUAGCGACCGAGCUCGAGCCAAGCUCGGUCGCUACGUAGCGACCGAGCGAGUCCGCUCGGUCGCUACGUAGCGACCGGGCUCGAGCCAAAGAUCGGUCGCGGUGUAGCGAUUGAACCUUUCCGAACAGCGAUACGACACCAGUCCUUGCAUUCUCGUCAAACCUUCGAAUGCUAUCUCCCGAAGACCGUGGCAAGCUCAGUCCAUGUUUCCCGCUAUUCUAAUCCAUCGAUCAAAACUUCGAUUAGAAACCGCGGAAAACUCGUAGUAAACGUGUCGAGUCGGAAGACGGCCCAAAGGGACCUAAAACACGACUCGAGGCCCAUCCUACGAUUUUUCCUAAUCAAAAGCCCGUGAACCACAGCAUGGUUCACGCUUGGCCCCGAGGAAGGAUAAAUGUCAAGUUUCGCGGAUAAAUACGGAAGUUUUGAAGAUAAUUGUGAAGAUCGGGAAAAUGGAUAUCUCCAUUUUUUGCUAUGACGGCUUAAGGGCAGAAGAGUAAAAACGGUAAACCGACCUUGGAGCUAGUAUAUAAGGAGUCCUAGGCGAGGAGCAGGGGGGGGAACUUUUUCAGAGCAAACUUAGCCUUUAGAGCGAUUUAGGCAACUUUCCGUUUUUGUUAUUUCGAGCUGCGACUCAUUAGGUUUAGCCGUCUUAGGGUUGCUAGAACGGGAAUCUCGCCGACGCUCUCGAGCCCAGGCUUAUACCUUGUUGUAACGCUCAUACGCAGAUUCGGAAUAAGAUCUACUUUGCUCUCUUUUCGAUUUCUUAUCUUUAUCGUUGUUAUUUCGUUGUUCUGAUUGCUUGACGUGUGGUAAUUAACAGAUAUCCGGGUCCUCUGGAAACUAGGGUUUUCUUAGUUUCCUUAUUUAAACGGAAAUCGACAGUGCGAAUUUCGGUUCCCACAGUUUGGCGCUAGAAGGAGGGGGACUUACGGAUCAAUCUAACCCGCAAAAACCACUCAACGAUUCAGGAACGACCUGCGGGAUUCGACGUGCGCGAAUGUCAUCUCGUUCAAGGGGGGAGAACGGUCGAUCGAGCCAAACCUCGGAACGAUCUCCUUGUUAUCGAGUUGACAAUUCGAGAUAUCGACAUCGCUAGAGUACUAAUCGAUACCGGAAGCUCGGCCGAUAUCAUCUUCAAAGACACUCUUGAAAAGAUGGGGAUCAGUCAAUCCGAGAUCGCAGAAUGCCCAAGCCCACUGCUAGGGCUUUCGGGGGAAACGACCAUGGCCUAUGGAUCGAUUAGACUCGCUGUCAAAGCCGGAACCGUGACAAACAUCACAGAGUUUCUAGUUGUUGACCGCCCCGCGUCUUACAACGUUAUCAUGGGAACACCAUGGCUGAACACCAUGCGCGCAAUCCCAUCAACCUACCAUCUUUGCCUCAAGUUCCCGACCCCCAACGGAGUCGAGGUAAUCUGGGGAAAUCCAAGAGUUUCACAGGUCUGUUUCGCCGCGGAACUAAAACGAAAGAGACCGAUCCACGAAAUUGCGAGAAAAAGACCUCCGGCAAAGAUACGCGAAGUCAGGGUUCAGCGGAAUUCUUCUGGCAAUCUCGUAUCUUCGCAGCUCUAGACGAAAAACGCGAGCCAACUUGUGAACCCGUGGUAACAAUCUGUCUCGACGAAGCCUUCCCAGAACGCUGCGUCGAGAUUGGAGCCAAUCUCCACGAGCACUAAAGACAGACUCAUAACCUGUCUUAAAAAGAACCUUAACACUUUCGCAUGGGCUGCGGAAGACAUGGGAUUGACAUUAACAUAACAUGUCACGAGCUGAAUAUCGAUCCAACAUUCAAACCCGUCAAACAGAAAAGACGGAAGCUGGGACCCGAACGUGCUACCGCGGUAAACGAUGAGGUCGAAAAACUGCUUAAAGUUGGGUCGAUAACAGAGGUAAGAUACCCGGACUGGCUCGCCAACCCCGUGGUAGUCAAAAAGAAAAAUGGGAAAUGGCGAGUUUGCGUAGAUUUUACCGACCUAAACAAGGCAUGUCCAAAGGAUAGCUUCCCUCUACCACAUAUCGAUCGGUUGGUAGAAGCAACGGCGGGCAACGAACUCUUAUCCUUCAUGGAUGCUUUCUCAGGUUAUAAUCAAAUUAGGAUGAAUCCCGACGAUCGUGAGAAGACCGCUUUCAUUACCGAUCGCGGAACCUAUUGUUAUGAGGUAAUGCCCUUCGGCCUCAAAAACGCUGGAGCAACUUACCAACGACUCGUGAACCGAAUGUUCUCCAAACAACUCGGAAAAACGAUGGAAGUUUACAUUGACGACAUGCUUGUCAAAUCCCUCAAAGCAAGAGAUCACGUGUCACAUCUCGAAGAAUGCUUUGCACAACUAAACUCCCAUAACAUGAAGCUCAACCCGACGAAAUGUAGAUUCGCCGUGGCAUCAGGAGAAUUCCUCGGUUACUUGGUGACCAACCGCGGUAUCGAAGCAAAUCCAAAACAGAUCAACGCUCUAAUCGAGAUGGCUUCGCCGAAGAAUAAACGGGAAGUCCAAAGACUGACCGGCAGAAUCGCAGCACUUAACCGAUUUAUUUCACGAUCAACAGAUAAGUGCCUACCCUUCUACGACGUCCUGCGAGGGAAUAAAAAGUUCGAAUGGACGGAAGAGUGCGAAAACGCCUUCCAACAGCUGAAGCGUUUUUAGCUACUCCUCCAGUCCUCGCAAAACCCGUGGAAGGGGAGCCUUUUCUUAUACAUCGCGGUAUCGGCAACAGCCGUAAGCGGAGUCCUGAUCAGGGAAGAACGCGGGGACAGAGACCUAUUUUUUAUAAGCAAAACCUUGCUCGAUGCCGAAUCUAGGUAUCCGUUGAUGGAAAAAUUGGCAUGCGCGGUCGUAACAUCGGCCCGAAAACUACGACCAUAUUUCCAAUCCCACACGAUUGUUAUCCUAACGACUUUUCCUUACGGACAUUUUGCAUAGCCCAAGUCAAUCAGGCCGAUUGGCCAAGUGGGCGGUCGAGUUGAGCGAGUAUGAUAUCGAAUACCGACCAAGGACGAGCGCAAAGUCACAAGUGCUCGCAGACUUUUUGGUCGAACUUCCAGCGGGAGCAAUAACCAACGAAGAACCAAUUCCACCUGGCUCCUCCACGUCGACGGAUCCUCAUCCAAGCAAGGAUCGGGUAUCGGGAUCCGUCUCACAUCUCCAACGAGCGAGAUCCUGGAACAAUCGUUCAGACUGGAAUUCCAUGCCUCAAACAACGAGCCGAAUACGAAGCACUGAUCGCAGGUCUACGUUUGGCUCACGGCUUAAAAAUACGUAAUCUCCAUGCUUACUGCGACUCCAGUUAGUGGCCAGUCAAUUCAGCGGAGAAUAUGAAGCCAGAGACGAACGGAUGGACGCGUACCUCAAGCUGGUCCAAGGUCUAGCUCAAGACUUCGACUGUUUCGCCCUUACCCGGAUCCCCCGUUCCGAGAAUGUCCAGGCGGACGCCCUCGCGGCCUUGGCAUCAAGUUCCGAUCCAGACUCAAAAGGGUAAUUCCGGUCGAAUUCAUCGAACAUCCGAGUAUCGGACCGCCAGUCGUUGUCAAUCUCAUAGAAGGUCAAGACGACGAGGAAGAAGAGAUUACGAUACCACCACCAUCGGAGCAAUCCGAUUACGGUUGUGAUACCCCAUGGCUUCAGACGAUUCGAGACUACAUUAUCGACGGGCAACUGCCCGCCGAAAAAUGGUCAGCUCGCAAGAUCCGAACACAAGCCGCACGCUACGUAACAGUGGACGGCGAAAUCUACAAGUGGAGAUUCUCCGGACCACUCUUGACGUGCCUGGAAGGAGGAAAGGCGAGGAAAGUGAUGGAGGAAAUACAUUCCGGCUCAUGCGGCAACCAUUCCGGCGGAAGAUCACUAGCCGUGAAAAUCAAACGCCAUGGAUACUAUUGGCCAACGAAUGAUCGGAGAUUGCGAGAAAUUCGCACGAAAAUGCGAAAAAUGCCAAAGGCAUGCGCCAACUAUCCGACAACCGGCCGAAGUUCUUUCCUCCAUUACAUCGCCCUAUCCCUUUAUGCGCUGGGCCAUGGAUAUUGUCGGACCUCUGCAUAAUUCAAAGCAAAGCGGUUCCUUCUAGUGCUUACCGAUUUUUCUCAAAAUGGGUAGAGGCCGACUCGUACGCGAGUAUAAAAGACGUCCAAGUCGAGAAUUUCGUAUGGAGAAACAUCAUCUGUAGGCAUGGAGUUCCUUACGAAAUCGUAACCGAUAACGGGUCUCAAUUCAUUUCCACCCGAUUCGAGGCAUUCUGCGAAAAGUGGAAGAUACGACUCAACAAGUCAACUCCCAGAUAUCCGCAGUGCAACGGACAGGCUGAAACAAUCAACAAGACCAUUCUCGACGGACUGAAGAAACGCUUGGAGGCCAAAAAAGGAGAUGGGCCGACGAACUCGAGGAGUCCUCUGGUCUCACCGUACCACCCCAAGGCGAGCAACGGGAGAAACUCCCUUCGCCUUGGUAUACGGACGGAGUGCAUGAUUCCCGCAGAAGUAGAAUUUCCCGGUGUUCGAAGAAGGUUCUUACCCGAACGAGAGGAACUCAACAAUGCUAUGCUCUUGGACGAUCUCGACCUCAUUAACGAACGCCGGGAUCGAGCGCUCAUCCGAAUUCAAAACUACCAGCACGCCGCUGCAAGAUACUAUAAUUCCAACGUACGGAAUCGUAGGUUCAAUCAGGGAGAUCUGGUCCUUCGCAAAGUUUUCCAAAACACCGCUGAACGAAACGCGGGGAAAACUCGGAGCAAACUGGGAAGGUCCCUAUAAAAUCGAAAAAGUCGUCCGACCAGGUUCCUACGAAAUAGCCAACAUGCAGGGCGUAAAAAUCCCUAGAACCUGGAAUGCGAUGCAUCUCAAAAUACUAUCACUAACGAACCAACUCGCAAUCACUGAACUACGAGACGGCUUGAUCUCCGCAAGGAGUACGUGGCAGUUUGCCGAAAGGCAAAUUCAGCUGUCCCCCUCAUUAAAAAGGGGGGGAGUGGGUACGUAUACUCGUAUACCACCAAAAAAAAAUCGAAAAAACUUCUUACCGCACUCUUGGUGUUUUCGACUUAUCGAAACAUCCUCACCCGUGAAACCACACGAGGUCUUCGGAGAUUAUUCGGCCGCUUGGGAGAAUCAAACCUUUAGCAUCGCGAGACGUCGCAAAAGAUGCCUCAAAGAUGGUUUCUUCCGAGCAAACGAAAUCUCCACAAAAAGACACAUAUAUGCACACAUUAACAUUUAUUUUGCGCAAAUUAAUCAAAACAACGGCACACGCCACCAAGUCCGAUGCUGAUCACAUCGAACUCACAAACGUCCUAAACAGACAUAGCCAUCUCAUGAAGAUGACUCUCUUACAUCCGACACAAGGAUAAUAGCGCUAUAAAAGAAAUCCGAAAUUUUGGUCCAGCACUUCCGGUCUCCGAGAGAGCUCGAUUCGAUCAAACAAGUCGUAUAAGCCGAGAACUUUUCGCGGACUUUACAUCGAUACGAAUCAGGAAGAAAUCGCGACAGGAAAAACGAUAGCCGGUUAGUCGCCGCACAAUCCUUAAACCGAAAGUAAACCUAGGUCUUGCCCUAAACCCAGCGCACUGGUCUCUAACAUCUCGAAGGCAUGAUAUCGAAAGAUAAGAGAUUCUUAAACCACGCCUCUAUGUUACGUUCGAUACCUUCAGCGCCCCCGCGGAGUUCACAUCUCGCGGAAGAACUCUCGAAACAGGUCUCGAAUAAAACAUUUCACAAUCGAAGAAGGAUAUGAGACGACAACUCAUCACCUUCCUCCUCACUAUUCACAAAUUCAUAAAAAGCGUUAUCCGAUUAUCAUAUUAUAAAGCCGCAGAGCGGCAGGGAUUCAAAGCCACACACGGCCAGUCCCGAAAUACAAACAAGGCCAUUCAAGGCCAAAACAUAAAGACAUAAAAAAAAAAAAAAAAAAAAAAAUCUCUCGCAAGAGAUGUAACCCAAAUCACCCUCAGAACUUACGCCCCCUCUUCACCCGCCGCCUCGUCUGAGCAUGGAGCCGCGUCACUUCCAUUCUCUCCGACCAUCGGAUCUUUCCCCUCUGGGUCUUCUGAACACGUCGGAAGGAAGCAAGCGGAUUUUAGGUCAGCCAGGAUGAGACCGAAAUCGCCAUCCUCGGCCGCCAUAUCUCCCUUACAGCCGGACAGUCGGGCCUCUUCGGCCUCCAAGGUCGGGGGAGUCUCACUUUGGAACGACCGAACUACGGCCAUCCCGCCCUCAAUCGUCGCCAAAGCGAAAUCCCUGCUCCGGAUACACUCGAGGGAAUCCAGGGAAGCGGAAAUCUUCGCCAAGCGGACCUGAAACUCCGCGCGAAGGGCAUCCGUAGCCUCUUGGAUCCCGCGGCGCGCUAGUCCAGCGUCGCUCUCGAUUUGACGCUGGAGUCGACGCACUUCCGAGGAUUUGGCCUUCCUGGCCUUCUUUUCUUAAGUAAAGAACUCGCCGUCUUCCCGAGGUCCCUCUCAAGCUCUCCUAUCGCAACCUCGAGCUUCGACACUUUCGCAGAGUGAGAAUCCUCGACAGCCGUCAACAUAGCCUCGGUUUCGGACCAUCUCCCCUGAAGCUCCACCAACUCCCCGGAAAGACGACUGGUCUCAGAGCCGCAUUCGCUGAUCAUCCCAUCGAUCAACGAUAUGAACUGCGAACGGUAAAAAUUCCUAAGAUUAAGUCCGUAAAGAGAAUGCACGAAAGACGAUCGAGAAUUCAAACAAGAAACAAACCUUUCCACGAAGUCCCGAUGCUAGGCUCGACCCACCUCGCUGCGAAGUCUCCCCGUCACCGCUCUUGCCAGUUUCCUCUUCCGACUCUUAGGCUGAGUAACCUGGACAGCGCUAGGAGCACGCAACGCCAGAACGAUUUCUUUUCUGGCCGGAGGCGGAGGCAUAGAGUCAGCUGCCUUUUCUUUGUCCUCGACGAGGAUCGGAGUCGUGGAAGAUCCCGCAGGUAGGACUUGCGGGAGGGGAGCCGCGACGUCAGUCCCAUGACACGGGGCAACGACCUGCUCGGAGGAAGACGGAAACUCGGAGCCAGUCUGAGCCAAUCCUUUCUCGGCUUGACGACGAACUAGUUUCUCUCGGAAAGAAAGAUGACCGGCAACACAAGCCGGCACUUCCGCCGGAGAAGUUGGAACUGGAGCCGGAGAAGUGGCCUCACCCAUCUCGACGUCGGAAUCCUUCUUAUCACCUUGGGAGGAAGACAUGUUGAAAGGAAAGUUAUGAAGCUAGAGAGGUUUUUUGAAGAAAUGAAGAAGGAAAGGUGUGAAGAAAAUGAAUGACAAGAGCUCAUUACUUAUAGAAGUAUGGGUUCGGAACGUCGCCUCGACAACUUUUAUUUCGCGGAGUUUUAAAUGUAAAUUUCGUCCAAUACACUCAACCUUGUAAAAGUCAUCUAUCCGCCCGCUAGAGUCACAACUCUAACGGGCUGGGGGGCUAACUGUUGGGGUCAAAAACGGUUACGACAAAUUUAACAUUCAAAACGUUCGAAUAAGAAAAUAAGAGUUUCUCCGAAGAGUACUUUUCGGAGAAAGAUUCUUCCUUACGAAAAAGCUUCGCGAAAGAAAGAAUCGAGAUAUCCGAGGAAAGCUCGAAACAGGUCGCUACGUAGCGACCGAGCUCGAGCCAAGCUCGGUCGCUACGUAGCGACCGAGCGAUCGUCCCGCUGGGUCGCUACGUAGCGACCGAGCUCGAGCCAAAGCUCGGUCGCUACGUAGCGACCGAGCGAUCGUCCCGCUCGGUCGCUACGUAGCGACCGAGCUCGAGCCAAAGCUCGGUCGCUACGUAGCGACCGAGCGAUCGUCCCGCUCGGUCGCUACGUAGCGACCGAGCUCGAGCCAAGCUCGGUCGCUACGUAGCGACCGAGCGAUCGUCCCGCUCGGUCGCUACGUAGCGACCGAGCUCGAGCCAAAGCUCGGUCACUACGUAGCGACCGAGCGAUCGUCCCGCUCGGUCGCUACGUAGCGACCGAGCUCAGCCAAGCUCGGUCGCUACGUAGCGACCGAGCGAUCGUCCCGCUCGGUCGCUACGUAGCGACCGAGCUCGAGCCAAAGCUCGGUCGCUACGUAGCGACCGAGCGAUCGUCCCGCUCGGUCGCUACGUAGCGACCGAGCUCAGCCAAGCUCGGUCGCUACGUAGCGACCGAGCGAUCGUCCCGCUCGGUCGCUACGUAGCGACCGAGCUCGAGCCAAGCUCGGUCGCUACGUAGCGACCGAGCGAUCGUCCCGCUCGGUCGCUACGUAGCGACCGAGCUCGAGCCAAGCUCGGUCGCUACGUAGCGACCGAGCGAUCGUCCCGCUCGGUCGCUACGUAGCGACCGAGCUCGAGCCAAGCUCGGUCGCUACGUAGCGACCGAGCGAUCGUCCCGCUCGGUCGCUACGUAGCAACCGAGCUCGAGCCAAAGCUCGGUCGCUACGUAGCGACCGAGCGAUCGUCCCGCUCGGUCGCUACGUAGCGACCGGGCUCGAGCCAAAGAUCGGUCGCGGUGUAGCGAUUGAACCUUUCCGAACAGCGAUACGACACCAGUCCUUGCAUUCUCGUCUAACCUUCGAAUGCUAUCUCCCGAAGACCGUGGCAAGCUCAGUCCAUGUUUCCCGCUAUUCUAAUCCAUCGAUCAAAACUUCGAUUAGAAACCGCGGAAAACUCGUAAUAAACGUGUCGAGUCGGAAGACGGCCCAAAGGGACCUAAAACACGACUCGAGGCCCAUCCUACGAUUUUUCCUAAUCAAAAGCCCGUGAACCACAGCAUGGUUCACGCUUGGCCCACGAGGAAGGAUAAAUGUCAAGUUUCCGCGGAUAAAUACGGAAGUUUUGAAGAUAAUUGUGAAGAUCGGGAAAAAUGGAAUAUCUCCAUUUUUUGCUAUGACGGCUUAAGGGCAGAAGAGUAAAAACGUAAACCGACCUUGGAGCUAGUAUAUAAGGAGUCCUAGGCGAGGAGCAGGGGGGGGAACUUUUUCAGAGCAAACUUAGCACUUAGAGCGAUUUAGGCAACUUUCCGUUUUUGUUAUUUCGAGCUGCGACUCAAUUAGGUUUAGCCGUCUUAGGGUUGCUAGAACUAGGAAUCUCGCCGACAGCUCUCGAGCCCAGGCUUAUACCUUGUUGUAACGCUCAUACGCAGAUUCGGAAUAAGAUCUACUUUGCUCUCUUUUCGAUUUCUUAUCUUUAUCGUUGUUAUUCUCGUGUUCUGAUUGCUUGACGUGUGGUAAUUAACAGAUAUCCGGGUCCACUGGGAAACUAGGGUUUUCUUAGUUUCCUUAUUUAAACGGAAAUCGACAGUGCGAAUUUCGGUUCCCACAACGAUCGAUAUCAGGAAAUGCUUCGACAGAUGAAGAUUAAUAUCGAUCGAUGUACACAAGUACCGUCGAUCGAUGUCGAGACACCAGACGCGACAUUUUGGAUUCAGCAGACUUAAAGACCUAGGCCAACCCAAAUUACCAAAAUGUCCUGACGAGUUUUUAACCUAGUAGAAUAUAUACUGCCUAAGUUUUUGACGGCAGGGAGAGCUUUUUCUUUUCUAGACCUAGUUUUGUUACAAGUUUCAUUUUGGAGAGAAGAUCACUUGUGAUUGGAACUCCUUGUUUCAUUUUCUUAUCAUCUAUUCUAUGAGUUUCUAUUUAUCUAUUGAUAUGAAUUGCUUUGCUAUGUCUGAGUAGUUCAACUGUUAGAUCCAGGGUUCAGAUAGGUUUGUGGGAUUAGCCCCAAACUAUAGAUCUGCCUUGUUGUGAUAUUCAUGAUAGAUUUGUAUUCAUUGCUUGUUUUAGCCUAGCUAACUAGAACUUGAUCAUAGGAUUGCAUAUUCAAGCACCCUUGUUAUCCCAUCCUGACAUCUAUCUAUCAUAUUAGAAUUGCUAGAGAGGGCUAACCGCCAAUUUAGAAUCUUAGUAGAGCAUUUUCAUACUCGCGCAUAGGCCUGGCUAGAACCCGUCGAUCAAUGUCCUCAACUGACAAUCGAUUGAUGUUGGCAAAAGUGUAUCUGUCGACGUCUUAAUAGACUAUCGAUCGACACUCUCUUGUGUCUGCAUCUAACCGGUGAGACACAAGAUCUAGUCUGUUAACCAGUGGUACAUGCGACAGCUGAUCACUGAGUUAAGCGAAUGAGCUCUAAUAUAUCAUGCAUGCAACAGUUAGGCAUCUAUAGGAAUUAUAAUCUCCAACACCUGAAUAGUGGCCCUGCAUCUAAUAUCAUUUCCAACCUAAGUUACAUUUAUUAUUUACUCGCUAGUUACUAUUGCUAUUUUAUUCAAAACAUUACAACCUUUAGAAUUAAUAAACACUAGAUUUAAUUGUUCCCUAGCUCCUUGUGGAUUCGAUCCCUAAGUACUACAUCUGAACCUCUUUUGAUGAGAGUAACACUCCUUAGGGUAAUUUGAGUGGUAUCAGGCUCCUCCAAGCUUCUCACUGAAAUAAGCCACUGGUUUUCCAUCCUGCAUCAACACAGCACCAAUACCAACACUAGAAGCAUCACAUUCGAUUUUCAAAAGCUUUUGAAAAAUCUGGAAGUACAAGUAAAGGGGCGUGAGUCAACUUCCCUUUAAGGAUUUCGAAUGCUUCUUCCUGAGCUGGUCCCCAUUUGAACCCCACGUUCUUCUUGAUUACUUCAGUAAGAGGAGCGGCCAAGGUAUUGAAGUUCUGAACAAAUCGCCUAUAGAAGCCGGCAAGGCCAUGGAAGCUUCUCACUUCACCAAUGGUGGUCGGAAUCGGCCAGUCCCGGAUUGCUUGGACCUUCUGCUCGUCCACUCUCAAGCCAUCUGCACCUACAACAAAACCUAGAAAGACCACAUGAUCUGUGCCAAAAGAACACUUUCCAAGGUUAGCAAACAAACCUUCCUUUCUAAGGACUUCAAGAACAGAUUUCAAGUGAUGUUUGUGCUCAUCAAGGCUUAUGUCAUCAAAGUAAACUACAACAAAAUGACCAAUAAAAGAGCUCAAGACAUGAUUCAUUAGGUGCAUGAAAGUACUAGGUGCAUUAGUGAGACCAAAGGGCAUGACAAGCCACUCAUACAAACCUAGUUUUAUUUUAAAGGCCGUUUUCCAUUCAUCACCUUCUUUCAUCCUAAUCUGAUGAUAGCAACUUCUCAAAUCUAUCUUAGAAAAGUACUUAGAACCAUGGAGUUCAUCAAGCAUAUCAUCAAGACGAGGGAUAGGAUGUCGAUACUUUACCGUGAUGUUGUUUAUGGCUCGGCAGUCCACACACAUCCUCCAGGAGCCAUCCUUCUUUGGUACAAGUAGAACAGGCACGGCACAGGGACUGAGACUCUCUCUCUGAUGUAUCCCUUCUCAAGCAAGUCGUUGAUCUGUUUCUGCAGUUCCUUGGUCUCGACCGGAUUGGUGCGGUACGCUGGUCGGUUCGGUAGAGAGGCGCGCGGGACGAGAUCGAUCUGAUGCUCAAUGCCUCUCACCGGUGGCAAUCCUUUGGGAUUUUCUUCUGGAAACACAUCAGAAUAAUCCUGCAAGAUACCUAAUAACUCACUCGGAAUAUCCGGUGCAAGGUCAGAAGAAGAUGAGGCCAAGAGAGACUCGUUAUAAAUCAGUAAGAGAAAUAGCUUUUGAGAGCAAAGAGACUUCCUUACCUGACUUUCUUUGACAAAGAAGUUGGAGUUUCUGGUACAGGUCUCAGGUUUAUCAGCUUUAGAGUCUUGGUCUUGGUUCUUCUUAAGUUGGACCUGGUCUUGAUGGACUUCCGAAGGCGACAAAGGCACCAAGGUGAUCUUCUUUCCUUUAUGAUCAAAUGAGUGACGGUUUGUGAAACCAUCAUGCACUGCAUUCUUGUCAAAUUCCCAAGGCCGGCCCAAGAGAACAUGGCAAGCAUCCAUGGGAAGCACAUUGCAAACAACCUCAUCGUCAUAUCAGCCAAUGGAGAGUGGAACCGUGACUUGCUCCUUCACAUACUGUUCUCCAGACUCAUUGAGCCACUCCAACCUGAAAGGACGAGAAAGAGGCCGAGUAACAAGCCCAAGUUUCUUUACAAGAGUGUCACUAGCCACAUUAGUGCAACUUCCUCCAUCAAUAAUUAAGGAACAAACUUUACCAGAAAUGAGACAUCUAGAGUGAAAGAAAUUCUCCCUUUGAUCUUUGUCAUUGGAUUUUGGUUGGACACUCAAGGAACGCCUAGUAACCAGUAGUGAACCAUGGCUUGGCUUAUCAAGAACAUCCUCAUCAUAGAUCGGAUCAGAACUCUCCACAAAGGUCGAGCAAAACUCAUUGAUCACUCCAUCGACCUCCUCAUCAAAGAUGGGAUCAGUGGUGUUGUCCAAGACCUUCCUAGUAACAAGAAGGGGACCAUGAACUAGGAAGUCAAGUGCCUCUUCCUCAUCAUCAUCAUCAUACACUGGUCCGAGAUCCUUCUUGUCUUCUUCAGAUUCAACUUCUCCAUUUUCCAAGAGCACCAUCACCUUUUGGUUUGGACAUCGGUUGGCAUAGUGUCCAAGGCAAUGACACCUAAAGCAUUGGAUGUCUCUGGUUCGUUUGGUAGCCUCUUCUUUUUUCUCUGUAUCAACACGAGUAGGGACAUUAGUCUGAAAAGUUGUAUUCGUUGUGGAAGAAGACUUACCCUUGUCUUGAUAGUUUGGCUUGGAAGCAAAGGUCGGUUUAGUGAGACCCUUUCUCUUGACUUGUUGCUCGAUCAGCACGGCCUUGUGUAACAUCUGCUCCAUGCUGUCAUAGUCUUCCAGCUCCAUGCGGUCUUAUAUGUCCCGGUUGAGCCCGGUAAGAAAUCUGGCCAUGGUGGCGUCUAAGGGCUCUUCUACAUCAGCUUUGAUCAUCAAGGUCUCCAUCUCCUGGUGAUAGUCCUCAACUGACUUAGAACCUUGAAGCAAACGCCUGAGUUUAUGGUGUAGAUCUCUGUGGUAAUGGUCGGGAACAAAGCGUCUCCGCAGCAGCAUGGAAAGCUCAUCCCAUGUAUCAACUGGCGCCUCACCUGCUCUCCUCCUGCUAGUCACAACUCGAUCAUACCAGUUAAUAGCAUAGCCAGUAAACUCAGCAGCAGCAAGUCUAACCUUUUUAAUAUCAGAAAAAUUUUGACAAUCAAACACAAGUUCAAUUUUUCUUUCCCAUUCAAGAAAAGCAUCCGGAUCAUUUUUGCCAUCAAAACUUGGAAUUUUCAAUUUCAAACCACCCAAGCCAUCAUUGGUUCUUUCAUUUCUACCAAAAGGAUUGACAUCACUUCGGUUUUGAUGCCUAGGAACUCUCCUUCGACGGUUGAUGGAUUGAUCAUCAUCAUAAGACUCUUCUCGGAUUUCUAGGUCGGACCGGCUGUUCCUCCUUAGAUGGUCACGUCUGGUUCUGGUUCGUGGCUGAGUUGGAUGGCCCUGAAGUUCAUCUAGCCUCUAAUGGAUUGCCUCCAAACCUGUAUUCAACAAGUUAGACAUAGAGUCAUUGAGAGCACGCAUUUGCAAGUUAGAUAAUCCGGCAUGUGAAUUUCCGGGUCGGUUUCUUUCUUCUUCACUAUCCAUGGCUACCUGAAAACUUAAACAAUGUAAAGUUAGAUUAAAAACCUCACACACUCAGGUGUUUAUCCUUACCCACACACGUGUUUUACUCAAUUUAGUAGUCACACAAGAGAGUUUCCCUCAAAGUUCUAAGAGAACAAACUAGAUAACCCAAAAUGAGAAUCCCAAGUGAAACACCCAAGAGACAAGAUAGAAAGAUAAGUGAUUUAACAAGGGGAAUCCGUAUUAACCACCUCCAAGGCCGGAUUUCUCCUCGGCCAGCGGGCUUACUCUUCCACCACCAAACCACAAUUGAAAACUUUUGAUAUCUUUUCUUUCUUUUUUUUUUUUUUGAUUAGAUCUUUCUUUUUUUUUUAAUAUAUGGAUGGUAAAGAGGGGUCCGGAUUCAAAGAUAGAUAGAAGAAGAAUUUUUUUUUUUAUGAAGAAAAUGAUAGAUGAGAAAGAUGGAAUGAAAAGAGAUACCAGAAGAGUGGCUCUGAUACCACUUGAAGAACCCUAAGGAACGAACACUCAACUGGAUCUGUUGAUAUGAACUCGAUCUGAAGAGAUAGAUAACUGAUGGAUUGUUUAGUGACACAAAGGGAUGCGGAAGACCCAAUGAUACUACUAGAACUCUCAAUGGCCGCUUGAUUUGACACACAAGUCCGGCUCAAAGAAAGGGGAUUCACUUGGAGAUAGCUUCACCAAGGGAACAAGAAUGUUCUAAUCAAAGAACAAAGAAAGAAAACUCAAAAAUGAAUAAGGAAAAUCGAUUAUCUUAUUUCAAGGAUGUGUUCUCAUACUUAUACAACUUAUAGUCAAAGAUAAUAAAUAAAAAUGUAUGAAAAAGAGACCUAGAAAAUAGAUAGAAGACCAAAUCUAGUCAAAGCACAUAAAAUAAUGUUGACUGGUCGAUUUGAACUCUUUGGCUACUCUUGUCCAGGUUUGGUGUAACUGAUAGCACGUCCCGCGAUAAUGAGCAGUACACGGCCGGUACGGUCUUCAUGUACGGACGGUUGAUUUUCAUGGACUGUUCCGGGCCAAAAGGUGGCUAAGUCUUCGGACAACCUCAAGAGUCCUGCCUUAGAGAGAUUUGGCUGAUCAAAGUUCAUGAACUGAUCGAAGUGUCGGAUCAGUUCAUCAGAACGAUCGCCAGUUCGGCCGAGACGGCUUAAGAGAGAGAGACCAUGGUCGGAUUUGGAUUCCACUCGAUCAACUUCACUUCUGACUUGACCGAUGGACUUAGCAUGACGAACAGGACGGUAAAGGCGAACUUCAGUACGGUUGAUUUGGCCAUCUGGUCGCGGGUUAUUCUAAAGCUCCAAUCCGGACGAGUGCUGGUCGAGACGAUACACGGCCCGAGCAGUCUGUUUGGCCCGAUCAAUGGACUGAACCUCAGGUUUAUUUGGCUCAGCCCUUGAGACAAGCCACAGGGAGGCCAUGGUUUAUCGCUUCAAGGCAUAGAAAGCAGAAGAAGAUCUUGCACGUAUUCAAAACAAAAUUUUAGAGCGAUAUUCGAGACUUGCCAAGGAUCAUGCCAAGGCCGUCCAUCAAGCGGAAAGGAGAGGUAGGAGAGAGAUUGUCGAGAUGAUGAGAAACUGAUAGAACCAAAAUAUGGAAGGAUCACUUUAGCUGGGUGUUGGAUAUGAUCCGAGAAGGCAAACGGCACUUCUGGAACUGAGAUGGAUUGAAAGGAUCGUCAAGAGAUGCGGAAUGGCUCUUGAUAUACCCACGAUCUAAGGCUAACCACCUAAGAAAGAAUGUAAUGCGUUGGCUAACCACCAAACAACACACAAAGAUGAAUUGGCUGACCACCAAAUCAACAAGCCGGUUCAAACCGAUGAACUAGCUAAGAACUCUCUCUCUCACUCAGAGAAGAAACGAAAUAAACAACCAAAACUGAACUGAUUUUAUUCAUCAAAGGGACUACAUAUUUAUAAUGUUUUGUAGUCAAAGAUAAUUAAAGAAAUUGUGUAAAAAUAAUACAUAGAAAAUAUAAUCUUGACCAGAUCUGAAUUAAUGAGUCAAAGACUCAGUCUUCCAUGCAGAUUGGUCAAAGAUGACUCUUCAGCUGAUGUCCAGGUUCAUCCGAACCCAUUGGAUGCACGGCGGUAACGAUAAGGACUCCUACGGGAAUGUCCGGAUGGUCCGCUGGGUGAGAAUCCAUGUCUGUCUUCAGGUUCAUCACGACCCAAGCUAAGUCUAGCUUGAUCCAAGUCAAAUCUGGCAUGAUCUUUCUCAAGUCUGGCAUGAUCUUUCUCAAGUCUGGCACGGUGAAAAACAUGAACCUCGGUUGAAAUGUUCAGAACGUCCUGAACUCCAUGCUGAGCUAGUUCCAUGUAAUGAUCCGUGGACUGUGGCACAUCAUUCCCUUCCUCUUCAAAAAGAUUUGUCCUCAAAUCUGAAACAUUAAAAGGAAAAGGGUUAUAAGCAAAAGAAAAACGUUGCUCACCUUGAGUUUGGUCCGGUUUUUGAAUGGAAGAAGAUCUUUCUUGGUUUGCUUGAUGACCAAGAAUUUUUUCUUCAUCUAGCCCCUCCAUUGGGUCAUAUGUGAAGUCAUGGAAAAUUGGCAAUGGAUCUUUCUUUUCUGGCUCGGUUUCAACGUUCUCAUUCUCCAAAGUCACCAACGGUUUCUGUUUUUGGCACUUGUUAGCAUAAUGACCGAUCCUACGGCAUUUGAAGCACCUGGUAGAAUGAGCUUUGCUUGUGGGUUUCACAGCUUUGCUUUUAUCAGAAGACAACACAUUAGUUUUCAAAUCAGAAUUUGAAAGAGAAGAAAAAUUACUUUGCUGUUUAGGUGAAGUGUUGGUGUUUCCCUUCUUUUUGAGUUGUCGGAUAGUAUGAAUUGCCUUAUGCAACAUCUUUUCCAAACUGGCAUAAGCCUGAAGCUCAUUCUGAUCAAACACAUCACGGUUGCUUCUCUUGGCUUUGGUGAAGGGACGAUCACCACUUCUGACCCACUUCUCAUCAUCAUCGAACAUGUUUUGUCUCUUCCUUUCGUUUCUUUGCUUCUGCACAAAAUCAAACCCAUUAGAAGCAAACUGUUUCUUAUUUCCAAAAAUCAUUUUCUCUUUUUCUAACACGGUUUUAAAAGGAAAGUAAACGUCUUGUUGUGGUUUUGAAUUCUUGAGAAGUCCAAACAUCCUGAAAACACUUAACAAAAGAGGUAGCAAAUAAAAAUCCUCACACUCUCAAAGUGUUUAGCUCACGAUUUUUAGGUGAUCACUCAGAGUUCUUUCCACUGGUUCAAAGGAUGAUAGGCAGUCAAAAUUCAGCAAUCAAAACCCAAAAUAAACUUUUGUGGGAAAAAGAAAAGAUAAAGAAAGAUGAAGAGAUUUUUGAAAUGGAUCCGCCUUAACUGUCCUAAGGCUGGGUUUCUCUUCAGCCAGCAGGGUUUCUCUUCCACCACUCCCCCUGGAUUUCUCUUCAGAAGUGAUUCAAGCCAAAACUUUUACUCUUUAUUUUUUUGAUCGAUUUUUCUUUCUCUUUUUUUUUUUAAUAACUGGUGAUCACAAGGGAGUAAAGGAACAGCCCGGAUCCAACAAGAAAUAAGAAAAGAAAAUCGUGGAGAGAUGAGAAGAUGAAAAGAUGAAAUGAAAACAAACCAGCCAAAGUGGCUCUGAUACCACUUGAUAGAACCAAAAUAAGGAAGGAUCACUUUAGCUGGGUGUUGGAUAUGAUCCGAGAAGGCAAACGGCACUUCUGGAACUGAGAUGGAUUGAAAGGAUCGUCAAGAGAUGCGGAAUGGCUCUUGAUAUACCCACGAUCUAAGGCUAACCACCUAAGAAAGAAUGUAAUGCGUUGGCUAACCACCAAACAACACACAAAGAUGAAUUGGCUGACCACCAAAUCAACAAGCCGGUUCAAACCGAUGAACUAGCUAAGAACUCUCUCUCUCACUCAGAGAAGAAACGAAAUAAACAACCAAAACUGAACUGAUUUUAUUCAUCAAAGGGACUACAUAUUUAUAAUGUUUUGUAGUCAAAGAUAAUUAAAGAAAUUUUGUAAAAAUAAUACAUAGAAAAUAUAAUCUUGACCAGAUCUGAAUUAAUGAGUCAAAGACUCAGUCUUCCAUGCAGAUUGGUCAAAGAUGACUCUUCAGCUGAUGUCCAGGUUCAUCCGAACCCAUUGGAUGCACGGCGGUAACGAUAAGGACUCCUACGGGAAUGUCCGGAUGGUCCGCUGGGUGAGAAUCCAUGUCUGUCUUCAGGUUCAUCACGACCCAAGCUAAGUCUAGCUUGAUCCAAGUCAAAUCUGGCAUGAUCUAUCUCAAGUCUGGCAUGAUCUUUCUCAAGUCUGGCACGGUGAAAAACAUGAACCUCGGUUGAAAUGUUCAGAACGUCCUGAACUCCAUGCUGAGCUAGUUCCAUGUAAUGAUCCGUGGACUGUGGCACAUCAGAAACCGUGCUACUCAGUUCAAGACCGAGUAUGGAAACCUUAAGGAGGCUUAUUCCUUGGUGGGCGAUUUUGGCGAGUGUCGUAGUUAAGUUGGUACCCUUUGGAAGACGCAUGCGGACGUCUUUAUUUUCAAGGAUGAUAUGGAUAUCAUGAAAGAUGGCAUGAAUGAUCAUGCCCAUGCCGAGGCGCUUAUUUCCGCCGAUCGAUGGGAGGAUUCUGGGAUUCUGGGAUCCCAUCCCAGUUUCUCCUUAUACGGGGGAGGUCACGACCGAGGUUACUGGUGAUGAUGAGGAGGUGGACUGUCCCGCGGAAGCAUUUGGAGCUUCCAUGUCUGGGGGUUUUAACUUUGAUCUGUGAGAAUCGAAGUUAGCAUUUGACGGGAAGAAAUUUCCCCCUAUCUUGUGUUUAUGGCCGAGUGUGGCCUUUAUGUUGAAACUUUGUGUGGGCCUGUUUGGCCGCUUUGUUUUUAUCAGGACUGGCCGUUGGUGUCUCCGAAUUCCUACCACUCUGCAGUUUUAUAUAUGAUGAAUAUUUAUCGAACUACUUUGUUCUGAAUAUGUCUGAAAUAAAUAUGAGUUGUCGUCUCCUAUUUAAUUCUAGCAAGACGUUCAAUCUGUUGGUUUGCUCGAGAUGUGAAUUUUCGCAAAAAUUGUUUAUAUAUUUUUACGAAGUUUCAUGAACGUUAAGAUAUGGACGGAGAGACAUGUUUUAAGAUCUCGUAUCAUUUUUUAGAUACCAUGUCUUGAGAUUUUAAAGACCAGUGUGUUGGGUUUAGGGAAGACCUAGGUUUACAUUCGUUUUUAAGGUUUAUCCGGUGACUGGCCGGCUAUCAAUUUUCCUAUUGUGAUUUCAACCUGAUUCAUACUGAUUUAAAGUCUGCGAUAGGUUCUCGGCUUAUACGACUUGUAUGGUGUGAAUCGAGCAUCUCUCCAGCGACAAUUUUUAAGCCAACUGGAAGUGCUUGACCAAAAUUUCUGAUUUUUUAUAUAGCGCACUUUUAUCCUUGUGUCGGAUGUUUGAGGAUCAGAAUGAUCAUGGUGCGUUUGUUUAAGAAGGUUGAUGUGUUCGUCGGGACCAAUCAACGAGGAGCAUGUAAAUAUUCACUGAAAUUUUAUUGUCACGUUUGGACAGUUGUUCGUAUAGUUUCGAUUCUAACUUUGGCGUCGUCUCGCUGUUAUUUCGAAGACUAUACAAAUGUUUUAAAUUCUGAAAGGUUUGCGAACGUUUUGCGAUUUGGACCAGAUGCGGCUGUUGACAAGAAUUGAAUGUUUGUAGAGAUUUUUGCUUAGCUGAAUCGUAAGAGUUCAUAAAAUGCGUAUGGUAGUAAAAGUUUUAAAAAGCUCGAGUACAAUAAUGCAUGUUUUAAAAUGUGGGACUAUACGAGUAUACGUACCCUCUCCCCCCCCCCUUUUUUUUUAGAGAGGGGGAUAGCUGAACUCGUCUUUCGACGAUCUGCCUACGUACCUCUUUCGAGGAUCAAGCUAUCUCGUAGUUCUAUUUUAUGCCGCGAGUGUUUCUACUCGGCGGUUGGUGCUGUGUUGACUGCCUUAGUCGUGGUGACAGUGGCAAGAUCGAUGUCUUUGUCCGGGUUUUUCUUUUCCGGUUGAGUGACAGCGUUGAUUUUGGAAUCAGGCUGAGUUUUGAUAUCUGAGGCGUUUGCUUCAGUAGACGAUGUCGAGUCGUCUUUCUUUGAAGUGUUUUCAGCCAAAGGCUGAGUUAACUUCGUGCGUUUACGAUUUACCAUCGUGGUAGUUGUGAUUUGUCUUAACUUAUGCUCUGCGAGAAACCUAAGUCGCGACUGUUUCUGACAACCCCAUAUUACAGCGACCCCGCUCUGGGUCGGGAAUUUGAUGCCCAGGUGAUAUGUAGACGGAACGGCUUUCAUGGCGUCCAGCCAUGGGGUUCCCAUGAUCACAUUAUAGAUGGCAGGAUGAUCGACCACAACGAAGUCGAUGAUCUUUGUGACUUCCUUUGCCAGGACAGGUAGCCGGAUUGAUCCGAUAGUCAUUGAUGUUUUGUCUGACGAGACUCUUGCGACUUCCAGAUCUCAUAUGACGAGAUCUAUGACGAGUGGAUCGCAGUGAGGCUGAUCGAUUCCGCCGGCUUCCUCUUACGUGAAAGUUAUCGAGUCGCUUCGACCAUCUCACAGAGGAGACCAUGUUGGCCAAUUUGCACUUGACUCGGCAUUUCGCUGGUAGGCCUUGAUGGCCGAGACCGUGUCGUUACAGUACUGUGAUCCUCCGAUGAUCACGUUUACUCUACGAUGAUUGUUAUCGUGUGCUUUGUCGUCUGAUCUCCUUCCGCGUUUAUCCCCUGCUUGAUUUCUCCGAGGAGAAUUUUCUGCGGGUGAAUUUUUGUCGGUUUUUGGAGGACAAUCGGUCUCAAGGAUGAGAUAUUUAAUGCUGGCUGCUUCGGAGAGCUCUCCGGCUAGUAGCUUUGCGGCCAGUCUCGCUCUCAAGACUUUGCAGUUAGUCGUCGAGUGUCCUCGAGUCUGGUGGAUCUUUGUCGUAUCUUGGAUUGAGAGUCUAUGUAUUGCCCGAGGCUCUGCCUUGUUCCGAACUGACUGCGUAGUAUGUAGCGUUGUAGACGUGCGGCAGGAAUUUAGAACCAACAAUGGUUCAGGAGACAGUUGAUACACCCUAAAUCGGGAAGGAUCACUUUAGCUGGGUGUUGGAUAUGAUCGGAGAAGGCAAAUGGCACUUCUGGAACUGAUAUGGAUUUAAAAGAUCGUCAAGAGAUGCGGAAUGGCUCUUGAUAUACCCACGAUCUAAGGCUAGCCACCUAAGAAAGAAUGAAUGUGUUGGCUAACCACCAAACAACACACAAAGAUGAAUUGGCUGACCACCAAAUCAACAAGCCGGUUCACACCAAUAAACUAGCUAUAGAACUCUCUCUCUCACUCAGAGAAAAGAAGAAAACAAAAAUAAACUCAAACUUUGACUGAUUUUAUUAUGAGAAAUGUUUACAUAUUUAUACUACUCGAGGAAUAGAAAAAGACUUAAGAAUGUAUUAAAGACAAACUUAGUAAAUCGAAUCUAGAUGAGAAAUUUAAAGACAAUGUAUUAAAACUCUUGGAUCUCAGAUCUGGUCAAAGGGACUCUUCGGCUAACGUCCAGGUUCAUCUGAACCAAGUGGUUCGUUUGCGGUAAGGAUCAAGAUGUGGGCUGGACGAUCCGUACGGCCCAAAUUCGCGAGAAUUGAAGAUCUCCUGAUUUGCAAAUUGCAUAACUCUCACAUGUGAACUCCGUUUGAUCUGAUUCAUCUUCGAGGAGCUCUGUAAUUGAGUUGAGCACAUUCUCCAAGGAAUUUCAUGCAUAGAGGACUCGUGGUUUGGAAGAUAUGAGUCAAACAAUGAACAUAUAUCAUUACUGCUUUCCAUGAUCAAGCCAUGCAUGUCUGUUUUGCCCGAUGCGCUACUCAAGGGCGCAUCAUUCCCUUCCUCUUCAAAACGAUUUGUCCUCAAAUCUGUAACAUUAAAAGAAAAAGGUUUAUAAGCAAAGAAAUCAUAAUCAGAUUAUUGCUAACCUUGAGUUUGGUCUGGUUUUUGAAUGGAAGAAGAGCUUUCUUGGUUUCCUUGAUGACCACAGUUUUGUUCUUCAUAUGGCCCUUCCUGCAUUGACACAAAGCUUCCAAGACCAAGGUCAUAUGCACCAAUAUCAAGAGCAUUCAAAGGACCAGAAAAUUCAUCCUUGUUCAAAACGUUUUCAGAAUUCUUUUCAAACUAAGAAAUUAAUUCAAAACUACUUGGAUUCUCUGGUUGUAAAACAGUUAAUUGCAAGCAAGAUUCAUCAGGAAUUGAUUCAGAUUGAGAAGAAAAUAAAUUCUUAUGUACACAAGAUUUCAAACCUGCCAUUGGCUCAUGUGUGUAGUCAUUGAAAAUUGGCAAUGGGUCUGAAAAUUCUUCCUUUUCUGGCUCGGUUUCAACGCUCUCAUUCUCCAAAGUCACCAACGGUUUCUGGUUUUGGCACUUGUUCGCAUAAUGACCGAUCAUCUGGCAUUUGAAGCACCUGGUAGAAUGAGCUUUGAUUGUGUGUUUCACAGCUUCGCGUUUAUCAAAAGAAAACACAUUAGUUUUCAAAUCGGAAUUUGAAAGAGAAGAAAACUUACAUUGCUGUUUUGGUGCAGAAGAAGUGUUGGUGUUUCCCUUCUUUUUGAGUUGCUGAAUAGCAAAAAUUGCCUUAUGCAACAUCUUUUCCAAGCUGGCAUAAGUCUGAAGCUCGUUCUGAGCAGGCACAUCACGGUUGCUUCUCUUGGCUUUGGUGAAGGGACGAUCACCACUUCUGACCCACUUCUCAUCAUCGCACCUGUUUUGUCUCUUCUUUUGUUUCUGCACAAAGUCAAACCCAUUAGAAGCAAACUGUUUCUUAUCAAAAAUCAAUUGCUUCUUUUCAAAAACAGUUUUAAAAGGAAAGUAGACGUCUUAUUGUGGUUUUGAUUUCUUGAGAAGUCCAAACAUCUUGAAAACACUUAACAAAGUUAGCAAAUAAAAAUCCUCACACUCUCAAGUGUUUAGCUCACGAUUUUUAGAUGGUCACUCAGAGUUUUUUCACUGGUUCAAAGGAUGAUAGGCAGUAAAAAAUCAGCAGUCAAAACCCAAAACAAACUUUGUGGGAAAAAGAAAAGAGAGAAAAAAAAUAAAGAGAUUUUUCUGUGAAUCCGCCUUAACUGUCCUAAGGCUGGGUUUCUCUUCAGCCAGCAGGAUUUCUCUUUUACCACUCCCCCUGGAUUUCUCUUCAGAAGUGAUUUAAGCCAAAACUUUUACUCUUUUUUUUUUGAUCGAUUUUUUUUUCUCUUUUUUUUUUAAUAACUGGCAAUCACAAGGGAGUAAAUGGACAGGCCGGAUCCAACAAGAAAUAAGAAAAAAAAAUCGUGGAGAGAUGAGUAGAUGAAAAGAUGAAAUGAAAACAAACCAGCCAAAGUGGCUCUGGUACCACUUGAUACGCCCUAAAUCGGGAAGGAUCAUUUUAGCUGGGUAUUGGAUAUGAUCCGAGAAGGCAAAUGGCACUUCUGGAACUGAUAUGGAUUGAAAGGAUCGUCAAGAGAUGCGGAAUGGCUCUUGAUAUACCCACGAUCUAAGGCUAGCGACCUAAGAAAGAAUGAAUCUGUUGGCUAACCACCAAACAACACACAAAGAUGAAUUGGUUGACCACCAAAUCAACAAGCUGGUUCAGACCAAUGAACUAGCUAUAGAACUCUCUCUCUCACUCAGAGAAAAGAAGAAACAAAAAUAAACUCAAACUUAGACUGAUUUUAUUAUGAGAAAUGUUUACAUAUUUAUACUACUUGAGGAAUAGAAAAAGACUUAAAAAUGUAUUAAAGACAAACUUAGUAAAUCGAAUCUAGAUGAGAAAUUUAAAGACAAUGUAUUAAAACACUUGGAUCUCAGAUCUGGUCAAAGAGACUCUUCGGCUAACGUCCAGGUUCAUCUGAACCAAGUGGUUCCUUUGCGGUAAGGAUCAAGAUGUGGGCUGGACGAUCCGUACGGCCCAAAUUCGCGAGAACUGAAGAUCUCCUGAUUUGCAAAUUGCAUAACUCUCACAUGUGAACUCCGUUUGAUUUGAUUCUUCUUCGAAGAGCUCCGUAAUUGAGUUGAGCACAUUCUCCAAGGAUUUCAUGCGUAGAGGACUCGUGGUUUGGAAGAUAUGAGUCAAACAAUGAACAUAUAUCAUUACUGCUUUCCAUGAUCAAGCCAUGCAUGUCUGUUUUGCUCGAUGCACUACUCAAGAGCGCAUCAACAGUAGAGCACGUAGAGAUGCUUAAGACUCGGCUUAAGGAAGCCCAUGACCACCAGAAGAGCUAUGCAGAUAAGCGUCGUAAGGACUUGGAUUUUCAGGUAGGAGACUUAGUAUACCUGAAAAUGAGGACAUUCUAAGGAGGAUCUAAGACUCGAAAGCUAAAGAAGCUUAAACCGAGAUAUAUGGGACCAUACCCUAUUGUGGAGCGGAUUGGAGCAGUGGCUUACAGAUUGCGGUUAUCAGCAGAGUUGUCAGAUUUCCAAGAUGUGUUCCAUGUAUCAGUUUUGAGGAAAGUUGUGAGGGAACCAGAGCUCAUUUUGCAGCAGCCACCGAGUGAUCUUGAGAACAUUUUGUAUGCACCUUGUCAGCCAGUUGAGAUUUUAGAUCGGCAACUGAAAGCUGUUCAGGGGAUGAUGACCAGUUUAGUUAAAGUUCGUUGGGAGAGAGACGGGAUCCAGGAGGAACAUGGGAGGCGAGAAUCAGAUGAGGAUUGAUUAUCCAUAGCUUUUUCAGGACGGUAUUGGAUAGUCGGUUCAGUAGCCGAAUUCAGGGACGAAUUCUUUAUUAGUGGGGGAGAAUUGUAACGACCCAAAUCCGCAGGCCCAACAAGGCCCAAUUAAUUUGCAGAGAACCCUAGGCACUUCCUUAUAAAUUCUAUCCCCACACAUUAUUUUAUUCAGAAAAGUCUAAGGCGUCGAACCUCUGCAGAGUUUGAGCCGUCAGAGAGAGAUAUUGGUGAACUGUCUCAGCCACCGUCGACUGAUAUCAGAUCCAUCACGCCGCCGCCGUCUCACACCCUAGGUAAUCCGUGAACCGCCUUUUCCGAUUGGUUAGGUUUUGGCCGUUUAGUAAAUCGUCGAUAUCUCUCUAACCAUUGGGUUUCUCGCGAUUUCAAGGCUAUCAGUGUGUUUGUGACGUCGAGACGAGUCUGGGGCAGGAGUUUCAGCCGGAGAUCCACCGCGACGCGCCCACAUGCGCAGGAGAAAGAUUCGCGCGUGAAUCUCACGCGCCACCAUCUCCGUCGGACGUUCGCCGGAGCCACCGCAGCCGGCCACCAUCCGUUCGCCGUCAGUAAGCCGCUGCCGCAUCGCCGCCGCGUCUACGCCGCCGCCGGUGAUUUUCCGGUAAACCACCACCGUUGUUGGCCGCGACUCGCCGGUCGACACGCUGGUAACUCGGUGACUCGGCCGAGUCGACUCAGCGAGUCAAGCCGUUGACCAGUCAAGCCGGUUCGGUUGGUCAAUUGAUUUUGAUUAUUGAUUAAACUGAUCAGUUAUUGGAUUGAUUUUCGGUUAGUAUUAAACCGAUUUGAAAUCGAUUUGAAUCUGGUCCAGUUGAAAUCGAAUUCGGUUAAGGAAAACCGGGUGGUUCAAUUCGAUUUCAAUUUGGUCAAGGGUUGACCGGCUUGGGUCAGAGUUGACCGGGCUGACCUUUGACCAGCGGGUUUAGCUUUUGACCAGAUCGCCGGUUAUCCGUUUUGGACCGUUCGAAGGGCAUUCUCAUUCAAUUUUUCGCCCUGAUUUCAGAUUUGGAGUUUUUUUGAGCAGCUGGAGUUCAUAGCUAUCACUUUUCUACAUUGCUAAGGUGAGAGUCUAUUUCGUAAAUCCUGUACCAGUGUAGAAUUCUCUCUAUCGUCAUUUAGAUUUCAAAUCAUGAUCCGUCUGUUUGAAUUGAGUCUUGAUUGUAAGUUAGUUCAUUCAUUGUGAACUGGAACUAAGGGUCUAGAGGAUUCAACCUUUGAUUGGAUUGUGUGAUGUUAAGAAAUGCGGUAUAUAUAUGUAUGUACACAUAGUUAUGAGUAGGGACUAUGUGCGCGGGCGGGGGCUCAAAGAUGUCUGGGCUAGCGACGCUAUUUUACUUGUGCGGGCAGGGGUUCAGAGACGUCUGGACUUGCGAUGCUACGUGUGCGGGCGUGUGGUGUAGAGACGUUUGUACCAUGGAUGCUACUUGAGAGGGCGGGGGUACAGAGACUUAUUGUACUAGCGACGCUACGUAUUAUGUAUCCAUAUGAGGAGAUGGGGGUGUAUGGACUAGCUAUAUGCUAUCAUCGCAUUGUUUGUGUUUGUGUGAUGCGCUAGGCGUAGUGUGUGUUCAUGUUAGAGCUAAACUUCCAUAGUGGGAGUUCUAUUUACUCAAGUCAGUGGUUUGUGUGUUUAGCAUCCCAUACCUCACGGAGUAACUCCCCUGUUACUCAUCCCUUCUAUUCCUUUCCCUUUCAGGUGAGACUGACGAGCAUAAGUGAUUGCUAUCAGACUGGUGCUUUGGGAGUUUUAUUUACUUUCUUUUUCAGACUUGUGGUUUUAUGCUUUUACCGAUAUUUUCGAAAUUUAUUAUGUUAUUUGGAUUUAUGGCUAUUUAUUGGAUUUCUGGUUUGGACUUGAAUUUUGAGAAGUAAUAAAUGGAGAUUUCGGACUUUUUAUUUAUUUAAGUUAUUUUGGAAAAUACGGGUGUUACAAGAUUGUUACAUUUUUUUUGAAUCUAUUGUUUGAUUGUGAGAGAAGAAGAAAUUCUAUGGGGCAAGGGAAAAAGCUUAUGUUCUGGAAUUGCCGUGGCUUUUGGGGAAGGAGAGAAAUGAAGUGAUUUGAUAUGUUUUGAUUUAGAUGGUUAAGAUUAUGUUAAUUUAGUUUGAUUGGUUUUAUUAAUUGUUUAAUUGGUUUUAUGUUUGGUUAGAUUUCGGGAUUUUUGGUUUACAAUUGGUAAAUCAAGAUUUUGAAUUGGGUUUGACAAAACCAAGAUUUAUUGGGAAAUAAAACUACAACUUUGUUUAUGGGGAUAAAUUGAACGACAUCAUAGUUUGAGAGACAUUUGAUGCUAUAUGAUAGUUUUCGUGGAGAAAUAGCUCGUCUACCCAAAUAAUUUUAAUGAAAAAUUUAUGUGAAUUUUUUCAGUUUUUUAUAAAACUUUAAUUAAAUAUCAUCUCUAUUAAAAAGUACAUUUAGAAAUAAAUCUUUUAUUCAUGUGUAUAUUGCUAAAGUUGCCCCUCAUUUUAAGACUAAGCCACAGGUUGUCACUAAUGGUUAUAUAGUCAUUUACUCUCAAGUAAUGAAAAUCAGAUUAAUUGCAUAAUUAUCAAGAAAAAAUUAAUGCUCGUGAUAUACACUUACAUCCUCUUUUUUUACGCUGGAUAAUUAUGCUAUUACAACUAUGAAAAUUAUUACACUUACAUCCUUAGCUAUGCUUUAAAAAUGAUGGUGUGAUGGUUAAUGCCUUACUUGAGAGUAAAUGAAUAUUGUAUAUACAAGUAUUUUUACGUGCUAUCAUUUUUGAAUUUUUAACAAAUUACAAAAUUAUGAAAUAUCAAAUAUAUUGAAUAAUUCAAUAGUCAGUAACUAUUCGGUAUAUAACUAAAUUGGCGCGGAUAUAUUAUAUGGACUUUUCAAGGGUCCAAGGUUCAAAUCAAUGUAGUAUUUUAGAUAUCAAUCCAUUUCUAAGUGUUUCAAUUCAAUGAGAAUACAUGUUCAUACUUAAGCUAAGUGUAUUCAAUGUAAUGAAAUGAUUUGAUUAAGCUAACAUGACUCUAACACAAUUUACUAGCAACUUUUAAGCAAAUAGAUAAAGAAGGAGUCAUGGGUAUAGGAAUUUGAUUUCAGAUGACUAAGAUUUAAUCUAAAAUGGCAAAGUUUCAAUCAACACAUUUUUCUAAGUCUAGAUAACAAUUCUAAGCAAGUUCUUUGUCAAGACAAAAUCUCAUUUACUCUCAUUGAUCAAACAUCAAAUUACUUUGGUUUGUGUCAAUCAAUCAAUCAUUAAGAUUAGGGUAAGCUAAGAGCACGUUGAGUUGUCUCAGACAUUUCAUCGAACACUUUCCGGGCAAUGAAAUGUCUAGAUUUCUAAUCUAAAAUGGCCAACUCUAGAUUAACUUUAAGAUCACUCAAUCAAGCAAGGAAACAUAUUAAUCUAUUUUAAACAUUCUAGAUCAUCACUUGAUCAUCCUAAUCAUCCUAACCUAUGAAUCCAAAAAUGACUACUCUCACUCAUUAUCAUGGUAGACACUAAAUCAUUAGUUGAUCUAAGUUAAAACAUGAUUAAUGAUCAAAGCAAUCAAGCAAUCACAAAAGAUAAUGAUCAAGAUUAGAUCUUUCACCUAAAAGUGGCUUUUUGAUUAGAUAGAAAACAAGAUAUCCCUCAUUUUUAAGUCUAAAAUAUAUAUAUAUGAAUUCUAAAAACGAGUGAGCCAAUUAAAAAAUCUCAAAAGGCCCAUAAAAUAAAUAAAACUCAACCAAUCAAAGUGUGGGAGCGGCUUCAUCAUCCCUCUCCAAACACCCGCUCCAUGGAUCGUGUGAGGCACAGCGACCACUUCAGCCCGCUGCCCGUGACCGUUGCAAGCUCGACGUGUUGCAAACUUUCAAUAUCAAUUAAGAGAGAGAUAUUUAAAAUUGGGAGCUUAGAACCAAAAGACACACAUUCUAACCUUCAAUGUGACAUCCUAAGAGAAACAUAGCAAAUAGCAUGAGCCACUUUCUUAUUGCACUAUAGCUUCUCAAGGCCUAUCAAAACUCAUUUAUCUCUACACAAGUUACAUUGUCAUUCAACCAACAAGUUACUUAGCCAACUCUCACAUUUAUUCACACACACACACAAGGUGAAUUCUUGCAAAUUGAUCUCAAUCAUUUGGCUUGGUGAGAGAAGAUGGUCUAAUGUGAAGAAAAAUGGGUUUCAAUUGCAUUAUUUAUAGUGACUCACACUCAUGAAUAGGAGCAAGAUCAUUAUGCAAAAUUUAUCUAAGAAAAUGAGCAAUUCAUGCACACAAGGCUUGUUCUCA
This 467920-nucleotide long non-coding RNA is filed under the name Brassica rapa (field mustard). Its description in RNAcentral is "long non-coding RNA (BRAP_LNC004973)". The stretch from base 425486 to 425591 matches the Rfam family "Plant small nucleolar RNA R71". Lineage: Eukaryota; Viridiplantae; Streptophyta; Magnoliopsida; Brassicales; Brassicaceae. The record is from RNAcentral.